RNAcentral lists this long non-coding RNA (369618 nucleotides) under Triticum aestivum (bread wheat). RNAcentral's name for it is "long non-coding RNA (TAES_LNC011709)". The stretch from base 212230 to 212316 matches the Rfam family "MIR1120/MIR1122 microRNA precursor family". Lineage: Eukaryota; Viridiplantae; Streptophyta; Magnoliopsida; Poales; Poaceae. The record is from RNAcentral.
UAGACGCCGCCCCGGGGGCUUCAACAUCUACGGCGAUGGAGCCGAAUACCAAUCUUGUCCCCCGCGAAACUCAUGAUCCCGAGGCGCCGGACUCCUUGCCGGACUCCGAGCCUCCCGCGCCCCUGCCAAUUAAGCCAGAUUGGGCGCCGGUUAUGGAAUUCACCGCCGCGGACAUCUUUCAACACUCGCCUUUUGGCGAUAUCUUGAAUUCUCUGAAGCAUCUCUCGCUAUCAGGAGAAUCCUGGCCGGACUAUGGCCAGGACGGUUGGAGUUCGGACGACGAAGAAAUUCGGAGCCCACCCACCACCCACUUUGUAGCCACUGUCGAGGAUCUAAUCGACAUGCUAGACUACGACUCCGAGGACAUCGACGCUAUGGACGAUGAUGCCGGAGACGAUCAGGACCCAGCGCCCACGGGACACUGGAAGGCCACCUCGUCAUACGAUGUCUACAUGGUGGAUACCCCAAAAGAAGGGGAUGGCGAGAAAGCAGCGGAGGAAGAUUCUCUAAAGAAGCAACCCAAGCGCCGACGGCGCCGCUCUAAAUCCCGCCACAACAAGAAUGGAGAAUCCGGCACGGGAGAUAAUAACACUCCGGAGAGUGCCGAAGACAAACCCCUCCAGCAAGACUCAGCGAAGGAGGAUGUAGAAGCAAGCCCUUACGAAAGGGCGGCAGAAGAAAAGGUUGAGGAUCACAACUAUGUACCUCCCUCCGAGGACGAAUCAAGCCCCGAUGACGACGAACUCGAAAAGCCCGUCGAACAAGAUCUUUGCAAACGCAGGCUCAUCGCUACAGCAAGAAGCCUGAAGGAGGAAAAGCGGAAGCUCAACACAGCGGAAGACGCGCUCCGGAUAAAAUGGAGCAAAGUGCUCAAAACAACAGACAAACAAGGCAACAGCCACCAACCGAAGAGCUACCCGAAGCGCAAGCUGCUCCCAGAAUUCAACGAAGAGGCCAUAAAGCCCCCACCGUCCAAUGGCCCAGCCAGGUCCAUCUAUGGGCCCAAAAGGAAAGCCCCAAUAAGCAAAGGAACACGUCAAGUGUCCGACGAUAGCGGCACGUACAAGUACAGGGGCGCCGCACACCCACUAUGCUUCACAGACGAAGUGCUGGAACAUGAAUUCCCAGUAGGGUUUAAACCCAUCAACAUAGAAGCCUACGAUGGAACAACAGACCCUGGAGUCUGGAUAGAAGACUAUAUAUUACAUAUACAUAUGGCCAGAGGAGAUGAUCUCCACGCCAUAAAAUAUCUACCCCUCAAACUCAAAGGGCCAGCUCGUCAUUGGCUCAAAAGCCUCCCAGAAAACACUGUUGGAAGUUGGGAAGAGCUCGAGGAAGCGUUUAGAGCAAACUUUCAAGGGACUUAUGUCCGGCCUCCGGACGCAGACGACCUAAGUCACAUAACUCAACAGCACGGAGAGUCAGCGCGGAAAUUCUGGAACAGGUUCCUUACCAAAAAGAACCAAAUAGUCGACUGUCCGGACGCCGAAGCCUUAGCAGCUUUUAAGCACACUGUCCGAGACGAAUGGCUCGCCAGACACCUCGGUCAAGAGAAACCGAGGACAAUGACCGCAUUAACAAGCCUCAUGACCCGCUUUUGCGCAGGAGAGGACAGCUGGUUGGCAAGAAGCAGCACCAGCGACCCAAGUACAUCCGAGAUAAGAGAUGGAAACGGAAAAUCACGACGCAGAGAAGAUCAGCGCCGGAACAAAGAGAAAAGCCCAAAGAGCACGGCAGUCAACGCCGGAUUUAAAAGCUCACGGCCGAAUAAUAAAUCUCAACCCAUCAAGGACGACAGCGACGAACUGUCUAACCUACACAAAAUCCUGGGUCGGAUCUGUCAAAUCCACAGUACCCCCGGAAGGCCUGCAAAUCACACCCACAGGGAUUGUUGGGUUUUCAAACAGUCCGGCCGACUAAACGCCGAACGCAAGGGGCUCGACGCGUCAAGCGAAGAAGAUAAACCCCGCCAGCAGGGCACCAGAAAACAAAAGACUUUCCCACAAGGGGUCAAAGCAGUAAACUCACUUCAUGUGAAGAUACGGAAAAACAGUGCGGCACUUUCUAAAAAGAGCUUCGCACGGUCCGGCCCCGCAAACCAUAGAGAUUCGAUAUCAAAACCAAUCACUUUCGACCACCAGGAUUAUUCCAAAAGUGUUCGAACCGCGGGACGAACUCCCCUGAUAUUGAAUCCGAUAAUAGACGGACUACAAUUCACAAACAUCCUAAUGGACGAAGGCAGUGACUUAAACCUGCUAUAUUCAAAUACAAUCCGUCGGAUGGGGAUAGACCCUACCAAAAUUCGACACAGCCGCACUUCCUUCAAAGGAGUUACGCCCGGCCCUUACGCCAAGUGCACAGGCUCGAUAUUACUCGAAGUCGUGUUCGGAUCACCGAACAAUUUCCGACGAGAAAAGUUAAUUUUCCAUAUCGUCCCAUUUAAAAGUGAACAUCAAGCACUAUUAGGACGAAAGGCUUUUGUCCGCUUCAAUGCCAUACCGCAUUACGCAUCUCUUACACUUAAGAUGCCCGGUCCACAUGGCACUAUUUCAGUGCGAGGGUCACUUCAAGCCCCCGGACUCGGAUAGACGAAUCCGGACUCAGCAGGCUAGGGGCUCCCUAGCCGCAUACCCUUUCACAAGGGGCUGCGCGCACAAUUAACAUCGGUUUCAUAUAAACCUAGCCUUAAUUAUUUACGCUUAUUCUUUUGCAUUAUUUUCGCAAGAACUGUUUUUGAAAUGUUCCUCUCUUUUCUACAGAUGAGCAACGUGCGUACCCGUCCAGGAUAACGGCACAACGGAGACACAGGCACAGACGUGCAGUAGGGACCCGUCGCAAGGAUUCUUUUCAGAUUAAGACCCUACGUAGACCUUUUUAUUACUGUCUCUUGUUGCUAAAUCGGCCUCGGCUUCUUCCUAUAGCCGAGGCGGAGCCUGACAAUUUGGCAUUGGCCGCUUCAGAAGACAAUGCCCGUACCUGGACACAAGGGGCUUACGAUAUAAUUCUGCCCGUUAUCAUAAAGUCCGAACACCUCAGGGAGUGUUCGGCGUCUCAAGUUGGGCACUAUAUGCAUCAGCUCCGAAUCAUGUCUUUGGUCAAAUGUUGGGUUUGCCCGGCUCCUAUGUUUUGCUGCCUUACGUUCCGUAUCACCCGGCUAACGCGGCACCAGGAGAACUACUGCGAUUGUGCCCCAGUUCGGCUGGGUGAGCACCUCAGUAGAGAAAGCCGAAAACUGACUGUCAUGAUAUAGCGAGAGUCUGGUCAGCCACUUGAUCGACUACGGAAUGUUUAGAAUUCCCCGCUUUGACGAAGGGCCGCUUCCCGGUCAGGCACAUACGCACCCCGAAUCCGGAGAUGUGCGGUGCCAUUAGGGGCUAUGUCGUAGCCCCACCCUCGAGCUCCAUUGGCUAAGUGAAAGAGAUAAAGCAUUAUAGUCCGGAUUGCCUCGUUCGCUACGCUACCACGUCCUUAUAACAGGACCGAGACGUCGGAUUAAAGUGUGAAAAAGCGCUAUUUUGCGAACACCCCAGCACCUUGUUCAAGGGGGCUGAAGCCGAAGACUGCAUCUUUCAGGUUAUACACAAGUAUACUUAAAACGGCCGCAAUGAGAAGUACUACUACUUGGAAGCACAAGUAUAAAAAGCAUUCACACUAUAAUCAUUCAUAAACAAGUUAAUGCGUUCAAUUGAACGUUACAUUCUUCGAGCACUGCGACUCUAUUAUACGAGCGCCGCGCAUAACUUCCCCGAAAUAAUGUUUGGCAGGAAGCCGGUUCCCAUCCGAACCCUGGGCAGCAACAGCGGUGGCAUCCAUCUCCAGACACUGCGCCUUUACACGGGCCAGAGCCAUCCGCGCGCCCUCUAUGCAGGCCGACCGCUUCAUCUCCUUGAUAUGCGGCACCGCCCCAAGGAACUGCUGCAGUAGGCCAAAAUAGAUUGUCGCCUUGGACCUCUCUGGCCACACAUGGGCCACGAUGUCAGUCAUAGCCAGCCCGGACAGUCUAUUCAGUUCGGCCCAUUCGGCCAACCUGUCCGACAGCGGAAGAGGGCGAUCCGGACUGUGGAAUUGAGUCCAAUAUAACUCUUCCACCUCAUGAUCCCCCUGGCUUCGGAAGUGCUUAACGGCGUCAGCCGCACUCACAGCCAAGUCCAUGUAAGGAUCCUCCGAACUCCACUGCUUUUCAAAUUGGGCAUACCUGGCAUCCAUAAACCGGCGACGCAUAAGAAACGGCCUGCCAGCCGUGAUUUCUCCGGCUUGGCGCAGCUCCUCCUUCAUAGCCCGCAUUGCAGAGCGGGCAUCCUUGGUCUCGGCGGUGGCCUUCCUCAGGUCUUCCCGCUCCAAUAGGCGCUCCUUUUCAAGAGCCUCGCUACGGUUGGUAGCAUCCUUUAACUUUUUGGCCAAUCCGGCCACCUCCGCCCUGCUUAGGCAGUGCGCAGCCUUUUCGGCCUUCAACUCCUCGGCCGCCCUCGCGGCAGCCGCAUCACUCCUUCGGGCUUGCUCCUUGGCUUGUGCAAGCUCGGCCCGAAGUCUCUCCACAGCAGCAGCACUGUCUGUAUAAACAGCAUAUCACUUAUCAGAGGAGGGCUUUAACCCACUCAAUAAAGCGGCUAUGGAGAAUUUAUUUACCUUACGACUCGUCAAGUUGCUGAUUGACAAGUGCUAUGUUAACAUCUGCCAUGUCCAGUUGCCGACUAAGUUCGGCAAACUGAUUAGUCCGGCUGGCCCCCGGACUAUCCGCCACCUGUAUCAGCACGGCGAUAUUUAUUACCUAAGAUAUUUAGAUUUUCGAUCCUCGGCACGCUGUCGUCUUCGACAACCUACCGAGUCUCAGGGGCUACUAUCUAUACAGGGCGCAUCUUUUAUAUGCACAACUGUUAAAAAGCAAAGGGGUACGCUAUUUUCGCAUACCUCAAAUCCCGCCAGCAAGCUCAUGGCAGCAUCACGCAAUCCGCUUUCAGCGGACGAAAUCCUUCCAACAACCGUACGCAUUAACGCGCGGUGAUCUUCUGAAAUGGACGCCCUCUCAAGCAAACUAUUUAGUUCUCCCGGCCGGGCUCUGGUGGGUGUUGAACUCUUCGACCCCUCCGGACUCGGGGACACCCUCCGUGACGACACUUCGGGCUCGCCUGCCUCAUCUGGCGGCGCGUCGGACGGAGGCGUAUCGCUCUCCAUCAUCUCCGGAAGAAGAUCCCCCGAGGACGAACUCAUUUGAGACGGCUGCAGAUCCGAACUGCGAUAUAAAUAUUUCGGUUACCUACAGAAGCAUAAACGAAGGUACCUUUUUAUUAAACUUCCUCUUUCAUACUCACGGCUCGUUGGAGGGCUGGUCCUUGGGCGAUGACUGCGCGUCCGGAUUCUCUCCGGACGCCGGCCACCCCGGUGAGGAUUUCUUCCCACGCUUGGGGGCUUUGACCUCCGGAUCUUCGGGGGCGGCCCUCUUUUCCCUCUUAAGGGAGGGAUCCUUGGUCCUCUCCUCUUCGGUCGCCUCUUUGGACGAAGUAUUAGCUCCUUUAUCUCCCCCAUCGCCCCCUUCUGUGGGUGCGGCCUCCAACAUUCUGACCAGCACGGGCUCCAGUGCGGUCUCUGGGAGGGGGGCCGGACACCUUAUCAGCCUUGAUCGCGCCACCCAUUCCUGUAAAGAAUAAAAAGGGUUAAGAGAUGAUCUUUUGAAAGGCAUACAAGCAGGAUGUCCGGGCUUUGAGCUAUUUACCUGAGUAUCCGGACGAUCGCGGCUUAGUCCCGCAUCCUCGGCCGAAUCCGGACAUGCCACUUGCGGUCCGAAGAACAGCUCGUACAUCUCCAAGGGUGUCGCGCCCAUGAAAUGCUGGAGGAUACGAGGUCCCUCCGGAUUGAACUCCCAUAAACGGAGAGGACGACGUUUGCAGGGUAGGAGGUGCCUAGUUAGCAUGACCUGCAUCACCUUGACCAGAUCGAUCUCCCUUGUUUGGAGGUCCCGAAUCCGGCCCUGCAGUUCGGGCACGUCCUUGGACGGCCCCCAGUUGAGCCCUUGGUUGACCCACGACAUCAGUUGCUGUGGAGGUCCCGGGCGGAAGGAGGGCGGCGGCUUUUGCUUGCUGCCCCUUGGAGCGGUGAUGUAGAACCACUCCUGCUGCCACAAUCCCUGUUCCUCUUGGAAGGAACCUUCGAGCCACGGGGCAUCGACCAUCUUGCUUAUGGUCGCCCCGCCACACUCCGCUCGACGCCCCCCGAUCAUCUUCGGCUCAACCUUGAAUGUUUUCAGCCACAGGCCGAAGUGGGGGAUGACGCAGAGGAAGGCUUCGCAGACAAUAAUGAAUGCGGAGAUAUGGAGGAUGGACUCCGGAGCCAAGUCGUGAAAGUCCAGCCCGUAGAAGAACAGAAGCCCCCUCACGAAAGGAUCGGUCGGGAAGCCUAAUCCCCGACGGAGGUGAGAUGCGAAAACGACACAUUCGCCGGGCUCGGGGGCUGGCACGGCCUGCCCAGGGGCAGGUAACCUGUGCGAGACAUCGUAGGCCAGGUACUUGGCCUCACGCAACUUCAAUAUGUCCUCCUCCGUGACGGAGGAGGGCACCCACCGGCCCUGGAGGUUGGAGCCGGACAUUGCUGUGGAUCCGAAGCGCUCGAGUCUGAAGCUCUUGGUGUUGGAACUAGGAGCAGAGGAAAGAUUCGAUGCGAGGUUAAAAGACAAGGACAGACCUUGGUCCUCUUAUAAAGGGAAAUAAUACCAAGGGCCGUCUCCGUGACCAUUUGAGAUUCCCCUUCGAUAGAGGAGGCGUGGCGAUGGGAACGGUUGGGUUACCCACGCACGUAUUGAUGAGGAUCCCGGAAUAAAAGGGAACACGAUCUCUGCUUCGACAGGACGUGCCAAGAAAGCCGCUUCGCUAAACGUGCUGAGGUGGAAUAGUAAAAACAAUUAAAACGAGGGCUUGGCUGCGGCGUGAUGUCAUGCCGCAUAAUACGUCAGCAGAUUGGAUCGGUGUAUAUGUUUUAUUCUCUCUAUGUUGGAAUGUGGAAAUUAUUUUGCAGAGUCGGACACUAUCCUGGUGUUCAUUAUCUUCUCUGGAUUAUUCAAGGGAGGAACCCGCCUUGCAAUGCCGAACAUUAUGCACGCCGAACUUAUCGUCAUUGAAGACUGGUUCAGGGGCUACUGAGGGAGUCCUGGACUAGGGGGUGUCCGGACAGCCAGACUAUCAAUAUCCGCCAGACUCCCAGACUACGAAGAUAGAAGAUUGAAGGCUCCGGCUCGUGUCCGAAGGUACUUUACUUGGCGUGGAAGGCAAGCUUGGCAAUACGGAUAUGUAGAUCUCCUACCAUUGUAACCGACUCUGUGUAACCCUAGCCUCUCCGGUGUCUAUAUAAACCGGAGGGCUGUAGUCCGUAGGACACAACAUUACACCUCAACAAUCAUACCAUAGGCUAGCUUCUAGGGUUUAGCCUCAUUGAUCUCGUGGUAGAUCUACUCUUGUACUACCCAUAUCAUCAAUAUUAAUCAAGCAGGACGUAGGGUAUUACCUCCAUCGAGAGGGCCUGAACCUGGGUAAAAACCUCGUGUCCCUCGUCUCCUGUUACCAUCCGCCUAGACGCACAGUUUGGGACCCCCUACCCGAGAUCCGCCGGUUUUGACACCGACAAGCUCCCACACAUUGUUGAGCUCGAAUUGAUGCAAUUCAUCUUGCAUGGCUUGAAUCCACUCAAAUUCCAUGAAUGCUUCAUCUACUUUAGUGGGCUCUGUGAUAGAGACAAAUGCAAAAUGCCCACAAAAGUCAGAUAAAUGUGAAGCUUUUGAGCGCGUGAGGGGACCUGGUGCACGAAUGUCAUCAUUGAUCUUCUUGAUCUGCACUUCAUUUGCUAUGCGAGGAUGUGCGGGUUGACGACUUUGCUUAGGCCCAGCAGUUUCUUCAGGACCAGUUUCUUCAGUAGCACCAACAUGAUUUUCUUCACGAUCAGGAAUGACUUCUUCUGCAGAUUUUUUGGUAGGGAUGACAUCCUCAGUAGCUUUGAACCUGAUGGAUUCCUCAGGUGACAUUUCAUCUAGCACAGGAGGUAGAUGCUCUCUUUGCGAGCCAUUAGUUUCACCAAACUGCACAUCUACAGUUUCAACAACCUUGUGAUGAUUGACGUUGAAGACUCUGUAGGUGUGCGAGUCCUUUCCGUAACCAAGCAUAAAACCCUCAUGUGCUUUCGGUGCAAAUUUAGAGUGAUGGUGAGGAUCUCUAAUCCAACAUUUAGCACCGAAGACUUUGAAAUAACUUACAUUGGGUUUCUAGUCAGUGAGGAGUUCAUAUGAGGUCUUUUUGAAGAAUUUGUGAAGGUAUACUCUGUUGAUGAUGUGGCACGCAGUAUCAAUUGCUUCAGACUAGAAAUGCUGAGGCAUCUUGUAUUCAUCAAGCAUAGUGCGGGCCAUCUCAACAAGAGUCCUAUUCUUGCGCUCCACAAUGCCAUUCCGCUGAGGAGUAUAAGGAGCAGACAAUUCGUGAGUAAUACCAAGCAUAUCGAGAUAUUCAUGGAGGCCAGUGUUCUUGAACUUAGUUCCAUUAUCACUCCUGAUAUGCUUGAUCUUCACACCGAAGUUAGUGGAAGCCCUUCAGGAAAAUUGUCUGAAGACUUCAUGCACUUCAUUUUUGUAAGUGAUGAUAUGCACCCAUGUGUAAGGAGAAUAGUCAUCAACUAUGACAAAGCCAUAUAAUGAUGCAGAACUAGUGAACGUGGCAAAAUGAGUAGGGCCAAAUAGAUCCAUAUGAAGUAAUUCAAAGGGACGAGAAGUGGUCAUGAUAGUCUUCAAGGGAUGCUUGGCUCUGGUGAUCUUUCCAGCCUCACAAGCCCCACAAAGAUGAUCUUUGAGGAAUUUGACACCUUCGAUGCCAAUGACGUGUUUCUUCUUCGCGAGUGUAUGCAAGUUCCUCAUCCCAGCAUGACCAAGUCGUCGAUGCCAUAACCAGCAUUCUGAAUCUUUUGCAAGUAGACAUGUGGCAGGUUGUGGUCCUGCAGAGAAAUCAACAAUAUACAAGUCUCCUUUCCUAAAGCCUUCAAAGACUUUGGAGUUGUCUGAUUCCAUUAGCAUAAGGCAACGAAAUUUGCCAAAGACAACAACCAUAUCAAGAUCACAAAGCAUUGAGACAGACAUAAGAUUGAAUCCUAAGGACUCAACAAGCAUGACCUUGUCCAUGUGUUUAUCCUUUGAGAUUGCAACCUUACCUAGACCCAAUACCUUGCUUUUGCCUUUGUCAGCGUAGGUGAUAUGCUUCAGAUGAGAUGGUGACAAAUCAGUGUCCAUCAACAAGCUCCCGUCACCAGUCAUGUGAUUUGUACAUCCACUGUCGAGGACCCCCUCAGUAGCUUUGGGUUGUUCAUCCUGCAGAUGAAUUAGUGCAACUUACGAACCCAUAUACUUCAUCAGUGAAGAAUAUGAUAUCAAUUUCAUCAACAAUAACAGAUAUAGCAAUAUGAGGAUGUGAGAAAUGAAUGAUUCAUUUCUUCAUGAUUAGCUUGCGUCCUUUCAAGCGCAUUCAGGUCUCCAGCAAAUUCUUUAGACGAGUAUGUUCGUUUGGACACCUAACCCUGCAUAAGAGAUUAGUUCUUUUUCUUCACCACCCACAUCUGGAGGGGUGGCAAAGAGUUCAUCCUUCUGCGAGAUCCAUGAGAAAACGAUGGCAUUAAAGCCAGUGCACUUCGUUUCAUAGAAGAGUGGUUAGGACAAGCAUAUGCAUAAGAAGAAAAAUUCUUCGAGGACAUAUGAACAUAAUGGUCCGAAGAAUAAUGCACAUAAUCAUAGCCUUUAGAAUUUCCCUGCGAAACAGAAGUGUUAGCAAGAUGAUGUUCAUAUGAGGAUUUUGAUCCACAUGAGGAAUUUGAUCUGGGGUUCCUAUCCUUCAUGGGUGGUGUCAUGAUGACAUUCACCUGAAGAUUUUCAAGGCACCUUUUAGGAACCCAGAUUUUCUUCAUAGGGGGACCGUUCCUACAGUUAGUUCCAACGUAUCUAGCAAAUACUUCACCAUUCUAAUUCUUAAACAACUUAUAGUUGGAGUCAAAUGACUCAUCAGAGGAAUAUGAAGAAUCAUAGGUAAAGCCAGAUAAAGUGCAUGGAUCUACUGGAGGUCCUUUCGCAGCAACCCAUGAAGUUUUGGGAUACUGCUCAGGUUUCCAGUAGGUCCCAUCAGCAUUGAGUUUCCUCUCAAAGGCAAUACCCUCUUUCCUAGGGUUCCUGUUCAAGAUCUGCUUUUUGAGCACAUCACAUAGAGUCUGAUGCCCUUUGAGGCUUUUGUAAAUCAUGUCACAUACAAUUCCUUCAGCCCUGCAUUAUCGUCGAUGAUACAUGUGGUAUCCUCAGAUGAGGAAUUUGUAACCACAAAGAAAGUUGAAGAAUUUGCAGCAAUAGAAGCAUUUGAACAUUCAGGUGAUGAAUUAGCAGAUUCACGCACAAUGCAUUUCAGACAUGGUGGAAUAAAUUCUUCCUGAGCGGAACUGAUUUGUUGAGCAAGCAAUGAAUCAUUUUCCUUCUGAAGAUCUUCAUAACUCGCUUUUAAGUUCUCAAGAUCUUGCUUUCUCUGAAGAAAUUCGUAAGAAAGCUUCUCAUGAUCAGUUAAGAGAGUGUUAUGAUGAUUUUGAAGGUUGUCAAACCGAGUUUUAAGUCUCUGAAGAUUAUCUGUCAGAGUCUUAGUUCGAUUCAAUUCCUCACCCAAUAGGUCAUCGCUUUUGUCUAGUUGAUUUUAAAUCUUUUCUAAAGCCUUCUGUUGUUUAACAAUAAUUUUUGCAAGUUUUGAAUAGCUACGCUUAAGAUUGUCAUCAGAUUCAUCCUCACUAGAGUCAGCGGGGGGAUGUUUGAGUACCUUGGAACCUUUUGCCAUGAAGCAAUAAGUGGGAGCAUAGUCAUCGUUGCCCUUGUCAGCAGAGGCGGGGAAGUUAUUUUCUUCAAUGCUGAAGAUGGACUUGCUGACGUAAGCAGUAGCAAGGGCUAGGCUAGCCACACCAGAGGCAGAUUCCUCAGAUUCCUCCUCUUCCACAUUAUCCCUAGAUUCCGCUUCAGAGUCCAUUUCCUUGCCAUUAAAUGCCCGGGCCUUCUUGGAACUUCUCUUCUAGUGAGAUGAAGACUUUGAGGAUUUUGAUGAUGAAGACUUUGAAGAUUUCUUCUUCUUCUUUGAGUCAUCAGAAUCGUCAUCUUUGUACUUCUUCUUCUGUGAUUCCUUCUCCCAUAGAGGACAAUCAGACAUGUAGUGACCAGGUUUCUUGCAUUUGUGGAAAGUUCUCUUUUUGUAGUCACGUGACGAGGAAUCAUCAUUUCUUGAAGACUUUCUAAAACGGCCGCGGCGAGAGAACUUCUAGAAUUCCCUCACAAGCAUUGCUAGCUCCUGGCUCAAUUCUUCAGGAUCACCAAGGCUGCUACCAGAAUCCUCAGCUUCGGACUCAGAUACUGCCUUGGCCUUCAGUGCACGUGAUCUUUCGUAGCUAGGUCCAUAGAGAUCUCUCUUCUCAGCAAGCUGGAACUCGUGAGUGUUUAGCCUCUCAAGGAUAUCAGCGGGAUCAAGUGACUUGUAAUCAGCUCGUUCUUGAAUCAUCAGUGUGAGGGUAUCAAAUGAGGUGUCAAAUGAUCUCAGCAAUUUCUUCAUCACCUCAUGAUCGAUGAUAUCAGUGGCACCAAGUGCUUGAAGCUCAUUUGAGAUGUCAGUGAGGUGAUCGAAGGUUUGCUGAACAUUUUCUUUGUCGAGUCUUUUGAAGCGGUUGAAGAGAUUGCGAAGAACAUCAACUCGGGAGUCACGUUGGGUUGAGACUCCUUCGUUAACCUUGGACAGCCUGUCCCAAAUCAGCUUAGCAGUUUCUAGUGCACUCACUUUGCCGUACUGACCUUUGCUCAGAUGGCCACAUAUGAUAUUCUUCGCUUGAGAAUCGAGUUGCUUGAAUCUCUUCACAUCAGUAGCAUUCAGAGACGGAGUGACUGAGGGAACGCCAUUUUCCACAAUGUACCAGAGAUCGUUAUCAAUUGCCUCAAGAUGCAUACGCAUCUUAUUCUUCUAGUAGGGGUAGUCCGUCCCGUCAAAGGCAGGACACCCAGCUGAGACCUUGAUCAUACCUGCAGUCGACAUAACUAAAACUCUAGGUGGUUAAACCAAAAUCACACGGAACAAGGGAGUACCUUGCUCUGAUACCAAUUAAAAGUGUGUUACAUCGACUAGAGGGGGGUGAAUAGGCGAUUUUUAUGAAUUCUUCACUAAGGAAUUUCAGGGUGAGGAAAUUCCUAAGCGAAGAACUACUUGCAGCGGAAUAAGUACUCAGGUAUAAGCAUAACAAAGUAACAGCAUAGUCAUCAUGAUGAAAUGAAAGACAAACACUGAGUACAGAAAGCGUAAACACAUGAUAAGCAGGAUGAAGACAAAACAGACUGAAGAAAUAGGAUUGAGGAAUUAGAGAAAGUCUUCAGUCAAAGUCUUCAAACAGUAAUGAUCGGGUUCAUCAACACAUAACUGAGGAAAUGAAAGAGUUGAGGAAAUAGAACCAGUUAGCUUGGUGAAGACAAUGAUUUGGUAGACCAGUUCCAACUAUUGUGACAGUUGUACAUCUGGUUGGAGCGGCUGAGUAUUUAAACUAGAGGACACACAGUCCUCACCGUAUUCUCCUUGAGCUAAGAUCACAUAGACCUCACCUAAUAGUAGUGGUAAGUCUUCACAGGUGACUUCCAAACCUUCACAGACUUGGUCACUUGGCAAUCCACAAUUCCUCUUUGAUGCUCAGACCAUGACGCCUAACCAACUGGAGGAUACACAGUCCUCAAAGGUAACAAGCGUCGGUUCCACACAGGAACAAUCUCUUCAGUAUUGCUCAAUCACUUUGUGGUUUGUAGGUUUGGGUUUGGGAUUUGGGUUUUCCUCACUUGAUGUUUUUCGCUCAAAGUCCUCGGAGGAUGGGAUGCUCUCAAAUGACAAGUGUCAGUUUCUCCUGGAGCAGCCAACCAGCUAGUGGUUGUAGGGGGCAGCUAUUUAUAGCCUAGGGAGCAGCCCGGCAUGAUAAGACAUAAAUGCCCUUGGCUGAUAUGACCGUUAGGCUCAGCAACGGUCGGAUAUUUGAGGUUUGAAUUCCUCAAGGAUAUCAUGUUCCUCACUGUGUAGGCAAUCUGCACUGGCGAAUUCUUAACUCCUCUGUCAGAACAAAUUCCUCAGAGACCAGAAGAUCUUCGUCUCUGUCACUAAAGAAAUUGACUGAACUGAUAUGAGAUUUCCAAUGGCUUCACUCGAAGGAUUGGGUUAGGAUUUUGAGAUGAGCAUCACUUGGAAAUUAGUUUCCUUAGUAUUACCUCGACCCCCUUUAACAGUAUGGUGUUUCCUAUGACUCAAGAAAGAGAAAAUGAAACUACGAAAACAAAAGUCUUCACGCUUCAGAUUCCUCGCAUGAAUAUCAAAGUCUUGAAGGUCACACCAAUUUCUUCACUUUCAAAGUCUUCAGGAGAACCAAAGUCUUCAGCCGAAGACAUUCAUUUUUAUGGGUCGACUUUCACUGUUAAUAUCAAACUCCUCAUUGACUUAUAGAGCCUGUGUACACUCACAAACAUAUCAGUCCCUUAACCUAUAAGUCUUCAAUACACCAAAAUCACUAAGGGACACUAGAUGCACUUACACUCUCGUACACGCACGCACGUGGGUGUGACGCGUUGGGCUCUAAUUGAACCCGAGCGAGGCCUUCGCCUACUGAACCCGAGCGAUUGCACUGCAGGCUACGCAUUACUGAAGCGAUUGAUCGAUGGCUAUUAACUGAACCUGAUCGAGCGAUUCCUUCCCUAUUGCUGCUAACUGAAGCCGAUCGAUGUUGCCUCUGGAUGAACAGUGAGCGUUNNNNNNNNNNNNNNNNNNNNNNNNNNNNNNNNNNNNNNNNNNNNNNNNNNNNNNNNNNNNNNNNNNNNNNNNNNNNNNNNNNNNNNNNNNNNNNNNNNNNNNNNNNNNNNNNNNNNNNNNNNNNNNNNNNNNNNNNNNNNNNNNNNNNNNNNNNNNNNNNNNNNNNNNNNNNNNNNNNNNNNNNNNNNNNNNNNNNNNNNNNNNNNNNNNNNNNNNNNNNNNNNNNNNNNNNNNNNNNNNNNNNNNNNNNNNNNNNNNNNNNNNNNNNNNNNNNNNNNNNNNNNNNNNNNNNNNNNNNNNNNNNNNNNNAGCCGGUUGGGGUGGAUGAACAGGACCCCAUGGAGGGCUGGAUGAACAGGACGACCCUGUGGAGGGCUGGUUGAACAGUAGCUAGUGGAGGGCUAGAUGAACAAUAGCCCAUGGAGGGGUGGUCGAGCAGGACCCCGUGGAGAGGGCUGGUUGAACAGUAGCCGGAGGAGGAGCGCACGGUGGAGGCUGGAUGAACAAGAGCCCGUGGACGAAUAGUCGCAGGUGGAGGCUGGAGGAGGUCGACGGUGGAUGAACAGUAGCCCAUGGAGGCUGGAGGAGGUCGAUGGUGGAGAUGAACAGUAUCCCGUGGAGUCCCGUUUUGGGGUACGCCACACCCCUCCCGAUGAACAGGACCCCCGUUUCGACCGUAGCGCUCCAACACAAGUCUGUUUCCUCCAUUUUGCGGUACGCCACACCCCUCCCGAUCAACAUGACCCCGUUUCGACCGUAGGAGGUCCAACAAAAGUACGUUUCCUCCGUUUUGCGGUACGCCAGACCCCUCCCGAUGAAUAGAAUCCCGUUUCGAUCGUGGCCGGUCGAACACAAGGUCGUUUCCUCUAUUUUGCAGUACGCCAGGCCUCGUUUCCAUCGGUUGUUUUGUCCAAGCCCUCCCGAUGAACACGACAACGCAUUUCGUUCCGACCCAGUCGGUUGGCUCCCCAUGAACACGACGAUGACGCAACUUCUCCGUUCUGACCCAGCCAUGUACACAAGCUCUGGCCGUACGUAUGCGUGAGUAGGCAUUCGAGACCCCACCCGUAUGUACGUACGUGACUGUAUUUUCUUUCUUGCACCUCGGCCGCUGUACAUACGUGUACAUGCUACGUGCGUGCCUAACUACAACACGUGUGCGCCUCUACUACGACACGUGCGCGCCUCUACAUCGACCAGUAUGUAUGUACACGUUCGCGACCAGAAUGACAACGGCACGUACGCUUCGACCAGGUGGGUCUCGACUGUCGGGCACUUCCUUGCGUGCAAAGAUGUAGCUGGUGGGUCCCAGCAGUCAGGGGGCGAAUCGUUUUUUUGCCCGUAAUAUGGACGCACUUCCUCACGUGCGAAGAUGUAGCUGGUGGGUCCCAGAAGACAGGGGGGAAAUGUUUUUUCGCGAAGUACGGUGGACCAUCCGGUGGGUCCCUGCUGUCAGUUGGAGGAAUCAUUAUUUUGCAUGUAAUAAGGAGGCACUUCCUUGCUGCGGCCGUGGACCCCAUUGUCAGCCUCUCCACGUACAGUACUCUUCCGAUGGAAGUCGUUCCUUGACCACAUUGACCAUGCCGCGCUGAGAGCACCAGGGCGGUGGACGACGGUGAGGCAUAUGAAGGGGACGACGCGGAGCUGGGGAAGAUGCGACAGUGGAAGCCCGCAUGGAGAGGUGUACGAGGGUUCACUGGUUUGGCUGUGGUGUGAGGCUGCCGUCUCCGCAGAAUAACAGGGGGUGUGGGUGAGUAGAGGGAUGCCCUGACCAGCGGUGGGAGUAGAAGCGGGCGGUGAGGCCUGCGCGGCACCGCAGCCGGCGCUGGAUUUGGUGGCUGGAGCAAGAAGAUCAGAGACUGAAGAAACACGACGGUCGUUGGAUUGGCAUCCAACGGUUACGUCUGCUAGAAUCAUUUGUUGAUGUAUAUAAUAACUAAAAAAAUCUUGCAUACGCGUCAACUUAAUAGGCCCACAAGUCAGACCAUUCCCUAUUUUUUAAUAAUUUAUAUAUAGAUCAUUGCAACUUCUUAUGCAAUUUAUUGUAGUCAGUUUUUUUGUUGGCCAGGGCCGAUGUUAAAAAUUUAAACAAAAUUUUGUAUACUUCUGUGGGUUCCAAACUAUUUUUAGUACCGAAAUGUCGAGCCAGAUUUAAAGUACUUUGAAGAUAUAUUUAAAUUAGGUUAAAGCCGAGUGAAAUAGGAAUCUGAAAAUGUGAAAAAAUUCAGAAAUUAUAAAGUAAUUACCAAUUUGUCUUAUGUUUUUAUAUUUACAACCCAUUUCAUAUUACUUUCAAGAUUUGCAGGCGUCUUGAAAGAGUUGCAACCCAUCAGGGUGUAGAAAAAUAAGUAGGCCUGGAUUGGAUAUUCUUCAGAAUAAAUAAACUGGGUUCAUUUUCACAAAGAAAAAAUAGCUGGGCUGGUCAUAUGGUGAACAUAAAAUAGAAACCUCGGCUAGACGGGCCACAGCCCAGUUGAAACCCUGCUCCAUCUCAACAAUAACAAAAAAAUACUGCUCGAGCAGCUACGUCCUAGGUGUCAGCCGAUCUUGUGCUAUUCUCUUGUCUAUUGACUAUAUACGUUCACAAUUUCAUGGGUCCCAGAUGUCAGGAAACCACUAGGAGGAAGCAUUUUCUUUUUCCAUACGCUGACAUGGUGGGCCCCUACUGUCAUCCUCUCCACGUACUUUUGUCGAUUCCUGUUGUUUAUUGACCAUGUUGACAACGCGAUAGGGCGGCGCCGCGGCAAGCGCACCAAAGCGUGCGGAGGACGACGGCGAGGCCUCGGAUGUCGGCGUUAAUGAUUUAGGAGACGGUGGGAUGGCGAUGCGUGCGCUGAGGCACAGCCAGCCGUGGGAGGCGAAAGCAGGCGGCUCCGCCGGCACUGGUUUGGUUUUGGCGGCUGGAGGAAGACAGGACUGAGGAAACACAAUAGACUGUAAAAGCAGCAGGACUACUUAACAACCUUAACUGAAACCAACAGGGGCACUUAACAACCAUAGCUGAAAGCAGUAUGAGUACUUAUACAGGUUCAACCGUACAAAUCAUGCCUCGAACAGUGCUACUUUGCCUAUAGUUAACCAAGGGUGAGGCCGCCAAGCCCCAGUACAUGGCCCAGGCGCCACCCCAUGCAUCCACAACCUUCUGAAAGCGGCUUCAUCUCGCAAUGUGGUCAAUAAACAGGAUAUUUUCUUUAGAGCCAUGGAAAAGCAGGAACAUAAUCUUCUGUCCUAUUCUCCAAGAUGGACGAGCCUUCAUUAUUUGAGACGACCCAUGAAUAAGUAUCUUUUCACCUCCAAGGGGAAUGGAGUAGGUCGACAUAAACAUCAUGUUGUGACCAAGCGCAAGUCUAACCCGACCAUGGUCAGGCAUCUGUAUAGGAACAGUAGAACUGGGCAGUUUCUAUUUCAAGAAGAUCACAACUGUAAAACUAUGUAUAAGCAAUAGUUUAUGAACAACAUAUAUAACAGAAAACAGCUCGUACCAUAAGUUGCUCAACAUAGUUGGACCUGUUCAAUGAGUGCAGCAGUGGCACACAUAUCCCACGUGGCCUUCCACCAUUGAAACGCCCCACAAGGACCUCAAGACGAACAAUAAAGUGUAGGAACUUGUGGAUGUCGUCCCAGUCAACUCCAGUGCCAUCAGUAACAGCCGAGUUCUUAUAGAAUAACAAACGAGCAGCCUGCUUAACUCUGAAAAAAUCUACACGUGCCACCAAUUAUAAGAAAAUAUUAGUUAGAAGUAGCAUCUUCGUGAGAGAUUCGUUACUACUUCUAAAGUUAAAUUGUGAUUAGUUAGACAUAAUAGGUGGAUUAAGAAGUAAUCGAGGCAACAAGCAAGAACUAGAUACAAAACUAACAUGGAUGAACAAUUGGAAUGACGUCGGGGUGGAAGAUCGCAGUGAAGAUGAGACCAGGUUCUGCUAUGUCCAUCAACAUUCGUGCACCAACUUUCAGUUUGUAACACUUGAGAAAGUUUAUCCAAGUCCUGCCAAAAAAACCCAGCGAUCUUCUUGGUUCAUGAACCCAACUCAGAACUUAUAUCCAUGGCUUGUCUUCACUAUGACCAUUAAAAUGGUGUAUUCAGUUAUGGCAAGGCCGAGCAUCUUGAGUACAUGUGUUCUGGCAGAGCAAAUAAUGCACUGCAGGAAAAAUAAUAUGAGAACACAAUGUAUUCCCUAUCCAAAUCUAGAAAUAAUUUCCUCCUUCACGUCAGUGUUGACCAUCGUACUAGUACCUUUUAUGCAAAUAUAACAAUCCAAAUUUCCAAAUUAUUGACAGCAUGUUCAAAAAACCCCAUCCUCCCGGAGAGAAAAGAGGAUUCUAGGAACAUACUGUGCGCUUUUAAAAUCCCGUGUCAGGAUGAGAAGGAACAAGUGUGGCGUCUCGCCGAGGGUGCAGAAACCUGUAGGGUCCUCGCACUUUGGGCACUGCAAAUGAAACACACUAGAUUCAGUAGGAAGAAAAAUGCAUCAACGGCGGCAGCUGCCAUCCUAGGAUAACCCAGGACCAAGGGACUUGGAUUUAUCGGGGAUGGAUGAAGAAUUCAUACCUGGUUCUCCAUGAGAAAACCCUAUGCAAUCGUCGAGAGGGGGUUUUCUCUAAAAAAGCGGACGAGGGAGAAGGGGAUUCAGGGCCAGUGAAAUAUUGCCGCUUCAUCCGUCCAGCUUACUGCUAAAGCUGGAAAGGUGGGGGGUUUUGUGAUUUGACGGCUCAUUGGGCAUUACUGCGGCGCUACGACCGGGGUGUGUCUACCAUGCAGUUGUGCACUCUAAUUUGGUGCAUAUGGCACGUUGACCCCGUUGCCGGAUGCCCCACAUAUCAGCGAAAGGAAGUAGAAAGACAGGAGUAACUAGUUACACAUAAAUAUAUUUUUGACAGAGAGAUACUCCCUGUGUAAGGAAAUAUAAAAAUCUUUUAUAUCACAAGUUUAUACAUAAGAAAAAUCAAGGGGAAUAUAUAUGACAUAUAUAAUUAUAAAAACAGAGUUUUUUUAACACAAUAUAGAAGAUUUAUAUCUGACGGAUAGGAAGAAAACUAUGACAAUUUUGCAAAAAGGUACCCACACACCUCCCCACAUUUGCAAAUAAGGCCUUCCCUCGUUCAUCCAUUUCUCUCACAAGAUAAAAUACUCAUGCAAAUGCAUCUUGAUGUUAUGUGCAAUGCACGGGCCUUAUGGGGGUUCAGCUGAGAAUAUAAUACUCAGGCAGGCUCACGGUUCUGGACUUUGGGCCAUAGUCUAGUGGGCCUGCAUGUUUGGGGGCCCAUGUGUUCUACCUCAGCGCUUUUCAUAUUGCAAGCGAUCAGUACGGCGCUGGUUUUAUAUGCUGUCGCAAGGCGAAUACACAAAAUUGAAUAAAGUAUGAUAGCUGUUGGAAUGAAAUCGAACGACAGUUCCUAACCAGCAAUCAGAGUUGCAAUUCUAUCAACGAUAUACCAUGUGAUAAAUAAUACUGUCGUACUACUUAUACACACAUGACACUUGUUACACCAUGCCAGAUUAUUAAAUCAAAAUCUCUCAGAGAAUAGAUCAGUUCGGCAGUUGCGUGCUACCACUGAAGAAAGUUCGAUUUUGACACCAUCCCCUACCACAAGAUAUGAUUUAGAUUUGAACCUUGACCAUCCUUUAGCAUCAAUCAUCAUGUGACCAUCCUUUGUACUUAUAGUAUAUUGAGCAGGUUCAUUCACACCAAGACUGCGCAUGGUAAGAGAAACUUGGCCACGGUCACCCGGAUUGUUGAACGACCCCCUUGUUGCUCUAGGAAUUCUCUGUUGCAAACAAGAAGGCAUACACAAACAGUUAGAUCAACACCGUGAAUCAUGUGAAACAACAUGGAAAGAAAAAAGAACGAAGCACUUGGGCGGCCAAUGCUUACCAAGAAGGUGGACAUGUCGGUUUUUGUAAGGACUUUGGUAUAUGAAGUGUGAACUGCAUCCCAGUCUAUUGCCGAUGCAACUGCUCGUUCGGUUGCCGCUGCACGGGCCGGAGGAGAUGCAAGUGCAAGUGUUGGUGCAGGUGCCGAAGUCGUUGCUAGUGCCCGUGCCGGUGCGACUAGUAGUGCUGCUGCUGGGUGCUCCUUGUAGAGCUAGUGCCAGUGUCUGAGCAGGUGCCGGUGUCGAUGCCCGGUCCUCCGGUAGAUCAGCCUGAUCCGCUGAUGCGGUCGGUGCCCAAUCGUCAGCUUGAUCAGACUGAGCUACUUCCGCUGUUAGUGCUAGAGCAACUGCCCGUGCUCGAUCCGUUGCUGAAGGUGGUACCGAUGUGCGAGACAGUGGCGAUCGUGUCUGGUCUGCCAUGAUCAGCUUUCUAACUUGACUAGGCUCCAUGACCGUGAUCCAGUUUUUUUCCUUCAUUUCUUUUAAACGCGAGAAGGACUAAUUGUGGCAUUUUUGUUAAACCAAAUUACAGUUCAUCGUAGGCAUUCAGCUUGUACUCAGACAACAGACUGAUUCAAUUUUUUCUAGUAAUAUAAGUGAUGGAUAGCGCCUUCAUUACUGACACGACAUAAGAAGUAAAACCUGCAAAAAUAGCCAUCAUAUAGCAAACCAAACGGGUUAUUCUGUGAUGAAUGUCACAUGGCAAAACCUACAUCGUAAAAUUGCAGGAAAAUAAUGAAAACAUGACAUUAAAUCAAAGAUAUUUAGAUAGUAAAUCAAUAAGAUUUACUUGAUGUGACACGAGUGAAUCCUUACUAGGAAAUCACUAUGUUGAAGUACUAAACAGAAGAUUGAUCGUCCAACUACGGGUGGCAUGCAAGGCCCCCGCCUACUCCCACAAGUAGGACAAUCCAUAGGUCAUGACAAAUCGUAUGGACCGAAAAUCCAUGGGACUGGAAAUCCUUGUGGGUGCAAUGAACCCUGCAAUGCAUACAGAUAUUGGAGUACAACCAUAAUUGAUAAACCCUUCUCACAAAAAAGAUGAUCUGGAUACUUCAAAAUAUACAGACUGAACUGAGUGGACAGACAUUAACAUGGACUAUUCUCAAGACUCACCACACACCAAAAGCGGCAUUACUAAACAAUACAGGGUUCACUAACACAAAUCAAGUACUGAACAAAAGUACUUACUACAGACAAGCAAAGUUGCACGAAUUAAACUCUGCAGACUAUGUCUUGCCACCGACCUACGGGAUGAACCCUCUCAUAAUUGACUAGGCCAUGGACUUCGUGAGAGAUGUCUACCUGCACCAUCACCAUCUCAUGAACCUUGGAGAACCUAACAGAGUGGUCUUUCCGAACAUGAUGAUGAAGACAGGCCGCAUCAGAUUUUUCGGGAAGCUUUACAAGAACCACACCCUUCGUAAUCAAAGGCACAACCAGGAAAUUGUUGUGGUCAAGUACAGCCUCGAGAACAUGCCUAGCGACAAUGCUACAGGAAAACACUAGUCAGGGCACAUGGCGACAAGGACACAGCAGCUAUAUAGUUUAGCAGUAGAACUCGUCCUCAGGUCUACCAGUUCACACGGCAUGACUUUGAGAACUUCAUCUCCACCGCAGACCUGGUUCUAAUUCAAACAGAAACCAUAUUCUUUUACUACCUCCGUUCAGAAAUAUAAGAUGAUUUUGGAUAUUAUACUCCACAUAUGACUACAUAUACGCACAAAAAUGAGUGAACAAAGACACUGGAACAUGUCUUCAAAGGCAUGAGAGCAGAGGGAUUACUUGCAAUAUCCAUAACACAAGUUACUAAGGCAAAUAUACCCUCUUCAAAGGUAGCAUUGAUGUUCAUAAAGUACUCCCUUCGUCCCAAAAUUCUUGUCUUAGAUUUGUCUAGAUAUGGAUGUAUCAAGUCACAUUUUAGUAUUAGAUAGAUCCGUAUCUAGACAAAUCUAAGACAAGAAUUUUGGGACAGAGCGAGUAGUUGAAAGUCAUCUAUAGGAAAUCAGUAUCAACCUCUCGCAUGUUUUGGUCAAAAGAGGAAUUUAGAACCGUCAUUUGGCACACAACAAUCACAUGCAAGAUCACCCAGAAAGUUGUACUACUAGUACUAGUACUGCGUGCUAGAUGAAAAAACACGAUCAAGAUCGAGAAAAAGAUCGUCAAGAAGAGAUAGUACCUGGACUUGCUUAAUGAGGGAUCCCAGAGAGGGGGGCUUGGACAUGGCGAUGGCUUUGAGCUUGUCCGCGGUAGUCCCGGUAGGGGUGCUUGCGCUUGUUCGUAGCCUCGACGGUUUUGUCUAGAGCCAUAGACUUCACGUCAGCCGGUGCUCCAGCGUCCAUCCAAGAGAGGAAGCUGAGAGAGAAGAGUGAAAUGAGGAACGAGAUGAUGGAGAAGCGAAGCGAGUGGGGGUUUUCUUCAAGAGAGGAAGCUGAGAGAGAAGAGUGAAAUGAUGGUUGCUUCGUCCGUCCAACUUACUGCUGGAAAGGAGGGGGUUUUGUGAUUUGACAGCUCAUUGGGUAUUACCAUGGUGCUUCGAUCGGGGUAGUCUACCGUCACUCUACAACGAAGUAAUUUAGUGCAUGGCUGGUGGACCCCGAUGUUGGCUGUCCCACACGUCGGCGAAAGUGAGUAAUUUAGUGCAUGGCUGGAGGAGGAUCCGCACGGUAGAGCGUGUCCACUAUUUUUCUGAAGAAAAAAAAUGAUUACAACAAGCGUUUCCACUCUUACGACGAAGGAGUGCGAAACACGGCAGCCACUUGAACAUACACAAUGCUCCUACUACUAGGCAUGUGCAGUGGUUCAUACGUCAGUACUACAUAAUCUUGUUACUAGUGUAGUAAGCUAUUACAAUAACAAAUGAUGUUGUGCGCAUGUCAGCUGUAUGAACAGUAGUGUAGUAACAUAGUACCGCUUUUUCGACUGUUCGGUCGAGAAUGAACUGUGAGAUCAAUGUUAACAGAACUAGGUCUACAACGCACGGAGAGUGCGGUGCUACAGUACUCUAGAAAACAUGAACCAUAUGAAGCACGAAUCAGUGUUAGGCAGGGUGUAUGAAUGGUGCACGGGAUGGGAGCAAAAGUUCCCUUCUUGACCCACUUUUGGGUGUUUGGCAGAGUGCAUGAAGGGUGCAUGAGUCCACACUAGUAGGUUAACACGAAUAAAUGAAGAGGGAACGACUAUAUUGAGAUGAGAAUGCAACCAAACAUACCCACACGCUUUGUGCUACAGUGACUGAUCUACACCGUCUGAGUUUGAUCCAACGGUCAUGUUGUGCCGAGACAUGGGCAUGCCCAUGCAGAGGGAGCCUAAACACCACCGAAGUCCCUCUGCCUCUUGAGGCGCAUGACAUUGGUGAUGCAUGGUGCAAUCGCCCGCAGAGCCCGCUCCCGGUCGACGGGAGCCCGCUCGUCAAAGAUGGUGUCCAAUGGCACGAAUGGAUUCCGGUAACGGAGCCCUGAGAGGAUUCGCCCGGCAACGGCGACGGCAGCCUGCAACCCCUCCUUGUCCAGCUCCGCCUCCACCAUCACGUGGAGAUGGCUCAGCUCCUCGGAGAUAUAGGUGAAGAAGGAGACCAGGUCAGGAAGCCGCAGCUUGUUGAAGUCGAAGGGGUGGUCGAACGGGUUUAGCCUGACAGCCGGCAUGGUCGCGCUGGCACGAUGGUAGGCAUUGCGCAGCCGCAACACAUGCAUGGCAACUUGGUCCACCAAGUGGCUGAGGCGAUCCUGGACCUCGUGACGAUCAGCCCGCUCGCGCUCCAUCCGGCUCCCCUGACGGCCUAUCGUAUCUCCCGCUUUAUGCAGCAACGCCGCCGACGCCUCGAGCAUCUUUAUGGUGGACACCUACCGCUUUUGAAGCUCCAUGAACUCCCGCACAUAACGGAGGAGCAUGGCACUGCUCUCCUCCUUGAGCUCACAGAGCUCCACGUCCUUGGCCCAGAGCUCCGCAUCGUUGGCCCGGAGCUCCUGUGUCAGGCGCCUCACCUCGGACUCCAUGAUCUGCUGCGCCGCCGUGGCACCAGGUAGAAGCAAUGGGGAGAGGAAGCAAAUGGGGCGAAAUGGCUGAUAGGCAAUGCAAUCUACGGGAAGGCGGAGGGAGCCAGCCGAGGAGCGUGGAAUCUUUUGGUUUUCACCAUGGGAAAACACCAGUCGACAACUUCUUACAUCAGGGAGCAGUGGGUUUUACAGGUAGAGUCAUCGUGACUAAUUGCUGCCGCGCCUGCUGCCGUCAAUCAAAAAAUUAAAAAUCCUACCGCGCCUGCUCCCGUCAAUCAAAAAAUAAAAAAUCCUGUCACACCCAAACACCAGAGCAACGCCGCGGUGGAUAUUUAAAUUUACCUGCCAGCAAGGAGAUAAAAAAGUGGGUGAAAAAACAAAUGUGGCGGCGACCUAGCUAAUCGGUCGCACUAGCCCAACUAGCUCGCCACCGUGCUUCACUGAUGUACUUGGCGGAAAGGUGGUCUUUCGUGAUUUGAUGACUCAUUUACUUGCUUCAGCGCUAUGACCGAGGAGGACCCAGAAAACGCACGGUAGGGCGUCCCACGUCUCGGCAAGGAAGAAUAUAUGUGUGCACCACCUGGGAGGACCCCUAAAUUGCGCAGUAGGGUGUGCCACGUCUCGGCACGGAGGAAAAAUGUGCAUGUAAAAAUAUACUAUAUCAGACAUAGUACCUAUGGUUCGACCUUGGGACCCAGCCAGUUGGUCGAAAACACCCCACUAGCCACACAACUUCAUCAUGCUAACAUGGCACGGAGGAUAGGUGUGGUUAGCUCCGUCUCGACCAACCACAACGUCUCUUGUUCUAGGCGAUUCUUCUAUUUUCCAAGCUUUUUUAGUUAUAAUAACCCCACGGCAAGCUAGCACCGCUCUUCAUGUGUGCCCGUGCAAAGGUUAGAUGAUGAAGAUGAGAGAGAGAUCGAAGACCUGGGACCCACCAGUAAGUGAAUCAACGGUCAUGGUCAUGCACGUGUUGACGAGGCACUCCCUCUACUCUACUCAACGUAAUACUGUAUAAAAUCAAGUUAUGAAACAAAGCCAACAACCAUUUGUUGUUUCAGGCUAUCGACUUACGCUUUGUAGUCCAGGCUGCCAGUUCAAAUCUCGUCUUUCAGAAUUGUCAGUUUUAGGUCCAAAUUUGAUUAAUGACAAGUGGGACUGAGGGAGUCCUGGAUUAGGGGGUAUCCGGACAGCCGGACUAUGUACUUUGGCUGGACUGUUGGACCGUGAAGAUACAAGACUCAAGACUUCAUCCCGUAUCCGGAUGGGACUCUCCUUUGCGUGGAAGACAAUCUUGGCGAUCCGGAUAAUAGAUUUCCUUCUUUGUAACCGACUAUGUGUAAACCCUAGCCCUCUCAGGUGUCUAUAUAAACCAGAGGGUUUAGUCCCUAUUGGACAAUCAUAAUCAUCAUAGGCUAGCUCCCAGGGUUUAGCCUCUACGAUCUCGUGGUAGAUCAACUCUUGUAAUACUUAUAUCGUCAAUAUCAAUCAAGCAGGAAGUAGGGUUUUACCUCCAUCAAGAGGGCCCGAACCUGGGUAAAACAUCGUGUCCCUUUGCUCUUGUUACCAUUAGCCUUAGACGCAUAGAUCGGGACCCCCUACCCGAGAUCCGCGGGUUUUGACACCGACAUUGGUGCUUUCAUUGAGAGUUCCUCUGUGUCGUGGCUACAAGGCUUGAUGGCUCCUUCAAUCAACAACAACACGGUCCAGGGUGAGACUUUUCUCCCCGGACAUAUCUUCGUGUUCGGCGGCUUCGCACUGCGGGCCAAUUCGCUUGGCCAUCUGGAGCAAAUCGACAGCUACGCCCCUGGCCAUCAGGUCAGAUUUGGAAACUUGAACUACACGGCUAUCACACCCUGAUUUUCAUGCCACAACACUUAAGUCAAUAAAUCAUGCUAAAAUGUGGUUUGACAAAAACUUUUGAGUGUUUUGUCUUUGCUUUGAUUGAAUGUGUGUCUGCUGUUUGCAAGUGCUCUAAAAAUCAAAUAAAUCCUCCAACUACUAUACUUCAUUUCCUUGCCCCAAACUUCUGCCCAAUGAUCAUGCCAUGUGUAUAGAGCAAUAUAGUAUUUUCUUACAAAAAUAAUUUGGCCAAAAAGUAUUUUCAAAAAUUAGUUUUCAAAAACCCCCUGAAUUGAGGCUUGCACUGCAAAUACUUAAUUAAGGGCAGUAAAAAUAUUUAUAAAAAUAUAUUUGACUCCUAUUAGAUAUAGAAUACCCAGAAACCACAAAAAUAUAAUUUUAAAAGUUAUUUUCCUAUUUUAUUUAAAGGCUUUUUCUUAAGGCCAGAAAUGGUCUUUAAUAGGGAAAAAUUACUUUAGUGCUUUAAAAAUAUUUUGGAAAAACCUAGGGAAACUCAGUGGACAUAUAUUGUCCAUAUAUAAGAGUUUCAACACAUGGUCAUGUUCAAAAUAUUGGUCAAAUCCCUCAAAAACCCUUUCUGGAUAUUUCAAGCUUUUGAAAUAUUUACAAAGGAAAUAUUCCCCAAAAAUUCCAAGAAAAUUCUAUCAUGUCACAUAUGACAUAUUUGGUGAUCUUGCCAAGUAUCAUGUCUUGGAGAACAAGAUAACAUCAUCAAAUCCUCUCAAAACCAUUUCUGUCCAUUUUAAAGUUUGAGAAACUUUACAUUGCCAAACGUGUCCAAAUAUUCUCAAACCUUGUGAACAUUCUCCAAUGGUCUAAUUAUUCAUCUUGACCAAGUGGCACAAGUUGGAGAACAAGUUAUAUUGAUCAAAGUGCCCCAAAACCCUCUCUGACCAGAACCAAAUUUGAACAACUCUACAUUGGCAACCUUCUCCUUUUGAUCUCAACUUUUGUGGACAUGUUCAAAUCCUCAAAUGAUGACACUAAACCAAGUGGUGCAUCAAGGAGAAUAGAUUUGCAUGACUAAAUCUUGGCAAAGUCAUUUCUGCUGAUUUCUAGGGUUCACCAAAGUUACAUUGGCUACUUUGCCCAAGUGAGCUCAAACUUGGUGGAACACCCUAAUUCUAUGUUCCAUUCCAUCCUGUUAGUUCUCAUGGCAAGUGGAAUUAAUUUUCUUGCCCAAACCAUUAUCAAACACCUUGUGACACUUUACCAAAAUGCCAUUUUUGAUCUCUUCCACUCUUCUCCAUGGCCUCUAAUUUUUACCACAGCUCCUACUAGCCCCCUUUCACCUCCAGUAACAAUGGCUGUACCUCAGCUCAAUGAUUGAGGGGUGAAACCACCUCAUUUACCCCACUGGACAGCCCCUUUCCCUCGCUUCCUCACCUCCCUCCUCCCUCCAGGGGCCAUCCAGGGCAUCCAAUGCCCCUCCCCAUUUGUUUACUCCCCCCUAGAGCCCCCAGACACUAGAGGACAAGCCUAGAGCGCUGGAAAAAUGGCCAUGCCGGCCAUAUGCACGCUCUGGAGCGCGCUACAGUGCGCUCCCGCACUGUAGCCGCCCCCUGCCAAGCACUCCCGGCCACCUCGGGCCUCCCCAGCGCGCCCGACGAGGUGCCUCGACGUCCGCAACACGCCACGCCCCUGGCCCCCACCUCCUUCUCCCUCCUCUCGCCCCAGCUCGCACGCGCGGCGACCGCCCGAGCGCACCAGUGAACAUGCUCACACGCGCGGUGCCUCAGGCCCCCUGCUCCCUCUCUCUCUUCUUCCCCUGGGCGUAGUCGACCCCCAUGAACACCCCAGACACAACCAAACAGGCCCCCGUGACCCGUGGCGACGGCAACGAGCUUGCUGGCGCACAGGUCCACGGUGGACCACCGUGCGGCUAUUUAAGCCCGCCCCAGGUCUCUCUCGUGCCAUCCAACUCCUUCUCACACCCCCAAGCACGCGCCCGCACCACCCAAUCAGUCUCGGAGAGCUUCUAUGCUCGGGAUCGAUCGGAGCUCCGCCGCCUCGGUCGGCCGUUGAUCUCGUGGUACAAGCCUUCUUUGCCCUCUCUCUCUCUCGAUCUGGAACCGCCUCAUCUCUCUGACCAUUUCCCCUCUCUCCCCCGCGUCGUUUGCAGCCGAAAUCAACCGGGGCGAACUCCUCCCGAAGCUUUGCCGCCGUCCUCCUCGUCGCCGGCGAACCCCUGCGCUCCGGCGACCGCCUCCAGCUCCACCCGAACGGCGACUCCUCCCUGAGCACGCCGGUGCCCUCGGAUCGCCUCGCCGUCGACCACAGUGACGCCGGUGAGCUCGCCUUCCUCUCUGGACGGAGGUUGACGACGACGGCCGUGGGGCCCGUCGGUCAGCCUCACAUCCUAACAGGGGGCCCUGCCUGUCAGGUUUAAAACUCCACCGCGUGCCUGCUCGCUCGCGUAAGUGGAGGCGGGCCGCGCUACUCCCGCGUUUCCACGGUGAAAGCGCCCUCCCGUGAAGCCGCCUUCGACGUGGCCCCUGUCGCCCGCGUGGCCGAGCAGCUGGGCCGGCCCAAUGCGCUGUGGCGCUAUGCUGCGCUCGGUGCGCAGUAUAGGUAUAACCCCUUCCUUUGUCUUUUCUUUAUUCCAGUCAACUUCAAAAUUCCAUAAACAAUUCAAAUUAACUCCAAAUUUGAUGAUUCAAAUUUCUAGUGACUCUAUAAAUCAUGAUCUACCUGUUGGUGCAACAUGCACAUUUUUCCGGAGACUUUUUCUUCACAAAUAUUUAUCAAAUCCCCAUUUUCCUAUUUCUGUGAUGAACUUUAGAAAAUCACAGAAGGCUCAAAAUUGAUCCAAAUUCCAUGAUUCAAGUUCCUAGGUGUUCCUAAGUUCAUAACUUAGUCUAUGAACAUUUUUAUUAAUACUUUCUGUACCACAUAAAUUAUUGAGCCAUUUCUUCAUAUUUAUCAACCUUGCAAAUUCAUAGGAAAUUCAUUUGAACUCCAAAUCCAGUGAAACCAUUCCUAGAUGCUUCUAAAAUCAUCCUUUGUUAAAUGGGUGCCUUUGCUCAUUUUUCAAAAUAAUUCUUCUGUACACAUCUUGAAAUUCCAUAAACUCCUUGAUUCCAUCAUAUCGAAAUGUUUAGAAAUAUCCAUAGAUCCACUUCCAUUGAAAUCACUUUGGUCAUUCCUCAUAUGACCAGAGGUAUCCUAGAAAAGUCCAACUCUCAUUUUUAGAGCACUUUUUUUUUCAGUCUUGCUGUGUUGCUUAUUAUGGUUGCUUUCAACGAUAGUUGACGAAGUAGACGAAAUGCUUGGAGUUGGACCAGAGAUAUUUGAAGACCUCGAAGACUUUGUUAAAACAGGCAAGCAGCCCAUUGACCAUGUCUAUGAAACCUUUUUAUGCAUGUCAUAUAGUACCUUAUCAUUGUUGCAACGGAAUCAUGAUGGGGUGAUAACCACUUCGAUGGUUGCCACCAUACUUCCUCGUUGAUACUUGCAUUGUGCAUGACCCUAGCUUCCUAUGAGGGUUAUGCCGGUGGGAGUAGAUAGGAUGCUAAGGUAGUGCUACGCAAAAAGGGACGGGUAUAUGCAUGGUGAAGGAGGCAAAGUAUUUUCAAAAGACUUUUUCGAAAACCCCGUCGUGUGCCCCUUAUGCCCGAGGGAGAUGAUGAAAUGGGUAACCACUUGAUGACGAAGUGGUGUACCGAGGCAAGUGUGUGUUGUUUUCGAAAACGGAUUAGAUUUAAGAUUUGUUGACUGUCCCAACCUUACAUGCGCAACCACUCUACCCUUAUAUGGGAAAGGGCAUUAUUGAUUACCUAGGCCGAUACUAGCUUGGAGCCCGCAUUACUAGUGACGGGGGAGAGUUGGUGCUCUCUCUCGGGACGGGGUCGUGCCAGGUAGGGCGGCCAUGACUGUUUUCACAGGGCACCGAACACACCGUUGGUACCCCGUGCUUGUGGUAUGUGAUGAAUAUCGGAGCGAUGCUCCACAAUUUUAAGAUGUGAAAUGUUGGGUACGGGGGUUACUACCAAUCGAGUGGACUCCAUGUUAGUGUCGUCUAGGGAAAGGUAGUGAUCGGGUGCUUACCCCAGGUACUUGAGGUACCGCGGGUCGUGGAUGACACGGAAGUUCCCCGGAUCUUGUGGGUAUAGUGUGCAACCUCUGCAGAGUGUAAAACUAUUCGAAUAGCCGUGUCCACGGUCAAGGACAGUUGGGCGGUGCUGCUUAAACUACGUCCAGAGUUUUCAACCGUGUGUGUGUGUGUUGAUGAAACUACUUGGGUCAAGUCAAGGGACUUGACAUGAUUGAGAUGGGUUGGUGCCCACUCUAUUUAUGUUAGAUGGGUUGGUGCCCACUCUAUUUAUGUUGAUAUCUAUAACCUGUCCUCAUGGUUACUUGAAUUCUCUUGAUGCAUGCCUUACAAAGUUGUUGAACAUGACAUUGCACUCAAAACUAGCUUUCUGCAAAAAUUUACCUAUAUCAAACAUUGUUGUAUCUUGAACCAAAACAUGGGUUGCUUGCGAGUACAUUCAAACGUACUCACUGGCUUGUCCCUGGCUAUUUACUUGGCCAGGCUUGAAAGAACAGGAUAUGAUGAAGAAUACUUCGGCGACGAGCAUGCGAACUAGGACGUUUCCCAGUCAGAAUGCCUGUAGGGUUAAGGUAGAUGGCAUGGGUUCUACUUAUCGACGAAGAUUUCCGCUGCGAUGAUACACUCAAGACUUGACCAUAAUGGUCCUACUUGUGUAAAACGGUAUGUAUGGAUGUAAGACUCUUGUUAUUCAGCUUCUGUGUGUUCAGUGAGCAUUGAUCUUUGGGAUCACUGUACACAUGCAUUCGGUGAUCACGACUUAUGAGUCGGGGUCCCCACAGAGCUGGUAUCAGAGCCAUCCUGACUGUAGGAAGCCUUAGUUAGCAUGGUCAUUGGUUAGGGUAAAACUAUUUCCAAAACUACUACUAGUUUUCAAAACUAUCUAUACUUCUCUUCCCUUCUCAGUUUUUCGAAAACUAAGGUAUACUUUCCUUAUUGAUCUCUUCCCCUUCAAAACCUUUGGUCGCUAGAACCCUUAUGCCCCUGACCACUGGAUUCCUUGUAAUCCUCGUGGAUAAUCUAGAAGGAAGAUGCCUUGCCAGACGUUCACCCACAUCUCCUGAACACAAGAUUGGCGACAACACAACAAGACAAUACCAACAGAAGAUACAUCCUCAAGGAACGAGGACCUGAAGACCCAGGAGAUGGUGACACCCUUGACACUGCCCCGAGAUGAUGCAACAUUAGCCUACGAUGAUCAGGGCAUAGGAUAUGCAAGAUCAUGAUAUACAUUGCUAAUAGAGUAACCCUGUCACUACCGUUGAUGUAUCGGCAACCACCGAUGGAUGAGAACCUAGCCAUUUGGUCCGCCUCACCAUAGUGAGCAGGAAAACGGUUCUCCUCAUCCCCCGCUCUUGGUGUCGAUGUUGUCAUCAACGUAACCGACAUGAUGGACCUCUAUUAUGCCUUGAUACUGUCAUUGCAUAAGGGAUUACCUACCUGGUACCAUCGACGGCUUAGAAGACAAAAAGGGAUCGUCGUGAUUAAGAAGACAAUAGAAGACCCAGUCAAUGCCAGUUACGAGGAGCCACCUUCACCCCAUCACUUCAACAGGCGAGAAGUUGUCGAAGAUUCUUCAGGCUCAACCCAGAUCGUUCCAUCAAACAAGAGACGUAGCAACACCUGAGGAAAACUCAGAAGACUGCAUGAGGCACAAGGCACGACUACUGAGUCCGAGAACCCCUAGGGUAGGAUGAGUCGUGUACCCCCUAUGCGCAGUCGAGUCCGUAUGAUAGUUCGAAUAGAACCAUGAUUGUGUGUUGCUUGUUUUUUUAUUUGUCUGUGUUUUGAUAUAGGUCGCACUUUUGCCCUAGGCAACAAGUACGCGCAUAUAUCACCUGCCUUAUUUGUUGUUUGUGUUUGGCCUUUUUGGCACUUGUUUGUUGCACCUGCACUAUAGAACCCCCUUUAGGCAUCCCACCUCCUCUAUGCUACUUUUCACUCUCGUCUCUCUCUCCUCAACUGAAGACCAGCAAGAGAAGAUGCACCAAGGAUUCCACCUCGGCGACCAACAAGCACUGAAGACUUUUGCUACAACCUCCUCGACCAAAUGCAACCCCGUAGAAUUAUGUUUUCCCCUCAAGAUUAGAGACCCUUUCCAAGACCCUUCGAGGCUUCACGAGAUACCCCAGCUCGAAACCUUAACCAUGAGCUUAACCUACGGAAUUGCAAGAGAACCUGUUAAGCCGACGUAACCUUGCUUAUCACUGGGUUCAUUAUGGAACUAGUGGACAUAGUGAAUGAGCACAUUAUCAUCCUAAGAUGCCACCAAAACUGGCGAUGCCAUAGGGAAGACCAAUUUAAGGAUAUAGGAACAGAGGACAAAUGACUUGAUGAGUUUAUAUCAAUGACUUGAGGAAUUAUAUGAGACUAUUUGGUGGAUUAUGAGGCUUUGUUGUUGGUAGAUGAACUUGGUGGGAUCAUGAGUAUAGAUUAGCAUAGCUUUCAUUACCCCUGAGUAAAUCAGAUUUAGUAGGAUAAUUGUGUUCGCAAGCUGAAAUUUUGGAAGUAUUUGGAUUUGUCUUAGGCAGGGGAUAUUGAUAGGUGAUAGUUGAUAUGACGAUAAUGACUUGGGGGAAAGUGAAGAAAUUCUCGUUGGACACAAGAUUUGGAUUUAAAUAGGUGAUCCUAGUUGAAUAUAGAUGUUGAGUAAGUCUACAUGGUUCAGAGUAAAUUGGAUUUAGACUGAUGAUCUCCAUCAUGAUACCAUGUUUCCUGGAGGACAAUAAACUAGGAGAUUGGAUUAAUUGUCGGAGUUGAUUUAGAGUUCUAUAUAAGCUUGACCUUGGAGUUUACAUGACCAUGAUAAUGGAAAUUGGUGGACUGACUAUAGUAAGGUAGCCUUCCCAGUAUUUAUGGAUUAUAGGGUAUUAGAAGAUCGUGUGGAACACCAUAGAGAUUGGAUUUGAAGGACUACUAGGUCAUGUAAUGAUUGGUGUAGUUAAUGGGUUGUUGGAGUUGAUUCAUAGGAAGGAAACAAGAUUUUGGAGUGGCAUACAACGUGUUUCCUUAAGAUAGAUGCACUAGCAUGGACCUUGGAGGAAUAGGAUGAGCACUUGGAUUGUCCUGUUUUAUUCCAGCUUAGCAGCUUAUAUGUUCUACCCAUGGAUUUUUAGGGGUAGACAUACAUAUGAUUUUUGGGGAUUGUAGACAUAUAUGAUUUUGUUAGACCUCCUCUCGAGAGCCAUGAGGAUAUGAAUCACAUGAGUGAUGAUUGGAGUUGACCUAUACAAGAUGAUUCUUUUGGUAAUAUGAGGCGAAGACUAGGUAGAACAAUUGGCAUCUCAGGAACCGUGCUUAAGGAUAAAGGUGACAAACGUUCGCUCGCACACUAGAAUCCUUGAAACCCUUAAGCCCUACCAAGCUACAACAUGGUCGGACCAUGACCGUGGGUCUCGACUCUAGAUCAAGAAAACCUUGGACCAUACUCAACCCUGACCACCACUAAUUCCCCAGCCUACUUUAUGUACCCCAUGAACAAAGUCUUCAUGGAGUGCUUAGACAAGACAGUUGUCAUCAUCAUUUGGUGACCUACCUGUCCACCCAAAGAUGGAAGAAGGACCGUUCAGCUAGAUAGAAGACGAUUGAAGGCCGCGAUGUCAAGAAGGAAGAACUACACCUACCACCAUCAUCAAGAAGUAAAUCUCUGCAUCGAAGACCAGGCUUAUCUGCAAGCCACUUCUCUCAAGGGAACCAAGCAUUUCCAUGUCAAAGGAAAGCUCGCCCCAAGAUUCAUUGGCCCCCUUCGAGAUCACUCCAAGAUGUAACAACCCCCUCCGAGAUCACUUCAAGACGAAGAGUAGACAGAUACCAACUAGAUUUACCACCUGACUCACCCACUGUGCACAGCGUUUUUCCACACGACACCACUCCGGAAACAUUUUCAACUUCCUAACUAGCCCGGUCUCUACAAGGACCUUGACCACCGAGCCAUUGACCCCUAGCCCAAUUUAACCUACCACGAGCUACCCAUUAGUAACCUAGAUCAAGAAGAGCAUCAUACACGAAGCCACACCAUCAAGUACCUCAAUCUCAAUGGAGCACUACACGGAAGCGGGAGCAACAUGAGAACGUGAAGACUACCCCAAAUCCAAGAUUCCAUACUCCUUUCCGCGCCUAGUCUGGGAAUUUCGGGGACGAGAUUCUUGUAAGGGGGGUAGGUCUGUCACAUCCUGAUUUUCAUGCCACAACACUUAAGUCAAUAAAUCAUGCUAAAAUGUGGUUUGACAAAAACUUUUGAGUGUUUUGUCUUUUCUUUGAUUGAAUGUGUGUCUGCUGUUUGCAAGUGCUCUAAAAAUCAAAUAAAUCCUCCAACUCCUAUACUUCAUUUCCUUGCCCCAAACUUCUGCCCCAUGAUCAUGCCAUGUGUAUAGAGCAAUAUAGUAUUUUCUUACAAAAAUAAUUUGGCCAAAAAGUAUUUUCAAAAAUUAGUUUUCCAAAAACCCCCUGAAUUGAGGCUUGCACUGCAAGUACUUAAUUAAGGGCAGUAAAAAUAUUUAUAAAAAUAUAUUUGACUCCUAUUAGAUAUAGGAUACCCAGAAACCACAAAAAUAUAAUUUUAAAAGUUAUUUUCCUAUUUUAUUUAAAGGCUUUUUCUUAAGGCCAGAAAUGGUCUUUAAAAGGGAAAAAUUAUUUUAGUGCUUUAAAAAUAUUUUGGAAAAACCUAGGGAAACUCAGUGGACAUAUAUUGUCCAUAUAUAAGAGUUUCAACACAUGGUCAUGUUCAAAAUAUUGGUCAAAUCCCACAAAAACCCUUUCUGGAUAUUUCAAGCUUUUGAAAUAUUUACAAAGGAAAUAUUCCCCAAAAAUUCCAAGAAAAUUCUAUCAUGUCACAUAUGACAUAUUUGGUGAUCUUGCCAAGUAUCAUGUCUUGGAGAACAAGAUAACAUCAUCAAAUCCUCUCAAAACCAUUUCUGUCCAUUUUAAAGUUUGAGAAACUUUACAUUGCCAAACGUGUCCAAAUAUUCUCAAACCUUGUGAACAUUCUCCAAUGGUCUAAUUAUUCAUCUUGACCAAGUGGCACAAGUUGGAGAACAAGUUAUAUUGAUCAAAGUGCCCCAAAACCCUCUCUGACCAGAACCAAAUUUGAACAACUCUACAUUGGCAACCUUCUCCUUUUGAUCUCAACUUUUGUGGACAUGUUCAAAUCCUCAAAUGAUGACACUAAACCAAGUGGUGCAUCAAGGAGAAUAGAUUUGCAUGACUAAAUCUUGGCAAAGUCAUUUCUGCUGAUUUCUAGGGUUCACCAAAGUUACAUUGGCUACUUUGCCCAAGUGAGCUCAAACUUGGUGGAACACCCUAAUUCUAUGUUCCAUUCCAUCCUGUUAGUUCUCAUGGCAAGUGGAAUUAAUUUUCUUGCCCAAACCAUUAUCAAACACCUUCUGACACUUUACCAAAAUGCCAUUUUUGAUCUCUUCCACUCUUCUCCAUGGCCUCUACUUUUUACCACAGCUCCUCCUAGCCCCCUUUCACCUCCAGAAACAAUGGUUGUACCUCAGCUCAAUGAUUGAGGGGUGAAACCACCUCAUUUAUCCCACUGGACAGCCCCUUUCCCUCUCUUCCACACCUCCCUCCUCCCUCCAGUGGCCAUCCAGGGCAUCCAAUGCCCCUCCCCAUUUGUUUACUUCCCCCUAGAGCCCCCAGACACUAGAGGCCAAGCCAGAGCGCUGGAAAAAUGGCCAUGCCGGCCAUAUGCACGCUCUGGAGCGCGCUACAGUGCGCUCCCGCACUGUAGCCGCCCCCUGCCAAGCACUCCCGGCCACCUCGGGCCUCCCCAGCGCGCCCGACGAGGUGCCUCGACGUCCGCAGCACGCCACGCCCCUGGCCCCCACCUCCUUCUCCCUCCUCUCGCCCCAGCUUGCUCGCGCGGCGACCGCCCGAGCGCACCAGUGAACAUGCUCACACGUGCGGUGCCUCUGGCCCCCUGCUCCCUCUCUCUCUUCUUCCCCUGGGCGUAGUCGACCCCCAUGAACACCCCAGACACAACCAAACAGGCCCCGGUGACCCGUGGCGACGGCAACGAGCUAGCCGGCGCACAGGUCCAUGGUGGACCACCAUGCGGCUAUUUAAGCCCGCCCCAGGUCUCUCUCGUGCCAUCCAACUCCUUCUCACACCCCCAAGCACGCGCCCGCACCACCCAAUCAGUCUCGGAGAGCUUCUAUGCUCGGGAUCGACCGGAGCUCCGCCGCCUCGGUCGGCCGUUGAUCUCGUGGUACAGGCCUUCUUUGCCCUCUCUCUCUCUCUCGAUCUGGAACCGCCUCACCUCUCUGACCAUUUCCCCUCUCUCCCCCGCGUCGUUUGCAGCCGAAAUCAACCGGGGCGAACUCCUCCCGAAGCUUUGCCGUCGUCCUCCUCGUCGCCGGUGAACCCCUGCGCUCCGGCGACCGCCUCCACCUCCACCCGAAUGGCGACUCCUCCCUGAGCACGCCGGUGCCCUCGGAUCGCCUCGCCGUCGACCACAGCGACGCCGGUGAGCUCGCCGUCCUCUCUGGACGGAGGUUGACGACGACGGCCGUGGGGCCCGUCGGUCAGCCUCACAUCCUGACAGGGGGCCUUGCCUGUCAGGUUUAAAACUCCACCGCGCGCCUGCUCGCUCGCGUAAGUGGAGGCGGGCCGCGCUACUUCCGCGUUUCCAUGGUGAAAGCGCCCUCCCAUGAAGCCGCCUUCGACGUGGCCCCUGUCGCCCGCGUGGCCGAGCAGUUGGGCCGGCCCAAUGCGCUGUGGCGCUAUACUGCGCUCGGUGCACAGUAUAGGUAUAACCCCUUCCUUUGUCUUUUCUUUAUUCCAGUCAACUUCAAAAUUCCAUAAACAAUUCAAAUUAACUCCAAAUUUGAUGAUUCAAAUUUCUAGUGACUCUAUAAAUCAUGAUCUACCUGUUGGUGCAACAUGCACAUUUUUCCAGAGACUUUUUCUUCACAAAUAUUUAUCAAAUCCCCAUUUUCCUAUUUCUGUGAUGAACUUUAGAAAAUCACAGAAGGCUCAAAAUUGAUCCAAAUUCCAUGAUUCAAGUUCCUAGGUGUUCCUAAGUUCAUAACUUAGUUUAUGAACAUUUUUAUUAAUACUUUCUAUACCACAUAAAUUAUUGAGCCAUUUCUUCAUAUUUAUCAACAUUGCAAAUUCAUAGGAAAUUCAUUUGAACUCCAGAUCCAGUGAAACCAAUUCCUAGAUGCUUCUAAAAUCAUCCUUUGUUAAAUGGGUGCCUUUGCUAAUUUUUCAAAAUAAUUGUUCUGUACACAUCUUGAAAUUCCAUAAACUCCUUGAUUCCAUCAUAUCGAAAAUGUUUAGAAAUAUCCAUAGAUCCACUUCCAUUGAAAUCACUUUGGUCAUUCCUCAUAUGACCAGAGGUAUCCUAGAAAAGUCCAACUCUCAUUUUUAGAGCACUUUUAUUUUCAGUCUUGCUGUGUUGCUUAUUAUGGCUGCUUUCAACGAUAGUUGACGAAGUAGACGAAAUGCUUGGAGUUGGACCAGAGAUAUUUGAAGACCUCGAAGACUUUGUUAAAACAGGCAAGCAGCCCUUUGACCAUGUCUAUGAAACCUUUUUAUGCAUGUCAUAUAGUACCUUAUCAUUGUUGCAACGGAAUCAUGAUGGGGUGAUAACCACUUCGAUGGUUGCCACCAUACUUCCUCGUUGAUACUUGCAUUGUGCAUGACCCUAGCUUCCUAUGAGGGUUAUGCCGGUGGGAGUAGAUAGGAUGCUAAGGUAGUGCUACGCAAAAAGGGACGGGUAUAUGCAUGGUGAAGGAGGCAAAGUAUUUUCAAAAGACUUUUUCGAAAACCCCGUCGGGUGCCACUUAUGCCCGAGGGAGAUGAUGAAAUGGGUAACCACUUGAUGACGAAGUGGUGUACCGAGGCAAGUGUGUGUUGUUUUCAAAAACGGAUUAGAUUUAAGAUUUGUCGACUGUCCCAACCUUACAUGCGCAACCACUCUACCCUUAUAUGGGAAAGGGCAUUAUUGAUUACUUAGGCCGAUACUAGCUUGGAGCCCACAUUACUAGUGACGGGGGAGAGUUGGUGCUCUCUCUCGGGACGGGGUCGUGCCAGGUAGGGAGGCCAUGACUGUUUUCACAGGGCACCGAACACACCAUUGGUACCCCGUGCUUGUGGUAUGUGAUGAAUAUCGGAGCGAUGCUCCACAAUUUUAAGAUGUGAAAUGUUGGGUACGGGGGUUACUACCAAUCGAGUGGACUCCAUGUUAGUGUCGUCUAGGGAAAGGUAGUGAUCGGGUGCUUACCCCGGGUACUUGAGGUACCGCGGGUCGUGGAUGACACGGAAGUUCCCCGGAUCUUGUGGGUACAGUGUGCAACCUCUGCAGAGUGUAAAACUAUUCGAAUAGUCGUGUCCACGAUCAAGGACAGUUGGGCGGUGCUGCUUAAACUACGUCCAGAGUUUUCAACAGUGUGUGUGUGUGUUGAUGAAACUACUUGGGUCAAGUCAAGGGACUUGACAUGAUUGAGAUGGGUUGGUGCCCACUCUAUUUAUGUUAGAUGGGUCCCACUCUAUUUAUGUUGAUAUCUGUAACCUGUCCUCAUGGUUACUUGAAUUCUCUUGAUGCAUGCCUUACAAAGUUGUUGAACAUGACAUUGCACUCAAAACUAGCUUUCUGCAAAAAUUUACCUAUAUCAAGCAUUGUUGUAUCUUGAACCAAAACAUGGGUUGCUUGCGAGUACAUUCAAACGUACUCACUGGCUUGUCCCUGGCUAUUUACUUGGCCAGGCUUGAAACAACAGGAUAUGAUGAAGAAUACUUCGGCGACGAGCAUGCGAACUAGGACGUUUCCCAGUCAGAAUGCCUGUAGGGUUAAGGCAGAUGGCAUGGGUUCUACUUAUCAACGAAGAUUUCCGCUGCGAUGAUACACUCAAGACUUGACCAUAAUGGUCCUACUUGUGUAAAAUGGUAUGUAUGGAUGUAAGACUCUUGUUAUUCAGCUUCUGUGUGUUUAGUGAGCAUUGAUCUCUGGGAUCACUGUACACGUGCAUUCGGUGAUCAUGACUUAUGAGUCGGGGUCCCCACAACGGCCAAUAUCCGCGGGGACUUAAUCUUCAAUGGAUUCGGGCCUGCGCCAGGAGCGCCGGACAGUCACGAUGAGCAUGGCUUAGACCUGCUAUCAGACAAUGCUCGGGAUAUCGCCCCUGCAGGAGCCCCGGACCUAAAUCCAGGGCAGAUUGCGUUGCCCGAAGAUGGGUGGAUGGACCCCACCCCCGAGGUCGCACACUCAUCGGCAGUAGAGCCGAACACAGACUUCACCCCCAAGGAAGCCUGUGACACCGGACAGCUGGAUUCGUAUCCGGCUGUAGGUUCCGUUCCGCGCACCCCCGAGCCCGCCGAAUAUGGUUGGGCUCCGGUAAUGGAGUUCACCGCUGCGGAUAUCUUCCAGCACUCGCCCUUUGGCGACAUGUUGAACUCAUUAAAAACUCUCUCUUUGUCAGGAGACUCUUGGUCGAACUAUGUCUGGCUCGAGUGGCAAGCAGGCGACGAAGGAAUUCGUCGCCCACCCCCACCCACUUCAUUGCCACCGAUGAUUUAACCGACGUGCUUGAUUUCUACUCUGAAGACAUCGACGGUAUGGACAAUGAUGUAGGAGCAGAACAGGAACCACCGCCUACGAGGCGGUGGACAGCCACCUCCUCAUAUGAUAUAUAUAUGGUGGACACUCCGAAAGAAACCAAUGGAGAUGAGUCAAUGGAGGAUAACCCCUCAAGGAAGAAAGCAAAGCAUGGGCGUCGUCGGCGCUGCUCCAAGCCCCUCCACAGCAAUACCGGCACAGGAGACGAAAACCCGGAGGGUGCCGAAGAUGAAUACAACCCCGAUCAGCCUGCCUUCGAGGAGGUCGAACAGGAAGACAGGCAGGUCAGCACGGACGAACAGGCGACGGAUGGAUAUCCGGAGGAGGAUAAUUACAUGCCCCCUCCGAAGACGAGAUUUGCCUCGGCGACGAUGAGCUUGGCGUGCCUGAGGACCCCGUGGAGCAGGAGCGCUUCAAGCGCCAGCUUAUGGCCACUGCGAGAAGCCUGAAAAAGAAGCAGCAGCAGAUCCAAGCUGAUCAAGACCUGCUCACAGACAGAUAGACUGAAGUCCUGGCAUCUAAGGAAUAUGGACUCGAGAGCCACACAGCUGACCGGCCACCUCGUGGCCAGGAUAAAAUGGCGUAUCAGCCCGAACACCAGCCCGCACCCCCACGCCAAUACACUACGGCCUGGGGCAAUUGGCAGGACCUGCAAGAUAUACUGGAAAACAAGGUAGGACAGCCAAGAUCGAUCUACGGAUCGCGGGGGCGUGCCCCAGCACGUAACGAUGAUCGUUACGCCGGAUACACUGUCGACAAGUCCGGAUGGGCCGAAUACAGCCAACCGGACUCAGUCGAACUGCAUAGCCACAUAGCCCGGCAUAGAGGCGCCGCACACCCCCUCUGCUUCACUGACGAAGUGAUGGAUCAUGAAUUCCCAGAAGGGUUUAAACCCGUAAACAUCGAAUCAUACGAUGGCACAAUAGACCCCACAGUAUGGAUCGAAGAUUUCCUUCUCCAUAUUCACAUGGCCCGCGGUGACGAUCUACACGCCAUCAAGUAUCUCCCCCUUAAGCUCAAAGGACCAACCCGGCACUGGCUAAACAGCCUGCCGGCAAAUUCCAUUGGCAGUUGGGAGAACCUGGAGGACGCAUUCCUCGACAACUUCCAGGGCACGUACGUGCGACCACCGGAUGCCGAUGACUUGAGCCACAUUACCCAACAGCCCGGAGAGUCAGCCAGGAAAUUCUAGACUCGGUUCCUAACCAAAAAGAACCAAAUAGUCGACUGUCCAGACGCCGAAGCCCUGGCGGCCUUCAAGCAUAAUAUCCGUGAUGAGUGGCUCGCCCGACACCUCGGCCAGGAAAAACCAAAGUCCAUGGUGGCCCUCACGACACUCGUAACCCGCUUUUGCGCGGGCGAGGACAUCUGGUUGGCUCGCAGUAGCACCAUGCCAAUAAAUUCCGGCGCCUUAGAUGUCCGCGACAAUAAUGGCAAGCCAUGGCGCAACAGACGUAAGCGACAGAACAACGGCGACAACACUGGAGACACGGCAGUCAACGCCGGAUUCAGUGGCUCGAAAUCCGGUCAGCGGAAAAAGGCGUUCAAAAUAAAUAAUCAAGGACCGUACAGUCUGGACCGCAUACUUGACCACUCGUGCCAAAUUCUUGGCACCCAGGAUAAGCCAACAAACCACACUAAUAGAGACUGCUGGGUGUUCAAACAGGCCAGUAAAAUAAACGGCAAAAACAAGGACAAGGGGCUGCACAGCGACGAUGACGAGGAGCCCCGGCGUCCGAACACGGGGGGACAGAAGAAAUUUCCUCCCCAGGUGAAAACAGUCAACAUGAUCUACGCCACCCACAUUCCCAAACGGGAACUGAAGCAAGCUCUACGGGACGUCUAUGCGAUGGAGCCAGUCGCCCCAAAAUUCAACCCAUGGUCAGCCUGUCCGAUCUCCUUUGAUCAUGGGGAUCACCCUACCAGCAUCCGUCACGGUGGUUCAGCCGCACUGGUCCUAGACCCUAUCAUCGAUGGAUUCCACCUCACGCGAGUCCUUAUGGAUAGCGGCAGCAGCCUGAACCUGCUCUAUCAGGACACAGUGCGCAAAAUGGGCAUCGACCCUUCGAGGAUCAAGCCCACCAAAACCACCUUCAAAGGUUUAAUUCGAAGAGUAGAGGCCCGUUGCAUGGGCUCCAUAACACUGGAAGUGGUCUUCGGAUCUCCGGAUAACUUCCGAAGCGAGGAGUUAAUCUUCGACAUCGUCCCCUUCCGUAGUGGUUAUCACGCACUGCUUGGAAGAACAACAUUUGCUCGAUUCAAUGCGGUACCACACUAUGCAUACCUCAAGCUCAAGAUGCCAGGACCUCACGGGAUCAUAACAGUGAACGGAAACAUGGACCGCUCUCUCCGUACAGAAGAGCAUACUGCAGCCCUCACAGUAGAAGUACAAGGCAGCCUCCUCUGGCAAACCACCAAUCCGUCGACAACAGCCCCGAACACCGUCAAGCGAGUCCGGAGUACCCCACAACAGGAUCGCCAGGCACGCCAAGAGUGCGACUAGCAGUCCGGCCUCCGCUCCAGCACCAUCAAGGCAGCAUUCGUGUCGCGCGUACACAAUUAUGCACUCAAAAUAGCAUGGGCAUAGGCGGAGGCGCAAUAGUGACUCAGUCAACAGUGCGGUACAGCCGCAACAUACUUUAAUAACCCCCUUUUAUAUUUCAGGACACUGCUUUCGGGCAGCUCUUCAGAAGAGCCGAAUUGUCGGACUUGCACAGGAGAGAAAAACCAAGGAAGCAAAAGGUUUUGCGCACAAAGGGAAUACCCAGGUGGAAUCUAUUACUAGUUUUAUAUACCUACAUGCGGCCCGCCCUUGGAUAGGACAUGUUAAAUAGUCCUAUUUACUUCUGCUUAACGCAUUCAUUGUAAACAUACACUUAGAUGUAUUAUUCAUCAAUGGGAGAUAAUAUAUAGAGUCAGCUUAUUAUUCCUAUUUUCACAUUUUUCCUAUAAAUGUUAAUUUAAUAUUGCAUCCGUACACCUUGGUACAUUUAGUUUGCCAGGGGCUUCUUAUGGCGCCCCAUAAUACGGCAAGACAAGUCCGAACACUUUCAACAGUGCGGCACCCCGAACUUAUAGCAUUAUAUGCAUCAGCUCCGAAUCAUGUCUUGGGUCAAUAGUUGGGUGUGCCCGGCUCCCUUAUUUUGGUACCUUACGUUCCGUUAUAUCGGCUAAGGUAGUGCAGGGAGAACUAUUGUGAUUGUGUCCCGGUUCUUGUGGACAAGCACCUCAGUAGAGAAAGCCGAAAACUGACCGGCGUGAUGCAGCGAGAGCUGGUCGCUGUUCGAGAGGUCUUAAAAUCCUUAAAGAUUUUUCCACUUUAGGCGAGGAAUCGGCCUCGUUCGAUUUAGGCGUAUAUAGCGCCCCAAUUCGGCUCUCUGAAUUCCUAGGGGCUUCGCCAAAAUUUAUAAUUGUAGACUUCUAUGGCUAAGUGAAAGUUAUAAAGCCGCAUAGUACGAUUACCUUGUUCGCUGCGCCAAACACCUCCUUCAGGGACCAAAUAUUUGGAUAAAGAGUGUCUGGGUUUUUUCCAGGAACACCCCGGUACUAGUUAUGUGGGAGCGGAAGCCGACGACUGGCCUACUUUCAGAAUUUUAUAAACAGCCGCACAGAAGGUAAUAUUUUAAAUCAAAAAAGCGCUAUAUAGCGCAAAUAACUUCGUCUUUAUAUUACAACAACGACAGAAGUACAUUCACUCAAAGAUCGUGUCCUUGGUACAUUCAUCGGCCACGAGACGAGCGCCUUUCAUAACACCAUCAUAAUAUUUUUCAGGAUAGCGAUGCGCCUUGCCCUCCAGCGGUCCAUCCUUCACCAGCUUCUCCGCUUCCAGCUUGCCCCAAUGCACCUUCGCACGGGCAAAGGCUCGGCGGGCACCCUCAAUGCAAAUGGAUCGCUUGAUCACUUCAAGCCACGGACAGGCAUUUACCAUCCACUUUGUCAGGCCAAAGUAGCUGGCGGGUAGGGGCUCACCAGGCCACAUCCGGACUAUGAAAUUUUUCAUAGCCACUUUGGCCGCCCUGUGGAGUUCAACCAAUUGCUUCAAUUGGUCACUCAGAGGCAUCGGGUGUUCGGCUCCGGCAUACUGGGACCAGAACAGCUUCUUCGUUGAGCUCCCCUCCUCGGCACGGUAGAACUCCGCGGCAUCUGAUACGCUGCACGACAGGUCUGCGAAUGCCCCUAGAGAGCUCUGAAUUCGGUAAGUAAAAGAAACGUCUCCUCCACAUGCUUGCUUUGCAUAAAUAAUGUCUUACCCGCCGCUAUCUUCUUGGCCGCCUGGAUUUCCUGCUGGGCCUUUUCGGCUUCGGCCUUGGCGUCUUUCAUGCUCAACAGGGCCUUCGCAAGUUCAGACUCCUUCAUCUUGAAGUCAUGCUCCAAGGACUCGAAUUUCUUGCCGAGCUCCUGGAGCUCUUGCUGUACCUCGCCCACCCUAGCAUUUUGCUUUUCACGCUCAAUGCACUCCGUGGCCGCCUUGUUUUCGGCCUCGGAUAACGCUUUCUUCGGGGACGCCACUUCAGUCGUGGCCCCUAUUACACAAUCAUGACCCUUUUUCGUUAGCAUCGCCAAUUUUGUCUAUUCUUUGUGAUAUGUGAAUGGGGUAUCACUCACCUUUGUUCUCUUCGAGCUGCCUCUUCGUGAGGCUGAGCUCUCCUUGGGCCUGCUCCAGGUCCUAUUUGACUCCGGAGACCUCCGCUGUGCGGGCAGCAGCAGUAAGCAGCACCGCCUGCUUAUUCACGUAGACACCUACUAUUAGACUCCUGUGGAUUUUAAUUGACCCUCCGUUUGGCUUUUCUUUCCGAACACCAAACAGAGUAUCAGGGGCUACUGUCUAUCGGGUGCUAAUUUCCCAAACUUUUAAUUACUUACCUCAAAGCCUGUUAGGAGGCUGGUGCAGGCUUCAGUCAAUCGGCUUUUGGCAGACUGAACCCUCUGAUCCACCACACUCAUAAGAGUACGGUGCUCUUCAUCCAUGGAAGCGCCGCGAAGCAAUUCCAGCAGACUAUCCGACGCCUCUGGCAUAACAGAAGUUAUCAGCAUGGAUGGCUCACCUUCCUUGGCAAGGGGCUGCCUGCCCGAAUCCGGAACCUUUGGGGAUUCCAGUAUAGUGUCCGGCUGGGAGUCCAGCGUGCUGCGGCUCCCGUCGGCACAAUCCGCGGGAAUCUUACGCCCCGUGUGCCCGGCGUCUGGAAUUUCACCUCGGGGCGUCUCCAGAGUCGCCUCCCCCUGCUCCGGGAGCCUUUGGGACAACAUCUCCGUGUCAUCCACAAGCCGAGGGGAAGUGGCCAUUGGGAGCGAGUUCAUCGCUGAAUCGGUCAAGGACCUAUGCGAAGAGGAUACCUCGGGAUGGACCCUGGCCGGACUGCAUAUACGUGUUCAGCAUUAUAAUAGACUAUGACGUGAAAUCGCACUAAAGUACAACAGAGUGCAGAUACUUACGAUCUUACUAGGGGCUUCCCCCUGGGAAGCCACUCCUCCUCGCUGUAGGCGGCCGUGGUGGAGUAAUCCGGAAGGGACGCCUUUCCCUUCUUGGGCGUCCUAGCUCCCCCUCUGGGGCGGCUUUCCUUUUCUUCUCCUCCCCAGUGCGGGGAGCCGGAGUUUCCUCGUGUUUCCCCCCGCCUCCGCGGGAGGAAUCUGCCUCGUCGUCUUCAAACAACGAGUUUAUGAUGGCCUUGUGCCGGGGACCCUUACUAGUCCCCUGGGUCGCCCUCUUAGGCCCUUCGGCCCCCUCCGGUGGGGCGGCCCCCUCCUUUUCCUCCUCCCCUUCGGGGGAGGAGUGUGCCUUGUCAUCUUUGGACAAGGCAUCCAGUACGACCUUACACCAGAGACCCUUCUUGGUCCCCUGGGACUUCUUUUCGGCCUUCUUUUCUGACGCCUUGUAGGGCGCCGGGACUAGCAUCUCUGUCAGGAGAGCAUCUGCUGGACCCUCCGCCAUCUCCAUGUACUCCUGAUUAAAUAUACACGAUGACUUAAGAUCCUCCCAUGAGUACGCUGGAAAAAACUACAUAUGGUGAUAGUCAGAAAACUCACCGGACGGGGGAGCCGCGUGGCGUGAAGUCCGCGGUCCUCGGACGUGGGAGGAGGUAUUUCGGAGGCCUUGAAUAGUGCCUUCCAUGCGUCCUUGUGUGUCGUGCCGUAGAGCUCUUGAAGUGUCUGGUGUUCGGCUGGGACGAACUCCCACAGAUUAAAUGCCUGUCUUUUGCACGAAAGAAUUCGGCAGACGAGCAUGACAUGGACCAUGUUGACAAGCUUGAUUUUCUUGUCCAUCAUGUUCUUGAUGCAGUUUUGAAGUCCGGUCAGCUCCACAGGCUCACCCCAGGCCAGAGCCUUCUUUUCCCAAGAGGUGAGCCGCAUGGGAAUUGUGGAUCAGAAUUCGGGGGCCGCUGCCCAGUUGGCGUCGUGUGGCUCGGUGAUGUAGAACCACCCUGAUUGCCACCCUUUCACGUUCUCCGCGAAGGAGCCGUCGAGCCAGGUAACAUUGGGCAUCUUGCCCACCAUGGCGCCUCCGCACUACACUUGCUGGCCGCUCACGAUCUUCGGCUUCACGCAGAAGAUUCGUAGCCACAAGCCGAAGUGAGGCUUGAUGCGGAGGAAGGCCUCGCACACAACGAUAAACGCCGAGAUGUUGAGGACGAAGUUUGGGGCCAGAUCGUGGAAGUCUAGCCCAUAGUAAAACAUGAGCCCGCAGACAAAGGGAUGAAGUGGAAAUCCCAGUCCAUGGACGAAGUGGGCAAGGAACAUGACCCUCUCGUGGGGUCCCGGAGUCGGAAUGAUCUGCCUAGCGUCCGGCAGAUGGUGCGCAAUAUCUGCGGCCAAGUAUCCGGCCGCCCGGAGCUUCGUGAUAUGCUCCUCCUUGACGGUGGUGGCCACCCACUUGCCUCAUGCUCCGGACAUGUUUGGCUGUGCGGAGGAGGUGUGAACUAGGGCGUUGGAGCUCGAGGGGGCAAGAAUGGGUAAGCGAUAGAGGAAGAAGGCGUGGGUGAAAAUGGGCAAUCCUUAUCCCUUUAUAGAGGCGAUGAAAAUGGUGCACCUCCCCACUUGCCCGUUGAGGAUCACUUAAUUCCCAAGCGCCACGAUUGAUGGCGCAGUUGGGUUACCCAUACCCGUAUUGAUGGGAAUCCCGUGAUAAGGGGACAUGAUCUCUUCUUCGACAAGACGUGUCGAGGAAACCGCCUCGCAAUAUGCGCUGUGGCUAGUUAUGGAAAAAUGGUUCGAAUAAAUGACCCGACCGUAGUGUCAUGUCACGUUGUCUAAAGUUGUCAACAGAUUACAUUUGUGGAAUAUCAUUAUCUCUACGGUGGUAUGUGAAGAUCAUCUUGCAGAAUCCGGACAUGAUUUUAGUGUUCGAUAAUUACUUUGGGGUAUUCGGAGAUGGAACCCGCCUUGCAAUGCCGAAGACAAUCUACGUGCCGGACUCAUCUUCAUUGAAGCCUGGUUGAGGGGCUACUGAGGGAGUCCUGGAUUAGGGGGUAUCCAGACAGCCGGACUAUGUACUUUGGCCAGACUGUUGGACCGUGAAGAUACAAGACUCAAGACUUCGUCCCGUAUCCGGAUGGGACUCUCCUUUGCGUGGACGACAAGCUUGGCGAUCUGGAUAAUAGAUUUCCUUCUUUGUAAUCGACUUUGUGUAAACCCUAGCCCUCUCCGGUGUCUAUAUAAACCAGAGGGUUUAGUCCCUAUUGGACAAUCAUAAUCAUCAUAGGCUAGCUCCUAGGGUUUAGCCUCUACGAUCUCGUGGUAGAUCAACUCUUGUAAUACUCAUAUCGUCAAUAACAAUCAAGUAGGAAGUAGGGUUUUACCUACAUCAAGAGGGCCCGAACCUGGGUAACACAUCGUGUCCCUUGCCUCAUGUUACCAUUAGCCUUAGACGCACAGAUCGGGACCCCCUACUCGAGAUCCGCCGGUUUUGACACCGACAGGGACCCCCGUGUUUUGUUUCGAUAUUUCAGUGUAGGAUGGUCUUUUUGAACAAACACUUUCUGCGGUUAGACAAAUAACGCCACGAGUUACACGUAUUUUGCAAGUUUACGAACAAAAAUGACAGUGGCAUAGAAUAUCACAUCCACCCCGUAGCUUAGAUGCUAUGGUGAUACGAGUUUUUACGUUGUUGGAAAUGAGAUCCAAUGGCUUGGGAAUAGUCUUUGUAAUUAUGCGCAAUUUCCAAACUCACCAAAGGUUUUUUUUGCAAAUAUAACAUUUAGGCCUCGUGUGUGUCGCUGCAUCUUGGAUCCAACGGCUCCCCGUUGCUCAUAUUAGGUGCUCUCCGAAGCUUAAUUAGUCGCUACGGUGAUAUGAGCAUCUAGGUCGUAUGAUCAGUGAUCAGAUAGCACAUGCGUAGUACUUGUACUUUCUGCGCAAUUCCCAAACUCUCCCAGCCAUAUAUUGCAAAAACAUUGAAACCUCCUAUUGUGGGCCAUUAUAUCUAUAUGAACUCGUAUCACCAUAGAAUCUAUAGUGCGGGAGCACCUCAUAUUCUCCCGUGUGAGAAAACAUAAGGUGCUCUCGCAGCUUGGAUGCUAUGAUGAUACGAGCUUCGAGGUUGUUUGAUCUGAGAUCCAAUGCCAUCUGAGCAGUCUUUGUGCUUGUAAGUAGUGGCCAAACUCUUUGGAGGCUUUUCGGCAAAAAAACAUUCGAACCACCGAGGAGUUGUUGGGUCACAAAUCCAACGGCUCCGAAGAGCUUGUAUCACCAAAGCAUCUGAGGUGUGGUAGCUCAUGAUAUUCUAACGUACAUGAGAAUAUGAUGUCCUCCUUCAUCUUAGUUGCUACGGUGAUACGAGAUUCGAGGUUGUUGGAUAUGGGAUCCAAGGGCAUCUGAGUAGUUUUUUUAUACAAAUUGUGUGUAAUUCUCAAACUCAUCAAGGUUUCCUUUAAAAAUAUUAAGACAUCCUGUGAGCUGCUAUAUCUCAGAUCUAGAAGCUCCAAGCAACUCGUAUCGGCAUAUAGCAUCUAAGGUAUGGGGGCACAUGAUAUUCUCCCGGGGAGGGGGGGGUGCACUACCAAUCGAUGUUUGGGAGGGUGGGGACAAAUAUAAUCUAAACAAUCCUAAAUAGAGAUUCACAAUUUUAUCUAAGGUCGAGGGGUUAAUCCCGGACAAUCUACAUGGUUCUGCCUAAACACAACAUUUGCAUGUACUGUAGUACUAGACUUAAUAUUCAUGUUUCAGUUUCCUGUUCAUUUUUAAUAUUGAAUUGAGGACCAUGCUUGUCUUACAUUUUACCCCCUUCGUUCCUAAAUAUUAGUCUUUUUAGAGAUUUUGAAUGGACUGGCAUCUCCGUGAUGUAUAUAGACAUAUUUUAGAUUGUAGAUUCACUCAUUUUGCUCCGUAUGUAGUCACUUGUUGAAAUCUCUAAAAGACUAAUAUUUAGGAACAGAAGGAGUAUUUGUGAAUUCGUGUCAUACAUGCAGGGUUUGGAAAAAUAGAUGCACUAUACUUAUUGGAUUGUUGUUGUGUUCGUGUGUGUGUGUGUGUGUGUGUGGUCAUAUGCUUGAUACAUACAAAGUUUUCUCACCACCAUAUUGUUCAUCUUUAAAUUUGAAUUUGCAAUGAAAAACUUACUAGGGAUACCAUGAAAUGUGAAAUCCAUGUUGAGAUCACUAUAUCACAAACUCACUCUAAUUCAAGAACUCGUCAUAAAUCAAUUACCACGUUGAGAUUACUAUUUGCAAGGAAAAUACGGGCAUUGUAAUACACAUAGAUUCGUUUGGCAAUUUAAAAGAUUCCUUUUGUAUUCUCAAAUGGUAGGACCCAACGGCGUACCAACUAGACCCUGGCUCGUGUUGAUCCGAAAAUACACCAGGCUCAUGUCCUUCUGGUGGCGUGCGUGGUACGCACAUUAGGCAACCCCAACCCAUCGAGCCUCCGCGUUUUGAUUUGAAAUAUUUGGCGGCCAGAAUUCCAGCCCUAGGAAAUUCCCCUCAUGUCCCCGGUCCAUAAUGACUACCGAUGAACAAUAGAGGGAUGCUUUAGUAACUAGACAACGUUACCUACCGUGCCGAGCCCGGUUCAAUUCCCUUGGUCGCCGCUCCCCAAGGUCACCCGUCGUCUGCAUUACCUAGUACUACCACUACUACACCAGGAUGAGCACAGAUUUGAGCCCGUUUGUUCGUGCCUAGUACUUGAGUUAAUAUAUAAGGCAACGCACUGGUACGGAGGGAUUAUCCUUUUACUCUGCAUAUAUAACUUGUCUGAAGUUUAACUAAGCAAAAUGUUUGACCAAAUCCUUUCUUAAGAAAUACAACAGGACAGAUGUAUGGCUUGAAAAUUUAUUGCAUGAUGCAGGUUAUGAUAUUUUUUCGAAUCCUGGAUUUUAAAUUUCAAAAAAUCCAAAAGUGACCAGAAAUUAAUGAAACUGAGCAUGGUCAUGUAAUAUGGCAAAAAUAUUCCUUCGUAAUUUUUUCUUCAAUUUCAGACAAGCUGCUUAUGACAAGUUGCACAAAUGAAGAGCCAAGGUAUUUUGGAACAAAGACCUAUCACGUUAAGGCGAACACUUUCACUAUUGAAAUCGUGGGCAUUUACGUGCCGCCACGAGUCCUGCUUCUCAUCAGCAGGUGCCGUUCGAGCAAGCAUGUCAGUCGACGGGAGGCGUGCGAGCAGACCACUGCACCGGCUGACAAUGAGGCAUGUGAGCAGACCGCUGUGCAGGCUCACCGGGAGGCAAGCCCUUUGACCAAGCUCCGCCGCCCACCUUCGUCCCAAGUGCUCCCACUUUUAAUGUCACUGGUGCCGCAGUUUAAAAUCAACCCCGCACUACCCGGUAUCGCUACAAUCUUCUCUCUUCCUCUCCGAUUCUCCUGUCGUCUACCUCCAACCAGCCUGACCUAAACAUACGCCAUGCCGCAUCACGAUGGUCUGCCCUUAGUCUUCCAGUUUCCUGAGGAAGACACCCAGCCGGAGUCCCAAGAACAUAAGGCGCUUUGGGACGAGCUUCAACCGGCCUUGCGGGAAGACGUCGCGCCUGUUCCCGCUUCCGUUUCGGCUCCCGUCACCCCGACUGCACCAGCGCCUAUUUUCGUGGCAUUGAUGGGCUGGGAGCCGCACAUUGUCGCCGAGCUUGAUGCCACGGGGUUCCACGAGGUCCUCGCCGACUUUCACGCGCCCGUGCACCUGCCAGCACAUGUGUCUGCGUGUGCACUGACGCGCACGCCCAUGCCGGUGCCCCUGCACUUGCCAGCGCAUGCACUUGCACGUGCACUAACGUGCGCGCCUGUGACGAUGCCCUGCACAUGAAUGUCUCUGCCACGCCGUUGCCAGCGCAUGUCCCCGCACGGGUGCUAGUGCCCCCCUCAGCGGCAUUGAUGGCCGCCGUCGACCGCUUCCUUGCACCAACACUAGUCGCCUCCUCCCGCCAGUUGACUCGCUCCUGGAGACCGAAGUCCAGAACAUUGUGGCCUUUCUUGAAGCUAGGGCCAACGUCCAGGAGUACCCCAACAACGGCGCAAGAUGCUGCCGUGCCGUCGCCGUCGGUCAGUGGACCGACAACACAUAGAGCACGGCAGAGGAGCCGCUUCCCACCGCAAGACGCCCCCGCCACCGCCGUGUAAUCUAAAUUUGUCAUGAAAAACGUUCGGAUUUCCAUGCUUAAAAUCUGAAUGUUUAUCAUUUCCAUUUAUUUUAGAUCGAUCGUCGUAUGAAUGUAAAGUCGGAGUCAGACUGAAUGAAAUCUACGGUUCGAUCAAUUGAAUGUUCUGCUAGAGCCGUAUCAAAUUAAAUAUAAAACAUCAUCAAGCCACAUGCAUUCCUUCUCAUCCAGCGACCUAGACUGCUUCAAUGUCGAGCGCUCAACACAUUUAGCGUGCAGUUAAUUUCAUGCCAAAAAUAGUGCUAAUCACAUAAUAACACGCAAAUAAUAUCCUACUUAAUAUCCGUAUGCACUUAAGAUACUUCCAAAUUAACGUGCAUUGCAUGUACACAUUGACUAGUGCUACUAGUAUGUGAAACUGGUGUUGUAACUUGUGAACGCGUCCAGAUAUGGUCAACGGCAACAUCGCCCGCGAGUUCUUCAUCUUUGCCCGUGCGUCUAAACGCAGAAGGGGAGGAGAGAGAGAGAGCACACAUGGAACCCACCAGUAAGUGAAGGCGAAUAGUACAUGCUAACGAGCCGGUCCCACUAAUGUACUAAAAAUAAUAUUACAUGUUAUAUAUUAAAUAGAGUGUGGUAAUAUAAAAACAUUAUAUGAACAAAGGGGGGUACAACAAACAUUGAUGUUCUACGUAUGUUGCCUAUUGACAUGCGACUUGAAGGCCCUGGUCGCAUGUUCGAUCCUCGUCCUUUAUUUUUAAAUUUGUAUAUGGGUCCAAAUUUGUUUCAUGACAGGUGGGCCCCUUAGUGUGUAGUUUGUAGCACUUUAAUUUGUGGGUCAAAAUUUGUUCCAUUCCAAGUGGACUAUUGUUGUGUAGUUUUGUAGCUUAUUUGUAAUAAUUAAAGAGAACAACAGAGUUUUUGUAAUAAUACCAUGGUGCGACGUUGAAGGUGAGAAAGGACGUGCGAGAGAGCGAUGACCGAGCCAGAGGGAAAUCAACUGGGGAGGUGCGGGGAUUGCGACGGUGUUUGGAGUAGUUGUGGGCCGAAUGCUAUGAAAAUAUAAUCUAAACCCACCGGAAUAAAUGCCUACACAAAUUAAUCCAAGGUUGGAGUCCCCCUCCUAAUGUAAAUAGCUCCGGCUUUGCGAGGGAUGGAGAUGCAGCUUCAAUGUGUGGAAGAUACAGUGUGAGAAAGCGAGGUCAAUCAAGAGACAUAUAGAUAGAGAGACAAAGUGAGUGUGUUCCGACAUUCAUUGAAAAGAUACAUAUGCUCUGGAGAGAUAUUGUCCGAUUGGGCUUUCGGGAAGGGUGAGGGCUGUAAGAUAGAGCUUGAGAGAUGAUCCACUCACAGACAUGUAGAUAUAUUUUGUGCGUGGGAGGAGGCAAGGUCAAUCGAUUACAUAUAUAAAGGGAGAGAGAUUGAGUGAGUGUGGGUCGUCAUGCGAUCGAAUGAGUGAGACGGGUUGGAGAGAGUGACCUAGAUAGACAAGGUGCAUGAGAGAGUAUACAAUAUGAAUAUGUCAAAUUGGGCUCAGGCAUGGAGAUAUAUCGUUUGUGUCCGAGAAAGAGCAAGGUCAAUCGAGACAUACACACACACACACACACACACACACAGAGAGAGAGAGAGAGAGAGAGAGAGAGAGGAGGGAGGGAGGGAGGGAGAGAGAGAGAUUGAGCGAGUGUGGCCCGCCAUGAGGUCGAAAGAGUGGGGGCGACUUGGAUGGACUGACCUAGAUAGACAAUCUGUGUGAGAGAGUAUAGAGUGUGUCGAUCGAGGCCCGAAUAGGGAGAUAUAUCAUUUGUGUGUGAAAGAAAACGAGGUUAAUCGAGACUCAGAUAAAGAGAGAGAUAUUGAGCAAGUGUGGCCCGCCGUGUGGAAGAAAGAGUGAGACAAUCUCGAGGGAGUGGCCUAGAUAGAGAACGUGCAUGUGUGCGCAUGAGAGGUUGGGGGGCUAGAUAGGCAAUGCAUGUAUCUAGCGCGAGAGGGUGGGAGGGAGGGAGAGAGAGAGAGAGAGAGCUCGGCAUGGGGUGCAAUGGCGGGUGUGUGAGGUAAAUACAUUUGGUAACAGAGUGGAAAAGGGGGGUUGUGUAGUUAAAAGAGUUAGAGAUCGAAACAUGGAGAGAGUUAGAGAUCAAAACAUGGAGAGAAAGAAUGAACAUGUGUCGGAAACUGAUAGCUUCCUAAGGUGGUUAGGAGAGGAAGAUUGACCGAUACAGGAAGUAUGUAGCGUGUGUGCCGGGGGGUGGGGCUAAAAACAACAUUUGAAUGUAGAUAGUACGAGACUUAAUAUCGAUGUUUCAAUUCGGUGUACAUUGUAAGAUUUGCACUGAGGACCAUGCAUAUGGGUAAUUAUUUCGAAUUCAUGCCAUACUAGGUUUGGAAAAGUUGACAUUGACUCGAUUGUUGUGCUAUUUUGUAGGUCAUAUGUUUGAAUCCAUCCAAAAGUUUUCUCACUACCAUGGUGUUCCUCAUAUAGAUAUGAAUUUGUAUUAAAAAAGUAGCUCGAUACAGUGAAAUGCGAAAUCCAUGUUAGAAUUGGAGAUCGUUAUGUGACACACACUCUAAUUCAAAUAACUACUUAUGUGACACACACUCUAAUCCACGUUAGCGUGGAUACCGUGGAUACCGUUUCGAUUUUUUUCAAAUAACUCCUCAUUAAUUAAUUUAUAGUAUUCUCGUUUCGAAUGACUAAAUUAUUUGCAAGGAAUACAGAGGCAUGGUAAUACAUAUACAUUCGUUUGCAAAUGAAAGAAGAUCUGUUUGCAUUCUCAAAUGUAGGCGUACCAGGCAGACUAGGGCCGUGUCGUGGUGGUCGUGUGUGUCGGACGGACGCUUAGCACCCAGCCACCCACCCCCUCCCUCCCUCCCCCUCCCUCCCAAAAAAAGGACGACGACAAAAUAAAUUCGCGCUUCCACGUUUUGGAUUGAAAUAUUUGGCUGCCCCAAUUCCAGCCCUACAAAAUCUCUUUCUCCACCACCCACUUCCGCGCCCAGAUUGCUUAAAUCCCUAAUUCACUGCCAACCCAAGCAAAGUUUGAAUCGCCCCUUGUCUCGUCUCUUUCUCCACCUCUGUGCCGAACGACGACGACGAAGACGACGGUCGCGCUUCACCACCGCAUUGGAGCUACCUAGUCUACGCCCUAUUCUACCGCACCGGGUGGUCCACCGACAACGUUGGCCGCUGCAACCGACGUGCCUUAACACACCGACUUCCACCGCAUCAGGUGCGCUUCACCGACGCCGUCUCCCACCUCACCGAGGCUACUUCACCGAGCACAUCGUCGCACCUCCGCCCCCCCCCUAGGCCGUUGGGGCUUCACCAACGGUAUCGUCCACCUCAUCAUAGUGCUCCACUACCACUCAAGAUCUGCACCCAUGCGUGGCCAGCCAACGCAAGCGCAUCACCCUCAACGGCUCUGAAGUGACCCGCACUCUAGCUAAGUGAGCAUGCCCAAACGCCGGCCCGAACUAGAUGUCCACACAUCACUCCCUUGUGCACUUUUUCGAUGAUGUUUGGAUAUCCUUUCAUUGCUCUCUUAGCUUACACGCCUAUGCAACUCUGACUUUAACUCUUAUUUCUUUUGGAGAUAUCAUCUAAAACAAGCAAAAUCAAUUUUUAGCGAAGCAUGAUGGUGCUACGUGAUCUGGUACAGAUCCUGCACACCUGUAUAACCUUGGAAGUAUCUGUCCUCCGGUACAACAACAAGGUCGAUUCCUCUUAUUUGAUCAACCAUUCGCCAAGUCAAAAAUGCAGAGGGGGAUGCAAGGAGCACAAGGCCUGCACAUCCAAGCAAGUGGAAACAAGGACUUGUAUAUGGAACAUCCCAAGCACAAGUAGAGCUGCAGUGAGCCUGUACAACAAGCUAGCGUAAGUCCCUACAUUUCAUUUAAUUCAUACUGGCAUGCGUGUAUGAUUUGUGUGUAGUGGCGGAUCCACGAAUUCAAGUUACUAGGGGAGAACAUAUAACUUAAAAAAUACGAAGGCACUUGCACUCCGAAAAUCAACAUAACUUGAGAAAUGUCAAGCUACAUGCACUUCGAAAACCAGCUAAUGAUCCGAAGUAGUUCAGAUUAUAAAACACUAAAUGAUGCAAGCACCUAAAAACACAAAAUGCAACAUGGUGUACACGGACUACAAAUAUGGUAUGUACCUACUUGAAUUAUUCGUUCUCUGGCUGAAAAUAUCAAAGUGUAAUUGCACCUAUAACCAAUGUGCAAACUGCAUAUCAAUAGAUCUAUCCUGCACAAGUAUGCCAAUAGUUUCAAACAAUAGACUAGAAAAGUAUUUAUGCUAUGUUGUCAUGAUACGGGGACUUUCUGGUAGAUGGCCUCGACGUUUCCUCAAGCCAUGAAAAUGUACUAUAAUUUGCUUAUCAUCAAUGCCUGCAAAUCUCUAUGUCUCUCUCAACAUAGCAGAUCAUCAUUAGACACUGAAUCCUUCAAUGGGAGCUUGCAAAAUGCUUGCAUUAGAUCCCUCAUUAGACACUAUAUGUUCAUCACCAGGAGCAUGUAAAAUGUUUGCAUCAAGUCAUUCAUUAGCAUUCUGUUCAUUAGACACUUCGGGCUCAAGAACAACAUGAGCUUGUAUGUUUGCACUGGAAACUUGAUUAGAUACAUCAGAUUCAGUCAGUUCAGUAUUGGUUGGGGGAGUUAUAAAAUAAGCAGAAAUUGGUUUCAUUUUCUCAUAGAUUCCCUACACACAAGCAGUUUUACAACACCAUCAGGUUUAACUAUUGGCAAUAAAUUGAACAGUUGAAUUAGAUAUAAUCAGGGAUGUUAUGUACCUGCUUGUUGCGCAUGCUACUCUUGCAAGCUGUGACUGUCCGUUUGCACAAGCUCGAUGCCAUGCCCGUGCUGCCACUGCUGCCUCCCACGCAGGCUACACCUAGGGUUGGAUCUUCAUCUUCUUGUCCUUCCGUUCGCUUGAAGCCUGGCGACCGCCCUCCAAUGAGGGCGCGAGGAAGUGCUGUGUCGGUCUGUCCAGCGGCGGCUAGGUUAGGAGCAAACCAGACUGGAGGCUGGAGCGAACGAAUUGGGAUUUUUCCUGCUAUCGAUCGAUAUGGGAGGCGCUUGUUUGGGCCGCGUGCCUGCUAUAGGGCCUUCCUUGCACUUAUGUUAUUGGCCCAUCCGAAUUUAAACAUUUUUCUUCAUUUUUUACAUUGCCUGCUCAUGUGUUGGGACGCAAAACUAGCCUGGGCCAACCUGGAUGACUCAAACUAGGUGCACACUUUCCAGCCACCCGAGGCGGUUGCCCAUACCAGCCCCUAUGGUGGCGUCGCCUCUUUUUGCGUGUAUGAUUGGGGUAGUGAAAAAUAUUCCAGUGGCGCUUUUGAUUUACCAACAGAAUGGUUGAAUUGCUUGUUUCUAUGAACUGAGUUCGCUAAUAAUGUGAAGGAUGCCAGUCUUUUCAUCCUAUUGUAGAUUGCUUAGAUCUCGAUAUGCCAAAUGUAAUCGCAUGAAAUAUACAGUAAAAGCUAGUGUGAUGUGUGUGGCUACAACUAUUCUGACUACACGUCCUCAUAUAAUAUAUCAAGGACGCACUAUCUUACCAGAUUAACCAUUCAACUUACCAAUGCAGUGUGGGAAGAAAGAAGUAUUGGGACGGCGUAUCCAAGCUAUUGAUGCCAUGGACUCCUUCGCAUAACCUCGUAAGCGAAAAAGAAGUUGCAGUGUGCCUGUACAAAGAUCUAGCAUAAGUUAAGUUACCUGCUUCUCGGAAUUUUAGUUGGUCACUUAUUGCAAAAUUGUCCAAUUACGUUGCUUGGUUAAUUUAGUUUACUACUGAUUACAUAAUGCCAUAGCCUGUUAAUCCUAUUAUAGACUGCGCCUAUCUAUGUGUUUGAUACUUACUGUUAAGAAUUACAUGUUUGCCUGAACUUAAAUAGCUAGUUGUUUGUUUAACUGCUUUGCUGCUGCAACAACCGGUUACAAUGAUGUUAAUAACUACUUUUCAGCAUCCAAUUGAAACUCUUUAAUUCCUUGUUCGUUUAACUGGAUUGCUGUUAUAACUCCCAAUUGAGAUGUUUUGCUAACUUCAACUUUUCUGAAUCCAACCGGAACUUUAAUGACAAAGCAGGUUAGCCCAAGAUCAAAGAGUGAGGUCCCCAUGGACGUUGUAUCAUCCCACAGCAGUAGCACUGGCCCAAUCAUGCAUUAUGAAUUGCCAACUGCUGAUGCUCUAGAGGCUAAACUAGUGGUAGAAAGAGAUUAUGCUUCUACACUUAGAGAUGAAGUUGACAUGUUGAGGAAGCAAACAACACAAUCACAAGCAGUACUCAAUACAACCAUUAAAUAUUUGGUGGAUUUCAAAACGAAGCAAGCUGAGACAGACCGCAUUGUUAAGGUCAUGAAGAAAAAAAGGAAAUUAAAUUCCCACUUGGUAAAUCAUACACGAAAUGUUCUUUCCAUCGUUGAAUAACCUUUGUGCUGUUUGUUCCUGUAAUCAAUCAAACCAUUUGUUUUAGAGAUCAUGUAAUAAUUGUUUUUUGUUUUUUGGUUUGUAAUUUUAUUUGAGCACAAGUCUGCAUUAAUUGAUAAGACUCAGAGACAUUUCAUUUUGAUUCUUGUGUCAGACCUACAAAUAUGCCAAUCGGGUUGAAUGUGCAUUCAGCAAUAAUAGUAGUAUAGAUGGACCAUAAGUCGCAUGCAUCGGAGAGGGCCAACAUGUUGUAGUAGCUUGGCUGAAAAAAGGAUGUUGUUCUUGCAAAAAAAAGUACAGCAGCCUGGCUUAUGUAUGUUAGUUGAUAUUAUUGAUCCAUAUACUCUAUAAGUGCUUAUAUGUCUGUUAGUUAUGUACAUUCUUGGUUGAUUGACUCGGUAUUUGAAUCUUGAUACAUCGCUUGUGUACAUAUCUAAAUGGGAGUACACAUUAUGUUGUGUGUGACAUUUGAGUUGGACAUACAGUGUUCCAAAUAUUCGAAUUCACCUUAAACUGGAUUCUAGCUUCUGAAUUUGAGUAUCGGCAUUUUUAAAUCAUAUUUAUAUAUGAUAGUGGAAUACAUCUUUGUCGUGCUUUUGAAGAUAUAUAAAACCACAUAUAUUGAUUUAUAAAGAUUCAUAGAGGAAUACAAAAUGGAUUUGAAUUUAGUUGCCAGGGUAAACGUUGAUGCUUAUUGUCCCAAAAUUCGAAAGAAGCGGCAAAAUGUCCACUCCCACGUCGGCAGCCCGAAGCCAAGUGUUUGGGAGAUGGAAAUUACUGUCUACCCAUUACAGUUACAAUCCAUCAGCCCAAUUUCCACUGCUCUCAAUAGGGGUAGGUUAGUAACUUUAAUUAGACAUGACACAACCGCCUCUGAGCUCAUUCGGACACGGUGGGAGCCAAACAUGGGCGGCAAAACACAUUUGAUUCAAGCUCAUCCGAAAGACGUCUGUUUGUCCCUCCAUUUCUCCAUUCAUACACGAUGGGCGGCAAAACAAACUCGACUCAGCCGAAAUCGAUGUAGGCAAAUAUUUUUAAUAGGGGCAGGUUUGUAACUUGACUCAGACGUGACACAACCGUGCUACCUGUCAGCCCCGUUCAUACACCGUGGGCGCCAACCAUGGGCUCCAACCACCCUCUCCUCGCCCGAAAUCGCUCUAGGCAAAUAUUGGCGAGAUGCGAUAUUACCGUCCUAGCCCCAACGGACGAGACGUCCAAAUUUUACAAGGGGGCUAAGUUCGUAACUUUCCCACAUUUCAGACAGGUGCGUCCCAAAAACAUGGUUCCCCGUACCUCUCCCUCCAUUUUCCCAUUCAUACAUCGUACACGCUAGAACACCAUCCCCACACGAGCCUCCUCCGUCCGCCACCCCAUCCAUCGCCGCCGUCCUCUGCCCCAUCCAUCACCACCGUCCUUCACCAUGCCGGAGCGCCUACCAAGACCACGUCGUCCACUGCUAGAGAUGGACGUUUCUCAUCCACGGCAACAGACCAAGAGCCUUGCAUCGCGUCCUCUUGCUUCAUCGGCGCUGUCGUCCUCUUUGUCGUGGCCGCUCACACAACCUUCUCUUCCACCAGAACGGGACUUAUCCCUCGAUGCACCCAUCUACCGUUGCAGAUCUGCUUCAACGCCACCGACAGCCAUCGCACCCUCGAUGCCUACACGACGUCGCAAGAGAGGUGGUACUUCAUAUCUCUUGAACUUUUUGAUCUCAACCAGAAAAUAGAUCGUAACUUGGUUACUCCACAUUCUUUUCAGCUCUUAGAAUUUAGUUCCUAGUUCGAAGCAAACAAUGGAAGCUAAAUGUCAUUUCUCUGGUGUGCAACUUCAAAUCCACCAUGGCACAGUCAUAAUAUGGUUUAAUUGAUCAUGCAUAGGGUUUAAUUGAUCAUGUUGGUUUCGUGGUGGUUUCUUUAAUAGAAAUCGGAGGGGAAACCCUCUUUUGCUAAAAAAAAUAUGCUUAGGGUUUCCCCCUUUUAUGAUCACUAUACAAUCAGAAUACGUGCUUCGUGUCAUAAUAGCACUGCUCCACCCAUCAAGCUAAACAAGCUUAGUUGUUCAAGUACGAAUAUGAUAUUAUUAAAAUAGACUCAUUUAAUUGGUCAGCUAAAUGUUCCUAAUAUAGUUUCUAAAAUGCCUGUGCACCGCUCUGGUGUGUAUCUCUACAGGGUGCGCACGGUGGGCCACGGCCCACCCUGGGAUUUUGGGUUGUCCCAGGCCCCGAUUCCCGUCUGUUCUGCUGCGCGCUUUCGAUCUCUAGUCGCCCCUAGCCGCCUACCAUGUCGGCGACUUUCCGUCCCCGAACGGUGAUGUCUACUGCACAACCUUCGUCUUGUAGACAUUGUUGGGCCUCCAAGUGCAGAGCUUUUUAGGACAAUAGCAAAUUUCACCUUAAGUGGAUGACCUAAGGUUUAUCAAUCUGUGGGAGGCGUAGGAUGAAGAUGGUCUCUCUCAAACAACCCCGCAACCAAAUAACAAAGAGUCUCUUGUGUCCCCAACACACCCAAUACAAUGGCAAAUUGUAUAGGUGCACUAGUUUGGCGAAGAGAUGGUGAUACAAGUGCGAUAUGGAUGGUAGAUAUAGAUUUUUGUAAUCUGAAAAUAUAAAAAUAGUAAGGUAACUAAUGAUAAAAGUGAGCGUAAAUGGUAUUGCAAUGCUAGGAAACAAGGCCUAAGGUUCAUACUUUCACUAGUGCAAGUUCCCUCAACAAUAAUAACAUAACUAGAUCAUAUAACAAUCCCUCAACAUGCAACAAAGAGUCACUCCAAAGUCACUAAUAGCAGAGAACAAACGGAGAGAUUAUUGUAGGGCAUGAAACCACCUCAAAGUUAUUCUUUCUGAUCGAUCUAUUCAAGAGUCCGUAGUAAAAUAACACAAAGCUAUUCCUUCCGUUUGAUCUAUCCUAGAGUUCAUACCAGAAUAACACCUUAAGACACACGUCAACCAAAACCCCAGUGUCACCUAGAUACUCUAAUGUCACCUCAAGUAUAUCUGUGGGUAUGAUUAUACGAUAUGCAUCACACAAUCUCAGAUUCAUCUAUUCAACCAACACAAAGAACUUCAAAGAGUGCCCCAAAGUUUCUACCGGAGAGUCAAGACGAAAACGUGUGCCAACCCCUAUGCAUAAGUUCACAAGGUCACUGAACCCGCAAGUUGAUCACCAAAACAUACAUCAAGUGGAUCACGUGAAUAUCUCAUUGUCACCACAGAUAAGCAUAUGCAAGACAUACAUCAAGUGUUCUCAAAUCCUUAAAGAUUCAAUCCGAUAAGAUAACUUCAAAGGGAAAACUCAAUCCAUUACAAGAGAGUAGAGGGGGAGAAACAUCAUAAGAUCCAACUAUAAUAGCAAAGCUCGCGGUACAUCAAGAUCGUGCCGAAUCAAGAAAACGAGAGAGAGAGAGAGAUCAAACACAUAGCUACUGGUACAUACCCUCAGCCCCGAGGGUGAACUACUCCCUCCUCGUCAUGCAGAGCACCGGGAUGAUGAAGAUGGCCACCGGUGAAGGAUCCCCCCUCGGGAAGGGUGCCGGAACAGGGUCCCGAUUGGUUUUUGGUGGCUAUAGAGGCUUGCGGUGGCAGAACUCCGGAUCUAGGUUUCUUUCUGGAGGUUUGGGUAUUUAUAGGAGGGUUUGGCGUCGAGAACAAGUCAGGAGGACCCACGGGGUGUCCACGAGGCAAGGGGGCGCGCCAUAGGGGGGUGUGCGUGCCCUCCACCCUAGUGGGCCCCACAAGCCUCCUCUCCGGUAACUCUUUAUUCCAGUAUUUUUUAUAUUUUCCGGAAAAAAUCUCUGUUGAUUUUCAGCGCAUUCCGAGAACUUUUAUUUCUGCACAAAACAACACCACGGUAGUUCUACUAAAAACAGCGUCAGUCCAGGUUAGUUCUAAUCAAAUCAUACCAAAAUCAUGUAGAAAUAUUAUAAACAUGGCAUGAAUACAUCAAAAAUUAUAGAUAUGUUGGAGACGUAUCAGCAUCCCCAAGCUUAAAUCCUGCUCGUCCUCGAGUAGGUAAAUGAUAAACACAGAACUUUUGAUGUGGAAUGGUACCUAACAUAUUUAUCAAUGUAAUAUUCUCUAUUGUGGCAAGAAUAUUCACAUCCAUAAGAUUCAAAACAAAAGUUUAAUAUUUACAUAAAAACGAUAAUACUUCAAGCAUACUAACAAAAUAAUUAUGUCCUUUCAAAAUAACAUGGCCAAAGAAAGCUUCUCCCUACAAAAACAUAUAGUUUGGCCAUGCUUCAUUUUCGUCACACAAAAUGCUCCCAUCAUGCACAACCUCAGUUUCAGCCAAGCAAUUGGUUCAUACUUUUUAGCACGCUUCAUCCUUUUCAAUCCUCACGCAAUACAUGAGCGUAAUCCAUGGACAUAGCACUAUGGGUGGAGUAGAGUAUGAUGAUAGGGAUUAUGUGAGAAAACAAAAAAGGAGAAAGUCUUAAUAUUGACAUGGCUAAUCAACGGGCUAUGGAGAUGCCCAUGAAUUGAUGUCAAUACGAGGAGUAGGGAUUGCCAUGCAACAGAUGCACUAGAGCUAUAAAUGUAUGAAAGCUCAUCAAAAAGAAACUAAGUGGGUGUGCAUCCAACUUGCCUGCUCACGAAGACCUAGGGCAUUUUGAGGAAGCCCAUCAUUGGAAUAUACAAUCCAAGUUCUAUAAUGAAAAAUUCCCACUAGUAUAUGAAGGUGACAACAUAGGAGACUCUCUAUCAUGAAGAUCAUGGUGCUACUUUGAAGCACAAGUGUGGUAAAAGGAUAGUAACAUUGUCCCCUCUCUCUUUUUCUCUCAUUUUUUGGUGGGCUUCUUUGGCCUCUUUUAUUUUUAUUUGGGCUUCUUUGGCCUCUUUUAUUUUUCAUAAAGUCUGGAGACUCAUCCCAAAUUGGGAGGGAAUCAUUGCUUCCAUCAUCCUUUCCUCACAUGGGACAAUGCUCUAAUAAUGAAGAUCAUCACACUUUUAUCUACUUACAACUCAAGAAUCUUAGAACAAAAUAUGACUCUAUGUGGAUGCCUAUGACAGUGUACUGGGAUAUGCAAUGAAUCAAGAGCGACAUGUAUGAAAGAAUUAUAAGGGUGGCUUUGCCACAAAUAUGAUGUCAACUACAUGAAUAUGCAAAGCAAUAUGACAAUGAUGGAGUGCGUCAUAAUAAAUGGAACAGUGGAAAGUUGCAUGGCAAUAUAUCUCGAAAUGGCUAUGGAAAUGCCAUAAUAGGUAGGUAUGGUGGCUGUUUUGAGGAAGAUAUAAGGAGGUUUAUGUGUGAUAGAGCGUAUCGUAUCACGGGGUUUGAAUGCAUCUACGAAGUUUGCACCAACUCUCAAGGUGAGAAAGGGCAAUGCACGGUACCGUAAAGGCUAGCAAAUUGUGGAAGGGUAAGAGUGCUUAUAAUCCAUGGACUCACAUUAGUCAUAAAGAACUCAUAUACUUAUUGAAAAGUUUAUUAUCCCUCGAAGCAAAGUACUACUACGCAUGCUCCUAGGGGAAGGGUUGGUAGGAGUUAACCAUCGCGCGAUCCCGACCUCCACUCAUAAGGAAGGCAAUCAAAGAACACUCCAUGCUUCAAAUUUGUCACGCAACGUUCACCAUACGUGCAUGCUACGGGACUUGCCAACUUUAACACAAGUAUUUCUCAAUUUGAUAAUUGCCCAACUAGCAUGACUCUAAUAUUACCAUCCUCAUAUCUCAAAACAAUCAUCAAGAAUCAAACUUCUCGCAGUAUUCAAUGCACUUUAUAUGAAAGUUUUUAUUAUAUCCCUCUUGGAUGCCCAUCAUAUUAGGACUAAUUUUAUAACCAAAGCAAAUUACCAUGCUGUUUAAGACUACCAAAAUAAUAUAAGUGAAGCAUGCGAGUUCAUCUAUUUCUUCAAAAUAAAACCACCGUCGUGCUCUAAAAAGAUAUGAGUGAAGCACUAGAGCAAAUGACAAACUACUCCAAAAGAUAUAAGUGAAGAUCAAUGAGUAGUCGAAUAAUUAUGCAACUAUGUGAAGACUCUCUAACAUUUAAGAAUUUCAGAUCUUGGUAUUUUAUUCAAACAGCAAGCAAAACAAAACAAAAUGACAUUUCAAGGAUAGCACACAUCAUGUGAAGAAGCAAAAACUUAGGUUCAACCGAUACUAACCGAUAAUUGUUGAAGAAGAAAGGUGGGAUGCCUACCGGGGCAUCCCCAAGCUUAGAUGCUUGAGACUUCUUGGAAUAUUAUCUUGGGGUGCCUUGGGCAUCCCGAAGCUAGAGAUUUUGUGUCUCCUUAAUUCCUUUUAUAUCUCGGUUUCCUAAACCUCGAAAGCUUCAUCCACACCAAACUCAACAAGAACUCGUGAGAUAAGUUAGUGUAAACCAAUGAAAAAACCUUAUCAUUUUCUACUGUAACAAAUCACAAAAAUUAUUAUUCAACAUUGCAUACUAAAUUUCUCUGUGUAUUUAAUACUCCUAUCCUCAAAUAGAAUCAUUAAACAAGCAAACAUAUGCAAACAAUGCAAACAUAACAGCAAUCUGCCAAAACAGUACAGUCUGUAAAGAAUGCAAGAUUCAUCAUACUUCCCUAACUCCAAAAAUUAUGAAAGUUCUACCACACUGUAGAAUAUUUAUCAGAUCUCAAUAUGCAAGAAGUUUCAACAUUUUAUCAUUUUCUGUCUUUUCUAGGGAAUUUUUGCAACAGCGGUAAACUUUCUGUUUUGAAGCAGCAACAUGUACACUUGCAAAAUAAGCAUGGUGAAGACUAUCCUUGAAAUUUUUAUUGAAAAUAUAGAUGCAAAAAAUUUAAAUAACAGAAAGCAAAUACUAAAAAAAUAAAAUGACGCUCCAAGAAAAACACAUAUCAUGUGGUGAAUAAGAAUAUAGCUCCAAGUAAAGUUACCGAUGAACGAAGACGAAAGAGGGGAUGCCAUCCGGGGCAUCCCCAAGCUUAGGCUCUUGGUUGUCCUUGAAUAUUACCUUGGGGUGCCUUGGGCAUCCCCAAGCUUAGGCUCUUGCCACUUCUUAUUCCAUAGUCCAUCGAAUCUUUACCCAAAACUUGAAAACUUCACAACACAAAACUCAACAGAAAACUCAUAAGCUCCGUUAGUAUAAGAAAAUAAACCACCACUUAGGUACUGUUGUGAACUCAUUCUAAAUUCAUAUUGGUGUAAUAUCUACUGUAUUCCAACUUCUCUAUGGUUCAUACCCUCCGAUACUACUCAUAGAUUCAUCAAAAUAAGCAAACAACACAUAGAAAACAGAAUCUGUCAAAAACAGAACCGUCUGUGGUAAUCGGUAACUCUCGAAUACUUCUGUAACACAAAACAUUCUACAAAAUUAGUAAAAUCUGAGAAAUUUGUGUACCAAUCCAGAGCAAAAAUAAUCAGAUCAAAAUCACGUUUCUCUGAAUUAUCAAAACUAAUUUACUGGGCGCAAAAGUUUCUGAUUUUCAGCAGGAUCAACACAACUAUCACCGUAAGCUAUCCUAAAGGUCUUACUUGGUACUUUAUUGAAACAAAACCUAUAAAACAUGAUUACUAAAGUAGCAUAAUCAUGUGAAUACACAAAAACAGUAAAGGUAAAUAUUGGGUUGUCUCCCAACAAGCACUUUUCUUUAAUGACUUUUAGCUAGGCAUGAUGAUGACAAUGAUGCUCACAUAAAAGAUAAAAAUUGAAACACAAUGGGCGCGUCAUGAAGCAUAUGACUAACACAUUUAAGUGUAACCCACUUCCUAUGCAUAGGGAUUUUGUGAUCAAACAAUUUAUGAGAACAAGAAUCAACUAGCAUAGGAAAGCAAAACAAGCAUAACUUCAAGAUUUUAAGCACAUAGAGAGGAAAGUUAAUAUUAUUGCAAUUACUACAAGCAUAUAUUCGUCCCUCAUAACAAUUUUCAGUAGAAUGAUGAAUGAAUUCAACAAUAUAAUUAUCACAUAAAGCAUUCUUUUCAUGAGCCACAAGAAUAUAAUUUUUAUUACUCUCCACAUAAGCAAAUUUCUUCUCAUGAAUAGUAGUGGGAGAAAACUCAACAAAAUAACUAUCAUGUGAAGCAUAAUCCAAUUGAAAAUUAAAAUCAUGAUGACAAGUUUCAUGGUUAUCAUCGGAUUUCGGGUUCCGGCAUACCCUUGAGGUUCGAACACUGGGGUGCGCGCGGAGAUUCAACCCUCUAUCGGCUCGCUCCUCGCCGAAUAGCUAGGACCUAAACUACCAAACUGAACAGCACAAGAGACACAAGAUUUAUACUGGUGCAGGCCACCAUUGUGGUGUAAUACCCUACUCCAGUGUGUGGUGUGGUGGAUUGCCUCUUGAGCUUGAUGAUGAACAAUACAAGGCAGAACAGCCUCGCGAGGGUCUGUUCUUGGCUGGUGUGACGAACUGCUGGGAGGAGUUCAAUCGUUCUAUCUACUGGUUCCUUGGUGAGGAUCCCGAUUGCUAGGUCAGGUCCAGAUGCCUCUACCCUGGGGGUGGCUAGUCCUAUUUAUAGGCAAAGGCCCUGGGCCUCUUCCCAAAUAUUGAGCGGGAAGGGUGCCAACAAUUGGCCAUUUUGAAGGGCAACAAUGGGUACACUUAUCCUGACUAAAGAUGGUCCUCGCCUGUCAAAGGCUCUAGUGGUGACUUCCUUCCGGCCGUUGGGCUGGUCUUGGUCUUGUUGCACCGAAAUGGGUGCCUUUGCUUGAUGCUCUCGCCUGCGCUUGCUCCCUUUGCACCAAAGAGGAAAGGAGGACACUACGCGGGCUGGCGCCCGACUGGCGCCCCUGGUCAUCAUGGCUUGCGUCAUGGGCACCUCGCGAGGUACCCCGCCUUGAACUCUCCGCCUCCUCAUGAGCCAGCCUGACGAGACCGUGCCUGAGGAAGCUCCUUGUCGUCCGCCCCGCGAGGCUUGGCCCCUCGCGAGGGUCUUGAGCUUGUGCUAGUGAAGAUGGGCUGUGCUGGGCCUCCUUUGAGCCACCCCGCAGGCCGAAGGCAGGCAAGUCUGGGGACCCCCGUUCCCAGAACGCCGACAGUAGCCCCCGGGCCCACGGCACGCCCGAACUUGGCCGAGCAGAGAGGCAAAAGGGCAAGUGCGAAGCAUCGCGGGCCCUAACAGCCUGCGGCCUUGGGCACCGCGUGGCGGUUGAUUGGACGUGGGCGCCUCUGCUUCCCACGACGCCUUGGUAACCGCACGGAUUCGACAAGUCCCUGCAUGCAAAGCGGGUCAUGAUUACCUGUGAUCGUGGAGGUCGAUGGUUCGCCUUCGCUGGUUAUAAGUACGGAACGGCGCGCGCCCUUCCGGUCUAUCCCUCUGCUUUUCCUCCUUCCUGGGCCUUGCUCCGUCUUGCUGCAAUGGCUCCGAUCCGCCGGUUCUCCGCGGAAGAGAAGGGAAAAGGUCCCCAAGAGGAUCCUGACCCGCUUCCCCCGAUGAAGCAGCUGGCCCUCUGGUGUCAGGGCGAGGGCACUCGCCAGGAAGCGUCAAGACCCUGGUGUGAGCGGCCACCACCAGGGUUCCCUCUUCCCUUGUACGCGCACAUUGGCGGCUCUGAAGGAGUCGACGCCGAACGCUACGAGCGGCACCGCCGACGAUGCCGGCGGGUCAUGAAGGUGUGCGUCUUCCCCCCUGGAGUUCAAGCCGAGGGCUCCUGCCGAGAGUUCGUGCUUCAUGCCGCCACGCCUCCUAAGUCUUGGAUUCGUCUCCCCUCUUUCUUCGCCUCCGUCGUCCGGCGGGGGGUACCCCUCGGGCUUUGGCUGCAACACGCCGGCUGCGGCACCCUCGCGACCGGGGCAGAGGUCGCGGUCGUUGCCCCGGGCGAGGUCUUCAUUACUCGAGUUUGGGGCGAGGUCGCCCAGGUCUGCAAGACGAGGGGCGCCCUCACGAUCCAUCUGGAGUACGAUGGUGCUUCGGUGAUGUCCUUCAAGGUCUUCGAUGCGGAGGGUCGCCGGCUGGAGUGUUUCCACGAGAGAGGCGGUCGGGAUCCUGCCGCGGCGAGACAGAGGCCGGCCGACCGCUCCCUUGGCUGCUCCUCAGGCGACGGAGGCACAGGAGGAUCCAGUGACUCCGCCGAGCUCUUCGCGACCCCGGAGAUGAGCGACGACAGCUACGAGCCCCCGAGCAUGCGCCGUUCCCGGAAGAGGGCGGGCUCGUCAGGCCGUCGCCGCCUCUGAUCUGGAUGGGGUUGGCGUUGGUGCUGGGCGGCCCACUGUUGAUGAUGGCGUCUGCCGCGAUGCCCCCUGUAGUUAGGACUCCUUAGGAUUUGCGCCUUUUGUUCCUGCGAGGGGCCAAGAAUAUACCCCACGGGGGCUUGUAAGAUGUUUGUAGCUUCGUCUGUCAAUAUGAUCCUUAUUGUGAAGUGGUGCGAGAUGCUUAUUCCGUUUUAGCUUAGUUUCCUCCUUUCAGACCUCGCGAGGGCUUGAUGCUCUGCGCCGAUAGGUCCCAGUCCUAAGGCGGCUUCAGCCGUCGCUGGUAUGCCAGGUCACGAUGCCGUGGUCAAGGCCAGGAGGUGAGUGGCCCGAGGUCCGGUAAGAGCCCCUGAGUCGCGAUGCUCAAGAGGUCCCCCUUAGCGCUCAAGCAGCCAUCAUUCAGUGAGAAAGGAGAGCGACGUUGCUAACACGGGAUUGCACUUGGUGCGGGAGCGGUGCUGCGAUAACCAAUGCUUCCGGAGAGUGACUUAUCUCGAGGGUCAGAAUAAUGCUUCCUGGUGCGGCGAUAGAUCCGUGCCUUCGCCGAUGUGAGGUCGCUUGGCGGCGCUCCUUGGAGGGACCCUGCAGGUUCAUCACAAAAGGAACAAGGGUUUGUCGCGACAAUUGACAGUCAGCCGUUAGUUGCUGCGGAGGGGCAUGAAAGGCCCUGCGAGGUGUAUUGGGGUACCCGUGAGCCAGCGUGGGACUCACGGGGCCCUACUUCAAGGCGGGUUGCGCCUGGCUCUGGGCCUUAUCUUCAAGUGUGUUCCUGCAAAUUUGGCCAGAUGCAGGUGCUCUACGUCUUCGGGUCCCGGCUCUCGGGCUGGUAUCAGCCGUCACUGGCAUGCCAGGUCGCGAUGCCAUGGACAAGACCAGAGAGUGAGGGCCGGAGAGCCGGUAGGAGCCCUGAGUCGCGCUGAUCAGGCACCCCCCCUUUAACGCGCAAGCUGGGUUAGAUGUCGAAACUCUACGUCCUCGGGUCCCGGCUCUCGGGCUGGUCUCAGCCGUCACUGGCAUGCCAGGUCGCGAUGCCAUGGACAAGACCAGAGGGUGAGGGCCGGAGAGCCGGUUGGAGCCCUGAGUCGCGAUGCUCAGGCACCCCCCCUUUAACGCGCAAUCAUGGCAAAAAUGAUAAAUGAGCAAGUUAUAACAGUUUCAGCAGAUUAACAUCAACAUGCACUCUUCCAACAGCAUUUCGGGCAUCAAGAUGAGCUCAAAUGAAAAUGAUGCAAUGGAAUGAAAUGAUCUACUCGUCGAGACGAACAAUUUGACAUAUUAUACGCACGAAGCGGAGCUACAGAUGCAGAGAUGUGAUGGCAUGAACAUGGCAUGAUUAUGUUAACAUAACAGGGACAGACGUUUUCAGAGGGGGAAGUCAACCUUGCACGGAUAUUGAUGCACGACGUGAGCUCACCGGAGAACGGGCGGGCGCGGCCGGAGCAAGUGCCGGCGAGGUCGGGGCGGGGCGGGGGCGGCGAAUCCGGCCGGAUCCUCGNNNNNNNNNNNNNNNNNNNNNNNNNNNNNNNNNNNNNNNNNNNNNNNNNNNNNNNNNNNNNNNNNNNNNNNNNNNNNNNNNNNNNNNNNNNNNNNNNNNNNNNNNNNNNNNNNNNNNNNNNNNNNNNNNNNNNNNNNNNNNNNNNNNNNNNNNNNNNNNNNNNNNNNNNNNNNNNNNNNNNNNNNNNNNNNNNNNNNNNNNNNNNNNNNNNNNNNNNNNNNNNNNNNNNNNNNNNNNNNNNNNNNNNNNNNNNNNNNNNNNNNNNNNNNNNNNNNNNNNNNNNNNNNNNNNNNNNNNNNNNNNNNNNNNNNNNNNNNNNNNNNNNNNNNNNNNNNNNNNNNNNNNNNNNNNNNNNNNNNNNNNNNNNNNNNNNNNNNNNNNNNNNNNNNNNNNNNNNNNNNNNNNNNNNNNNNNNNNNNNNNNNNNNNNNNNNNNNNNNNNNNNNNNNNNNNNNNNNNNNNNNNNNNNNNNNNNNNNNNNNNNNNNNNNNNNNNNNNNNNNNNNNNNNNNNNNNNNNNNNNNNNNNNNNNNNNNNNNNNNNNNNNNNNNNNNNNNNNNNNNNNNNNNNNNNNNNNNNNNNNNNNNNNNNNNNNNNNNNNNNNNNNNNNNNNNNNNNNNNNNNNNNNNNNNNNNNNNNNNNNNNNNNNNNNNNNNNNNNNNNNNNNNNNNNNNNNNNNNNNNNNNNNNNNNNNNNNNNNNNNNNNNNNNNNNNNNNNNNNNNNNNNNNNNNNNNNNNNNNNNNNNNNNNNNNNNNNNNNNNNNNNNNNNNNNNNNNNNNNNNNNNNNNNNNNNNNNNNNNNNNNNNNNNNNNNNNNNNNNNNNNNNNNNNNNNNNNNNNNNNNAACCGCCGGCGACGAGAGGCUGCGGUCCGGGCGCGGAGGCGCGGGCCGAACGGCGGCGGCAGCGCGGGCUCGCGCGGUCCUGAUUCAGGUCCCGCGGGCCGCGCGGAGGAGAGAGAUGGCGGCGGGCCACGUGGCAGCGCGCCACUGGCCGAGGGAUUGGCCCGGGCGACGUGGAGGCUGGACAUGUCCGGCGGGGUUGGACAUGUCCGGUGCGCGAGGGGAGCGGGGCUAGGGUUUCGUCCGCGAAAAUGGAAGGGGAGGACGUUUAUAUAGGCAUAGGGAGCUAGGAGAGUCCAAAUGAGGAGCGGUUUUCGGCCACGCGAUCGUGAUCGAACGACCGAGAGCAUGGAGGGGAGUUAGAUGGGUUUUGGGCCACUUUGGAAGGGGUGUUGGGCUGCAACAAAAGAGGCCUCUGCGGUUUCCCGGUUAACCGUUGGAGUACCAAACGACCUACAAAUGGCACGGAACUUGACAGGCGGUCUACCGGUGCUAAACCAAGGCCGCUUGGCAAACCUCGAGCCAUUCCGAGAAAGUUUAACACCCGCACACAAAAGGAGACAAGAAGGGGACGCCGGGUGAGAUAGGAGCACCGGAUUGCAAAACGGACAACGGGGAAAAUGCUCGGAUGCAUGAGACGAAGACAUAUGCAAAAUGAAAUGCACAUGAUGACAUGAUAUGAAAUGCAUAUGAUGAGAUGGCAAAGUGCAACACUGUAACGCCCUCGAUGCGGCUAUAUCUCCCACGUGUCGAAGCACGACUUAGAGGCAUAACCGCAUUGAAAGCAAUGUCGCAAGUGAGGUAAUCUUCACACAACCCAUGUAAUACAUAAGGGAAAGAGAUACAUAGUUGGCUUACAAUCGCCACUUCACACAAUUACAUGAAUAAAGCAUUACAUCAUCUAGAUACAAUCAAGGUCCGACUACGGAACCAAAAUAAAAGAAGAACCCCAAUUGCGACAAAGGUCCCCAAUCGACCCCAACUGGGCUCCACUACUGAUCAACUGAAACGAAACAACACAAUGAACAAGAUCUUCAUCGAGCUCCUCCUUGAGCUUGGUUGCGUCACCUGCUCGGUAACAUAGGCACCUGCAAACUGGUUUUGGAAGUAUCUGUGAGCCACGGGGACUCAGCAAUCUCGCACCCGCGAGAUCAAGACUAUUUAAGCUUAUGGGUAAGGUAAAGGCAUGAGGUGGAGCUGCAGCAAGCGACUAGCAUAUAUGGUGGUUAACAUACGCAAAUGAGAGCGAGAAGAGAAGGCAAAGCACGGUCGAUAAAAGUAUGAUCAAGAAGUGAUCCUGUAGCAACCUACGUCAAGAAUAACUCCAACACCGUGUUCACUUCCCGGACUCCGCCGGAAAGAGACCAUCAUGGUUACACACACGGUUGAUGUAUUUUAAUUAAGGUCAACUUCGGGUUUUCUACAACCGGACAUUAACAAAUUCCCAUCUGCCACAUAACCGUGGGCACGGCUCUCGAAAGUUUAUACCCUGCAGGGGUGUCCCAACUUAGCCCAUGACAAGCUCUCGCGAUCAACGAAGGAAUAGACCUUCUCCCAGGAAGACCCGAUCAGGCUCGGAAUCUCGGUACAUCAAGACAUUUCGACAAUGGUAAAACAAGACCAGCAAGACCUCCCGCUGUGCCGACAAAUCCCGAUAGGAGCUGCACAUAUCUCGUUCUCAGGGCACACCGGAUGAGCCAGACGUCGGGUUGGCAUAGACCCUGGUUGCCCAGGGGGCGCCGGACAUCGCUCAGGUUGGACCAACACNNNNNNNNNNNNNNNNNNNNNNNNNNNNNNNNNNNNNNNNNNNNNNNNNNNNNNNNNNNNNNNNNNNNNNNNNNNNNNNNNNNNNNNNNNNNNNNNNNNNNNNNNNNNNNNNNNNNNNNNNNNNNNNNNNNNNNNNNNNNNNNNNNNNNNNNNNNNNNNNNNNNNNNNNNNNNNNNNNNNNNNNNNNNNNNNNNNNNNNNNNNNNNNNNNNNNNNNNNNNNNNNNNNNNNNNNNUAAAAUAAAGAUGACCCUUGGGCUCCGGAAACCCAAGGGAAAAAAAGGGGCUAGGUGAGACAAAUGGUAAAAUGAAGGUUGGGCCUUGCUGGACAAGUUUUAUUCAAAGCGAACUGUCAGGGGGGUCCCAUAAAUCACCCGACCGCGUAAGGAACGCAAAAUCAGGGAACAUAACACCGGUAUGAUGAAAACUAGGGCAGCAAGAGUGGAACAAAACACCAGGCAUAAGGCCGAGCCUUCCACCCUUUACCAAAUAUAUAGAUGCAUUAAUAAUAUAAGAGAUAUUGUGAUAUCCCAACAAGUAAACAUGUUCCAACAAGGAACAACAUCUCCAUGUUCCAACAAGGAACAAACUUUAAUCUUCACCUGCAACUAACAACACUAUAAGAGAGGCUGAGCAAAGCGGUAACAUAGCCAAACAACGGUUUGCUAGGAAUGGUGUCAAAGGUUAGAGGUUUGACAUGGCAAUUUGGGAGGCUGACAAGCAAAUGGUAGGCAUCGUAGCAUUGGCAUAGCAAAAGAGCGAGCAAACUAGCAUAGCAAAGAUAGUAGUGAUUUCGACGGUAUGCUCAUCUUGCCUGAGAUCCCGCAAGGAAGAAGAACGAUUCCAAGAAGAAGACAAACCGUCGUAGACGAACGAACCCUCACAACUUCGGAACGAAACCGAAGCUAACGAGAGAAGCAAACCGGAAAGAAGCAAACAAUAUGGUAAACACACAAGCAUAAACAUGUCAUGAUGCACAAACAAGUAUGAUGCAUGUCCGGUUUAAUGAGGCAUGGCAUGGCAAAGUGCACAAACAACACUACAAGUUAAGUGGAGCUCAAUAUGCAACGAGUUGCAUAUUGACGAAACACCACAUCAAUUAUUUAGUUCUCUCUCGGUUAUGAACACAACAAUAUUAAAUGUUUGUUAACAUGCAAGUGGUGAAGCAUAACAAAAACUAUACCAUCUAAACAAUUUAAAUGGGGCCGGAUAUAAAAACAACAAAUCCGAUAAAUCCCCAUAUGCAUUUAGCAAUUUAAUGCAACAACAAGUUUAAACAUUUUAAUUGUUGCUAUCAUGAUGCGGAUGACAUAUACAAGUUUUAUGCAGUUUUAUGAAUACGUUGACAUGAGCAUGUUAUGAAGCAUUUGUCGCCAUGGCGGAACAAAAGGGGUGCCACGGCGGCGAAACGAAAAGGGUGCCACGGCGACGAAACGAAAAGGGUGCCACGGCAACAUAUCCGAAAAUGAUGCCACGGCAACAUAUUGGUUCCGGUAGCUCACGGAGAUACCGGUGCGAAAGGAGGCGUGACGUGAGCGAGUCAUGCAAGAUGGUGGGGUGAUCCCGGCUACCGGGUUCCCACGUGACAGUGGCAUGGCAAAAGAGCAAGGAGCUUGCAAUGACAAUUCGGACACGGUGCACACACAAGCAUUCGUCCACGGUCGUCGUCUUGGCGGUUAUACCUUUGAAUCGUGCAUUAACGAAGCGGAUCAAGUUCGGCGAAGGAAGUAGUCGUUCUCGCGGCGGCGGUAGUGGAAGUAGUUGUACUCGGCCGUAGCGGAAGUAGACGUUCUCGCGACGGUAGUGGAAGUAGUGGUACACGGUGACGGUAGUUGUACACGUGUUGUAGUCGAACUUGACGGAGCCAACGUCCUCAAGGGUAGUCAUGGUACUUGGGGUCUUCGGACUUGCCGGUCUCGGUUUUUGCGACGGUAGUGGUACAUGGCAAUGUUGGGGUACUUGUCGGUCCGGUUUUUGCGGUGUAGAUGUACACAUUGUCGGGGUACUUGUCACAUCACCGGGUGUAAUCGUACACGGGUCCUCGUCUUCAUGGUUCUUGGCGUCCUCACGGCCUUGACAGUGAAGAAACGGAACGCGGCGACAAAACGAGGGUGAGGCAGCAGAGGGCCACGGCUGCUGGUCAACGAAAGUUGCCGGAAGAGGAAGCAAACAAGGCGGCGCGAUCUCUGGCGAAUGGCAAUGCGGCGGCCUGAGGGGUCACCAGCACAAGCGAAAUGGUAGCGGGCAACGCUGCUGUCGAGAGAUGGAGGUCGGGGCCGGAGCUGAGCAACGCCAGCAGGGGCGGAUGGGCGCGAAGAGGCCGGGAGGAGCAGCGCUCGGCACCGGUUGACGCGGAGCAGGGGAGGCGGAGCUCCUGCUCGAAGAGGUGCGACGAGGAGAACCACGGGCACGAAGGAUGGCGGCGAGGACGAUGGAUCCGGGCGGCGGCCGCGGCUCGAGAGCCUCUCCCGAUCGGGACGAGGACGGCGAGGGCCGAGCGAGUAGGCGGCGUCAUGAGGGACACUGACGGCAGGGUCGCGCGCGAGGAAGGAGAGGCCGGGGCGGCGGCCAUGGCCUCGGCGAAGGGGUCGGGUGCGGGACUCCUGUGGGGCGGCGAUGCAACAGAGCGGCAGCUCGGGAGAAGACGAGAGGGAGAGGAUGAGGGGAUCGGGAUGAGUGGCCACGGGAGCGAGGGUAGGUAACAGCGCGAGGGGAGAAGUGGGGAUCGAGGGAGAGAGAUGCGAGCGCAAAGGAGGGAGAUGGAGGCGCUGCGGGAGGGAGAUGGGAUCGAGAGGAGGGUUCGCUAGGGGGUCGACUAGGGUUAGCAGGGGGAUCGGUGGGCCUCGGUGAUGGAUGGGCCGGCGAGAGGCCCAGCUGGGCUGGACUCUCUUCUCCCUCUCCCCUAUUUCCUUCUCUCUAAAUAACAGAGAAAUAAAGAGAAAGAAAAGAGAGAAGAGAAGGUUAGAGGAAGAAUUUGGGCAGGAGGACAACUUUUCCAGAGUCAUAAAAAUAUGAGGAAUUUGACAAAAAUGGCCUGACAAUUUUUGGAGGAAGUAAAAUCCACACACGUUGGAUUUAACUCGGUAAGUUCGAAUUUCGAAACUCAUUCAAACGAACUCCAAAUGGGUUGAAAUUAUAGGAGGUGACCCUACACAAUAUAUGUGAUUUAUGGGCAGAUUUGGGACAUUUAUGGGUAAAGUAAAAUUGCCACUCAAUUUUACUAAAAGGCCCCAAAGGAAGAAGGGGAAGUUGAGAAGGAUAAAAGGAAAUUUGAAGAACAGUGCAUAUGUGUUAUGGGUGAUUCCAAAAAUGGAAUAUUUAUAAUAUCUCUCUAAAUAUCGAGAGGAUAUGUUUCAAAGAGAAUCACCAUGUGAAUUCCCUCGAUUUAAAUGGACCGAAGAUCCAUACGGUUUAUUUAGAUGAGUUAUAAAAAGGGUUGGAUGAUGACAUGAUGCAAUGCAAAUGAUGCAAUGAUGAAUGCAUGACAUGAACAAAAAGCAAAACGAAGACAAAAACCCAACCACAAGGAAAUAACAUAUCACAUCUCUGGAAAAGGCAAGAGUUGGAGUUACGGAUAUGGAAAGUUGCAUCCGGGGCGUUACAACACUCCACUACUACGAGAGGAUCUCGUCCCGAGAUCUAGAAUGGCACCGGAGGGAAAACAGAAUUGAAAAAGAAAGGUAAAACUAAGUUGCUUCUUUGACAAACGAGUGAAACCACAAACCUUGAGAGGUUGAGCAAUUUAAAAGAAAGAGUACAAUAGAGAUGAACGAGAUUGCAAACAAUCCAUUAGAAAAGAGGAACAAGGAGUAUUACGAGAAUUUGAAGGUUGCAAAGACAUGAAUCAAGAGUUUAAUGGACAAUGUAGAAUUCGAAACCACUCCGGUUAAAACAAGAUGAGAGAGGAAGAAUUCGGGCAGCACUCUGGUUCAACAUGGAAGGAAUAGAACAUGAACUUGAGAAGAUGGGAUGAUACUUGAUGAAAUCAACAACACACUAUCUCUGGAACUAUUGAAAGAAUGACACAAGGGGUAAGAAAGAUUUUAGACAGCUCUCCAGUAGAGGAAGGAGGGAAAACUUGAUAAAAAUUAGAGAACUCGAAUGAAAACACGACACUCCAGUUAAAUGGAUAAGCACGAAAAAGAACGUGAUCUUGACAAAGUGAUCUGAUGGGUGAAGAGAGCAACAUCACAAAGCCUCCGGGAGAAAGAAUAGAAGAUCGGUCAUUGGAAUAACAGAAUGGUGGGGGAAAUGGCAACUUCUGCCACAAUUGAGCUUGGAAAGCAUCCUUGCAAGAAGGUUAGAAUAGAGUUGUUGGAAGACCAACAACGAAAAGAAUAAGUUUUUAGUGGGCUUAUGGAAACAUCUCAACAUUAUGAGGUGACAACCGGCCACUAACGGAAACAAUUGCUUGCUUGAGAUCGACGAAGAGAUGAACACUUCUUCCAUCAAGAUGGAAAAGAGAUAACUUGGGUCAUUAAUAAGCACCAAAAUAGCAACAUUCCUUAGGGAAGGCUUUAGGUGAAAUCUAUACCAAGAUAACUCCAAAGAAGAGAUUGGUGGAUUUAAAAUACCUCAUUCUUGACAACAUGAAACAUGAAACAUGAAUGAAACUGUCAAAAUGACAUAACACCACCUGAAAAGAUAAUGUCGAAAGAAUUGCACUUCGGAAUGCAAGAUGAAGAAUGCUUGAACUCCUCAAAACAAAACAUGUGUUGAGCACCAUGUUUAUUUUACAGUAAAGCUUGGCGGAUCUUAACUUCGAGAGAAAUCUUGAAGAACAAUUGAAGAAUGAAAGGAAUCCUUGAUGAACCACCAUGUAGAGCCUCAAAGAAGAACUCCGGUAAUAAAAGGAUGAUAAAAAGAAAGAGAAGUUGAAAACACAAGGUGAAUCCUUGCCAUGAUUUAGAUGGAUCUCCGUGAUAAUUAGAGCUUGGAACUCCGGGAAAAAAGAGAAGAUGAAACAAAUGAAACCGAGAAUUUAUUCAUCAUGAACAAACUCCGAAAGAAGGAAUUAAUCACUUGGAUGAAACAAGAAUAAGAAUUAUGUUAUGCGUAUCCUUCACCAAUUUAAAUUGAUGACAAGCAACGGAUUUGGCAUACUACUUAUUCUCGUAGAAAGGAUUAAAGAGAGAUAUAGCGCCAACUUGAGAAGGUCUUCAACGAACCACCGGUAGGAUUGGAACAACAAUUGAAUUGAUAUGAUGAACAAAGAAAGAGAACUCUUGAAUGAACCACCGUAAGAAUUGAAAAUGAACGUAGCAAAGGCACAAUGCACCGGGAAGAAUUGGAAAACGAAUGAAGAUACUUGAGGGUAUUUAGAUACAAAUGAACGAAUAGAUCACGAGCUGAUUAGAUAAUACUUGAAUGAUGCACCGGUAUGAUUUGGAGAACGAGAGCUGAAAGCUUGAAUGAAUAAUACUUAUGAUGGGCUCCGGAUGACAAACUGAGAAGACUCUUGAAUAUCUCCUGAUGGGUGAAAAAGAUUCUCACAAUCGAAAACAAUUAUGAGAGGAUGGCAACAAGCUAGCACCAUGAAUCUUGAAGAGAAUAGAGCAAGAUUAAAGAGAAACUCUUCUUCGGUCUUCAAAUGAUGAGAAUGACAACGAGAAGCACCACCAAGAAUUAUUGAGACACACCGGAAGAAUCAAAAGCGAAGAGGUUGAGCCAACUAUGAAAAGAAUUUGAAAGAUCUUGGAGAAAAGCAUUUGACUGAUGAUAACUCAUUCUUACGUCAAACUUGGAGAAGAAUUUAGGAUAGCUCUGGGAAAAUAGAAGAGUCAGGUAAGAUCCUGGGAAAAGACCUGUGGGUUAGGGCCCACUCAAAAGAAAACAUCGUUGAAAUGAUUUAAAAGAGAUGUUGCACCGGUUGAAUUAAAUGACUUGAAUGAGAUACCAAUCUCGAAAGAACUAGAACGAAUGCAGAGUGGAAACACGAAUCUUCGAGAUAUCUUGAGCACUCCGGAAUAACAAAUAGCGAGAAGUAGAAUGAUAAUGAGGUGCACUGGUAUGAGAAGACAUAGAAAUGAGGAAAAAGGUAUGACCAACAAAACUUGACUUGAAUCCACCGGAGAAGAGAAAGGAAUGAGGAAUGACGAACUAGAAGAACAUCUUCUUGAGAACCACCGGGUAAGAACAUUGACGGAAAAGAAUGGAGAAACUUCACAAAAUAAAAGGAUACUUGGUAAAGAAAUCUUAGUCCUUGAAGAAAAAGGGUGGGAGGGCGGGAAAACAAAGGCAACUUGGAGACGGAUGAAACAAACACCGUUGAGAAGAAAUGAUAAUUGGUCUUGCUGAUGUUGAAGUGAUCGGAUCCACUUGAAGAGAAACACGCCGGUUGAAAAGGAUUGACAUGACAAUCUCGAUUGUCGAGAAGGAUUGGUAUUCACAUUGGAGUAUGAGAACACCAUUUCGGAAAGGUAUGGAAUCAACACUCGACAUUGAAGCAACUCGAAUACCACAACUCAAAACAAAAACAAAGGACUGGCUUGCAGAAUAAGCCGGAACAAAUACAUAUGAUAGAGAUUUACCCAAUCCCAUAUCAUGCAUCUGUCGGAAAGAUAUUCUAGGAGCUACUUGAAUUCCCACCUAUGAAACUCCCGAAAUUUUCCGGUUAUGCAAUCAGGUGUUGGGGAUACAGGGGAAGCAUAAUAUAUCUCACCCAAACUAACAAUCCCUACAUCCAAGCUGUAUCCAUCCGUCGACACAUAACCAAGAAACCUUCGGAAAUCGUGUACCUCAACCUUCGAAAAGCAUCCGUUAUACGAGUCAUGGCAAUACUCCCAUACUCACCUCAGUACUGGGUUAUCGGGGUUAUCUCACCAACAACUGCAUAAAAGAGAUUUUCGAUGUCGGCGCACUAAACUCAGGUGUUCCAGAACUGCAACGAUAAAAUUAUGAUGACAACACCUCAGAGCUCAACUCCCCGGGACACCUCCACUAAAAAAAACCCUGCUGACGGGAGGCACCAAGACAAUGUUGUCAUCAUAAAACCAUCGGAACGAUUCUAAGAUACCCGCGUGAUCCUAAAUUUUUUUUAGUGAAAUUUGAGAAGAGAAGAGUCAAAACUUCUACGUCAGGAGACCUCACCAGAGCGACGAAGGGACUGAGGAGUAAAAAGAAUUCCUAACUCUCUGAUAUAUAUAAUCCUAAAUGACUCAAAACAUUUUUCUAGACACAACUCGGCCGCUAAAAACGAUCAAGCAGUGGGGCUCCUAAGGUCGGGGAUGGCUCUGAUUACCAACUUGUAACGCCCUCGAUGCGGCUAUAUCUCCCACGUGUCGAAGCACGACUUAGAGGCAUAACCGCAUUGAAAGCAAUGUCGCAAGUGAGGUAAUCUUCACACAACCCAUGUAAUACAUAAGGGAAAGAGAUACAUAGUUGGCUUACAAUCGCCACUUCACACAAUUACAUGAAUAAAGCAUUACAUCAUCCAGAUACAAUCAAGGUCCGACUACGGAACCAAAAUAAAAGAAGAACCCCAAUUGCCACAAAGGUCCCCGAUCGACCCCAACUGGGCUCCACUACUGAUCAACUGAAACGAAACAACACAAUGAACAAGAUCUUCAUCGAGCUCCUCCUUGAGCUUGGUUGCGUCACCUGCUCGGUAACAUAGGCACCUGCAAACUGGUUUUGGAAGUAUCUGUGAGCCAUGGGGACUCAGCAAUCUCGCACCCGCGAGAUCAAGACUAUUUAAGCUUAUGGGUAAGGUAAAGGCAUGAGGUGGAGCUGCAGCAAGCGACUAGCAUAUAUGGUGGUUAACAUACGCAAAUAUGAGAGAGAAGAGAAGGCAAAGCACGGUCGAUAAAAGUAUGAUCAAGAAGUGAUCCUAUAGCAACCUACGUCAAGCUUAACUCCAACACCGUGUUCACUUCCCGGACUCCGUCGGAAAGAGACCAUCACGGUUACACACACGGUUGAUGUAUUUUAAUUAAGGUCAACUUCGGGUUUUCUACAACCGGACAUUAACAAAUUCCCAUCUGCCACAUAACGGCGGGCACGGCUCUCGAAAGUUUAUACCCUGCAGGGGUGUCCCAACUUAGCCCAUGACAAGCUCUCGCGAUCAACGAAGGAAUAGACCUUCUCCCAGGAAGACCCGAUCAGGCUCGGAAUCCCGGUACAUCAAGACAUUUCGACAAUGGUAAAACAAGACCAGCAAGACCUCCCGCUGUGCCGACAAAUCCCGAUAGGAGCUGCACAUAUCUCGUUCUCAGGGCACACCGGAUGAGCUAGACGUCGGGUUGGCAUAGACCCUGGUUGCCCAGGGGGCGCCGGACAUCGCUCAGGUUGGACCAACACUCGAAGGAGCACUGGCUCGGGGGGCUAAAAUAAAGAUGACCCUUGGGCUCCGGAAACCCAAGGGAACAAAAAGGGGCUAGGUGAGGCAAAUGGUAAAACCAAGGUUGGGCCUUGCUGGACAAGUUUUAUUCAAAGCGAACUGUCAGGGGGGUCCCAUAAAUCACCCGACCGCGUAAGGAACGCAAAAUCCGGGAACAUAACACCGGUAUGACGAAAACUAGGGCGGCAAGAGUGGAACAAAACACCAGGCAUAAGGCCGAGCCUUCCACCCUUUUCCAAAUAUAUAGAUGCAUUAAUAAUAUAAGAGAUAUUGUGAUAUCCCAACAAGUAAACAUGUUCCAACAAGGAACAACAUCUCCAUGUUCCAACAAGGAACAAACUUCAAUCUUCACCUGCAACUAACAAUGCUAUAAGAGGGGCUGAGCAAAGUGGUAACAUAGCCAAACAACGGUUUGCUAGGAAUGGUGUCGAAGGUUAGAGGUUUGACAUGGCAAUUUGGGAGGCUGACAAGCAAAUGGUAGGCAUCGUAGCAUUGGCAUAGCAAAAGAGCGAGCAAACUAGCAUAGCGAAGAUAGUAGUGAUUUCGAGGGUAUGGUCAUCUUGCCUGAGAUCCCGCAAGGAAGAAGAACGAUUCCAAGAAGAAGACAAACGGUCGUAGACGAACGAACACUCACAACUUCGGAACGAAACCGAAGCUAACGAGAGAAGCAAACCGGAAAGAAGCAAACAAUAUGGUAUACACACAAGCAUAAACAUGUCAUGAUGCACAAACAAGUAUGAUGCAUGUCCGGUUUAAUGAGGCAUGGCAUGGCAAAGUGCACAAACAACACUACAAGUUAAGUGGAGCUCAAUAUGCAACGAGUUGCAUAUUGACGAAACACCACAUCAAUUAUUUAGUUCUCUCUCGGUUAUGAACACAACAAUAUUAAAUGUUGGUUAACAUGGCAAGUGGUGAAGCAUAACAAAAACUAUACCAUCUAAACAAUUUAAAUGGGGCCGGAUAUAAAAACAACAAAUCCGAUAAAUCCCCAUAUGCAUUUAGCAAUUUAAUGCAACAACAAGUUUAAACAUUUUAAUUGUUGUUAUCAUGAUGCGGAUGACAUAUACAAGUUUUAUGCAGUUUUAUGAAAACGUUGACAUGAGCAUGUUAUGAAGCAUUUGUCGCCAUGGCGGAACAAAAGGGGUGCCACGGCGGUGAAACGAAAAGGGUGCCACGGCGGCGAAACAAAAAGGGUGACACGGCAACAUAUCCGAAAAUGAUGCCACGGCAACAUAUCGGUUCCGGUAGCUCACGGAGAUAUCGGUGCAAAAGGAGGCGUGACGUGAGCGAGUCAUGCAAGAUGGUGGGGUGAUCCCGGCUACCGGGUUCCCACGUGACAGUGGCAUGGCAAAAGAGCGAGGAGCUUGCAAUGACAAUUCGGACACGGUGCACACACAAGCAUUCGUCCACGGUCGUCGUCUUGGCGGUUAUACCUUUGAAUCGUGCAUUAACGAAGCGGAUCAAGUUCGGCGAAGGAAGUAGUCGUUCUCGCGGCGGCGGUAGUGGAAGUAGUUGUACUCGGCCGUAGCGGAAGUAGACGUUCUCGCGACGGUAGUGGAAGUAGUGGUACACGGCGACGGUAGUUGUACACGUGUUGUAGUCGAACUUGACGGAGCCAACGUCCUCAAGGGUAGUCGUGGUACUUGGGGUCUUCGGACUUGCCGGUCUCGGUUCUUGCGAUGGUAGUGGUACAUGGCAACGUUGGGGUACUUGUCGGUCCGGUUUUUGCGGUGUAGAUGUACACAUUGUCGGGGUACUUGUCACAUCACCGGGUGUAAUCGUACACGGGUCCUCGUCUUCAUGGUUCUUGGCGUCCUCACGGCCUUGACAGUGAAGAAACGGAACGCGGCGACAAAACGAGGGUGAGGCAGCAGAGGGCCACGGCUGCUGGUCAACGAAAGUUGCCGGAAGAGGAAGCAAACAAGGCGGCGCGAUCUCUGGCGAAUGGCAACGCGGCGGCCUGAGGGGUCACCAGCACAAGCGAAAUGGCAGCGGGCAACGCUGCUGUCAAGAGAUGGAGGUCGGGGCCGGAGCUGAGCAACGCCAGCAGGGGCGGAUGAGCGCGAGGAGGCCGGGAGGAGCAGCGCUCGGCACCGGUUGACGCGGAGCAGGGGAGGCGGAGCUCCUGCUCGAAGAGGUGCGACGAGGGGAACCACGGGCACGAAGGAUGGCGGCGAGGACGAUGGAUCCGGGCGGCGGCCGCGGCUCGAGAGCCUCUCCCGAUCGGGACGAGGACGGCGAGGGCCGAGCGAGUAGGCGGCGUCACGAGGGACACUGACGGCAGGGUCGCGCGCGAGGAAGGAGAGGCCGGGGCGGCGGCCAUGGCCUCGGCGAAGGGGUCGGGUGCGGGACUCCUGUGGGGCGGCGAUGCAACAGAGCGGCAGCUCGAGAGAAGACGAGAGGGAGAGGAUGAGGGGAUUGGGAGGAGUGGCCAUGGGAGCGAGGGUAGGUAACGGCGCGAGGGGAGAAGUGGGGAUCGAGGGAGAGAGAUGCGAGCGCAAAGGAGGGAGAUGGAGGCGCUGCGGGAGGGAGAUGGGAUCGAGAGGAGGGUUCGCUAGGGGAUCGGCUAGGGUUAGCAGCGGGAUCGGUGGGCCUCGGUGAUGGAUGGGCCGGCGAGAGGCCCAGCUGGGCUGGACUCUCUUCUCCCUCUCCCCUAUUUCCUUCUCUCUAAAUAACAGAGAAAUAAAGAGAAAGAAAAGAGAGAAGAGAAGGUUAGAGGAAGAAUUUGGGCAGGAGGACAACUUUUCCAGAGUCAUAAAAAUAUGAGGAAUUUGACAAAAAUGGCCUGACAAUUUUUGGAGGAAGUAAAAUCCACACACGUUGGAUUUAACUCGGUAAGUUCGAAUUUCGAAACUCAUUCAAACGAACUCCAAAUGGGUUGAAAUUAUAGGAGGUGACCCUACACAAUAUAUGUGAUUUAUGGGCAGAUUUGGGACAUUUAUGGGUAAAGUAAAAUUGGCACUCAAUUUUACUAAAAGGCCCCAAAGGAAGAAGGGGAAGUUGAGAAGGAUAAAAGGAAAUUUGAAGAACAGUGCAUAUGUGUUAUGGGUGAUUCCGAAAAUGGAAUAUUUAUAAUAUCUCUCUAAAUAUCGAGACGAUAUGUUUCAAAGAGAAUCACCAUGUGAAUUCCCUCGAUUUAAAUGGACCGAAGAUCCAUACGGUUUAUUUAGAUGAGUUUUAAAAAGGGUUGGAUGAUGACAUGAUGCAAUGCAAAUGAUGCAAUGAUGAAUGCAUGACAUGAACAAAAAGCAAAACGAAGACAAAAACCCAACCACAAGGAAAUAACAUAUCACAUCUCCGGAAAAGGCAAGAGUUGGAGUUACGGAUAUGGAAAGUUGCAUCUGGGGCGUUACAAACACGCAAGCAAAUGACUUGGCAAUGACGGCGAAUAACUGGCGGACACCUGGCGCAUCGAAUCCGGGGCGUUACAUCCUGAGGCGGAACCAGCUGUGCCAUGAUGGCUGUGGAGGCAGCAUCAGGCACGGGCACCUCGGGAAUCGCCUGGGCCAUGGGGGCUGAGCUCGCCCCAGCAGGCUCAGCCAGGCCUCGCGAGGACGCCCGGGCAGGAGAGGCCAGUGUGUCGCAGUCACCUCCUUUCUCUGGCAGAGGCGCUGCCGCAGAGGGGGCCUCAGGAGCUCCCUUCGACUUCUUCACCGCGGGCGCCAGCCUAGCCGGAAGACACGGACAUCAAGCCUCAGCAACAGAACAAUAAUCAAGACAGGAAUCAAGCACUUACAGGUCGUCGCUUGCGGGCUCAAGCAGCCUCAGGCCAUACUUGAAGCCCGAGAGCCGGCUACUAGGAUCAGCUUCAAGGAGCGCAGGAGCAGGAGGUGCGCCCGUGGAUCGCCUCGGGGCUGGGGCAGACCCGCGGGGGAUCAUUCCGGUCCGGUCCUUCUUCGGGAUCGGAGGCAGGCUCCCGCCGCCAUGCUCAUCACCGUCCUCGUCAUCAUCACUCGGAGCAAGGCGGAGAGCGCGGGAGCUGCGCCGAAGGGGGGAGCCCUUGACUCCGCCUCAGAAUCAGCCCCCUCUUCCCACUCCUCUUCUUCUUCCUCUUCGCUGGAGUCACCGGAGGACACGUUCACCAGGUCCUAUGGAGCCUCCACGGGCACGGGCCCAUCCCCGUUGAAGACGGGCAUGGACCCCACUACCUGCUCCCAGUCCUCGCGGAGGAACAGGGGCGUAGGAGCGCCCUCUAGCCUCGCCACGUCGCCCCCAACCAAGGACUCGAGGACCGCACCUAGAUCCUCAUCGGCCAAGACCGCGGGGCUCGGGUGAGGCCUCCACAUCGGAAGUGAGUACUGACGAAGCAGAGCCAGCUGGUGCUCCAGGAAUUCCCUCAGCAGCGAUGCGCCGGUUAGCUUCGCCACUGCCACGCUGGCCGGCCUCAGAUCUGCGUCCAUCUUCUCCAGCACCGGCUUCGCGUGGGGAUCCAGAAGCUCCACUCGGGACUAGUCGUCGGAGCUCGUGGGGUGCUCCGUGGGCAGGAUCAGCCGAGGGUGGAUGCGCCCAGCAUCCGCCAAGAUCCACUUUCUCCUGAAGCCCUUAAUCCGUUUCCCGGGGUUCGAAAUGGCGAUAGAGCCGCCGUACGUGACAAAGCUCGCGCACGCGGAGGCGGAACCACGGGAGGUCCGGAGGGAGAAGUAGUGGCGCAACAAGGCCACCGAGGGUUUCACCCCUACGUGAGCCUCACAAUAGUAGGCAAAGAUCGCCAAAAGAAGGACGGAGUUGGAAUGGAGGUGCAGAGCUUGAAUAUUGUAGUGGUGGAGGACAGAGAAGAAGAACUCAGAAAAGGGAGGCACCAGACCGGCGAUAAUGGCGCUCACGAAGAGCGGAUAGAAGGUGCUCCCUUAGCCUUCAGGGAUGGCAGAGCCGUCCUUGAACACCUUCGCCCCGUCGAUGCCCUGCGCCCCCGCCAUAUGACGCAGCCGAGCAAGGCUCGCCUCCGACACGCUCGGCGAGUCCAAGGCAGACGAGUACCAAGCUCCGACCGGGGCUUGGCGAGGCGCCAUGUCUGGCUAGGGCACGCACGCAGGAGGAGAGGUGCAAGAAAGGGGAUCUGAGCAGCAACUGGAGAGAGCAAGGGAGGCAAGGGGCAGGUGCCGCUCCUUUACCAACUCGCGCAGUUGUGGAGGCGCACACGUCUAGUCAGCCGCCACACGGCGCCCAAGGCCGCAGGCUGUUAGGGCCCACGACGCUUUGCACUUGCCCUUUCGCCUCUCUGCCCGGCCAAGUUCGAGCGCGCCGUGGGCCCGGGGGCUACUGUCGGUGUUCUAGGAACGGGGGUCCCCAGACUUGCCUGCCUACAGCCUGCGGCGUGGCUCAAAGGGGCCCCAGCACAGCCCAUCUUCAUAAACACAAGCUCAAGACCCUCGCGAGGGGCCAAGCCUUGCAGGGCGGACAACAAGGAGCUUCCUCAGGCACGGCCUCGUCAGGAGGCGGAGAGUUCAAGGCGGGGUACCUCGCGAGGUGCCCAUGACGCAAGCCAUGACGACCAAGGGCGCCAGUCGGGCGCCAGCGUGCACAGUGUCCUCCCUUUCCUCUUUGGUGCAAAGGGAGCAAGCACAGGUGAGGGGAUCAAGCAAAGGCAUCCGUUUCGAUGCAACAAGACCAAGACCAGCCCAACGGCCGGAAGGAAGUCAUUGUGGAGCCCAAACAGGUGUCACCACCAGAGCCUUUGACAGGCGAGGACAAACUUUAGUCAGGAUAAGUGUACCCGCUGUUCCCCUUCAAAAUGGCCAAUUGUUGGCGCCCUUCCCUCUCAAUAUUUGGGAAGAGGCCCAGGGCCUUUGCCUAUAAAUAGGACUAGCCACCCCUGGGUAGAGGCAUCUGAUAUCGAGAGACCGGAUCAAGAAUCCAAGAGCCAGAACCAAGUAGCACCAGCCAAGAACAAACCCUCGCGAGGCUGUUCUUCCUUGUAUUGUGCAUCAUCAGCCCUAGAGGCAAUCCACCACAGCACACACUGGAGUAGGGUAUUACACCACAAUGGUGGUCUGAACCAGUAUAAAUCUUGUGUCUCUUGUGUCGUUCUGUUCAGUAGUUUAGGUCCUAGUGAUUAGGCGAAGAGCAAGUAGGCAGAGGGUUAAAUCUCCGCGCGCACCCCAGCGUUCGAACCUCAAGGGUCUGCCGGAACCCGAAAUCCGACACUAGUAAGCUCACAAGCAAAUGAAUGAUUCACUACAUCUAUGCUUGCCUUUUCAUACUUUUUGUCAAUAUUCUUUUAGGGUGGACCGCCCUGUUUCAAAAAUACUGGAACCGUAGACAUGAGUGAAUAGUAUUUCUCUGUGUGAUAUCUUCCAUCAUGUAUGGGCAACAAAUACUUCAUUAUAUAGAAAUAAAGUGUCAUUUCCAGCUUUUACAUAGGCUUCGAUAUUUUACAUGGAAUAUAGUCUGCCUACGUGCUUCGUGUCGCACUACCAACACUCCACCCUUGAAGCUAAACAUUAUGCCACUCAUAAUUCCUUAGUUUAUUUGUUCAAAUAUGAAUUUGAUAUGAUUCUAAUGUUCCUACUUCAAUUUUGAAAUGUGUUUCUGCCUGUUAUAGAGACAUACACUACAAAAAAAAGACACAUCCAUGACAUUUUCGGUCGAACGAAUUUUUUCCUGUCAUACUUAUGACACUUCUAUGACGAUAAUUGUGACAAAACCCGGUAUCAUAAUAGAUGUGGUGGGCUCCUACUUCUAUGAAAAAAAUCAUGGCAGAAAAUGAGCUUUUCGUCCUGGGCGGGCCGGAGACGCAGCUGCAUGACAUUCUUUGGGUCGUCCAUGAUGAAAAAAACCGUGGUAGAAGCGAGGGCGAGGAAAAUAUCGGGGUGUUUCCGGUUACGAUGGGUCGUCGGGGCCGAGCGAUGCACGGAGGUUUGCGUGUUUCUCUCGUACACGCACACGCGCGUGGGUGCGAGGCGUUGGGCUCUAACAGAACUUGAGCGAGGCAUUCGCCUACUUAACCUGAGCGAUUGCGCUAUAGGCUACACGUUACUGAACCCGCGCGAUCGAUCAAUGGCUGUUAACUAAACUCAAUCGAGCGAUUCCUUUGCUACUGCUACUAACUGAAGCUAAUCGAUGCUGUCUCUGGAUGAAUAGUGAGCAUUGUUGGGGGGUUUGGAUGAAUAGUUCCCGGUGGGGGUUGGAUGAACAGGACGCCAUGGUGUUGCCGCUGGAUGAACAUGACCCCGAUCGAUCGAGCCGGUUGGGCGUGGAUGAACAGGAACCCAUGGAGGGGUGGAUGAACAGGACCCUGUGGAGGGAAGGUUGAACAGUAGCUAGUGGAGGGCUGGUUGAACAGUAGCCGGUGGAGGGCUAGAUGAACAGUAGUCUGUGGAGGGGUGGUUGAAUAGGACCCCGUGGCGAGUGUUGGUUGAACAUUAGCCGGUGGAGGAGCGCGCGGUGGACGCUGGAUGAACAGGAGCCCGUGGAUGAACAGUCGCAGGUGGAGGUUGGAGGAGGUCAACGGUGGAUGAACAGUAGCCCAUGGAGGGAGGCUGCAGGAGGUCGACGGUGGAGAUGAACAGUACCCCGUGGAGUCCCGUUUUGCGGUACGCCACACCCCACCCGAUAAACAGGACCCCCGUUUAGACCGUAGCGCUCCAACACAAGUCUGUUUCCUCCGUUUUGCGGUACGCCACACCCCUGCUGAUCAACAGGACCCCGUUUCAACUGUAGGAGGUCCAACAGAAGUCCGUUUCCUCAAUUUUUCGGUACACCAGACCCCUCCCGAUGAAUAGGAUCCCAUUUCGACCGUGGCCGGUCAAACACAAGGUCGUUUCCUCUGUUUUGCGGUAUGCCAGGCCUCAUUCCAUUGGAUGUUCCAUCCUAGCCCUCCCGAGGAACAUGACGACGCAUUCCGUUCCGACCCAGCCGGUUGGCUCCCCAUGAACAAGACAACGACGCAGUUUCUCCGUUCCGACCCAGCCAUCUACACGAGCCCUGGCCGUACGUAUGCGCGAGUAGGCGUUCGAGACCCCACCCGUAUGUAUGUACGUGGCCAUAUUUUCUUUCUUGCACCCUGGCCGCUCUACGUAUGUGUACAUGCUACGUGCGCGCCUCUACUAUGACACGUGCCCUUACACGGCCACGGUUCAACGCUGCAGCCUGCAGACAGACCGAUCAUAUGUACGUACAUGUUCGCGACCAGAAUGACAACGCUACAUACGCUUCGACCAGGUGGGUCCCGACUGUCCGACACUUCCUUGCGUGCGAAGAUGUAGCUGGUGGGUCCCAGCAGUCUGGGGGCGAAUAAUUUUUUUACCGUAAUAUGGACGCACAUCCUUGCGUGAGAAGAUGUAGCUGGUGGGUCCCAGCAGUCAGGGGGGAAACGGUUUUUUCGCGAAUACAGUAGCCCGUCUGGUGGGUCCCUGCUAUCAGGUGGAGGAAUAAUUGUUUUGGGUGUAAUAAGGAGCCAAUUCCUUGCGGCUGCCGUGGACCCAGCUGUCAGCCUAUCAAUGUACAGUACUCUUCUGAUGGAAGUCAUUCCUUGACCACGUUGACCACCCUGCGCCGAGAGCACCAGGGCGGUGGACGACGGUGAGGCCUAGGAAGGGGACAAGGCAGAGCCGGGGAAGACGCGGCAGUGGAUGCCCACGCGUAGAGGAGUACGAGGGUUCACAGGUUCGGCUGCGGUGUGAGGCUGUCGUCGCCACAGAAUAAUAGGGGGUGAGGGUGAGUAGAGGGAUGGCCUGGCGAGCGGUGGGAGUAGUAGGGGGCGGUGAGGCCUCCGCGGCAUGACAGCCGGCCACGGGAGGCAGGAGCAUGCGGCACGACCGGCACUGGUUUGGGCUACUGGAGCAAGAAGACCAGAGGUUGAAGAAGCACUACGGCCGUUGGAUGGACAUCGUACGGUCACUGGAGCUAGAAUCGUUCAUAUUGACUAAGUUAACCAAGCUCUAUGCCUGUCAACUUAGUAGGCCCGCAAGUCAGCCUCCCACUAUGGUGGGUCCCAGCUAGCAGGGGGGUAUUCAUUUUUUUGUGCGUAAUAAGGAGGCACUUCCUUGCGUGCGAAGAUAUAGCUGGUGGGUCCGACCUGUCAGCGGGGGGAACAUUUUUUCGCAAAAUACAAAGGCCCUUCCGGUGGGUCCUAGCUGUCAGGUGGAGGAAUCAUUAUUUUGCGCGUAAUAAGGAGGCAUUUCCUUGCGUGCGGCUGUGGACCCAGCUUUGAGCCUCUCCACAUACAGUCCACUUCUGAUGGAUGUCGUUCAUUGAUCAUGUUGACCAGGCCGCGCCGAGAGCACCAGGUAUGUGGACGACAGCGAGGCCUAGGAAGGGAACGACACGGAGCCAGGGAAGACUCGACAGUUGUUUCCCACACGGAGGAGAGGACAAGGGUUUACUGGUUCAUCUGCCGUCCCCGGAGAAUAACAACAUGUGUGGGUGAGUAGAGGAAUGGCUAGGCCAGCGAUGGGAGUACGGUGGGGCGGUGAGGCCUGCGCGGCAGCAUAGCCAGCCGCGGGAGGAGGGAGCAGGCAAGAGCAAAGAUUGAAGAAGCACGACGGUCAUUGGAUGGACAUCCAACAAUCACUGCUCUCGUGUGUUGACUAAGUUGACACGGUGUUGCAUGUGCGUCAACCUUUUUUUAGGAAAGCAUACGCGUCAACCUGUAGUAGGCGCACAAGUCAGCCUCAAAUCUAUGGAAAACAUCAUACAACCCAUCUGCCAUUAUUUCUAAUAAUGUACAACCCAUUUGCUAAUUCUUAAGAUUUUUUUGGAUCCCAUCUUCUUUUUGUUAGCAUCACACCCCAUAUUAUGGCCACGGUUAAAAGUUAUACUAAAUGGUGCAUAUUUCGAUGCGGUCAACUGUUUUUAAUCCCGAAAUAUCGAUUCACAUUCGAACUAUUUUGAAAAAUAAAUUAUAUAAAUAUAAAAUCCAAAUAAUUGUCCACGCAUAAAAAUCAAUGGAUUUUACAAUCUUGUAAUAAAAAAAUUGAAACUAAUUCCUGGUUUGAUGUGUUUUAAAAAUGUAUAGCCAUUUCUGGGCAAACCGAAUGAAACUCUCCUCAUCUUGAAAGAUUUGUAGCCCAGCAGGGCUGAUAAAGCAAGUAGGCCUCGUUUGGGUAUUUCUUUAAAAAAUAGAACUGGGCUAGCCAUUUUCAGCAAGAAAAAAACACAACUGGGCUCAUGAUGUGGUAAACAUAAAUAAAACCCUGGCUAGAUGGGCCACAUCCCCCGCACAGCCCCGUUGUUACCCUGUUCCGUUGCUAAAACUGGUAUAAAUAACAACUGGUUGUUCCUCAAAAAAAAACUGCGCGACCUGCUGGGUCCCUGAUGUCAGCCGCUCGUAGUGUAAUUCUCUCGUUUAUUGACUACGUUGACAAUGGCGUGAGCCCCAGAUGUCCAACCAUUAGGAGGAACCAAUAUUUUGGGCUUGUAAUAGCGAGGCACUUGCUUGCGUAUUGCCAUGACGCUGGUGGGUCCCUACUAUCAUUCUCUCCACGUACAAUCAUCUCCUUGUUCCUCUCGGUUGUUGACGAUGUUGACAACACAAGAGGGUGGUGCACCGCUCACGGUGAGCGAACCAAGGCGGAGGACGACGGCGAGGCCUCGGAUGGAACGAACAGGAGCCGUGGAAGAUGCGCCAGUCGAGUCGCAGGCGGAGGGGAGUACGAGGGUUGACUGGUUCGGGUGCGGGUGCGUGUUGGGGCUGAUGUCGCCCGAGAAUAAUAGGACAUGUGGGGGAAUAGAGGGAGGGACUAGCCAACGUUGGAGGGUACGGUAGGGCGGAGGAGGCGCAACCAGCCAUGGGAGGCGGGAACAGGCCGAGCCAACGUGGUGGUUUGGUUUGGGCGGCUGGAGGAAGAAGAAGACAAGAGAUAAAAGAUACACGAUAGAUGUUGGAUGUCAAUCCAAUGGCUGAUAGGCAGAAUUGUUUGUUGACUGGCUAGUAAGUCGACACCACCUUGGAUAGGCUAUUUCCUCACGGGUCCCAAAUGUCAGAAUCCAAAUCUGUCACGGUCAUGCAACCUUUCCUAUGAAAUUUUACAGCCCAUUUGAUGUGCUAGUUCGAAAUAAGUUUGUGGGUGCUGGUGGGGUCUAAUCACUUGGCUUGUGUAAUGCACAGUGAGCUCAACUAGCCGGCGAGAGUGAUGUUAUUUCACUUGGUUGGGAUUUGUUACACUAUGUCACUCUAAAUUAAACGAAAGACAAGCGAUGGGCCUUGUUUCAAAGAAAAUAUGAUAGUCACAGCCGAGUUGAAAAGGGCAAGAACAUCUAACUCCUGCUUACAAACUGUACAAAAGCACGAGGGUUAAUUUAUCAUCAGGUUUACACGAAACCCAGGUUGAAAAGGGCAACAACAUCUAACUCCAGCACUGUUUUUGGCAGUCACAGUCAAAUGGAUCGGUCAGGUCCAUAGAAUGAACAUCCUGGGUCGUAAAAUUUACUAGAUUAUGACCACAAUAUGUUGUAAAUAGAAGCCCGACACGUUCAGAAGCUCUUUUGCCCACCUGAAACUCCUUUUUUUGCUCUUAGACAUACCCAUCCGUCAAAACCAUGUUGCUGAUAAACUUAAGCCUGAUGGACAAUAGUAACCACGCAUUCAGCAGGAAGAAUGUGACAAAUCUAGUGUUUGCACGAUUGGCUACAUAUCAUUCUAGCAUUAUUGUCUUCAAUCGAAUCUCAUGAGAAGUGAGAAAAUCCCGGUGCUUACGAAUCCACCGAUUGGUUAUAACUUUCUUACCCCGUCCUGUUGCCUAAAUAGGCAUGAAGAUUGAAAAUAUUUAAGGUCUAAAAAAAGAGUGUCGAAAGAGCAACAACUGAACGGAUAAUUCUAGUACACUAUAUGCGGUCUUCCAAUGUGCGUGAAAUUAUCACCUUUAUAUACAACUUCUCCAGACAUGGAAAGCAUUGCAGCAAGCCAAUAAUCUUGUUCAGAUCAAAACUAUUCAGUUGUAUAUAUAAGAUCUUUACAGAAUCCAACACCAUUGAUAGGCCAUCCAUGGAGAAACUCUUCAUUGAUCAUAGAACAUAAUAUUAGUACAAAAUGUGUACUCCAAGAUGAUAUAUAUAACUUAUGCGCAGAAAUUUAAAAUGCAGCUUAUGGUUACAAGUGUAGAUGAUAAUAUAAAGUACCUGAAGAAUUGUGGAGCCAAACACCAUAUUGAAAUGAGCACAGAGAUCAUGUAUUACACCCAGGGUCUCUAGUUUAGGCGCAGAGAGGACGGUUAUUUGCAAUGGUGAAUAACUAGAAUCAAGGAUCAACCUUUGAAGUGAAGGGGCAUCUUGGAUAAUGAGCUGCCUUCCGUCAAAAGAUAUUCCAAUUCUUACAAGGUUAGGCGACUUUAUUUGGAGACAACCGAUUCUAACUGUGAAAACAAGCACCAAGCACUCCAGGGCAGGGCAACUGGAGUGGAUGAUGCUGUGCAAUGAGGCCUCCGAUAUACGAGCCCGCACAAGUGAAAGUUUCUUGACAAAUGGGAGUCGAAGGUUUAGUACCAGAUUGUCUGGUAGGUAGCACAGUGCAAAGGUGGCAGUGUGGAGAGAGGAGGAAAACCGCGAGAUGGACAUCGGUGCUGAGGGCACAAGUACAUGGAGUUCGGUAUGUGGUAGGUGAUUUCCAGGGGAAUAGUAGAACUCAAGCAGUUGUAGUUUUGUGAAUUCAGGGGAUUUCAGCCAGGCGACCACCAUGCGGGGCAUGGUAUGCUUGCUCAGGUAGCAUGACGGGAUGCAGCGGCUUUGAACGGAGCCCUGGUGGGAGGAGAUGAUGGCUCUGUGGAUUUUGUAAUCAUUGAAGAGAGAUAGCUGACGACAGUCAAGAUUAAGGGGCAUAGCGCGCCAUAGAGGGCGCCACCGAAGUGAGAGGACUUCAGUGCGACAGCAUUCCUUGGUGGGGAGAAACGAGAUGAUCUGCCCUAGGACGGCAUCCGGGAGAUCCCUGAUGCGGUCAACCCGAGAUUCUACGGGUUCCUGGGAUCCGGUGGGGGCGGGGUUGCCGCUUCUCCCCGCGCUGCCGGGUGCGGGAUCUACAACAAGCGUCGCCGCUGGCGGGAGCCUCAUCUUCUUGGCGUUAGGGUCAGCCGACUCCAUUUUCCUCGAGGGCGUCGUGUCACGCUCACGGAUUUGAGCAGAGUAACGAAUGACGAGCCUAGUUGUAGUGCCAGUGAAGAAGAAGGGGAGCUGGGGGUUUUCUAUAGUAGUGAGGAAGAAGGGGAGCUGGGGUUUUCUGUAGGAGUGAGGUGAGGAAUUUGGGGGUACGAGUGGAGCGAGCUGACGUGUGGUGGGUGGGAGUGAGGAGGAAGAAGAGCACCCAGGUUUUUUGGGGGGCGGUGUGCUGGGUGUGCGUAGCGCCUCCCAUUCAGUAAAUAUAUGGUCUUUUGAAUUGAUUUUACUUUUUACUAGGGUGGAUGGGCUGUUUUGUCUUGGGCCCAGAGAAACAAUUACUACUAGUACAAUGGAGACAAUCUACAUCUACCCAGAAAAACAAUUACUACUAGUACAGUGGAUACAAUACCGUUUUUGGCUCCUCAUAGGUUAUCGAAACGUCUCCCUCUACUGAAUGCCAUUUUACUUUUGUUCACCGACAUGCGGGCCAUGCAGCGUGUGGACCCAAAUGCCAUCCACCAAAUUAGAAGGCAGUAUGCAGGUGGAGAGUUACCCCGGUCGUAGGUGGCAGUAACGAGCCGUCGUAUCACAAAACCCCACCUCCACUACAAACAAAAUACACUUUCGUGAUGAUACGUGUUUGUCAUAGUAGGUCGCGUUACUUGUCAUGCAUGUACAUCCAUGACGAUUUUAUGACAGAAUCAAGAUAGUCAUACCUGUGCUGUCGUAGAAGUGUUCCAUGACAUUACCAAAAUUAUCAUCACGGAAGUGUCUAGUUCCAUGACGAUAAAUCGCGUGUCACAGAAGUGCUUUCGUCAAGGGUGACCAACACGUGACAUCCACUGUAAAAGAACGCCGUUAAGCUAUCGGGUCCGGUUUUGGAUCCGAUAACCCAUUAACAGCCCCGACCAAUGGGGAUUUUCCACGUGUAAAAUCAUCAAUGGCUGGAGGAAACACGUGUCUGCUCACCGUUGGGACAGAUGUCAUCCACUCAUUGGACCGAAGGCGCCUAUGAUAUGUCAACACGUGGCACGGCCCAACAGAGGCCCAUUCCUAUGAAAAGGCCGGCCCGUUUCACUUGGUCAAAAGGUGGCGGGCCGGCCCACGGAAAGCCUGGCAUGUUUGCAUAUCGCCCAUUUACAGCCCGCUAACCCAGGGCCCGUUACGACUAAUUCAAAUUAGGCCCAGUAGCAUCAUCUGGACCGUCCAAUAUGAUUCCAGCCCAUUUUAAGUUCCGGACCAUGUAUGGCCCAUGACAUCUUUCGGCCCAUAUGAGGCCCUUUGUAAAUGUUGGCCCAUUAAAGGCCCAUGGUGAAACUGGCCCGUAAUGAACAGUGUAUCACUUUAUAGCAAUUAACAGCCCAUUAAUCCAUUGGGCCGUUUGCAGCCCAUGUUAUCUUUUGGCCUUCUCAGGGCCCAUUUAUUCAUGGGCUCGUUUCUAACAUUCGGUUACUUACGACCCGUUACUGUCAUUUUCUGCUUGUGGGCCAAAUUCAGCCUGUGGUUACAGUCAGCCCGUUUGUUGGCCAUUAAUACGUUGGGCCAUUUUCAUAGCAUCAUCAAAUAUGGCCUAUUAAUGAUGGCCCAUUAUGGUCGGCCGAUGAAUGGACGAUUCCAACUCUAGCCCGUUUACGACCAUGAUGCAGUCUGUUAUUGGCCCAUGUUUGGCCAAUCGAUCAUACGGCCCGUAUAAGGCCCAUUGAUGAUAUGACCCAUAGAAGGCCCAUUGUUUCUACGACCCGUAGGAGGCCCAGUGUCACUACAGUAAAUAUGUAGCCCAUGGUUAUUUUGGCCUAGUUUUAAAAAAUAGGUUAUUGCAGCCACUAGCGAACUGCGGAAAAAGAACUGCACUGACUACAAGCAAACAAAUAAUCAAGACAACAAGGAAAUAAAUAAGCAAGCAACUUACCCUAGGCUAUCACGGCUAUUACACAUAUUACAUCCACUGGGCAUCAAAGUUCGCCACCAGUGCAAAUAAACGCGCCGUCAAAACAAUAUACAAAACUGAGAGCACUUCAGAAGGCACUUGACCUGGCCAGGUCGGGCCCCCCAAACAGCUGAAGAAGCUGAGUAGACCUCAGUUGUGUCAACGAUAGAUGCAUCACCCAUAGAUGUAUGGCAUGAUGGUGCGCGAGGCAGUCCUGUGACAUCUUCAUUGCAUCUUUGACUUCAAGUCGGAGCUGAGCUGAAGCAAGCCUUUCCGCUUUAAGUUGAGACUGAAGAAGUCGAACUGAUUGAGGCAGCGACUGCACAGAGGUUGUCUCACACCUUCUAGUGAGUAGCUUCAACUCACUGUCUUCAUCAAGAGAGGACCUUGGGGCCAUCUCGCUGUCCUCAAGAUGGCUUGGCUCACUAUCUUCCCUAAAGUUCUGCCUGGCAUAAGAGAUACGACUCUGAAAGAGAAACAAGGAGACACGUAACAUGUUUCACAAUUAUAUAAGCAAAUAAAUGGAUCUGUUCUGCAUAAUGAACAUGUUUUUACAACUACAAAUUGAAACUGGUAGUUGUUGCAAACAUCCAAUCAGAUGUAAACAGCAAAGCAAACAGCAGUGGAGGAAAUGAUGCCUAUCCAAAUCUAUACCAGAACAAAGUUUGGAGGCUUGAGAAGGAUGAACUUACAUUACAUGUUAACUUGGGCUGGACAAAGCCCUUCUCCAUGUUGAUGGAAGGAUAAUUCAAUAAAUUCCCCAAAGAAAAUUCUUUACAAGCGUUGCCAUUAUUCUACAUUUUGCAAAGAGUAAAUAUAGCUAAAAUAAUAUUGGAAGAAACAGAGGAUAAUGAAGCUCAGGUGCAGACUGAUGAUACAUAAUCAAAUAGCAAUUAAUUAAGUACAGUGUUACAAGGCAAAAGGGAGAGAGGUACUGACAAGAGCAAUGUAGAGCCCAGUAUUGUUGUGAGAUCGUAUGAUCCUUUGAGCAAGGAGAUUCACCUGAAAUUAGUUUUCAUACAAGAGAGAAGGUAAGGCACAUGCAGAAAUUUAGGACUUCAAAUUUGAAUUGAUAUCAUAGACAGUACCUGACGCUGGGCUCUCAGCAGUUCUAAUAGGGGUUUGGCCAAUGGAGUAGGGGUAAAGUGUGGUACAGUUGGGCCUGUGUUUUCUAUGGCUGCUGAUCUAUCUGAUUUAACAAGUAUCACUAGCUUUUCCAAAUACCUAGUUUGUACUCCUUGAGGAUCUGCACUCACCCUCUUCCUUUUGGACAUCUAUUACGAAAGAACAACAUUUCACUGGAAAAACAUAGUGUGAUGACACAUGGAAUAGGUACAUAAAAUGGAUAGGUAUGGCAUAUACUCAUAUAUGAUGCUUAAACUAAGAAGAUGGUGUAACAAAGUAGAAGUAAUGCAAGAGGUCAGAUGCAAAAUAUGUGCGACCAAUACAACCUUGCCAAGUUAGAGCAAGCACCUUGAUGGGUGAAUAAGAUAGGCCAUCCUCCACCAUGCCAAGUUUGUUAGCCAGUGGAUUGUUCCGCAAUAUUCCUCUCGUGCACCCAUUCUCAUAUUCAUUUUGAUAAUGUUCAAUAUCUGACAUGCAUGAAAACAUAAAACCAAGUGAGAUUUUCUUUGUAAUGCAGAAGUGAUUCCAAUCCAAUACUGCCUCCCUGUAAACCCCUUUGUGCUAUCUCUGCAAUUCUUUUAAGAGAUGCCAUGCAUGCCGUAAUUUGGUGUGUGCAUUAAUAUAAUGUGGCCUACUACUCAAAAUAUGAGAGCUCCAGAAGUGAUGACACUUUGCAGAUGACAGCUUCAACAUAUAGUAAAGAAGAACAAGUCGACCUGACCGGACAGAUUCAAAAUAUACUAAGGGAGAACAACUCGACCUGAGCAGUCGACCACAAGAGAAGAGGAUCAUCUUAAAGAAGAGCAUAAGAGCAAGCAGAUUGAAGAUAUUACAAGUCUUUCAAUACAAUGUCGGUUGGCCACCCAUGAUGAACCAGAGCGCACAGAUAAAUACUAUUCUUUCCGGUCUCUCCAUAUGUGGCUCACAUGCAUUUCGAAACUAAAGUAGGAACAUUUAGCUAACCAAUUAAACAUCUCUCAGUUUUAUAAUAUCAGCAUAAUAUCAUAUAUGAAUUUGUACAACUAAGCUUGUUUAGCUCGAUGGGUGGAGCAGUGCUAUUACGACACGAACCACGUAGGCCGAUUGUGGUCAUCAUAAAAUGGGGAAAUCAUAAGCAUGAUGAGUACAGUGUUGACCGUGGCAGUGGGAUGGCAGAUAUGAAGCUGCAAACGGCGCAAAGGGUAGUUAGCAACCGAUGUUUGCUUUGAAAUAACAACUAAGAUUUGGUAUGGACAAGAAAGUACAGUCAACAAGUGACAAAGAAAUGCAAUUAUGAUGUCUCUCUAUAUGUCGCGACAUGCAUUUGGAAACUCAAGUGGGACCUUUAGCUAACCAAUUAAAUGUGUUGUUAACUAAUAUCAGUAUCAUAUGACAAUCAUAUUUGAACAACUAAGCUUUCGAAUUCUGAGAGUUGUGUUGUUUAGCUUGAAGGGUGGAGUAAUGCUAGUACGAUAGAAAGCACCUACGCAUAUCAUAGUAGAGUAGAUAAAAGGGGAAAAUCCUAAGCAUCAAGAGAAAAAUCAAGAAAGUGGAACUAGCUGGACCAGUGGGUGGCACACAUGAUUUUCAAAAUGAAUAUAGGAACAUUAGGUGACCAAUUAAAUGUUCUCUAUUUUAGUGAUAUGAGCAUCAUAUGAGAUUCGUAUUUCAACACGUAAGCUUUGUGUUGAGGUCUUGAGUAGCAGUGCUAGCACGACACAAAGCACCUACGAUGAUGGUAGUGAAUAUAAAGGGGGAAACAAUAAGCUUUACGAGUAUAGUGCCCGUGCCAUGGCAGAUCUGAAGGUGCAAACCGGACAAAGCUACUUCGCAAACAAUGCUUGCUUUCAACUAGCCACUACGAUUUGGUACGGACAAGAGAAGUACAAUAAACAAAUUACGAUAUAUUUUCCGGGUGAGAUCAAUAACUUAAGCACAUAUGGAAGAGUACCACCUCUCUUGCGACACCGUGUAGGCCUCUGCUCAUACGUUGAGGGUGCUGCGGGUGCGAUGGCUAUCAGCGGCGGGGAAGAAGACUUUAGAUGGCAGACGGCCGGGUCGUGGGAUAAAUCCUGUUGCCGUGGACGAGGAGGUCAUAGGAGCGACAACGACAAGGUGGACGACGACACCGAUGAAGCGAGAGGACGCGAUGAAAGAAUCCUGGUCCAGCGCCGUGGAUGAGAGACGUCCAUCUCUUGCAGUGGACGACAGGGUAGGGGUAGCGGCUCCGACAAGGUGGAGGAUGGGGUGGCAGACAGAGGAGGCUAGCCGCAGUGGGGAGGUUGUUGUGCCGCCGAUAGUGUAUGAAUGGGGAAAUGGAGGGGAGGGGGGAUCUCAAACUUUGCGACGUGCUUCUUUGAAAUGUGGGAAAGUUACGAACUUUUCCCCCGUUUAACAUUUCGGAUAUCGCGUCGGUUGGGGAUAGGACGGUAAUCUCACAUCUCCCAAAUAUUUGCGAGUAACUAUUUUGGGCGAGGAGAGGGUGUUUUGCCGCCCACGGUUGGCGCCCAUGGCGUAUGAACGGGGCUGACAGGUAGGGCGGUUGUGUCACGUCUGAGGGAAGUUACACAUCUGCCCCUAUUUAAAAUAUUAGCUGAUACGUCUCCAAUGUAUCUAUAAUUUUUUAUUGUUCCAUGCUAUUAUAUUACCCCUUUUGGAUGUUUAUGGGCUUUAUUUUACACAUUUAUAUCAGGACUAACCUAGUAACCAGAGGCCCAGCCCGUAUUGCUGUUUUUUUGCCUAUUUCAGUAUUUCGAAGAAAAGGAAUAUCAAACGGAGUCCAAACGGAAUGAAACUUUCGGGAGCGUGAUUUUUGGAACGAAUGUGAUCCAGAGGAUUUGGAGUGCAAGUCAAGAAGCAAUCAAGGCGGCCAGGAGAUAGGAGGGCACCCACCCACUCUAGGUGCACCCUAUCUCCUGGGCCCCACAGGCGGCCACCGAUGUACUUCUCCCUCCUAUAUACCCACGUACCCCGAAAACAUCCAGGAAGCCAAUGAAAAACAAUUUCCACCGCCGUAACCUUCUGUAUCCGCAAGAUCCCAUCUUGGAGCCUUUGUCGGCGCUCCGCCGGAGGGGGAAUCGACCACGAAGGGCUUCUACAUCAACACCAUAGCCCCUCCGAUGAGUUGUGAGUAGUUUACCAUAGACCUUCGGGUCCAUAGUUAUUAGCUAGAUGGCUUCUUCUCUCUUUUUGGAUCUCAAUACAAAGUUCUCCCCCUCUCUUAUGGAGAUCUAUUCCAUGUAAACUCUUUUUGCAGUGUAUUUGUCGAGAUCCGAUGAAUUGUGGGUUUAUGAUCAAGUUUAUCUAUGAGAAAUAUUUGAAUCUUCUCUGAAUUCUUUUAUGUAUGAUUGAGUUAUCUUUGCAAAUCUCUUUGAAUUAUCAGUUUGGUUUGGCCUACUAGAUUGAUGUUUCUUGCCAUGGGAGAAGUGCUUAGCUUUGGGUUCAAUCUUGCAGUGUCCUUACCCAGUGACAGCAGGGGUUGCAAGGCACGUAUUGUAUUGUUGCCAUUGAGGAUAAAAAGAGGGGGUUUAUAUCAUAUUGCUUGAGUUUAUCCCUCUACAUCAUGUCAUCUUUUUUAAUGCAUUACUCUGUUCCUAUUAACUUAAUACUCUAGAUGCAUGCUGGAUACGGGUCGAUGUGUGGAGCAAUAGUAGUAGAUGCAGGCAGGAGUCGGUCUAGUUGUCACGGACGUGAUUCCUAUAUACAUGAUCAUGCCUAGAUAAUCUCAUAAUUAUUCGCUUUUCUAUCAAUUGCUCGAUAGUAAUUUGUUCACCCACCGUAAUACUUAUGCUAUCUUGAGAGAAGCCUCUAGUGAAACCUAUGGCCCCCGGGUUUAUCUUUUAUCAUAUAAGCUUUCAAUCUAUUUUUAUUUGCAUCUUUACUUUUUGCAUCUAUAUUAUAAAAUACCAAAAAUAUAUUUAUCUUAUCAUACUAUCUCUAUCAGAUCUCAGUUUCGCAAGUGGCCGUGAAGGGAUUGACAAACCCUUUAUUGCGUUGGUUGCGAGUUCUUUGUUUGUUUGUGUAGGUGCGUGGGACUUUUGAGGAGCCUCCUACUGGAUUGAUACCUUGGUUCUCAAAAACCGAGGGAAAUACUUACACUACUAUUGCUGCAUCACCUUUUCCUAUUCAAGGAAAACCAACGCAAGCUCAAGACGUAGCAAGAAGGAUUUCUGGCGCCGUUGCCGGGGAGGUCUUCGCUCAAGUCAAGACAUACCAAGUACCUAUCACAAACUCAUCUCCCUCGCAUUUACAUUAUUUUCCAUUUGCCUCUAGUUUUCCUCUCCCCCACUUCACCCUUGCCGUUUUAUUCGCCCUCUCUUUCCCAAUCUUCUCCUCUCUCUUUCGCUUGCUUUUUUCAUUUUGCUUGUGUGUUGGAUUACUUGUUGCCAUGGCGCAAGAUAAUACCAAAUUGUGUGAUUUCUCCAAUACCAAUAAUAAUGAUUUCCUUAGUACUCCGAUUGCUCCUCUUAAUGAUGUUGAGUCUUGUGAAAUCAAUACUGCUUUGCUGAAUCUUGUUAUGAAAGAUCAAUUCGCCGGCCUUCCUAGCGAAGAUGCCGCUACUCAUCUAAACAACUUUGUUGAUUUGUGUGAUAUGCAAAAGAAGAAAGAUACGGAUAACAAUGUUGUUAAAUUGAAGUUAUUUCCAUUUUCACUUAGAGAUCGUGCUAAAGUUUGGUUUUCGUCUUUGCCUAAAAAUAGUAUUGAUUCUUGGAACAAGUGCAAAGAUGCUUUUAUCUCUAAAUAUUUUCCUCCCGCUAAGAUCAUCACUCUUAGGAACGAGAUUAUGAAUUUUAAACAACUUGAUCAUGAGCAUGUUGCCCAAUCUUGGGAAAGAAUGAAAUUGACGAUUCACAAUUGCCCUACUCAUGGUUUGAAUUUAUGGAUGAUCAUACAAAAAUUUAUGUCGGUGUGAACUUUGCUUCUAGAAAUGUUUUAGGUUCGGCCGCGGGAGGCACAUUUAUGGAAAUCACGUUAGGAGAUGCUACAAGACUUCUUGAUAAUAUUAUGGCUAAUUAUUCUCAAUGGCACACCGAAAGAUCUUCUAGUAAAAAAGUGCAUGCUAUAGAAGAAAUCAAUGUUUUGAGUGGAAAGAUGGAUGAACUUAUGAAGUUGUUUGCUACUAAAAAUACUCCUCUUGAUCCCAAUGAUAUGCCUUUGUCUACUUUGAUUGAGAAUAAUAAUGAAUCUAUGGAUGUGAAUUUUGUUGGUAGGAAUAGUUUUGGAAACAAUGCUUAUAGAGGAAACUUUAAUUCUAGACCGUUCCCUAGUAAUUCCUCUAAUAAUUAUGGAAAUUCCUACAAUAAUUCCUAUGGUAGUUUUAAUAAGAUGCCCUCUGAUUUUGAGAAUAGUGUGAAAGAAUUUAUGAUUUCUCAAAAGAAUUUUAAUGCUUUGCUUGAAGUAAAAUUGCUCAAAGUUGAUAAUUUGGCUAGGAACUUUGAUAGAUUUUCGCUUGAUGUUGAUUCUCUUAAACUUAGAUAUACUCCUCCUAAGCAUGAUAUCAAUGAGUCUCUCAAAGCCAUGAGAAUUUCCAUUGAUGAGUGCAAGGAAAGAACCGCUAGAUUGCGUGCUAAGAAAGAUUGCUUUGUAAAGGCGUGUUCUUCUAGUUUCAAUGAACAUAAUGAUGAAGAUCUUAAAGUUAUUGAUGUGUCUCCUAUUAGAUCUUUGUUUUGCAAUAUGAAGCUUAAUAAUGGGACUGGAGAUGAGUCAACUUUAGUUAGAAGGCAUCCCAAUAAUUUGGAGUUUUUAGAUCUUGAUGCUAAAUUUGGUAAAAGUGGGAUUGGAGAGGUCAUGACUUUAAAUAGCAUUGAACCCACUAUCUCGGAUUUCAAGGAAUUUGAUUAUGAUAAUUGUUCUUUAGAAGGUUGUAUUUCCUUGUUACAAUCCGUUGUUAAUUCUCCUCAUGCUUAUAGUCAAAAUAAAGCUUUUACCAAACAUAUCGUUGAUGCCUUGAUGCAAUCUUAUGAUGAAAAACUUAAUUUGGAGGUUUCUAUACCUAGAAAACUUAAUGAUGAGUGGGAACCUACUAUAAAGAUUAAAAUUAAAGAUCAUGAGUGUUUUGCUUUGUGUGAUUUGGGCGCUAGUGUUUCCACGAUUCCAAAAACUUUAUGUGAUAUUCUAGGUUUCCAUGAUCUUGAUGAUUGCUCUUUAAAUUUGCACCUUGCGGAUUCCACCAUUAAAAAGCCAAUGGGAAGGAUCAAUGAUUUUCUCAUUGUUGCAAAUAGAAAUUUGGUGCCCGUAGAUUUUAUCGUUCUUGAUAUAGAUUGCAAUCUUUCUUGUCCUAUUAUUCUUGGUAGACCUUUCCUUAGAACGAUUGGUGCGAUUAUGUAUAUGAAGGAAGGGAAUAUUAGAUUCCAAUUUCGAUUAAAGAAAGGCAUGGAGAACUUUCCAAAAAGAAAGUCAAAUUACCUUAUGAAUCUAUCAUGCGAGCUACUUAUGAAUCGAGUGCCAAAGAUGGCACUACUUAGAUCUAUCUUCGCUUUUAUGCCUCGCUAGGGGCGUUAAAUGAUAGCGCUAGUUGGGAGGCAACCCAAUUUUAUUUGUGUUUUUUGUUUCUGUUUCUGUUUAGUAAUAAAUUUUGCAUCUACCUUCUGUUUAGAUGUGUUGUAAUGUUUUAAUUAGUGUCUUUGCCAAGUAGAACCUAUAGGAUAACCUAUGGUGAUCGUUAAUUUGAUUCUCCUGAAAAACAAAAACUUUGCACGAACGAAAUUAGUUUUGUUAAAUCACAGAAACGUGAUUUAGCGUUGAUUAUUUUUGCUUCUGAACAAUAUUCAAAUUUUCCGGGACUUCCUAUUUUGGUAGGAUUUUUAGAGUUCCAGAAGUUUGCGUUAGUUACAGAUUGCUACAGACUGUUCUGUUUUUGACAGAUUCUGUUUUUCGUGUGUUGUUUGCUUAUUUUGAUGCAUCUACGGCUAGUAAAAUAGUUUGUAAACCAUAGAGAAGUUGGAAUACAGUAGGUUUAACACCAAAAUAAAUAAAUAAUGAGUUCAUUACAGUACCUUAUGUGGUGGUUUCGUUUUCUUUCACUAACGGAGCUUAUAAGAUUUCCUGUUGAGUUUUGUGUUGUGAAGUUUUCAAGUUUUGGGUAAAGAUUUGAUGGACUAUGGAAUAAGGAGUGGCAAAAGCCUAAGCUUGGGGAUGGCCAUGGCACCCCAUGAUAUUCAAGAGUAGCCAAGAGCCUAAGCUUGGGGAUGCCCCGGGAAGGCGUCCCCUCUUUCGUCUUCGUUCAUUGGUAACUUUACUUGAGCUAUACUUUUAUUCGCCACAUGAUAUGUGUUUUGCUUGGAGAAUCGUGUAUGAUAUUAGUCUUUGCUUUUUAGUUUUCCACAAUCAUCCUUGCUGUACACACCUUUUUUGAGAAUCCCACUUGGUUAGAACUUAUUAGAAUACUCUAUGUGCUUCACUUAUAUCUUUUGAGCCUGAUAGUUUUUGCUCUAGUGCUUCACUUAUAUCUUUUAGAGCAUGGCGGUGGCUUAAUUUUGUUGAAAUUGCUAGUCUCUCAUGCUUCACUUAUAUUAUUUUGAGAGUCUUUUAGAACAGCACGGUAUUUGCUAUGGUUAUAAAAUUGGUCCUAGAAUGGUAGGCAUCCAAGUUGGGUAUAAUAAAAACUAUCAUAGGAAGUGAAUUGGAUGCUAUGAUCAAUUUGAUACUUGAUAGUUGUUUUGAGAUAUGGAGGUAGUGAUAUUAAAGUCAUGCUAGUUGGGUGAUUAUGAAUUUAAGGAAUUCUUGUGUUGAAGUUAGCAAGUCCCGUAGCAUGCACGUAUGGUUAAAGUUGUGUAACAAAUUUGAAACAUGAAGUGUAUUUGGAUUGUGCAUCCUUAUGAGUGGCGGUCAGGGACGAGCGAUGGUCUUUUCCUACCAAUCUAUCCCUCUAGGAGCAUGCGCAUAGUGCUUGAUUUUUGAUGACUUCUAAAUUUUUGCAAUAAGUAUAUGAGUUCUUUUGACUAAUGUUGAGUCCAUGGAUUAUACGCACUUUUACCUUUCCACCAUUGCUAGCCUCUUCAAUACCGUGCAUUGCCCUUUCUCACCUUGAGAGUUGGUGCAAACUUCGCCGGUGCAUCCAAACCCCGUGAUAUGAUACGUUCUAUCACACAUAAACUUCCUUAUAUCUUCCUCAAAAAAGCCACCAUACCUACCUAUUAUGGCAUUUCCAUAGCCAUUCUGAGAUAUAUUGCUAUGCAACUUUCCACCGCUCCGUUCAUCAUCAUGACAUACAUUACUUUUGUCAUAUUGCCAUUGCAUGAUCAUGUAGUUGACAUCGUAUUUGUGGUAAAGCCACCGUGCAUAAUUUUUCAUACAUGUCACUCUUGAUUCAUUGCACCAUCCCGGUAUACCGCCGGAGGCAUUCAUAUAGAGUCAUAUCUUGUUCUAGUUUCGAGUUGUAAUUCAUGUAUUGUAAUCAAUAAAAGUGUGAUGAUCAUCAUUAUUAGAGCAUUGUCCCAAAGAAAAAAAGAAAAAUAAAAAAAGGCCAAAAAAAGGAAAAAAAGAAAAAGAAAAAGAAACAAAAAAAGAAAAUAAAUAAAAAGGGGCAAUGUUACUAUCUCUUUUUCCACACUUGUGCUUCAAAGUAGCACCAUGUCCUUCAUAUAGCGAGUCUCAUAUAUUGUGCUUCAAAAUAGCACCAUGUUUUUCAUAUAGUGAGUCUCAUAUGUUGUCACUUUCAUAUACUAGUGGGAAUUUUUCAUUAUAUAACUUGGCUUGUAUAUUCCUAUGAUGGGCUUCCUCAAAUGACCUAGGUCUUCGUGAGCAAGCAAGUUGGAUGCACACCCACUAGUUUUCUUUUGUUGAGCUUUCAUUCAUUUAUAGCUCUAGUGCAUCCGUUGCAUGGAAAUCCCUACUCCUCAUGUUGACAUCAAUUGAUGGGCAUCUCCAUAGCCCGUUGAUUAUCCUCGUCAAUGUGAGACUUUCUCCUUUUUUUUCUCCACACAAUCUCCAUCAUCAUAUUCUAUUCCACCCAUAGUGCUAUAUCCAUGGAUCACGCUCAUGUAUUGCGUGAAGGUUGAAAAAGUUUGAAAUUAUUUAAGUACGAAACAAUUGCUUGCCUUGUCAUCGGGGGUGUAGAAUUUGGGAACAUUUUUGUGUGAUGAAAAUGAAGCAUAGCCUAACUAUAUGAUUUUGUAGGGAUGAACUUUCUUUAGCCAUGUUCUUUUGAGAAGACAUGAUUGCUUUGAUUAGUAUGCUUGAAGUGUUACUAUUUCUUUUAUCAAUAUGAACUUUUAUUUUGAAUCAUUUGGAUCUGAACAUUCAUGCCACAAUAAAGAAAAUUACAUUGAGAAUUAUGCUAGGUAGCAUUCCACAUCAAAAAUUACAUUGAGGACGAGCAGGAAUUAAGCUUGGGGAUGCUUGAUACGUCUCCAACGUAUCUAUAAUUUUUAUUGUUCCAUGCUAUUAUAUUAGCCCUUUUGGAUGUGUAUGGGCUUUAUUUUACACAUUUAUAUAAUUUUUGGGACUAACCUACUAACCGGAGGCCCAGCCCGUAUUGCUGUUUUUUUGCCUAUUUCAGUAUUUCGAGUAAAAGGAAUAUCAAACGGAGUCCAAACGGAAUGAAACCUUCGGGAGUGUGAUUUUUGGAAAGAACGUGAUCCAGAGGACUUGGAGUGCAAGUCAAGAAGCAAUCGAGGCGGCCAGGAGAUAGGAGGGCGCGCCUUGUCUCCUGGGCCCCACAGGCGGUCACCGACGUACUUCUUCCUCCUAUAUAUACCCACGUACCCCGAAAACAUCCAGGAAGCCAACGAAAAACAAUUUCCACCACCGUAACCUUCUGUAACCGUGAGAUCCCAUCUUGGAGCCUUCGCCGGCGCUCCGCCGGAGGGGAAUCGACCAUGGAGGGCUUCUACAUCAACACCAUAGCCCCUCCAAUGAGUUGUGAGUAGUUUACCACAGACCUUCGGGUCCAUAGUUAUUAGCUAGACGGCUUCUUCUCUCUUUUUGGAUCUCAAUACAAUGUUCUCCCCCUCUCUUAUGGAGAUCUAUUCGAUGUAAACUCUUUUUGCGGUGUGUUUGUCGAGAUCCGAUGAAUUGUGGGUUUAUGAUCAAGUUUAUCUAUGAGAAAUAUUUGAAUCUCCUCUGAAUUCUUUUAUGUAUGAUUGAGUUAUCUUUGCAAGUCUCUUCGAAUUAUAAGUUUGGUUUAGCCUACUAGAUUGAUGUUUCUUGCCACGGGAGAAGUGCUUAGUGUCGGUGUCAAAAUCAGCGGAUCUCGGGUAGGGGGUCCCGAUCUGUGCGUCUAGGGCUAAUGGUAGCAGGAGGCAGGGGACACUAUGUUUUACCUAGGUUCGGGCCCUCUUGAUGGAGGUAAAACCCUACUUCCUGCUUGAUUGAUAUUGAUGCUAUGAGUAUUACAAGAGUUGAUCUACCACGAGAUCGUAGAGGCUAAACCCUAGAAGCUAGCCUAUGAUGAUUAUGAUUCUGUCCUUAAGGACUAAACCCUCCGGUUUAUAUAGACACCGGAGGGAGCUAGGGUUUACACAGAGUCGGUUACAAAGAAGCAAAUAUAAUAUACGGAUUGCCAAGCUUGUCUUCCAUGCAAACGGUCCAACAGUCCGGCCCAAGUAUAUAGUCCGGCUGUCCGGAUGCCCCCUAAUCCAGGACUCCCUUAGUAUCCCCUGAACCAGGCUUCAAUGACGAUGAGUCCGGCGCGCAGUUUGUCUUCCGCAUUGCAAGGCGGGUUCCAUCUCCGAAUACUCCAAAGUAAUUCGAACACUUGAAUCGUGUCCGGAUCCACAAGAUGAUCUUCACAUGCCAUCAUGAAGAGAACGAUAUUCCAUAAACAUAAUCUACUAACAUCUUUGGUUAGCAUGACAUAGCACCAUGGACAAGUCAUUAUCGAACCGUCUCUACUACCAAACACUGCACAUACUGCGAGGCGGUCUCGUCGAAGCAGCGAUCGUGCUCCCCUUAUCGCUGGGCUUUCAUCAAUACGAGCACGGGUAGCCCAACCGCUCUGCUAAUUGCGGCGAGUGGGGAACAAGUGGGUUCCACCAGGCAAGUGGGGAGGCGAAAAAGCUUUUACCGCCUCUAUAAAGAGAUAAGGUCUCUUCCUCUUUACUCACGCCUUUCCCUUCCGCUAGUCCAUUCCCCUUUACUCGAGCCCUAGCGCUCAAGCACUCUUCUUCUCCACCGAAGAGAGGUCCUCCGAAGAUGUCUGGAUCUGGAGCAAGAAGCAAAUGGAUGGCCUCUACCGUCCGGGAGAGGGAUAUCAAAAAGCUCCGAGAGGCCGAGUACCUGGCCAAGAAAAUCGGCCACCGUCUUCCGCCGGCGGGACAGAUCGUCCCUACUCCGGAGCCCCAUGAGAGGGUCGUGUUUCUCCCUCAUUUUGUCCGUGGGCUCGGGUUUCCCCUUCACCCAUUCGUUCGCGGCGCCAUGUAUUAUUACGAGAUUGAUUUUCAUGAUCUGUCCACCAAUUCUUUCCUUAACAUCUCAACGUUCAUCGUCAUGUGUGAGGCUUUUCUCCGUAUUUCGCCCCACUUCGGCUUAUGGCUGAAGAUCUUGAAUGUGAAGCCCAAGGUGGUGAAUGGCGAGCACGCCGAAUGCGGCGGCGCCAUGGUGAGCAAGAUGCCCAAGGUCGUAUGGCCGACGGGUGCCUUCAAUGAUUCCGUCAAGGAGUGGCAGCAGUAGUGGUUUUAUAUCACCGAACCGCGCGGAAAAAAGUGGGCCGCUACUCCUGAGUUCAGAUCCGGAGCCCCACUGCGGCUCAAGUCCUGGCCCGAGAAGGGCCUGAACUGGUCCUCAUCCGACAAGCUGUCGGUGCUCCAAACGCGCGUUUAGAGCGUGGUCGACAAGGAUGUCAAACUCGUCAACGUAGUCCAGGUGAUGUUGGUUCGCCUGGUUCUCCCUUGCCAGCGUCAAGCCUGCAAUUUGUGGGAAUAUGACCCGGCCGAACACCAAACCCUACGGGAGCUCUAUGGCUCCUCCCACAAGGACAUCUGGAAGGUGCUCUUCAAGUCCGGCAAACCAUGGCCGGGCUCCACCGAGGACCGUGGGUAUCAACUAUGCCACUCUGCAAGUCCGGUAAGUCAUUGAUGUGCUCUAUCCAUCCAUGUUUUAGAUGGCAUGUCCUAAGGGAGACGCUUUUAUCAUGCUUUCUACAAUAAUCCCAGGAAUGGACGAAAAAGGUGGAGCGGAUACACUGUCCAGCCCCGCAGCUGGAGGAACCGGCCGGACCUCUUCUAACGAAGAUGCUGGUCCCAGCGCCUUAUGAGGCGCCGAAGAAAGAGGCCUCCACCCGGAGCGGCCUCCGUCGUCGCGAUGCUUCGGACACAAAAUCCAAAGACUCCAGCGACCAUCCCACCUCCGAAGAUGAAGAGGACGAGGAAGAAGACGAGUCCCCUGCAGGGGGAGGGAAGAAAAGGACGGCUUCCUCAUCCCUGGAGGCCGAAUCGCCAAAGAGGGGGAAAGGUUCCCUUCCAGAGGCAUCCACCACGGCUGCUAAUAGCAGCCCGGAGUGGGAUCCCAGGGCCCGACCCCUGGUAAAGUUGUAAGUAUACGAAAUCCGAACACGCCUACGUGCCCGAGGUCAUUAGGAUGUAGUAGUUUAAUUGUCACAAUACUUUGUGCAGCCCGGCAAGGUCCCACGCUGGACAAUCCUCAUCGGAGGAUUCGCUGAGCUCAGAUGCCGUGGAGAGCGAGACACCUCCAAAGGCCCCUUCCCCGAAGCCUAGGCACGAUACCGAGGUGUCGUCUCAGCGGGGUCCGGACCAGGGAGGACAUAUCUAUGGGGCCGGAUAUACGGGAGCAGCGGCUCCCCUGCGUGUCGAUGGCGGGGGCGAUCUUAGGUUUGGCCUGCCACUGGACACGGUCCUGGAAACCUUUAAAGUUCCAGGAUCGGGCGAGCAGCCACCUUUGAUGGGGGGAGGCUCGCCCACUCCGCCAACAACCUUUGUCCAAGCAGAGUUGUCGGGCGGCUUAUUGACAGCGCUAAAGAGCGCGUCCAUCGUUGAUGAACAUCGUGCCUCAUGGGUGUGGUGAUUGAAAGGAUUCAGUCCGCUGAGAGCGGACUAAAUGAAUCCUGCCUUAGCCUUAUAAAAGGUUUUGAGGUAUGUUUUUAGAAACCUUUGGGAGAUUUUCAUAGUAUGAGUAGUAGCCACUGAUGCACUGUCCGGUGAAAGAAACAAAAAGCCGGAUAGGGGAUCAAGUUUCUGCUUUGCAGGAGACUCAGUUAAUGACGUGUAUCCCUUUGUUUGAAAACAGGCGUCUGUAGAGACGACCGCCUCCCAUAAUGCAGAGGUGUCCGGACUGAAGCAGAGUCUAGAACGGGCCGAAGAGGAACUUGGCCGCAUGAAGGAGCAGUUGGAGGACAAGCAAGGUAUGUCGAAGCCUUUUGCUAAGUUGAGCACGAAUUAGAAGUUGUGCCUGAUAAAAAUAUCUGUAUCGUAUGCUCUAGGAGCGAGUGCCGAAAUUGAGGCACUGAAGAAGGUUGUGGCUGAAGCCGACAAUAAGGCCGCCGCCGAGCAGGUUCUUCGUGAGAAGCACGAGGCCAGGGUCAUUGAAGCCGAGCGAGAGCUCCAGGAGGCCGUGAAGAAAAGCGAGACCUUGGAGCAGAGUCUAGCAGGGAAAGAAUCCGAACUCGCCUAAGCUCUCCAAGCCACAGAGGAUGCUCGGGAAGAAGCCCGAGGUGCUCUGAAGGACAUUCAGGAGGCAUGGAAGGUUGCGGCUGGUAAGGCCUUUUGUACCCAAGGCCAUUUUUACAUAGUAAUGAGAGGAACUCUGCGACAAGCUGAAUUCUUGUUUCUCCAGGGGCGUUUGCAGACCUGCCACGCAGCAUAUCAGAUGCUGCCCAAUUCUACCUGACUGAGGAGAAGAAGUCUGCGGAGAAGCAUUUCUGGUCGCAGUAUUUGGCGCCGAAUUAUCCGGUGCCCUUUAUCGAUCAGCUGAAGCAGCUGGUCGAACUGCACCAGGCGGCCGAACUAGCCAUGAAGGACUUGGUUGUCCGGCUGUGGCCGGCGGAGCCAAUUCCAAGCAGUUACUUCGGACUUGUGAAGCAGAUUGUUGGUGCUUGCCCUCGGCUCGAUGUCAUUAAGCGAUCGGUUUGCAUAGAGGGUGCACGCAUGGCGUUUGCCCAUGCGAAGGUGCACUGGGGGAAGCUUGAUGCUGAGAAGCUGAUGACUGAUGGACCACCGGAGGGUAAGGAGCAUCGCAAGCCCGAGUUAUACUAUGAAGGUGUCCUGAAAGGAGCCUGCCUUGUGGCGGAUCAGUGUACCAAAGACACUAUAUUUCCCUGAAGGCAGUUAUGCCGUCCUUUGUAAUGAGGGAUAAUGGCACUGUUAUUAUUUAUUGCAUGUUUAUGUGAAUGUUUGUUCUUCAUGUGCGGCUAUUUAGUGUAUAUAAAUCCUGAGAGUUGGCCAGUCGUCGGCUUCUGCCCCCACGUAAAAAGUACAGGGGUGUUCAGGACAUACCUGAACACUCUUUAUCCCAUUGUUGGGUCCUUUUAAGGAGGUGUUCCUCAGCACGAACCAGGUAAUCAGACUAUAGGGCUUUAUCACUCUCACUUAGCCAUAGGAAUUCGAGUAUGGUAGGCGCAGCCCCUGGUAUUCGGAAGACCGUACUAGGGGCUCUAACGGCGCCUGAUCAGAAAACCGAUCCAUCGCACUCUGCAUUUAUUAUGGCAUUGUGCGGAAUAAAUCUUUAAAGAUUUUACAACCUCUCGAACAGCUGACCAGCUCUCGCCAUAUCAUGACAGUCAGUUUUCGGCUUUCUCUACUGAGGUGCUCGUUCAGAAGAUCCGGGACACAACCGCAGUAGUUCUUCCAGCGCUACCUUAGCCGAUAGAGCAGAACAUAAGGUACCAAAACAUGGGAGCCGGGCAAACCCAACUAAUGACCCAAGACAUGAUUCAGAGCUGAUGCAUAUAGUGUUAUAAGUUCGGGGUGCCGAGCGUCCGAAAAGGUGGCCGGACUUUGUUGCCAUAUUAUGAGUAUUAUGAAGCCCUUGGCAUAGUGGGGCAUAACACGAUGUACGGGUGCCGUUUAUGACAAAAAGGGCAUCAAUGAGGAAUGACAGCCGGUAAGUGUUAUUUAAGUCAAUGCAUUGUAGUAGAGUGACAUGUCUAUGCAUAUGAGUAUGGUUUAUGCUUAUGAAAAGAGGUGUUUUGGCGGAACCUGUCGUGGCCGGACUGGAAGAGGUUGUGUGUGGAUCCGAAGUGUAUCCGGACUGUCUCCUUUGGGGGGGGGGAUUUACUUAUGCGUUCCCGCCUUGUGCAAAUGAGCUGAUUCCGUGUCGCCAGUCCUGUUCUGCGCCAAAGUCAGUCUGUAAAGACAAAUGCUUAAAGGCAGCUGCAUGUCAUGUUGUGGUUGAACCGCGGGUGCCUGAUCGGAGACUGGCUGAACCAGGCUAUCAUGCCAUAAAGUAACUUGGACUCCUCAGUUGGUGUCCGGGUAGUUGGCUGCCAAAUCAAAAUUUGAUAAAUGGGCACAACUCGCUAUUCCAGCAACGGUAUGAUUUCCACUCUGAGGGUUGGGUUCGGCCUUGCCCAUAAUUGUGACUAUGUCACGCGGGACUGGCCUAAUGUUGUACCCCGUUGAAUCUAGCCAACAUGGUUUGUCUCGAUAGUAUAUGGUAGUUACUGUAUAAGGGGACAAUGCCGAAGACUUAUUCUUUGGCGUGGUAUUUGUUUGGUGAUCCGAACACAACCACUAGUGUGGUGGGCCUUUAAAACUUGGCCUUUGUGCCUGGCAUCUUUUAAAAGAUGUUAUUGAUAGUUUUAUGCCCAUGGGGGCUCGUGUGAGAUGGGGCCCACAAACUGUUGGGUCGAUAAUGAGUGCAAUUUAAAUUGCUAUGGUUGAUGUUGUCCGGAUGGUCGAUGUGAUCGGAGAUGAUCAGCCGUAUUUUUGUACUGUGGAGGAUCUUCCUUUGACCUCGCCAGGUUUGAUCGGUCUCUAGUUGUUUGAAACCUCCCUUCAUUGUUUCCGGUGCGACCGGCCGUUUUGUUUUGAGGAUCCUACAUCCUCUAUUGGUAUGAUUGGCCACCCGUCUAGGGGUACCAUGAAUUUCACAUGGUUGAUCGCGUAUGCUGCUCGGGCCGGAUGGGCUUGAGCUGUUCUUUUUCCGCUAACCGGACUGGGGGCCGCUGAGUUCGGCACCAACUUCCUUGACUUGACGCUUAUGACGAUUGUGUCGAGGUUUGUGGAUGCUGCCUCGCGUUUCCUGCGUAUUGUCCCGGACCAUGGUAUAUUGGCGUCGGCGUGUGGGCUUUAGGUUCUCCUUCUUAGGUUGAGGUAGCGAAUUGUGCCAUGUGUACCCUUUGGCGGGGCGGCCGAGUCCAUAUUCCUCAGUGGCCAGGACCUUGGUCCAUCUAUCUAUGAGCAAAUCUUGGUCAGCUUUGAGCUGCUGUUGAUUCUUUUGCAGGCUUUUUGCCAUGGCCAUAAGCCCUCGCUUAAAGACAACUUGUUCCGCGGGAUCCUCAGGCACACCAAUUCAUCGUCGCCGAGGCUCACCUCGUAUUCGGAAGGGGGCAUGUAGUUGUCCCUUUCCAAGUAUUCGUCCGUCUCCUGUCCGGCCUGCUCGAAGGCAGGCUGAUCGGGAUUGUAUUCAUCUUCGGCACCGUCUGGAUUGUUUUUGACUGCUGUGCCGGUAAUUUUGUGGUGGGGCUUGGGGUGGCGCUGAUGAUGUUCAUACUUUGCCUUCUUCCUUGAGGGGUUAUCCUCUAUUGCCUCAUCGCCAUUGGUUUUUUUUGGGGUGUCCACCAUAUAUAUAUAUAUAUAUAUAUAUAUAUAUAUAUCAUAUGAGGAGGUGGCUGUCCACCGCCCCGUGGGGUUCCUGUUCUUCUCCUACACCGUCGUCCAUACCGUCGAUGUCUUCAGAGUCGAAGUCAAGCACGUCGGUUAAAUCAUCGACCAUAGCAAUGAAGUGGGUGGUGGGUGGGCAACGAAUUCCUUCUUCGCCUGCUUCCCACUCGAGCCAGACAUAGUUCCGCCAAGAGUCUUCUGACAAAGAGAGAGACUUUAACGAGUCCAGCAUGUUGCCAAAGGGAGAGUGCUGGAAGAUAUCCGCAGCGGUGAACUCCAUUACUGGAGCCCAACCAGAUUCGGCGGGCUCGAGGGUGCGUGGACUGGAACCUACAGCCGGGUACGAGUCUGGGGGUCCGGUGUCACAGGCUUCCUUGGGGGUGAAGUCUGUGUUCGGCUCUACCGCCGAUGAGUGUGCGGCCUCCGGGGCGGGGUCCAUCCACCCGUCCUCGGGCGACGCAAUCUGCCCUGGAUUUAGGUCCGGGGCUCCUACAGGACGAUAUCCCGAGCAUUGUCCGACGGCAGGUCUAAGCCGUGCUCAUCGUGACUGUCCGGUGCUCCUGGUGCAGGCCCGGAUCUGUUGAAGAUCAAGUCUCCGCGGAUAUCGGCCGUGUAGUUCAAGUUUCCGAACCUGACCUAAUGGCCCGGGGCAUAGCUGUCGAUCUGCUCCAGAUGGCCAAGCGAAUUGGCCCGUAGAGCGAAGCUGCCGAACACGAAGAUCUGUCCGGGAGAAAAGUCUCACCCUGGACCAUGUUGUUGUUGACGAUUGAAGGAGCCAUCAGGCCUUGCAGCGACGACACAGAGGAACUCUCAAUGAAAGCACCAAUGUCGGUGUCAAAACCGGUGGAUCUUGGGUAGGGGGUCCCGAUCUGUGCGUUUAAGGCUAAUGGUAACAGGAGGCAGGGGACACGAUGUUUUACCCAGGUUCGGGCCCUCUUGAUGGAGGUAAAACCCUACUUCCUACUUGAUUGAUAUUGAUGAUAUGAGUAUUACAAGAUUUGAUCUACGACGAGAUCGUAGAGACUAAACCCUAGAAGCUAGCCUAUGAUGAUUAUGAUUCUGUCCUUAAGGACUAAACCUCCGGUUUAUAUAGACACCGGAGGGAGCUAGGGUUUACACAGAGUCGGUUACAAAGAAGGAAAUAUAAUAUCCGGAUCGCCAAGCUUGUCUUCCAUGCAAAGGAGAGCCCAUCCGGACACGGGACGAAGUCUUGAGUCUUGUAUCUUCACGGUCCAACAGUCCGGCCAAAGUAUAUAGUCCGGCUGUCCGGAUACCCCCUAAUCCAGGACUCCCUCACUUAGCUUUGGGUUCAAUCUUGCGGUGUCCUUACCCAGUGACAGCAGGGGUUGCAAGGCACGUAUUGUAUUGUUGCCAUUGAGGAUAAAAAGAUGGGGUUUAUAUCAUAUUGCUUGAUUUAUCCCUCUACAUCAUGUCAUCUUUCUUAAUGCGUUACUCUGUUCUUAUGAACUUAAUACUCUAGACGCAUGCUGGAUAGCGGUCGAUGUGUGGAGUAAUAGUAGUAGAUGCAGGCAGGAGUCGGUCUACUUGUCACGAACGUGAUGCCUAUAUACAUGAUCAUGCCUAGAUAAUCUCAUAAUUAUUUGCUUUUCUAUCAAUUGCUCGAUAGUAAUUUGUUCACCCACCGUUAUACUUAUGCUAUCUUGAGAGAAGCCUCUAGUGAAACCUAUGGCCCCCGGGUUUAUCUUUUAUCAUAUAAGCUUUCAAUCUACGUUUAUUUGCAUCUUUACUUUUUGCGUCUAUAUUAUAAAAUACCAAAAAUAUAUUUAUCUUAUCAUACUAUCUCUAUCAGAUCUCACUUUCGCAAGUGGCCGUGAAAGGAUUGACAACCCCUUUAUCGCGUUGGUUGCGAGUUCUUUGUUUGUUUGUGUAGGUGCGUGGGACUUUUGAGGAGCCUCCUACUAGAUUGAUACCUUGGUUCUCAAAAACUGAGGGAAAUACUUACGCUACUAUUGCUUCAUCACCCUUUCCUCUUCAAGGAAAACCAACGCAAGCUCAAGACGUAGCAUUAGCCUAUAUCGAUUUCGGACGAGGAGAGUUUGUUUUACCGCCCACCAUGUAUGAAUAGGGAAAUGGAGGAAGAGACACAUGUCUUUCGGAUGAGCUUGAAACAAAUGUGUUUUGCCGCCCACGUUUGGCGCCCGCCGUAUCUGAAUGGGAUUAGAGGCCGUUGUGUCAUGUCUGAUUGAAGUUACUAGUCUACCCCUAUGGACAACAGUGUAAAUCUGGUUGAUAAGGAUGUCAAGUGUCACGGGUAGACAGUAAUUUCCAUCUCGCAAACACUUGCUUCGGGCAACCCACAAAUUAUAGUGGGUGUUUAGCUGCUUCGUUCAAAACUUGGGAGAAUUAGCAUUCACGUUUGCCCUGGGCCCUGGCAAACUAAAUUCAAAUCCAAUUUGUAUUCGAUUACGAAUAUCCACAGAUAAUUCUAUGUUUUGUUAUUUAUUUCUUCAAAACCACAACAAAGAUUUAUUCCACCUUUAUAUAUGAUUAUGAUUUAGAAAUGUCGUGAUCUUCGAAAUCAGUAGGUUGGAUACACUCUGAGUCAAACAGUUAUUUCAUCCAAUACAAUAUGCUCACACAAAAAACAGUUCACCUUAUGUCAAUCAUACAAGUACUGAUGAUUACCUCGCCUAAAAAAUUCGGAUCAUUACAACAAAUGGACAUCAUAGGGGGUCUUGCAACAUAAUCCAUUCAGAGACAUGAGACAACAUGCAAGUACAAUAAUCUAAUGACAAUUUCAACUAGUAUCUAAAGAAGAACCAGGAUUACACUGGGCUUCAGAUAGCAGAAACAGCAGGACCUCCUCCGUCUUCAAAUGCAACAUUCUUACUUCUUCCAGUUCUUGGGUUGCUUGCAUAAUGUGUGCUGCUAAUUCCAUAAUUUCCAGCCUCAAGAUAAAGAUUACCUCAUUCAUGGCAGCCAGACCAUCUCUUUCUGCCUCUAGUAGAGCCUCAAGCACUAUAAUAUCUGUGCUCAAACUGCUCUCCGGCGGUGUUGCCUCUGAACUGCUACCAUCUGGUAACAUGGAUGGCACACUGCUUUCACAAAUAGAUUCUGGGGUUGUACAUUGUGUCCUAGUGUGUCGGGAAGGACAAGACCCCGGCAAGAUCGACAACGCCAUGGUGCUCCUAGCACCAUACUCGCGUUGGAACAAGGCCAAGCCGGUGGAUCGCGGGACACUCAAGGCCAACAUGCACGUCAACACGCUGGUACGAGCGCAGUACGGUCGCCUGGGCGAGAUGUUGCUCCUUCUAACACUGUUAGAAGUUUGAGCAUAUCCCGCACCUCGUGCCGCUCGCCACCGCCGCCCAAGACUCCAAAGGAAGCACUGGUCCGAGCCCACAAAGAUAUCGUGGGAAACGAACACCUAUGGGGCAGGGCCCCUUUCGGUCCGGCAAGGGAGCGGAUGGCGCAUGAAGAGAAGAUCGAGGCGAAGCACGCGAGGGAUUUUACCCAGCUUCGGAGCUCUCCGGAGAGAUAAAACUCCUACUGCUGCUUUGUGUUUCUAUUCUGUUCUUGCUCGAGAGCGUAGGUGUGUUGUAGUUUCGAAUGAGUCGAACCCUUUCUACGUGCGCAUGGGCCUCCUUUUUAUAGUCUAAAGGGGUCACCGACUAGGUGGCAGCGUAGAGAGAGGGGUAAAAAAGUAAAAAUGGGGGUUGGUACAACCGCUAUCAACAGUGCCCCCUACCUAACUCUGACGGCAGGGGACAAGGGCAUUUAAUGCCCGUCCGGUCGCCCAAACAGUGCAAGAAACGACCGUUAGGGGCGCCACCGAUCGCCACAUUGGCCUUCUAGUCAUCUUCACUUGCCACCUCGCACCGCUUGGCUGCACAGCUACCCGCCACGUGCACCAGGAGCGAUCCUGCAGCGACACGUCGUCGGAUGUGCUGGAGCGUGGGCGCAGAGUGGUGGCUUUGCCGCGGCAAGCGCCUUGCCGCGGUCGCUGUCUUGUCACACCCGCCAGCUUGCCACUCGCCGGGUCUUGCCGGGACACGCGGUGCGUCGCGGCAAGUCUCUUGAAACGCCUUGGUUGGUCUUCCCGGCAUAGUGUGAACGGUGUCCUAAAAUGUUUCCGCUGGACAUAAGUAAGAGAUAAUUAUCGUAUGAUCCAGGCAGUAAGCUUACAUGGUAAACGACAUACGAAUUAUUGACGAGCAUGGCAAGCUAUAUUUAAAUGGUUCAAAGCAGCAUCAGUCGGAAAGAAAUUAAAAUGGUAAGAUGAAACUAGGGAUGUAAGUGGUAGAUAAACAACAUCCGCUAGUCCCAUCUACUUAGUUUUUGCUAGCUCCCUAGUUCAUUUUCCUCAGAAGACAAAAACUCUUUUGAACUUUCAUACCACUAGUGGACUUCAAUCGGGAUUCAACGGGACCCAGUUGACAUCCCUAGUUGAAAGGGAGUGUACCACCGCUAUAUUUAAGUUGCCAAGGCAUCUAAGUAGUUGAAAUAAUGUGAGAAAGCACUUAACAGUGUGGCCUCAUAUAAACUACGAAGACAGUCUUGUGAUGAAGUUGAGAGGAAAAGUUAAGGACUCAAAUGAACUAGGCAUGCAUUUCUUUAUGAUAGUACAACGGGCACUGCUGACAUAUUAGCCAACUCGGGUAUAGCGUAACAACAAACAAGCAUUCGAAUCAAGCAAUACAGCAAGGCAGACAACUGAACUAUUUGCAAUUCGGUAGGAUUACCGGUUGAGGGCACAAGCCAAGAAAGCAGCCGACUCGCAUUACAUUUCACAUGUACUAAAACACACUGGCUUACCAUAUGUUGCUGUGAAGCCUCGCUGCUAUUGCAAUGUUCUUUGAAGAUAUCGUCAUCAUCCCGUGGUUGCAAAUCUAGUUGUUGUAGUUUAUUCUUCACCCUCUAUUUAGGUUCAUCUAAACUAAUGAAAGAAGGGUGUGUGCAUACACGAGAAUAUAUCUGCUUCCUUCUAUGUAGAAGCUCCAUAAUUAAUAGAAGCAUCAAAUUGGUCAUGCAACUUGGGAAGAUCAAGAACACACAAUCAAGUAAUGAACAGAGGCUCGGAGCAGUGAUGUAAUAGCUAGCAUUAGAAAAUGUAGGGUAAAACGAACAAAAAGCAGCAGAACCACAUGCUAGUUUGCUGAUGUGUAAUUAAGCAUAGAGAACAUUAAGUAGUCUGAUGGAACCAACAGGUGGCAUCAGAACAACACCAUUAUCAUAAAUAUAGCAUUCAAGAAGUAAAAAGUAGGCAGUGAUAUCUAGGAAGUACAGUAAUACUUAGGACAAAACUAAAGCAUAUUAACUAUAUGUGCACUGGUAUGUAAUUUAUCACAUGUAACAUGUUCACUGCCAGGAGUAUGGCCCUAUAGGUGCGAGCAGAAUAACGCGUCUCAUGAAAAACUGAAUGAUGCCCUGAAGAAAUUCAAAGGUGCGAUGCUUAUGCUAGGAAAGUGAACGUAGGCGCCGGUUGUUGGAUAAUAAUACCUGAUUCUCGGCGGCGUAUGGGUAUCAUUGUCAUAUUUGAUAGCUAAGGAUCAUCGAUGGUUCUCGUCUUGCGGUUGAGUCUGGGUCGGCUAUCGUCGUCGCUGAAGUGGCUCCGGUGCUACGGUUGCAGCACCUAUCGACAUACAAGAAAGCACAUUUGUGGUAAGUGAAUAGUUGCAUGAUAAAGAGAAAAACCGAAGGAGUACAAACCAAAAUAACCUGAUGAGGCUGCGGCAUCGGUAAAGUAGGGCCGGUGGAGUUGAAUAUGGCGUCCGUGGAGCGGGUCUGGUGCAAUGAACGAAGGCUUCGGCGGGCGCAUUGUACAGUGCUUUCGGUGAGGCGGAUCUGUUCCGGCGGACGAGGGCUUGUAUGAAAGGCCAGCGAAGGGGCGGACGAGGUAGCCAGUGAAGGGCCUACACUAUGGUGGACAAGGGCGCCGGUUAAGCAGGUCCGGUGCGGUGGACCAUGAUGGCGGUCAAGGAGAUUUGGGGCGGUGGACAAGCCAGUCGCUGAAGCGGCUCCGGUGAAGUGGUGAGUUAGCAGUUGGGGGUUCCAUGGUGCAGAAGGUAGAUCCGGUGGGGUGUGAGGUGCACCGCUGCGGCAGAGGACUAGAUUUGGCGGCUUGCGGUGGUUGGGGGGGGUCGGGGAGGGGAAGGGAAAGGGGAGGGGCUCUGGGGAAGAAUGUUUGGGGCAAAGAGGGGAAAACAAUGGAGUUACCAAACCAGCCCUUUCCCGUUCAUGUGGCAGGGGUAAAACAGGAAUAUUGCAGGACUAAACUUUCGGGCGUGAGAUAUUUCGAUGUGAGCGGGAAGUUUGAAAGCUUUUGGCACCUGAAAUUAUAUUCUGCUCUUGUAUGGCCGACUAUGAUAUCAUGGCCGACAAUUUGUUUGUUUUGCACGCAAAAGAAAGUGCAAGUUUUGAAAAUCAAUGUCUCCAACUCGAAACUUAGAUUGUCCAUUCAAUUCAAAUAUGGAUCAUUGAGCCACUACAAGCAAAUACCAUCAUAUGGUCCAAUUAAAAUGAAAAUACAAAUGUGUUUAUCCUAAAUAUGAUGACAAAAGCAAAAAUAUGUAUGUGUAUGAAUAAAGUGGAUGAUUAUAAUGUUUGAACAUGCUCGUAUGUGUAUAUCUCUAGGUUUGAUAUAUGAAUUUGAAAUCAUGAAAUCCCGGCUUAAAAAAUGUACCUCCAUUUAAAUGAAUUACAAAAGCUAAUGAUGGAGUCGAAUUCCAAAAUUCCAAUCUUAGGUUUGUAAUUCUGGUACAUCAAGGUAUAUCACGCAUGUUCAAAAGUAUCGUUAUCUCAUAGUCCAAACUGUGAAACAAAUUGAUCAACCAUGAGUGCACAAUAUCUCAAUUACGCUAAAGUCCCUCAAAUACAGACACCUCACUCUUUAUCUAAAGCCACCCCCCCCUCGUUGCCCCCCCACACACACACAUAGAGAAGUCAUUCUCUCCCCCAAACACCAACACACGAGCACAUUAACACCCCUCUCUCUUCUAAAGUCGGACCCCAAUAUAGGUCUCCAUCACUUUGUCUCUCGGGCAUGCACACAUCUCUUCCCCCACUCUCUAGGUCUCCCGACAUCUCUCUUUCCCAAGCACACGCACUAUGUAGAGUGUAUCUUUCCCAUACACACAAAAGGUCGCCCCCAAACGUCUAUCUCCCUAGUUAUGUGGUUCUCCCGUACUCACCUCACACACCACCCCCACUGCAAACAAGCACACUUUGUCUCCUUGCGCACCACUCUCCUAUUUCCAUCUCUCCCACAUGCGGACCCGCCCCAGCUCCUUCCCUGUAUACAUAUAUGUCGUGAAUCUUUCCAUAGCUCCCUAAUGUAUCAUCGUUCUCAAUCUCGCACAUUGUUCUCUACACCAUCUAUUCUAGAUCUCUCAUGAAGUCCCUAUCACACACAUGAUGACUCACUUCCCUUGCGUCUCCGUACAUCGGCCAAUUUCAAACAACAUCAACAUUGUCUCCCUAUCUAUACACCAUUUAUGGACACAAAUAACCCCUCUCGCCCCCUCUCUUCCUCUCUCUCUCUCUCUCUCUCCGUCGCUAGCUCUCUCUCGCUCUCACACCCCUCUCCCACACACACACACACUCGGUGUCUCUUCCAAAUAGUAUGCUCCCCCCGCCUGCACCCAUACUAUCCCGCUACUACACAUGUCACACCAUUCCCCCUUCCCUUAUACUAGGUUUACAUUAGUAGUGGUCUCUCUACUCCACAUACACACACUCCCUCUCACACACAAAUGCAUGCACAAACACACACAGCCACGCACAAACACCCAUUUAUCUGGAUCCUCAUCUCUCCCCAUGUGCGCAUGUGUUUCUCACACACUCACUCUCUAAUUAUGUAUAUGUGUCUCCAUGUUACACAACACAAAGCCCCAUGUACAUGUCUCUAUCUAUCCUCCACACACAUAGACACAAAGAAUCUAUUAUCAUUGCCUCAGUCUCUAGACAUAUCACACACGAACACUGUCUCUCUCUCUCUCUCGCAAACACGCUCAACAAGGGUUUCCCCGUGAAUAACUUAUCGUCUAUUCAUCAAAAGUCGUGGCAGUACGGGAAAACCUAGUAUGACUACUAGGACUAGAGCAAGCCAAAAAGCGCGCCGCCGUCACCCCCUCCUUAUCAGCGAUGGGAAAACCUUUGUUUUACACAGUCGAAAAGUCAUUGUGCUAAGGCCCCACAUGCUGAGGCAUUGAAUAGAAUGUAGAUGCUAGUUUACAGAAACAAGUAUCAAUAAUACAUUUGUAUCUCCAUACUUAUAUUUCUUCUCUUAUAAAAACCGAGUUGGUGAUGAUGGUACGCAUGCCAUCUUGCAAUAUAGACCGUCCGAUCUAUAUCUGACGGAUGGAAAUUAAACUAAAAGAUACCCGCACGCCUCUCCACAUUUGCAGACAAGGCAUUCCCUCGUUCAUCCUUAUCUCCAACAACCUCAUUGUUGAGCAAUUAAGAAAGGAAGCCUCUGGAACAAACUGGCCUGGUGGCCGUUGCCGGCGUCGUCAAUCCCCAUGCCUCCGCUCAGUCCGACCACCAAUCACUACCACAUCCCACUCCUCUUCACCUUAUCUCAUAUUUCUCGAGAUAUCAUUAGUAUUUACACAUGGGAUUACUCCCGCAUGGGUCAACCACAACAAGUGUUUUAUAAAAAAAAUGCAUCUUGUUGUUCCGUGCAAUGCACGGAUCUUGCUAGUACUCCUACAGAAGACUAAGUUGGUGAUGAUGGUGUGUCUGCCAUCCGUCGUUUCUGACCAUUAGAUCUACAUCUAACGACUGUGAGGUAAGUUUUUGCCUUUUUCUCACCAACAUCCCACUUGUCUACCAAUUUGCAGAAAAACCCAUAAUUAGUAUCUUAAAACCAACCAAAUCCCUCCCUGACCUCACCAAAACAUACCCAAAAUUUCUUAAUCCAUGACAAAAACUACUACCUAGUACUCCUACCGAUUAGGUUCAUUCAAACCCAUUUAUGACAGGGUUGGCCACACGUCCAUGCCGUUCAUUUAAACCAACACAUUUUGUUUGACCGUUAACACGAGGGACCCACAUCUGACCUUCUAUCCUGUUAUUCCCCCUCAAAUCAUUAUUUUUCCUGAACAUUACUUCAAACAGUACUGAUGUGUGUUCGUCGGUGGUGCCGGUGAUGAGCGAUUUGGCCGCCGCUCUGUCGGACGGGCCGGACGCCGCGCUGGCCUCCGCACGGGUUGGCAAGCUGGCCCGAGCGUGACUCACGAGCGAGCAAGCCGCUGCGCUGGCCUUCGCUCGAGCCAGAUGGCUGGCCUUAGCAUAGCACGCGCGAGCAAGCCGCCGCGCUGCCGUGCAAAUCUAGCUAGCAAACCUUGCAUACAAGCAGAUGGACGGAGCUAUCUUGGCUAGCACCGGACGGAGUUGGCAUCCGGGCUGCCGCAACAUGGGCUCCGCACCGCCGGCGGUUUUGACCUCGCCUUGUGCCGGCGGUGGUAGCUGCGUCCCAUGGCUGAGGAUGACUAGGUGGACGGGCUGGAGGUAGGAGGUCACUUGGGGAUUUUUGUGCAGACUGACAUGUAAGCCCCACAAGUCAUAACGCCCGGUCGAAUAGAAGGCAUUGACUUAAUGGGCGACAUGGGCCCUGUCAGAGGUUAGAGUUAGAUUCCAACCCUGAACUAACUCUAACCAAAGUGGUGUUUGGAUGGUAGGGUUAGAUUGACAACAAAUGUAUCCAAACAGGGCCAUGGGUUGAAACGUGCCUACAACGACACUUUGUAGAGUAGUCGUUUCUUGGUAGGGCUGGUUGGUAAGAGCAUGUACAAUGGUUGAUAAGGUAGCCUUAUCUUAAGUGUGCCACAUAUGCAAGUGGUAGUAGUUUCUUGGCAUUUUAGCUGUUUCUUGCAUUAUUAGGGGUUUCUUGUAAGGAACAAUGUACAUACUACUAGCGACAAAAGGCGAUUCUAGGUUGCGUUGUACUCCAACGAGUACUACUAGUGGUCGCGGGAGUGUAUACCUCAUUUUGUGGGUUCGAUCCUGGCCGAACGCACGGUGGCCUUUUUUUAAAAUAGUAACUUCGCUGCAAGCCAAUAUUUUACAAGGGUUCUUUUAGUUUUGAAGUCAAACGGACGCGCGGCACCACAAUCUGGGUGUACUGGAUAGCCUAGCCACGUGAACGGGUUUUCCUUGCCAGCAUCCCGUGGCUCGCAUGCUCGCCCUAGCCGCACCUCACUUUCAGCUUCGUCAGCUAGUAGCAUAUUUAAACUAGCGCCUCCCAAUUAAGCCUGAGGAGCCAGAAAAGCCUGGUGGGGCAUUGGGAACUGUGCAAUAUGGCUCUGUACGUAAAGUGCCCUACUACUACUACUUUGUAGCUUGUGGCGUUGCACGCAUGGACUUCACUCCAUUAUCGGCUCUACUAUAAAAGAAAUUCCUCUUGACAUGUUUUUUUAAAUGGAGGCAAAAGCUUUGCUUCAUCUUAUUCAUAAAGAAGGAACUACUAACAAAGUUCGACGAGAUCCAUUACACCUCCACAAAUGGAAGCGAAAAGCCUAGUCUCGCUGUAUCAAAUAACUCAAAUGUUCUGCCCCCGCAGUAACCAUCGUUGAUAAACAGGCUGCUAGUGUGUGCGUGAGAGGAGCGGUUGAGUAGGCCAGCUACGUGAGAGGAGCAGUUGAAUAGAGCACCGAGAGUACCCACUAGGCCACUACGCAGGUGUACUUUCCCUGCAUUGAUAGUACAGCGAUGGUUCUAGAGAACAGUAGUACCCUCCACUUCCAAUUGUAGCUCCUUGGCCCUGAGAUUCAAGAGUUCAAAACUGGUGCACUAUACUAGACUAGACUAGAAGCACAGUACAUCACACUACUAGUUGAGAAAAAGUAGUACUAGUACUGCUACAGUACGAGUACGUACUCCUCCAUCAACAUAAUGUAAGACGUUUUUUGACACUAGUUGGCGUGUACAAAAAAUAGCAAAAACAUACCCAAAAUUUCUUAAUCCACGCCAAAAACUAGUACCUAGUGCCAAAAAUUUCUUAUUAGUGCUAUUAUUUACAGUAUAAUGCAAUCCCAUAAUGUUCCAUAAUGCUAGUACUAGUAGUAAAUAAUAGCCUCACCCCUUCGCUAAGGAACGAUCUACAGUUCGAAGGAACGAGGCCCUACGGUUACUACGCUCUUAUCUCCUCCUCGCCAGUUCCCCUCCCCCCGAAGAGAAGGUAGUUCGUCGCUGCUCCCAUAGAUUCGCCUGGCGGUUCUCCUCCUCGUCGGGGCUGGGAGACCUUCGAGGAUGAUCCUUUGGGAUAAAUCGGACGCCGCUCCGAAGUCCUCACCGCCACAAGACUUGGUGCUUCCUGCACCAAAUUUUUCAAGAUGGUGCUUAAACAGGCUUGGGAAAAGGCCAUGCUUGUUGGUCUUCCAUGCGUACUCGAGGAUAAGGUUCUUCUAUGGGACAAUCCUUCGAACAGUUCACCGCUCCCUGGCCAUGGUUGCACGUUGACUCCGCUAGAGUUGCCGACGUUGAGAGGUAGUCAGUUUUUGUCUGAUGAGCAGGUCAGUAAUGGUGUUUGAUCAUGUAGUACUUAGUUAUUCCAUUUCCAUCCUGUAAUUUCUCCGCCGCCCACUAUCUUAUAUAUAGGUCUGGGUCGGUGCCAACGAAGAUUGGCUUGCAUACCUCCGGCCGGAUACCACCAUCAUUUUUCACAACAUCCACAGUAGUGCGGCCGUUCCGGUAGACCCCUUCUCCACCAUUGGGAUUAGCCUUCCGGACUGGCUGGGAUCGAAUAUGUAUGAUGAUGCCUACAUGAGAUUGAAGAAGAUAGCAAUUGCGGACCCACCGACCAAGCAAUGCGACUACGACGAUUACUAUCUCAUAGUGGUGUUCGACAUAUGGAUUGCCAUCAAUGCAAGAGGUAGUAACGGCAGAGGCUGGCGCAUGUUGGCGGCGGAAGAUUUGUACCCCUACACGUUCGAAGAUGCCGUGCACCAUCUAGGCCGCAUCUUCGCGGUGACAAGCCAGGGGACUUGUUUCAUCUGGUUUCCAUCCUACACUACGGGAGAUUACAAACGGAAUGCACAAACCAUCAUUUGCAUCCCUAACGAUACUCCAUUAUUUUGCAAGGACCAGUCAUCUCCCGAUCAAAACAAGAUCGCCGAUCCUGGAUGUGCAUUUGCAUCUGUGAUUCGGUCUAACCUGGAACCUUGUAGCUGACUUUGGCAUAUUGGGAUGAACUAUCUUAGCAGUCCUUACCCAUGGUACCACUGAUGUGCAACAUGGUCACACAAUCUACCAUGACCGGACCGUCACCAUCUACCCAGGUAUUCCAUUUUUUUUAACCCUCUCGCCUUCUCUUUCAUUGUUGUACUAGUACUUACUAGUACUAGUAGGAGUACUUUUUACCUUGGAGGACGCGUAUAGCUAGCUAGGCCCUUGAAGACUUGAACCCACUAGCUGCCACCAUUUUUGUUUUUCCAUGUCUUACUAUCUCAUCCAUGUAGCCAAGAGUGGCUAUAUAUAAUAAGUCAGUUAUUUUACUUCCUCCAUUCUGGAGUAGUACUAUUUGCUGCACAGUAUUACUGACCGCCAUAUUUGAGCACAACAUUAUUAUGCAUGUACCUUGACUAUUUACAUCACCAUGUGUCCAGAUCUGAGAUGCCGCGUGUACCAGAUAAACGAUGCCGAGUUUGAGCCCUGUGAUGCUACGUGGGUGCUGAGGAACACUGUUGGAGAGUACUCGCUUUUCAUUGGGGACAGCUACCCCAUUGUGAAGCGGAUGCCACCUUCCAUGCACGACACGGAAGGCCUGCCGUUCAUGAAGCAUGGUUGUGUCUUCAUUGCGCACCGUAAAAGUGCGUUAUAUCGACUAGAGGGGGGUGAAUAGGCGAUUUUUAUGAAUUCUUCACUGAGGAAUUUGCCGGUGAGGAAAUUCCUUAGCGAAGAACUACUUGCAGCGGAAUAACUACUCAGAAGUAAGCAUGACAGAAUACACACAUAGUCAUCAUGAUGAAAUGAACACAAACACAGAGUACAGAAAGCGUAAACACAGGAUAACACAAGAUGAAGACAAACAGACUGAAGAAAUUGAACUGAGGAAAUUGAGAAAGUCUUCAGUCAAAGUCUUCAAACACAGAUAUGAACAAUCACUCAACACAGUAAUGAGGAAAUGAAAGAGUUGAAGAAAUAGAACCAGUAAGGUUGGUGAAGACAAUGAUUUGGUAGACCAGUUCCAACUGCUGUCUCAGUUGUACGUCUGGUUGGAGCGGCUGAGUAUUUAAACUCGAGGACACACAGUCCCGGACACCCAGUCGCUGAGCACGCAGCUCAGGACACCAAGUCCUCACCAUAUUCUCCUUGAACUAAGGUCAGACAGACCUCGUCCAAUCACUCGUGGUAAGUCUUCAAGAGACUUCCAAACCUUCGCAGACUUCGGUCACUCGGUGAUCCACAAUUCCUCUUGGAUGCUCUAGACCAUGACGCCUAACCGUCUGGAAGAAGCACAGUCUUCAAAGGUAACAAGCAUCGGAUCCACGCAGGAUCAAUCUCUUUAGUGAUGCUCAAUCACUUUGGGUUUGUAGGUGUUUUGGGUUUGGGUUUUUCCUCACUCGAUGAUUUUUGCUCAAAGUCCUCGGAGGAUGGGUUGCUCUCAAAAGUGUUAGUUUCUCUCGGAGCAGCCAACCAGCUAGUGGUUGUAGGGGGCGGCUAUUUAUAGCCUAGGGAGCAUCCCGACAUGAUAAGACAUAAAUGCCCUUCAAUGAUACGACCAUUGUGUGGAUAAGAUAUUUUGGGACAGCUGGCGCGUAGCACAGCAACGGUCGGAAAUUUGACUCUCAAAUUCCUCAGGGCUAUCAUGUUCCUCACUGUGUAGGCAAUCCGCACUGGCGAAUUCCUAACACUUUAGUCAGAGCAAAUUCCUCAGCGACCAGAAGAACUUCGUCUCUGUCACUGAAGAAAUUGACUGAACUGUAUGAGAUUUCCAAUGGCUUGACUCGAAGGGAUUGGUAGGUGUAGGAUUUUGAGUUGAGCAUCACAUGGAAAUUUUUCCUUGGUAUUUCCUCGACCCCCUUUAAUAGUACGGUGUUUCCUAUGACUCAAGAAAGAGAAAAACAGAACUAUGAAAACGAAAGUCUUCAAGCUUCAUAUGCCUUGCAUGAAUAUCAAGUCUUCACGGACACACCAAUUUCUUCACUUUCAAAGUCUUCAUGAAAGUCUUCAGGAAUACCAAAAUCUUCAGUCGAAGAUAUUCAUUUUUAGGGGUCGACUUUCUCUGUAAAUAUAAAACUUCUCAUAGACUUAUAGACCUGUGUACACUUAGAAACACAUUACUCCCUUAACCUAUAAGUCUUCAAUACACCAAAAUCACUAAGGGGCACUAGAUGCACUUACAAUCUCCCCCUUUUUGCUUAUUGAUGACAAUAUAGGUUAAGUUUUCAACGGGGAUAAUCAUAUGGAGUGUAAGUACUGAUAUUGAGGAAUUUGAUUGCAAGAUAUAAAAGAACUCCCCCUGAAGAUGUGCAUAGUGAGAAAUUUGCUUUUGAAGCAAUGCACACUUGAAGAGUUGAAUCAUGGAGAUCUCCCCCUAUAUCUUGUAAUUCAUACAUGUAUUUGACAUAUAAUAUGAAGAAUUUGAAAUGUAUGAUGAAAUAUGGUGCCUGAAGGAAUUCAGCAUGCGUGCAAUAAUAUUAACGAGGAAAACAAGCAUGCAGAAUUAGAGCACAGUGCAUCAAAAGUAUCAGAGCACCAUCGGUUUUAAGAUUACAACUCGGUCCAAUAAAAGUUUCAGAAGAGCGAGAGUUGUAACUUAGCAAAAAAAAUGCCCAUAUAAUAGACCAGCUUGAAGACUAACUCAGAUUUCUCCCUCUUUGUCAUCGAAUGACCAAAAGGAUCCAAACUGAGGACUAACGCCCCUGAAGAAUAUCAAGUUGAUGGAGGAGCGUCAGUGUUGUCGGGGUCGAUUGUCGUAAUAGGGCCUGCCGCAGUGUCGUCCAAGUCUUCAUUUUCAUCAGUGUCGCGCGAUGAAGAAUAGGACCUGGCCACCAAGGAAGGAACCUUGACCUUCUUGAAUAUCUUCGGUGGAGGUGCAGACCAGUCAAAUUCUUCCUUGAGACCCAUUCUCUUCAGAUCUUUUGCGCUGUAGACAUGAGAUAGAACAGCCCAGGUAUGGUUGAAAGUUUCAUGGAGGUAGUACUGGUUUUUCGUCACUGCAUUGUGUGUGUGGAGGUCAUGUUGUGAACAAUUAAACCAAACUGACGCUUGACCCAUUUAUGAUUGCGAUCAACUUUCUGAUGAAGACUGAGGAGUAACUCACGAUCAGUCAUCACCCUAGGUGCUGUGGCUUGAGGAAUUUGCUUGGCAGAGGUGUUGGCGCCAGUGUCAUGUGUGGCAGAGUCAUCAUUGGUGGAGUAGGAUGCAGCUUUACUAAAUUGACCAUCCAAUGGACGAAUGCCUUCAUUUAUCACAGCAGUUGCCUUGCCUUUGUCAUCAGCUGAGGAAAAUGUCCGUUUGAGGACUUCAAUUGGAGGCAAGUAGCUGCCGUGGUUCAGAGUAUCAUCCUUGUAAUUGAGUGAAGACCUUGUCCUGAUGAACCUCAUAAUCCAUGGUGCAUAAGGCUACAGCUCAAAUGGUGACAUAGCAAUAUUUGCCAGAGUCCUCAUGAAGAAAUCAUGGAAGUUGAUGGGAACGCCAUGAAUGAUAUUGAAACGCAUAUUCUUCAUGAUGCCAACGACUUCUUCAUCAUUUGAGUCGUGGCCUUUGAUAGGACUCGUUGUCUUCGACAGAAUGCGAUAGACAGUCCAUGGCACAUACAGUAAUUCCUUGACGAGGAAUUUGGUUCGAGGGGCCUGCCCUGGCUUCAAAGGCUUCAUCAGCACUUGCAUGUAAUGAUUUGUAAGCUCAGGUUCAUUGUAGAUGCAACAAGCACCUUCAAGGGGAGGGCUGAGUGGGAAAGCACGAAGCAGUUCAGUUGCUGGUGCCUUGUAGUGAGUAUUUUCUGACAUCCAGUCCAGCACCCAUGAGUUCACAUCUUCAGAAUUUCCUGUGAUGUGCAGCAUUGCAUAGAAUUGAAGAAUGAGUUCUUGAUUCCAAUCACAGAUAUCAGUGCAGAAAUUCAGCAAUCCAGCAUCGUGAAGAACACUAAGGACUGGCUCGAAGCCUGGCAGAGAUUCCAUGUCCACGUGAGGAAUGUGUGCAUGAUCGAAGACUUUGUCUUUGUCGAAUAGCAUAGAGGAAUAAAAGUUGGCUUCACUAGCAGUCCAGAAACGCCUCUUCCUUAUGCGAGCAGAAUCAUAGGGAUUGUAGGCUGUGAAGAACACAUGCUCGUUAAAGAAAUUGGCAGCCUUGAACUUUUGCUUCUUUGAGAAUGGAUCCUUUGGCUUGGGCAGAGGAGUGUCAGUGAGUUGCAUCACAACCUCAGGAAUCGCAAUCUCCGGUUCUUCAGGCUGAGGAAGUUAUGGUUCCUCUUCAAUGGCAGUGUGCGUGUUCAAAGGAUCAGCAGCAGCAGUUUCUUCAGCACUAGUGGCUGGACUUUCUUCAUGCACAGACGAGGUAGGAUGAGUUUCUUCAGAGCCCAUUUGAACGGUUUGUGCAGGGGACUGAGGUAUUUGUUGUAUUGGGGUGAAGCGUGGGGAAUUGGGAUGCUGACUUUCCCAAAAGUCAUCAUUCAUCACAGGCGUAGUGCAUCCAAUAUCGACAUCUUCAUCUUCAAUUUCUUCAACGCCAGCCUCUUCAGCUGUGAACUGAGGCAUUGGCGAGGAAGCAACAGGCAUUGAAGGGAUCGCAUCCACUUCAAUUUCUUCAUCAAUCUGCUCUGACGAAGCAGCAGACUGAUUUUCUUCAUCAGAUCUGCUAGGGAUCACAUAUUCUUCACCAAAAGGAACAAGGUCCUUUGAUGGCAGGGUGGAAAUCGGAACAACAUCAAUUGGACUUUCACGUGAGCUGGUCAUAGGCUUCAUUUUCUUCGGAGUUGAAGAAUCUGAAGCAGAUGAUGCAUUCCUUUUCUUCACUGCAGCUCUCUCUGCAGCCUUGGUCUUCCUCACAUCUGAUGUAGAUGGAAGGGUAGGAGUUGGUGUAGGCGCAGGAGGAGCUGAGGAAUCUGUUUGAAUUUCCUCAGGCGCAACUGAUGCAGUUGCCCCGACUUCUUCAUUUUCUUCAGGCACACCACUAGUGGAUGCCCUGGCAAUGUCUUCAGCGGCUGGAAUGGAGUCAUCAGCCCUGGAACUAGCAUUUUCUUCAGCAGCCUGAAAGUCAUCAGCGGUGCUAGCAUGUUCUUCAGUUUGUUGAGUAGAGGCUUCAGCUUGAGGAAUUUCUUGUUGCGAUGGGGCUGCAACAUUGGUGAACUUCUCAGUCAGUUUAACGAACCUGACUUUGGCUCCUUGCCAAUCAGCAUAAUAAGCAUUGAAAUCAUCGCUGAGGGCUUUGAUUUCAGACUGGAUCUUGAGGAGUUCACCAGUUGUCAUUUUGACAACGUUUUUCCUCAGGAACUUCUCUUUCCUGAACGGAGCCUUCUUGACCUGCCUAGACUUCUCAAAUUUCCAUUUCUCUUCAGUGAUGAAAUGGGUCAGCAUGUGACUUUGGCCAGGAGUCAAAUGCAAAUCAGGCAUAGGAGUGUUUGGGUCCUUGUGCCAGAGAUCAAUGUAGUCGAGGAUCGCCUUUGGAUCCAAAAGCAGUGGCACAUUUGUGCCUUUGGCUCUAGCGGCCCUUUCUUGCCUGUCUCUGAUGAUUUCUGCAAGUUCAUCAUCAUCAGCUUUAUCAUCAUAUGGCACUUGGAAGGCAACCUGUUUCUUCUUUAGAUUUGGCUGAGGACCUCGACGAGCUGUUGCCUUUGUCUUUAGCAGAGUGGGGCCUGAUGAAGAGUUUGGUGCAGUUGAGGAACUCGCUGAGACACCAGAGGCAAUAGAGAUGCCUGCAGUCCUUUGGCACAUGGCCAGAUGUACACGUGUUGACGACUUUGCCGGAGCAACUGAGGACUUUGGGGGAGGAGCUGAGGACUUUGGAGGAGCAGGAGCAGCAUGAGGAACUGGCCGUGAGGGCUUUGAAGAAUCUGGCCGUGAGGGCAUUGCUGCGGAACUUGGCCGUGAGGGCACAGUUGGUGAAGCACUUGGCUUGUGAGAGGGCUUCUUUGCCAUUGAUUUUCUAGGCCUAACAGAGGCCUCAGUGGCAGCAGUGGUAGCAGAGUCUUCAUUGAAUUUCUUCAUUGCUUCUUUGGCUUGUCUUGCCAACUUGGCUUGGCAUUUGGCCCAUUCUUCAGGGAAAUCCUCACCACGCUUGAUGCUGGUGGGGUCAGCUUCUUGGCCAGGUGCCAAUGGAGCUCUUGGGCAUGGAGGAUUUAGUGCGAAUUUCUGAAGGAAAUAUGCCCUAGAGGCAAUAAUAAAGUUAUUAUUUAUUUCCUCAUAUCAUGAUAAAUGUUUAUUAUUCAUGCUAGAAUUGUAUUAACCGGAAACAUGAUACAUGUGUGAAUACAUAGACAAACAUAUAGUCACUAGUAUGCCUCUACUUGACUAGCUCAUUAAUCAAAGAUGGUUAUGUUUCCUAACCAUAGACAUGUGUUGUCAUUUGUUUAAUGAGAUCACAUCAUUAGGAGAAUGAUGUGAUUGACAUGACCCAUCCCGUUAGCUUAGCACUUGAUUGUUUAGUAUUCUGCUAUUGCUUCCUUCAUGACUUAUACAUGUUCCUGUAACUAUGAGGAUUGUGUAACUCCCGUUUACCGGAAGAACACUUUGGGUACUACCAAACGUCACAACAUAACUGGGUGAUUAUAAAGGAGUACUACAGGUGUUUCCGAAGGUACAUGUUGGGUUAGCAUAAUUCGGGAUUAGGUUUUGUCACUCCGAUUGUCGAAGAGGUAUCUCUGGGCCCUCUCGGUAAUACUCAUCACCCAAGCCUUGCAAGCAUGUAACUAAUGAGUUAGUUAUGAGAUGAUGUAUUACAGAACGAGUAAAGAGACUUGCCGGUAAUGAGAUUGAACUAGGUAUUGGAUACCGACGAUCAAAUCUCGGGCAAGUAACAUACCGAUGACAAAGGGAAUAACAUAUGUUGUUAUGCGGUUUGACCGAUAAAGAUCUUCGUAGAAUAUGUAGGAACCAAUAUGGGCAUCCAGGUCCCGCUAUUGGUUAUUGACCAGAGACGUGUCUCGGUCAUGUCUACAUUGUUCUCGAACCAUAGGGUCCACACGCUUAAGGUUUCGAUGACAGUUAUAUUAUGAGUUUAUGUAUUUUGAUGUACCGAAGUUUGUUCGGAGUCCCGGAUGUGAUCAUGGACAUGACGAGGAGUCUCGAAAUGGUCGAGACAUAAAGAUUAAUAUAUUGGACGGAUAUAUUUGGACACCGGAAAGGUUCCGGAGAAGUUUGGAGCUACCGGGAGAUUACCGGAACCCCCCGGGAGGUAUAUGGGCCUUAUUGCGCCCAUAUAGGAAGAAGGGAGAAGGAACAAGGGAGGGGGGCGCGCCCCCCAGCCCAAUCCGAAUUGGGGAGGGGGGCCGGCCCCCCCUUUCCUUUCUCCUUUCCCCCUCUUCCUAUUACUACUACUAGUACUUAUUCCUAAUAGUAGUACUCUUUCCUUCCCCCUUCAAAUAAGAUAAGGAAAAGGGGGGGAAACCUACUUGGAGUAGGUUUCCCCCUCCUCUAUGGCGCGCCCCCCUUGGGCCGGCCUCCUCCUCCCUCCCUCCUUUAUAUACGGGGGUAGGGGGGCACCCUAGGACACACAAGUUGAUCAUUGAGAUCGUUCCUUAGCCGUGUGCGGUGCCCCCCUCCACAAUAUUACACCUCGGUCAUAUUGUAGCGGUGCUUAGGCGAAGCCCUGCGACAGGAGAACAUCAAGAUCGUCACCACACCGUCGUGCUGACGGAACUCCCCCUCGGCGCCUCUGCUGGAUCGGAGAACGAGGGUGCGUCAUCGAGCUGUACGCGUGUCAAGAACUCGGAGGUGCCGGAGUAACGGUGCCUGGAUCGGUUGAACCGGGAAGACGUACGACUACUUCCACUACGUUGUGUCAACGCUUCCGCUUCGGUCUACGAGGGUACGUAGACAACACUCUCCCCUCGUUGCUAUAUCAUCACCAUGAUCUUGCGUGUGCGUAGGAAAUUUUUUGAAAUUACUACGUUACCCAACAGUGGUAUCAGAGCCUAGGUUUUUAUGGUUUGAUGUUAUUUGCACGAGUAGAACACAAGUGAGUUGUGGGCGAUAUAAGUCAUACUGUUUACCAGCAUGUCAUACUUUGGUUCAGCGGUAUUGUUGGAUGAAGCGGCCCGGACCGACAUUACGCGUACGCUUACGCGAGACUGGUUUUACCGCCGUGCUUUGCACACAGGUGACUAGCGGGUGUCUGUUUCUCCAACUUUAGUUGAACCGAGUGUGGCUACGCCCGGUCCUUGCAAAGGUUAAAACAGCAUCAACUUGACAAACUAUCGUUGUGGUUUUGAUGCGUAGGUGAGAUUGGUUCUUGCUUAAGCCCGUAGCAACCACGUAAAAUUUGCAACAACAAAGUAGAGGACGUCUAACUUGUUUUUGCAGGGCAUGUUGUGAUGUGAUAUGGCCAAGACGUGAUGCUAUAUUUUAUUGUAUGAGAUGAUCAUGUUUUGUAACCGAAGUUACUGGCAACUGGCAGGAGCCAUAUGGUUGUCGCUUUAUUGUAUGAAAUGCAAACGCCCUGUAAUUGCUUUACUUUAUCACUAAGCGGUAGCGAUAGUCGUAGAAGCAAUAGAUGGCGUAACGACAACGAUGCUACGAGAGAUCAAGGUGUCGCGCCGGUGACGAUGGUGAUCACGACGGUGCUUCGAAGAUGGAGAUGACAAGCACAAGAUGAUGAUGGCCAUAUCAUAUCACUUAUAUUGAUUGCAUGUGAUGUUUAUCCUUUAUGCAUCUUAUCUUGCUUUGAUUGACGGUAGCAUUUUAAGAUGAUCUCUCACUAAUUAUCAAGAAGUGUUCUCCCUGAGUAUGCACCGUUGUGAAAGUUCUUCGUGCUGAGACACCACGUGAUGAUCGGGUGUGAUAGGCUCUACGUUCAAAUACAACGGGUGCAAAACAGUUGCACACGCGGAAUACUCAGGUUAUACUUGACGAGCCUAGCAUAUACAGAUAUGGCCUCAGAACACGGAGACCGAAAGGUCGAGCAUGAAUCAUAUAGUAGAUAUGAUCAACAUAGAGAUGUUCACCAUUGAAACUACUCCAUCUCACGUGAUGAUCGGACAUGGUUUAGUUGAUUUGGAUCAUGUGAUCACUUAGAUGUCUAGAGAGAUGUCUGUUUAAGUGGGAGUUCUUAAGUAAUAUGAUUAAUUGAACUUAAAUUUAUCAUGAACUUAGUACCUGAUAGUAUUUUGCUUGUCUAUGUUUGUUUGUAGAUAGAUGGCUCGUGCUGUUGUUCCGUUGAAUUUUAAUGCGUUCCUUGAGAAAGCAAAGUUGAAAGAUGAUGGUAGCAAUUACACGGACUGGGUCCGUAACCUGAGGAUUAUCCUCAUUGCUGCACAGAAGAGUUACGUCCUGGAAGCACCGCUAGGUGACAGGCCUGCUGCUGAUGCAACUGACGACGUUAAGAACGUCUGGCAGAGCAAAGCUGAUGACUACUCCAUAGUUCAGUGUGCCAUGCUUUACGGCUUAGAACCGGGUCUUCAACGACAUUUUGAACGUCAUGGAGCAUAUGAGAUGUUCCAGGAGUUGAAGUUAAUAUUUCAAGCAAAUGCCCGGAUUGAGAGAUAUGAAGUCUCCAAUAAGUUCUACAGCUGCAAGAUGGAGGAGAACAGUUCUAUCAGUGAGCAUAUACUCAAAAUGUCUGGGUAUAAUAAUCACUUGAUUCAACUUGGAGUUAAUCUUCUGGAUGAUAGCGUCAUUGACAGAAUUCUCCAAUCACUGCCACCAAGCUACAAGAGCUUUGUGAUGAACUAUAAUAUGCAAGGGAUGAACAAGACUAUUCCCGAGCUCUUCGCGAUGCUGAAAGCCGCGGAGGUAGAAAUCAAAAAGGAGCAUCAAGUGUUGAUGGUCAACAAGACCACUGGUUUCAAGAAAAGGGGCAAAGGGAAGAAGAAGGGGAACUUCAAAAAGAAUGGCAAACAAGUUGCUGCUUAAGAGAAGAAACCCAAGUCUGGACCUAAGCCUGAAACUGAGUGCUUCUACUGCAAGCAGACUGGACACUGGAAGCGGAACUGCCCCAAGUAUUUGGCGGAUAAGAAGGAUGGCAAAGUGAACAAAGGUAUAUGUGAUAUACAUGUUAUUGAUGUGUACCUUACUAAUGCUCGCAGUAGCACCUGGGUAUUUGAUACUGGUUCUGUUGCUAACAUUUGCAACUCGAAACAGGGACUACGGAUUAAGCGAAGAUUAGCUAAGGACGAGGUGACGAUGCACGUGGGAAAUGGUUCCAAAGUCGAUGUGACCGCGGUCGGCACGCUACCUCUACAUCUACCAUCGGGAUUAGUUUUAGACCUGAAUAAUUGUUAUUUGGUGCCAGCGUUGAGCAUGAACAUUAUAUCUGGAUCUUGUUUGAUGCGAGACGGUUAUUCAUUUAAAUCAGAGAAUAAUGGUUGUUCUAUUUAUAUGAGCAAUAUCUUUUAUGGUCAUGCACCCUUAAAGAGUGGUCUAUUUUUAUUGAAUCUCGAUAGUAGUGAUACACAUAUUCAUAAUGUUGAAGCCAAAAGAUGUAGAGUUGAUAAUGAUAGUGCAACAUAUUUGUGGCACUGCCAUUUGGGUCAUAUUGGUGUAAAACGCAUGAAGAAACUCCAUACUGAUGGACUUCUGGAAUCACUUGAUUAUGAAUCACUUGGUACUUGCGAACCGUGCCUCAUGGGCAAGAUGACCAAAACACCGUUCUUCGAUACUAUGGAGAGAGUAACAGAUUUGUUGGAAAUCAUACAUACAGAUGUAUGUGGCCCGAUGAAUGUUGAGGCUCGUGGCGGAUAUCGUUAUUUUCUCACCUUCACAGAUGAUUUGAGCAGAUAUGGGUAUAUCUACUUGAUGAAGCACAAGUCUGAAACAUUUGAAAAGUUCAAAGAAUUUCAGAGUGAAGUAGAAAAUCAUCGUAACAAGAAAAUAAAGUUUCUACGAUCUGAUCGUGGAGGAGAAUAUUUGAGUUACGAGUUUGGUUUACAUUUGAAACAAUGUGGAAUAGUUUCGCAACUCACGCCACCAGGAACACCACAACGAAAUGGUGUGUCCGAACGUCGUAAUCGUACUUUACUUGAUAUGGUGCGAUCUAUGAUGUCUCUUACCGAUUUACCGCUAUCGUUUUGGGGUUAUGCUUUAGAGACGGCCGCAUUCACGUUAAAUAGGGCACCAUCAAAAUCCGUUGAGACGACGCCUUAUGAACUAUGGUUUGGCAAGAAACCAAAGUUGUCGUUUCUCAAAGUUUGGGGCUGCGAUGCUUAUGUGAAGAAACUUCAACCAGAUAAGCUCGAACCCAAAUCAGAGAAAUGUGUCUCCAUAGGAUACCCAAAGGAGACUAUUGGGUACACCUUCUAUCACAGAUCUGAGGGCAAGAUUUUCGUUGCUAAAUUCGGAUCCUUUCUAGAGAAGGAGUUUCUCUCGAAAGAAGUGAGUGGGAGGAAAGUAGAACUUGAUGAGAUAACUGUAUCUACUCCCUUAUUGGAAAGUAGUUCAUCACAAGAACCGGUUCCUGUGAUGACUACACCAAUUAGUGAGGAAGAUAAUGAUAUUGAUCAUGAAACUUCAGAUCAAGUUUCUACUGAACCUCGUAGGUCUACCAGAAUAAGAUCCGCACCAGAGUGGUACGGAAAUCCUAUUCUGGAAGUCAUGUUACUUGACCAUGAUGAACCUACGAACUAUGAGGAAGCAAUGAUGAGCCCAGAUUCCGCAAAAUGGCUAGAGGCCAUGAAAUCUGAGAUAGGAUCCAUGUAUGAAAACAAAGUAUGGACUUUGGUUGACUUGCCCGAUGAUCGGCAAGCCAUUGAGAAUAAAUGGGUCUUUAAGAAGAAGACUGACGCUGAUGGUAAUGUUACUGUCUACAAAGCUCGACUUGUUGCGAAAGGUUUUCGACAAGUUCAAGGGGUUGACUACGAUGAGACUUUCUCACCUAUAGCGAUGCUUAAGUCUGUCCGAAUCAUGUUGGCUAUUGCUGCAUUUCAGGAUUAUGAAAUUUGGCAAAUGGAUGUCAAGACUGCAUUCUUGAAUGGAUUUCUAGAAGAAGAGUUGUAUAUGAUGCAGCCUGAAGGUUUUGUUGAUCCAAAAGGUGCUGACAAAGUGUGCAAACUCCAGCGUUCCAUUUAUGGACUGGUGCAAGCAUCUCGGAGUUGGAAUAAACGCUUUGACAGUGUGAUCAAAGCAUAUGGUUUUAUAUAGACUUUUGGAGAAGCCUGUAUUUACAAGAAAGUGAGUGGGAGCUCUGUAGCAUUUCUAGUUUUAUAUGUUGAUGACAUAUUAUUAAUUGGAAAUGAUAUAGAAUUUCUAGAUAGCAUAAAGGGAUACUUGAAUAAAAGUUUUUCGAUGAAAGACCUCGGUGAAGCUGCUUACAUAUUGGGCAUCAAGAUCUAUAGAGAUAGAUCAAGACGCUUAAUAGGACUUUCACAAAGCACAUACCUUGACAAAAUUUUGAAAAAGUUCAAAAUGGAUCAGGCAAAGAAAGGAUUCUUGCCUGUGCUACAAGGUGUGAAGUUGAGUCAAACUCAAUGCCCGACCACAGCAGAAGAUAGAGAGAAAAUGAAAGAUGUUCCCUAUGCUUCAGCCAUAGGCUCUAUCAUGUAUGCAAUGCUGUGUACCAGACCUGACGUAUGCUUAGCAAUAAGCUUGGCAGGUAGGUACCGAAGUAAUCCAGGAGUGGAUCACUGGACAACGGUCAAGAACAUCCUGAAAUACCUGAAAAGGACUAAGGAUAUGUUUCUCGUAUAUGGAGGUGACAAAGAGCUAGCCGUAAAUGGUUACAUCGAUGCAAGCUUUGACACUGAUCCGGACGAUUCUAAAUCGCAGACCGGAUACGUGUUUAUAUUAAACGGUGGAGCUGUAAGUUGGUGCAGUUCUAAACAAAGCAUCGUAGCGGGAUCUACAUGUGAAAAGGAGUACAUAGCUGCUUCUGAAGCAGCAAAUGAAGGAGUCUGGAUGAAGGAAUUCAUUUCCGAUCUAGGUGUCAUACCUAGUGCAUCGGGACCAAUGAAGAUCUUCUGUGACAAUACUGGUGCAAUUGCCCUGGCAAAGGAAGCCAGAUUUAACAAGAGGACCAAGCACAUCAAGAGACGCUUCAAUUCCAUUCGGGACCAAGUCCAAGUGGGAGACAUAGAGAUUUGCAAGAUACAUACGGAUCUGAAUGUUGUAGACCCAUUGACUAAGCCUCUCUCACGAGCAAAACAUGAUCAGCACCAAGACUCCAUGGGUGUUAGAAUCAUUACUAUGUAAUCUAGAUUAUUGACUCUAGUGCAAGUGGGAGACUGAAGGAAAUAUGCCCUAGAGGCAAUAAUAAAGUUAUUAUUUAUUUCCUCAUAUCAUGAUAAAUGUUUAUUAUUCAUGCUAGAAUUGUAUUAACCGGAAACAUGAUACAUGUGUGAAUACAUAGACAAACAUAUAGUCACUAGUAUGCCUCUACUUGACUAGCUCAUUAAUCAAAGAUGGUUAUGUUUCCUAACCAUAGACAUGUGUUGUCAUUUGUUUAAUGAGAUCACAUCAUUAGGAGAAUGAUGUGAUUGACAUGACCCAUCCCGUUAGCUUAGCACUUGAUCGUUUAGUAUUCUGCUAUUGCUUCCUUCAUGACUUAUACAUGUUCCUGUAACUAUGAGGUUUGUGUAACUCCCGUUUAUCGGAAGAACACUUUGGGUACUACCAAACGUCACAACAUAACUGGGUGAUUAUAAAGGAGUACUACAGGUGUUUCCGAAGGUACAUGUUGAGUUAGCAUAAUUCGGGAUUAGGUUUUGUCACUCCGAUUGUCGGAGAGGUAUCUCUGGGCCCUCUCGGUAAUACUCAUCACCCAAGCCUUGCAAGCAUGUAACUAAUGAGUUAGUUAUGAGAUGACGUAUUACAGAACGAGUAAAGAGACUUGCCGGUAAUGAGAUUGAACUAGGUAUUGGAUACCGACGAUCAAAUCUCGGGCAAGUAACAUACCGAUGACAAAGGGAAUAACGUAUGUUGUUAUGCGGUUUGACCGAUAAAGAUCUUCGUAGAAUAUGUAGGAACCAAUAUGGGCAUCCAGGUCCCGCUAUUGGUUAUUGACCAUAGACGUGUCUCGGUCAUGUCUACAUUGUUCUCGAACCGUAGGGUCCGCAUGCUUAAGGUUUCGAUGACAGUUAUAUUAUGAGUUUAUGUAUUUUGAUGUACCGAAGUUUGUUCGGAGUCCCGGAUGUGAUCACGGACAUGACGAGGAGUCUCGAAAUGGUCGAGACAUAAAGAUUAAUAUAUUGGACAGAUAUAUUUGGACACCGGAAAGGUUCCGGAGAAGUUUGGAGCUACCGGGAGAUUACCGGAACCCCCCGGGAGGUAUAUGGGCCUUAUUGGGCCCAUAUAGGAAGAAGGGAGAAGGAACAAGGGAGGGGGGCGCGCCCCCCCAGCCCAAUCCGAAUUGGGGAGGGGGGCCAGCCCCCCCUUUCCUUUCUCCUUUCCCCCUCUUCCUAUUACUACUACUAGUACUUAUUCCUAAUACUAGUACUCUUUCCUUCCCCCUUCAAAUAAGAUAAGGAAAAGGGGGGGGGGAAACCUACUUGGAGUAGGUUUCCCCCUCCUCUAUGGCGUGCCCCCCUUGGGCCGGCCUCCUCCUCCCUCCCUCUUUUAUAUACGGGGGUAGGGGGGCACCCUAGGACACACAAGUUGAUCAUUGAGAUCGUUCCUUAGCCGUGUGCGGUGCCCCCCUCCAUGAUAUUACACCUCGGUCAUAUUGUAGCGGUGCUUAGGCGAAGCCCUGCGACAGGAGAACAUCAAGAUCGUCACCACGCCGUCGUGCUGACGGAACUCCCCCUCGGCGCCUCUGCUGGAUCGGAGAACGAGGGUGCGUCAUCGAGCUGUACGCGUGUCAAGAACUCGGAGGUGCCGGAGUAACGGUGCCUGGAUCAGUUGAACCGGGAAGACGUACGACUACUUCCACUACGCUGUGUCAACGCUUCCGCUUCGGUCUAUGAGGGUACGUAGACAACACUCUCCCCUCGUUGCUAUAUCAUCACCAUGAUCUUGCGUGUGCGUAGGAAAUUUUUUGAAAUUACUACGUUACCCAACAAUUUCUUCAUAUACUUUGGAGUUACGUAUCUGUACUCCCUCCAUUCUCUUGCCCAUCUCCUUUCAAUCCUCUGUAUGCGCACCUUGCGCUGAUUUUUGUUCUCCUUUCCGAACUUAGCCUCAUCAGGUGUGCAAUAGUCAGCAUAGAUGUUCUCAGGUAUUUCAAACGCAGUCAUGACCUCAGGCCUCUUUCCUCCUUUCUGUGGUUUCUUACUAUCUGCCAUAUUCUUCAGUUGAGGGAUUUGAACAAUCGAAUUCUCUGAAGAAAUAUACAACUUUUCUUCGAGGAACGCUGCAAAUGAGUUAAGUUGAUGAGAACCUAGUGAUUCAGCAGUGGACAUGAGUACCUGUGAACAGAGUAUAGUUGCAAGGAAUUUGAAGAGGUCAUAUACGUUCUCAGAAGGUUUUCAAAAAGAACAAGUUUGAGAAAUUUGACCAGAUGAGUCUUGAAGAAUUUCACUAAGCGUUUUGUGUCUUAGGUUCCAGAGUUGUAUAGAUUGAGGAUCCACACAAUUGAGGAAUCUUGAAGAUAAAUGAUGCUUAGAGAAACGAAUCAAGAGCAGAUGACUAGGGAGGUGUUUUGUGUGUGAGGAUUUGAAGAAUAAAACACCUUUGAAGAUUUUGUAGAGAAAAUUUGAAUCAAAGAGGGCAGUAAAAGUAACUUUUAAUUACCCUAAUGAAGAACACGACGAACUGAGGAGUGUAGAUUUGAAGCUCGUUAGUUCAGAUCUUCCACGCCCUAACUUAGCGGAGGAAGACAGCUACGGCGAUGGCGGAGUGAAGAUUUCCGUGGCCGGCGUGAGUACAUCGGUGACGAGGUCGAGGCAGUGAAGCUCUUCCUCACCGGUGACGAUGGAGUAGCGGCGGCGCUAGGGUUUGAGAAGCUCGAGCGAGAGAGAGAGAGAGAGCAGUCGAGCGGAGUAAAGGAAGUGAGGAAGGGGUGAGGGGGUAUUUAUAGUCGCAGUGAAAAACUGUUCACCCGAAGAUUUAGGACAAACAUGCCCCUGACCCUUCUCAUCCGCUUGACAUGUGUCACCCACGUACUGAAAGGUGGAGAUCGUUUUAGAUCGUGGGUGAAUAGAUAAGUCUAUCGUGGGAUACGGGACGGUUUGAGCGGCAAAACCGAAAAUUUGGAUAAGAUUAGUAUUAAAGUUCCGUUUGCAAUUUCUUCAGCUGACAAGGACACAGUGAAGAUUUUGAACGAGUUUCAAAUAGAACGCACAUGAAGAAUUUGUGAAUAGAUUGGGUUGAGUAUAGCAUAGAGGGGGAAGGGUCCGAUCACAUUCACUUAGUAGAAAAUGCAACUUGAAGAAAAACGACGAAAAUAGUGAAGAUUUUGCAAAGUUGAAGAAUUUGAAAAACUGAAGAAUUUCAAAAACUGAGGAAAAACUCAAAUUGAAGAUUUUCAACUUUGGUGGUGGCGUGACCCACCGUAUAAGAAUGAUGAUUUCAGACACCGCGUACAAUUGUCGUAGGGUUCUGAGAAUCAAAUUCUUCAUUAAUUUCUUCACAUUUAGAGUGUUGUUCUUCAUUGAUUGAAGAAAAACGUUUCUUCAUGUGUUGCACAUCUAAGUCAUUAAUUUUGCAUAAGUGUUAGGAUGAGUGUCCUUUUUCAAAGAACAUUCGAAGACUCUAAGAUAUUUAGCUCACACCGCAACUUGCUAAAUCUCUUCUCAUCCAAGGGCUUUGUGAAGAUAUCGGCUAGCUGUUCUUGAGUCUUCACAUGCUCAAUAGAAAUGUCGUCCUUCAACACAUGAUCACAAAGAAAAUGAUGACGAAUCUGAAUGUGCUUUGUCUUCGAGUGCUGAACUGGGUUGUGAGCAAUCUUGAUGGCACUCUCAUUGUCACAGUAGAGGGGCACAUUCUUCAUGUUGAUGCCGUAGUCCUUGAGAAUUUGCUUCAUCCACAACAAUUGAGCACAGCAAGAACCAACAGCAAUGUACUGAGCUUCCGCAGUAGACAGUGAUACGCAUUUCUGUUUCUUCGAGGACCAACAGACCAAAGAUUGUCCGAGGAAAUGACAAGUACCAGAUGUUGACUUGUGGUCCACACGAUCACCAGCAUAGUCAGAGUCAGAAUAUCCAAUGAGAUCAAAAGUAGAGACCUUGGGGUACCAUAGUCCUAGUGUUGGUGUUUGAGCUAGAUAUCGAAGAAUAUGCUUCACAGCCUUAAGGUGUGAUUCCUUCGGUGUAGCUUGAAAUCGGGCACACAUGCAAACACUAAGCAUUAUAUCUGGCCUAGAUGCACAUAAGUACAAUAAAGAACCAAUCAUGGAGCGGUAUACCUUGUGAUCGAAGUCAAUACCAUUUUCAUCAGUGCAUAGAUGGCCAUUUGUGGGCAUAGGAAUUUUGACUCCUUUGCAAUCUUGCAUGCUGAAUUUCCUCAGAACAUCCUUGAAGUAUUUCUCCUGAGAUAUGAAUAUGCCAUUGUGCUGUUGACGAAUUUGAAGACCUAAGAAGAAUUUCAACUCUCCCAUCAUAGACAUUUGAUAUUCUUCACUCAUCAUAUAGGCAAAUUCAUCACUAUAACGUUGGUCAGUACAGCCAAAGAUAAUAUCAUCAACGUAUAUUUGGCACACAAACAGUUCACCAUCAUAAGAUUUAGUAAAGAUAGUAGGGUCGAGUGAACCGGGUGUGAAGCCAUUCUUCACGAAGAAUUCCUUCAAAGCAUCAUACCACGCCCGACGGGCCUACUUGAGGCCAUAGAGGGCCUUGUUGAGUCUGAAAACUUUGUCAGGAUUCUUUGGAUCUUCAAAACUUGGGGGUUGAGCAACAUAUACUUCUUCCUCAAGCUUACCAUUGAGGAAUGCACUUUUCACAUCCAUUUGAUAUAAAGUGAUAUUAUGAUGGUUAGCAUAAGCAAGUAAUGCGAAUAGCCUCAAGUCUAGCAACAGGUGCAAAAGUUUCAUCUAAAUCAAUUCCUUAGCCUUGAGCUAAAAGUCGUGCCUUAUUCCUCACCACAAGGCCAUUUUCAUCUUGCUUGUUGCGGUACAUCCACUUUGUGCCAAUGAUAUUAUGCUUGCGAGAAUCUGGACGUUUGACCAGUUCUCAGACAUUGUUGAGCUCGAACUGAUGUAAUUUUCUUGCAUGGCCUGAAUCCACUCAGGCUCCAGAAAUUCUUCAUCUACCUUAGUGGGCUCUGUGAUAGAGACAAAAGCAUAGUGCCCACAAAAUUUAGAUAAAUGUGAAGCUUUUGAGUGGGUGAGAGACCUGGUGCUUCAAUGUCAUCGAUGAUCUUUUCAACUUGCACUUCUUUUGCAACGCGAGGAUGAGCUGGUUGUCGUCGAGGAACUUGAUCAGCAUUUUCUUCAGCACCAUUUUCUUCAGCAUUUUCCUCAGGUGCAUUAGCUCGACGAUCUUCGCGUUCUGGAAUGAAUUCUUCAGUAGAUUCUUCGGUAGGAAUGACAUUCUCAGUAGCCCUGAACUUGAUAGAAUCCUCACGUGCUGGUUCAUCUAUCACAGAAGGUAGGUCCUCUCUUUGCGAGCCAUUAGUUUCAUUGAACCGCACAUCUACAGUUUCAACAAUAUUGUGAGGAGUGAUGUUGAAGACUCUGUAGGUGUGCGAGUCCUUUCUGUAACCAAGCAUAAAACCUUCAUGUGCUUUCGGUGCGAAUUUAGCAUUAUGAUGAGGAUCCCUAAUCCAACAUUUAGCACCAAAGACUUUGAAAUAACUCACAUUGGGUUUCUUGUCAGUGAGGAGUUCAUAGGCAGUUUUCUUGAAGAAUUUGUGAAGAUAUACUCUGUUGAUGAUGUGGCACGCGGUAUCAAUUGCAUCAAUCCAAAACCGAUGAGGCGUUUUGUAUUCAUCAAGCAUAGUGCGAGCCAUCUCAACAAGAGUUCUGUUCUUGCGCUCCACGACGUCAUUUUGCUAAGGAGUAUAAGGAGCAGAUAACUCAUGAGUAAUACCAAGUUCAUCAAGAUAGUCAUUAAGACCGGAAUUCUUGAACUCCAUUGUCACUCCUGAUGUGCUUGAUCCUCACACCAAAGUUGGUUGAAGAGAUUGCGAAGAACGUCAACACGAGAGUCACUUUGAGUUGAGACUCCUUCUUUUACUUUGGAGAGCCUAUCCCAGAUAAGCUUAGCAGUUUCCAAAGCACUCACUCUACCAUACUGCAUUUACUCAGAUGACCACAUAUGAUAUUCUUCGCUUGAGAAUUUAGUUGCUUGAAUCUCUUCACAUCAGCAGCAUUCAGGGAAGGUGUGACUGAGGGAACACCAUUUUCCACAACGUACCAGAGAUCGUUGUCAAUUGCUUCAAGAUGCAUUCGCAUCUUAUUCUUCCAGUAGGGGUAGUCCGUGCCAUCGAAGGUAGGACACCCAGCAGAGACCUUGAUCAUACCUGCGGUUGACAUAACUAGAACUCCAGGUGGUUAAACCAAAGUCACACAGAACAAGGGAGUACCUUGCUCUGAUACCAAUUGAAAGUGCGUUAUAUCGACUAGAGGGGGGGUGAAUAGGCGAUUUUUAUGAAUUCCUCACUAAGUAAUUUGCCGGUGAGGAAAUUCCUUAGCGAAGAACUACUUGCAGCAGAAUAAGUACUCAGAAGUAAGCAUGACAGAAUACACACAUAGUCAUCAUGAUGAAAUGAAGACAAACACAGAGUACAAAAAGCAUAAACACAGGAUAACACAAGAUGAAGACAAACAGACUGAAGAAAUUGAACUGAGGAAAUUGAGAAAGUCUUCAUUCAAAGUCUUCAAACACAGAUAUGAACAAUCACUCAACACAGUAAUGAGGAAAUGAAAGAGUUGAGGAAAUAGAACCAGUAAGGUUGGUGAAGACAAUGAUUUGGUAGACCAGUUCCAACUGCUGUCUCAGUUGUACGUCUGGUUGGAGCGGCUGAGUAUUUAAACUCGAGGAAACACAGUCCCGGACACCCAUUCGCUGAGCACGCAGCUCAGGACACCAAGUCCUCACCGUAUUCUCCUUGAACUAAGGUCACAUAGACCUCGUCCAAUCACUCAUGGUAAGUCUUCAGGCGACUUCCAAACCUUCACAGACUUCGGUCACUCGGCGAUCCACAAUUCCUCUUGGAUGCUCUAGACCAUGACGCCUAACCGUCUGGAAGAAGCACAGUCUUCAAAGGUAACAAGCGUCAGAUCCAUGCAUGAUCAAUCUCUUCAGUGAUGCUCAAUCACUUUGGGUUUGUAGGUGUUUUGGGUUUGGGUUUUUCCACACUCAAUGAUUUUCGCUCAAAGUCCUCGGAGGAUGGGUUGCUCCCAAAUGACAAGUGUCAGUUUCUCUUGGAGCACCCAACCAGCUAGUGGUUGUAGGGGGCGGCUAUUUAUAGCCUAGGGAGCAGCCCGACAUGAUAAGACAUAAAUGCCCUUCAAUGAUAUGACCGUUAUGUGGAUAAGAUAUUUUGGGACAUCUGGCGCGUAGCACAACAACGGUCAGAAAUUUGACUCUCAAAUUCCUCAGGGAUAUCAUGUUCCUCACUGUGUAGGCAAUCCGCACUGGCGAAUUCCUAACUCCUUAGUCAGAACAAAUUCCUCAGUGACCAGAAGAACUUCGUCUCUAUCACUGAAGAAAUUGACUGAACUGUAUGAGAUUUCCAAUGGCUUCACUCGAAGGGAUUGGUAGGUGUAGGAUUUUUAGUUGAGCAUCACAUGGAAAUUUUUCCUUAGUAUUUCCUCGACCCCCUUUAACAGUACGGUGUUUCAUAUGACUCAAGAAAGAGAAAAACAAAACUAUGAAAACGAAAUUCUUCAAGCUUCAUAUUCCUUGCAUGAAUAUCAAGUCUUCACGGACACACCAAUUUCUUCACUUUCAAAGUCUUCAUGAAAGUCUUCAAGAAUACCAAAAUCUUCAGUCGAAGAUAUUCAUUUUUAGGGGUCGACUUUCUGUGUAAAUAUCAAACUCCUCAUAGACUUAUAGACCUAUGUACACUCAUAAACACAUUAGUCCCUUAACCUAUGAGUCUUCAAUACACCAAAAUCACUAAGGGGCACCAGAUGCACUUACACACCGUCGGAUGAAUGACAUGCUGGGACACGCUAUCCCUGAUUUAUGCCGCUUCAGCUUGGAUGAGUCUCCAUCGUGUGGAACCGUACUAGAAAUCUGCGACAAUGAUUCUCGUUGCCCACCGCUAUGGAUCCUGCCAUCCAUGAAGAACACCUGGGACCGGAACCUGGAGGAGGACAUGUAGCCCAUUUAUAACGUGUAAGUGGAGUAUGGUAAAUUGAGAACGGUAGCGCUGUGAAUAUAUGUAGACUAGUCGUGCACAAAUUUAUCACAUGAAUUGGAGAUGAACUUGUGUGGCAUACUAGCAUUUGUCCUUUUGAAUUUAUUACUAGUAAAUGUGUUAUGUGUACGUGCAACUUGUGUGCUUGUUGCACGGGCUCCAACACGCUCUUUGAGAAAAAAGGUGGCACAACUUUGGAUAUACGUGACGUGGCGGCAUCAUAUAGUAGCAUCGUUCGCUAUAGUUGUAGUAAAAUCCUACUAGGAUGACAACUCCUAUAAAACCUUGCGCUUGGCUCUUUGCCUCUUCAGGAGGUUCAAUAGUUCAUACUCGUGUGAACCUUGCACUUGGCUCAUCACCUCUUCGGAAGGUCCAACAAUGAUGAUACUACAGUACAAUAUGCUUCUGGCAAUCUGACACUGACUGAACUGUUGCAUGUCCACCGCGAGGGCGAGGGCGAGGGAGUGGGAGAGGGAGAGGGCACUGUAGUCAAAACCCUCUCCUCGUUCUGCGAACCACCGCGCGCAUGGGCGAGGGAGAGGCGUAGUAAGGAAGCGUCUCCUCGUUCGGCGAGUUGACGGGACAUAUCAAAGCAAUACUAGUACUAGUCCAUACUGUGUCCUUUCCGGUUAAUAUGGCUUAAUUUGAAACGAGAAAAAUACACUGGCGGUCAACGUAUGUAACUAUACGCUCUUUACGGUCACUAUAUAUAGUUUUGCGGUGAUUAUAUGAUCACUAGCUCAUCAUAGAGCACCGUAUUGCACCCUACUCACCGGCAACAUAGUCGACGUGGCACUUUGUUGACUGGUUAAAUCGUCACCUAGUUUCUGGGUCCCAUUUGUCAGUUGGCAGAGCAAAGAAAUCAGUUAAAAAAUCUUUACGUAGGCGCGAUAGGAGUCCAACCCUUGCGUGCGAACCACCCUGGCUGUGUAUGUGAGUGCAUGCAAGUAUACUCCCUUGGUCUUCCAACAAAGAGUGUACAUCAGCUAAAAAACAAAGAGUGUAGUACAUGAUGUACAUCUACACUUCCAAUGCAUUUAGCCUUUAAUCUAAACCGAUAUUGAUUAACUAAUGCACCAACUUGUGCUCUAGGUAUAGGCUACAUGUCUAUCCUUAAUUACAGCAUGCAACGGCCUUCAUUUAAUCUUCUUCUCUCAAUGGUCGCAUGCACACAUAAGUCUGCUACUUUUGGGCAUUAAUUAUGCCUGGUCAAUGUGUAAAUCUCUAAAUGUACAGUCUUUCACGGACGUAGAGAGUAGGUUGAGCACUUGAGCGUGAGCGUGUGUGUUGCGUCGUGUGAUGUGUGCCGCAUGGGUGCAUGAGUGUUGCGUGCGUCCAUGUGUGAGCGUGUGUGUUGCGUCUUGUGCUGUGUGCCGCAUUAGGAGCUGAUCGAGCACCUUGAGGCCAAAGUGAGUGCUAACAGCACAAGAUCUCACCCUCUCGUUGAUUUGUUCAUACCAAACAUCGACAGCGAGCACGGCAUAUGCUACACCCAACCUGAGAAACUUCCAGGUAAGACACCGAUCGGACGUCUACUUGCACAAACAUAUUCCUUUGUUUAUAGCUCUAUUUUCCUUUUUAGACGCAGACCUAGUGAAGCAAUUGCAAUUUGACAGUUAAUAAAAAGUGAAACAAGUGACUGGAACAUGCCAAAGAUGUAAUGAAAAUGCCAACUACGUACACUAAAACAUGUAUUCGACAAUACUGCAGGUAUCACACUGAGUGGCCUAAGGAAGCAUUUCUUCCAAUGCAAUUCUAGGGCGUUCAAAAGGGGCACGUGGACGCGUCGCAAGAUACAGUCGGAGUGCGACAUGCACGCCAUGUAGCACAAGACCGGCAAUACCUUGCCGGUGAUGGUCAACGGCCAGCAGACGGGCCGCAAAAAGGUUAUGGUGCUGCACACCAACAAGAACUUCGACCAGUAGAGGACCAACUGGGUGAUGCACCAGUACCACCUUAGGGACCUAGAGCAAGAGAAGGAGUGGGAGCUGGUCCUCUACAAGAUUUUCUACCAGACGAACACUAGGGCCAGGAGUAAAAAGAUUAUAAGUUAGUUUGGUAUUGGUACUUGUACUACCUUGUCGUCCGCAAGUUGGUAUUGUUGUUAACGAUCUUUUGGUAUGAACUUGCAUUUGCUUCCAACCAUCAUGCCGAGGGUCGACGUGGAUAUAAAGCUGAAUCAUUUGUUUCAAAACGAAUUUUCAGGCACCUGAUUUUUAUUUGAUGGGUAGCAUAAGCACCUACUGUUCGAAUUCCCAGUUCUCCAAAUUUUUUGAAACAAGUGCAUGCACUUAUUAUCACGAUGAAAAAACAAUAUCCCUGCUGCAUCCCAGUUACCAGUCUGUACUUGCAGAGUUCUCUUUAUUAUUGAGCACGUAUAUUGUAUUUUCAGGUCGAGCAAGUUUCAACUGGGUUGUAGACUGCCCAGGCUUGGUUUAGUUUUUAACAGGCCCAGCCCAUGACGACAACGGGGCACAAAGAUACAGUAGGUAUCUACUGGCCUGUGGCCCGCCAUCGUUAGUUAUAUUUUUUCUUACAACAUCCGCAUGCAGUUUUUUACUGAAUCAAACACACAGCCCAGUUCUAUUUUCCUCUUGAAACGCAUGUCCUACAUCCGUUUUCUACUCUCCCCCUAUAGUUUUACUAGUUCAUAUACACGUAUCAUUAUAUUGAAAAUACAUAAAAUUCCCUUUUCAUAUUUACAUCCUUAUAUUUGUUGUUUUUUCUCUCCCAGCGCUGAUUUUUUACCACUGGCUUUCCCUUAAACCAACUCAAUUUUCCCACGUCUUAUUUGCUAACAAAAACAAAACGAUUUUUUUGGCAAAUCAACAAGUUCUUAAAAAAUUGUUUAUCAUUUCGGGAUUACAACAGUUCGAACUCCACCGAAAUAUGCAAAAUAAGGUUGAACUUUUUUGACCGUGGUCCGGGGCAGAAAAUGGGCUGUAAUAAAUUACUUCAGAAUUAGCAAAUGGGCUGCAAAUUAUUAAAAAUAGCAAAUGGGCUCUAUGUUGUCUGCCACAGAUUUGGAGGCUGUCUCAUGGGCCUACUAAGUUCAUGCGUACACAAGGUUUCUCAAAAAAGAAACUUAGUCAACAAUCGACUCUACCAGCGUUAGACCGUUAGAUGUCAAUCUAACGGCAAUCGUGCUUCUUUAGUCCCUAAUCUUCCUGCCCCAGCCGCCCAAACCAGCACCGUCGGAACCGCCUGCUCCCGCCUCCCAUGGCCAGCUGUGCUGCCAGGCAGGCCUCACAGCCCCAUCAUACUCGCAUCCCAGGCAUGUCUAUCCGUCUACUCACCCACACCUCCUGUUAUUUUCCGGCAACGGUAGCCGAACCAGUCAACCCUCGUACUCUCCACCACGUGGGCAGCCAUUGUCGUGUCUUCCCCGGCUCCGUGUCAUUCCCUUCGUAGGCCUCACUAUAGUCCACUGCCCUGGUGCUCUCGACGCGGCGUGGUCAACGUGGUCAACGGACGACAUCCAUCGGAAGUGGACUGUAUGUGGAGAGGCUGACAGCUCGGUCCACUGCCGCACACAAGUAAAUGCCUCCUUAUUACGCAGAAAAUAAUGAUUCCUCCACCUGACAUCUGGGACCCGCCGGAAGGGCCUCUGUAUUUCGCAAAAAAAAGUUCCCUUCGCUGACAGGUCGGACCCACUAAUACGUCUCCAACGUAUAUAUAACUUUUGAUUGUUCCAUGCUAUUAUAUUACCCGUUUUGGAUGUUUAUGGGCUUUACUUUACACUUUUAUAUAAUUUUUGGGACUAACCUACUAACUGGAGGCCUUGCCCGAAUUGCUGUUUUUUGCCUAUUUCAGUGUUUCGAAGAAAAGGAAUAUCAAACGGAGUUCAAACAGAAUGAAACCUUCGGAACCGAUCUUUUUGGAACAAACGUGAACCAGAGGACUUGGAGUGGAAGUCAAGAAAUAAGCGAGGCGGCCACAAGGGUGCCCGACGCGCCCCAUACAGGUGGGCACGCUCCCCACCCUCAUGGGCCCCUCGAGCGUCCACCGACAUACUUCUUCCUCCUAUAUAUACCCACGCACCCUGAAAACAUAAGAGGGGAUCACAAAAAACUAUUUCCACCGUUGUAACCUUCUGUAUCUGCGAGAUCCCAUCUUGGAGCCUUCGCCGGUGCUUCGCCAGAGAGGGAAUCGAUCACGGAGGGCCUCUACAUCAUCUACAAGGCCCUUCCAAUGAGUUGUGAGUAGUUUACCACAGACCUUCGGGUCCAUAGUUAUUAGCUAGAUGACUUCUUCUCUCUCUUUGAAUCUCAAUAGAAAGUUCUCCUGGAUCUUCUUGGAGAUCUAUUCGAUGUAACUCUUUUUGUGGUGUGUUUGUCGAGAUCCGAUGAAUUGUGGGUUUAUGAUCAAGUUUAUCUAUGAGAAAUAUUUGAAUCUCGUCUGAAUUCUUUUAUGUGUGAUUAAGUUAUCUUUGCAAGUCCCUUCGAAUUAUCAGUUUGGUUUGGCCUACUAGAUUGAUCUUUCUUGCAAUGGGAGAAGUGCUUAGCUGUGGGUUCAAUUUUGUAGUGUCCUUUCCCAGUAACAGCAUGGGCAGCAAGGCACGUAUUGUAUUGUUGCCAUCGAGGAUAAAAAGAAGGGGCUUAUAUCAUAUUGCAUGAGUUUAUCCCUCUAAAUCAUGUCAUCUUUCUUAAUGUGUUACUCUGUUCUUUAAGAACUUAAUACUCUAGAUGCAUGCUGGAUAGCGGUCGAUGUGUGGAGUAAUAUUAGUAGAUGUAGAAUCGUUUCGGUCUACUUGUCACGGACGUGAUGCCUAUAUACAUGAUCAUGCCUAGAUAAUCUCAUAAUUAUUCACUUUUCUAUCAAUUGCUCGACAGUAAUUUGUUCACCCACCGUAAUACUUAUGCUAUCUUGAGAGAAGCCACUGGUGAAACCUAUGGCCCCCGGGUCUAUCUCUUAUCAUAUAAGCUUUCAAUCUACUUUGAUUUGCAUUUUUACUUUUCCAAUCUAUAUCAUAAAAAUACCAAAAAUAUUUAUCUUAUCAUAUUAUCUCUAUCAAAUCUCACUUUCGCAAGUGGCCGUGAAGGGAUUGACAACCCCUUUAUUGCGUUGGUUGCGAGUUCUUGUUUGUUUGUUUAGGUGCGUGGAACUUUUGAGGAGCCUCCUACUGUGUUGAUACCUUGGUUCUCAAAAACUGAGGGAAAUACUUAUGCUACUAUUCCUGCACCACCGUUUCCUAUUCAAGGAAAACCAACGCAAGCUCAACACGUAGCAAGAAGGAUUUCUGGCGCUGUUGCCGGGGAGGUCUUCGCUCAAGUCAAGACAUACCAAGUACCCAUCACAAACUCAUCUUCCUCGCAUUACAUUAUUUUCCAUUUGCCUCUCAUUUUCCUCUCCCCCACUACACCCUUUCCGUUUUAUUCGCCCUCUCUUUCCCAAUCUCCUCUCUCUUUUGCUUGCCUUUUUGUUUGCCUGUGUGUUGGAUUACUUGUCGCGAUGGUGCAAGAUAAUACCAAAUUGUGUGACUUUUCCAAUACCAAUAAUAAUGAUUUCGUUAGUACUCCGAUUGCUCCUAUUAAUGAUGUUGAGUCUUGUGAAAUCAAUGCAGCUUUGUUGAAUCUUGUUAUGAAAGAUCAAUUCUCCGGCCUUCCUAGUGAAGAUGCCGCUACCCAUCUAAACAACUUUGUUGAUUUGUGUGAGAGGCAAAAGAAGAAAGAUAUGGAUAUUGAUAUUGUUAAAUUGAAGUUAUUUCCGUUUUCACUUAGAGAUCGUGCUAAAGUUUGGUUUUCGUCUUUGCCUAAGAAUAGUAUUGAUUCAUGGAAUAAGUGCAAAGAUGCUUUUAUCUCUAAGUAUUUUCCUCCCGCUAAGAUCAUCUCUCUUAGGAACGAUAUUAUGAAUUUUAAACAACUAGAUCAUGAGCAUGUUGUCCAAUCUUGGGAAAGAAUGAAAUUGAUGAUUCGCAAUUGCCCUACUCAUGGUUUGAAUUUAUGGAUGAUCAUACAAAAAUUUUAUACCGGAUUGAAUUUUGCUUCUAGAAAUCUUUUAGAUUCGGCCGCGGGAGGCACUUUUAUGGAAAUCACCUUAGGAGAAGCUACUGAACUCCUUGAUAACAUUAUGGCUAAUUAUUCUCAAUGGCACACCGAAAGAUCUACUAGUAAAAAAGUGCAUGCUAUAGAAGAAAUUAAUGUUUUGAGUGAAAAGAUGGAUGAAGUUAUGAAAUUGUUUGCUACUAAGAGUGCUUCUAUUGAUCCCAAUGAUAUGCCUUUGUCUACUUUGAUUGAGAAUGAUAAUGAAUCUAUGGAUGUGAAUUUUGUUGGUAGGAAUAAUUUUGGUGACAAUGCUUAUAGAGGAAACUUUAAUCCUAGACCGUUCCCUCGUAAUUCCUCUAUUAAUUAUGGAAAUUCCUACAACAAUUCUUAUGGUAAUUUUAAUAAGAUUCCCUCUGAUUUUGAAAAUAGUGUUAAAGAAUUUAUGAUCUCUCAAAAGAAUUUUCAUACCUUACUUGAAGAAAAAUUGCUUAAAGUUGAUGAUUUGGCUAGGAACGUCGAUAGACUUUUGCUUGAUGUUGAUUUUGAAACUUAGAUCUACUCCUCCUAAGCAUGAUAUCAAUGAGUCCCUCAAAGCUAUGAGAAUUUCCAUUGAUGAGUGCAAAGAAAGAACCGCUAGAUUGCGUGCUAAGAAAGAUUGCUUUGUAAAAGCGUGUUCUUCUAGUUUCCAUGAAAAUAAUGAUGAAGAUCUAAAAGUUAUUGAUGUGUCCCUUAUUAAAUCUUUGUUUUGCAAUAUGAAUCUUAAUAAUGAUGGGACUGGAGAUGAGUCAACUUUAGUUAAUAGGCGUCCCAAUGAUUCGGAGCUUUUAGAUCUUGAUGCUAAAUUUGGUAAAAGUGGGAUUGGGGAGGUCAAGACUUUAAAUAGCAUUGAACCCACUAUCUUGGAUUUCAAGGAAUUUAAUUAUGAUAAUUGUUCUUUAGUAGAUUGUAUUUCCUUGUUGCAAUCCGUGUUGAAUUCUUUGCAUGCUUAUAGUCAAAAUAAAGCUUUUACCAAACAUAUUGUUGAUGCCUUGAUGCAAUCUUAUGAUGAAAAACUUAAUUUGGAAGUUUCUAUACCUAGAAAACUUAAUGAUGAGUGGGAACCUACUAUAAAGAUUAAAAUUAAAGAUCAUGAGUGUUAUGCUUUAUGUGAUUUGGGUGCUAGUGUUUCCACGAUUCCGAAAACUUUAUGUGAUAUUCUAGGUUUCCAUGAUCUUGAUGAUUGCUCUUUAAAUUUGCACCUUGCGGAUUCCACCAUUAAAAAGCCUAUGGGAAGGAUCAAUGAUGUUCUUAUUGUUGCAAAUAGGAAUUUGGUCCCCAUAGAUUUUAUCGUUCUUGAUAUAGAUUGCAAUCUUUCAUGUCCUAUUAUUCUUGGUAGACCUUUCCUUAGAACGAUUGGUGUGAUUAUUGAUAUGAAGGAAGGGAAUAUUAGAUUCCAAUUUCCAUUAAGGAAAGGCAUGGAGCACUUUCCAAGAAAUAAAGUUAAAUUACCUUAUGAAUCUAUCAUGCGAGCUACUUAUGAAUUGAGUGCCAAAGAUGGCACUACUUAGAUCUAUCCUCGCUUUUAUGCCUAGCUUGGGGCGUUAAACAAUAGCGCUAGUUGGGAGGCAACCCAAUUUUAUUUUUGUUUUUGCUUUUUGCUUCUGUUUAGUUAUAAAUAUUUCAUCUACCUUCUGUUUAGAUGUGUUUUAGUUAGUGUUUGUGCCAAGUAGAACCUAUAGGAUAACCUAUGGUGAUAGUUAAUUUGAUUCUGCUGAAAAAUAGAAACUUUGCACGCACGAAAAUAAUUUUAGUAAUUCACAGGAACGUGCUUUUGCGUUGAUUCGUUUUGCUGUAGAUCAAUAUACAAAUUUCCCAGGACUUCCAGAAGUAUUCGAGAGUUACAGAUUGCUACAGACUGUUCUGUUUUUGACAGAUUCUGUUUUUCGUGUGUUGUUUGCUUAUUUUGAUGCAUCUAUGGCUUGUGUUAAGUGGUAUGAACCAUAGAGAACUUGGAAUACAGUAGGUUUAACACCAAUAUAAAUAAAGAAUGAUUUCAUUACAGUACCUUAUGUGGUGGUUUUUCUUUCUUGCACUAAUGGAGCUUAUGAGAUUUCCUGUUGAGUUUUGUGUUGUGAAGUUUUCAAGUUUUGGGUAAAGAUUUGAUGGACUAUGGAAUAAGGAGUGGCAAGAGCCUAAGCUUGGGGAUGCCCAUGGCACCCCAAGAUAUUCCAGGAUAACCAAAAGCUCAAGCUUGGGGAUGCCCCGGAAGGCAUCCCCUAUUUCGUCUUCGUCUAUCGGUAACUUUACUUGGAGCUAUAUUUUUAUUUGCCACAUGAUAUGUGUUUUGCUUGGAGCAUCUGGUAUGAUUUAGUCUUUGUUUUUUAGUUUAACACAAUCAUCCUUGCUGUACACACCUUUUGGGAGAAAUCUAGUUGAUUGGAAUUUAUUAGAACACUCUAUGUGCUUCACUUAUAUCUUUUGAGCUAGAUAAAUUUUGCUCUAGUGCUUUACUUAUAUCUUUUAGAGCAUGGCGGUGGCUUUAUUUUGUAGAAAUUAUUAAUCUCUCAUGCUUCACUUUUAUUAUUUUGAGAGUCUCUUAGAACAGCAUGUUAUUUGCUAUGGUUAUAAAAUUGGUCCUAGAAUGAUGAGCAUCCAAGUUGGGUAUAAUAAAAACGAUCAUAGGAAGUGAAUUGGAUGCUAUGAUCAAUUUGAUACUUGAUAAUUGUUUUGAGACAUGGAGGUCGUGAUAUUAGAGUCAUGCUAGUUGGGUGAUUAUGAAUUUAAAGAAUGCUUGUGUUGAAGUCGGCAAGUCCCAUAGUAUGCCGUAUAGUGAAAGUUGUGUAACAAAUUUGAAACAUGAGGUGUUCUUAGAUUGUGCAUCCUUAUGAGUGGCGGUCGGGGACGAGCGAUGGUCUUUUCCUAACAAUAUAUCCCCCUAGGAGCAUGCACGUAGUGCUUGGUUUUUGAUGACUUGUAGUUUUUUGCAAUAAGUAUAUGAGUUCUUUAUGACUAAUGUUGAGUCCAUGGAUUAUACGCACUCUCACCCUUCCAUCAUUGCUAGCCUCUUCAGUACCGUGCAUUGCCCUUUCUCACCUUGAGAGUUGGUGCAAACUUCGCCGGUGCAUCCAAACCCCGGGAUAUGAUACACUCUAUCACACAUAAACCUCCUUAUAUCUUCCUCAAAACAGCCACCAUACCUACCUAUUAUGGCAUUUCCAUAGCCAUUCCGAGAUAUAUUGCCAUGCAACUUUCCACGUUCCAUUCAUCAUCGUGACACACAUUAUCAUUGUCAUAUUGCCUUGCAUGAUCAUGUAGUUGACAUCGUAUUUGUGGCAAAUCCACCAUGCAUAAUUUUUCAUACAUGUCACUCUUGAUUCAUUGCCCAUCCCGGUACACCGCCGGAGGCAUUCAUAUAGAGUCAUAUCUUGUUCUAGUAUUGAGUUGUAAAUAAAUAGAAGUGUGAUGAUCAUCAUUAUUAGAGCAUUGUCCCCAAAUAAAAAAAAGGGCAAUGUUACUAUCUUUUUCCACACUUGUGCUUCAAACUAGCACCAUGUUCUUCAUAUAGAGAGUCUCAUAUGUUGUCACUUUCAUAUACUAGUGGGAAUUUUUCGUUAUAGAACUUGGCUUGUAUAUUCCUACGAUGGGCUUCCUCAAAAUGCCCUAGGUCUUCGUGAGCAAGCAAUUUGGAUGCACACCCACUAGUUUCUUUUGUUUAGCUUUCAUAUAUUUAUAGCUCUAGUGCAUCCGUUGCAUGGCAAUCCCUACUCCUCAUGUCGACAUCAAUUGAUGGGCAUCUCCAUAGCCCGCUGAUUAUCCUCGUCAAUGUGAGACUUUCUCCUUUUUUUGUCUUCUCCACACAACCUCCAUCAUCAUAUUCUAUUCCACCCAUAGUGCUAUAUCCAUGGCUCAUGCUCAUAUAUUGCGUGAAAGUUGAAAAAGUUUGAGAUUAUUUAAGUACAAAACAAUUGCUUGGCUUGUCAUCGGGGGUGUGCAAGAUGGGAGCAUUUUUGUGUGACGAAAAUGAAGCAUAGCCUAACUAUAUGAUUUUGUAGGGAUGAAUUUUCUUUAGACAUGUUAUUUUCAGACGACAUGAUUACUUGAUUUGUAUGCUUGAAGUAUUAUUAUUUCUUAUGUCAAUAUGAACUUUUAUUUUGAAUCAUUUGGAUCUGAACAUUCAUGCCACAAUAAAGAAAAUUACAUUGAGAAUUGUGCUAGGUAUCAUUCCACAUCAAAAAUUCUGUUUUUAUCAUUUACCUACUCGAGGACAAGCAGGAAUUAAGCUUGGGGAUGCUUGAUACGUCUCCAACACAUCUAUAAUUUUUGAUUGUUCCAUGCUAUUAUAUUACCCGUUUUGGACGUUUAUGGGCUUUACUUUACACUUUUAUAUCAUUUUUGGGACUAACAUACUAACCGGAGGCCCAACCCGAAUUGCUGUUUUUUUGUGCCUAUUUCAGUGUUUCGAAGAAAAGUAAUAUCAAACGGAGUCCAAACGGAAUGAAACCUUUGGAAGCGAUCUUUUUGGAACAAACCUGAUCCAGAGGACUUGGAGUGGAAGUCAAGAAACAAGUGAGGCGGCCACGACGGUGCCCGACGCGCACCCUACAGGUGGGCACGCCCCCACUCUCGUGGGCCCCUCGAGCAUCCACCAACCUACUUCUUCCUCCUAUAUAUACCCACGUACCCUGAAAACAUCAGAGGGGAGCAUGAAAAACUAUUUCCACCGCCGUAACCUUCUGCAUCCGCGAGAUCCCAUCUUGGAUCCUUCGUCGGCGCUCCACCGGAGGGGGAAUCGAUCAUGGAGGGCCUCUACAUCAUCUCCAAGGCCCUUCCGAUGAGUUGUGAGUAGUUUACCACAAACCUUCGGGUCCAUAGUUAUUAUCUAGAUGGCUUCUUCUCUCUUUGGAUCUCAAUACCAUGUUCUCCUCGAUCUUUUUGGAGAUAUAUUCGAUGUAACUCUUUUUGCGGUGUGUCUGUCGAGAUCCGAUGACUUGUGGGUUUAUGAUCAAUUUUAUCUAUGAGAAAUAUUUGAAUCUCCUCUGAAUUCUUUUAUGUGUGAUUAAGUUAUCUUUGCAAGUCUCUUCGAAUUAUCAGUUUGAUUUGGCCUACCAGAUUGAUCUUUCUUGUAAUGGGAGAAGUGCUUAGCUUUGGGUUCAAUCUUGCCGUGUCCUUUCCCAGUGACAGCAGGGGCAGCACACGUAUUUUAUUGUUGCCAUCGAGGAUAAAGAAAUGGGGUUUAUAUCGUAUUGCAUGAGUUUAUCCAUCUACAUCAUGUCAUCUUUCUUAAUGCAUUACUCUGUUCUUUAUGAACUCAAUACUCUAGAUGCAUGCUGGAUAGCGGUCGAUGUGUGGAGUAAUAGUAGUAGAUGCAGAAUCGUUUCGGUCUACUUGUCACGGACGUGAUGCUUAUAUACAUGAUCAUGCCUAGAUAAUCUCAUAAUUAUUCGCUGUUCUACCAAUUGCUCGACAAUAACUUGUUCACCCACCGUAAUCCUUAUGCUAUCUUGAGAGAAGCCACUAGUGAAACCUAUGGCCCCCGAGUCUAUCUCUUAUCAUAUAAGCUUUCAAUCUACUUUGAUUUGCAUUUUUACUUUUCCAAUCUAUAUCAUAAAACACCAAAAAUAUUGAUCUUAUCAUAUUAUCUCUAUCAGAUCUCACUUUUGCAAGUGGCGGUGAAGGGAUUGACAACCCGUUUAUUGUGUUAGUUGCGAGUUCUUGUUUGUUUGUGUAGGUGCGUGGGACUUUUGAGGAGCUUCCUACUGGAUUGAUACGUUGGUUCUCAAAAACUGAGGGAAAUACUUACGCUACUAUUGCUGCAUCACCCUUUCUUCUUCAAGGAAAACCAACGCAAGCUCAAGACGUAGCACCCACCAACUAUAUCUUCGCACGCAAGGAAGUGCCUUCUUAUUGCGCACACAAAAAUAAAUACCCCAAUGCCAGCUGGGACCCAUCAUAGUGGGAGGCUGACUUGUGGGCCUACUAAGUUGACGGGGACAGAGGGCUUUGUCAACUUAGUCAAUAUAUGAACGAUUCUAGCUCCAGUGACCGUAUGAUGUCCAUCCAAUGGUCGUAGUGCUUCUUCAACCUCUGGUCUUCUUGCUCCAGCCGCCCAAAGCAGCGCCGGUCAUGCCGCAUGCUCCUGCCUCCCAUGGCCGGCUUGCUGCCGCGGAGUCCUCACCGCCCCCAUACUACUCCCACUGCUGGCCAAGCCAUCCCUCCACUCACCCACACCCCCUGUUAUUCUGCGGCGACGACAACGUCACACCGCAGCCGAACUAGUGAAACCUCGUACUCCUCUCCGCGUGGGCACCCACUGCCGCGUCUUCCCCGACUCCGCAUCCUCCCCUUCCUAGGCCUCGCCGUCCCCUUCCUAGUCCUCGCCAUCGUCCACCACCAUGGUGCUCUCGGUGUGGCAUGGUCAAUGUGGUCAACAACUGACUUCCUUCGGAAGAGUACUGUACGUGGAGAGGCUGACAGCUGGGUCGACGACAGCCGCAAGGAAGUGCCUCCUUAUUACGCGCAAAAUAAUUAUUCCUCCACCUGACAGCAGGGACCCACCGUACGGGCCACCGUAUUUCAUGAAAAAAAUUGUUUCCCCCCUGACUGCUAGGACCCACCGGAUGGGCCACCGUAUUUCGCGAAAAAAAGUUCCCCCCACUGUCAGCUCGGACCCACCGGAAGUGCCUCCUUAUUAUGCACACAAAAAUGAAUACUCCCCCUGCUAGCUGGGACCCACCUUGGUGGGAGGAUGACUUGUGGCCUUACUAAGUUAACGAGGACUGAGAGCUUUGUCAACUUAGUCAAUAUGAACGAUUCUAGCUCCAGUGACCGUACGAUGUCCAUCCAACGGUCGUAGUGCUUCUUCAACCUCUGGUCUUCUUGCUCCAGCCGCCCAAAGCAGCGCCAGUCGUGCCACAUGCUGCUACCUCCCAUGGCCGGCUAUGCUACCACGGAGGCCUCACCGCCCCUACUAUUCCCACCGCUGGCCAGGCCCUGCGGCGACGGCAGCCUCACACCGUAGCCGAACUAGUGAACCCUCGUACUCCUCUCUGCGUGGGCUUCCACGGCCGCGUCUUCCCCGGCUCUGCGUCGUCCCCUUCCUAGGCCUCAUCGUCGUCCACCGCCCUGGUGCUCUCAGCGCGGCGUGGUCAACAUGGUCAAGGAACGACUUCCAUCAGACGUGUGGACUAUGCGUGGAGAGGCUGACAGCUGGGUCCACGGCCACAGCAAGGAAGUGCCUCCUUAUUACGCGGAAAAUAAUGAUUCCUCCACAUGACAGCAGGGACCCACCGGACGGACCAUCGUACUUUGUGAAAAAAAUGUUUGCCCCUGAAUGCUGGAACCCACCAGCUACAUCUUCGCACGCAAGUAAGUGUGUCCGGGCAAAAAAAAUGAUUCGCUCCCUGACUACUGGGACCCACCAGCUACAUCUUCGCAUGCAAGGAAGUGCCUGACAGUCGGGACCCACCUGGUCGAAGCGUACGUAGCGUUGUCAUUCUGGUCGCGAACGUGUACGUACAUACUGGUCGAUGUAGAGGUGCGCACGUGUCGUAGUAGAGGCGUGCACGUGUCGUAGUAGAGGCGCACACGUAGCAUGUACACGUACGUACAACGGACAGGGUGCAAGAAAGUAAAUACGGCCACGUACGUACAUACGGGCGGUGUCUCGAAUGCCUACUCGCGCAUUCGUAUUGCCAGGGCUGGUGUACAUGGCUGGGUUGGAACGGAGAAACUACGUCAUCGUCGUGUUCAUCGGGAGGGCUUGGACGGAACAACCGAUGGAAAUGAGGCCCGGUGUACCGCACAACGGAGGAAACGACCUUGUGUUUGACCGGCCACGUUCGAAAUGGGAUCCUGUUCAUCGGGAGGGGUCUGGCGUACCGCAAAACGAAGGAAACGGGCUUGUCUUGGACAUCCUACGGUCAAAACGGGGUCCUGUUGAUCGGGAGGGGUGUGGCAUACCACAAAACAAAGGAAACGGACUUGUUUUGGAGCGCUAUGGUCGAAAAGGGGGUCUUGUUCAUCAGGAGGGGAGUGGCGUACCACAAAACGGGACUCCACGAGAUACUGUUCAUCGCCACUGUCGACCUCCUCCAGCCUCCACGGGAUAUUGUUCAUCCACCGUCGACCUCCUCCAGCCUCCACCUACGACUGUUCAUCCACGGGCUCCUGUUCAUCCAGCCUCCACCGCGCGCUACUCCACCGGCUACUGUUCAACCAGUCCUCGCCACGGGGUCCUGUUCAACCACCCCUCCACGGGAUACUGUUCAUCCACCACUCCACCAUCUACUGUUCAUCCGGCCCUCCACGGGGUCGUCCUGUUCAUCCAGCCCUCCAUGGGGUCCUGUUCAUCCAGCCCCAACCGGCUCGAUCGAUCGGGGUCCUGUUCAUCUAGAGGCAACACCACGGGGUCCUGUUCCUCCACCCCCACCACUCAUUGUUCAUCCAACCCCCCUCCCCCGCAACGCUCACUGUUCAUCUAGAGGCAGCAUCGAUUGGCUUCAGUUAGCAGCAGUAGCGAAGGAAUCGCUCGAUCGGGUUCAGUUAACAGCCAUCGGUCGAUCGCUCGGGUUCAGUAAUGCGUAGCGUGCAGUGCAAUCGCUCGGGUUAAGUUAGAGCCCAACGCCUCGCUCGGGUUCAGUUAGAGCCCAACGCCUCUCACACACGCGCGUACGUGUACGAGAGAAACGUGCAUCGCUCGACCUCCGACCACCCACCGUAACCGGGAACUCGCCGAAAUUUUCCUCGCCCUCGCUUCUACCACGGUUUUGUCCGUCAUGGACGGCCCAAAGAAUGUCAUGCAGCUGCGUCUCCGGCCCGCCCAGGAUGAAAAGCCCAUUUUCUGUCAUGAUUUUUCGUCAUAGAAGUAGGAGCCCACCACAUCUAUGAUGAUACCGGGUUUUGUCACAAUUAUCGUCCUAGAAGUGUCAUAAGUAUGAGAUAAUUUUUUUUGUUCAGCCCAAAAUGUCACGAAUGUGUCUUUUUUUUGUAGUGCUCCCUGCAGUCUGAGUUUGACGGAUGAAGCAACCAUCAUUUCACUCUUCGCUGAAUCCCCUUCUCCCUCACUGUUUUCAAGAAAGGCAACACUCGCAUCUGCCACUAUUCUUCUCUCCCAAUGAAGGGAAGGUAAGCAGAUCUGUGAUGUUGGUAUAUUUUCGUUCAUGAAGGUUCACAUGAUUGAGCUGUUGUCGUACAUCCUCGAUGAUGUUCAUGGCAAGGUCCGUCUUGUGUCCAGCCCAAAUUAGAUUGAGGCAUGAAAUAGUUGCCCCAGCUAGUGUAUAGAAAUGAUACAGAGACAGACAUCCCGAAACGAAAUGGAUACAGACAUCCCAGUUUGCACAAAUAUGAAAUACGGUUAUUUAAACAGUGACAGAUAUUUGCAGUGGCAUAUGAUUAACAGUAGCAUCUAUUGUGUUAUAUUUGGCACUAGAUUGAAAGUAUGAAAGUGCCCUUAAGUAAGUAGCAUCACAUCACAUCAACACUGCCACUAGAUUAACAUGUAGAACAAUAGCAUUAGUAUUACUGUCAUGAGAGUAGCACAUGGUCAGUAAAUGUGCAAUCAAAUUUGUGCAGUUCCACUGGGAUGAAGCAAUGUUAGUGGUGUGAGAUUUAAGUGUAACUGCAAAAACACAAUUCAAGGGAAAUAAAGCAUGACGGAAGGAAUUCAUAAAAUGGUGGUGGCAUUGCUUCAAUUUAUCGAUGACACUAGACCAUUACUUAUAGUGACAUUAGGUGGCAUUGCUUAAUGCUUCAUGUGAUAUUACAUUAACGGUAGCAAUAUGGGUGUAGGGACAGCAGGGGCAUAAAGUAGUGAGGUAGAUGUGGUUGCCGAGAGCGGCAAACACUCAGGAAGCAUGUCCGCAUUUGUCCCAUUUUUUAUCUCCUCGGCGACAUUUUCCUAUCUGAGCACAGGAAAUCUAGACCUGCUCAUUCUCAUUUGCGUUGUCCCCCAACACCCGUCACUUUCUUUCCUUUUUCAACCAAGAGACAGGUCCACUUCCCCCCACCCUUCGCCAUCCAUCGUGCUUUCUUCGUAUUUUCAAUCAAGAGACCGGUUGGGUAGCCAGUAUGUACUGCUUUCCCCCGUUUCCGCUUAGAACCAAGCCCUAGAUUCAUGCUACAGCUUUCCCACUAUAUGAACUAGCUUUACCUCUAAUAAUAGUAAAAGUCUAGGUGGCUUUGGAACAGCAGACGGAAGUAGAAAAAGAUCCACAUGAAUCCAAGUGGGGAGCUGGGGCAGUAGAGCAAGGCAGGUUUUGAAGGAAUAUAUACCUGAGGGUCGUCGGCAUGUGGAAAAGACGGUGUCGGGAGGCCGUAUCUUGGCCACAAUACCACAGGGAGGAAGAAGGGGUCGGAGGCCCUCCCGAGCCAGCGCUCUCUCGGAGAGAACGACACAGCCGCCGAUCGGGAUGCGCGGGCAGCCGUUGGUCUCCUCCCUUGCUGCUGAUGACAGCGCGAAUGACGCACCUAUACCCCUGCCCCGGUCGAGGUUGUCCGACCGGAUUUGUGACUAGCCGUGAGCAGAGAGAGAGAGAGAGAGUGGACACCUAUGUCUGGCUUAGAUCUAGAGAGCAUGAGAGAGUGAACAAAAGGAACCCUAGCAAAGCAAACUCUAAGGCUCCUGCUUAUAUAUAUAGUGGAGUGAUUUUGCUGUACCAGCUUCAAAAAAUGUGCUCUUACGUGUACCUGCGAUUGGGUGUGAGAGAACUUGUGCGUGCGUGCACCGCUUCUCUUCGUGAGAGUACAACAUACUAUGCCCAAAGAACAUUCGCCACAAGAGUAAUAGUAUAAGUGUGUGACGUGUGAGCUAAAAUAAAAUGUGCGCGACGUCUUUUGUUUUUUAGAAGUUCUGAGGGUAGGGUAUGAAGAGCACAUAUGUGUGUGAUGUCUACCUGCAGCUAGACGGUGGGUGCGAGAGGACUCGUGAGAGUCGUGACUCGUGAGGGUGCGUGUGCGUGAGAGAGAGGGGGGCACGUAUCAAUGCAAUGCAUGUGUCCGUAAAUCAUUAUCCAACAAACGUUCACCACAAGCCUUUUCCUGAUGAACGCCGUAAGAACCGUUAGAUCGGCAUUCAACAAUGUCAGUUUUGCCAUGUCAUUUAACAGAACAGCCACUACUCCUACACACAAAUCUUCCACAUGAGUGUUAGCAACUGUCGUGUGCUCCCUCUGUUCCAAAAUGCAGUGCAUAUAGCUUUAUUGAAAAUUCGAACCUCGCAAACUUUUACUGAGUUUUCGUGUACCAAGUUGCACAUGUAGAAUACCCAGUAUAUAUCAUUUCAUUCAUCUUCGAGAGGUAACUAUAAAGAUGGGGGAGGAGUCUACAAAGAAACACCAUCGUAUCACCUACAACAAUUUCAACCAUCCUUUGGUGUGGAGGAAUAUCAUAGGAAAUCUAUAUGAUAUGAUUUUUAUAGGACUUUUGCCUUUAGAGCCAAUUGGUUCAUAGGAAUAGAUUCAUAUACUCCACAUUUCAAAGGAAGUAAACAUGAUAUCAUUUUUAUAGCUUUAGAGCCACUUGGUUCAUAUGAAUGGAUUCCAAUACUCCCAUAAUUUCAAAGGAAAAGAAACAUUAGCGUAUAUUCAAUAGAAAAGUUCCUAUGGUAUGAACCAAAUUACAUCUCUUUUCUAAUCCCUCCUCAUAGGAAUUGAGAUACAUGUCAUCUCUAGAUUCAAUAGAAAAGUUCCUAUGGUGUGAACCAAAUGACAUCACUUUUCCAAUCACUACUCAUAGGAAUUGAGAUACUUCAUGUCAUCUAUUUCCCUAAAACUUCCAUGUAUAUCUUCUAUUCCUAAAUAGCUAGUACAACCCACUAGUAGCUUUUUUCCAGGACAUGCAACUAUGGCACAAGAACUAUAUAUUGUGCAAAUAACUUUGAAAGAUGGUCGCUGGAUGAAGCUAAUCCGACAGUGCAGAGAUGGCAAAUCCGAGCACUAUUGGCUGUUGGAUAUCAUCAACAUUCCACCAGAUCCAGCACAUGUACAAUUUAGAAGACUCCAUGGUUGAACUUAAGCAUAAUGCACAAACCUCAAAACACAAGCACUUCUCCUUUGUUCUAGAAUCUUCAUUGUCAUAAUUGCCCAAUUUGUUUUCUAAAUGAAUUGCCAUUAUUUGUUUUUUACUUUAUGCUUUACAAUGCACAACCCCAUGAAUCUUAACAUUUUUUAUAAAACUAAUUGAUUUUGAAUGAGAUGAACUAUAAGAACUAAAUGAACAUCUACAUCAUGCAUAUAUGACUCAAAGAUUUACAUGCUAUAGUGUGUAUUUAUUCAUAAUUUGGUUUCCAAAUCUCAUGCGUUCAAUGCAUGUGUACCUUACUAGUUUUCAGUAGAGUAGCAAAUUUCACGCGGCCCCGGGUAUAUCAAAAUGCAGGGCCCGUGCAUCAUUGCCUUUCGGUCGAACCUAUCUCCACUGGUCCCCGAACCCAAAGUGUUGCCUCGUUCCCAUAAAACCAAGCGGCCCACACAUAUUUAAGGCGUCGACUCGAACUUAAUCCCUCUCCCAUUUACUACAACGUGGCCCCGCACGCCGUAGUACUCCUACAAAUCCUACCGCCGCACGCAUCAUCAGUUUUCUUCAAGAGGACGAGGGAGAGGCCGAUUUGUAGUGGAGGCGCUUUCGAAAAAAAGGAUCUUUAGUGGAGACCCCUACCCUAGGGUGCCCUAUGUAGCUGCCACACACAUCAUUGGUUUUCUAUUUUCUUUAUGCCCUUGCGCCCUAGAGUGAAAUGAUGGUUGCUCCGUCCGUCCAGCUUAAUGUGGGAAAGGUGGGGCUUUGUGAUUUGACCCCUCAUCGCUCAUUUUCUACUACUGCGGCGCUACGACCGGGGUACCUCCAAUUCCAACCGCUGCUCUGAACUGUAAUUUGGUGCAUCGCCCAUGGAACAACAUGGUGGAUGAGCCACAUGUUGGCCAAAGGGGUCAUGUUAAGUGUGUCACCAUUUCAUGUGCGGACUGACCCUGCUUGAGUUGCUACACCAACACGACGGGAGCAGCCUACCACUUGGUUUUGCUCCUUGGUGAAUGCCGACUAUAUUGAUCUAAAAAGAUACAUACUAUACUACCCUCUCCGUCUUGUUUUUUAGGCGUCUCGGUUCAUAGGGUGUGCACGUAGUUCUAGGUCACCCAUUUGACUAACUAAAUAUGAGUUACUAUGUCACAAAAAGUAUAUCAUUGGAUUCUUAAGCGGAUGUAGUUUCUAAACAUAUAAUGUUCAUCACAUAUAUAGCCAGUUAAAUUCUCAACCUAGAACGACGUGCAUGCCAUGUAAACCGAUACGGAGGAAGUAGUAAAAAUGAGGUGAUUUUAUCGAGCGAUCGGCGGGGGAGAAUGGCCUGUCAUGUGGUCCCACGUGUCAUGAUGUAUCAAGGCGAUGCAUGUGUCCCUCUUGAGGAAGAAGCAAUACUACGUGGUUUGACAUGAUGGCGAACCGAAGUGUGAAAUAAUGGUUGCUUCGUCCAUAUGGGAAGGUGCGACAUUGUGAUUUGACAUCUCAUUACUACUACUGGGGUGGUACGACUAGGGUGUGUCCCCCCUGCUGUUAUGCACUGUUAUUUGGUGCUUGACAUGUCGACCCGGUUGCUAUAUGUCCCACAUGUCAGCGAGACGAAGUACAGAAUUCAUGAAAGCGAGCGUCGACGGAGGAGUACAAGACACGGCUUGGUUUUUGCUGCUUCAUUUGAUACAUCGAUAAAAACCCGGACUAAAAAAAGGCGAGGGCGGGUCUUUUCCCGUGUGGCAGGCAGGGGAGUUUGGCAUGGUCUAUUCGAGGCAAGGAGGCAGGAAGGGAAACAAGCAAAUAAAGGUUGAGCGACUUAGUUUUGGGAAAAUCUGAUUUUACGGAGUACGUACCCACUAGGGUUUAUAGGGCUCAUCUAAAAAAAAUUCGUUUUUCCGUUUUAUAAGUCUCAAUUCUACUACUAGUAGUAGUACCAUCACAUGCUGGAUUUCGAGGUGCGUUAAAUCACCCGAUGCAAGCAGUGUCAAGAGAAAACUCACCAAUGCAUGUAGAAGUUCACGGAAAUUUAGUGGUCAUUCAUGCAUUCAUUCUAAUUAAUGCCUCGGUAAACAUAACUUCGUGAGAAAAACGAGCGUACUAAUUACUUGUGCAAACUACGAAAUUAAUUCCACCACUCACCGUCUACCUUCAUUGGAGAGAUUUUGAAAUUGAGCCAUAAACUGGAAAGGAGGGAGUUGCAACUUUUGCCUUGUAGCAACCAGACCUCAAACGGUCAAGUCUCUGUGCAUCAGUGUCAUCCCUAGAUCGGUAGUGCUGACAAGCACAGUACUCGAGGAAUUAUAACGGAGUUUCAAUCACACACUUAUUACAUCAAGUCCUCAUAAUGAGUAUGAUUACACAAAAAUAUCAUGGCUGAAGGCCAUCUAAACUAGAUAACUAUGGAAGCUUUGAAGGUAAAUGAGUCCAUCAACUCCAACGACAUAGCUGAGUGCAAAACAACGACCUAUCGCACCUUAUUCAUCGUCUAAGUAGUCUGCAACAUGAGACAUUGGAGCCGUGUAGGUCAGCACAUUGAAUAUGCUGGCAGAGUUACACUAUAAAGCAAAGAAAUGCAAGAACUAUAUCUACAUGCAAUAUUUGGCUGGUAGAGGUUGUAAGUUUAUCCUUUUGCAUAAAGCUAGUUUUUACCUACAACAGAGGAAAAUUUUUAUUUAACUACUCCCAAGUUGCCCAUUAUUUGAGAAGGUAACCCCAACUCAAAUCCUAAUUAAAAAUAUCAUCAUUAACCCAAUUCAAAUUAAUUUAAAGUAACGUGAUGAGAUCACAUCAAUAGAUUCAAGUACUAGAUACUCAAGACGUCCAUAACCGGGACGCCGAUAACCAUGAUUAGUUCAUACACUGUGCAGAGGUUUGCGCACUUUUCCCCACAAGAAUCAAUCUCCUCCGUUGAAUUUCUCGCACUUCAUGAUGUUUGAGAAACGGAUGACCGAGACACGGUCUUUCAGAAGCAUUAACUCUUUACUCUGGAUAGACAGUACCACCUACAUCCCCUACAUCUGCUAGCCUACCACUGAAAGAGGUCACACAACAUACUCAACUAUGCCAGAGCCCAUAAUGGCUUGCGGCUGCACACGGAAGUUUCUAGCAUGAAUAAUCUUACGAUCCCUUUGAGCCUGGGUGGCGUACCAUAGGAAGAAUCACACGAGUACUCCGGGAUUUGCCAAGAUAGGCAUCACUAGGUUCCCCAGGUGCCUGCAACCAAUCCACCCAGAUGUAUAUUAAAGUUGCCACCUAAAUGUUGUCCAUAAUUAAAUAACUCUCAAACUUCCAUGUGUGAAUCACGAUCCAAUCCCCGCCUACGAGCAUGGCUAAGCAAUAAAUAAGCAUAACAUAUAUUUCCAGGGUGAUAAAAAGGUAUUAGGUUCCUACCUCAAGCACUACAACCAAAACCACAUGUUCCCAAUCCUACUUAUGCAAAUAUUUGAGGGGCGAUACUAAUGCAUAGUAAAAACUGGGUAUAAAGGAGUAUGAUCAAAGUGUAACUAGCCUUGCUGACGAUCUGCAAACUCUAGAGAUUCGUAGUAGCACACUUCGCACUCCGGAAAUUCUAUCGCAAACAAAAAUAACAUACAUAAGCACUCAGGCAUAAAUGCAAGGGUAAAACUCAAAUAAAAAGAUCUAAACUGAAAGUUCAACUGAAGAACUUCGAUUUGCAAAAAGAAUCAAUCGAAUCGGAGCUACGAAACUCAAACUACGAUCAAAAGAAGUUCGAAAACAAAUCUGCUUUAAACCAAAUUUUACAUUGCCAAAAUCAUGUUCAAGUCGAUUAUCUAGAAAGAGGGGUUCGAGGCAAAUAUUUUGGCAUUGGAUUCACUGGAUUUGGAUAAGUGAGCAAAAAGUUGCGAGGGUUCGAAGAUCAGGGGCUAAUCUGCGAUAAAAAAAUAAUCGUGAAUAGGUCCCUGGCCGAAAAAUAAAAUAAAAAGAAAAAGACUAAUGAAUGAACGUCCGCUAACAAAGUCAAACGAACGAAAACGAAAAAAACAAACCAACCGAACCGAUCUAAAAAAAUCGAUGGCCGCGAGAUCCGGCUAGUCCGACGGCGGCUCGGGCAACGUCGAGGCGGCGGAGCGUCGCGGGCGAUGGUGCGGCAGCAGGGCGGCGGCGCGGCGUGACGGUGCAGCAGCGGCAGCAAGCGGUGGCAGCGAGCAACGGCAGUGGCGGUGCGGCUCGGGAGGCGGGGCGGUUUGUGGCUCGGCGGUGGUGGCUGCGGUGGUGGGCGGCUCGGGGUGGAGAGGAGGGCGGCGGCGGUAGGGUAUAUAAAGAGGGGGGCUGCUUGGAGGAGGAGCAAAGGCGACGGCGGGGAGGCGGAGACCGGCUCGGGGUGGGAGUCCGGCGGCGGCAUGGCCUUUGGCCCAGUCGGGCGAUUUUUUUUAAUAAAUUUCGCCGAAGAAAAAUCCUAAUAAAAUAAAAAAAUCUAAAAAUGCAAAAAAAAACAAUUUUCACCGUCUAAAUAAGAUAUUUAGAACAAAGUGAACAUUUUACUAGCCUAAAAAUGCAAUUUAAAAAAAAGCAUAUUUUUCUAAUUCAAAUAAAAUCUCAAAUAAGAUCCAAAUAAAAAAUAUAUUUGAUUUUUAAAAAUUUCCUCCAAUAUUCCUCUCUUUUGAAGAAGUCAUAUUAUCUUCUCUUUUUUUAUUUUUUAUUGGAAAUAUUUGAAGAAAAAAAUAUUAAUACCAAAUUGAUCCUCUCUUCAGAUUUGAGAAAAAACCAAAUAUGAAAAUAAAUGAAAUCCCUAACUCUCUCCUUGGGUCCUUGAGUUGCUUAGGAUUUCUAGGAUCACAAUCCAAAACACAAAUAUAAUAUGAUGUGCAUACGAUGACCUUUGUAUAACAUCCAAAUUGAAAAUUGGGAUGUUACAAACCUACCCCCCUUAAGAUGAAUCUCGCCCUCGAGAUUCGGGUUGGUCAGCAAAAUGUUUGGGUGGUCUCUACCGAGAUCUUCUUCUUGCUCCCAUGUGGCUUCCUCCUUGAUAAUUUGGCUCCACUGAACUUUGCAAAACUUGAUAACCUUGCUGCGAGUAACUCGGGUCGAAAAUUCGAGAAUCUUGACGGGCUUCUCUUCAUAAGUCAAAUAUCUCUUUAACUGAAUUGCUUCCAGGGCCACUGUAUCCCUCAGAGGAAUAUCAGCCAUGUCUGCAUGGCACUUCUUCAACUGGGAAAUGUGAAACACAUCAUGAACUCCUGACAAUCCUUCUAGCAAUUCUAGCUUGUAUGCAACUUCUCACAUGCGUUCCAAAACUCUAUAUGAUCCCACAAAACGUGGUGCUAGCUUUUCCCUGACUCCAAAACGCUUAACCCCUCGAAGCGGGGACACAUGAAGAUACGCUCUGUCUCCGACUUCGUAAACUAUUUCCUUGCGUUCAGUAUCUGCAUAACUCUUCUGCCUGGACUGGGCUACCUUGAGUCUGUCACAAAUCAACUUAAUCUUCUCUUCAGAGUCUUUGAUUAAAUCCGGUCCGAAUAACUGCCGAUCUCCAACUUCAUCCCACGAUAACGGUGUCCUGCACCUCCUUCCGUACAAGGCUUUGAAAGGGGCCAUCUUCAAACUGGCUUGAUAACUGUUGUUGUAAGAGAACUCUGCAUAAGUCAAAUUGUCAUCCCAACUUCAUCCAUAAUCUAGCGCACAAUCUUUCAACAUGUCCUCCAAAAUCUGAUUGACUCUCUUGGUCUAUCCAUCUAUCUGUGGAUGAAAGGCUGUACUGAACUCUAGCCUGGUACCCAAAGUGUCAUGCAACUGAUUCCAAAACUUUGUGGUAAAUUUGGUUCCUCUAUCUGAUACAAUGGUCCUCGGAACUCCGUGCAGACAUACGAUCCUGGUCAUGUAUAUCUUUGCCAACUUAGCACUCGUAUAAGUGGUCUUCACCGGGAUGAAAUGAGCUACUUUCGUCAAACGUCGACUACAUCCCAGAUAGAGUCAUAGCUUGAACGAGUCCUGGGUAAUCCACUAAUAAAAUCCAUGCCAGGCUUAUCCCACUUCCAUUCGGGUAUCGGCAUUGGCUAUAGCAAUCCAGUUGGCUUCAGAUGCUCUGCCUUAACUCUUUGACAUACAUCACAUACUGCUACAUACUUGGCAAUAUCCUUCUUCAUUGCUGUCCACCAGAAACAUUCCUUCAAAUCCAGGUAUAUCUUAGUGUUUCCUGGGUGAAUUGUAUAUGGCGAAUCAUGGGCCUCCUGUAGAAUCAACUUCCUGAUCUCGGGGUCAUUAGCCACAUAUAAGCGAUUCCUCAAACCAUAAAGUGUCGUGCUCAUCCUCACGAAAUCCUUUAGCCUUUCCUUUACUCAUCCUUUCCUUUAUCUCGGCAAUCUCCUUGUCAGUUUUCUGGGCUUCCCUUAUCUUACCCAAAAGAGUGGACUUAAUUUCCAAUGCUGCAACAUAACCUCUCGGAACUAUCUCCAAACAUAGCUCUCGAAGAUCAUCUGCUAACUCCUUAGGUAAUUCCUCGGUUAUGAGCAUGUUAACAUAACUCUUGCGGCUCAACGCAUCUUCUACUACAUUGGCCUUUCCUAGGUGAUAAUGCAAUUUCAUAUCAUAAUCCUUGAUGAGCUCCAACCAUCUCCUUUGCCCGAGGUUCAAUUCCUUCCGCAUGAAGAUGUAUUUCAAACUCUUAAGAUCCAUGUGUACCUCACAAUGGUUUCCGAUGAGAAAGUGUCUCCAUGUCUUCAGUGCAUGCACUACGGCUGCUAACUCCAUAUCAUGCGUAGCCUAAUUCAGCUCAUGAGGUUUAAGCUGUCGUGAGGCAUAUGAAACAACUCUCCCUUCCUGCAUAAGUACAGCUCCAAGUCCUCGUCGUGAAGCAUCGCAAUAUACUUGAUAAUCCUUACGUUGGUCUUGGAGAAUCAGCACUGGGGCUGUAACCAAACAUUUCUUCAACUCCUGAAAAAUAGCUUCACAUUCCUCAGUCCAUUUGAAAUUGGUGUCCUUCUUCAAUAACUCUAUCAUGGGCUUUGCAAUCCUAAAGAAAUUCUCAAUGAACCUUCGAUAAUAACCUGCGAGUCCAAGAAAACUUCUGAUCUCUCCAACUGAUGUGGGUGCCACCCAUUUAGUCAAAGAAGCAACCUUGGUAGGGUCUACUGCUAUUCCUUCUCUGGAUAUAAUGUUCGAGAAAUCCAACUUCCUUUAGCCAGAACUCACAUUUGCUGAACUUGCAUCCAACUGAUGUUCUCUGAGCUUCUCAAGAACCAAACGCAAAUGCUCCUUAUGCUCCUCUUCGUUCUUCAAGGAGACCAAUAUAUCAUCAAUGAACACCACGAUGAACUUAUCCAAAAACUCAAUAAAAACUUUGUUCAUCAUGUUCAUGAAAUAGGUAGGCGUGUUAGUGAGACCAAAUGACAUAACAUUAUACUCAUAUAGCCCGUACCUUAUGGUAAAAGCUGUCUUAGGUAUAUCCUGCUCUCGGAUCUUCAACUGGUGAUAACAUGAUCGAAGAUCGAUCUUAGAGAAAACUUUAGCUCCUUGCAACUGGUCAAACAAAUCAUUGAUCAUCGGCAGUGGGUAUUUGUUCUUGAUCGUCACCUCACGCAACGCACGAUAAUCGACAACCAUCCUUAAAGAUCCAUCCUUCUUCUCCACUAGAAGCAUUGGGGCUCCCCAAGGUGAUGAACUUGGUCGAAUGUAACCUUUAUCCAAUAACUCCUUUAUCUGUUUCUUAAUUUCCUCCAGAUCUUGUGCGGGCAUCCGAUACAGUCUCUUUGAUAUUUGUCCAGUGCAUGGCAAUAGCUCAAUCAAAAACAUAAUGUCUCGAUCAGGUGGCAUGCCUGGUAACUCCUCUGGAAAUACGUCGGGGUAAUCCUUCACCACUUGUACUUCCUCCUGUACAACUCCUAAUAAGGAAUUCACUUGAGUCCUCUUCGGCACAUGCCGGGGUACACACUUGAUCCUGUUUCCUUCUGGGGUGGUGAGAAGUAUCGACUUACUAGCACAAUCAAUGUUUCCACCAUACUUCGAUAACCAAUCCAUGCCUAGUAUUACAUCCAAUCCUUGUGACUCCAAAAUUAUUAGAUCAAAGGGAAACACAUGGCUACCAAUGGUUAAAGGUAACCAAUCACACCAUUGGCUGGCCAUAUACUCUGCUCCUGGUGAGCUUACUAACAUGGGUGACCUAAGGGCUAGGGUUGGCAACUUAAUCUUGUCCACAUAUCCCCUUGAUAUGUAUUAAUGCGAUGCACCAGUGUCGAAAAGAGCAAGUGCAGUAAAUGCAUUAAUAAAAAACUUAUCGACAAUUGCGUCGGGUUGAUCCUCAAUCUCCUCCACGCUGAUGUGGUUCACCUGACCUUUGGUGGAGGGGUUGGGAUUCUUGGCAGAACCUCCAUUGCCAUUUCCAUUCUUCACUUUAGGACAUUCAAUGGCAUAAUGUCCGGUCUUCUGGCACUUGAAACAGGUAAUGUGUCUCAGAUCCCUCUUAGUUGGUGUUGAAGGGUUGGAAAGGUUCUGGCUGCUGCCUCCUCUACUCCCAUUGCCAUUCUUGGGGCCACUGUGGUUGUGCGAACUUGCUCCGUUGUGCAUGUGUCCUCCAUGGUUAUGGUGUCCAUGGUUGUGGGUAUGUCCUCCCGAGUACGGGGAAUAGCGGGGCUUCUACUAAGCUCUUGAAGUGUACCUCCCCUGUGUUGGGGAACGUAGUAAUUUCAAAAAAUUUCCUACGCACAUGCAAGAUCAUGGAGAUGCAUAGCAACGAGAGGGGAGAGUAUUGUCCACGUACCCUCGUAGACCGAAAGCGGAAGCGUUAUGACAACGCGGUUGAUGUGGUCGUACGUCUUCGCGAUCUGACCGAUCCAAGUACCGAACGUACGGCACCUCCGAGUUCAGCACACGUUCAGCUCGAUGACGAUCCCCGGACUCCGAUCCAGCAAAGUGUCGGGGAUGAGUUCCGUCAGCACAACGACGUGGUGACGAUGAUGAUGUUCUACCGGUGCAUGGCUUCGCCUAAACUCCGCGACGAUAUGACCGAGGUGGAAUAUGGUGGAGGGGGGCACCGCACACGGCUAAGGAUCGAUCACGAAGAUCAACUUGUGUGUUAUGGGGUGCCCCCUGCCCCCGUAUAUAAAGGAUCAAGGGGGAGGGGGCGGCCGGCCUAGGAGGAGGCGCGCCAAGGGGAGUCCUACUCCCACCGGGAGUAGGACUCCCUCCUUCCUUGUUGGAGUAGGAGAAGGGGAAAGAGGGGGAGAGGAAGAAGGAAAAAGGGGGCUGCGCCCCUUGUCCAAUUCGGACCACAGGGGGGGCGCAGGCCUCCUUCCUUUUGGCCUCUCUCCUCUAUUCCCGUGUGGCCCAAUAAGGCCCAUAUACUCCCCGGCGAAUUCCCGUAACUCUCCGGUACUCCCAAAAAUACCCGAAUCACUCGAAACCUUUCCGAACUCCGAAUAUAAUCGUCCAAUAUAUCGAUCUUUAUGUAUCGACCAUUUAGAGACUCCUCGUCAUGUCCCCGAUCUCAUCCGGGACUCCGAACUCCUUCGGUACAUCAAAACUCAUAAACUCAUAAUAUAACUGUCAUCGAAACCUUAAGCGUGCGGACCCUACGGGUUCGAGAACUAUGUAGACAUGACCUAGAACUAUUCUCGGUCAAUAACCAAUAGCGGAACCUGGAUGCUCAUAUUGGCUCCUACAUAUUCUACAAAGAUCUUUAUCGGUCAAACCGCAUAACAACAUACGUUGUUCCCUUUGGCAUCGGUAUGUUACUUGCCCGAGAUUCGAUCGUCGGUAUCCAAUACCCAGUUCAAUCUCGUUACUGGCAAGUCUCUUUACUCGUUACGUAAUACAUCAUCCCGCAACUAACUCAUUAGUUACAACGCUUGCAAGGCUUAUAGUGAUGUGCAUUACUGAGUGGGCCCAGAGAUACCUCUCCGAUAAUCGGAGUGACAAAUCCUAAUCUCGAAAUACGCCAACCCAACAUGUACCUUCGGAGACACCUGUAGAGCUCCUUUAUAAUCACCCAGUUACGUUGUGACAUUUGGUAGCACACAAAGUGUUCCUCCGGUAAACGGGAGUUGCAUAAUCUCAUAGUUACAGGAACAUGUAUAAAUCACGAAGAAAGCAAUAGCAAUAUACUAAACGAUCAAGUGCUAGGCUAACGGAAUGGGUCAUGUCAAUCACAUCAUUCUCCUAAUGAUGUGAUCCCGUUAAUCAAAUGACAACUCUUUUGUCCAUGGCUAGGAAACUUAACCAUCUUUGAUUCACGAGCUAGUCAAGUAGAGGCAUACUAGUGACACUAUGUUUGUCUAUGUAUUCACACAUGUAUUAUGUUUCCGGUUAAUACAAUUCUAGCAUGAAUAAUAAACAUUUAUCAUUAAAUAAGGAAAUAAAUAAUAACUUUAUUAUUGCCUCUAGGGCAUAUUUCCUUCAGUCUCCCACUUGCACUAGAGUCAAUAAUCUAGUUCACAUCGCCAUGUGAUUUAACACUAAUAUUCAUAUCUGUAUAUGAUUAACACCCAUAGUUCACAUCAUCAUGUGACUAACACCCAAAGGGUUUACUAGAGUCAAUAAUCUAAUUCACAUCGCUAUGUGAUUAACACCCAAAGAGUACUAAGGUGUGAUCAUGUUUUGCUCGUGAGAGAAGCUUAGUCAAUGGGUCUGUCACAUUCAGAGCCGUAUGUAUUUUACAAAUAUUCUAUGUCUACAAUGCUCUGCACGUAGCUACUCUAGCUAAUUGCUCCCACUUUCAAUAUGUAUCCAGAUUGAGACUUAGAGUCAUCUAGAUCGGUGUAAAAGCUUGCACCGAUGUAACUCUUUACAACGGGCUCUUUUAUCACCUCCAUAAUCGAGAAAUAUUUCCUUAUUCCACUAAGGAUAAUUUUGACGAACGUCCAGUGAUCUACUCCUAGAUCACUAUUCUACUCCCUUGCCAAAUUCAGAGCAAGGUAUACAAUAGGUCUGGUACAUAGCAUAGCAUACUUUAUAGAACAUAUGACUGAGGCAUGGGGAAUGACUUUCAUUCUCUUUUCUAUUUUCUGCCGUGGUCGGGAUUUGAGUCUUACUCAAUUUCACACCUUUUCAAUACAGGUAAGAACUCUUUCUUUGACUGUUCCAUUUUUGAACUAUUUCAAAAUCUUGACAAGGUAUGUAAUUAUUGAAAAACUAAUCAAGCGUCUUGAUCUAUCUCAAUAGAUUUUGAUGCUCAAUAUGUAUGUAGCUUUACUGAGGUCUUUCUUUUAAAGAACUCCUUUCAAAUACUCCUUUAUGCUUUCCAGAAAAAUUCUACAUCAUUUCUGAUCAACAAUAUGUUACUCACAUAUAUUUAUCAGAAAGGCGGUAGUGCUCCCACUCACUUUUUUGUAAAUACAGGCUUCACCGCAAGUCUGUAUAAAACUAUAUGCUUUGAUCAAUUUAUCAAAGCGUAUAUUCCAACUCUGAGAUGCUUGCACCAGUCCAUAGAUGGAUCGCUGGAGCUUGCACAUUUUGUUAGCACCUUUAGGAUUGAUAAAACCUUCAUCAUAUACAACUCUUCUUCCAGAAAUCCAUUCAAGAAUGCAGUUUUGACAUCCAUUUGCCAAGUUUCAUAAUCAUAAAAUGCAGCAAUUGCUAACAUGAUUCGGAAAGACUUAAGCAUCGCUACGGGUGAGAAAGUCUCAUCGUAGUCAACCCCUUGAACUUGUCGAAAACCUUUCACAACAAGUCGAGCUUUAUAGACAGUUACAUUACCAUCAGCGUCAGUCUUCUUCUUAAAGAUCCAUUUAUUCUCAGUGACUUGCCGAUCAUCGGGCAAGUCAACCAAAGUCCAUACUUUGUUCUCAUACAUGGAUCUCAUCUCAGAUUUCAUGGCCUCUAGCCAUUUUGCAGAAUCUGGGCUCAUCAUCGCUUCCUCAUAGUUCGUAGGUUCAUCAUGGUCAAGUAACAUGACUUCCAGAAUAGGAUUACCGUACCACUCUGGUGCGGAUCUUACUCUGGUCGACCUACGAGGUUCAGUAGAAACUUGAUCUGAAGUUUCAUGAUCAAUAUCAUUAGCUUCCGCACUAAUUGGUGUAGUUGUCACAGGAACCGGUUCUUGUGAUGAACUACUUUCCAAUAAGGGAGCAGGUAUAGUUACCUCAUCAAGUUCUACUUUCCUCCCACUCACUUCUUUCGAGAGAAACUCCUUCUCUAGAAAGGAUCCGAAUUUAAGCAACAAAUAUCUUGCCUUCGGAUCUGUGAUAGAAGGUGUACCCAACAAUUUCCUUUGGGUAUUCUAUGAAGACGCAUUUCUCCGAUUUGGGUUUGAGCUUAUCAGGAUGAAACUUUUCACAUAAGCAUCGCAGCCCCAAACUUUAAGAAACGACAACUUGGGUUUCUUGCUAAACCACAGUUCAUAUGGUGUCGUCUCAACGGAUUUAGAUGGUGCCCUAUUAAACGUGAAUGCAGCUGUCUCUAAUGCAUAACCCCAAAACGAUAGUGGUAAACCGAUAAGAGACAUCAUAGAUCGCACCAUAUCUAGUAAAGUACAAUUACGACAUUCGGACACACCAUUACAUUGUGGUGUUCCAGGUGACAUGAGUUGUGAAACUAUUUCACAUUGUUUCAAAUGAACACCAAACUCGUAAUUCAAAUAUUCGUCUCCGUUUUCAGAUCGCAGAAACUUUAUUUUCUUGUUACGAUGAUUUUUUCACUUCACUCUCAAAUUCUUUGAACCUUUCAACUAUUUCAGACAUAUGUUUCAUCAAGUAGAUAUACCUAUAUCUACUCAAAUCAUCUUGUGAAGGUCAAAAAAUAACGAUACUUGCCACGAGCAUCAACACUCAUUGGAUCGCAUACAUCGGUAUGUAUUAUUUCCAAUAAGUCAGUAGAUUGUUCCAUUGUUCCGGAGAAUGGAGUUUUAGUCAUCUUGCCCAAAAGGCACGGUUCGCAAACAUCAAAUGAUUCAUAACCAAGUGAUUCUGAAAAUCCAUCUUUAUGGAGUUUCUUCAUGCGCUUUACACCGAUAUGACCCAAACGGCAGUGCCACAAAUAAGUUGCACUAUCAUUAUUAACUUUGCAUCUUUUGGCAUCAAUAUUAUGAAUAUGUGUAUCACUACAAUCGAGAUCCAACAAACUAUUUUGAUUGGGUGUAUGACCAUUUGAAGGUUUUAUUCAUGUAAACAGAACAACAAUUAUUCUCUGACUUUAAAUGAAUAACCGUAUUGCAAUAAACAUGAUCAAAUCAUAUUCAUGCUCAACGCAAACGCCAAAUAACAUUUAUUUAGGUUGAACACUAAUCCCGAAAGUAUAGGGAGUGUGCGAUUAUGAUCAUAUCAAUCUUGGAACUACUUCCAGCACUCAUCGUCACUUCCCCUUCAACUAGUCUCUGUUUAUUUUGUAUCUCAUGUUUCGAGUUACUAAUCUUAGCAACCGAACAAGUAUCAAAUACUCAAGGUCUACUAUAAACACUAGUAAGGCAUACAUCAAUAACCUGUAUAUCAAAUAUACCCUUGUUCACUUUGCCAUUCUUCUUAUCCACCAAAUAUUCAGGGCAUUUCCGCUUCCAGUGACCAUUUCCUUUGCAGUGUAAACACUCAGUUUCAGGCUUUGGUCCAUCUUUGGUCUUCUUCAUGGGAGUGACAACUUGUUUGCCAUUCUACUUGAAGUUUCCCUUUCUUUCCCUUUGCCCUUUUCUUGAAACUAGUGGUCUUGUCAAUCAUCAACACUUGAUGCUCUUUCUUGAUAUCUACCUUCGUCGAUUUCAACAUCAUGAAGAGCUCGGGAAUCAUUUUCGUCAUCCCUUGCAUACUAUAGUUCAUCAUGAAGUUCUAGUAACUUAGUAAUGGUGACUAGAGAAUUCUGACAAUCACUAUCUUAUCUGGAAGAUUAACUCCCACUUGAUUCAGGCGAUUGAAGUACCCAGACAAUCUGAGCACAUGCUCACUAGUUGAGCGAUUCUCCUCCAUCUUUUAGCUAUAGAACUUGUUGGAGACUUCAUAUCUCUCAACUCUGGUAUUUGCUUUAAAUAUUAACUUCAAUACCUGGAACAUCUUAUAUGGUCCAUGUGAAGGAAAUAUGCCCUAGAGGCAAUAAUAAAGUUAUUAUUUAUUUCCUUAUUUCAUGAUAAAUGUUUAUUAUUCAUGCUAGAAUUGUAUUAACCGGAAACAUGAUACAUGUGUGAAUACAUAAACAAACAUAUAGUCACUAGUAUGCUUCCACUUGACUAGCUCAUUAAUCAAAGACAGUUAUGUUUCCUAACCAUAGACAUGUGUUGUCAUUUGAUUAACGGGAUCACAUCAUUAGGAGAAUGAUGUGAUUGACAUGACCCAUUCCGUUAGCCUAGCAUUUGAUCGUUUAAUAUGUUGCUAUUGCUUUCUUCAUGACUUAUACAUGUUCCUGUAACUAUGAGAUUAUGCAACUCCCGUUUACCGGAGGAACACUUUGGGUGCUACCAAACGUCACAACGUAACUGGGUGAUUAUAAAGGAGUACUACAGGUGUCUCCAAAGGUACAUGUUGGGUUGGCGUAUUUCGAGAUUAGGUUUUAUCACUCCGAUUGUCGGAGAGGUAUCUCUGGGCCCUCUCGGUAAUGCACAUCACUAUAAGCCUUGCAAGCAAUGUAGCUAAUGAGUUAGUUACGGAAUGAUGCAUUACGUAACGAGUAAAGAGACUUGCCGAUAACGAGAUUGAACUAGGUAUUGGAUACCGACGAUCGAAUCUCGGGCAAGUAACAUACCGAUGACCAAGGGAACAACAUAUGUUGUUAUGCGGUUUGACCGAUAAAGAUCUUCGUAGAAUAUGUAGGAGCCAAUAUGGGCAUCCAGGUUCCGCUAAUGGUUAUUGACCAAGAAUAGUUCUAGGUCAAGUCUACAUAGUUCUCGAACCCGUACGCGCUUAACGUUACGAUGACAGUUUUAUUAUGAGUUUAUGAGUUUUGACGUACCGAAGGAGUUCGGAGUCCCGGGUGAGAUCAGGGACAUGAUGAGGAGUCUCGAAAUGGCCGAGACGUAAAGAUCGAUAUAUUGGACGACUAUAUACGGACAUCGGAAAGGUUCCGAGUGAUUCGGGUAUUUUCGGGGGUACCGGGGAGUUACGGGAAUACGAGGAAGAAGCAAUGGGCCUCAUGGGCCAAGUGGUGGAAGAGAGGAGGCAGGGCGUGCGGCCCCCCUAGCCCAAACCAAAUUGGACUAGGGGGCCGGCCCCCCUUUCCUACUCUUCCUCCCUCUCACUCCUUCUCCUUCUCCUUCCCUUCCUUCCCCUCUCCUAGUUGGACUAGGAAAGGAGGGACUCCUACUCCCGGUGGGAGUAGGACUCCUCCCUGGCGCGCCCUCCCUUGGCCGGCCACCUCCUCCCCCUUGCUCCUUUAUAUACGGGGGUAGGGGGGCACCCCAUGAAACACAAGUUGAUCUACGGAUCGUUCCUUAGCUGUGUGCGGUGCCCCCCUCCACCAUAUUCCACCUCGGUCAUAUCGUCGCGGAGUUUAGGCGAAGCCCUGCGCCGGUAGAACAUCAUCAUCGUCACCACGCCGUCAUGCUGACGGAACUCAUCCCCGAAGCUUUCCUGGAUCGGAGCCUGGGGAUCGUCAUCGAGCUGAACGUGUGCUGAACUCGGAGGUGCCGUACGUUCGGUGCUUGGAUCGGUCGGAUCGUGAAGACAUAUGAUUACAUCAACCGCGUUGUCAUGACGCUUCCGCUUACGGUCUACGAGGGUACGUGGACAACACUCUCCCCUCUCGUUUCUAUGUCAUCACCAUGAUCUUGCAUGUGCGUAGGAAAUUUUCUGAAAUUACUACGUUCCCCAACAGUGGCAUCUGAGCUAGGUUUUAUGCGUAGAUGUCAUAUGCAUGAGUAGAACACAAGUGAGUUGUGGGCGAUACAAGUCAUACUGCUUACCAGCAUGUCAUACUUUGGUUCGGCGGUAUUGUGAGAGGAAGCGGCCCGGACCGACAUUACGCGUAUGCUUACGCGAGACUGGUUUCACUGUUACGAGCACUCGUGCUUAAAGGUGGCUGGCGGGUGUCUGUCUCUCUCAGUUUAGCUAAAUCGAUUGUGGCUACGCCCGGUCCUUGCGAAGGUUAAAACAACACCAACUUGACGAACUAUCAUUGUGGUUUUGAUGCGUAGGUAAGAACGGUUCUUGCUAAGCCCGUAGCAGCCACGUAAAACUUGCAACAACAAAGUUGAGGACGUCUAACUUGUUUUUGCAGGGCAUGUUGUGAUGUGAUAUGGUCAAGACGUGAUGCUAUAUUUUAUUGUAUGAGAUGAUCAUGUUUUGUAACCGAAGUUAUCGGCAACUGGCAGGAGCCAUACGGUUGUCGCUUUAUUGUAUGAAAUGGAAACACCCUGUAAUUGCUUUACUUUGUCACUAAGCGGUAGCGAUAGUCGUAGAAGCAAUAGAUGGCGUAACGACAAUGAUGCUACGAUGGAGAUCAAGCUGUCGCGCCAGUGACGAUGGUGAUCACGACGGUGCUUUGAAGAUGGAGAUCACAAGCACAAGAUGAUGAUGGCCAUAUCAUAUCACUUAUAUUGAUUGCAUGUGAUGUUUAUCCUUUAUGCAUCUUAUCUUGCUUUGAUUGACGGUAGCAUUUUAAGAUGAUCUCUCACUAAAAAUUAUCAAGAAGUGUUCUCCCUGAGUAUGCACCGUUGCCAAAGUUCGUCGUGCCCAGACACCACGUGAUUAUCGGGUGUGAUAAGCUCUACGUCCAUCUACAACGGGUGCAAGCCAGUAUUUGCACACGCAGAAUACUCAGGUUAAACUUGACGAGCCUAGCAUAUGCAGAUAUGGCCUCGGAACACGGAGACCGAAAGGUCGAGCAUGAAUCAUAUAGUAGAUAUGAUCAACAUAGUGAUGUUCACCAUUGAAAACUACUCCAUCUCACGUGAUGAUCGCUUAUGGUUUUGUUGAUUUGGAUCACGUGAUCACUUAGAUGACUAGAGAGAUGUCUGUCUAAGUGGGAGUUCUUAAGUAAUAUGAUUAAUUGAACUUAAAUUUAUCAUGAACUUAGUCCUGGUAUUAUUUUGCAAAUUAUGUUAUAGAUCAAUAGCUCGCGUUGUUGCUUUCAUAUGUUUAUUUUGAUAUGAUCCUAGAGAAAACUGUGUUGAAAAAUGUUAGUAGCAAUGAUGCGGAUUGGAUCCGUGAUCUGAGGUUUAUCCUCAUUGCUGCACAGAAGAAUUAUGUCCUUAAUGCACCGCUUGGUGAUAGACCUAUUGCAGGAGCAGAUGCAGAUGUUAUGAACGUCUGGCUAGAUCAAUAUGAUGACUACUUGAUAGUUUAGUGCACCAUGCUUAACGACUUAGAAUCGGGACUUCAAAGAUGCUUUGAACGUCAUGGACCAUAUGAGAUGUUCCAGAAAUUGAAGUUGAUAUUUCAAGCAAAUACCCGAGUUGAGAGAUAUGAAGUCUCCAACAAGUUCUAUAGCUAAAAGAUGGAGGAGAAUCGCUCAACUACUGAGCAUGUGCUCAGAUUGUCUGUGUACUUCAAUCGCUUGAAUCAAGUGGGAGUUAAUCUUCCAGAUAAGAUAGUGAUUGACAGAAUUCUCUAGUCACCAUCACUAAGUUACUAGAACUUCGUGAUGAACUAUAGUAUGCAAGGGAUGACGAAAACGAUUCCUGAGCUCUUCGUGAUGUUGAAAUCGACGAAGGUAGAAAUCAAGAAAGAGCAUCAAGUGUUGAUGAUUGACAAGACCACUAGUUUCAAGAAAAGGGCAAAGGCAAAGAAAGGGAAACUUCAAGUAGAAUGGCAAACAAGUUGUCACUCCCAUGAAGAAGACCAAAGCUGGACCAAAGGCUGAAACUGAGUGUUUACACUGCAAAGGAAAUGGUCACUGGAAGCGGAAAUGCCCUGAAUAUUUGGUGGAUAAGAAGGAUGGCAAAGUGAACAAGGGUAUAUUUGAUAUACAGGUUAUUAAUGUGUGCCUUACUAGUGUUUAUAGUAGCCCCUGAGUAUUUGAUACUUGUUCGGUUGCUAAGAUUAGUAACUCGAAACAGGAGUUACAUAAUAAACAGAGACUAGUUGAGGGGAAGUGACGAUGAGUGUUGGAAGUAGUUCCAAGAUUGAUAUGAUCAUCAUCGCACACUCCCUAUACUUUUGGGAUUAGUGUUAAACCUAAAUAAAUGUUAUUUGGCGUUUGCGUUGAGCAUGAAUAUGAUUUGAUCAUGUUUAUUGCAAUACGGUUAUUCAUUUAAAAUCAGAGAAUAAUUGUUGUUCUGUUUACAUGAAUAAAACCUUCAAUGGUCAUACACCCAAUGAAAAUAGUUUGUUGGAUCUCGAUCGUAGUGAUACACAUAUUCAUAAUAUUGAUGCCAAAAGAUGCAAAGUUAAUAAUGAUAGUGCAAUUUAUUUGUGGCACUGCUGUUUGGGUCAUAUCAGUGUAAAGCGCAUGAAGAAACUCCAUAAAGAUGGAUUUUCGGAAUCACUUGGUUAUGAAUCAUUUGAUGCUUGUGAACCGUGCCUUUUUGGCUAGAUGACUAAAACUCCGUUCUCCAGAAGAAUAGAACAAGCUACUGACUUAUUGGAAAUAAUACAUACCAAUGUAUGCGAUCUAAUGAGUGUUGAUGCUCGUGGCAAGUAUCGUUAUUUUCUGACCUUCACAAGAUGAUUUGAGCAGAUAUGGGUAUAUCUACUUGAUGAAACAUAAGGCUGAAAUAGUUGAAAGGUUCAAAGAAAUUCAGAGUGAACUGGAAAAAUCAUCGUAACAAGAAAAUAAAGUUUCUGCGAUCUGAUCGCGAAGACGAAUAUUUGAGUUAUGAGUUUGGUCUUCAAUUAAAACAAUGUGGAAUAGUUUCACAAACUCACGCCACCUGGAACACCACAAUGUAAUGGUGUGUCCGAACGUCAUAAUCGUACUUUACUAGAUAUGGUGCGAUCUAUGAUAUCUCUUAUCAGUUUACCACUAUCGUUUUGGGGUUAUGCAUUAGAGACAUCUGCAUUCACGUUUAAUAGGGCACCAUCUAAAUCCGUUGAGACGACACCGUAUGAACUAUGGUUUAGCAGUAAACCUAAGCUGUCGUUUCUUAAAUUUUGGGGCUGCGAUGCUUAUGUGAAAAAGUUUCAACCUGAUAAGCUCGAACCCAAAUCGAAGAAGUGCCUCUUCAUAGAAUACCCAAAGGUAACUAUUGGGUACACCUUCUGUCACAGAUCCGAUGGCAAGUUAUUCGUUGCUAAGAUGGAUCCUUUCUAGAGAAGAAGUUUCUCUCGAAAGAAGUGAGUGGGAGGAAAGUAGAAACUUGAUGAGGUAAUUGUACCUUCUCCCUUAUUGGAAAGUACUUCAUCACAGAAAUCAGUUCCAGUGAUUCUUACACCAAUUAGUGAGGAAGUUAAUGAUGAUGAUCAUGAAACUUCAGAUCAAGUUUCUACCAAACCUCGUAGGUCUUUCAGAGUAAGAUCCGCACCAGAGUGGUACGGUAAUCAUGUUCUGGAAGUCAUGUUACUAGACCAUGAUGAACCUACGAACUAUGAGGAAGCGAUGAUGAGCCCAGAUUCCACGAAAUGGCUUGAGGCCAUAAAAUCUGAGAUAUGAUCCAUGUAUGAGAACAAAGUAUGGACUUUGAUUGACUUGCUCGAUGAUCAGCAAGCCAUGUUAAAUAAAUGGAUCUUCAAGAAGAAGACGGACACUGAUAGUAGCGUUACUAUCUACUAAGCUCAACUUGUUGCGAAAGGCUUUCAACAUGUUUAAGGUGUUGAAUACGAUGAGAUUUUCUCACUCGUAUCGAAGCUUAAGUCUGUCUGAAUCAUGUUAGCAAAUGCCACAUUUUAUGAAAUCUGGCAAAUGGAUGUCAAAACUGCAUUCCUUAAUGGAUUUAUUAAAGAAGAGUUGUAUAUGAUGCAACCAGAAGGUUUUGUCAAUCCUAAAGGUGCUAACAAAGUGUGCAAGCUCCGGCGAUCCAUUUAUGGACUGGUGCAAGCCUCUCGGAGUUGGAAUAUAUGCUUUGAUGAGUUGAUGAAAGCAUAUGGUUUUAUACAGACUUUUUGAGAAGCCUGUAUUUACAAGAAAGUGAGUGGGAGCUCUGUAGCAUUUCUAAUAUUAUAUGUGGGUGACAUAUUGUUGAUUGGAAAUGAUAUAGAAAUUCUGGAUAGCAUGAAAGGAUAGUUGAAAAAGAGUUUUUCAAAGCAAGACCUCGGUGAAGCUGCUUACACAUUGAGCAUCAAGAUCCAUAUAGAUAGAUCAAGACGCUUGAUAAGAUUUUUCAAUGAGUACAUACCUUGAUAAAUUUUUGAAUAGUUCAAAAUGGAACAGUCAAAGAAGGAAUUCUUGCCUGUGAUGCAAAGGUGUGAAGUUGCGUAAGACUCAAGACCCGACCAUGGCAGAAAAUAUAAAGAAAAUGAAAAGUCAUUCCCUAUGCCUCAGUCAUAGGUUCUAUAAAGUAUGCUAUGCUGUGAACCAGACCCAUUGUAUACCUUGCUCUGAGUUUGACAAAGGAAUACAAUUUUGAUCUAAGAGUAGAUCACUGGACAGCAGUCAAGAAUAUCCUUAGUGAGGACUAAGGAGAUGUUUCUCGAUUAUGGAGGUGAUAAAAGAGCCCGUCUUAAAAAGUUACAAUGAUGCAAGCUUUUUACACCGAUCCAGAUGACUCUAAGUCUCAAACUGGAUACAUAUUGAAAGUGGGAGAAAUUAGCUAGAGUAGCUCCGUGCAGAGCAUUGUAGACAUAGAAGAUUUGCAAAAUACAUACGGCUCUGAAUAUGACAGACCCGUUGACUAAGCUUCUCUCACGAGCAAAACAUGAUCACACCUUAGUACUCUUUGGGUGUUAAUCACAUGACGAUGUGAACUAGAUUAUUGACUCUAGUAAACCCUUUGGGUGUUGGUCACGUGACGAUGUGAACUAUGGGUGUUAAUCAUAUAUAGAUAUGAAUAUUGAUGUUAAAUCACAUGGCGAUGUGAACUAGAUUAUUGACUCUAGUGCAAGUGGGAGACUGAAGGAAAUAUGCCCUAGAGGCAAUAAUAAAGUUAUUAUUUAUUUCCUUAUUUCAUGAUAAAUGUUUAUUAUUCAUGCUAGAAUUGUAUUAACCAGAAACAUGAUACAUGUGUGAAUACAUAAACAAACAUAUAGUCACUAGUAUGCCUCUACUUGACUAGCUCAUUAAUCAAAGAUGGUUAUGUUUCCUAACCAUAGACAUGUGUUGUCAUUUGAUUAACGGGAUCACAUCAUUAGGAGAAUGAUGUGAUUGACAUGACCCAUUCUGUUAGCCUAGCACUUGAUCGUUUAAUAUGUUGCUAUUGCUUUCUUCAUGACUUAUACAUGUUCCUGUAACUAUGAGAUUAUGCAACUCCCGUUUACCGGAGGAACACUUUGGAUGCUACCAAACGUCACAACAUAACUGGGUGAUUAUAAAGGAGUACUACAGGUGUCUCCAAAGGUACAUGUUAGGUUGGCGUAUUUCGAGAUUAGGUUUUGUCACUCCGAUUGUCGGAGAGGUAUCUCUGGGCCCUCUCGGUAAUGCACAUCACUAUAAGCCUUGCAAGCAAUGUAGCUAAUGAGUUAGGUACGGAAUGAUGCAUUACGUAACGAGUAAAGAGAGUUGCCGAUAACGAGAUUGAACUAUGUAUUGGAUACCGACGAUCGAAUCUCGGGCAAGUAACAUACCAAUGACAAAGGGAACAACGUAUGUUGUUAUGCGGUUUGACCGAUAAAGAUCUUCGUAGAAUAUGUAGGAGCCAAUAUGGGCAUCCAGGUUCCGCUAUUGGUUAUUGACCAAGAAUAGUUCCAGGUCAUGUCUACAUAGUUCUCGAACCCGUAGGGUCCGCACGCUUAACGUUACGAUGACAGUUUUAUUAUGAGUUUAUGAGUUUUGAUGUACCAAAGGAGUUCGGAGUCUCGGGUGAGAUCGGGGACAUGACGAGGAGUCUCGAAAUGGUCGAGACGUAAAGAUCGAUAUAUUGGACGACUAUAUUCGGACAUCGUAAAGGUUCCGAGUGAUUCGGGUAUUUUCGGGGGUACCGGGGAGUUACGGGAAUACGAGGAAGAAGCAAUGGGCCUCAUGGGUCAAGUGGUGGAAGAGAGGAGGCAGGGCGCACGGCCCCCCCUAGCCCAAACCGAAUUGGACUAGGGGGCCGGCCCCACUUUCCUACUCUUCCUCCCUCUCCUUCCUUCUCCUUCUCCUUCCCUUCCUUCCCCUCUCCUAGUUGGACUAGGAAAGGAGGGAGUCCUACUCCCGGUGGGAGUAGGACUCCUCCCUGGCGCGCCCUCCCUUGGCCGGCCGCCUCCUCCCCCUUGCUCCUUUAUAUACGGGGGCAGGGGGGCACCCCAUGAAACACAAGUUGAUCUACGGAUCAUUCCUUAGCCGUGUGCGGUGCCCCCCUCCACCAUAUUCCACCUCGGUCAUAUCGUCGCGGAGUUUAGGCGAAGCCCUGCGCCGGUAGAACAUCAUCAUCAUCACCAUGCCAUCAUGCUGACGGAACUCAUCCCCGAAGCUUUGCUGGAUCGGAGCCCGGGGAUCGUCAUCGAGCUGAACGUGUGCUGAACUCGGAGGUGCCGUACGUUCGGUGCUUGGAUUGGUCAGAUCGUGAAGACGUACGAUUACAUCAACCGCGUUGUCAUAGCGCUUCCGCUUACGGUCUACGAGGGUACGUGGACAACACUCUCCCCUCUUGUUGCUAUGUCAUCACCAUGAUCUUGCGUGUGCGUAGGAUUUUUUUUGAAAUUACUACGUUCCCCAACACCAUGACGUUCAAAACGUCUUUGAAGUCCCGAUUCUAAGUCGUUAAGCAUGGUGCACUAAACUAUCAAGUAGUAAUCAUAUUGAGAUAGCCAGACGUUCAUAACGUCUGCAUCUGCUCCUGCAAUAGGUCUGUCACCUAGCGGUGCAUUAAGGACAUAAUUUUUCUGUGCAGCAAUGAGGAUAAACCUCAGAUCACGGAUCCAAUCUGCAUCAUUGCUACUAACAUUUUUCAACACAAUUUUCUCUAGGAACAUAUGAAAAUAAUCAUAUGAAAGCAACAAUACGAGCUAUUGAUCUACAACAUAAUUUGCAAAAUACUACCAGGACUAAGCUCAUGAUAAAUUUAAGUUCAAUUAAUCAUAUUACUUAAGAACUCCCACUUAGACAGACAUCUCUCUAGUCAUCUAAGUGAUCAUGUGAUCCAAAUCAACUAAACCAUGUCCAAUCAUCACGUGAGAUGGAGUAGUUUCAAUGGUGAACAUCACUAUGUUGAUCAUAUCUACUAUAUGAUUCACGUUCGACCUUUCGGUCUCCGUGUUCCGAGGCCAUAUCUUUUAUAUGCUAGGCUCGUCAAGUUUAACUUGAGUAUUCCGCGUGCGCAACUGUUUUGGACCCGUUGUAUUUGAACGUAGAGCAUAUCACACCCGAUCAUCACGUGGUUUCUCAGCACGAAGAACUUUCACAACGGUGCAUACUCAGGGAGAACACUUCUUGAUAAUUUUUAGUGAGAGAUCAUCUUAAAAUGCUAUCGUCAAUCAAAGCAAGAUAAGAUGCAUAAAGGAUAAACAUCACAUGCAAUCAAUAUAAGUGAUAUGAUAUGGCCAUCAUCAUCUUGUGCUUGUGAUCUCCAUCUCCGAAGCACCGUCGUGAUCACCAUCGUCACUGGCGCGACACCUUGAUCUCCAUCGUAGCAUCGUUGUCGUUACGCCAUCUGUUGCUUCUACGACUAUCGCUAUCGCUUAGUGAUAAAGUAAAGCAAUUACAGGGCGUUUGCAUUUCAUACAAUAAAGCGACAACCAUAUGGCUCCUGCCAGUUGCCGAUAACUUCGGUUACAAAACAUGAUCAUCUCAUACAAUAAAAUAUAGCAUCACGUCUUGACCAUAUCACAUCACAACAUGCCCUGCAAAAACAAGUUAGACGUCCUCUACUUUGUUGUUGCAAAUUUUAUGUGGCUGCUACGGGCUUAGCAAGAACCGUUCUUACCUACGCAUCAAAACCACAACGAUAGUUCGUCAAGUUAGUGCUGUUUUAACCUUCGUAAGGACCGGGCGUAGCCACACUCGGUUGAACUAAAGUGAGAGAGACAGACACCCGCCAGUCACCUUUAAGCACGAGUGCUCAUAACGGUGAAACCAGUCUCGCGUAAGCGUACGCGUAAUGUCGGUCCGGGCCGCUUCAUCUCACGAUACCGCUGAACCAAAGUAUGACAUGCUGGUAAGCAGUAUGACUUGUAUCGCCCACAACUCACUUGUGUUCUACUCGUGCAUAUGACCUCUAUGCAUAAAACCAGGCUCGAAUGCCACUGUUGGGGAACGUAGUAAUUUCAAAAAAUUCCCUACGCACACGCAAGAUCAUGGAGAUGCAUAGCAACGCGAGGGGAGAGUAUUGUCCACGUACCCUCGUAGACCGAAAGCGGAAGCGUUAUGACAACGCGGUUGAUGUAGUCGUACGUCUUCACGAUCCGACCGAUCCAAGUACCGAACGUAUGGCACCUCCGAGUUCAGCACACGUUCAGCUCGAUGACGAUCCCCGGACUCCGAUCCAGCAAAGUGUCGGGAAUGAGUUCCGUCAGCACGACGGCGUGGUGACGAUGAUGAUGUUCUACCGGCGCAGGGCUUUGCCUAAACUCCGCGACGAUAUGACCGAGGUGGAAUAUGGUGGAGGAGGGCACCGCACACGGCUAAGGAUCGAUCACGAAGAUCAACUUGUGUGUUAUGGGGUGCCCCCCUGCCCCCGUAUAUAAAGGAGCAAGGGGGUGGGGGCGGCCGGCCAAGGAGGAGGCGCGCCAAGGGGAGUCCUACUCCCACCGGGAGUAGGACUCCCUCCUUCCUUGUUGGAGUAGGAGAAGGGGAAAGAGGGGGAGAGGAAGAAGGAAAAAGGGGGCUGCGCCCCUUGUCCAAUUCGGACCAGAGGGGGGGCGCAGGCCUCCUUCCUUCUGGCCUCUCUCCUCUAUUCCCGUAUGGCCCAAUAAGGCCCAUAUACUCCCCGGUGAAUUCCCGUAACUCUUCGGUACUGCCAAAAAUAACCGAAUCACUCGGAACCUUUCCGAACUCCGAAUAUAGUCGUCCAAUAUAUCGAUCUUUACGUCUCGACCAUUUCGGGACUCCUCGUCAUGUCCCCGAUCUCAUCCGGGACUCUGAACUCCUUCGGUACAUCAAAACUCAUAAACUCAUAAUAUAACUGUCAUCGAAACCUUAAGCGUGCGGACCCUACGGGUUCGAGAACUAUGUAGACAUGACCUAGAACUAUUCUCGGUCAAUAACCAAUAGCGGAACCUGGAUGCUAAUAUUGGCUCCUACAUAUUCUACGAAGAUCUUUAUCGGUCAAACCGCAUAACAACAUACAUUGUUCCCUUUGCCAUCGGUAUGUUACUUGCCCGAGAUUCGAUCGUCGGUAUCCAAUACCUAGUUCAAUCUCGUUGUCGGCAAGUCUCUUUACUCGUUACGUAAUACAUCAUCCUGCAACUAACACAUUAGUUACAAUGCUUGCAAGGCUUAUAGUGAUGUGCAUUACUGAGUGGGCCUAGAGAUAUCUCUCCGACAGUUGGAGUGACAAAUCCUAAUCUCGAAAUACGCAAACCCAACAUGUAGCUUCGGAGACACCUGUAGAGCUCCUUUAUAAUCACCCAGUUACGUUGUGACGUUUGGUAGCACACAAAGUGUUCCUCCGGUAAACGGUAGUUGCAUAAUCUCAUAGUUACAGGAACAUGUAUAAGUCAUGAAGAAAGCAAUAGCAACAUACUAAACGAUCAAGUGAUAGGCUAACGGAAUGGGUCAUGUCAAUCACAUCAUUCUCCUAAUGAUGUGAUCCCGUUAAUCAAAUGACAACUCUUUUGUCCAUGGCUAGGAAACUUAACCAUCUUUGAUUCACGAGCUAGUCAAGUAGAGGCAUACUAGUGACACUAUGUUUGUCUAUGUAUUCACACAUGUAUUAUGUUUCCGGUUAAUACAAUUCUAGCAUGAAUAAUAAACACUUAUCAUGAAAUAAGGAAAUAAAUAAUAACUUUAUUAUUGCCUCUAGGGAAUAUUUCCUUCACCGUGUCCAUACUUCCACUUGCAAUUAUCAAUCUGUUUCUACAUGCCUUCAACCAUGAGAGCCCUGUCUACCAACUCCUGGUUGUUGUUGAAUGUUGCCACCAUCAACUGCAUGCUCAGCUCAUCAUCCAGUCCUUCCAGAAACUUCUCCUGCUUAGCGGCAUCUGUAGCUACGUCAGCAGGGGCAUAUCGUGCUAACUUGCUAAACUCAUCCACAUAUGGGCCCACUUUACGUCCUCCUUGGCGCAAGUUGCGAAACUCAUGCUGCUUCAUGCUCAUAGCUCCUGCUGAAACAUGGGCAGUGCAGAAAGCCUGCUGAAACCGAUCCCAUGUAACAGUGUCAAUGGGGUAAGUGGUUGUCAAAUUCUCCCACCAAGAUGCUGCAGGUCCAUCAAGCUGAUGUGCGGCAAAGUGCACUCUUUCCGCAUCAGUGCAUCCUGCAGUGGCCAGCUCUCUUCCAAUCUUGCAGAGCCAAUCAUCUGCAACAAUCGGCUCGGUGCUACUAGAGAACACCGGUGGAUUCAACCUUAGAAAGCGGACUAGGUGAUCAACAGGAGGUGGUGGUGGUGGGUUGUUGUUGUAGUUGUUGCCUUGGUUCUAGUUCUGAACUAAUAUCUGCAUCAAGGCAUUCCGCUGCUGGAUCAACUGAGUGAGCUCCGGUGGGAAGGCAAAUCCAUUGUCUAUCUCGGAGGCAUCUGAUGGGUUAGAAGGGGUGAGAAAACAGAAUAGAAUGGGGUCUAAGAGAGAUUCACUACCCAUAAUGCUCAUGAGACAAACACAAUCAAUUUCACUUCAAUCAAUAACACACAAGAUCACAAAAAGCGGUCUAACCUAUGAUUACAAACUCGAUCAUUGCUAACUACUUGGAGGGAAAUACUACUAAUUACAAUGGUGGUCAUCUAGAAAUGUUCAUCAGAUGAAGACUCCAUGAUAUCAGCUCCAGGUUCAUCUUCAUAAUCAUCAUCACUAUCAGGGUCGGAGUCGGUGUCAUUGAUGAUGAUGUAGUCUUCUGGGUGGUUGUCCUCCUUUUGCGCAGGCACUACAAAAAAAGACACAUCCGUGACAUUUUGGGCCGAACGAAAAAAAAUUCUGUCAUACAUAUGACACUUCUAUGACGAUAAUUGUGACAAAACCCGAUAUCAUCAUAGAUGUGGUGGGCUCCUACUUCUAUGACAAAAAAUCAUGACAGAAAAUGGGCUUUUCGUCCUGGCGGGCUGGAGACGCAGCUGCAUGACAUUCUUUGGGCCGUCCAUGACGGAAAAAACCGUGGUAGAAGCGAGGGGGAGGAAAAUUUCGGGGAGUUGCCGGUUACGGUGGGAGGUUGGGGGCCGAGCGAUGCGCAUUUCUCUCGUACGUACGAGCGUGUGUGCGAGGCGUUCGCUCUAACUGAACCUGAGCAAGGCAUUGGGCUAUAACUGAACCCGAGCGAUUGCGCUGCAGGAUACACGUUACUGAACCCGAGCGAUCGAUUGAUGGCUAUUAACUGAACCCGAUGGAGCGAUUCCUUCGCUACUGCUGCUAACUGAAGCCGAUAGAUUGGAUGANNNNNNNNNNNNNNNNNNNNNNNNNNNNNNNNNNNNNNNNNNNNNNNNNNNNNNNNNNNNNNNNNNNNNNNNNNNNNNNNNNNNNNNNNNNNNNNNNNNNNNNNNNNNNNNNNNNNNNNNNNNNNNNNNNNNNNNNNNNNNNNNNNNNNNNNNNNNNNNNNNNNNNNNNNNNNNNNNNNNNNNNNNNNNNNNNNNNNNNNNNNNNNNNNNNNNNNNNNNNNNNNNNNNNNNNNNNNNNNNNNNNNNNNNNNNNNNNNNNNNNNNNNNNNNNNNNNNNGGAACCCAUGGUGUUGAGGGCUGGAUGAACAGUAGACGAUGGAGGGGUGGCCGUGGAGGGGUGGUUGAACAGGACCCCGUGGUGUGGAGGGCUAGAUGAACAGUAGAUGGUGGAGGGCUGGAUGAACAGCAGACGGUGGAGGGGUGGUUGAACAAUAGUCGGUGGAGUAGCGUGCGGUGGAGGCUGGAUGAACAGGAGCCCAUGGAGGCUGGAGGAGGUCGACGGUAGCCCGUGGAGGCUGGAGGAGGUCGACGGUGGAGAUGAACAAUAUCCCGUGGAGUCCUGUUUUGCGGUACGCCACACCCCUCCCCCCGUUUCGACCGUAGCGCUGCAACACAAGUCUGUUUCGUCCGUUUUGCGGUACGCCACACCCCUCCCGACCAACAGGACCCUCGUUUCGACCGUAGGAGGUCCGUUUCAUCCGUUUUGCGGCACGCCACACCCCUCCCGAUCAACAGGACCCCCAUUUCGACCAUGGGAGGUCCGUUUCGUCCGUUUUGCGGUACGCCACACCCCUCCCGAUCAACAGGACCCCCGUUUCGACCAUAGGAGGUUUGUGUCCUCCGUUUUGCGGUACGCCAGACCCCUCCCGAUGAACAGGAUCCUGUUUCGAACGUGGCCGGUCGAACACAAGGCCGUUUCCUCCGUUGUGCAGUACGCCAGGCCUCGUUUCCAUCACCUGUUCCAUCCAAGCCCUCCCGAUGAACACAACCACGCAUUCCGUUUCGACCCAGCCGGUUGGCUCCCCAUGAACACGACGACGAUGUUGUUUCUCCGUUCCGACCCAGCCAUGUGCACGAGCCCUCGCCGUACGUAUGCACGAGUAGGCGUUCGAGACCCCGAUUUCCCGUAUGUACACAUACGUGGCCGUAUUUUCUUUCUUGCACCCUGGGCGAUGUAUGUACGUGUACAUGCUACAUGCGCGCCUCUACUACGACAUGUGCGCGCCUCUACAACGACCAGUAUGUACGUACACGUUCGCGACCAGAAUGACAACGCUACGUACGCUUCGACCAGGUGGGUCCUGACUGUCAGGCACUUCCUUGCCUGCGAAGAUGUAGCUGGUGGGUCCCAGCAGUCAGGGGGGCGAAUCAUUUUGGGUUUUUUUGCCCGGACUUCCUUGCGUGCGAAGAUGUAGCUGGUGGGUCCCAGCAGUCAGGGGCGCGAAUCGUUUUUUUCGGACACACUUCCUUGCGUGCGAAGAUGUAGCUGGUGGGUCCCAGCAGACAGGAGGAAAGGUUUUUUUCAUGAAAUACGGUGGCCCGUCCGGUGGGUCCCCGCUGUCAGGUGGAGGAAUAAUUAUUUUGCGCAUAAUAAGGAGGCACUUCCUUGCUGCGGCCGUGGACCCAGAUGUCAGCCUCUCCACGUACAGUCCACGUCCGAUGGAAGCCGUUCCUUGACCAGGUUGACCACGCCGCACCGAGAGCACCAGGCCGGUGGACGACGGCGAGGCCUAGGAAGGGGACGACACGGAGCCAGGGAAGACGCGACAGUGGAUGCCCAUGCGUAGAGGAGUAUGAGGGUUCAUUCGUUUGGCUGCGGUGUGAGGCUGCCGUCGCCGCAGAAUAACAACGGGUGUGGGUGCGUAGAGGGAUGGCCUGGCCAGCGGUGGGAGUAGUAGGGGACACUGAGGCCUCCGCGGCAUCACAACCGACCACGGGCGGCAGGUGCAGGCAGCACAACCGGCGCUGCUUUGGGCGGUCGGAGCAAGAAGACCAGAGGUUGAAGAAGCACUACGGCCGUUGGAUGGACAUCGUACGGUCACUGGAGCUAGAAUCGUUCAUAUAUUGACUAAAGUUGACAAAGGCCUCCGUCCCAGUCAACUUAGUAGGCCCACAAGUCAGCCUCCCACCAAGGUUGGUCCCAGCUCGCAGGGGGUAUUCAUUUUUUUGUGCGUAAUAAGGAGGCACUUCCUGUGGGUCCGAGCUGACAGCGGGGGGAACAUUUUUUUCACGAAAUACGGUGGCCUGACCUGUGGGUCCCAGCAGUCAGGGGGAAACGUUUUUUUCACGAAAUACUGGUGGCCCGUCCAGUGGGUCCCAGCUGUCAGGUGGAGGAAUAAUUAUUUUCCGCAGAAUAAGGAGGCACUUCCUUGCGGCUUCCGUGGACCCAGCUGUCAGCCUCUCCACGUACAGUACUCUUCCGAUGGAAGUCGGUCAUUGACCACAUUGACCACGCCGCGCCGAGAGCACCAUGGCGGUGGACGACGGCAAGGCCUAGGAAGGGGACGACACAGUACUCUUCCGAUGGAAGUCGGUCGUUGACCACAUUGACCACGCCGCGCCGAGAGCACCACGGCGGUGGACGACGGCGAGGCCUAGGAAGGGGACGACGCGGAGCGGGGGAAGACGGGGCAGUGGAAGCCCGCGCGGAGAGGAGUACGAGGGUUCACCGGUCCGGCUGCGGUGUGAGGCUUCCGUCGCCGCAGAAUAACAAGGGGUGUGGGUGAGUAGAGGGAUGCCCUGGCCAGCGGUGGGAGUAAUAGGGGGCGCUGAGGCCUGCGCGGCAGCAGCCGGCCACGGGAGGCGGGAGCAGGCGGUCCCGCCGGCGCUUCUUUGGCGGCUGGAGCAAGAAGAUCAGAGAUUGAAGAAACACGACGGCCGUUGGAUUGACAUCCAACGGUUACGUCUGCUAGAAUCGUUUGUUGACGUAGUAUAUAAUAACUAAAAUAAUCUUGCAUACGCGUCAACUAAACAGGCCCACAAGUCAGACCACUCCCUCUUUUUUAAUAAUUUAUAUAUAGCUCAUAGCAACUUCUUAUGCAAUUUAUUGCAGUCGUUUUUUUUGGUUGGCCAGGGCCAAUUUCGCAUAUCUCUGUGGGUUCCAAACUAUUUUUAAUACCAAAAUGUCGAGCCAGAUUUAAAGUACUUUGAAGAUAUAUUUGAAUUAGGUUAAUGCCCAGUGAAGUAGGAAUAUGAAACUGUGAAAAAAUCAGAAGUUAUAAAGUAAUUGCCAAUUUGUCAUCUGUUUUUAUAUUUACAACCCAUUUCAUAUUACUUUCAAGAUUUGCAGGCGUCUUGAAAGAGUUGUAGCCCAUCAGGGCGUGGAAAAAUAAGUAGGCCUAGAUUGGGUAUUCUUUAGAAAAAAUAAACUAGGCUCAUUUUCACAAAGAAAAAAUAGCUGUGCUGGUCACAUGGUGAACAUAAAAUAUAAGCCUGGGCUAGACGGGCCACAACCCAGUUCAAACCCUGCUUCGUCUCAACAAUACCAAACAAAAAAAAUACUGCUCGAGUAGCUACGUCCCGUGUGUCAGCCGAUCUUGUGUUGUUCUCUUAUCUAUUGACUAUAUACACUCACAAUGUCAUGGGUCCCAGAUGUCAGGAAAACACUAGGAGGAAGCAUUUUAUUUUUCCAUACGCUGACGUGGUGGGCCCCUACUGUCAUCCUCUCCACGUACUUCUGCCGAUUCCUGUUGUUUGUUAACCAUGUUGACAACGCGAGAGGGCGGCGCCGCGGCGAGCGCACCAAAGCACGUGGAGGACGUCGAUGUUAACGAUUUAGGAGACGGUGGGGCGGCGAUGCGUGCGCUGAGGCGCAGCCAGCCGUGGGAGGCGGAAGCAGGCGGCCCCGUCGGCGCCUGUUUGGUUUUAGCGGCUGGAGGAAGACAUGACUGAAGAAACACGACAGACUGUAAAAGCAGCAGGAGUACUUAACAACCUUAUCUGAAACCAGCAGGGGCACUUAACAACCAAAGCUGAAAGCAGUAUGAGUACUUAUACAGGUUCAACCAUACAAAGCACGCCUAGAACAGUGCUACUUUGCCUACAGUUAACCAAGGUUGAGGCUGCCAAGCCCCAGGACAAGGCCCAGGCGCCACCCCGCGCAUCCACAACCUUCUAAAAGCGGCUUCAUCUUGCAGCGUGGUCAAUAAACAGGAUAUUCACUUUAGAGCCAUGGAAAAGCAUGAACAUAAUCUUCUGUCCUAUUCUCCAAGAUGGACGGGCCUUCAUUAUCUGAGAGCACCCAUGAAUAAGUAUCUUUUCACCUCCAAGGGGAAUUGAGUAGGUCGACAUAAACAUCAUGUUGUGACCAAGCGCAAGUCUGACCUGACCAUGGUCAGGCAUGUGUAGAGGAACAAUAGAACUCGGCAGUUCCUGUUUCAAGAAGAUUACAACUGUAAAACUGUGUAUAAGCAAUAGUUUAUGAACAACAUAUAUAACAGAAAACAGCUCGUACCAUAAGUUUCUCGACACAGUUGGACCUGUUCAACGAGUGUAGCAGUGGCACACAUAUCCCAUGUGGCCUUCCACCAUUGAAACGCCCCACAAGGACCUCAAGACGAUCAAUAAAGUGUAGGAACUUGUGGAUGUCGAUCCAGUCAACUUCAGUGCCAUUAGUAACAGCCGAGUUAUUACAGAGUAACAAACGAGCAGACUGCUUAACUCUGAAAAAACCUACACAUGCCACCAAUUAUAAGACAAUAUUAGUUAGAAGUAGCAUCUUCGUGAGAGAUUCGUUGCUACUUCUAAAGUUAUAUUGUGAUUAGUUAGACAGAAUAGGUGAUUAAGAAGUAAUCGAGGCAACAAGCAAGAACCAGAUACAAAACUAACAUGGAUGAACAAUUGGGACGACGUCGGGGUGGAAGAUCACAGUGAAGAUGUGACCAGGUUCUGCUAUUUCCAUCAACAUUUGUGCGCCAACUUUCAGUCUGUAACACUUGAGAAAGUUUAUCCAAGUUCGGCCAUAAAAAAAGCAGCGAUCUUCUUGGUUCAUAAACCCAACUCGGAAGCAAUAUCCAUGGGUUGUCUUCACUGUGACCAUUAAACUAGUGUAUUCAGUUAUGGCAAGGCCGAGCAUCUUGAGUACAUGUGUUCUGGCAGAGCAAAUAAUACACUGUAGGAAAAAUAAUAUGAGAACACAAUAUGUUCAAAAAAACACACCCUCCCGGAUAGAGAAGAGGAUUCUAGGAACAUACUGUGCGUUUCAAAAUGCUAUGGUAGGAUGAGAAGGAACAAAUGUGGCGUCUGAAUCUGUAGGGUACUCGCACUUUGGGCACUGCAACUAAAACACACUAGAUUCAGUAUGAAUAAAAAUUCAUCAACGGCAACGGCUGCCAUCCUAGGAUCACCUGCGACCAAGGGACUUGGAUUUAUCGGGGAUGGAUGAAGAAUUCGUACCUGGUUCUCCAUGAGAAAACCAUAUGCAAUCGCCGAGCGGGGGUUUUAUCUGAACAAGCAGACGAGGGAGAAGGGGAUUUAGGCCCAGUGAAAUAUUGCUGCUUCGUCCAUCCAGCUUACUGCUAAAGCUGGAAAGGGGGGGUUGUGAUUUGACGGCUUAUUGGGCAUUACUGCGGUGCUACGACCGGGGUGUGUCUACUAUGAAGUUAUGCACUCUAAUUUGUGCAUAUGGCACGUGGACCCCGUUGCCGAUUGCCCCACAUAUCAGCGAAAGGAAGUAGAAAGACAGGAGUAACUAGUUACACAUAAAUAUAUUUUUUGACAGAGAGAUACUCCCUCUGUAAAGAAAUAUACAAAUCUUUUAUAUCACAGGCUCACCUUGCCGAGAAAUAUACUCCCGCUGCAAUGCACGGGCAUUAUGGGGGUUCAGCUUUUUUUAUGGGGGUUCAACUAAGAAUAUAAUACUCAGAUAGGCUCACGGUUCUGGACUUUGGGCCGCAGGCCGACCCUGCAUGUUGGGGGGCCCAUGUGUUCUACCUCAGCGCUUUUCAUAUUGCAAGCGAUCGAUACUGCGCUGGUUUUAGAUGCUGUCUCAAGGCGAAUACACAAAAUUGAAUAAAGCACGGCAGCUGUUGGAAUGAAAUCGAACGACAGUUCCUAACCAGCAAUCAGAGUUGCAAUUCUAUCAAUGAUAUACCAUGUGAUAAAUAAUACUGUCGUACUACUUAUACACACAAGACACUUGUUUCACCAUGCCAGAUUAUUAAAUCAAAAUCUCUUGGAGGAUAGAUCAGUUCGGCAGUUGCGUGCUGCUACUGAAGAAUUUCAAAGUUGAUUUGGACCAGCUCUCCUUGCGGCGAAAGUUCGAUUUUGACAUCAUCCCCUACCGCAAGACAUGAUUUAGAUUUGAACCUUGACCAUCCUUUAGCAUCAAUCAUCAUGCGACCAUCCUUUGUACUUAUGGUAUAUUGAGCAGGUUCAUUCACACCAAGGUUGCACAUGGUAAGAGAAACUUGGCCGCGGUCGCCCGGAUUGUUGAACGACUCCCUCGUUGCUCUAGUAAUUCUCUGUUUGAAAACAAGAAGACAUACCCAAACAGUUAGAUAAACACGGUGAAUCAUGUGAAACAAGAUGGAAAGAAAAAAGAACAAAGCACUUGGGUGGCGAUCUGUGCGAGACAGCGGCGAUCGUGUCUGGUCUGCUAUGAUCAGCUUUCUAACUUGACUAGGAUCCGUGACCGUGAUCCAGUUUUUUUCUUCAUUUCUUUUAAACGCGAGAAGGACUAAUUGUGGCAUUUUUGUUAAACCAAACUGCAGUUCAUCAUAGGGAUUCAGCUUGUACUCAGACAACAGACUGAUCCAAUUUUUUCCAGUAAUAUAAGUGAUGGACAGUGCCUUCGUUACUGACACGACAUAAGAAGUGAAAUCUGCAAAAAUAGCCAUCAUCGAGCAAACCAAACGGUUUAUUCUGUGAUGAAUGUCACAUGGCAAAACCUGCAUCGUAAAAUUGCAGGAAAAGAAAGAAAACAUGACAUUAAAUCAAUAAAAUUUAGACAGUAAAUCAAUAAGAUUUACUUGAUGUGACACGAGUGAAUCCUUUCCAGGAAAUCACUAUGUUGAGGUACUAAACAGAAGAUUGAUCGUCCAACUACGCGUGGCAUGCAGGGGCCCUGCCUACUCCCACAAGCAGGACAGUCCAAAGGUCGUGACAAAUCGUAUGGACCGAACAUCCAUGGGACUGGAAAUCCUGGUGGGUGCGAUAAACCCUGCAAUGCAUACAGAUAUUGGAGUGUAACCAUAAUUGAUAAACCGUCCUCACAAAAAAUAUGAUCUGGAUACUUCAAUAUGUACAGACUGAAUUGAGUGGACAGUCAUUAACAUAGACCGUUCUCAGGACUGACCACACCAAAAGCGGCAGUACUAAUAAACAAUACAUGGUUCACAAACGCAAAUCAAGUACUGAACAAUAGUACUUACUACAGACAAGCAAAGUUGCACUAAUUAAACUCUGCAGACUAUUUCUUGCCACCGACCUACGGGAUGAACCCCGCAUAACUGACUAGGCCAUGGACUUCGUGUGAGAUGUCUACAUGCACCAUCACCAUCUUGUCAACCUUGGAGAACCUAACAGAGUGGUCUUUCCACUCAUAAACAUGAUGAUGAAGACAGGCCGCAUCAGAUUUGUUGGGAAGCUUUACAAGAACCACACCCUUCGUAAUCGAAGGCACAACCAGUAAAUUGUUGUGGUCAAGUACAGCCUCGAGAACACGCCUGACAACAAUGCUGCAGGAAAACACUAGUUCAGGACACAUGGCGACAAGGACACAACAACUGGAUAGUUCCGCAGAAGAACUCAUCAUCAAGUCUUCUAGUUCACAUGGCAUGACUUUGAGAACUUCAUCUCCACCGUGGACCUGGUUCUAAUUCAAACAGAAACCAUAUUUCAUUACUACCUCCGUUUAGAAAUAUAAGAUGAUUUUCGAUAUUAUACUCCAUAUAUGACUACAUAUACGCACAGAAAUGAGUGAACAAAGACACUAGAACAUGUCUUCAAAGGCAUAAGAGCAGAGGGAUUACAUGCAAUAUCCAUAAUAGAAGUUACUGAGGCAAAUAUACCCUCUUAAAAGGUAGCAUUGAUGUUCAUAAAGUACUCCCUCCGUCCUAUCUAAUACUAAAAUAUGACUUGAUACAUCCGUAUCUAGACAGAUCUAAGACAAGAAAUUUGGGACAGAGGGAGUAGUUGAAAGUAAUCUAUAAGAAAUCAGUGUCAACCUCUCGCAUGUUUUGGUCAAAAGAGGAAUUUAGAACCGUCAUUUGGCACACUAAAAUCACAUGCAAGAUUACCCGGAAAGUUGUACUACCAGUACUAGUACUGCGUGUUAGAUGAAAAAACACGAUCAAGAUCGAGCAAAAGAUCGUUAACAAGAGACAUUACCUGGACUUGCUUAAUGAGGGAUCCCGGAGAGGGGGGCUUGGACAGGGCGAUGGCUUUGAGCUUGUCUGCGGUAGUCUCGGUAGGGUGCUUGCACUUCUUCGUACCAUGAGCCUCGACGGUUUUGGCCAGAGCAAUAGACAUCACGUCGGCCGGUGCUCCAGCGUCCAUCCAAGAGAGGAAGCUGAGAGAGAAGAGUGAAAGGAGGAAUGAGAUGAGGGAGAAGUGAAGCGAGUGUGGGUUUUCUUCAAGAGAGGAAGCUGAGAGAAAGAGUGAAAUGAUGGUUGCUUCGUCCGUCCAACUUACUGCUGGAAAGGAGGGGGCUUUGUGAUUUGACGUCUCAUUGGGCAUUACUACGGCGGUUCGAUCGGGGUAGUCUACCGUCACUCUACUACGGAGUAAUUGAGUGCAUGGCUGGUGGACCCAAGUGCUGGCUGUCCCACACGUCGGUGAAAGUGAGUAAUUUAGUGCAUGGCUGAAGGAGGAUCUGCAUGGUAGAGCGUGUCCACUGUUUUUCAUUCUAAAGAAAAAAAUGAUUACAACAAGCGUUUCCAGCUUACGAUGGAGGAGUGUGAAACACGGCAGCCACUUGAACAUACACAGUGCUCCUACUACUAGGCAUGUGCAGUGGUUCAUACGUCAGUACUACACAAUCUUGUUGCUAGUGUUGUACGCAUGUCAACUACUCCUAUAUGUAACAUAGUACCGCCUUUUCGACUGUCCGGUCGAGAAUGAACGGUGAGAUCAAUGUUAACAUAACUAGGUCGACAGCGCAUGGAGAGUAUGGUGCUACAGUACUCCACGAAACAUGAACCAUAUGAAGCACAUCCUAUAGUGUUAGACAGGGUGUAUGAAGGGUGCACGGGAUGGGAGCAAAAGUUCCCUUCUCGACCCACUUUUGGGUGUUUGGCAGAGUGCAUAAGUCCACACUAGUAGGUUGACAAAAAUACACGAAGAGGAAACAACUAUAUUGAGAUGAGAAUGCAACCAAACACACCCACACGCUUUGUGCAACAAUGACGGAUCUCCACCGUCUGAGUUUGAUCCAACGGUCAUGUUGCGCCGAGACAUGGACAUGCCCAUGCAGAGGGCGCCUAAACACCACCGAAGUCCCUCUGCUUCUCAAGGCGCACGACAUUGGUGAUGCAGGGUGCAACCGCCCGCAGAGCCCGCUCCCGGUCGAUGGGAGCCAGCUCGUCAAAGACGACGUCCAAUGGCACGAAUGGAUUCCGGUGACGGAGCCCUGAAAGGAUUCGCCCGGCAACGGCGACGGCAGCGUGCAGCCCCUCCUUGUCCAGCUCAGCCCCCACCAUCGUGCAGAGACGGCUCAGCUCCUCAGAGAUAUAGGUGAAGAAGGAGACCAGGUCAGGAAGCCGCAGCUUGUUGAAGUCGACCGGGUUGUUGAACGGGUUUAGCCCGACGGCCGGCAUCAUCACGCUGGCACAAUGGUAGGCAUCGCGCAGCCGCAACACGUGCGUGGUAACUUGGUUCACCAAGUGGCAGAGGCGAUCCUGGACCUCGUCACGAUCGGCUCGCUCGCGCUCCAGCCGGCUCCCUUGACGGCCUAUCGUAUAUCCCGAUUUCUGUAGCAACGCCGCCGACGCCUCGAGCAUCUUUGUGUUGGAUGCCUGCCGCUUUUGAAGCUCCGUGAACUCCCGCACAUAAUGGAGGAGCAUGGCACUCCUCUUCUCCUUGAGCUCACGAAGCUCCACGUCCUUGGCCCUGAGCUCCGCAUCCUUGGCAUGGAGCUCCUGUGUCAGGAGCCUCACCUCGGACUCCGUGAUCUGCUGCGCUGCCAUGGCACCAGGUAGAAGCAAUGGGGAGAGGAAGCAAAGGGGGCGAAACAGCUGAAAGGCAAUGCAAUCUAUGGGAAUGCGGAGGGAGCCAGCCGAGGAGCGGGGAAUCUUUUGAUUUUCACCACGGUAAAACACCAGUCGACGACUUCUCACAUCAGGGAGCAGUGGUUUUUUACAGGCGGAGUCAUCGUGACUAAUUGCUACCGUGCCUGCUCCCGUCAAUCAAAAAAUUAAAAAUCCUGCCGCGCCUGUUCCUUUCAAUCAAAAAAUUAAAAAUCCUGCCGCACACAAACACUAGAGCAACGCCGCGAUGGAUAUUUAAAUUUACCUGCCGGGAAGUAGAUAAAAAAAGGGGUGAAAAAACAAAUGUGGCGGCGGCCUAGCUAAUCGGUCGAACUAGCCCAACUAGCUAGCCACCGUGCUUCACUGAUGUACUCGGCGGGAAAGGUGGUCUUUCGUGAUUUGACGACUCAUUUACUUGCUUUGGUGCUACGACCAAGGAGGACCCAGAAAACGCGCGGUAGGGCGUCCCACAUCAGAAAGAAUAUAUGCGUGCACCACCCGGGAGGACCCCGAAACCGCGCGGUAGGGUGUGCCACGUCUCGGCACAGAGGAAAAAUGUGCGUGUAAAAAUAUACUGUAUCAGUUGUAAUACCUAUGGUUCGACCUCGGGACCCACCCAGUCGGUCGAAAACACCCCACUAGCCACACAGCUUCAUCAUGCAAACGUGACACAGUUAGCUCCAUCUCGACCAACCGCAACGUCUCUUGUUCUAGGCGAUUCUUCUAUUUUCCAAGCUUUUUUUAGUUGUAAUAACACCACGGCAAGCUAGCACCGCUCUUCGUGUGUGCCCGUGCAAAGGUUAGACGAUGGAGAGAAGAGAGAUUGAGAUCGCAGACCUGGGACCCACCCGUAAGUGAGACAACGGUCAUGCACGUGUUGACGAGGCACUCCCUCUACUCUACUCAACGCAAGUACUGUAUAAAAUCAAGUUAUGGGACAAAGCCAACAACCGUUUGUUUUUUCAGGCUAUCGACUUACGCUUUGUAGUCCAGGUUACCAGUUCGAAUCUCGUCUUUCAGAUUUGUUAGUUUUAGGUCCAAAUUUGAUUAAUGACAACUGGGACCCCCGUGUGUUGUUCCGAUAUUUCAGUGUAGGAUGGUAUUUUUGAACAAACACUUUGCGUGGUUAGACAAGUAAUGGCACGAGUUACACGUAUUUUGCAAGUUUACGAACAAAAAUGAUAGUGGCAUAGAAUAUCACAUCCACCCCGCAGCUUAGAUACUAUGGUGAUACGAGUUUUUACACCGUUGGAAGUGAGAUCCAAUGGCUUGGGAGUAGUCUUUGUAAUCCAAACUCUCCAAAGUUUUUUUUGCAAAUAAAACAUUCAGGCCUCGUGUGUGCCGCUGCAUCUUCGAUCCAACGGCUCCCCGGUGCUAAUAUUAGGUGCUCCCUGUAGCUUAAUUACCCGCUACGGUGAUAUGAGCAUCUAGGUCGUAUGAUCAGUGAUCAGAUGGCACAGGCAUAGUACUUGUACUUUCCGCGCAUUUCCCAAACUCUAGCAGGAGUAUAUUGCAAAAACAUUCAAACCUCCUACAGUGGGCCGUUAGAUCUCAGUGGACUCGUAUCACCAUAAAAUCUACGGUGCGGGAGCACCUCAUACUCUCCCGUGCGAGAAAACAUAAGGUGCUAUCGCAGAUGCUACGGCGAUAUGAGCUUGGAGGUCGUUUGAUCUGAGAUCCAAUGUCAUCUGAGCAGUCUUUGUGGUUGUAAGCAGUGGCCGAACUCUUUUGGGGCUUUUCUGCAAAAAACCAUUCGAACCACCGAGGAGGUGUUGGGUCACAAAUCCAACGCGUCCGAAGAGCUUGUAUCACCAAAGCAUCUAAGGUGUGGUGGCACAUGAUAUUCUUACAUACAUGAGAAUAUGAUGUCGUCCUUCAUCUUGGAUGCUACAGUGAUACGAGCUUCGAGGUCGUUGGAUAUGGGAUCAAAGGGCAUCUAAGUAGUUUUUGUACAAAUUGUGUGCAAUUCUCAAACUCAUCAAGGUUUCCUACAAAAAAAUUAAGACACAUCAUGUGAGCUGCUAUAUCUCAGAUCUACAAGCUCCAAGCAACUUGUAUCGGCAUAUAGCAUGUAAGGUAUGGGAGCACAUGAUAUUCUCCCGAGGAGGAGGGUGGGGGUGCAUAACCAAUCGGUGGUUGGGAGGGUGGGGACAAACAUAAUCUAAACAACCCUAAACAGAGCUCCACAAUUUUAUCUAAGGUCGAGGGGCUGACACCCAACAAUCAUAGCUCCGCCUAAACACAACAUUUGCAUGUACUGUAGUACUAGACUUAAUAUUCAUGUUUCAGUUUCAUGUUCAUUUUAAAUAUUGAACUGAGGACCAUGGAUGACUUACAUUUUACUCCCUUCAUUCCUAAAUAUUAGUCUUUUUAGAGGCUUCGAAUGGACUGGCACAUACGAAUGUAUAUAGACAUAUUUUAGAGUCUAGAUUCACUCAUUUUGCUCCGUAUGUAGUCACUUGUUGAACUCUCUAAAAGACUAAUAUUUAGGAAUAGAGGGAGUAUUUUUGAACUCGUGUCAUACAUGCAUGGGUUGGAAAAAUAGAUGCACUACACUUAUUGGAUUGUUGUUGUGUUCGUGCGUGUGUGUGUGUGUGUGUGUGUGUGUGUGUGUGUGUGUGUGUGGUCAUAUGCUUGAUACAUACAAAGUUUUCUCACCUCCAUAUUGUUCAUCUUUUAAAUUUGAAUUUGCAUUGGAAAACUUACUAGGGAUACCAUGAAAUGUGAAAUCCACGUUGAGAUCACUAUAUCACAAAUUCACUCUAAUUCAACGACUCGUCAUAAAUCAAUUACCAUGUUGAGAUUAGUAUUUGCAAGGAAAAUACGGGUAUUGUAAUACACAUAGAUUCGUUCGGCAAUUUAAAAGGUUCCUUUCGUAUUUUCAAAUGGUAGGACCCAAUGGCGUACCAGCCAGACCUUGGCUCGUGUUGAUCCUAAAAAAACGGGCUCGUAUCCUUCGGUGGCGUGCGUGGUACGCACAUUAGGCAACCCCAACCAGUCGAGCCUCAGCGUUUCAAGUCGAAAUAUCUGGCAGCCAGAAUUCCAGCCCUAGGAAAUUCCCCUCAUGUCCCCGGUCCAUAAAGACUACCAAUGAACAAUGGAGGGAUGCUUUAGUAACUAGACAAUGUUACUUACCGUGCCGAGCACGGUUCAAUUCCCUCGGUCGCUACUCGUCAAUGUCACCCGUCAAUAGCAUUGCCUAGUACUACUACUACUACACCAGGAUGAGCACAAAAUUGAGCCCAUUUGUUCAUGCCUAGUACUUGAGUUAAUAUAUCAGGCAAUGCACUGGUACGGAGGGAUUAUCCUUUUACUCCCUCCUUUCCGGUUUAUAGGGCUUAUCUCAAAAUUUUAGUUUUCCCAUUUUAUAAGUCUCAAUUUGGUUGUUCCCCAUCACAUGUUUAGAUUUCAAGGUGCAAUAAAUCAUUACAUGCAAGUAUUAAGAGAAAAUUUACCAAUGCAUGUACUUUAUGCAUGCAUGCAUUGCAACUAAUGCAUUCGUAAACACAAUUUUUGAGGAAAACAAGUGCAUUAAUUGAGUGGUUUUGCAAACUACAACAAUUGUUCCACCACUCACCAUCUACCUUGGUUGGUGAGAUUUUUGAAUUGAGCCCUAUAAACCGGAAAGGAGGUUUAACUAAGCAAAAUGUUUGACCAAAUCCUUUCUUAAGAAAUACAACAGGACAGAUGUACGGCUUGAAAAUUUAUUGCAUGAUGCAGGUUAUGAUAUUGUUUCGAAUCCUGGGUCUUAAAUUUCAGAAAAUCCAAAAGCGAGCAUAAAUUCUUGAAACUGAGCAUGGUCACGUGAUAUGGCACAAAUAUUACUUCAUAAAUUUUUUCUUCAAUUCGAGACAAGCUGCUUAUGACAAGUUGCACAAAUGAAGAGCCAAGGUAUUUUGGAACAAAGACCUGUCACGUUAAGGCGAACGCUUUCACUAUUGAAACCAUGGGCGUUUACGUGCCGCCACGAGUCCCCGCUUCUCAUCGGCAAGUGCCGUCCCAGCAAGCGUGUGAGUCGACGGGAGGCGUGCGAGCAGACCGCUGCGCUGGCUAUCAGGGAGGCGUGCGAGCAGACCACUGUGCAGACUCACCGGGAGGCGAGCCCUUUGACCAGGCUCCGCCGCCCACCAUCGUCCCAACUGCUCCCACUUUUAAUGUCGCCGGUGCCGUAGUUUAAAAUCAACCCUACACUACCCGGUAUCGCUACAAUCCUCUCUCUUCCUCUCCGAUUCUCCUGUCGUCUACCUCCAACUAGCUUGACCUAAACGUACGCCAUGCCGCAUCACGAUGGUCUACCCUUAGUGUUCCAGUUUCAUGAGGAAGACACCCAGCCGGAGUCUCAAGAACAUAAGGCGCUUUGGGACGAGCUUGAACUGGCCUUGCGGGAAGACGCCGCGUCUGUCCCCGCUCCCAUUCCGGCUCCCGUCACCCCGACUGCGCUAGCGCCCAUCCCCGUGGCAUUGAUGGGCUGGGAGCCACACAUUGUCGCCGAGCUUGAUGCCACGGGGUUCCACGAGGUCCCCGCCGACUUUCACGUGCCCGUGCACCUGCCAGCGCCUGCGCCUGCGCGUGCACUGAUGCGCACGCCCGUGCCGGUGCCCAUGCACCCGCCAGCGCAUGCGCCUACGCGUGCACUGACGUGCACGCUGUGCCGGUGCCCAUGCACACGAACGUCUCCGUCGCGCCGUUGACAGCGCCUGUCCCUGCGCGGGUGCCAGUGCCCCCCUCAGCGGCAUGGAUGGCCGCUGUCGACCGCUUCCUUGCACCAACGCCAGUCGCCACCUCCCGCCAGUUGACUCGCUCCAAAGUCCAGAACAUUUUGGCCUUCCUUGAAGCUAGGCCAACGUCCAGGAGUACGCCAACAACGGCGCAAGACGCCGCCGUCGCCGUCGGUCAGUGGCCCGACAACACACAGAGCACGGCAGAGGAGCCGCUUCCCACCGCGAGAUGCCCCGCUGCCGCCACGUAAUAUAAAUUUGCCAUGAAAAACGUUUGGAUUGCCAUGCUUAAAAUCCGAACGUUUAUCAUUUCCGUUUAUUUUAUAUCAAUCGUCGUAUAAUUUAAAGUCGGAGUCAGACUGAACGAAAUGUAUGGUUUGAUCGAUUGAAUGUUCUGCUAGAGCCGUAUCAAAUUAAAUAUAAAACGUCAUCAAGCCACAUGUAUUCCUUGUCAUCCAAUGACCUAGACUGCUUCAAUGUCGAGCGCUCAACACGUUUAGCGUGCAGUUAAUUUCAUGCCACAAAUAGUGCUAAUCACAUGACAACAUGCAAAUAAUAUUCUAGUAGUUAAUAUCCGCAUGCACUUAAUAUACUUCCAAAUUAACGUGCAUUGCACGUACACACUAACUAGUGCUGCUAGUACGUGAAACUGGUGCCGUGACUUGUGAACGCGUCCAGAUAUGGUCAACGGCAACAUCGCCCGCGAGUUCUUCCUGUUUACCCGUGCGUCUAAACGCAGAAGGGGAGGAGAGAGAGAGCACACAUGGAACCCACCAGUAAGUGAAGGCGAAUAGUACUAAAAAUAAUAUUACAUGUUAUCCAUUAAUUAGGUUGUGAUAAUAUAAAAACAUUAUGUGAACAAAGGGGGUACAACAAACAUUGCUAUUCUACGUAUGUUGCCUAUUGACGUGCGGCUUGAAGGCCCGGUCGCAUGUUCGAUCCUCGUCCUUUAUUUUUUUAAUUUGUAUAUGGGUCCCAAUUUGUUUCAUGACAUGUGGGCCCCUUGGUGUGUAGUUUGUAGCACUUUAAUUUGUGGGUCGAAAUUUGUUCCAUUCCAAGUGGACUAUCGGUGUGUAGUUUUGUAGCUUAUUUAUAAUAAUUAAAGAGAACAACAUAGUUUUUUCAAUAAUACCAUGGUGCGACGUUGAAGGUGAGAAAGGACGUGCGAGAGAGCGAUGACAGAGCCAGAGGGAAAUCAACUGGGGGAGUUGCGUGGGUUCCAACGGCGUUUGGAGUAGUUGUGGGCCGAAUGCUACGAAAAUAUAAUCUAAACCGUCCGAAAUAAAUGCCUACACAAAUUAAUCCAAGGUUGGAGUGCCCCUCGCAAUGUAAAUAGCUCCGGAUUUGUGAGGGAUGGAGAGGUAGUAGCUACAACGCGUGGAAGAUACAGUAUGAGAAAGCGAGGUCAAUCGAGAGACAUAUAGAUAGAGAGACAAAGUGAGUGUGGUCCGACAUUCAUUGAACAAAUAUAUAUGCUCCGGAGAGAUAUUGUCCGAUUGAGCUUUUAGUAAGGGUGAGGGCUGUAGGAUAGAGCUUGAGAGAUGAUCCAGUCACAGACGUGUAGAUAUAUUUUGUGCGUGGGAGGAAGCAAGGUCAACCAAUCACACAGGGUCGCCAUGCGAUCGAAAGAGUGAGACGGGUUGGAGAGAGUGACCUAGAUAGAUGAUGUGCGUGAGAGAGUAUACAAUAUGAAUAGGUCGAAUUGGGCUCAAACAUGGUGAUAUAUCAUUUUUGUCCGAGAAAGAGCGAGGUAAAUCGAGACAUACAGAGAGAGAGAGAGAGAGAGAGAGAGAGAGAGAUUGAGUGAGCGUGGCCCACCAUGAGGUCGAAAGAGUGACGACAGCUUGGAUGGACUGACCUAGAUAGACAAUCUGCGUGAGAGAGUAUAGAGUGUGUCGAUCGAGGCCCAAACAGGGAGAUAUAUCAUUUGUGUGUGAAAGAAAACGAGGUUAAACGAGACUUAGGUAAAGAGAGCAAGAUUGAGCGAGUGUGGCCUGCUGUGCGGAAGAAAGAGUGAGACAGUCUCGAGGGAGUGACCUAGAUAUACAACGUACGUUCGUGCGCAUGAGAGGUUGGGGGGCUAGAUAGGCAAUGCAUGUAUUUAGCGUGAGAGGGUGAGAGGGAGAGGGGGGAGAGAAAGAGCUUGGCAUGGGGUGCAAUGGCGGGUGUGUGAGGUAAAUACAUUUGGUAACAGGAGUGGAAAAAGGGGUUGUGUAGUUGAGAGACUUAGAGAUCGAAACAUGGAGAGAAAGAAGGAACGUGUGUUGGAAAUCGAUAGCUUGCUAAGGUGGUUAGGAGAGGAAGAUUGACCGAUACAGGAAGUAUGUAGCGUUUGUGCGCGGGGGGGGGGGGACUAAAAACAACAUUUGAAUGUACAUAGUAUGAGACUAAAUAUCGAUGUUUCAAUUCGGUGUACAUUGUAAGAUUUGAACCGAGGACCAGGCAUAUGGGCAAUUAUUUAGAAUUCGUGCCAUACUAAGUUUCAAAAAGUUGACAUUGGCUCAAUUUGUUGUGCUAUUUUGUAGGUCAUAUGUUUGAAUCCAUCCAAAAGUUUUCUCACUACCAUGGUGUUCAUCAUAUACAUAUGAAUUUGUAUUAAAAAAGUAGCGUGGAUACAGUGAAAUGUGAAAUCCACGUUAGAAUUGGAGAUCGCUACGUGACACACACUCUAAUUCAAAAAACUAACUACGUGACACACACUCUAAUUCAAAUAACUAAUUAUGUGACACACUCUAAUCCACGUUAGCGUGGGUACCGUUUUGAUUUUUUUUUUCAAAUAACUCCUCAUUAAUUAAUUUAUAGUACUCCCUCUGUUCACUUUUAUAAGACCUUGAAGACAUUUCAAACAAUGUGCAAAACAAUUCAUUUUAAGUUGUUUGAAACGACUUACAAAAGUGAACGGAUGGAGUAUCUCGUUUCGAAUGACUAAUUAUUGCAAGGAAAACACGGGCAUGGUAAUACAUACAGAUUCGUUUGCAAAUGAAAGAAGAUUCGUUUGCAUUCUCAAAUGUAGGCGCACCAGGCAGACCAGGGUCGUGUCGGGGUGGACGCUGCUUUGGUGCCUUAAAGGCAACAGCCCUUGGGUGACUGACAUGUGGGCCAGCCACCUGUUGGGCCCACAUGUCAUGGACACAAAGGCAGGUGCCUUAAGGCACUGAAGCGUAGUCCUGUCGGGGUGGUCACGUGUGUCGGACGGACGCAUAGCACCCAGCCACCCACCCCCUCCCCCCAAAAAAGGACAACGACAAUAUAAGUUCGCACUUCCACGUUUCGGAUUGAAAUAUCUGGCGGACCCAAUUCCAGCCCUACAAAAUCUCUCUUCUUCACCGUCUCCUUCCGCGCCCAGAUUGCUCAAAUCCCUAAUUCGCCGCCAUCCCUCGAAUCGCCCCUCGUCUCGUCUCUUUCCCCACCGUUCCCCACCUCUAUGCCGGACGAAGACGACGGCCGCGCUUCACCACCGCACCGGAGCUACCUCAUCUACGCCCUCGUCCGCCGCACCGGGUGGUCCACCGACAACAUCGGCCGCCGCAACCGACGUGCCUCAUAGACACUGAGUUCCACCACAUCAGGUGCGCUUCACCGACGUCGUCUCCCAGCUCACCGGGGGUACUUCACCGAGCACAUCGUCGCACCUCCGCCCCUCGAGGUCGUUGGGGCUUCACCAACGGUCUCGUCCACCGCAUCGUAGCACUCCGCUGCCACUCAAGAUCUGCAUCCAUGCGCGGCCAGCCAACGCCAGCGCAUCACCCUCAAUGGCUCUGAAGUGACCCGCACUCUAGCUAGGCGAGCAUGCCCAAACGUUGGCCCGAACUAGGUAUCCACACAUCACUCCCUUGUGCACUGUUCCGACGAUGUUUGGAUAUCCUUUCACUGCUCUCUUAGCUUACACGCCUAUGCAACUUUGACUUUAACUAUUAUUUCUUCUGGAGAUAUCAUUUGAAACAAGCAAAUCCAUUUUUUAGAGAAGCAUGACGGGGCUACGGGAUCUGGUACACAUCCUGCACACCCGUAUAACCUUGUAAGUAUCUGUCCUCCGGUACAACAUCAAGGUCGAUUCCUCUUAUUUGAUCAACCAUUCGCCGUGUCAAAAAUGCAGAGGGGGAUGCAAGGAGCACAAGGCUUGCACAUCCAAGAAAGUGGUAACAUGGACUUGUACAUGGAACAUCCCAAGCGCAAGUAGAGCUGCAGUGAGCCUGUACAAUGAGCUAGAGUAAGUCCCUGCAUAUCAGUUAAUUCGUACUGGCAUUUGUGUAUGAUUUGUGUGCAGUGGAUGAUCCACGAAUUCAAGUUACCAGGGGUGAACAUUUAACUUAAAAAAUACGAAGACACUUGCACUUCGGAAAUCAACAUAACUUGAGAAAUGUGAAGCUACAUGCACUUUGAAAACCAGCUAAUGAUCCAAAGUAGUUCAGAUUAUAAACACUAAAUGAUGCAAGCACCAAAAAACACAAAAUGCAACAUGGUGUACAAGGACUACAAACAUGGUCUGUACCUGCUUGAAUUAUUCGUUCUCUGGCUGAAAAUAUCGAAGUGUAAUUGCACGUAUAACCAGUGUGCAAACUGCAUAUCUAUAUAUCUAUCCUGCACAAGUAUGCCAAUAGUUUCAAACAACAGAUUAGAAAAGUAUUUAUGCUAUGUUGUCAUGAUACGGGGACAUUCUGGUAGAUGGCCUCGACGUUUCCUCAAGCUAUGAAAAUGCACUAUAAUUUGCUUGUCAACAAUCCCUACAAAUCUCUGUCUCUAUCAACAUAGUAGAUCAUCAUUAGACACUAAAUCCUUCAAUGAGCUUGCAAAAUGCUUGCAUUAGAUCCCUCAUUAGACACUAUAUGAUCAUCACCAGGAGCAUGUAAAAUGUUUGCAUCAAAUUCUUCAUUAGCAGUCUGUUCAUGAGACACUUCAGGCUCAAGAACAACAUGAGCAUGCAUGUUUGCACCGGAAACUUGAUUAGAUACAUCAGAUUCAGUCAGUUCAGUAUUGAUUGGGGGAGUUAUAAAAUAAGUAGAAAAUGGUUUCAUUUUCUCAUAGAUUCCCUACAUACAAGCAGUUUUACAACACCGUCAGGUUUAACUAUUGGCCAGAAAUUGCAGACUAAGGCAUAGCCUAGUGGUGGGAAGGGGUUGAUGCCUUCCCACCCACCCAGGUUCAAGGCAUGGUACUUGCAAUUUGGGUUUGUUGCACCAAUUAUACUGUAAGGGGUUCCCUUACAGUCUUUCUGUCAAAAAAAACUAUUGGCCAGAAAUUGAAGAGUUGAAUUAGAUAUAAUCAGGGAUGUGAUGUACCUGCUCGUUGCGCAUGCUACUCUUGCAAGCUGUGAUUGUCCAUUUGCGCAAGCUCGAUGCCAUGCCCGUGCUACCACCGUUGCCUCCCACGCAGGCUACACCCAGGGUUGGAUCUUCAUCUUCUUGUCCUUCCGUUCGCUUGAAGCCCAGCGACCGCCCUCCAACGAGGGCGCGAGGAAGUGCUGUGCCGGUCUGUCCAGCGGCAGCUAGGUUAGGAGCGAACCAGACUGGAGGCUGGAGUGAAUGAAUUGGGAUUUUUCCUGCCGUCGAUCGAUAUGGGAGGCGCUCGUUUGGGCCGCGAGCCUGCUAUAGGGCCUGCCUUGCACUUAUGUUAUUGUCCCAUCCAAAUUGAAACAUUUUUCUUCAUUUUUUACAUUGCCUGCUCGUGCGUUGGGACGAACAAAACUAGCGUGGGCCAACCUGGACGACUCAAAUUAGGUGCACACUUUCCAGCCACCUGAGGCGGCCGCCCAUACCAGCCCCUAUGGUGGCAUUGCCCCUUUUUGCGUGUAUGAUUGGAUAGUGAAAAAUAUUCCAGUGUUGCUUUUGAUUUACCCACAGAAUAGUUGAAUUGCUUGUUUCUAUGAAUUGAGUUCGCCAAUAAUGUGAAGGAUGCCAGUCUUUUCAUCCUAUUGUAGAUUGCUUAGAUCUAGAUAUGCCAAAAGUAAUCGCAUGAAAUAUACAGUAAAAGCCAGUGUGAUGUGUUUGGCUACAACUAGUCUGACUACACGUCCUCAUAUAACAUAUCAAGAACGCACCAUCUUACCAGAUUAACCAUUCGACUUACCCAUGCAGUGUGGGAAGAAAGAAGUAUUGGGACUGCGUAUCCAAGCAAUUGAUGCCACUCCUUUGCACAACCUUGUAAGCGAAAAAGAAGUUGCAGUGUGCCUAUACAAAGAACUAGGGUGAGUUUAGUUACCUGCUUCUCGGAAUUUUAGUUAGCCACUUAUUGCAAAAUUGUUCAAUUACGUUGCUUGGCCUAAUUUAGUUUGCUACUAAUUACAUAAUGGCACAGCCUGUUAAUCAUAUUGUAGACUACGCCUAUCUAUGUGUUUGAUACCUACUGUUAAGAAUUACCUGUUUGCCUUAACUUAAAUAUCUACUUGUUUGUUUAACUGCUUUGCUGCUGCAACAGCGGGUUACAAUGAUGUUAGUAACUACUCCCUCCGUCCCAUAAUAUAGGACAUUUUUUGACACUAGCAUAGUGUUAAAAAACGUCUUACAUUAUGGGACGGAGGGAGUACUUUUCAGCAUCCAAUUGAAACUCUUUAAUUCCUUGUUUGUUUAACUGGUUUGCUGUUAUAACUCCUAGUUGAGAUGUUUUGCUAACUUCAUUUUUUCUGAAUACAAUCGGAACUUUAAUGGCAAAACAGGUUAGCCCAAGAUCAAAGAGCGAGGUCCCCAUAGCAGUGGCACCAGCCCAAUCGUGCAUUAUGAAUUGCCAACUGCUGAUGCUCUAGAGGCUAAACUAGUGGUAGAAAGAGAUUCUGCUCUGCACUUAGAGAUGAAGUUGACAUGUUGAGGAAGCAAACAGCACAAUCACAAGCAGAACUCAAGACAACCAUUAAAUAUCUGGUGGAUUUCAAAACGAAGCAAGCUGAGACUGACCAGAUUGUUAAGGUCCUGAAGGAAAAAAGGAAAUUAAAUUCCUACUUGGUAAAUCAUAGGUGAAAUGUUCUUUCCAUAGUUGAAUAACCUUUGUGUUGUCUGUUCAUGUAAUCAAUCAAACCAUUUGUUUUAGAGAUCAUGUAAUAAUUGUUUUUUUUUGUUUUUUGGUUUGUAAUUUUAUUUGGGCACAAGUCUAUAUUAAUUGAUAAGACUCAGAGACAUUUCAUUUGGAUUGAUGUGCCAGACCUACAAAUAUGCCAAUCAGGCUAAAUGUGCAUUCAGCAAUAGUAGUAGUAUAGAUGGACCAUAAGUGGCACACAUCGGAAAGGUCCAAGAUGCUGGCUAAAAAAAAGAUGCUGUUGUAGCCAAAAAAAAGUACAGCGGCCUGGCUUAUGUAUGUUAGUUGAUAUUAUUGAUCCAUAUACUCUAUAAGUGUUUAUAUGUAUGUUAGUUCCGUACAUUCUUGCUUGAUUGACUCGGUAUUUGAAUCUUGAUACAUCGCUUGUGUACAUAUCUAAAUGGGAGUACACAUUAUGCUGCGUGUGACAUUUGAGUUGGACAUGAAGUGCUCCAAAUAUUCGAAUUCACCUUAAACUGGAUACUAGUUUCUGAAUUUGAGUAUCGGCAUUUGUAAACCAUAUUCAUAUAUGACAGUGGAAUACAUCUUUGUUGUCCUUUUGAAGAUAUAUAAAAACACAUAGAACGAUUUAUAAAGAUUCAUAUAGGAAUACAAAAUGGAUUCGAAUUUAGUUGCCAGGGUAAACGUGGAUGCUUAUUGUCCCAAAAUUCGAAAGAAGCAGCAAAAUGUCCACUCCCACGUCGGCUGCCAGAAGCCAAGUGUUUGGGAGAUGGAAAUUACUGUCUACCCAUUACACAGACAAUCCAUCGGCCCCAUUUCCACUGCUCUAAAUAGGGGUAGGUUAGGAACUUCAAUUAGACGUGACACGACCGCCUCUGAGCCCAUUCCGACAUGGUGGGCGUCAAACAUGGGCGGCAAAACACAUUUGAUUCAAGCUCAUCCGAAAGACCUCUGUUUCUCCCUCCAUUCCCCAUUCAUACACGGUGGGCGGCAAAACAAACUCGACUCGGCCGAAAUCGAUGUAGGCAAAUAUUUUCAAUAGGGGCAUGUUUGUAACUUCACUCAGACGUGACACAACCGCCCUACCUGUCAGCCUCAUACACCAUGGGCGCCAACCAUGGGCGCCAACCACCCUCUCCUCGCCAGAAAUUGCUCUGGGAAAAUAUUGGCGAGAUGCGAGAUUACCGUCCUAUCCCCAACCGACGAGACGUCCAAAUUUUAAACGGGGGCUAAGUUCGUAACUUUCCCAUAUUUUAGACAGGCGCGUCCGAAAAACAUGGUUCCCCGUACCUCUCCCUCCAUUUUCCCAUUCAUACACCGUCCACGCUAGAACACCCCAUCCCCACACCAGCCUCCGUCCGCCACCCCAUCCAUCGCCGCCGUCCUCCACCACAUCCAUCGCCACCGUCCUCCACCAUGCCGGAGCGCCUACCAAGACCGCGUCGUCCACUGCUAGAGAUGGACAUUUCUCAUCCACGGUGACGGACCAAUAGCCUUGCAUCGCGUCCUCUCGCUUCAUCGGCGCCGUCGUCCUCUUUGCCGGGGAAGCUCACACGACCUUCUCUUCCACCGCAACGGGACUUAUCCCUCGAUGCACCCGUCUACCGUCGCAGAUCUGCUUCAACGCCACCGACAGCCAUCGCACCCCUGAUGCCUACACGGCGCCGCAAGAGAGGUGGUACUUCAUAUCUCCUCAACUUUUUGAUCUCAACUAGAAAAUAGAUCUUAACUUGGUUACUCUACUUUCUUUUCAGCUCUUAGAAUUUAGUUCUUAGUUUGAAGCACACAAUGGAUGCAAAAUAUCAUUUCUCUAGUUUGCAGCUUCAAACCUGCCAUGGCACAGCCAUAAUACGGUUUAGUUGAUCAUGCUUAGGGUUUAAUUGAUCAUGUUGGUUCCGUGGUGGUUUCUUUAAUAGAAAUCGGAGGGAAAACCCUCUUUUGCUAAAAAAAUAUGCUUAGAGUUUACCCCUUUUAUUAUCACUAUACGAUCAUAAUACAUGCUUCGUGUCAUAAUAACACUGCUACAAGCAUCAAGCUAAACAAGCUUAGAUGUUCAAAUACGAAUCUGAUAUUAUUAAAACAGAGUUGUUUAAUUGGUCAGCUAAAUGUUCCUAAAUUAGUUUCGAAAAUUCAUGUUCGUCGCUCGGGUGUGUAUCUCUAAAGGGUGCCCACGGUGGGCCGGACCACCCUGGGAUUUAGGGUCAUCCCAGGCCCCGAUUCCCCUAUGUUCUGCUGCGCGCUUCCAAUCUCUACUCGCCCCCAGCCGCCUGCCUCGCCGGCGACUUGCCGUCCCCGGAUGGCAUGACCCUAGGAGGAGAUGCCGGACUAACAGGAGGCCAGGAGCCGCUCGCCCAACAGCAUCACCGCUGCCCGGGCGCGCCGCCGUGCCUACCUUCCCAGUCCGUUUAGGACUCAAGCGUGCAGCACCCACCAAGCCAACCCGAUUUAUCCUGAGAUACGUCCUCAACACUCAGCAGCCACUCCUCAUCACCCAUUUUCUAAUUGAUUCAUUACUCAUUAGGCAGGACUGUCAUUAGGGUUUGUUGUAUGCUCAGUUCUACCUACACUUAAUGGUUCAGAUGUAUUUCGGUAAUCUUUAGUACCUCUAAAGUUCACAGGGUUUUCAAAAUUCCGGCCCUCGGAACAAAAACUAGUCAUUUUGGAUUGUUGGUCGUAGUGACAUUGACCCAGAUUACUACUGCAAGCCAGGUUUGUUGACAAUUUUACUUGUCUUUCUUACUCAUUCGAUAUAAUAUCCAAUUAUUCACGUCGCUUAGUUGCAAACAAUAAGUGCUAGACAAACUUCUUCAUUCAGAUUUUGGACGGUCUCUUACUGCAUUUACAAUUCUGCAUACUUUUCCUAAUAAGCUCACAAGUAAAUGAUUGAUUCACUACAUCUAUGCUUGCCUUGUCAUAUUUGUUGUCAAUAUUCAAAUACUGGAACCGUAGACCUGAGUGAAUAGUAUUUCUUUAUGUGAUCUCUUCACAUCAUGUGUGGGUAACGAACACUGCAUUGUAUAGAAAGAAAGUUUCAUUUCCAGCUUUUACAUAGGUUUCAAUCUUUCACAUGGAAUACAAUCUGCCUACUUGCUUUGUGUCGCACUACCAACACUCCACCCUUGAAGCUAAACAUUACGCCACUCAUAAUUGCUUAGUUUAUUUGCUCCAAUACGAAUUUCAUAUGAUUCUAAUGUUCCUACUUCAGUUUUGAAAUGUGUGCCUGCCUGUUAUAGAGACAUAAGGGGUUUGUAUUUCUGUGUGUGGUCUGGUCAGCACGGUUGGGGAGGUGAACUUUGCAUAUGUAGGGGUUUAUAGGGAGACACUCUCCGAGUUGAAUCCGCAAUGCAUUCCAUAGAUAAUCUGACUACUUUUAUGUUUUCAUGAAUCUCAGAUUCUGAACAGCAUCAUAAUGAUUAUGAGCUUGCGCGCAUGAAAAGAAUAAAGCAGAACAAUGCCAUGGCUGUCAAACUUGGCAUUAAGGGACUGAAAUCAAGUCUGGAUGCAAUGCAAUGCAAACGCUCUCCACCUACAGAUUCAUGCUCAGAAUAUGAUCCUAACAGUGAUUCUGAGCUAUUGGGAGACCUAAGUCAAUGUAGCUCCCUAGUGGAGGAGUCAGAGGAAGAUGUCCUAUCUUAUUCACCCAUCAAGUUACUUGCUCUAACUUUCCAAGGUUACAUUGCUCGCAUAUAUCUUGCAACUGAUGCUUGGCAUUGCUUCUACUUUGUUGAACUGCCAUUAGCUUAGUUUACACAUCAUGUAUGUGAAUACGCCCUGCCUAUCCAUUUUCAGUACAUAUUCCAUCUGUCAUCAUACCAUAUUUAUCCAUUCAAAUGUUGUUCUUGUGUAUCAGACGUUCAAAAGGAAGAGGGCGAUUGCUGAUCGUGGAGGAGCAUAAGCAAAGUGUUUGGAAAAGGUAGUGGCACCUGAUAAAUCAAAUAGCCCGUUAGGUGUAGUUGCAAUAUCACCUAACCCACAAAAUACCCCAACUCUAGCAGACUCUAGCCCUACUACACUAGUCAUUUCUGAUGCCCCAACUCAGCAGACCCCAACUGCAGGAAACAGUAUGAUUAUGCCAGUUGACAUAUCACCAGCUGUAUGAUGCGAAACCCCCAUUCCAGCAAAGAGUACACCAAAUCCAAUUGCCAAAUCCCUUUUUGAACCAGAGAGAGCCCCAAUUGCAGCGAAUAGGACCCCUGUUCCAUUUCUUCCCAGUUUAGAAGACAAAGCUUAUGUUGUUGUCAGGAACUUUGUGCGCAUCUUUCCUUCAUGGAAAGAUUAUACCGCAGACACAGAACAAUUUCCAGUCUUCCUCCGCAACUUACACGUAAGUAAUGUACUAAUGUUAUUCAUGGUCAUUACUACAUAUGUUUCUGCUGACAAAAGACACGAGAUUUCAUUCUUUUAAAUAGGCGAGGAGCAAACAGGAUUGUGAUGACGAGCAAGAGUUGGUUGCGCUUUUCAAGCACUCAUUGAUGAAGUAUCGUUCCUACCUAAGGCAAGUGCACUUCAAUGGCAAGCCUUUGAACGAAAUUUCUGUGAAGUCUCCGGUGCUACAUUUAUCCGACGGUGACUAGAAUAAUCUUGUUACACAUUGGUCUCGGCUGCAGCGUAAGGUACUGUCUAUGAUAUCACAUCACAAUUUGAACUACAUUUCUGCAUUUGCCUUAAUGUCUCACUUGUACGAAAACUGUUAGCAGAAGAACAUUCAUUCUCAAGGGACCACAGAAUCUCGCAACUAUACUGCACACUGCAUUGCUCUCGUGAGUACCUCUUGCCCUGUAUGACCAUACUUACUUUCAUAGAUGUUUGAUUAUGUAGCAUCACUGCACAUAUUAGCCUCGUAAUCGCCCAUUUGGUGGACAUUAUAAGAUCCGUAUGGGCUCUUACACAAAUUUAGAAUCAACCCAAUGCUUUUGAAGAGGUUUAGCUCUGCAGUCCUCUUGUAAGGACUGAACAUGGUCUAUCACUAUACUUACAUUAAUAGCUACUCCCUCCGUCCCAUAAUAUAAAAACGUUUUGUACAGUACACCAGUGUUCAAAACACUCUUGUAUUAUGGGAAGAGGGAUUGGUUCGUUUUGUAGCAUUAUGCAUCUUAUCUCCCUCGCCCACCAUUUACUAAAAAAAGAUCAGAUCUAUAUUUAAUCUUACCAACAAGUAGAAUACACAGAUAAUGCCAGUGCAGAAGUGUAGCCCAUUGCUCUUGUCAGUACAUUUUGUCCUGUAACGCUUGUACUUCCAGGGAUUGGUAGUUGAUUAUGUAGUAUCAAUCUGCAUCUUAUCUUCAUUAUCCUCUAUCCCUUCCAGUAUUAUCAUAUCUAUAAUUACUCUCUACAAAAUGUAGAGUACAGGCAAUGCUUAUGAAGAAGAUUAUGUGCUGAAAUUCUUGAGUUAUCCUUCCCUUGACAUGGAGAAGGGCAUUAUAAAGCCGGUGUUAACUGUUAAUGUAAGUCAGUCCUUCUAAAGCCUUUAUCCUCAACUGCUGUUUAAUUUUCUCAUACUCCCUAUCGUUUACUGUUGUUUAGUUUGCUAUUUCUACCAAAAUGCAUGUUCGUAAGAACCGUAAGUUCUAAGUUUCACUUGUAAAACGAAAUUUCUUAUUCAUACCAUGCACAUUACUUAAUACUCUCUAUAUGUAUGCUUGGUUUUGUGGAUCUAUAAUCCAGUGUGUGGUGAAGCAGCCCACGUUUGCAUCUUGUCAUCUACUGUUUUAUCUUACUGAUGUGGCUGAUGAUAUCAACAACAUGCCAUGCACAUUAUCCAAAAUAGAUACAAUGAUUUUCUUUGCCCUUCAUCUAUGCUUGUUAUGUUGACAUGGUAAUCCAAUAGUGUGGUGAAGCUCCCCGCAUUAUGAACAAUGCCAAAUUAUGCUAUUGAUAUUUUGAACUUACUGUUUAUUUUCUAAUUUGAAAUUGGAUAGAAUUGACAGAAUAGUUAUCAUCUUUGUUUAUACACGUGCAAAACAUGUCAUCUCUCUGCUGGUUUCAGGGUGAUAUGCCUGAUGGCAUGCACAAGUCUGCUGAAGGCUGUGAGACGAACCCAACAUAUAUUGCAACAAAGAAGGUAAAACAUCUUGAAGAUAGCGAGACAACCCCAAAGUCUUGUAUUGAUACAGUGUUCAAGUUACUUGAGACUAACAGUCAGACAACUCACAGAAUUCGUUGUCUGAAUUAGUUCGACUUCUUCAGUCCCAAGUUCUAGCAGAAAGGCAUUCUGCAACUCAACUUCAACUUGAAGUCCUAUCUCUAAGAAAGAUUGCGGAGAACACCAAUGAGAACCUCAUCGCUAAACAGCUACACCUGGAAGCUAUGAGCGACAUGCUAGGCCAGUCUCACAGCCUUGCUCAGCAGCUUGCGCAGCAGUGCCCCCGCAAGGCUAACCUUUCUUGAACUGUCUUGGAAGUGGUCUCGGUUCAGUAUUAUUUUUUUAUGCUACAAUCGUGCCCAGUUUUUGUAAUCUGCUUCUUUGCUAUGCUUUAUGAUCACUGGUGGCGAACUUCGAUGCCCAGUGGAUGUAAUAUACUUUAAAUCAUUUAUUGUAUAGUGUAGGUUUAUUCUUAGUUACUAUGCCGUAAUUUCUUUAUUAUAUAGAGUAGGUUUGUUCUUAAUUCCUACUAGUUACUGCCAUCAUUCGCUAUCUGAAAAAUAAUCAGAUGUAGUCGACUGGGCCAAAACAUUCGAUAACGGGCCAGGUUUUUAGCGGGCCACAAUUGGGCCGGCCUGCGUCUUUCUUGGGCCCAAAUGAUUGGGGCCUUCACACAUUGCGCCAGGACCAAACUUACACCGGCCUAUAUUUUAGUUGGGCCUUUUGUCGACCCAGCGCUUAGUUUGGCCCAGGUAGCGUUGGGCCAUUAAUAGGCUGAAUAUUGUACUGGCCAGUUACGGCCGAGAUGAAACCACGGGCCUUUAGCAGGCCAAAAUGCAAGUUGGGCCUCAAUUUUCACUAGUCGUCGACGGGGCUUCAGCAGGCCGAAAUGUAGAUCGGGCCAAUAUGGGCCCAGUUAGCUCACGGGCCAUUACUAGGCCGAAACAUAUCUCGGGCCUUAGUUGGCCCACUGAUAUCAUGGGCCUUUAAGAGGCCAAAAGCUUAGUGCAGGCAUCAACGUGCCGAAUUACGCGACAGGCCUUUAACAAGCCCAAAGUCAUGUUGGGCUUAACUGUUGCCACCUUUAGCACGGGCCGUUAUUGGGCCCGAUGUCUCAUCGGACCAAAUAUGUCCCAUGGGCAGCACGGGCCAUUCCCAGGCCGAAAGUCACAUCGGGCUGAAAUGGGCCCAUGUCUACAUCAGGCCUCUAACAGGCUGAAAGUCACUGGGCUGUAGUUGGGCCUGAAUAUUUGGCGAACAAUUAACGGGCCAGAUCUGGCUUCGGUCCGCAAAUGGGCCCAAAUAUUGGGCAAACAAUUAACGGGCCAGAUCUGGCUUCAGGCCGUAAAUGGGCUGAAAUAUUGUAACGCGCCAGAUCUGGUUUCGGGCUGUAAAUGGGCCUUUAUUAAGCAGGCCAUUAUUGGGCUGGCCCACUAGUACCUGAUUAAGUUCUACAGGCCUUUGACUGGGUCGGCCUUUUUAACCUAUAUGGGCCUCUGUUGGGCCCAACCACGUGUCAACGUACCAUAGGCAUGUCUCCUCCAAUGGACGGGCGACAUCUGGCCCACUAACGAGCUGACAGGUGUUCCCUUCGACCAAUCAGAAUUUUACACGUGGAAAUUUCCUAUUGGUCGGGGCUGUUGACGGGUUAUCGGAUCGAAAAUCCAACCCGAUAGUUAACGGCGUUCCGUUACAGUGGAUGCCACGUGUCGGUCACCCUUGACGAAAGCACUUCUGUGAUGCGCGAUUUAUCGUCAUGGAAGUGGACACUUCCGUGAUGAUAAUUUCAGUAAUGUCAUGGAACACUUCUACGACAGCACAGGUAUGACUAUCUUGAUUGUGUCAUAAAUUUGUCAUGGAUGUACAUGCAUGACAAAAAACGCGACCUACUGUGACAAACACGUAUCAUCACGAAAGUGUAUUUUUUUUGUAGUGAGGGUCUCCCAUGAAUAUUCCUAGCUUCUUCUUUAGGUCUUCAUUCUUCUCAAGUAGUGCGGCAAUCUCUUCCUCGUAUCGAUCAUGUGUAGACUUGAGUUCCUCCUCCAGCUCAUUGUUUCUCUUCACCAGUUUCUUGAUCUUCUUCAUGUGGAUAAUUUGUUGAUUCUCCUGUUGACGAAUAUGACCUCCCAUCUCUUGAAUGUAAGCUACAAUUGAUCCAUCCCUCCUAGUACGAAUCAUCUCCCAUUUGUCAUCUCGGCGGCCACAUAUCUGGUAAGUGGUAUUCUCCAGCUCCUUGUGAUACACCUCACAUAUGCGUCCAAAGGUCAUAUGUGCGGCCAUGCUCUUUCCUAUACUCCAUCUUGGUGCAUCCAGGUAGAAAUCAGUAGGCUCCGUUGUUGGCAAAUGUCAUCCCAGGUACCGAGACUUUGAUCUUCCAGCGCUCCUCUUCCGGUACAAACAUAGAGAACGUCCCCGUGAAGCUUGGUAGUCCGAUGUUCAAAUACUUACUGACUUCCUUCAAGUGGCGUCCGAAAGGGGUGUCGUCAUCCGUCUGAGUGAACUUUUUCCUGGGAUCUGCCAUCUAUAGAGUAGAAAGAGAGGAGAAUUAGAAAUGAGUAGAGAAGAGAAAUCUUGUGGCUCAUUCUAGUGGUCGCGUCCUACAGUCAGCGUGUGCUCUGAUACAAUCUUGUAGCGACCAGACCUCAAACGGUCAAGUCUCUGUGCAUCAGUGUCAUCCCUGGAUCUGUAAUUCUGACAUGCACAAUACUCGAGGAAUUAUAACAGAGUUUCAAUCACACACUUAUGAAAUUGAGUCCUCAUAAUGAGUAUGAUUACACAAAAAUAUCAUGGCUAAAGGCCAUCUAAACUAGAUAACUUCGGAAGCUUCGAAGGUAAAUGAGUCCAUCAACUCCAACGGCAUAGCUGAGUGCAAAACAACGACCUAUCGCACCUUAUUCGUCGUCUGAGUAGUCUACAACAUGAGACGUUGGAGCCGUGUAGGUCAGCACAUUGAAUAUGGUGGUAGAGUUACACUGUAAAGCAAAGAAAUGCAAGAACUAUAUCUACAUGCAAUAUUUGGCUGGUGGAGGCUGUAAGUUUAUCCUUUUGCAUAAAGCUAGUUUUUCCCUACAACAAAGGAAUAAAUUUAUUUAACUACUCCCAAGUUGCCCAUUAUUUGAGAAGGUAACCCCAACUCAAAUCCCAAUUCAAAAUAUCAUCAUUAACCCAAUUCAAAUAUAUUUAAUGUAGUGAUGAGAUCACAUCAGUAGAUUCAAGUACAAGAUAAUCAAGAUGUCCAUAACCGGGGACACGACUAACCAUGAUUAGUUUAUACACUCUGGAGAGGUUUGCGCACUUUUCCCCAGAAGACUCAAUCUCCUCCUUUGAUUUUCUCGCACUUCAUGAUGUUUGAGAAACAGAUGAGCAAGACAGUCUUUUAGAAGCAUUAACUCUUUACUCUGGGUAGAUAGUACCACCUACAUCCCCUACAUCUGCUAGCCUACCACUGAAAGAGGUCACACAACAUACUCAACUAUGCCAGAGCCCAUAAUGGCUUGUGGCUGCACACGGAAGUUUCUAGCAUGAAUAAUCUUACGAUCCCUUUGAGCCUGGGUGGCGUACCAUAGGAAGAAUCACACGAGUACUCCAGGAUUUUCCAAAAUAGGCAUCACUGGGUUCCCGAGGUGCCUGCAACCAAUCCACCCGGAUGUAUAUUAAAGUUGCCACCUUAAUGUUCUCCAUAAUUAAAUAACUCUCAAACUUCCAUGUGUGAAUCACGAUCCAAUCCCUGUCUACAAGCAUGGCUAAGCAAUAAAUAAGCAUAACGUAUAUUCCAGGGGUGAUCAAAAGGUAUUAGGUUCCUACCUCAAGCACUACAACCAAAACCACAUGUUCCCAAUCCUACUCAUGCAAAUAUUUGAGGAGCAAUACUAAUGCAUAGUAAAAACUGGGUAUAAAGGAGUAUGAUCAAAGUGUAACUAGCCUUGCUGACGAUCUGCAAACUCUUGAGAUUCGUAGUAGCAUGCUUCGCACUACAGAAAUUCUAUCACAAACAAACAAUAACAUACAUAAGCACUCAGGCAUAGAUGCAAGGGUAAAACUCAAAUAAAAAUCUCCAAACUAAAAUUUCGACUGAAGAGCUUCAAUUUCCGAAAAGAAUCAAUCGAAUCGGAGCUACGAAACUCAAACUACGAUCAAAAGAAUUUAGAAAGAAAAUCUGCUUGAAACCAAAUUUUAAAGGGACAAUUACAUUUGAGCCCCUAGUUGUGUCACACCCGUGUGUUUUGCCCCUAAAUUCAAAAACCCCUCAUUUCUAUCCAAGCUUGUUUACUCCUCUUAUGCUUUUGCCCUUUGACCGUUUGACCGCAACUUUGAAAACUUCAUAAAGAAUUCAUACUAACUCAGAAAAAUGCAAAUAAGAUAUCAAAAUGAUCGGAAAAACAUCACCUAUAUGUGCAUGUCAUUUUCAAUCAUGACAAAAGUGCUGAAAAGUCACUAUCUCACUUUGAGCUCAUAUGAUGUCUUUUGUCAUGAAUGCACUUUUUGUCAUGAAUGCAAAUGACAUGCACAUACUGGUGAUGUUUUUCUGAGCAUUUUGAUAUAUUAUAUGCAUUUUUCUGAGUUAGUAUGAAUUCGUUAUGAAGUUUUCAAAGUUAUGGUCAAACGGUCAAAGGGCAAAAGCAUAAGAAGAGCAAAUGAGCUCGGGCAGAAACGAGGGUUUUUUGAAUUUAGGGGCAAAACACACGGGUGUGACCCAACUAGGGGCUCAAAUGUAAUUGUCCCAAUUUUAAAUUGUCCAAAUCAUGUUCAAGUUGAUUAUUUGGAAAGAGGGGUUCGAGACGAAGAUUUUGGCGUUGGUUUCACUGGUUUUGGAUAAGCGAGAAAAAAGUUGCGUGGGUUCGAAGAUCAGGGGCUAAUUUGCGAUAAAAAAAUAAUCGCGAAUGGGUCCCUGGCCAAAAAAUAAAAUAAAACUAAAAAGACUAACGUAUGAACGUUCGCUAACAAAGUCAAAAGAAAGAAAACGUUCGCGAACGAAGACGUUUGAGUGAACGUCCGCUAAAUAGCAAAACCGAGAAAAACCAAAUGAACCGAACCAAUCUAAAAAAAUAACCGGGGACGGUUUUGUCGGUUUUACCGGUCCAACAAAGAAAACCGACGGCGGCGAGAUCUGGCGAGUCCGCCGGCGGCGCGGGCAACGGCGAGGCGGCGGGGCGUCACGAGGGUGCUCCAGCAGCGAGGCGGCGGCGGCAAGCGGCGGCGGCGGCAGCGAGCAACGGCAGUGGUGGCGCGGCUCGGGAGGUAGGGCGCGGUGCGGCUCGGCUGCGGUGGCUGGAGUGGUGGGCGGCUCGGGGUGGAGAGGAGGGUGGCGGCAGCAGGGUAUAUAAAGAGGGAGGGCUGCUUGGAGGAGGGGCAAAGGCGAUGGCGGGGAGGCGUAGUCCGGCUCGGGGUGGGAGUCCGGCAGCGGCGUAGCUCCCGCGCGGGGAAGGCGGCGGCGGCCCGGCUCGGCUGGGCCUUUGGCCCAGUCGGGUGAAAUUUUUUUAAAUAAAUUCCGCCGAAGAAAAAUCCUAAUAAAAUAAAAAAAUUCUAAAAAUGACAAAAACAAUUUUCACCAUCUAAAUAAAAUAUAUAGAACAAAGUGAACACUUUACUGGCCUAAAAAUGCAAAUUUUAAAAAAAUAAGUAUUUUUCUAAUUCAAAUAAAAUCUCAAAUAAGAUCCAAAUAAAAUAUGUAUUUGAUUUUAAAAAUUUCCCUCCAAUAUUCCUCUCUUUUGAAGAAGUCAUAUUAUCUUCUCUCUUUUAUUUUUUUAUAUUAGAAAUAUUUGAAGAGAAAAAUAUUAAAACCAAAUUGAUCCUCUCUUCAGAUUUGAGAAAAAUUCAAAUAUGAAAAUAAAUGGAAUCCCCAACUCUCUCCUUGGGUCCUUGAGCUGCUUAGGAUUUCUACGAUGACAAUCCAAACUACAAAUAAAAUAUGAUGUGCAUAUGAUGACCUAUGUAUAACAUCCAAAUUGAAAAUUGGGAUGCUACAUGUCUCGAUUACUAUUUGUGGCCUUGUAUAGAUGCAAAAUGUAUUUUUUUAUAGUGGCCUUGUAUAAGUAAAUGGAGGGAGUACUAAAGGACAUAUAUAUUCCAAACAAUAUGAUAAUAUCUCUAACCAAGGUAGGGACGAGGAGUAAACGGAGGGAGUAGUAAAAUUUUCUCCUCGUCCUGCGAGCCACCGCGCGCGUGGGCGAGGAAGAGGGUGUAAGGCGUACAAUAUUACUAGUAAGCAAGCUUCACCUCAUACUGCGGGCCACCGCGCCCAUGGGCGGGGGAGACGGCGUACUAAGGAAGCUUCUCCUCGUUCUGCGAGUUGACGGGACACAUCAAAAGUACUCUAGUGUAUAGAUCCUUGCCUCUAAGGUAGGCCCCACAAGGGUUGCCUCUUUUUUUAACAUAAUGUGUCAAGUCGCAAUUUGUUUAUUCACCCGUGGUAGACCCUCCCUCAAGUAGACAACUAGUAAACGUGUCAAAUUACCACGUGGGCUGCCUUUUCGUACAGAAAUGAGCUCCACCGUUUACUCGCGCGGGUGUGGUUGGGAAAGAGACGGGAGUAUGUGCGCCGUGCGUGCACCUCUGCUCUUCGUGCACAUCCCCCACCUACGUGGGUGUGUAUGACAGAGAUACAAACCUAGACAUAAUGCGCCAUCCAUCCCCAUGCCUCCGCCUAGUCCAACCACCAGUCACCACCAUGCCCCACUCCUCCUCACCUUAUCUCUCAUCUUUCUCCCUCCAUUUUUAUAUACAAGGCCACUAUCAAAAUUACAAUUUGCAGAUAUAGAAGGCCACUAACACUAAUCAAUGCAAUAUUAAUGGUGUUUGCCUCAUAGUACUAGCAAAGGAGGACAUUAAUUAUCCCUUGCCUGCAUGCGGGAGCGUGAGCAUUGGCUUGAUGUGCAUGAAAGAGAAGAAUACACAUUAAUUUACACGGCAAACAAGGAAACAAGGUGGCUUGCAACAUUGACUUAGAAGACAUUAAUUUUUGGCUUGGUACCUGUAAUAUGGGUUUGUGGCCUUGUAUACAAAAAUAGAGUCCAAUAAAAUUCUCGAGAUACCAUUUUUUCGAUAAAAUUCUCGAGAUAUCAUUUUUUUUACAAAUGGGAUUACUCCUGCAUGGGUCAAUCUCAACAGGUGUUUUGUAAAAAAAAAUGCAUCUUGAUGUUCCGUGCAAUGCACUGGCAUCUUGCCAGUCCAUGAAAACAACACAUGGCAAAAUUCCACGGCGAACGAGGGAUUUGAAUCUGCUGGGAGGGGCUGCUUGGUUCUUGCCCGGGGUAGCCAAAAUAUUGGCGACCUUUUGUCCACCGGUGCCCUUGCCACCGAUGAACGAGGAAUGGCUCUGGUGCUCAUGCAUCCUCCAGCACGCAUGUUGGAGAUGAGCUUGCACGAGCUGUGCUUUUUUGUCCCACCACGCCGCCCGAGCCGCCUGCAGACCGACCGGCGACCCGCAAAUUACGCCAUCCAACCGUGGCCGCACACAUUAUGACAACAAAUCAACCAACCGGAUGAAAUUCAUGCAAACACAGCGAUAUUUCAUAUAAACAAUGACAGAAAUCAUAUAAAAUACCGGAUUUUCAUACAAACAUGACGGAUUUCAUUAUAUUCAAAUGAACUACGCGGUGCUAGUUCUGGACAGCACAUGUAUAUAAUACCUGGCCUAAAUGGUCGCCCGCCGAUCCAUUUGUGUUCCUCAUGUCCGGCAGCACGAUCACCGGACUACCGGGAGCCCCGGAGGUAUAUGCUUCAGCGCAAAGGAUGGCUCGCUUCCCCCUGCCCAACUGAUAUCAUUGGUUGAUGCCGAAGAUGAUGGUAGAAGGGGGCUUCCCCGCUUCCGUGGAGCCCAUGCGGGGUCGAUGAAGGUCCUCGCAACAAAAGGAUCCAGCAAGACACCUGUUGUGUACGCCGGCGUCGCCUCCGCGGUGGCCUUCAUGGGACCCAAGCAAUGGCGGCCUCCCGUGUUCUACUUCUCCUCGAUGAUGGCGGCGGACGCGGAGGCACUGGCGACCGACUCACCGCUCUCCGCACACCCGGCUUCUGUCGCUGCUUGCAUGGCGCGGCCGCCGGCAUGGGAGUCUCGGCCAUAGAUACGGGAGAUGCAGUACGAGGCGGCGACGUGGAUGGCAGAAACGAUGCCAGUGCGCUGCUCCGCGUCGAGCUGGCCUGGAGCGGCAAGUUGCUAAACUGCGCACCGGCUUAGGGCGGCAACUAGAUCCAUCAGGGCGAGGGGAGGGAGGUGGAUCAGCGAGCUUCAUAGCUUCUAUCCGGCGGGCUCGGCGGGCCACCUAGCCGGCUUGGAUGCGGGAUAACUACUCCUCGUAAGCCAUUGUAAGAGUGCACAAAAUGGUGAAGGAGAUAGGGGAGCGGCGAAGGUGUGCGAUUCUUGGCCGACGUUUGGCCUCGUUUAAAUAGGAGAUUAAAUAGACGGCGGACGGUAGGAGCUGGGCCGGCAUUGUGUUUAAUGUCGGCCCGGUCAUGAAUGGACGUGUGUCCAGAGUGGGUUUCUCGGCUUCCACACGGGAGAGUUUCAUGGAGGUUUGAAUGCAGCAAGGAGGUGCGUUCAGUCGGGCGUGCACCGAGUGGCACCCUCGACUCUGACGUAUGACACCGCACCGUUAUUCCACUGACAUGUGAGCUCUUUGGGUACAUGACCUGCAUGUCAGUGACCCAACGCAGGCAGCGCACAGCAGAGGAACUUUUGGUGGGCCAGGGCGGUCAGAAGCGGGCAUUUCAUAAACCAAUGAUUGUUCAUUGAGUGUGACAUCAUCUAUUUCAUGUAGAUAAGCCUACUCUGUUGAUAGCCCGUUCGAUACGUUGUGAUCCAUAAAGACCACUUCAAACAUCAAUGUUCUACUUAUCACAGAUAAGAUUGAUUAAUGCCUGCAACAAUCCAUGUCCUUAACAAAGGGUGCAUGCACGUAUAGGUUGAGCGUGUGUCUUGCGUCAUGUCUUGUGUGCAUGCAGGCGUGCAAGUGUUGCGUGCGUGCAAGGGUACAUUUCAGUGUUGCAUGCAUGUGUGCAUACAUGCGUGUGCUCGUGAGUGCAUGUGUACAUGUCAGUGUUGCACGCCUGCAUGCGUGCAUGUGUUCGUUAUGUGUACGUGUCAGUAUUGCAUGCCUCCAUGCGUGCACGUGUUGCGUGCGUGCAUGUGCACGUGCGGGGUGAGGCUACACGUCAGUCGACUGACUUUUUCAUCUCUGGUCAUUAGAUUUUCCAGCCGUUGGAUACAAAAUCAAGGGCCUACAGUUUAUCUUCAAACUCCACCCCCUGAGCCGCCAUCACCACCGACCGAACCGUCGGCCCCCGCUGCCCGCGGCCGGCCCAUGCCNNNNNNNNNNNNNNNNNNNNNNNNNNNNNNNNNNNNNNNNNNNNNNNNNNNNNNNNNNNNNNNNNNNNNNNNNNNNNNNNNNNNNNNNNNNNNNNNNNNNNNNNNNNNNNNNNNNNNNNNNNNNNNNNNNNNNNNNNNNNNNNNNNNNNNNNNNNNNNNNNNNNNNNNNNNNNNNNNNNNNNNNNNNNNNNNNNNNNNNNNNNNNNNNNNNNNNNNNNNNNNNNNNNNNNNNNNNNNNNNNNNNNNNNNNNNNNNNNNNNNNNNNNNNNNNNNNNNNNNNNNNNGCUUUUCUCCAGCGAUCCCCACGCCACCACCCAAUCACCGCGCCGCCACCACCAGCGACUGCCAACCAGAGGUCUCACGACUUCGAAUACCAACUGACCACUAAUUUAUUACCAUUUAUGUCCUUCAUAUACGCGCUGACGGGUGGGCCCUAUGGUAAUGUGCGUUGCUGAAUGUGGACCGUUUGACUGGUCAAUUGAUCAUGUCAUCAACAAAUUACGGAGCUGUAUGGUGAGACAGUGACCGUAUGAUCACACCCUAAAAUGUAUUUUAUUAACACAGUAUAGACUCAGGCUACCAUUUCUUUCUUUGAUAUACGGGCUGACAAGUGGGCCCCACGGUUACGCGCCCUGAUGGUGCAACACUAGUUGUGCCACGUGGAACGUUUGACUGGUCAAUUGAUUGUGUCAUCAACAAAAUACGGAGUUGUACGGGUGAGCCAAUGACCGUAUAAUCAUGACAUGUAUUUUUUAACACGGUACAGACGCAAGGGGUCAUAUAUACGCGCAAGCACUCACCGCUAUAAGCACACACACGCAGACCCUACCCCUAUGAGCACCUUCGAGAGAGUGAGUCAGCAUAUGAUCUUGAGAUUUUACGAAGUCACCAUAGGUCCCUCGUAGUCGAGUGGAACGUCUCCUCUUUAGGUUCGAAAGUAUGUCUAGAGGGGGGUGAUUAGACUACUUGACCAAAUAAAAACUUAUCCUUUUCCCAAUUUUAGUCUUUGGUAGAUUUUAGCUAACUUAGCACAAGUCAAGCAAUCUUAACACAAUUCAAGAAAGCAUGCAAAGAGUAUCUGAGCAGCGGAAAGUAAAGCAUGCAACUUGCAAGAAUGUAAAGGGAAGGGUUUGGAGAAUUCAAACGCAGUUGGAGACAUGGAUGUUUUUGUCGUGGUUCCGAUAGGUGGUGCUAUCGUACAUCCACGUUGAUGGAGACUUCAACCCACGAAGGGUAACGGUUGCGCAAGUCCACGGAGGGCUCCACCCACGAAGGGUCCACGAAGAAGCAACCUUGUCUAGCCCACCAUGGUCGUCGCCCACGAAGGACUUGCCUCACUAGCGGUAGAUCUUCAUGAAGUAGGCGAUCUCCUUGCCCUUACAAACUCCUUGGUUCAACUCCACAAUCUUGUCGGAGGCUCCCAAGUGACACCUAGCCAAUCUAGGAGAAACCACUCUCCAAAAAGUAACAAAUGGUGUGUUGAUGAUGAACUCCUUGCUCUUGUGCUUCAAAUGAUAGUCUCACCGACACUUAACUCUCUCUCACAGGAUUUGGAUUUGGUGGAAAGAAGAUUUGAGUGGAAAGCAACAUGGGGAAGGCUAGAGAUCAAGAUUCAUAUGGUAGGAAUGGAAUAUCUUGGCCUCAACACAAGUGUAGGUGGUUCUCUCUUAGAAAAUGCAAGUUGGAAGUGUAGGUUCGUUCUGAUGGCUCUCUCCACGAAUGAAGAGGAGGUGGAGGGGUAUAUAUAGCCUCCACACAAAAUCUAACCGUUACACACAACUUGCCAAUCUCGGUGGGACCGAAUUGAGAAAGUCGGUCAGACCGAUUCAGCAAAUCUAGUGACCGUUAGGAUUUUCGGUGGGACCGACAUGCAACUCGGUAGGACCGACAUGCUUAGGGUUAGAGCAUAAUGUAAUCUCGGUGAGACCGAUUACACAAACUCGGUAGGACCGAUUUUGGUAAUAAGCUAACCAGAGAGUUGGUCAGGUAAACUCGGUGGGACCGGUUCGCUCAUUUCAGUGAGACCGAAAUGUUAGAAAAGGAAACAGAGAGUUUACAUUGCAAUCUCGGUGGGACCGAUCGCUCAUCUUGGUGGUACCGAAAUGUUACGAAGGGAAAUAGAGAGAUUACAAUCCCAUGUCGGUGAGACCGAGAUCCCUAUCGAUGAGACCAAUUUGCCUAGGUUUUGUGGCAGUGGCUAAGACAUCUGAACUCGGUGGCGCCGGAUAGAAAGAAUCAGUAGGGCCGAGUUUGACUUUUGGUUUAGGUCAUAUGUGGAUGUGAGAAUGUAGUUGAGGGAUUUGGAGCAUAUCACUAAGCAUUUUGAGCAAGUAAUCCAUUAAGCAACACCUCAUCCCUCCUUGAUAGCAUUGGCUUUUCCUAUAGACUCAAUGUGAUCUUAUAUCUCUAAACUAUAAAAUGUAGAGUCUUGAGCUUUAAGCUUGAGCCAAUCCUUUUGUCCUUAGCAUUUUGAGGGGUCCACUUUUCUCAUCCAUGCCAUGCCAAUCAUUGAGCUUUCCUGAAAUAUUCAUCUUGCAAUAGCAUUAGCUCAAUGAGCUAUAUGUUGUUAGGACUUACCAAAACCACCUAGGGAUAGUUGCACUUUCAAUCUCCCCCUUUUUGGUAAUUGAUGAAAACAUAUAGAUCAAAGCUUCGACAAAUGAUAAUAAAAGUGAAAAACAUUGUCGCUUUGAGAGGUAUGUGAAUUGUAAGAGCUCCCCCUAAAUAUGUGCAUGGUUUAAGAUUUGCUUUGGACUGCAAAUGCACAAUGAGUUAGGAUCACGAGUUACUCUUCCAUGUCACAUACAUCUUGGUGGAGCACUCAAAAUGAUAAUAAUUAAAUACAUGCACUCAUCACCAAGCAAAGUGAAUGAUCAUAUAGAGAUAAGAGGAUAAUGUGAUCCAACAAGCAUUAAGAUAGCAUAUGAUCAAACAUAUGAUCAUCCAAGUAUCUCACAAAAGCAUAAAGUAUCUCAAACAAGCAAAUAAAGUUCAACCACCAAAACAAGAGAGAACAAAAGCAACACUCUCUCUCGAAGCCUAUGAUCUACACAUUUUUCUCUCCCUUUGGCAACAAGUUACCCAAAAAGUUCAUAGAAAAUGCAUAGCACUAAAUCGACUCUCAGGCUUGGUCUUUAGGUGGUGGUGUAGAUAGAACUCCAAGGACGAAGGCAUCAGUUGAUGUAGAUGGAGCUGGUGGAGUAGAUGCUGGAGCUGGUGGCACUGAAGCUAUAGCUGGUGCAGAUGAAGUUGCUCUGGUGUCUGGAACAGGCACUGCAGCUGAUCUCUGACUCCUGGGCACUCUAGCAAAAGCAUCAGUGGUAGUCUUGCCCUUCCUUUCCUGCAAGUCAUCCUGGAGUUGCUCAACAACUGACUGUAUCUAAGUGACCUUCACAUCUAAGUCAUAGAACUUCUGCUCCAUGAUCCUCUCCAGGCUCUCCUUGUUUUGAGUCAGGGUGGCCAAUCCCUUCUCAAUCCUCAGAGUGGAGUCAAUCAAGUAGCCAAGCUGAUCCUGCUUGCUCUUCAAGAAGUACUGAGAUGCCUCAACAAUGGUUGGCAUCUUUGCAACCUUUUCAGUCCUUGCCUUCUCCUUCUUUGCUUGUGCUUGCACAGAAGAUGGUUCAUUUUCAUCCAUAACCACUGUGUUGUCCUCAAAAUCCUGAUAGAUGGGCAUGUUUCCUUGUCCAAGAGGUAUGUGCCAGUGCCCAUCUUGGAGUUGAUUACCUCCUGGAUCUGUGGGGCAUACCCACAACUUCUCUUUUGGUCAGCAGCUGUUCUCUUGAUAGUUUCCACUAUGAGGCUCAUGACCUUGAACGUUUGAGGCACAUCAAAUAUGUGUUGUAGGUUGAUGGCAUGGCCUCUGAUCGUCUUGUGAUCACCUGACUUAGGCAAAAGAGUGUGCCUGUGGAUCCAGUUGAUUGUUGGCAAUUCUGACAGAAGGUAAUGUACUGAUCCAAACUUGUGUGUCUCAACAGCAGCAUCUGGGAUCUCUCUGUACAUAUGUGCCAUGGAGUUGUGAUCCUUCUUCUUCUUGGCAUAUACAUCCAAGUCAUCCUCAUUCUCCUUAGGUGCAUUGAUCAAUUUUGCCCAUUCUUCAACUGAUGUUUUGUACCUAGUACCUUCAGACAUCCAGACAAUCCUUCCAUUUGGGUAGAAGUGAGCUGUGGAGUAGAACUGCAUAAUAAGCUCAUCAUUCCACUUUGUGAGCUUCUGCCCAACAAAGUCAUCCACUCGACAAGCAUUGAAACUGUCAUACACUCCUGGAUAAUGCUCUUCAUUCUUCCUGAUGUACUCCCAGUCCACCCAUCUCAUAUCAACGACUAUAGGCUUCUUGUCAAGAAGCACUGUCUCAUAGAAGUCCUGAUGUUCCUUUGUAUGGAACCUGUAGUCCACAGCAGUUCUCCUCCUGACUGCAUAGGGAUCAGUCAAUCUCCACUGUCUGAGACCUUCAUCCUUCCUCAGCUUCAUAUCCUCAGCUACAGGAUGAACAUCAUUGUGAUCUGGAAUUUUGGGCUUCAACUUUCUCAAGACAUGUUCCUCAUCAUCUUGUUCUUCAACGACAGCUUCAGGCACUGGGGCCUUGUUCUUCUCUCCAGCUGGAAUGUUUCUUGUAUUCCUCUUGGGUGCAGAUUUGGGCUUUGGAGCAGCUGUCUUAGGAGCUUCUUUGGGCUUUGAUGAAGCAGCCCCUGACCAAAUGGCAUCACCCAUAAGCUUUUGAGCUUUGGGUGGUGGUGCAGCAACCUCUUCCUCUUCUUCCUCUUCCAUCAUGGAAGGCCUUCCAACAACCCUGGCCAUGUUCUUCUUGACCCUUUCCCUCCUCUUCUUCCCUUCUGCAGUAGCCUCUCUGGGUUCAGAUUCCAAAGGUACUUGAGUGGAGGCUCUGGCCUUAGACCUGGCAAUUCUUUUGGCAGGUGCUUUGGUCUUCAUACCAGGCUUAGUGGCAGCAGCUGUGCCAUACUCCUUCUUGAGCACUUUAUUCUUGGAAGUGGCCUCAUCCUCAAUAGCCACAUAGUCUUCAUCCUCAGAAUCUGAGGUUCUCUUCUUUCUGGCCCUGGUGGCUGCCUUGGGUAAGUUGCUGGGUGUGCUCCUGCUUCCAUCAUCAUAGCUGCUAGAGGGACUAGUGCCCUCACUCAUCUGAACCUGCUCCUCAGACUUUUUCUGACUGUCACUUUGAUCAGACAUGUUGCAAACACUGAUAGCAGACCCUGUGAAUAGAUAUAGAUGUGGUAGAGUAGAUGAGCAUCACAAAAUACAGAGGUUUUUGCAAAAGAAUGACUCAAAAACUUAGUUCUAGUUUUCCACAGAAAGCAUUUGGAUCUACCGAUUUGUAACCUCGAUGAUACCGAAGCAGCUUUUGGAACCUAAACUAGUGAACUCGGUUAGACCAAGUCACAGUUUGGUGGCACCGAGACUGCUAGGGUUUCACAAAGUCCUGAACUCGGUCACACCGAUUUGCAAUUCUCGGUCAGACCGAGAAUCACAUGUGCAAUGGCCAUAGCUGAAUCGGUGGAACCGAGUUCUACAACUUGGUUGGUCCGAGAUGGUUUCGGCGGAAACCUAACCCUAAAUUUUCAAUUCACAACUAAACUACGGAGUGUUUUCGCUCGAUAAGAUGAUCUCAAUCGUGGCAAGAUACAUGGAAAAACAAUGUGCUAGGAAUUCGGAGUGGGAUUAGCAGAAGGAUCAAGUCCAUACCCUAGUUCGACAAUGGAAUUGCUACGGCGGCAACGGCGGAGAUGAUUCUCGUUGACAGCAGCGGAGACCAGUGGCGGGAGGCAGCUGGCAACGAGGAGGACGAUCCGGAGACCCAGGGAGGCAGAGCAGGCUAAGCGCUGGCGAAAGAAUUCAGAGAAAUUUCCAAAUUUUGGCCCGUGGAUAUAUAUAUAUAUAUAUAUAUAUAUAUAUAUAUAUAUAUAUAUAUAUAUAUAGCUUGACCCGGUCGUUGUGACCGAGUGGAACAACUCGGUGGCACCGAGAUGCAUAACUGCAAGCAGUUACAACAACUCGGUGUGACCGAAAAGUUCAAAUCGGUUGCACCGAGAUUGAAAACCUAGAUCGACUUAGUGAUCUCAGUAUGACCAAAAUGGAGGAAUCGGUCAGACCCAAACGGACAAAGAAGUUUUGGAAGUUUAAGUCUAUGACGAAUCGGGGACUCCGAGUGCUCCUCACACGGAGUGGUUCGAAUCUGACUUGAUCAAACUUUGUGAUGUGGCAUGAAUAGAGUUCGAGACAAGAAAAGCAUAGAUAGCUAGAGAGGGUUCUUAGGCAUUCUUGUCCAUCCACUUGGCAAAAUAAAAGAAGCCAAACAACCAAAACAACAAGUGGAUGUCCUCGAAUGAGUAAAAUAUGCAACCAACAUGCUCACACAAUAAAAUGGCGAAUGAAAUAUGUGGCAAAGCAUGCACAACAAAUUCUAGCAUCUAUCAAGAAAUUGGUGAUGACUAGGUCAUCUAUAUACGAGUAUAUUGACUUAGGAGUUGAGGGAGUCCUGGACUAGGGGGUGUCCGGACAGACGGACUAUCAUUGUCCGCCGGACUCCAAGACUACAAAGAUACAAGAUUGAAGACUCCGUCCCGUGUCCGGAUGGGACUUUCCUUGGCGUGGAAGGCAAGCUUGGCGAUACGGAUAUGUAGAUCUCCUACCCUUGUAACCGACUCUGUGUAACCCUAGCCCUCUCCGGUGUCUAUAUAAACCGGAGGGCUUUAGUCCGUAGGAUACAACAUACAUUACAACAAUCAUACCAUAGGCUAGCUUCUAGGGUUUAGCCUCCUUGAUCUCGUGGUAGAUCCACUCUUGUACUACCCAUAUCAUCAAUAUUAAUCAAGUAGGACAUAGGGUUUUACCUCCAUCAAGAGGGCCCGAACCUGGGUAAAACAUCGUGUCCCUUGUCUCCUGUUACCAUCCGCCUAGACGCACAGUUCGGGACCCCCUACCCGAGAUCCGCCGGUUUUGACACCGACAUUGGUGCUUUCAUUGAGAGUUCCUCUGUGUCGUCACCGAUAGGAAGGAUGCCUCCACCCGUCUUCAAGGACGGUAUUUUCGCCCAAGGGGCCUUGGCCGCCAGCCAAACUAUCCGGCUAGGUGGUUUUCUUAUGACCGCCUAUCCGGCCACUACUUCGACAAUGACUUCUCAAGUCGUCAAAAGCAAUCUUCACGUCAGCUCGGAAUUUGCCGAGCGGCUGGAUCCGAUAGAGCUCUCGUCUGUCAACGAGCUCUUGGAUCGCUUCGCCGCCCUGGGAGUCGCUACGGACUACAAUCAGAUUGGGCUUAAAACCGAUCUGAGAGAGAUUAACUCUCCCCAGGUCACCCACCACGUCGCCGUGGUAGAGGAACAAUGCAGCGACUCUUCUCCUGUAUUGAAAACUAGUCACGUCCGGGCUCCCGAACCCUCCAUGCCGGAUUUCCGCGGAGGAACGGACUUCGAUCGAGCACCGAACUUAAAGUCGGGCAUCGGACCGGACUCGUUGGACAACGUCCAGCAAUCCAAGCUUCCAAAUUUGGAAACUUCACGGCCUUUAAGCCCCGAGAUGGGUAGGGAUCCGCAUUUUAUUCCACCCACCCGCCCAGACAUAUGCGAUCUAUCUCUAAUACGGCAAGAGCCCGCUGAAACAGUACAUCACUACUGGGCCAGAUUCCUCCUGGUUAUGGACAGGAUAAAGGACUACCGAGAGGAAAACGCAAUCUCAAUCUUUUGCAAUAAUUGCACGGACAAGGGAAUUAUAUGCUUCUCCGAUCUGGCGUCCAUAGUACGAAAGUACUGUGCGAUGGAGAGUUUCCGGAAAACCGAAAGCCAGUUCUAGGACAACUCGGCCCCGAAUACAACCCUGGUUCGCAACAAAAGGGUGCAUCAUACUCAGGCCCCAGAUGCAAAAACCAAAAAGCAAAAACCCCAUAGAGGGCACGGAACCGUACUUGAGGGAUGGCUCAGCGGACCCUGUAAGCUUCACAGUACAGAGGGCGCCGUCCCAACACAUAGCCUUCGAGCAUGUUGGAUAUUAUGGCAGGUGGCCAAAAGUGGCGAGGAGCUUCUAGCCCCGGAAAACCACUCCAACAAUACCAGUACGGUAUCAACAGUCUUCGAGACUUUCGCAUCAAAUAAUAUGCGAAAACGAACAAUCCGCGGCCUCGCCGAAGUCUACCAAGUAGCAACAGCUAAUCCAUGGAGCGACACAGCCAUCACCUUCAACGCCAGCGACGAACCUAAGUUUCGAACAGCCCGAGCACCAGCCGCACUGGUGCUUAGUCCUAUAGUGGACGGCUUUCGACUUACAAAGGUCUUCAUGGAUGGCGGCAGCGGACUAAACCUCAUCUACGAGGAAACUCUUCAAAAAAUGGAAAUAGACUGGAGCCGUAUUGAGCGAAGCAGCACAACCUUCAUAGGAAUAAUCCCUAGCCGGGAAGCGCGCUGCACCGGAAAAAUCACACUCGAUGUGGUGUUCGGCUCGUCGGACAAUUACAGAUCCGAAGAAAUCACGUUCCAAGUGGCCCCGUUCCACCACUAGGGAAAAGGCUAUACACAGAAUCUUAGCAGCAGCGAGGGCUAAAAACCCUCGCUACUGCUACUUACUAGCAGCGCAGGUUUUUAAACCUCGCUACUACUAAGUUCAUAGCAGCAGCGCGGGUUUGUAACCCUCGCUACUACUAAGCGGUCUGUACCGUGCCCCCCGGGAUAUGCCAUAGUAGUAGCGAGGGUUUUUAACCCUCGCUGCUGCUAAGUUCAUAGCAGUAGCGCGGGUUUUUAACCCUCGCUACUACUAACCCGCGCUACUGCUAUCAACUUAGUAGUAGCGAGGNNNNNNNNNNNNNNNNNNNNNNNNNNNNNNNNNNNNNNNNNNNNNNNNNNNNNNNNNNNNNNNNNNNNNNNNNNNNNNNNNNNNNNNNNNNNNNNNNNNNNNNNNNNNNNNNNNNNNNNNNNNNNNNNNNNNNNNNNNNNNNNNNNNNNNNNNNNNNNNNNNNNNNNNNNNNNNNNNNNNNNNNNNNNNNNNNNNNNNNNNNNNNNNNNNNNNNNNNNNNNNNNNNNNNNNNNNNNNNNNNNNNNNNNNNNNNNNNNNNNNNNNNNNNNNNNNNNNNNNNNNNNNNNNNNNNNNNNNNNNNNNAGUAGCGCGGGGUCUGGCCUAUUUGGCAAAGUCUACCCCCCCCCUGGGACCGCCUUUUCAGUUUUAAAAAAAAUAAAAGAAAAUGAUAAAGAUGUCAAAAAAAUAAAAGAAAAUAAGUUUCCCAUGUGAUAUGUGGUCUAGUUGUUGGGAAAAUUUACAAAUAUGAAUUUCGACUUUAUUUGCAAAAUCUCUCUGGAAAUUUGUAAAAUGGCCAUAACUUUUGCAUACGAACUCGGAUGAAAAAGUUUUUUAUAUGAAAAAGCAUCUACUCGAAAAGUUACAUCCGAAUUUAACCGGGGGAACCCCGUUAAACGUUUUCAAAAUCCUCAAAAGCCUAACAGAAAAAAAGUUAUGGGGCUUUUAAGAUCUGGAGGCAAAAAAAUUCAAAAAAAAAUAUUAUUUUUUAAUUUUUGUUAAAUCUAGUCAAACUAUGGUCAAACUAAUUAUUCAAGAAUAUUAGUGUUAAUAAAUAAUUAUUUUAGUUUUUUUGAAUUUUGGUCAAAUCUGGUCAAACUAUGGUCAAACUGUGGUCAAAUCUGGUCAAACUGCGGUCAAAUCUGGUCAAACUGUGGUCAAACUAAUUAUUCAAGAAAUAUUAGUGUUACCAAUUUUUUAGAACAAUAGUUUCAAACUCAAACAGUGAAAUGUGUGACUUCAUGCUCAAGCUAAAUUCCUGAGGUUAAUAGGAUUGACAUCUCACUAUUGUCAGGAAAACAACAAGUGCAGACUUGAAAACGAGGGAGAAUAGAACCCGGAACUUAAGCGUCCUCAGGCUGGAGUAGUGAGAGGAUGGGUGACCGUCCGGGAAGUUAGAUGAUUUGGAAUGAUGAGGGGUGAUUAGAGAUUAAAUUGAGCAGCGAUUAGGGGUGAUUAGAGAUUUGAGUUAAAAUAAUUCAAAAAUUUGAAAAUUUCGAAAAAAAUUCACAAAAAAAAUUCGAAAAAAUUCAAAAAAAAUAGUUCCGAGAUUACAGAUUAGUAGUAGCGCGGGUUUAAACCCGCGCUACUGCUAUACGUUAGCUGUAGCGCGGGUGGCACCCGCGCUACUGCUAUAAGUUAGCUGUAGCGCCUUAUUAGUAGCGCGGGUACCCGCGCUGCUGAUAGGCCUAAAACCCGCGCUGCUGCUAGGCUUUUCCCUAGUAGUGUUCAACAGCGGAUAUCACGCUAUAUUAGGACGAGAGGCAUUUACAAUUUUUCAAGCCGUACCCCAUUACGGGUACAUGAAGCUCAAAAUGGCUGGGCCCGGCGGAUUAUUCACUCUCGCUAGUGAUCCGGACAUAGCACUCCGCGCCGAAAACAAGACAGCCGCACUAGCCCUGGAGGCACUAUCCGAAGCCCUAGCGGCAGAAGAACUCACCGCGCUGCGCUCUACGGUGAAUAGGGACGAUGUGAUACUCGAUAAAAGAUCCAAGUCCACCUCCUUCAAACCAGCAGAUGAAAUAGUAAAAUUCCAGGUCCAUCCUACGGACCCAACAAAGACGGCCUCCAUUGGGGCACAAUUGAACCCCGAGGUAGACGCCGCACUGCAAGAAUUCCUUCGGGAAAAUUGGGACAUUUUCGCCUGCCAUCCUUCGGAUAUGCCCGGAAUCCCACGCAGAUUGGCAGAACACAGCCUAAACAUCCUAAAAGGAUUCAAGCCGGUCAAACAGGCUCUUCUGCGAUUUUCCGAACCCAAAAGACAGGCAAUGGGAGAAGAGCUAGCCAAACUAUUGGAAGCCGGAUUCAUCAGAGAUAUCAAACAUCCGGAUUGGCUAGCAAAUCUGGUAAUGGUACCAAAGAAGGACAAAUCCUGGCGCCUAUGCGUCGAUUUUAAAGACCUCAAUAAGGCUUGCCCAAAGGAUCCCUUCCCCCUCCUCCGCAUUGACCAAAUUAUCGAUGCUACCGGAGGGCACGAUUCGUUGUGCUUCCUCGACGCAUACUCUGGCUACCAUCAAAUCAAGAUGGCAGAAGUAGACCAAGCCGCAAUGGCAUUCAUCACUCCAUAUGGACCAUUCUGCUUCAACACGAUGCCCUUCGGACAUAAAAACGCUGGUGCAACAUAUCAGCGAAUGAUGCAAACAUGUCUGGCCACCCAGAUCGGCAAAAUAGUUGAGGCAUACGUAGACGACGUAGUCGUCAAACCCAAACACGUCGAAACUCUAGUAGACGAUUUGAGGCUCACAUUCGACAACCUAAGAGCAUAUGACAUUAAACUGAAUCCGGAAAAAUGCAUUUUCGGCAUACCAGCCGGAAAGCUGCUGGGCUUCAUUGUAUCCGGUAGAGGAAUUGAAGCAAACCCGGCCAAGAUCCGAGCUCUGUCACAGUUGGAUAUUCCAAAAGACCUCAAACAGAUACAAAAGUUGACCGGAUGCGUGGCAGCUCUAAGCCGUUUUAUCUCCCGCUUGGGAGAAAAGGCACUGCCCCUUUAUCGCCUCCUUAGGCGCACCGAACACUUCGAGUGGACGGAUGCUGCCACUGUCGGACUCGAAGAAAUAGCGGCCAUAUUGGCAACAAAUCCGGUUCUAGCUGCGCCAAACCUAGGCGAACCUAUGUUGUUAUACAUCGCAGCAACACAUCAAGUUGUAAGCGCGGUACUCGUCGUUGAACGAGAGACAGAAGGGCAUAAAUUCCCUCUUCAAAAACCAGUGUACUACGUAUCCACCGUGUUAACCCCCUGCAAGUCCCGUUACCCGCACUAUCAAAAGAUAGCGUACGCAGUGUUCAUGGCAUCCCGGAAGCUCCGACACUACUUUCAAGAGUGUUCGAUAACAGUGGCCUCCGAAGUACCACUCAAUGACAUUAUAAACAACCGCGACGCAACGGGCAGGAUUGCAAAAUGGGCCAUUGAGCUCCUACCAUUCGAUAUAACCUACAAACCUCGGCGAGCUAUAAAGUCACAAGUUUUGGCUGACUUUGUCGCUGAAUGGACCGAAGCCGAACUCCCUAAAGAGUACAUCGCAUACUCCAAUUGGACUAUGCACUUCGACGGCUCCAAAAUGUUGGCCGGACUGGGGGCUGGCGUCGUCUUGACGUCCCCAACCGGGGACACAGUCCAAUACGUACUUCAAAUAAUGUACACGGACUCCAACAACGCAGCCGAAUACGAGGCCCUUCUACACGGUCUCCGGAUGGCAAUCUCCAUGGGCAUUCAACGCCUAGAGGUGCGCGGGGAUUCAAACCUUGCAAUAUCCCAAAUAAACGGAGACUUUGACGCCAAGGAUCCGAAAAUGGCAGUGUAUCGCAACGCUGUCCUAAAAAUGUCAGCUCGGUUUGAAGGACUUGAAUUCCAUCACGUAGCCCGAGAUAAUAACCAAGCAGCCGACGUACUGGCACGCAUCGGUGCAAAACGUGACGCUGUCCCUCCAAAUAUCUUCCUGGAACGGCUUUUCAAGCCAUCCGUACUAUGGGAAGGGGAGUCCGGAAACGACAAACCGGAAACAACCGCGCCAACCGGCGAUUCAGCCGAUGACAUAACACCUUCAGCCCACGACAUAAUGGCAGUAAUCGCCCCAUGGACAGAGCCAUUCCUAGCCUACUUGCUUAGGUAGGAACUUCGCGAAGACCAAAACAAGGCCCGCUGCAUAGUCCGGCGGUCGAAAGCCUACAAGGUCCAUGAGGGAGAACUUUAUAAGAAAAGUACAACCGGAGUCCUUCAAAGGUGUAUCUCCGAAGAGGAAGGGCGAAACCUCCUGGCUGAAAUUCAUGCCGGACUAGGCGGACACCACGCAGUAGCCCGGGCCCUUGUAGGAAAGGCAUUCCGUACAGGAUUUUAUUGGCCGACGGCCCGGGCAGAUGCCCAGGACUUAGUCCAGAGAUGCGUCGGUUGUCAGCUCUUUGCUAAUCAGAGCCAUAUGCCACCCACCGCCCUCAAAACUAUACUUAUUACCUGGCCGUUCAUAGUCUGGGGGCUUGAUAUGGUUGGACCCCUUAAAGGGGGAACCCACAAGAAAAGGCACCUAUUGGUCAUGGUGGAUAAGUUCACCAAAUGGAUAGAGGCCAAACCGGUCAAAACGGCAGAGUCCGGACCAGUGAUAGACUUUAUAUCCAGGGUCGUACACCGUUACAGUGUCCCAGACAACAUCAUCACCGACAACGGCACGAACUUCACGGCCGACGAGGUUAAGUCAUGGUGCAAAAACAUGGGCAUUAAGCUCGACUACGCUUCAGUCUAUCACCCUCAAACCAACGGUCAAGUAGAACGAGCAAAUGGUCUAAUAAUGAGCGGCAUUAAACCCAGACUAGUGCGGUCACUUACGAAAUCCGACACGCACUGGGUAGAGGAGCUCGGCUCCGUACUCUGGGGGCUGCGGACAACGUCCAACCGUACUACCGGAUUCACACCAUUUUUUAUGGUAUACGGUGCAGAGGCAGUUUUGCCCUGCGACAUCAUUCAUGACUCACCUUGAGUGCGCAUGUACGAAGAACAAGAAGCCGAGCUGGAUCGGCAGGACAGCUUGGACGCACUGGAGGAGGAACGCGACGUUGCCAAGGCUCAUUCCGCCUUUUAUCAGCAGCAGGCUCGAAGAUAUCAAAGCAGAGAAGUACGGGCCAAGACUUACAACGUUGGCGAACUAGUUCUACGCCUGCUGGACAAGAAAAAGGACAAGCUCAAGCCCAAAUGGGAGGGCCCCUUCAUUAUCGACCAAGUCCUGACCGGCGGGGCGUACCGUCUGCGAAAUGCAUCGGACAACCGACUCGAGCCGAACCCAUGGAACGCAACCCGCCUCCGAAGAUUCUACGCCUAGCGCCGGACUAAGAGUUCGUCCCCUCCCCCCGUCCAAAUUUUUUACACUCGAGCUGCACUUUUGUUUCUCUUUCUUCUCUUAACCUUUUUUCAUAAAAAGCCCUGAAGGGCCCACUUGCGCAUUGUUCGCACACACUUGAUGUGCCAUAAGCACUCACUAUACCUGGGGGCUUCUUUUCAAGAAGCUCAAUUGUAAGGGCUUCACGCCUAGCACAUGUGUCAAGCUUCCACAUGUACCUUUUACUCACCAUUAUAUGCAUCGAUAUUACUUAAGUUUUUGGCCAAGCUGGGUUGCCUGGCUCCUGUGCUUACCCCUACAUUCCUGAUUGUUCGGCUAGGAGGUAAAGGGAGCACCUCUACGAUUGUUACUGCCGGGUCAGCCGGAUGUGUACCUCAGACUGGGUGAAGCCGAAAGCUAGCGUUCUUAAGGGAAUAUUCGGUCGGUGACUUGAAAGAUGAUUUUUUACCUACUUAAUUAUCUGCCCCUAGAUGUUUUUCUGCUUUUUUCGCAGUCCGGACAUGCACUUUAGGGCAUGCCUCCCAGGGAAAGGAACCCUUAACGGAACUAUUCUCCCUGGAAGAUGUUUCUUACUAACCAUGUAAUAUAACAUAACUAGUUGGGCACUUGUCUGAUAAAGCACUAAUGACCCCUACGCCUGGUCUCCAUGCAUACCCCGGUUGUUUCUUAACAAAAAAGGUAUUAGGACACACUCCGGACUCUAGGGUCCCGAGGUCGAAGUGAAAAGGUCGGCAAAGACAAACGAUCUACAAUCCGGCUAGAAGGCAUUUCACAUGUCAUUUUAAAAAUACAUUGUCAAAUUUACUGAUUGUAUUCCUCCUCAAUCCCAUCUAACAGGCUGUCCAACUUACAGUCCCGUUGGGAAAAUUUAGCAGCCAACUCUACUUGGCUGUAUACUAAACUCACAGGGAUCUCCUUCCCAUCGGGCCCCACCGGUCCAACCUCGGCCAUGUGGUUGGGAUCCGCCUUCUUGUACCGCGUCUUCACCAUGGCCCAAGCCUCCCUGGCACCUUGGCGGCAGGCCGAAAUCUUCCAUGAACGGAGGCGCUGCCGCACUCCCUGGAGCUUCUCCGCAAGCUCCCCAAGGCCCUCGGGUAGGGAGAAGGCUGGCCAUAAUGCCGGGACGACGCCGCUCAUCGCCUGCCGAAAUCGUUCGAGCAGUUGCAACAGCUCGGGAAGUUGAUCACCCGUUGAUACGGGCAUCUCCUCCGCAGGGCGACCUGUGAGUAUACCUAUAAGACAUAUUCUGUCAAUUGACUUCCUCGCCGAACUCUUCUUUUCAAAGGAGUUCUCUCAAGCACUUACUAUAGAUGCCGCGACGAAGCCGCUGAUUCUCCUUAACGGAGCCGGACAGCUCGACCCGAACGCCUUUCAGCUCCUCUCCAAGCUGGGCAUGGGCAUCUUGGAGCUUGUUCCUUUCCUGCUGUACUCUAUUCAGCACCCUCUCGCCGGCCUUCAGCUGGCGCAGCAGUUCCUGCCUGUCCGGAUCCUGUCCGGCAGCACCUGUAGUAUCAUUGUUAGACUUGCACGCACGCCGCACAACGCUUAUAUUUAACAAACAAAUAUGUUACCAGGAGGGGCCUCGGUGUUUCCUCCCGCGGCAGCAAGUGCGGCCUCAAGUUGGGCCUUGCAUUCUUGCAGCUCCUGAGACAGCUGGGUAUUCUUCUCGGUAAGAGCCUGCAUUUCAAAUGAUCCUCAAAUCAGUUAACGUAACUACUUUAAGUCUCGGGGGCUACUGGCAUAUAUAAACAUUAAAUUCCCUUACCCGUAUGUCUUUUACAUACUGCUCCAUGGCUCUGGUAAAACCAUCUUGAGCAGCACGGAGGUGCGCGUCCCCCGCGUUAAAGGCGUUCAACGCCUCAGGGGAGAAGCACGCUUCACGAAAUACUGUCCGGCGGCGCCUGUGGUUCAUGGCGCUCUCCACCUCAGACUUGGUGGCGGAGAGUCUGUCGGCAUCCUCCGUUGGAGGAGUAUCCGUCCCGCGCCUUGCGCUUGCCUCCCCCUCCAGGCCGGGCGCUGGAGCCUGGCUGGUAUAGGUCGGAUCGGCAACCUCUACGCCCGCAGUCCGGCGGGCGCUUUUUCUCCUACAAAGAUCAUGAGCACUCAGACGCUUCCUAGGAACGUUGCUCUAAAUAUCUAAAUACGAGCUAUACCUUUGCGGCGACAUUUCAGUCCCUGUCGCGCUCCUUUUCCGCCUGCUGGUCCGGACUGGCCUUUGUUGGACAGCCGCCGCAGGCUCGGCUUCCCACCUUGAAGGCGCUUCCUGUAAAACACCAUCGUUUGUGAAGGUUAGAAAUGGGCAAGGAAGAGAUAAUGGUGUCCGGACCUCGGUCACAAUCACCUGGAAAGCCGGAUAUAGUCCGGGGUAGUCCGCCGUAAUGGCGACUAAAGCGUUAUCCAUGCUGAGCUGGUGGAACACCCCGUCGAUCAGCUCCACCUUGAUAUCCGGAUCUUCUUUGGAGGCCGGAUCCUAGGAUCUCUCUGGAUCCUCGGGUUGCGGAGCUGGACUUACCAUGUCCUCCACAAUCCGGCGCAGUUCCUGCGCCGAAGAGAUAAUGUAAGAAGCUUAAACUUUGAAAGCAUGGGUUGAACCUUUGAAAAUGUUCGCUUACCCAGCCCCAAGGGUUAUUCAUGGAAAACAUGUUCAGGGGGUUCGUUCGAAGGAAGUCCUCCUUCUCCCCCUUGUACAGGCCGGACAGGAUCUGCACCAGAUCCUCGGUCGAAUCCGGCCCUUUGCGACCAUGGCGGGUGGCAUCAUCUUCCCCGUUGAAAUCCCACAUGGGGUGGCCCCUGUAUUGCAGUGGUUGUACCCCCCGCAUGAUGCAUGUUGCCAUGACUCCAAUCAUGGUCAACCCGGAAUGGGCCAGUAAUUUUAUUUGUCCCAUCAGGUAAUGGACGCUCUUGUCUUCCUCCAAUUGGGGGCUCCGCGGGCGCCAGCUAAGGCGUAUCUUCAGAGGAGCAGCACUAAACUCCGGGAGGCCGACCCGGACUGGGUCCGGCAGGGAGCGUCCUCUAUGUAAAACCAUUCCGAAGGCCAGUCUUCGGACGUCUUCUUAGGGGUUCCGGAUGGAUAUUCGGUCCCGGCAAUGCGCCAUACUUCGGUGCCGCCCACUUGAUAUAUAGAUCCCUCGUGAGAACGGGGUACGAGGCAGAACAACCUCUUCCACAGUGCAAAAUGGGGCUCGAUGCCAAGGAAUAGCUCGCAAAGAGCUACGUAACCCGCGAUAUGCAGGACAGAGGCGCGUGUAAGGUGAUGGAGCUGGAGUCCAUAGAACUCCAGGAGCCCGCGGAGGAACGGAUGUAUCGGAAAUCCGAGUCCCCUUAUCAGAUAGGGGACGAAGCAUACCCGCUCCCCUUUGUUGGGACUCGGGGUAGCCUCCGCUUGCUUCCCACCUUGGUAGGUGGCCAGCCCGGCUCGAACCGGGACCAUGAAGGCCGGAGGGAGAUAACCCCCCGCUUGGAGCUUCACUAGCUCGUUGUGUGGAACAGAGCAUCUCCUCCAAUCUCCUGGCAGUGGGCUAGGAGCGCGAGAAGAGGAGCCGUGCCGACGGUCCAUGAUGGAAUGGAUUUUUGGGUCAAAGGCGCUCCGAUGAGUAUUCGCGGAAGGAAGAUGGUGUGAUUUGGAUCUGGAUUUUUGCCUCUUUUGUAGGCGGAUGACUUGCACGACUAGGGGGUGAAACAUAAAAGACACCCUGGCUUUUCGCAUUCGUGCGACGCGUGGAAGAAGGCCAUUAUUGGGUGUAGAAGCCAAGAAGCACAGCAUUUAUGAGGAAGCUGGACACUGUUCGGAAGGUACAUGGAACUUAAAGGGAGAACCCGCCUUGCAACGCCGAAGACUAUAUACGCACUGGACUUAUCGUCAUUGAAGCCUGGUUCGGGGGCUCGUGAGGGAGUCCUGGACUAGGGGGUGUCCGGACAGCCGGACUAUCAUCAUCCGCCGGACUCCAAGACUACGAAGAUACAAGAUUGAAGACUCCAUCCCGUGUCCGGAUGGGACUUUCCUUGGUGUAACCGACUCUGUGUAACCCUAGCCCUCUCCGGUGUCUAUAUAAACCGGAGGGCUUUAGUCCAUAGGACACAACAUACAUUACAACAAUCAUACCAUAGGCUAGCUUCUAGGGUUUAGCCUCCUUGAUCUCGUGGUAGAUCCACUCUUGUACUACCCAUAUCAUCAAUAUUAAUCAAGCAGGACAGAGGGUUUUACCUCCAUCAAGAGGGCCCGAACCUGGGUAAAACAUUGUGUCCCUUGUCUCCUGUUACCAUCCGCCUAGACGCAUAGUUCGGGACCCCCUACCCGAGAUCCGCCGAUUUUGACACCGACAGGAGUCAAAUGAGAACAUUUGAUCAUAGGUCAUACUCAUCGUUUAAGCUCAAGUGGGGUUACCACUUUUACAUAAAGCAUUGUUGUGUUCACACCAUUAGAGUUGCUUUGACUCAAUUCUUAGAGUAAAGCUCCCCCUAGAUGUGAGGUCCCCCUAAGUGGGAGGAACUAACCUUGGGUUUUGUCGAUGAUGACUUCAUGUAGGUGUUGAAUAUGUGGAUGCUCAAUGUUGAUGUAGAUUGUUUGGACCAAUCCUUUGGAGCGAGUUGCACUUUCAAUACCUAUAUGGGUUAUUCCCACAAGGAACAAAAAAGGAUAUCCAUAGACAUAGAGUGAUGCACACACAAGAUGAUGUCCAUGAAAUCAUUAGGUUACAUUGUCCCUUGUCUUACCAACAAGAGGGUUUCUGACUCCUUGAACUAGUGCAAGAUGUGGAAGUUGAUUGCACUUGUUCUUGCCAAAAUGAUAUGAGUGAAAUAUGUUGGCGGAGUCACCCUCAAGAACUCUCUAGUUCUUCUUCUUCGGGAUCCACAUCAUCUUGAUGGGAAUCCUUGGAGUUGUAGUCGUACUUGAUGAAGUAGAACUUGAUGUAGUCUUGGGAACCCACUUGACUAAGGCCUUAGGAGCUUCUUCAAAUGCAUCACUCUCCGCUUGAAGCUUAUCCUUGCCUUUUUUCUUGUGGUCUUGUGGUGGAAGAUCACCUUGAGCUUGUGUCCCUUUGAAGGAAGUAGGAUCAUACUUCUCUUGUUGAGGAACAAACUUCAUCUUGGGGUAUUGAUCUUCUUCCCACUCAACUCCAUUGGCAUUGAACUUUCGUUCAAAACCAACACCUUGGUUCUUCGGGUGCCUUCCUUGAUUGCGUACAAUUUCCUAGAAUUGCUUACUCCUAGCAAGGCUCUUGUAAACACCUUUCUCUAUAAUUCCCUUCAAUAAGCUAUUUUCUUGCUCAAGUGUAACUUGGCUAAGAGAAUCAUUAGUGGAAUCAAGAGAGCUACUAGAAGCAACAACAUUGGAUUUAGCAUGAUUAUUGUUACUACUAGAGGAAGAAUCCUUCUUGUUCUUGUUACUAGACUUGACUUGAGGCAUGUAAGUAGAUAAGAGUAAACGCUUGGCAAUGUAAGAAGAACUUUUCUUACGAAGAUCAUCAUUGGUUGCCUUUAAGAACUCAUGCUCUUGCUCAAGGUUGAGCUUUUCAAAGCGUAACUUCUCAUGAGUCCUUAAAAGUUCUCGAUGAUCUUCUAAGAUAGUUUCAUGAGCUAACUUAAGAGUGUUUAGUUCUUUAGUUAGAAGCUCAAUCUUAUCCUUAUCAUUGUCGUUCGUUUUAUCUUGAUUAGCAUGAUUAAUUGACGUUUCAUAAUAGUAUUCAUCACUAGAGUUGUCAACAAGUAAAUCAUCACCACCUAACAACUCAUCUUCAUCACUAUUGAAAUCAACAUACUCGGGAUGUGAUACCUUUGGGCCUUUAGCCAUGAAGCAUCUUCCAAGUCCUUCAUUUGGUGAAUCAAAUAUGUCGUAGGAGUUGGUUGACAGAAGUGCUAGACCGGCAACACCUUCAUCUUGAGUAUAUUCGGAGUUGGAGUGAUAGCUUCUCUCGGAGUGAUUUUCGGAGUCGGAGCCGGAUACCCAUUCACCAACAUGAUCUUGAUGUCUUCGUUUUGUGUAGCUCAUUGAUGACUUGUCCUUCCUUUCCGAAUCCUUGCUUCUCCAGGAUGUUCUUCGUUCAUAAUGAUCAUCUCUACUCCUUCUCUCUCUUGGUGGUGAUUCUUCUCUUCUACUUCUCCUCUUAGGUGAUUCUUCUCUUCUUUUGUAGGGAGUCGUACACUCAUUGGAAUAGUGUCUGGGUCUUCCACAAUUGUAGCAAUUACGCUCACGACUAGAAGAUCUUUUGUCAUUGUAGGACCUUGACUUGGAGCUUCUCUAUUUGCUUCUACUCUUGUAAAACUUGUUGAAGUUCUUCACCAUUAGGCUCAAUUCUUCAUUGAAGGUUUGUUUCUCACUUGAUGAUGCGGGAGCUUCACAUGAGGCUUUGUAAGCACCACUUGACUUGUUGUGAAGUUCCUCCUUAUCCUUGAGUGACAUCUCAUGAGCAACAAUUCUUCCAAUGACUUCCGUUGGCUUGAGAUCUUUGUAAUUGAGCAUCAGUUGGAUUAAUGUGCACACACUAUCAUAUUUUCUGUCCAAAGCUCUUAGGAUCUUCUUGAUGAUGAAUUUGUUGGUCAUCUCUUCACUUCCUAAGCCGGCAAUCUCAUUUGUGAUAAGAGCAAGCCUAGAGUACAUUUCAGCGACACCUUCAUCAUCCUUCAUUUUGAACUUGUCAAGCUGACUUUGAAGCACAUCCAACUUGGAUUCCUUGACGGAGUCGGUACCUUCGUGCAUAUCAAUCAAGGUAUCCCAAAUUUCCUUUGCAUUCUCCAGAAGGCUGAUUUUUUUGAAUUCUUCGGGGCACAAUCCGUUCAAGAGGAUAUCACAAGCUUGAGUGUUGUAUUGCAGCAUCUUCAACUCUUCCACGCUAGCUUCACGGUUUGGUUCUCUCCCAUCAAAUAAUUCACCUUGCAAGCCAAUACACACAAUAGCCCAAACGGCGGGGUUAUGUCCAGGAAUAUGCAUUUUCAUCUUAUGCUUCCAACUAGCAAAAUUAGUACCAUCAAAGUAAGGACCCCUACGGUGAUAGUUUCCCUCGCUAGACGCCAUACUCUCCUAGGUUGUGAAACCAAGGCUAUGACUACCAAAAGCUAUGGAAGUCAAAGAAAAUGGAGACCAAAGCUCUGAUACCACUUGUAGGAUCGAAAGUAUGUCUAGAGGGGGGGGGUGAUUAGACUACUUGAACAAAUAAAAACUUAUCCUUUUCCCAAUUUUAGUCUUUGGCAGACUGUAGCUAAAUUAGCACAAGUCAUGCAAUCUUAACACAAUUCAAGCAAGCAUGCAAAGAGUAUCUGAGCAGAGGAAAGUAAAGCAUGCAACUUGCAAGAAUGUAAAUGGAAGGGUUUGGAGAAUUCAAAAGCAAUUGGAGACACUGAUGUUUUUGUCGUGGUUCCGAUAGGUGGUGCUAUCGUACAUCCACGUUGAUGGACACCUCAACCCACAAAGGGUAUGCACGAGUCCACGGAGGGCUCCACCCACGAAGGGUCCACGAAGAAGCAACCUUGUCUAUCCCACCAUGGCCGUCGCCCACGAAGGACUUGCCUCACUAGCGGUAGAUCUUCACGAAGUAGGCGAUCUCCUUGCCCUUACAAACUCCUUGGUUCAACUCCACAAUCUUGUCGGAGGCUCCCAAGUGACACCUAGCCAAUCUAGGAGACACCACUCUCCAAGAAGUAACAAAUGGUGUGUUGAUGAUGAACUCCUUGCUCUUGUGCUUCAAAUGAUAGUCUCACCAACACUCAACUCUCUCUCACAGGAUUUGGAUUUGGUGGAAAGAAGAUUUGAGUGGAAAGAAACUUGGGGAAGGCUAGAGAUCAAGAUUCAUAUGGUAGGAAUGGAAUAUCUUGGCCUCAACACAAGUGUAGGUGGUUCUCUCUCAGAAAAUGCAAGUUGGAAGUGUAGGUUCGUUCUGAUGGCUCUCUCCACGAAUGAAGAGGAGGUGGAGGGGUAUAUAUAGCCUCCACACAAAAUCUAACCAUUACACACAACUUGCCAAUCUCGGUGGGACUGAAUUGAGAAACUUGGUCGGACCGAUUCAGCAAAUCUAGUGACCGUUAGGAUUUUCGGUGGGACCGACAUGCAACUCGGUAGGACCUACAUGGUUAGGGUUAGGGCAUAACGUAAUCUCGGUGAGACCGAUUACAAAAACUCGGUAGGACCGAUUUUGGUAAUAAGCUAACCAGAGAGUUGGUCAGGUAAACUCGGUGGGACCGGUUCGCUCAUUUCGGUGAGAUCGAAAUGUUAUGAAAAGGAAACAGAGAGUUUACAUUGCAAUCUUGGUGGGACCAAUCGCUCAUCUCGGUGGUACCGAAACAUUACGAAGGGAAACAGAGAUAUUACAAUCCCAUCUCGGUGAGACCGAUUUGCCUAGGGUUUGUGGCAGUGGCUAAGACAUCUGAACUUGGUGGUGCCGGAUAGAAAGAAUCGGUGGGGCCGAGUUUGACUUUUGGUUUAGGUCAUAUGUGGAUGUGAGAAAGUAGUUGAGGGAUUUGGAGCAUAUCACUAAGCAUUUUGAGCAAGUAAGCCAUUAAGCAACACCUCAUCCCUCCUUGAUAGUAUUGGCUUUUCCUAUAGACUCAAUGUGAUCUUGGAUCACUAAAAUAUAAAAUAUAGAGUCUUGAGCUUUGAGCUUGAGCCAAUCCUUUUGUCCUUAGCAUUUUGAGGGGUCCACUUUUCUCAUCCAUGCCAUGCCAAUCAUUGAGCUUUCCUGAAAUAUUCAUCUUGCAAUAGCAUUAGGUCAAUGAGCUAUAUGUUGUUAGGAAUUACCAAAACCACCUAGGGAUAGUUGCACUUUCAUCCUCCCACUGAACGCACAUCGCCGGAUAAUACUGAAAUUAACCCAGGAUAAAUGCGAGCACUGGGACUUUAACCCUGGUGGGCUCGAGAAACCACUGUCCUCCUAACCAUCCAACCACAUGUUGGUUAGCACGACAAAAUGUAUGUGGUGACCGUGAUAAGCUUAUUCUGAAGUCCAGUGACCAUAUCGUGCUUUCACUUCAAAUACAAUGACCAUCAGUGUCGUCAACAAAAUACAGAGCAUGCAUUAAAUGCAAAGUCCAUCAGUGUCAUGAAGAAAAUAUGGAGACGUAUCAUGAGCUAGAUACCGUAUGAUCACCACGAGAAUGUAUACGAUGACCAUAAUGAGCAUAUUCUGAAGUCCAGCGACCGUAUAGUGCUUUAGCUUGAAAUACAGUGACCGUCACGCGUGAAUGUGUCGUGGGCAUGCAUACUUUUAGAGGGUCGAGAGAUAGUUUGUGUGCGUACGUGAAAGUGGUGUAGAAAGAGGGGGUGUGCGGUGGAGACAAGGAGAGAUAUGCCCUUCGUUUCUCUUUGCCGUGACUAAUAUUCUAGGAGAAUAUAUAAACAUUCACAAUGUAGAACAAAUAUUUUUGGAUGCACCAUGCAAUUAACUUUCAUGUAUAACAUUGUACUAUUGGAUAUGCUUAUUUUCUUAGUGGCCGGUUGCGUGUGUGGUGUGGUGGGCACAUCAUUUCUAGUUGUGGUGGGUCAACAUGUAGACUCAUGGGUCAGUUCCAUCAUGCGCCACAUAGGUUGGCCGAGACGCGUUAUACGAAGACCCAUGUGGAGGACUCGGCGUACAACACAAAGCUACCAGAGUCGUGGAGGACUCUAUCCCCACUGGUGAUAAGAUGACUAUAUAUGAUCUAUAACUCUAGGCCCCGAGUAUGUUAUAGAAGCUUGGGGGCUAGUUCGUCGAUCGUAAACACACACGCACAAUGUCUGGUAUUCACGUGUACUUUGUACACACCCCUAUCACUAAUAUACAGUACCAAGAGUAGGCUUUUUCCUCAACCGCAAGGUUCGAACUAGGGUAAAAAUUUGCCUCGUAUUACCAUCCAGCCUAACAGUCAGGGAUAUCCUACCCAAUGAUAUGAUGGAAUCAUAUCUGCCAACUACUAAGAGAGAGGUGUGUCUGGGGGGGGGGUCGGGGCAAUGUGUGUGAGAGAGGCCUAAAGAUAAUUUGCAUGUGGGAGAAACGUAGGCACAUAUAUGUGCGUAUAGAGGUCUAGUAGAGACUGUGUGUGUCUGUAUAUGCAUGUGAGAGAAAUAGUGUUUUCCAACUGAGAUUAGUUAAAAGAGUGGUACAUAGUAGUCUGAAAGAGAUAUAUAUAUAUAUAUAUAUAUAGAGCAUGUGUGUGAGACACCCCGACACCCCGAGAGAGAUUGUGAGCAUGUGUGAAACAGAAAUGUUGAUGCAUAUAAAGUGUGUGCACUUAUGUGUUAGAUAGAGAGAUAUAUAGCGUGUUUGUGAGAGCGGGCUGAGGCAUAGUGCAUGUACGUGUAAAAGGCAGUUCUAUGCAUUAAAUUAAAAUAAAAAUGGCAUUAUUAUUUUUGGACGAGAUCAUGAAUUUUGCAAAUUGCGUAUGGAUGAAAAUCGGUCUAUCAGACACCCAUACUUUAUUGAAUUCUAGCAUGUGUGUGUUUAUUUCAUAUUAUCGAUCCAUAGAGUGAGAGCGGUUUGAAAUAUAGGCAAUGGAUUGCUUUUGCAAUUCAUAUAUAAACAUCAAUUAGUGCACUCCAUGUUGUUAGUGUGAAGCACUUUAUACCUUUUUCACUUGCAUGGAUACAUUCCAAAUUUCUAGCUACGAAAUAGAAUACAUGUUAAAUUCAACAUAAAGGGGGUUUCGAAGAUUCGAAUUCAUAGGAAGUGCAUUCAUCUAUUUGAACCCGAGAUAAUGGCAUUUGUAAAUCAGAUCUAAAAGGGGGCGUCAAUCUUUGUUGUGCGUUUGGACAUGCUAUAUAUUCAUACGCAUGUCUAACUUUUUUUUGCAACCAAGGAGAUUAUAUCUGGAACCAUGCAUGAACUAAGGUAAGUUGCAUAUUUUUUAAUAUAUACUCGUGUACAAUGUAUAUUCAAAUGUACCCCUCCAUUCCAAAAUAAUCGUAGCUUUAGGAUUUUCAAGAGUAACGAUUUGUGAAGCUUGACAAAUCCUGAAAGUUCAAUUCAAGAGAACCGAAAACGUUAAUGCCUCUGCUCCCAAAUAUUGAACAAAGCACCAAAUAAGCCUCUGGUCACCCGACACCGCGCGCGACUAAUGUUUGGUGGUAGGGAAUUACUAUCCUGACUCUGGCCCGUGUAGCCUAUCGGCCCGAUGUCCAUAGGUCUAAACCAGGGUAGGUUUGUAACUUCACCAAAGCGUGUCCCAAACCAAAACAUUGUUCCCCCUUAGUUCCCCCUCCCUCCGUUUCCCCAUUCAUACUCCGUCGGCGCCAACACAUCCUCUCCACCAGUCGCGAAACCCCAGCCUCCUCCGUCCUCCACCCCAUAGUGCCCAAUCCACCGCCGCCCUCCUCCAUCACGCUGGAGCCGGUACCUCGACGUCGUAGUCCAUCGCAACCGCAACCGCAACUCCCUCAAGGACUUAGAAGUUGAAGUCGAGGCAGAGCUGCCUCCACGACGCCGACGCCGACGUGUGCCAUACCAGAACCACUCCGACCACGCCAUCCUGUGCCUCACAGCUGCCGCUCCACUGUCGCAACCGUCCACCGCACCAGAGCUAUUCCUGCUACGCCGUCGUUCACCACCUCGGAUCUGGUUCCCCGCUGUGGACAGAAGGCCACCGCACCACACUCAACAACUUGGCCAUGGGUUUGUCCAAGGCUCCACCGUCCUCCACAACUUCUCCUUUCCAGUGGACCACAAGAAGAUCGUUGGAAAAACAGAAGGAGGACACAACACUGUCAGCAGAAAGAGGUACUCCUCUUCCCUUAUUCAUGCAAAUCUUACGUCUCUGCUCACACCAUAUUCAUCCCACGAAAUAAACUAGUUGAGCGCUUCUCACUGCAUCUUCUCGUGAUACUAAAUGCACAAGGUUUUCUCCCUUUACUAUUUCACCUUUGCUAGAGGUCAGUAGCCUGCCUGGAUUCACUUCAGGGUCAGUUGAACCGCAAUUAAAAGAAGUAGCACCCGCUUAGGCGUGCGGAGCACCUAUUCCGCCUGUUCGCCGGGGAAGCGGUGCAUCCAUGUCUAUCAUAGGGGUGUGGGGGCACAGGAGCUGCUUGUGCCCGAUCUGGUGGUCGGCGGGGCUUGAAUUGAUGGCCAUGUGGCGGUGCCAAGCACGGCAGUGCGGUGAGGUCGAGGGUAGGGCAGAGGUAGGAGACUGGGCUGGUGGUCGCUGGCGUUUCGAGGAAGAUCGUCAACACUGACUGGCUGGAGGUAGAUAAAGGUGAUCUGCCCAUUCUUUGUACAUCGGACGGUGCAGAAAAAAUGGGAUGACCUAUUUGUUUUCAGUCGACUGUUAUUUUCAUAGAAUCCUGUAGUAAUUUAGUGUGACAUGCAUGUUGUAGAGCUAUCAUAUGUCUCCCAUCAUUUAUUUCUCACCGACCUGCUAUCUGCUACCUUUACACUGUACUAAUUGUGCACACACUUCACCCAUACUCACACUGUUGUUUUUUAUGCAUGGGUAUUUCAGACUCUGAUGCAGUGUUGAUGAAUGCAGAAAAGAAAAGAUAGAAGUCGCUCCAGUGUAAUUCGAAGAUAAACACUAAGCAUUUUAUCACUCUAAAGGGUGCAGUGUCAGUAGUUGGAGACAGUAAACAUAGCUCUGCAGUUGAUGAUCUCAAUUGCCACACACAACCAUCCCAGGUGCUUGCUUUAACAUCGCGCUGUCAAAUGUGGUUGCAUGUUGCAUAUGGUGUCUAGCUUGUAUUGCUUCCAAUUUGGUUAAAUUGCAUCUGCUUACUUUACACAUUAUACCUUUGAUAAUUACAUGCCUUCCUGUUUUUGAUACAUACCACAUAUGUCUAUUAACCAUGUUCAUGCAUCAAACUAAUGAUCGUUUGUAUCCCUCAGCAAUCACUUAUGAUGAGACAGUCACCCCAGUGGUUUACUGUGAGACGCCCUACUCGAUUAAAGAGUGCAGUGUCAUCCUCCCCACAUGAUUCUCAAGAAACAGAAAGGCUAAAUGAAGAUAGUCAACUUAGCUCUCUAGUUGAUGACCGCAAUUACCCCACACCACCAUCGCAGAUGCUUGCUCUUACUUGGUAGUGUGAUAUGUGGUUGCAUGUUGCAUACGGUGUCUACCUUGUAAUGCUUCUAAUUAUGGUAAAUUGCAUCUGCUUAGUUAACACAUUAUACCUGUGAAUAUGACAUGCCUUCCUAUUUUUGGUACAUACUACAUCUUUCUAUUAACCAUGUUCUUACAUCAAACUACUUUUCUUGUGUUUCCCUCAUUAAUCACUUCUGACGAUACACCUUCAAGUUGACAGUGUAAUAUUGGUUGCAUCUUGCAUAUCAUUUCAAACAUGUAUUGCCUCUAAUUUGUUGAAGUGCCACUUAUAAUGAGACACAUCAGAGUGAUUUUGGUUGGAUCUUUCAUAUGGUGUCUAGAUUGCAUUGCUUCCAAUUUUUUGAAAUGCCUUCUGCUUAGCGUGUUUCAUACAUAUUCCAUCCUCCUACAAUGUGGUUGCCAUACAUAAAAGUUGUGUUCGUCAGUAUCAUGCAUCAACGAAUUUGGAAGUGCGAAUUUGAUUCCUUUUUCUUGUGUGUUUACUUGACAAGGCAAAAUCUAAAAAGACGAAGGCACGAAAUGAUGGUGGUCCUUUGGAGCAACCGAAACAGAUGAUCUCUGUAGAUUCUCCUGCUACUCGUACUGCAGUGCAAGUUCCAAAUCUCAUCUCCCCUACUCCACAACCCAAGGUGCUUGCUCUAACAUGGCAGUGUGAUAUCUGGUUGCAUGUUGCAUAUGGUGCCUAGCUUGUAUUGCUCCUAAUUUGUUAAACUGCAUCUCCUUAGCUUACACAUUAUACAUGUGAAUAUGACACGCCUUCCUGUUUUUGGUACAUACUACAUCUGCCUAUCACACCAUGUUCUUACCUCAAACUACUUUUCUUGUGUAUCCUGCGUCUAUCGCUUAUGAUGAGAUAGUCACGCCCGUGGGUUAGUAUGAGACGCGCUACUCUUAUAAAGAAUGCAGUUUCAUCCUCUCCACAUGAUUCUCAAGAAACAGCAAGCCUAAAUGAAGAUAUUGAACGUAACUCUGCACUUGAAGACUGCACUUCCCCUACACCACCAUCACAUGUGCUUUCUCUAACUUCGCAAUGUGAUAUGUGGUUGCAUGUUGCAUACGGUGUCUAGCUUGUAAUGCUUCUAAUUAGGGUAAAUUGCAUCUGUUUAGUUUACACAUUAUACCUGUGAAUAUGACAUGCCUUACUAUUUUUGGUACACACUACAUCUAUGUGUUAACCUUGUUCUUACAUGAUACUACCUCUCUUCUGUAUCCUGCAUCAAUCACUUACGAUGAGUGACCUUUAUUCCUUGCAUAUUAUUUCUAGUCUUUUUCCAUGUAUUGCUUCUAAUUUGGUCAAAUACAUUUGUUAGGGCACCCUUUUAAUUUGGCAGAGUGAUAUUGGUUUCAUCUUUCAUAUGGUUUCUAGCUUGCAUUGAUUCUAACAAGUUCAAACACCUUGUGCUUAGUUUACACUUCAUACAUCAUACAUGUCAAUAUGUCAUGCCGUCCUAUUUUUCAUACAUAUUCCAUCCUCCUAUCAUGCGGCUGCCUUACAUGAAACUAGUGUUCGUCAGUAUCAUGCAUCAAUGAGUUCUGAAGAGCAAAUUUUGUUCCUUUUUCUUGUGGGUUUGACUUGACAAGGCAAAAUCAAGAAAGAUGAAGGAAAAGAGUAAGGAAGGCGAUGAUGGUGGUCCUCUGUAGCAACAUAAAUGGAGCAUCUGUACCGAUUCUCCUUCUACUGCUAGUGUAUUACAAGGUCUAAGUCUCCGCUCCCCUAGUCCACCAUCCAAUGUGCUUGCUCUAACUUGGCAGUGUGAUAUCUGGUUGCAUGUUGCAUAUGGUGUCUAGCUUGUAUUGCUCCUAAUUAGUGUAAACUGCAUCUGCUUAGCUUACACAUGAUACAUGUGAAUAUGACACACUUUCCUAUUUUUGGUACAUACUAUAUCUGUCUAUCACACCAUGUUCUUACAUGAAACUACUCUUCUUGUGUAUCUUGCAUCAGUCACUUAUGAUGGGACACCUUUAAGUUGGCAGGGUGAUAUUGGUUUGUGUCUUGAAUAUGAUUUCUAGCAUGUAUUUCUUCUAAUUUGAUGAACGACACCUAUGACGAGACAGUUUUAACUUGGCUGAGUGAUAUUGAUUGCACCUUCCAUAUGGUGUCUAGCUUGCAGUGCUUCUAAUUUGUUGAAGUGCCUUCUGCUUAGUUACCACAUCAUAGGUGUGAAUAGUUCAAGCCGUCCAGUUUUUCGUACAUAUUCCAUCCUCGUAUCAUGACUUUGCCUUUCAUUAGAGUAGUGUUCGUCAGUGUCACGCAUGAAUGAGUUCUGAAGAGCGAAUUAUAUUCAUUUUUAUUGUCGGUUUGACCUCAAAAUGCAAAAUCAAUAAAGUCGAAGGAAAUUGGCAAGGCAUUGGAUGAUGGUGGUCCUUUUGAGCAACUGAAACGGAGGUUCUCUACAGAUUCUACUCCGCCAUCCUCCCAACAAGAUUCAUGAGACAAAGCAAGGCUACACAGUCAACGUAGCUGUGUAGAUGAUGAGCGCAUCUUCCCUACUCCACCAUUACAGGUGCUUGCUCUAACUUGGCACUAUUAUAUGUGGUUGCAUGUUGUGUUUGAUGUCUAGCUUGUAUUGCUUCUAACUUUGUUGAAUUGCAUAUGCUUACUUUACACAUAAUGCUUGUGAAUAUGACAUGUGUUCCUAUUUCUAGAACAUACUAUAUCUGAUCACACCAUGUUCUUACAUCAUACUAUUGUUCUUGCAUAUCCCGCAUCAGUCACUUAUGAUAAGGCACCUUUAAGUUGCCACUGUGAUAUUGGUUGUGUCUUGCAUAUGAUUUCUAGCAUGCACUACUUGUAAUUUGUUGAAACGCCAUACAGUUUGAACUUGGCGGAGUGAUAUUGGUUGCAUCUUUCAUAUGGUGUCUAGCUUGUGGUGCUUCAAAUUUUUUGAAAUGCCUUCUGCUUAGUUACCACAUCAUAGGUGUGAAUAUGUCACGCCAUCCUGUUUUUCAUACAUAUUCCAUCCUCGCAUCAUGUGUUUGCCUUUCAUCCGAGUAGUGUUCGUCGGUAUCAUGCAUGAAUGAGUUCUGAAGAGCGAAUUUUAUUCCUUUUUCUUAUCGGUUUGACUUCACAAUGCAAAAUCAUUACAGCUGAAGGAAAUUAGUAUGACAUUGGAUGAUGGUGGUCCUUCGGAGCAACUCAAACAGGGGGUCUCUACAGAUUCUACUCCGCCAUCCUCCCAACAAGAUUCACAAGACAACACAAGGCUGGGAAGUCAACGUAGUUGUGUAGAUGACGAGCACAUCUCCCCUACUCCACCAUUACAGGUGCUUGCUCUAACUUCGCACUAUUAUAUGUGGUUGCAUGUUGUGUAUGAUGUCUAGCUUGCAUUGCUUCUAACUUUGUUUAAUUGCAUCUUCUUACUUUACACAUAAUGCCUGUGAAUAUGACACAUGUUCCUAUUUCUAGAACAUACGUGUACAUGGUGAGCACAUCUCCCCUACUCCACCAUCACAGGUGCUUGCUCUAACUUGGAACUGUUAUAUGUGGUUGCGUUUUCCGUAUGAUGUCUAGUUUGUAUUGCUUCUGAUUAUUUUGAAUUGCAUCUGCGUAGCUUACAACUUAUACCUGCAACGAUCACUUACCCAUAAGACACAUUUAACUUGGGACUGUGAUGUAGGUUGCAUCUUGCAUUGUCUUCUAGCUUGUACUACUUCUAAUUUCUUGAAAUGGCACUUCGACGAGACACUUUUUACCUGAUAGAGUGAUAUUGGUUGCAUGUUCAUAUGGUGCCUAGCUUUCAUUUCUUCUAAUUUUGUUGAAAUGCCUUCCGCUUACUGUUUUUUCAUACAUACUCCAUCCUCAUAUCAUACAUGUGAAUAUACAACGCUGUCUUUUUUUGUAUAUAUUCCAUCCUCCUAUCCUGCGCUUGCCUUACAUCAAAGUAGUGUUCGUCUGUAUCAUGCAUCAACCAGUUAUGCAGAUCUAAUUUUAUUCAUCUUCUUGUGGUUUUGACUUCAUAAGGCAAUAUCAGAAAAUAGGAAGGAAAAGAGUAAGUUAGGGGAUGUUGGUGGUCCUCCGCACAGACGCAAACAGAGACUCUCUAGAUUUGCCACUGCUACUUCUAAUGAAGUUGAAGUCCCAAGUCUACAUGAUGAUUUCAUCUCCCGUACUCCACCAUCGCAGGUGCUUGCUCUAAGUUGACAGUGUGAUAAUUGGUUUCAUGUUGCAUAUGUUGUCUAGCCUGUAUUUCUUCUAUUCUGAUUAAAUUGCACCUGCUGAGUUUAUACGUUAUACAUGUGCAUAUGACAUGGCUUUCUGUGUCUAGAAUACACUGCAUCUAUCUAUCAUACCAUGCUCUUACAUCAAAGUACUGCUGUUGUGUCUCCCGCAUCAGUCACUCAUGAUUGGAUGCUUUUAAUGUGGCAGUUUGAUAGUGGUUGAAUCUUGCAUUGAUUACUAUAUUGUAUUGCUUCUAAUUUUUCGUAUUGCCACUUAUAACAAGACACUUUUAACUUGGCAGAGUAAUAUUGGUUGCAUCUUUCAUAUGGUGUCUACCUUGCAUUACUUCAAUUUUCUUGAAAAUCCUUCUUCUUAGAUUACACAUCGUAGCUGUGAAUAUGUCAUGCCAUCCUAUUUUUCUUACAUAUUCCAUCCUCAUACGGUUGUCUUACAUCAAAGUAUUGCUUGUCUGUAUAAUGCAUCAAUGAGUUCUGAAGAGCAAUUUUAUUCUCUUGUGUUGUGGGUAUGGCUUGACAUGGCAAAGUCAAAAAAGAGCAAGGAAAAUAAUAUAGUAGGGAGUGGUGUUACUCAUCGGGUGAGACAGAAAAGGAUCUGCCGUCAAGAUUCUGCUGGUACUUAUAGUGCGAUAGAAGGUCCAAGUCCACCGGCUAAAUCUACAAACACACUAUCACCUGCUCCACCAGCUGCAACAUCCGCUUCAACUGUACCAGGAUCUCAAUGAGUUACUUGUUCGUUUGCUCUGAAACUGGCCAGUUCCCAAGCUGCCUUCAUACCUAACACUACUUCUGAAGCACUGCUGACACAACAGGACUUGGCAAGAUCAGAUGAACCUCAUGAGCAUCAACACCAAGGCGGUACCUGACCGAGUCAAGUUGCAGUUGCAUGCUCCUUUAUAUGUACUCUCAUAGUUUGAUGUACACUAACACUUUCCAUAUUCGUUGUUGAACUAGCACCAUGGCGCAAGCGGAAAUAGACAUCAAGGAUAAUGAUUGACAGAUUAACAAAAUAUAAAGGACGAAGAAUGGAGAUCCAUUUUGAGGCAGGUUGGAAAAGUCCACAUGAUGCUACAGAGUCAGCCAAGUUAGUAUCAGAGGCAGCCAUUGCCAUUAGGUGUCAUGCACGUAUCCUCCCAGCAUGGAUCCAAUACAGGAAUGAGAAAGACAAUACCCAGUUUAACACCUUCCUUGACCAUUUAUCCAUAAGUAAUGUUAUUCAUCACAAUUAGUAAUAUUGUCUUGCUCUGUCCCAUACUUUCUAGCUUCCUCCUAAUAAGACUCACAUUCUUUUUUCAAUAGAUGAGGUUCAAGUUGGAUCCGAAAGAUGAUGCAACUAAACAAGCAUGCACUCAUGUUUUUCAGUCUGCUCUGCAACAGUAUCGGUACCACCUUAGAAAAUCUCACUUUUAAGGCAAGGGUAACAAUGAAAUCGCCCAAACAUCUCCAGUGGAAUAUAUUACAGAUGAAGACUGGACAGCCCUCGUUAAACACAGGUCUGAUCCAAAGUAUCAGGUAGGCUAUAUGUAUUUGAUCAGACCACAUAUUGAACUUGUAUUUAUGUAUGUGCCUUACAAGUGUAUCUUCUUCUAGGCUAAUUGUUUGAAGAACAAGACCAACCGUUCUAAAGUGAAAUUCCAACAGACAACAGGAUCUCGUAGCUAUUGCACACUACGAGGCUCUUGUAAAUAGCUGCUACUUCCUUCUUUUUUCUUUGCCAUAUUAUCAUAUCUAUAUUGAAUUGCUCCAAAUAUAGAGGAAAGCUCGUGCAGACAAAAAAAGAACCUAAACCGAAUGCAGUUCAAAUCUUCAAGGAUUGCCAUACCAGCAAGAUGAAGGGCAUGCGCACACCAGUUCAAGCCGCUGUUGUAAGUCCUUACUCCUCCUGCCUUUGAACUGACUGGUACUGUGAUGUGUUCAUUUAACUACUUGGUUUGCAACCAAUGUGAGUUAAUCUACUCACUUUUAUACACAGUUGUCUUAAUGUAUCAUUUCACCUUACAUAGUUUAAAAGAGAUGAAGGAUAUUCUUUUGGUCUUGAUCUGUAAUCUAGUUGUUAUGUUCACGUGCGCACACAAUGAUAAAAUAGCCUGUUUGUUUUAUAUCUGUUUGCCCAUGAUAUGAAUGAUGUCAUACUAUGUUCAUCCUACUUUAAACCAUGUCUCUUUAUCCUUAGAUGUCAACGAACGUGAGGAAAUAGACAAUACAGUAGGCAUGCUACAUGGACAUAUGUGCCGAAAGUGAUUUUAUUAUGUAGUUGGCACUGCAAUGCAUGCUAAUGUAUUACAGUAGUUCACCAAAAUAAGUUAUGUAUAAAUGUGUAACCUACUUUGUUUGUUUUUGUCUCAUUAGUAACUUAUCUGGUACACUUAUCUAUAAGUUCAAAAUUUCAGCAAGCUAUGGAACAAAUGAUUGAACAGCCACAACCACCUGAAGGUGACGUGGCUACCACAGGCACAAUGUCACCUCUUGUUGCAGUGCGUCAGUAUCUCUCCACUAAUAGUGCAAAAAGCACCUUCCUGUGUAAUUCUGGGUUGGUAGUCAAGGUAACCUUGUCCAAAUCGCCCACUGAACAAAAUCUUCCAGCUAGACAGAGUGAUAUAUCUGUGCUCCAGACACAAGUCCAAUCCCUAAUGGACGUCAUUUCGGAAACAAGAAUAAUGGUUGACAAAUGUCGUCAAGAUAUGAAUGGUUUUGAAACUAGACUAUCAGAAAUUCGCUUUGUUGUUCAAGAGCAAUGGCGGAAAAAGGUGAAGAUCGUGCUGCUCCAUCAGAUUCUACAGCCUGAAACAUUAGUACUUAGGUCAAAUGAUCUAUGCUUCUAUACAUCUGAUGGUGCUUUUAUCUGCAAGGACUGUAAACUUUAUGCAACAGGCCUUUUGUUGUAUGGUUGGAAUUUAUUUUGUUGUGAUACAACAUUUAUGAUGCUGCCAAAGGCUGCAGUAAUUACGACGCUAUUUUUGUAUAGUAUAGGUUUAUCUUAGUAAUGUAUUCGGCCGAAAGCUUCGUAGGAGCCCUACAUGCCAACAUUCGUCAGGCCCAUUCCAAUAGGGCUAAAAAUGAUUAUGGGCCGAAAUUUGCAUGUAGCCCACUAAAAAUUUCUGGACCUAAAUCUGCAUAAGCUUUCAUAUUUUUCUGGUAGGCCUGUGCCCAUAGUGGGCCUUUAAUAGGCCUAAACAUAAUUUGGGCCCUUAGUAACAAUAGGCCGUUUACAGGUGUAAAUAUCUCGAUCCCAUAAAAAACAUGGGCCUUUAAUAGCCCGAAAGUGAGAUUGGGCCCUAAUUGUGCCAAAUAACCCACUGGUCUUAGCAGGCCGAAAUAGUGGCCCAUUUACGAUGCGAAUCUUUCACAGGCCAAAAUUCGGACGGGCCGUAAAUGCCUGACCUAAUACACGGGCCUUUAACAGGCCGGAAGUUCUGUCGGGAUUGAUUAGCGUCAUUUUUAUAUGGGCCAUUAAUGGGCCUGAUGUGACGUUGGGCCACAUAUGGCCCAUGGAUUUCGUUCGACGUUAACAGGCCGAAAGUGUCCCAAAUCUAUAAUGGGCCUCUAACAGGCCGAAUGUCAGACAUGGACGAAUAAGACCCAAAUCCUUCACGGUCGUUUAUGGGCCGAAAGUUUCAAUGGCCUGUAAAUGGGCUCAAAUGAAGCAGGACCUUUAACACGCCAGAAAUACACUAGGCCGUAAUUCGUCCCAAAUACUUAGCGGACAGUUAACGGGCCAGAAGUGACCAUGGGCUACGAUGAUGACAAGUUUAGGACAGGCCGUUGACGGGCCGAUUUGACACUAACUAUACGGGCCUUAACUGAGAAUGUUCAGCCUUUAGCUGGGCCAGCCCAUUAUGGUCUACAAAAUCUUGUGGGUCUUUAGCUGGGUCGGCCAUUGUGGUCCGCUAAAUCUUGUGGGCCUUUAGAUGGGCCGGCCCAUUAUGGUCUACAAAAUCUUGUGGGCCUUUAGGUGGGCCGGCCCAUUAUGGUUUGCUAAAUCUUGUGAGCCUUUAGUUGGGCCGACCCAUUUAAACUUUAUGGGCCACUUUUGGCCCCGUCCACGUGUCAACAUAUCAUAGGCCCAUCUCGACCGUUGGAUGAGUGACACCUGUGCCAACGUGGAGCUGAUGCGUGGUUCCGUCGGCCAAUGAGAAUAUUACACAUGGAAUAUCGGCAUUGGUCGUGGCUGUUAGCGGGUUAUCGGAUCCAAAACCAGACAUGAUAGCUUAACGGCGCUUAACAAUGUCCCGUUACGGUGGAUGCCACAUGUCGGCCACCCUUGACGAAAGCACUUCCAUGACGCGCGAUUUAUCAUCAUGGAAGUGGACACUUCCGUGAUGAUAAUUCUGGUAAUGUCAUGGAAUACUUCUACGAUAGCACAUCUAUGACUAUCUUGAUUCUGUCAUAAAAUCGUCAUGGAUGUACAUUCAUGACAAAAAACGUGACCUACUAUGACAAACACGUAUCAUCAUGGAAGUGUAUUUUUUUUGUAGUGAUAAGGUGUCUGUAUUUCAAUGUGUGGUCUGGUCAACAUGGUUGGGGGGUGAACUUUGCAUAUGCAGGGGUUUAUAGGGAGACACUCUUCAAGUUGAAUCCAAAAUGCAUUCCUUAGAUAAUCUGACUACUUUUUAUGUUUUCAUGAAUCUCAGAUUCUGAACAGCAUCAUAAUGAUUAUGAGCUUGCGCACAUGAAAAUAAUAAAGCAGAACAAUGCCAUGGUUGUCAAACUUGGCAUUAAGGGACUGAAAUCAAGUCUGGAUGCAAUGCAAUGCAAACUCUCUCCACCUACAGAUUCAUGCUCAGAAUAUGAUCCUAACAGUGAUUCUGAGCUAGAGGGAGACCUAAGUCAAUGUAGCUCCCUAGUGGAGGAGUCAGAGGCAGAUGCCCUAUCUUAUUCAGCCAUCAAGGUGCUUGCUCUAACUUUCCAAGGUUAUAUUGGUCGCACAUAUCUUGCAACUGAUGCUUUGUAUUGCUUCUACUUUGUUGCACUGCAUUAGCUUAGUUUACACAUCGUUUAUGUGAAUACACCCUGCCUAUACAUUUUCAGUACAUAUUCCAUCUAUCAUCAUACCAUAUUUAUCCAUUCAAAUGUUUUUCUGGUGUAUAAGAUGUUCAAAAGGAAGAGGGCGAUUGCUGAUCACGGAGGAGCACAAGCAAGUAUUUGGAAAACGUAGUGGCACCUGAUAAAUGAAAUAGCCCAUUAGGUGUAGUUGCAAUAUCACCUGACCCACAAAACACCCCAACUCUAGCAGACUCUAGCCCUACUACACUGGUCAUUUCUGAUGCCCCAACUCAGCAGACCCCAAUUGGAGCAAACAGUAUGAUGAUGCCACUUGACAUAGCACCAGCUCUAUGACGCAAAACCCCCGCUCCAACAAAGAGUACACCAAAUCCAGUUGCCAAAUCCCUUUUCGAACCAGAGAGAGCCCCAAUAGCAGCAAAUAGGACCCCUGUUCCAUUUCUUCCCAGUUUAGAAGACGAAGCUUAUAUUGUUAUCAGGAACUUUGUGCGCAUCUUUCCUUCAUGGUAAGAUUAUACCGCAGACACAGAACAAUUUCAAGUCUUCCUCCGCAACUUACGCGUAAGUAAUGUACUAAUGUUAUUCAUGGUAAUUACUGCAUAUGUUUCUGCUGACAGAAGACACAAGAUUUCAUUCUAUUAAAUAUGUGAGGACCAAACUGGAUUGUGAAGACGAGCAAGGGUUGGUUGCGCUUUUCAAGCACUCGUUGAUGAAGUAUCGUUCGUACCUAAGGCAAGCGCACUUCGAUGGCAAGACUCUAAACAAAAUUUUUGUAAAGUCUCCGGUGCUACAUUUGUCCGACGGUAACUGGAAUAAUCUUGUUACACAUUGGUCUCGUCUAUGGCGUAAGGUACUGUCAAUGAUAUCACAUCACAAUUUGAACUACAUUUCUGCAUUUGCCUUAACGUCUCACUUGUACGAAAACUUUUAGGAGAAGAACCUUCAUUCUCAAGGGACCACAAAAUCUCGCAACUAUACUUCACACUACAUUGCUCUUGUGAGUACCUCUUGCCCUGUAUGAUCGUACUUACUUUCAUAGUUGUUUGAUUAUGUAGCAUCACUGCACAUGUUAGCCUUGUUAUCGUCCAUUUGGUGGACAUUAUAAGAUCCGUAUGGGCUCUUACAUAAAUUUAGAAUCAACCCAAUGCUUUUGAAGAGCUUUAGCUCUGCAGUCCUCUUGUAAGGACUGAACGUUGUCUAUCACUAUACUUACAUUAAUAGCUACUCCCUCCGUCCCACAAUAUAAGAACGUUUAGUAUAGUACACCAGUGUUCAGAACACUCUUGUAUUAUGGGAAGAGGGACUGGUUCAUUGUGUAGCAUUCUGCAUCUUAUCUCCCUCGCCCACCAUUUACUAAAAAGGAUCAGAUCUAUAUUUAAUCUUACCAAAAAGUAGAAUACACAGACAGUGCCAAUGCAGAAGUGUAGCCCAUUGCUCUUGUCAGUACAUUUUGUCCUGUAACGCUUGUACUUCCAUGGAUUGGUAGUUGAUUAUGUAGCAUCAAUCUUCAUCUUUUAUUCAUUAUCCUCUAUCUCUUCUAGUAUUAUCAUAUCUAUAAUUACUCUCUACAAAAUGUAGAGUACAGGCAAUGCUUACAAAAAAGAUUCGGUGCUAAAAUUCUUGAGUUAUCCUUCCCUUGACUUGGAGAAGGGCAUUAUAAAGCCGGUGUUAACUGUUAAUGUAAGUCAGUCCUUCUAAAGCCUUUAUCCUCAACUACUAUUUAAUUUGCUCAUACUCCCUAUCAUUUACUUCUGUUUAGUUUGCUGUUUCUAUCAAAAUGCAUGUUCUCAAGAACCAUAAGUUCUAAGUUUUACAUGUAAAACCAAAUUUCUUAUUCAUACCAUGCACAUUACUCAAUACUCCCUAUAUAUAUGCUUGUUUUUGUGGAUCUAUAAUCCAGUGUGUGGUGAAGCAACCCACAUUUGCACCUUGUCAUCUCCUAUUUUAUCUUACUGAUGUGGCUGAUGAUAUAAACAACAUGCCAUGCACAUUAACCAAAAUAGAUACAAUGAUUGUCUUUGCCCUUCAUCUUUGCUUGUUAUGUUGACAUGGUAAUCCAGUAGUGUGGUGAAGCGCCCCGCAUUAUGAACAAUGCCAAAUUAUGCUAUUGAUAUUUUGAACUUACUCUUUAUUUUCUAAUUUGAAAUUGGAUGGAAUUGACAGCACAGUUAUCAUCUUUGUUUAUACACGUGCAAAACAUGUCAUCUCUCUGCUGAUUUCAGGGUGAUAUGCCUGAUGGCAUGCACAAGUCUGCUGAAGGCUGUGAGACAAACCCAACAUAUAUUGCAGCAAAGAAGGCAUAACAUCUUGAAGAUAGCGAGACAACCCCAAAGUCUUGUCUUGAUGCAGUGUUCAAGUUACUUGAGACUAGUAGUAAGACAAGCUCACAAAAUUCACGGUCUGAAUCAGUUCGACUUCUUCAGUCCCAAGUUCUAGCAGAAAGGCAUUCUGCAACUCAACUUCGACUUGAAGUCCUAUCUCUAAGAAAGAUUGCGGAGAACACCAAUGAGAACCUCAUUGCUAAACAGCUACACCUGGAAGCUAUGACCGACAUGCUAGGCCGGUCUCACAGCCUUGCUCAGUAGCUUGCGUAGCAGUUCCCGUGCAAGGCUAACCUUUCUUGAACUAUCUUGGAAGUGGUCUUGGUUCAGUAUUAUUUUGUUAUGUUGCAAUGGUGCCAAGUUUUGGUAAUCUUCUUCUUCGUUGCGCUUUAUGAUCACUCGUGGCAAACUUCGAUGCCUACUAUGCCGUAAUUUCUUUAUUGUAUAGAGUAGGUUUGUUCUUAAUUCCUACUAGUUACUGCCAUCAUUCGCUAUCUGAAAAAAAAUUUGAUGUAGUCGACCGGGCCGAAACAUUCGCCUCUAACGGGCCUGGUUUUUAGCAGACCACAAUUGGGCCGGCCUGCAUAUUUCUUGGGCCCGAAUGAUUGGGGCCUUCACACUUUGCGCCAGGCCCACAACAUACUCCAACCUAUAUUCGACCCAAAUUUUAGUUGGGCCUUUUGUGGACCCAACGCUUAGUUUGGCCCAGGUAUCGUUGGGCCAUUAAGAGGCUAAAUAUUCUACUGGCCUGUUACGGCCCAGAUGAAACCAUGGGACUUUAGCAGGCCAAAUGCAUGUUGGGCCUCAAUUUUCACUAGUCGUCGAUGGGCCUUCAGCAGGCUGAAAUGUAGACCAGGCCUUUUUGGGCCCAGUUAUAUGACGGGCCAUUACCAGGCCGAAACAUAUCUCCUGCCUUAGUUGGCCCACUGAUAUCAUGGGCCUUUAAGAGGCCGAAAGCUUAGUACACGCAUCAACAGGCUGAAUUAUACGACAGGCCUUUAACGGGCCCAAAGUCACAUUAGGCUGAACUGUUGCCACCUUUAUCACAGGCCGUUAGUGGGCCGGAUGUCGCGUCGGACCAUAUAUGGCCCAUGGGCAGCACGGGCCAUUCCCAGGCUGAAAGACACACUGGACUAAAAUGGGCCCAUGUCUACAUCGGGCCUCUAACAGGCCGAAAGUCACCGGGCUGUAAUUGGGCCCAAAUAUUCGGGGAACAAUUAAAGGGCCAGAUCUGGCUUUAGGCCGUAAAUGGGCCUUUAUUAAACAGGCCGUUAUUGGGCUGGCCCACUAGUACCUGAGUAAGUACUACGGGCCUUUGACUGGGUCGGCCUAUUUAACCAAUAUGGGCCUCUGUUGGGCCCUUCCACGUGUCGACGUAUCAUAGGCAUGUCUCCUCCAAGGGACGGGCGACAUCUGGCCCACUGACGAGCUGACACGUGUUUCUUCCGGCCAAUCAGAAUAUUACAUGUGCAAAUUUCCCAUUGGUCCGGGCUAUUAAUGGGUUAUAAGAUCCAACACCGGACCCGAUAGCUUAACGGCGUUCCGUUACGGUGAAUGCCACGUGUCAGUCACCCUUGACGAACGCACUCAUGUGACGCGCGAUUUAUCGUCAUGGAAGUGGACAAUUCCGUGAUGAUAAUUUUGGUAAUGUCAUGGAACACUUCUACGACAGCACAUGUAUGACUAUAUUAAUACUAUGAUAAAAUCGUCAUGGAUGUACAUGCAUGACAGAAAACGCGACCUACUGUGACAAACACGUAUCAUCAUGAAAGUGUAUUUUUUUGUAGUGCAUGUUGCAAGUAAUCAUGUGAACUUGAUAUGUGUUCAAUAUUUUGAUGGUAUGUAUGUCGGCAUUCUCUUAGUGGUGUCAUGUGAACAUUGACUACAUGACACUUCACCAUAUUUGGGCCUAAGGGAAUGCAUUGUGGAGUAGUUAUUAGAUGGUGGGUUGCGAGAGUGACAGAAGCCUAAACCCCAGUUUAUGCGCUAUUCCAUAAGGACCGAUUGGAUCCAAAAGUUUAAUGCUAUGGUUAGAAUUUAUUCUUAAUACUUUUCUCAUAGUUGUGGAUGCUUGCGAGAGGGUUAAUCAUAAGUAGGAGGUUUGUUCAAGUAAGAACAACACCUAAGCACCAGUCCACCCACAUAUCAAAUUAUUAAAGUACCAAACACGAAUUAAGCCAACAUGAUGAAAGUGACUAGAUGAAAUUCCCGUGUACCCUCAAGAACACUUUGCUUAUCAUAAGAAACCGAUUUGGCCUGUCCUUUGCCUCAAAAGGAUUGCGCUACCUUGCUGCACUUUGUUACUACUAUUGUUACUUGCUCGUAACAAAUUAUCUUGCUACUAAACUACUCCCCUACUUACAAUUUUAGCACUUGAACACAUUACCUUGCUGAAAACUACUUGUCAUUUCCUUCUGCUCCUCGUCGGGUUCGACACUCUUACUUAUCAAAAAAGGCUACAAUUGACCACAUACACUUGUGGGUCAUCAGCGGCCACCCGCUAGGGAAUCAGCCCCCAGCCCCCAGCUCGCCUAUGAAAAGGAGGAGAGGGGAGAGAGGUGGAGGCAUUCACCUUUAUUCCUUUCUUCUUCCAUCCUCUGCCUUCUCCGGGAUAUGCUGAAAAGAAGAAGUCAGGGUCAAGCCUUGCGACCUAGCUUAGAUCUUUGCAUGGGCCUCAGGGGAGCGUUCGGGAGGCGCGGUGGUAGCACUGGAGGUGGCGACUCUGGUGCGCUUGUUGCCCGGCUGCCCAUAGCUUCAACUCUAGUGAGAGGCGGCACGAACGACACCACGCCGAGGCCCAUAAUGGGUGAGGGGCGCGGUAGUCGGUUGUGGCCUAUUUCUCCUCUCCUCUUGGCGUGGAGGAGGGGUCACAGGACGGGUUCGCCAUAAGCGGAGGUGAACCUAACCCCCCAGGGCACCGUCCGCCUGUCGCGCAGGAGGGCUCUUUGCAUCCAUACAUGUUUUUCAAACGUGCAGUGGUGUCUGACGUCGGGACCAUUGGGGACGACCAUGCUCUAUGUGGAAUUUCCCAGAGAGCAUGGUGUUUGUUGCGGCUGUCGUGAUGGGGUCUUCGGACGGUGGUGGUACGGGAGGUUGCUACGUCUUGAGAUUGCGUUGGUUUUCCUUUAAGAGGAAAGGGUGAUGCAGCAAUAGUAGCGUAAGUAUUUCCCUUAGUUUUUGAGAACCAAGGUAUCAAUCCAGUAGGAGGCUCCUCAAAAGUCCCACGCACCUACACAAACAAACAAAGAACUCGCAACCAACGCAAUAAAGGGGCUGUCAAUCCCUUCACGGCCACUUGCGAAAGUGAGAUCUAAUAUAGGUAGUAUGAUAAGAUAAAUAUAUUUUUGGUAUUUUAUGAUAUAGAUUGGAAAAGUGAAGAUGCAAAUAGAAGUAGAUUGAAAGUUUAUAUGAUAAAAGAUAGACCCGGGGGCCAUAGGUUUCACUAGUGGCUUCUCUUAAGAUAGCAUAAGUAUUAUGGUGGGUGAACAAAUUACUGUCGAGCAAUUGAUAGAGAAGCAAAUAAUUAUGAUAUUAUAUAGGCAUGAUGAUGUAUAUAGCCAUCACGUCCGUGACAAGUAGACCGACUCUUGCCUGCAUCUACUACUAUUACUCCACACAUUGACCGCUAUCCAGCAUGCAUCUAGAGUAUUAAGUUCAUAAAGAAGAGAGUAACGCAUUAAGAAAGAUGACAUGAUGUAGAAGGAUAAACUCAUGCCAUAUGAUAUAAACCCCAUCUUUUUAUCCUCGAUGGCAACAAUACAAUACGUGCCUUCCUGCCCCUGAUGCCACUGGGAAAGGACACCCCAAGAUUGAACCCAAAGCUAAGCACUUCUCCCAUUGCAAGAAAGAUCAAUCUAGUAGGCCAAACCAAACUAAUAAUUCGAAGAGACUUGCACAGAUAACUUAAUCACACAUAAAAGAAUUCAGAGGAGAUUCAAAUAUUUCUCAUAGAUAAACCUGAUCAUAAACCCACAAUUCAUCGGUUUUCGACAAACACACCGCAAAAAGAGUUACAUCGAAUAGAUCUCCAAGAAGAUCGAGGAGAACAUGGUAUUGAGAUCCUAAAAGAGAGAAGAAGCCAUCUAGCUAAUAACUAUGGACCCGAUGGUCUGUGGUAAACUAAUCACAACUCAUCGGAGAGGCUAUGGUGUUGAUGUAGAAGCCCUCCGUGGUCGAUUCCCCCUCCAAUGGAGCGCCUGCAAAGGCUCAAAGAUGGGAUAUCGCGGAUACAGAAGGUUACAAUGGUGGAAAUAGUUUUUUGUGGUCGCCCUUGAUGUUCUCGGGGUACGUGGGUAUAUAUAGGAGGAAGAAGUAGGUCGGUGGACGCCCGAGGGGCCCACGAGAUAGGGGGCGCGCCCAGUAGGGGGGGCGCCCUCCACCCUCGUGGCCGCCUCGACUACUUCUUGACUUGCACUCCAAGUCCUCUAGAUCACGUUCGUUCUAAAAAUCACGCUCCCGAAGGUUUCAUUCCGUUUGGACUCCGUUUGCUAUUCCUUUUCUUCGAAACACUGAAAUAGGCAAAAAAACAGCAAUACGGUUGGGCCUCCGGUUAGUAGGUUAGUCCCAAAAAUGAUAUAAAUGUGUAAAGUAAAGCCCAUAAACAUCCAAAAAGGGUAAUAUAAUAGCAUGGAACAAUCAAAAAUUAUAGAUACAUUCGAGACAUAUCAAGCAUCCCCAGGCUUAAUUCCUGCUCGUCCUCGAGUAGGUAAAUGAUAAAAAUAGAAUUUUUGAUGUGGAAUGCUACCUAGCAUAAUUCUCAAUGUAAUUUUGUUUAUUGUGGCAUGAAUGUUCAGAUCCAAAUGAUUCAAAAUAAAAGUUCAUAUUGACAUAAGAAAUAGUAAUACUUCAAGCAUACUAAUCAAAGCAAUCAUGUCUUCUCAAAAUAACAUGGCUAAAGAAAGUUCAUCCCUACAAAAUCAUAUAGUUAGGAUAUGCUUCAUUUUCGUCACACAAAAAUGCUCCCAUCUUAUACACCCCCGAUGACAAGCCAAGCAAUUGUUUCAUACUUAAAUAAUCUCAAACUUUUUCAACUUUCACGCAAUACAUGAGCGUGAGCCAUGGAUAUAGCACUAUGGGUGGAAUAGAAUAUGAUGAUGGGGAUUGUGUGGAGAAGACAAAAAAUAGGAAGUCUCACAUUGUCGAGGAUAAUUAACGGGCUAUGGAGAUGCCCAUCAAUGGAUGUCAACAUGAGGAGUAGGAAUUGCCAUGCAACGGAUGCACUAGAGCUAUAAAUGUAUGAAAGCUCAACAAAAGAAACUAAGUGGGUGUGCAUCGAACUUGCUUGCUCACGAAGACCUAGGGCAUUUCGAGGAAGCCCAUCGUAGGAAUAUACAAGCCAAUUUCUAUAAUGAAAAAUUCCCACUAGUAUAUGACAAUGACAACAGAUGAGACUCUCUAUAUGAAGAACAUGGUGCUACUUUGAAGCAAAAGUGUGGAAAAAGAGAUAGUAACAUUGCCCCCUUUUUAUUUUUAUUUACCUUUCUUUUUUUUGGCCUUUUUUUUCUUUUUUGGCCUUUUUUUAUUUGGGGACAAUGCUCUAAUAAUGAUGAUCAUCACACUUUUAUUUAUUUACAGCUCAUGAAUUACAACCCAAAACUAGAACAAUAUAUGACUCUAUAUGAAUGCCUCCGGCGGUGUACCGGGAUGGGCAGUGAAUCAAGAUUGACAUGUAUGAAAAAUUAUGCAUGGUGGCUUUGCCACAAAUACGAUGUCAACUACAUGAUCAUGCAAGGCAAUAUGACAAUAAUGAUGCGUGUCAUGAUGAUGAACGGAACGGUGGAAAAGUUGCAUGGCAAUUUAUUUCGGAAUGGCUAUGGAAAUGCCAUAAUAGGUAGGUAUGGUGGCUGUUUUGAGGAAGAUAUAAGGAGGUUUAUGUGUGAUAGAGCGUAUCUGUAAGUGCAUCUAGUGCCACCCCUAGUUGGUUUUGGAGUAUUGACGACAAAGUUGGUUGAGGGACUAAUGCGUUUGUGAGAAUUGCAGCAUAAUGCAGGAAGUGUCCCUCAUCAAUUCGGUUUACCUACCGGAGAUGACCCCUAAAAAUGUAUGAAGACAUUGAAGACAAUGGUGGUAUGAGAAGAUAUUCAUAUUGAAGACUAUGACAUGAGAAGACUAUGGAGCGCGAAGACUGUGUGGUUUUGUUGUUUCCUUUUCUUCUUUGUUGAGUCAUAGGAACCACCGUACUGUUAAGUAGGGUCCAAGUGAACUAAGUCAGAGUGACUGAAGUGAUGCGCAACUCAAAUCCUAUGUCUUCGAGCGAAGACCAUGAGAGCAAACCUUAUCCAGAGCUGGAUGAGUCAGCUUUGCUUGUAGCCCAAGUAAAGUUGCCGCGUGUGUUUGAAAUCUGACCGUUGGAACACGUGUUAGUUCCUCAGUGACCCAGGGUCAUUUUGGACAAAUCAGGUCGGGUUUCCAGUGGCUAUAAAUAGCCCACCCCUACACCUUAAAUUGGUGGCUGCUCAGAGUUUGUGCGCGGCUUUUGUCGUUUGAGAGCAACCCACCUCGAAGCAUUUGAGAGAGAGAAAUCCUUGCGAGGACAAAGCCCAAACACCCAGAGCCAAAGAGUGUUAGGCAUCACUGAAGUAUUUCUGUCUGUGUGACCUGAAGACUUAUUACACUUGAGGACUGUGAAUCCUCCAGCCGGUUAGGCGUCGUGUUCUGAGCAUCCAAGAGUCAUUGUGGAUUGCCGGUGAACGAAGUCUGUGAAGGUUUGGAAGUCUCCCUUGAAGACUUACCAGAGUGAUUGGGCGAGGACUGGGUGUCCUUAGCUCAAGGGGAAUAAGGUGAAGACACGGUCUUCUGAGUUAAAUCUCAGCCUCCCUAACCAGACGUAUAGUUGUCACAGCAACUGGAACUGGUCUAACAAAUCUUGUGUCUUCAACAAGCAACUGGUUCUAUCCCUUCCCAACCUUACUUAAGUUUGUCUUCGUGAAGUCAUUGCCUAUCUGUGUAUCUGUUUGACUUCAUUGCUUGACUACUACUGUUGAUUGGCUUCAUACUAUCUUCCAUCCUGAUCCUACUACCUAGCUGCUAUUAGUCCUGUACUUUCACAUCAUUGCAUACCUGACUAUGGCUUGCUUAGGGUAGUUUAUCUUACGCUGCAUAUCAAUUAGGUCAUUUCUGUUGUUUGUCUACGAAACUUGUAAGUUUAGAAGACUUUCAUAAAAAUCGCCUAUUCACCCCCCCUCUAGUCGAUACUAGCACUUCCAAUUGGUAUCAAAGCAAGGUACUCCCUUGUUCUUUGUGAUUCGGUUUAACCACCUGGAGUUUCAGCUAUGUCGACUGCAGGAUUGAGGAACAUAUCGUGUCCCACCUUUGACGGUCAUGAGUAUCCCCGAUGGAAGGCCAUGAUGAAGAAGCGACUCAUGUCCAUGGAUAGCAAACUGUGGACCGUCACUGAGAUUGGACUCACUGAUCUAUGCAAGAUGGCAGAGGCUGAUGACAUUCGCAAGUAUACUCUACUGAACCUUACAGCAAAGGAUGUCAUCUGCUCUCAUUUGUCCCGAAAUCAGUUCAGGAAUGUUAUGCACCUCAAUCACGCGAAGCUAAUCUGGGACCAGCUCUCUGAGGUAUAUGAAGGUCAUUGUACUCGUCAUGAUCCAUGGUUUGAAGAUUACAAGGAGUCUCUCAAGGAGAUGACCUUUGCACCUGAAUCAUCAUCAUCCUCAUCGUGCCACAUGGCAAGGGGUGAUAAGGUAACUGAAUGCUAUCUCUCUGAAUCUACUGAUGAUGAAUCAGGUGAUGAAUUUGGCCCCAGUUAUGACAAGCUUGCUUCCCUUGCCACUAAACAACAAAGAAUCUUGGAAAAGGUUCAAGACAUGCUUAGUAAGAGCGAUGAUAUGUUGGGUGAAGAAAUGGAUCAGUCAAAAGCUUUGGCUGAUAGUCUUCAGAGACUUCAUGCUAAGUUUGAUGCCCUUCAAGGUCAACAUAAUGCUCUCUUGUCUGAUCAUGAGAAGCUCUCUUCUGAAUGUCUUCAAAGAAAGCUAGACCUUGAAAAGAUAAGAGUGGAUUAUGAACAUCUUCAGAAGGAGCGAGAUUCAUUACUUGCUCAACAGAUCAGUUCCGCUCAGGAUGGAUUUGAACCACCAUGUCUAAAAUGCAUUGAGCGUGAUAACGCUACAUCUGUUGCUGAAUGUUCCACUGCUGCUACUGUUUCAUUGUCUUCACCUACUGAUGUGGUUACUAACCCCUCUGCGGAGGAUACCACUGCUGUUGCUGAUGAAAAUGCUAUGUUGAAGACAUUGCUUGAAACAGGGAUGUACAAAAGUUUGAAGGGACAUCAGACUCUCUGUGAUGUCCUUAAAAAGCAGAUUCUGGACCGAAACCCUAGGAAAGAGGGUGUUGGGUUCGAAAGGAAAAUGAAUGUUGAUGGCUCGUACUGGAAGCCUGAGCAGUACCCCAAAACCACAUGGGUUGCUGCAAAGGAACCUUCAGUAGACCCAUCCACCUUAUCUGGCUUUACCUGUGCUAAUCCUAUUAUCAUUGAUGAAUCCUUUGAUGCAAACUAUAAGUUGUUCAAAAAUCAGAAUGGUGAAGUGUUUGCCAGGUACAUUGGUACUAACUGCAGGAAUGGACCACCUAUGAAGAAGAUCUGGGUACCUAAGCAGUACAUUGAGAAUCUUCCAGUGAAUGUCGUCAUGACACCACCAAGGAAGAAGAUAAACCCCAGACCUAUAGCUUCAUGUGGCCCAAAGGCUUCAUACAGAUACAGGACUCACAUGAGUCACCCUAACGCCAAUGUUUUGCAGGGAAAUCAUGCUCAGACUUAUGAAUAUGAGCGUGUAUCUUCGAACUUCUAUGUUCAUAGGACUAAGAACUUUUCAACUUAUUCAUAUGAGUAUCAUUCAUCUCCUGCAAGGCUAUUUGCUAGGGCUUCAAAGCCAAAAUUCUCAGAUGCUGCACUUAGACUCAUUGCUUCUAAGCCACCACUGAAGAUGUGGGUGGAAAAGAAGAACUAACUCUCUUUUGCAGAAAAUGGUCUCCAGCCAGCAAUCAAUGGCGUCCGAUACUAUUGCUGGGGACCUAAAACUCAUUUAGGACGCACGAUAAAAUGUCAUUCUAUAUACUUCACAUCUGAAUCUGUUAUCAAUCAUACUAUGUCCUAACUUUGAUAUAAGCUGUGACUGUCCCUAUAUGUGUCAAAUGCUUAUGCUUCACAACACUCUUGUGAAGCCUAUCCUCCUAACUGCAGUGUAGGGUACAUCACCAAAAGCUUCAGAAUGGAUUAUGGACAGUGGAUGCACAAAUCAUAUGACUGGUGAUCGAAGUCUUCUCAUGGACUCAACCUUACGUCCAUCCGACAAGAGUCACAUUACAUUUGCUGACACUGGUAAAAGCAAGGUAUUGGGUCUAGGUAGAGUUGCAAUCUCAAAGGAUCAACACAUGGAUAAAGUGAUGCUUGUUGAAUCCCUUGGUUUCAACUUAAUGUCUGUCUCAAUGCUUUGUGACUUGAACAUGAUUGUGAUAUUUGGCAAAUAUCGUUGCCUUGUACUAAUGGAAUCUGACAAAUCUCUAGUCUUUGAAGGGUAUCGAAAAGAUGAUCCAUACAUGGUAGAUUUCUCAGCAGGUCCACAGCUUGCCGUAUGUCUUCUCACAAAAGCUUCAGAAUGCUGGCUCUGGCAUCGAAGGCUAGGACAUGCUGGCAUGAUGAACUUACACUCACAGGUCAAGAAGAAGCAUGUCAUUGGCAUUGAGGAUGUCAAGUUCAAAAAGGAUCAUCUGUGUGGUGCCUGUGAAGCUGGAAAGAUGACAAGGGCAAAGCACCCCUCGAAGACAAUCAUGACAACAUCUCAACCCUUCGAGCUGUUACACAUGGACUUAUUUGGACCUACUCACUACUCCACCCUCACAACAACUGCCUAUCUCUAUGGCUUCGUCAUUGUUGAUGACUACUCAAGAUACACAUGGGUUCAUAUAAUUCUUUACAAGACUGAAGUGCAAGAUGUCUUCAGGCGCUUCGCAAAUCGAGCAAUGAACAAUUAUGGUGUGAAGAUCAAGCACAUCAGAAGUGACAAUGGCACUGAAUUCAAGAACACUGGACUUGAUAUGUAUCUGGACACAAUGGGAAUCACUCAUGAGUUCUUUGCUCCAUACACACCUCAGCAAAAUGGCAUCGUUGAGCGCAAAAACAGAACCCUUAUUGAGAUGGCUCGAACAAUGCUAGAUGAGUACAAGACACCAAGAAAAUUCUGGCCUGAAGCUAUUGAUACAGCAUGUCACAUCAUCAACCGUGUGUACAUCCAUAAGGUUCUGAACAAAACAUCUUAUGAGCUCCUUACUGGCAAGAAACCAAACGUCAGUUACUUCAGAGUAUUUGGAGCUAGAUGCUGGAUCAAGGAUCCCCAUCACAAGUCAAAAUUUGCACCUAAGGCUCACGAAGGCUUCAUGCUUGGCUAUGGAAAGGAUUCACACUCCUACAGAGUAUUCAACCUUUAUCUCUACAAAAUCGUUGAAACUGUGGAUGUGAGAUUUGAUGAAAGCAAUGGUUCACAGAGAGAGAUUCUGCCAAGUACACUUGAUGAAGCUCCUUCAAACGAGUCUAUCAAGCUGAUGGGAACUGGUGAAAUCAUGCCCUUUGAAGCACAGCCUGAAGAGGAACUUAUCAUCUCUGCACCAAAUCAACCUGAAGACAAUGCUCAGACUGAAGACAAUCCUCCCAAUGAUGACAAUGAUCAGCCAGAGCAAAAUCUUCGUCCUGUUCAUCCUCGUGUUGCAAAUGAAGUUCAAAUAGAGAAGAUAAUUGACAGCAUCAAUGCACCUGGUCCGCUCACUCGAUCAAGAGCAACAUAGCUAGCAAACUUCUGUGGGCACUUUUCAUUUGUGUCAAUAUCAGAACCCAAGAAAGUUGCUGAAGAUUUUAUGGAACCUGAAUGGAUUCAAGCCAUGCAAGAAGAACUUCAACAGUUCAAGCUGAAUAAUGUUUGGGAACUCGUCAAGCAACCUGACCCUCGCAAGCAUAACAUUAUUGGAACAAAGUGGAUAUAUCAAAACAAGCAAGAUGAGCAUGGUCAAGUCGUCAGAAACAAAGCACGUCUUGUGGCUCAAGGAUAUACUCAAGUUAAAGGAAUUGACUUCGAUGAAACAUUUGCUCCUGUUGCUAGGCUUGAAGCUAUUCGCAUACUACUAGCCUACGCUAAUCAUCACAACAUCUUGCUAUCUCAAAUGGAUGAAAAGAGUGCAUUUCUCAAUGGCAAGAUUGAAGAAGAAGUAUAUGUCGCACAACCACCUGGCUUUGAAGAUCCAAAACAUCCUGAUAUGUUGUACAAGAUGAACAAAGCACUGUAUGGCCUCAAACAAGCUCCUCGUGCCUGGUAUGAUACAAUCAAAGACUUCUUGAAGAGCAAAGGCUUCAAACCUGGAUCCCUCGAUCCCACACUCUUCACGAAGACAUAUGAUGGUGAACUGUUUGUGUGCCAAAUAUAUGUGGAUGACAUAAUCUUCGGCUGCACCAACCAGAAGUAUAGUGAUGAGUUUGGGUACAUGAUGCAAGAGCAAUAUCAAAUGUCCAUGAUGGGUGAGCUGAAGUUCUUCCUUGGUCAUCAAAUUUGUCAGCAAAGAAAUGGCAUCUUCAUAUCUCAAGAAAAAUACCUCAAAGAUUGUCUGAAGAAGUUUGGAAUGGAAGACUGCAAAGGCUACACGACGCCAAUGCCAGCCAAACACCAUCUUGGUCCCGACGACAAUGGUAAAGAGUUCGAUCAAAAGGUAUACCGCUCCAUGAUUGGUUCUUUGCUUUAUUUAUGUCCAUCUAGGCCAGAUAUUAUGCUUAGUGUUUGCAUGUGUGCUCGAUCCCAAGCGGCACCAAAGGAAUCGCAUCACUUAGCUGUGAAGCGAAUUCUUUGAUAUUUGGCUUACACCCCAACACUCGGAUUGUGGUAUCCCAAGGGCUCAAAAUUUGAUUUGGUUGGAUUCUCGGAUGCUGAUUAUGCUGGUGACAAGGUGGAUCGCAAGUCUACAUCAGGCACAUGUCAUUUUCUUUGUCGAUCACUUGUCUGUUGGUCUUCAAAGAAGCAGAACUGUGUAUCACUCUCAACUGCUGAAUUUGAAUACAUUGCUGCUGGAUCCUGUUGUGCUCAGCUUCUGUGGAUGAAGCAAACUCUCAAGGAUUAUGGCAUCAACCUGAAACAAGUACCUCUCUUCUGCGACAACAAAAGUGCCAUCAAAAUAGCCAACAAUCCAGUCCAACACUCGAAGACAAAGCACAUUAAAAUUCGUCAUCACUUUCUCAGAGAUCAUGUUAUGAAGAAAGAUAUCGAUAUCAUUCACGUCAACACUGAAGAGAAACUGGCAGAUAUCUUCACGAAGCCCUUGGAUGAGAAAAGGUUUUGCAAGUUAUGGUGUGAGCUAAAUAUCUUGGAAUCCUCUAAUGUCCUGUGAUCAGGCACACAUCCUAACACUUAUGCAUGUUGAUGACUUCGAUGUGCAACACACAAAGUAGUGUAUAUCUUCAAUCAAUGAAGAUUUACACUCUGAGUGUGAAUACAUUAACAUGGAAUAUGACUUCGGAGCGCCACGAUAAUUGUGCGCUGUGUCUGGGUCUAAUACUUCCUAUACGAUGGGUAACGCCACCACCAACUUUCUCUGUUUGAAGUGUUUCACUCAUGGCGUUAUAUUGCAAUGACUUCGCAUUUGGUUUGUCAUCAGUUUCAAUUUAUCCUCAUGAUUUUCUACACUAUGAUGAUUUGAUUGCUUUCUGAUAUAUAUAUAUAUAUAUAUAUAUAUAUAUAUAUAUAUAUAUAUAUACUAGUGUUCUGUCCUCUACAGCAUUCACUUAUAGCUAUGUCUUCAAGAUUGGAUCUUUUGAACUAAGUGAAUGUGAUUGGACCCUAACCUCUCUAUGCUUCCUAUCUCAAACUCUAUCUGCCCAAAUCAUAUGCAUUCUAUUGAAACUGUCGAAUGUCUUCUCUGCGUCCUAGUCAGCAGAAGGCAAAGAGACAAACAUUAAAUCUGUUUUAAAUGACUUAUCUUUAUUGUUGAAAUCCGGAGAAGCCGGAACAACUCUCCGACAUGCCUGGCGGGCGUGGGAACGUGGGACAACUCUGAGUAUGUUGCAUGCCUGCCAUGUACCCCUCAGAUGUGAACCGCCAGGGGCACCAGCGUAAUUGCGCUGUGUCUCUCACCUACUUAUAAAUACUUGUCCCAUGCGGUAAAGAAAUCCUUCUUCCACCUCUCCACCUCCGUCAAAACCAUAGCGCCACCGCUAGCUCGCGACGACGCCGGCGACGAAGCGCUUAGCUGCCGCGACUUCUCCGACGCCAUCCUCACGCCGGCCGCGGACAUCUUCCUCUCCGUCGUCACCGUAGGUGUCCUCCGUCGCCAAGUUAGGGCACGGUGGGCUGAACUGCUCGGUCUCCUAUUCAUCCCAUCUAGCAGUUCUUCGUGCGGUAAUUAUAACUUUAUUUUUACCACCUUUUUGAUCUUCAAGAUUCAUCCUGUUUACCGAAAGUGGUUUCUGCCUAUUCAAAUGUUAGAUCUAUUCUGUCUGCAUCUCAUACUGCCUAGUCAAUUCACUUGGAUUUCCUGUCUAGUUUGAUUCCUCACUUGUACUUAUUCACGGAUUGGUACAAAUCUGGAACCAACUCACCUAUAUAAGUGAAUGUCUUCGCGUAAUGAGGUCAAUGUCUUCAAACUAAUUUAUCUUCAAAAUCUUCUGAGAAUGCAUAUGACCUCUUCCCCUUCCCUCGCAUCUCUAAUGCUGUCACAGGUACAUGUCCGUGAGAGAAUCCCUUGGUUCUCAUAGUCUGCAUUGGUUUGCAGAAUACUUACAGCAUCAUAUCAAUUCUCCUGAAGCCAGUUCCUGCUUGACCAGCAAGUGUAAGUCUCUGAAGCCUUUGAACGUAUUGAAGCCAUUCAGUUUGAAGUUCAUGGCUGCAGAAAAAUCAACAAGGAAGGGUGGCAGACAACGCAGAGAAGGAACAUCCAAAGAUCUGCCUGAUGACUUAGCAGAACUCUACAAGACAGAUCCCGAAGAGAAUUAUCAUGAGAGAAAGAUGCGAAUCCAAUGGAUUCGACGCUAUUGGGCUGAGGAAUGGUUCCAGUACAAGUUUGUGGCGAAGGAAUAUGCAGAGAGGAAUGCCAUCAAGAGACCUUGGGGUGAUAUCCUCUAUCGAGGCCUUCAACCCAAGAACAGAGCUGAAGCUAUUGCUCAAGGCUUCUAUCCUUGCAUGGUCCAUGGACCCCACCUCACUACUCUGGUGUCGUGACGACUCUCUCUUCAAGCGCAACUACCAGUUUGCUGUGGCUUCGGCCAAGAAGAACAAGAGGUCCUUGGGCUUGGACUUCAGCCCAGGUCCCUCUGCUCCCUGUGCUGACGGCUCCCGUGAUGCUGAUCCCAAUGUUAUCGGCCCCUUCUCCAACCUUGACGGCCUCAUCACCUACAUCGUGGUCCAAGGCGCCAGAGUAGAUCAUUUUGAAAAUGAUGCUGACUCCGAUGAAGCCCCUGCUCCUCCUCCAAAGUCGCAGAAGCAAAAGAAGCCAAAGGCUUCAAGAUCAGCUGCACCUACGAAGACUUCUCGUGCGAAGCCACUAGCCACUGCACCUCCUGAAGCCAGUGUGCAGUCUGAAGAUCAAUCCCGUGUCUCCAAGAGAACGGAGAAGAAAAAGCAUCUUGUUAGACCAUCUGAUCAAAGAGCCUUGACUCCUGCCGCCAUUCUGCGUGAAGAACCCAUUGAUCUGUCAAGUGAUGAAGAUCUUGCUGAUGAUGCCCUUGAGCAGCUGAUAAAGAGCAAGGAAGAAGCAGAAAUCUUCAACAACGUGCCUCUCUUUGAUGUGGCAAUCAUCCACAACUUCAUUGAUGAGUGGUUUGACACCCCCAAUCUCAGCUUUGAAGAUUUACAGCUUCCCAUUGGCCUCAGUGUAGCCUUCAAUGGCGCCAUUGCUUCUGAGCUAGCUCUCACUCAGCGCAUCGUUGAGCUCAAGAACAAGAAGCAUGUGGCCAAGCUAAGUGUUCAAGACGUCAGAAACUUCAAAGUCAUGCUACAUGAGCUUAAAGAAGCUUUUCUGAAGAAGCGUGAAGAAGCUCAGGGUUCUCGAGAGCGCAUGAAGAGUUUGGCUGAUAAGUGUGUGCUCGCCUACAAUGAGGCUGAGAAGCGCAAGUCACUUGGCCGUCCUGGCAUUGACCCCAGGAUGGCUGCAAAGAAGAAGAAGAAGAAGCUUCCUGCUGAACAGCCUGAACCUUCAAGCCAAGAAGCCCCUCGCAUUAUCGUCCCAAGAAGCAUGACUGGCUCAAAGCCAAAGGUCACCACAACCGCUUCAAAACAGAAAAAGAUGAGGGCCGCUGAGGCUGAAGCCAGAAAGAGAAAGAACACUGAAGCCUCUGAUGCCGCUCCCUCCAAGAAGAAGCGCAAGACCAAGAAGACUAGGGCUGCUUCCACAGAGCCCUUAGUUGUUGAACCCAUUUUAGUGGUUCGCCCAGCGUCAGAACAUCAAGAACGAAGGAUGAUAUUCCAUGAGCCUGCUCCCACAGAGGCUCAUGAAGCUGAAGAUAUUCCAGCAGUUGAACCCACCGCUGCUGAAGACAUUGGUCAUGAUGACAAUGUAGCUGAUGAUGAAGUUCUUCCUCAGAUCGAACAUGACGUGGUAUCAUCGCCUGUUCAUACGAACAACGAACUCAUCAGCAUUGAUCGUCCUCUGACGCCAAUUGCUCACGAUGCAUCGUGGGCUGAUCACCCACAACUACAAGACUCUCCCAGUACUCCCCAACAACAGCAACAAGCUACACUCCCCGUGCAAGAAGAGGAUGAAGACUUUGAGGCCCAGCCAACUCCAUCUCCUAAGGCGUUGCCAGCAUUUCGCAGGCUUCGUAAAGGACAAAGGCCUCAAGUUCCUCUAUCGAGCGUUAAAGAAGGAGAAGUGCAACAUUCACCUGUUGCACGUCAAGUAUUUUCUGAACCUGCUCCAACUGUAAAUUUCUCCGAGUCUGAAGCACAUGCUGCUGAAGACAUUCCGACUGCAUCAGCCGAGGAAAAUCAAGAAGUACGUGUACCUACUCCCCCAGUAAUUGAAGAAGAAGCAGUUCCUGAUGUGAACGUGCCUGUGCCCGACCCUCCUGUUCGUCAAGAGGAGGUUGACAAUGUUGAGGCUGCCAUCGCCAACGCCAAUGAAGCCAAUGACGUAGUCAUGGCUGACGCUAAUGUGGAGCCUGCACCAACUAGUGUGCCUGAAGCAAAUGUGGCCACUGAACCUGAAACCACUGAGGCUGCUGCACCUGAAGCUAAUGAGACAUCCGCUCCCGAAGCACCUGUUGUGCAGCCUGACGCCUCAGCUGUUGCCCCUGCUCCUAUUCUGCCACCAAGGCCUCACACCAUUGAGCAAGCAUACAGUCAUGGUCAGCUUUACCACUGUCCGAUGGCCCAUUCUGGUGCCUCCGCCUACUGCCUCAGGACCUCAAUUUGACUAUCAUGUUGAGCAUAGGCCUCAGGUCUAGAAGCCAAAGCCUAGGUUGCCAAGGUUUCCAGGUACUGCCAACUCACCAGGGUCCUUCAAUGCAAAUGGCUUCAAAACCCACAAUACCUUCUUUGACAGCGCCAAGAACCCCUACUCCAAGCCAAGGAUAUCAUCAUAUCGGUUCUAGAGCUAUCAGCAGAGAAGCUAUUACUCCUGCGUUCUAUAUGAUCAAGGGCGCAUUUUCCCUCAUAUGCGCCUUGAUACUGAAGCCAUUGCUGGACUGCCAUGCUUAGAAGAAGCACUUGAUUGCUUUCGUGAUGCUGGUCUGCUCCACUUUGUGACAGACAAAGAACAUUUGAAUGAAGAGCUAUUGCUUCAAUUCUAUGCUAUUCUACACAUUCGCGGCUACAACAGAGACAUCAAGACAUGGGUUCUCGAGUGGAUGACUGGAAAUGUUCAUCAUGAAGCCAAAGCUAUGGAUAUCAUCGAGCUUACAGGGCUAGCCACUCCUGGAUAACUAUAUGAACCUGACUGUCAGCUACACCGCAAUGCUUUAGAGAGUAUCUUCCAUAAGCCAGAACCCAAUAUGAGCCAGAUGUUGAGCAUGAUGAAGCCCUUGCCAUCUGACGCUGAAUAUCCAACAGAUUUCUUUGUUGGAAACCUUGAGUAUCUGCCUCACACCAUAUAUCAUAUCAUCAGGCGAACUCUAUGGCCUGUCAAAGGACAUUCAUCAGCGGUCAAGCUUGAAGGAGCUAUGAAGACUUUGGUCUUCUAUAUUCUCAAUGGCAUCAGCUUCAACACUCAAGAAUUCUUCAUCAGGCAACUUGCUGCUUCUGGCUCUGACCUAUUUGGUCUGAAGUUUUAUGCUCCAUGGGUCAUGCGCCUCAUCAAGAGACACUCAUUUGUCAAUUAUCAGCCCUCUACUCGCAAUCAUAUGAUAUUUCUGCCAGAGGUUGAUAUGUCAGUUGAAGCUAUAUACUCUGACCCUGCCAAGCGGCCUCUUUGUCUUCAGAAUAUCGAGCACCAAAGCUUCACUCAACCUAUUGAAGGUGUUCAAGUAGCGACAUGAAUCUAUCCUUUGGCUGGAAACACUCAUCUGCCUCAUCGAGCACCCACUGAAGCCACUGAAAGCACCAUUGCACAACGGCCUCGGAAGCGUUCUCGUGUUCUCAAUGACCGAGAACUUCUUGUGGCCCUUCAUCAGAAACAGGAUAAGCAUCAUUUCUGGCUCAAGAGACAGAUGCAAAGCCUCUUGGUGGAUGUCAAUCACAUUCGCAACCUUGCCACCAAGAAUGCCUUUGUUGCUCAUGAAACUUGCUGGCGAUCAUGGAAAAGUUUGACUCUGCUCAGUGCUGAAGCUGAUCUUCAAGACGAUGGCUUCAAUGAAAGAUUCCAGUUUGACUCCACCCCUCCAUGGACUGCUGUCCUACGUCGCAUUCCAUCUCUUGAAGACUCUGAAUAUUCUUCCUCAACGGCAACGGUAAAUGCCAGAGUGCUCGAUGAUGAAGAUGAUGCUACUUCAGCACCUCCUACCACUGCGUGCCUCGACACUGCGCCAAGUUCAUCUGCACCGCCAACCAACGACGACAACCUUGCUACUUCACCUACUCAUGAUGACGAGUAGAUGCUCUAUGUCUUCAAACCUUUUUGGUCCUUACUGACAAAAGGGGGAGAAGUGUAUGAGUUGAUAGUCUUCAAGCGGGUUUAUAUGGGCGGUUGCAUUAUAUUUUAUAUUUUGCUUCGUGCUUACAACUCUUGCCUUUUGAAACAUUUAGUUCUCUGAGUUGUAACACCUAAACUUGAUGGUCGUCUGCUACUUAUUUGCUUCACUGUGAUGCGAUGAUAAAUUCCGCAUGUGCGAUGAUAACUUCCGCACUUAGAUCAUUCUGUAGACGUCCAUUCUUCAUUAUGCAUGUCAUUCUACUUGCUAUAUCAGUUCAUGCAUGAUGAAUUAUCUUCAUAAGUUGAAAUGGAUCUCCACAAGUACAACCUGCCAUGUGCAUUUGCAUUCCAAAAGAAAAUUACUUAUAUGCACAUCUUCAGGGUGAGCCCUUGCAACUUAUGAAGACAAUUCCCUAUCCUUACAAUUUCACAUAUUUAUCCCCGUUGAAAACUUCAACCAGUUUGUCAUCAAUCACCAAAAAGGGGGAGAUUGUACGUGCAUCUAGUGCCACCCCUAGUUGGUUUUGGAGUAUUGACGACAAAGUUGGUUGACGGACUAAUGUGUUUGUGAGAAUUGCAGGAUAACGCAGGUAGUGUCCCUCAUCGAUUCGAUUUACCUACCGAAGAUGACCCCUAAAAAUGUAUGAAGACAUUAAAGACAAUGGUGGUAUGAGAAGAUAUUCAUAUUGAAGACUAUGACAUGAGAAGACAUUGCGUGAAGACUAUGGAGCGCGAAGACUGUGUGGUUUCGUUGUUUCCUUUUCUUCUUUGUUGAGUCAUACGAACCAUCGUACUGUUAAGUGGGGUCCAAGUGAACUAAGUUAGAGUGACUGAAGUGAUGCUCAACUCAAAUCCUAUGUCUUCGAGCGAAGACAAUGAGAGCAAACCUUAUCCAGAGCUGGAUGAGUCAGCUUUGCUUGUAGCCCAAGUAAGUUGCCGCGUGUGUUUGAAAUCUGACCAUUGGAACAUGUGUCAGUUCCUCAGUGACCCAGGGUCAUUUUGGACAAAUCAGGCCGGGUUGCCGGUGGCUAUAAAUAGCCCACCCCCUACACCAUAAAUUGGUGGCUUCUCAGAGUUUGUGCACGGCUUUUUUCGUUUGAGAGCAACCCACCUCGAAGCAUUUGAGAGAGAGAAAUCCUUGCGAGGACAAAGCCCAAACACCCAGAGCCAAAGAGUGUUAGGCAUCACUAAAGUCUUUCUGUUUGUCUGACCUGAAGACUUAUUACACUUGAGGACUGUGAAUCCUCCAACCGGUUAGGCGUCGCGUUCUGAGCAUCCAAGAGUCAUUGUGGAUUGCCGGUGAACGAAGUCUGUGAAGGUUUGGAAGUCUCCCUUGAAGACUUACCAAAGUGAUUGGGCGAGGACUGGGUGUCCUUAGCUCAAGGGGAAUAAGGUGAAGACACGGUCUUCUGAGUUAAAUCUCAGCCUCCCUAACCAGACGUACAGUUGUCACAGCAACUGGAACUGGUCUAACAAAUCAUGUGUCUUCAACAAGCAACUGGUUCUAUCCCUUCCCAACCUUACUUAAGUUUGUCUUCGUGAAGUCAUUGCCUAUCUGUGUAUCUGUUUGACUUCAUUGCUUGCUAAUACUGUUGAUUGGCUUCAUACUAUCUUCCAUCCUGAUCCUACUACCUAGCUGCUAUUAGUCCUGUACUUUCACAUCAUUGCAUACCUGACUAUGGCUUGCUUAGGGUAGUUUAUCUUCCGCUGCAUAUCAAUUAGGUCAUUUCUGUUGUUUGUCUACGAAACUUCUAAGUUUAGAAGACUUUCAUAAAAAUCGCCUAUUCACCCCCCUCUAGUCGAUACUAGCACUUUCAGUAUCAUAUCACGGGGUUUGGAUGCACCGGCAAAGUUUGCACCAACUCUCAAGGUGAGAAAGGGCAAGGCACGGUACCGAAGAGGCUAUCAAUGAUGGAAAGGUAAAAGUGCGUAUAAUCCAUGGACUCAACAUUAGUCAAAUAACUCAUAUACUUAUUGCAAAAAUCUACAUGUCAUCAAAAACCAAGCACUACGUACAUGCUCCUAGAGGGAUAGAUUGGUAGGAAAAGACCUUCGCUCGUCCCCGACCACCACUCAUAAGGAUGCACAAUCUAAGAACACGUCAUGUUUCAAAUUUGUUACACAACUUUAACCAUACCUGCAUGCUACCGGGCUUGCUAACUUCAACACAAGCAUUCUUUAAAUUCAUAAUCACCCAACUAGCAUGACUUUAAUAUCACCUACCUCCAUAUCUCAAAAUAAUUAUCAAGUAUCAAAUUGAUCAUAGCAUCCAAUUCACUUCCUAUGAAACUUUUUAUUAUACCCUACUUGGAUGCCCACCAUUAUAGGACCAAUUUUAUAACCAUAGCAAAUACCAUGCUGUUUUAAGAGACUCUCAAAAUAAUAUAAGUGAAGCAUGAGAGACUAACAAUUUCUACAAAAUUAAGCCACCGCCGUGCUCUAAAAGAUAUAAGUGAAGCACUAGAGCAAAAACUAUCUAGCUCAAAAGAUAUAAGUGAAGCACAUAGAGUAUUCUAAUAAAUUCCAAUCAAGUGGGCUUCUCCCAAAAGCUGUGUACAGCAAGGAUGAUUGUGGAAAACUAAAAAGCAAAUACCAAUAUCAUACAAGACGCUCCAAGCAAAACACAUAUCAUGUCGCGAAUAAAAAUGUAGCUCCAAGUAAAGUUACCAAUAAAUGAAGACGAAAGAGGGGAUGCCUUCUGGGGGCAUCCCCAAGCUUAGGCUUUUGGCUAUUCUUGAAUAUAUUGGGGUGCCAUGGUCAUCCCCAAGCUUAGGCUCUUGCCACUCCUUAUUCCAUAGUCCAUCAAAUCUUUACCCAAAACUUGAAAACUUCACAACACAAAACUCAACAGGAAAUCUCAUAAGCUCCAUUAGUGAAAGAAAGCAAAAACACCACAUAAGUUACUUUAAUGAACUCAUUUUUUAUUUUUAUUGGUGUUAAACCUACUGUAUUUCAAGUUCUUUAUGGUUCAUACCACUUAAUACUAGCCAUAGAUGCAUCAAAAUAAGCAAACAACACACGAACAGAAUCUGUCAAAAACAGAACAGUCUGUAGCAAUCUGUAACCAUCGCAUACUUCUAAACUCUAAAAAUCCUACCAAAAUUGGAAGUCCUUGGAAAUUUGUCUAUUGAUCCACAGCAAAAAGAAUCAACGCAAAAGCACGUUUCUGUGAAUUAACAAAAUUAUUUUCGUGCGUGCAAAGUUUCUGUUUUUCAGCAGAAUCAAAUUAACUAUCACCAUAGGUUAUCCUAUAGGUUCUACUUGGCACAAACACUAAUUAAAACAUAAAAACACAUCUAAACAGAAGGUAGAUGCAAAAUUUAUUACUAAACAGAAAAAAAAACAAAAAACACAAAUAAAAUUGGGUUGCCUCCCAACCAGCGCUAUCGUUUAACGCCCCUAGCUAGGCAUAAAAGCGAGGAUAGAUCUAAGUUGUGCCAUCUUUGGCACUCAAUUCAUAAGUAGCUUGCAUGAUAGAUUCAUAAGGUAAUUUAACUUUAUUUCUUGGAAAGUGCUCCAUGCCUUUCCUUAAUGGAAAUUGGAAUCUAAUAUUCCCCUCCUUCAUAUCAAUAAUCGCACCAAACGUUCUAAGGAAAGGUCUAGCAGGAAUAAUAGGGCAAGAAAGAUUGCAAUCUAUAUCAAGAACGAUAAAAUCUACGAGCAUCAAAUUUCUAUUUGCAACAAUGAGAACAUCAUUGAUCCUUCCCAUUGGCUUUUUAAUGGUGGAAUCCGCAAGGUGCAAAUUUAAAGACCAAUCAUCAAGAUCAUGGAAACCUAGAAUAUCACAUAAAGUUUUCGGAAUCGUGGAAACACUACCACCCAUAUCACAUAAAGCAUAACACUCAUGCUCUUUAAUUUUAAUCUUUAUAGUAGGUUCCCAUUCAUCAUUAAGUUUUCUAGCUAUAGAAACUUCCAAAUUAAGUUUUUCAUCAAAAGAUUGCAUCAAGUCAUCAACAAUAUGUUUGGUAAAAGCUUUAUUUUGACUAUAAGCAUCAGGAGAAUUCACAACGGAUUGCAACAAGGAAAUACAACUUUCUAAAGAACAAUUAUCAUAAUUAAAUUCCUUGAAAUCCAAGAUAGGGGGUUCAAUGCUAUUUAAAGUCUUGACCUCUCCAAUCCCACUUUUACCAAAUUUAGCAUGAAGAUCUAAAAACUCCGAAUCAUUGGGACGCCUUUUAACUAAAGUUGCCUCAUCUCCAGUCCCAUAUUAAGAUUCAUAUUGCAAAACAAAGAUCUAAUAGGGGACACAUCAAUAACUUUAAGAUCUUCAUCAUUACUUUCUUGGAAACUAGAAGAACACGCCUUUACAAAGAAAUCUUUCUUAGCACGCAAUCUAGCGGUUCUUUCUUUGCACUCAUCAAUGGAAAUUCUCAUAGCUUUGUGAGACUCAUUGAUAUCAUGCUUAGGAGGAGUAGAUUUAAGAUUCAAAGAAUCAACAUCAAGUGAGAGUCUAUCAACGUUCCUAGCCAAGUCAUAAACUUUGAGCAAUCUUUUCUUCAAGCAAGGCAUUAAAAUUCUUUUGAGAGAUCAUAAAUUCUUUAACACUAUUCUCAAAAUCAGAGGGCAUCUUAUUAAAAUUACCAUAAGAAUUAUUGUAUGAAUUUCCAUAAUUAUUAGAGGAAUUACUAGGGAAUGGUCUAGGAUUAAAGUUUCCUCUAUUAGCAUUGUUUCCAAAACUAUUCCUACCAACAAAAUUCACAUCCAUAGAUUCAUUAUUAUUCUCAAUCAAAGUAGACAAAGGCAUAUCAUUGGGAUCAAUAGGAGCACUCUUAGUAGCAAACAAUUUCAUAAGUUCAUCCAUCUUUCCACUCAAAACAUGAAUUUCUUCUAUAGCAUGCACUUUUUUACUAGUAGAUCUUUCGGUGUGCCACUGAGAAUAAUUAGCCAUAAUGUUAUCAAGGAGUUUUGUAGCUUCUCCUAAGGUGAUUUGCAUAAACGUGCCUCCCGCGGCCGAAUCUAAAAGAUUUCUAGAAGCAAAAUUAAAUCCGGCAUAAAAAAUUUGUAUGAUCAUCCAUAAAUUCAAACCAUGAGUAGGGCAAUUGCGAAUCAUCAAUUUCAUUCUUUCCCAAGAUUGGGCAACAUGCUCAUGAUCAAGUUGUUUAAAAUUCAUAAUAUCGUUCCUAAGAGUGAUGAUUUAGCGGGAGGAAUAUAUUUAGAGAUAAAAGCAUCUUUGCACUUGUUCCAAGAAUCAAUACUAUUUUUAGGCAAAGACGAAAAACAAAUUUUAGCACGAUCUCUUAGUGAAAAUGGAAAAAACUUCAAUUUAACAAUAUCAUUAUCCGUAUCAUUCUUCUUUUGCAUCUCACACAAAUAAACAAAGUUGUUUAGAUGGGUAGUGGCAUCUUGGCUAGGAAGGCCGGCGAAUUGAUCUUUCAUAACAAGAUUCAGCAAAGUAGUAUUGAUUUCACAAGACUCAACAUCAUUAAGAGGAGCAAUCGGAGUACUAAGGAAAUCGUUAUUAUUGGUAUUGGAGAAAUCACACAAUUUGGUAUUAUCUUGCACCAUCGCUACAAGUAAUCCAACACACAAGCAAACAAAAAAAGGCAAACGAAAGAGAGAGAAGAUUGGGAAAGAGAGGGCGAAUAAAAUGGCAAGGGUGAGUGGGGGAGAGGAAAACAAGAGGCAAAUGGCAAAUAAUGUAAAUGCGAGGGAGAUGGGUUUGUGAUGGGUACUUGGUAUGUCUUGACUUGAGCGAAGACCUCCCCAGCAACGGCGCCAGAAAUCCUUCUUGCUACGUCUUGAGCUUGCGUUGGUUUUCCUUGAAGAGGAAAGGGUGAUGCAGCAAUAGUAGUGUAAGUAUUUCCCUCAGUUUUUGAGAACCAAGGUAUCAAUCCAGUAGGAGGCUCCUCAAAAGUCCCACGCACCUACACAAACGAACAAAGAACUCGCAACCAACGCAAUAAAGGGGUUGUCAAUCCCUUCAUGGCCACUUGCGAAAGUGAGAUCUGAUAGAGAUAGUAUGAUAAGAUAAAUCUAGGUGUCAGGACCCCGACUCGAUGUCACAUCGACCUAGCCGGUAACACCUCAUAUCACUUUGCGGCCUCACGCAUGGUAUCCCCACGGGUGUCGCCUUACCUUUGCCCGGGACCGUUUGCGCCUUUUGGCUCACGUAUAUGAUAGUGUCGCUAGCAUCCAUAUGAUAAGGAGCCCGGGCUGACAUGGCUAGUCGUAAACCCAAAGUGGCACAGACCUACAGGGACAGGCAUCCAUGACCCAGCUUCGAACGUGUCGGUCAUCAGCAAGUGGGUCCGGGCUGUAGCACUGGGCUAGCAGGACUCCGGUAAACCGGGCUGUAGCGGGCUAACAGGACUCCGGUACUCAAUGCGUGACAUUUCCCCGAAGGGACAGACACAGGAACGAAGAAGGACACAUGCCGGCCAGCCUAAGUGUUCCAGAGCAGUAGCAAGCUACCAUGGCUCAGCGGUAACACUAGGAGACAUUUCCCGGUAAGAGAGGCUACUAAAGAUAAACAACUAGAUAGUCAGAUCCCACACAUACCAAGCAUUUCAAUCAUACACACAAUAUGCUCGAUAUGUGCAAAUACAACGAAGCAUCACAACAUGACUCUACGACACAAGUACUUUAUUCAAUAGGCUCCGAGGAGCGAGAUAUUACAAACAUGGGUCUCAUGACCCAACACUCAGAGCAUACAAUCAAAGCACAAGCGGAAGCUAUCAUGUCUGAGUACAGACAUCUAUAAAUGAAAAAGGCUGAAAAGCCUGACUAUCUACCAGAUCCUGCCGAGGGCACAAGAUCGUAGCUGAGGUAACAAGCUAAACGUCGAAGUCCACGCGAAACUACUAGUGAGACCGAAGUCUCUCUGCAAAAACAUAAAAUAGGCAAACGUGAGUACAAAUGUACCCAGCAAGACUUACAUCAGAACUAACUACAUAUGCUUCAUUAUCAACAAAGGGGAUGGUGGGGUUUAACUGCAGCAAGCCAGCUUUGACUCGGUGGCUAACCUGAACUACGACUGCAAGUAACUCUUUUGAGGUGGCGCACACGAGUCCACAUAUUCACCAUAUCAAUACGCCACUAUGGAUCCGCUCCCGUCUCCCUACGAGAACGCCAUCCAUAGCACUCACGCUUAUCUUGCGUAUUUUAGAGUAUCCACUUUCAAUUGUCUAUGAACUGAUAUAAGCAACCCAGAAGUCCUUUUCCGCGGACACGGCUAUUCGAAUAGAUCAUAUUAACCCUGCAGGGGUGUACUUCUUCACACACGCUCUCACCACUUACCGCCGUUUACACGACAUGUACUCGGCAACCUUCAAGCGGAAGCCCAACGUGGGUGUCGGCCACGGCCUGCCUAAACACUCAAGUCUCUAGUCCAGGUUUAUCGCCUAUUCGGGUUCCAUCCAUGAGGAGAUCCGGCCGGAGUUUCGCUCACAGCCCCAAACGAUGUGAACAGGGUUCCGUGACACCAAACGGGCGCCCGGUAUACCCGGCCACGUGCCUACCGCAUCACAGCCCACCCCUACGGUCAGCGCUGCCCACGGCCUCCAGCAUACUACAAACACCAGAAACUACUUGCAACUCCUGGACAGAGGACAAGGGUGAUUAAGAAGCCGAGAGGGUCCAUUGGUUUCGGGCCCAAUGCGUGGUAGUAGCUGAAUCAUGGAUCACAAACACAGAACUCAGUUCCUGAGGACGGCUUCAAUGAGACAACCCACCAUGUACUCCUACAUGGCCUCUCACCAGUACCCUUACCAAAUCGUGUUCACACACUUAGCUCACACACAGUAGGACAUGUUCACACGCCUCUGAUUCAUCCCCGAUGAAUCAGACCUGACUCAACUCUAAGCAGUAGCAGGCAUGACAAACAAGCAUGAAUGAGUAGGCACAACAGGGCUCAAACAACUCCUACUCAUGCUAGUGGGUUUCAUCUAAUUACUGUGGAAUGACAGGUCAUGCAGAGGAUAAAGGGGUUCAGCUACCGCAGCAUGUAACAGUUGAAUCGGUGUUGUCCUAAUGCAGUAAAAGAGAGCAGGAGCGAGAGACUAGGAUUGUAUCGGAAUGAACAAGGGGGUUUUGCUUGCCUGGCACUUCUGAAGAUAACAUUGAGUCUUCAUCAGUGUCAACGAUCACAUCAUCGGUAUCACGUUUAUCGAGAGGGGACAAUACCGGCAACACAGAAAGAAACACAAUCAAUGCAAUGCACAAUAUGAUGCAUGAUCAUGACAUGGCAAAAUGAAUGUGUUUUUGGGCUAAUGCAACUAGCAACAGAUUAAAUGAAGUUGGUUUGAAUAUAAAAUUCAAAUUCAAACUCCAUAUGUGAUUAUUCAAAUGCCAUUCACUUCAUUUGCACUAAACAGUAGUGAUAAGUUGUUCUAACAUGCAUGAAAAUGGUACAGAUGGAUUCCUUGAAUUUUUCUGGUAAUUUUUCAUAUAUAAUUUAUUUAAUUUGGAGUUACGGUUAAUUUUCUAUGAUUUAUUGAAGUUUUAGCUAUUUUCUGGAAUUUCAGAAUUAAAUUAAAUCCAGAAAUGAUUUAAUUGCGUCAGCCUGAUGUCAUGAUGACGUCAGCAGGUCAACGUGGCACAGUCCGGUCAACCCCUGACCGGUGGGUCCCAUCCGUCAGUGACUAACCUAACUAAUCUAAUUUAGUUAGCGGCCUGGGGCCCAUUGUCAGUGUCUAUUAAACUAACUAAUAUUUAGUUAACACUAAUCCUAGCCUAAUUAACAGGCCGGCCCCACAUGUCAUGGACACAGGGGGGGUCCCGCCGUGGUCAAAGUGGGUCAAUCCCACCGGCGGCUUGACGCCGGCAAGGCCAGCCGCGGUGGCGAGCCUCGGGUUUGCGUCUCCGGCGACCAAACGGCCGGCCGAGUGCACGCGCGGGGAGCUGGGGCUCGCCCGCAUCCAGGGAGGCUUGCGGCAGCAGCAGGGACGGCCGGAGCUCUCCGGAAACGAGCUCGAGGCGGCGCCGGCGUUCGGUUGUUUCUGGCUACGGGGCUGCUGCGGCCGUGGUAUCGCGUUCGUGGCACCUACAGCAGCUACGCGAGGCAGCGAGCAUGUUGGACACGACGCCCGGACCAAAUGGUCGCCGGAGUCGUGUCGGCGGUGAGUGCAGGCGGCGACGCAGUCGGGCGAAAGGGGCGAGGCGGCUACGGCGUGCCAGAGAGGGAACGGAGAGGGGGAAAAGGUUCGGUGGCUCACGGCGGUUGCAGCGGACGCCGAAGCAGGCUCGGGGAAGGCCGGACGGCGACGAGUCGAUGAUGGGGAUCCGCGGCGGCCGGCGAUGAAGAAGAGGCCGGUGACGGUGUUUUGAGGCAUCCGGCGUCGAGUGAGUCGACGGGGAGGACGAGGAGGUCGAGGGAGGACCGGCGGAGCUUCCUGGGGCGUCGGUGAGGCUAGGGGUGGCCGGUGGCCAUGGGUACGGCGACGAUGGCGGCGAGCUCCGCUCGGUGGUGCGCGAGAGGGAAACAGAGGAGGGAAUGGGGUCCAGGGGGAGAGAGGGGAGGUGCAGGGGGCGAGGGCGGCUCCGUGGCGUCGCGAGGGAGUCGGGGAGGCUGCCACGGCGAAGCAGGAGGUGGCCGGCGCUCUUCGGGCGCGCGCCACGCCUCGCCUCUGCCUACUGGCAGAGGAAGAAGAGGACAAGGAGGGAGGUGGGCUGGGCCGGCUGGGGGGGGGGCUGGGCCAGGUAGGCUGCGGUAAGUGGCCCAGGUAAGCUCUGUUUUUUUUAUUUUUUUCUCUUGUUCUGUUUGUUUUAUUUAAUAUCUUUUGCCACUGUUUUCAAAUUCAAAAUAAUUUCAUACAGUGCCAAAACAUUCUGAAAUAUUUUAUGUUACCUCUCUGGACUAUUCCAAAAGUACAUAAAACAUUUCAAAGCAUUUGAAAAUAUAUUCAUUAUAUAUUAUGAGUAUAUCCCCAAAUUCAAAUAGAUUAUUGAUUUAAAUUCAGAGACCAAAUAAUUCCUUAAAAAUAUUCCAGAAUUUUGGUUUGAUAUAUAACUCUUGCCAAAAUUCACAAAACUAUUUUUAGGGCAUUUUGGAAUCACAGAAUGCAAUUUAAAGGGUGCUUGCCCUUCUUUUAAUUAGGGUUUUGAGGCUUCUGAAUUCCUCAGUUCAAAUUUCAUUUGAAUUUAAACAUGAUGCAGCAACCAAGCUAGUCCAAGGCCAGGGUAAAGCUAGGGAUGUGACACUAGGCAUGAUCAUGUAUAUAGGCAUCACAUCCGUGAUAAGUAGACCGACUCCUGCCUGCAUCUACUACUAUUACUCCACACAUCGACCGCUAUCCAGCAUGCAUCUAGAGUAUUAAGUUCAUAAAGAACAGAGUAAUGCAUUAAGUAAGAUGACAUGAUGUAGAGGGAUAACCUCAUGCAAUAUGAUAUAAACUCCAUCUUUUUAUCCUCGAUGGCAACAAUACAAUACGUGCCUUGCUGCCCCUGCUGUCACCGGCAAGGACACCGCAAGAUUGAACCCAAAGCAAAGCACUUCUCCCAUUGCAAGAAAGAUCAAUCUAGUAGGCCAAACCAAACCGAUAAUUCGAAGAGACUUGCAAAGAUAAGUUAAUCACACAUAAAAGAAUUCAGAGGAGAUUCAAAUAUUUCUCAUAGAUAAACUUGAUCAUAAACCCACAAUUCAUCGGAUCUCGACAAACACACCGCAAAAAGAGUUACAUCAAAUAGAUCUCCAAGAAGAUCGACGAGAACAUGGUAUUGAGAUCCAAAAAGAGAGAAGAAGCCAUCUAGCUAAUAACUAUGGACCCGAAGGUCUAUGGUAAACUACUCAGAACUCAUCGGAGAGGCUAUGGUGUUGAUGUAGAAGCCCUCCGUGGUCGAUUCCCCCUCCGGCGGAGUGCCGGCAAAGGCUCCAAGAUGGGAUCUCGCGGAUACAGAAGGUUACGGUGGUGGAAAUAGUUUUUCGUGGUCGCCCUUGAUGUUCUUGGGGUACGUGGGUAUAUAUAGGAGGAAGAAGUAGGUCGGUGGACGCUCGAGGGGCCCACAAGAUAGGGGCGCGCCCAAUAGGGGGGCGCCCUCCACCCUCAUGGCCGCCUCGACUGCUUCUUUACUUGCACUCCAAGUCCUUUGGAUCACGUUCAUUCCAAAAAUCACGUUCCCGAAGGUUUCAUUCCAUUUGGACUCCGUUUGAUAUUCCUUUUCUUCGAAACACUAAAAUAGGCAAAAAAACAGCAAUACAGGCUGGGCCUCCGGUUAGUAGGUUAGUCCAAAAAUUAUAUAAAUGUGUAAAGUAAAGCCCAUAAACAUCCAAAACGGGUAAUAUAAUAGCAUGGAACAAUAAAAAAUUAUAGAUACGUUGGACAUGUAUCAGAGGUAGCGGAACCCACGACAUGCCAAGAAUGGGGGCGACCGUUCUGACAAUUCGUGUUUGCUAGUGACUCCGCCGCCCCCGUCUGGGCUCCCUUAAGUGUCGCCAUCUGUACCUGCCCUCCCGUUUCUUCCUCCUUGUUAGGAAGCGGAGCCAUCCUAAUCCUAGGGAGGCAUCGAAUCCUAGCUGGGCCCGCCCACUGCCUCCUUGACCCCUCCCUUUAAUACCCUGAAGGAGAUGGACAAGGGCAUAGGCAUCACGGGGCACUUAUCUUUUCUUCAGUCUUAAAUCUGUAGGCACUUGCCAAAUUUUAGUUCAAAUAAUGUAAUCUCUUGAAUCCAUGUUUGUGUCCUGUAAAGUUUGUACUUGUUUGAAGCAUAUCAAUGAAAAAGAUAAAACUUGGUGGGGACUCGUGCAUGUAUAUGGCCAUGCAGAGGUGGAGUGCCUCUAUAUUUUAAAAUAAAUGAGUGUCCCCGGCAGGCUAUCCUGCCGAUACCCUCUAUUUGGCAGUUGGGGAGCUCAGCUUGUCGGGCACAAAUUCUAAAGAGGGACCAACCCCUCGCCAAUCUUUCCUCAUCAAAGGCCACUGCGACCAUCCUGACCGACCCAACGUUUGAGUCAAAGGAUGGGAACACCUAAGUUUCAAAAAGCGGCGAGGGUUUCUCAUGCAAAAGUUUUUACUUACAGAACACGUAUGGAUAAGAGAUAGAACUUAUCUCUCUGGCUUGCCGGAGAUCGCAGUGCUUGCUUGUCUUCUCAUCUCCUCUUGGGGACUGAAUCCACGACAGGAGCCUGUAGAUUAUGCAGAUGAAAUGUUGCCAAAUGCAAUCUUAUCUACAUGAGGAUGCAAUGCUCAUGAUAUGAUUAUGUAUGCAUGCAAUUUGUCGGGGGGGCCCCAGCGCUUCAUUUAUUUCUCUAUUGCUCAGGAUCUGCGCCUGGCUUUGUACAAGGGGUUACAUGCAACUGAGGCAAGGCCUGUACGAAUGGGUGGCUGCCUGGCAGGGUCCAACAGCUGUGCCUUACGGGUAGAAUUUGCGAAGAUGGUCAAUAUUCCAAGAGUUUUGCAUUUGAAUGGCAUCUCCAGUCUCCAGACAGACUGCACCAGGUGUGGUGACUCGUACUACCCAGUAAGGGCCUUCCCACUUCGGCAUCAAAUUAUUUGUACCCUUGGCGGACUGACCGCACCUAAGGACAAGGUCGCCUUCCUCAAAACACCGGGCAUAAACCCUGGAUCUGUGACAGAGAUGCAGGGCUUGCUGGUAGCGUGCAGCACACGUAGCAGCCUGGAGACGGUUCACCUCGAGAAGCGCAACAUCGUCAUGCCAGUGUUGUUCCUGCGCUACUUCAUCAUAGGCAAGCACUCUAGGCCACCCGUAAAUGAGUUCCUUGGGGAUAACUGCGUCUGCCCCAUGGACUAGGGAGAAGGGACUCUGCCUGGUAGCUUGAUUUGGUGUCGUUCUGAGGGACCAAAGAACUACCGGCAGCUCAUCGAUCCAUCGCUUGUCGCGCUUCUGCAAGUUAUCAAAAGUUUCUCAUCUUGAGUCUGCCUAGCAUUUCAGCGUUCGCCCUCUCAGCUUGUCCAUUACUUCUGGGAUGUGCAACUGAGGCAAAUGAGAUCUUGCUACCGAGGACAUGAACAUAUUGCAUGAAGGCGCGGCUCGUGAACUAGCAGGUGCCAUUGUCGGCGAUGAUCCGGGUAGGGACCCUGAAACGGCACACCAAUCCUUUCAAGAACUUGAUAGCUGACUGAGCAGUCACCUUUCUCAUGGCAUCUACUUCCGGCUACUUUGUGAACUUGUCAAUGGAAACGAACAGGAAUUCAAAGCCCCCGACAUCUCGGGGGAAAGGGCAGAGGAUAUCAAGCCCCCAGACUGACAACGGCCAUGACAAAGGGAUUGUGUGAAGAGCUUGUGCGAGCAGAUGGAUGUUCUUGGAAUGGAACUGGCAGGCUUCACACUUGGUGACUAGCUCGACCACAUCUUGGUGGGCAGUGGGCCAAUAGAAUCCUUGCCGGAAUGCUUUCCCACCUAAUGCCCUUGUUCCAAUGUGGGAGCCGCACAUUCCUUAGUGUAUUUCCGCCCACAGCUCCUUUCCUUCUUCCCAACAGAUGCACUUCAAUUUCACACCAUUGGGCCUUCUUCUGUAUGGAGUGUCAUCGACAAACUGGCCCUCCGUGCUACUCUUUCAGCUUCAUCUUGCUCAUCUGGAAGUUCUCCGGUUUGGAGGAAGUGGACUAUGUGCCUCACCCAAGUUGGAGCCUAGGGAUCGAAAACAAGGACUAACGGCACUUCCAGCUCUUGUGGGGGUGCGUUCCUCAACCGCGGGGACCCAUGGCCCGGCAGAAGGGUGCAACCCAACAAGUGAUGGGUAAUUGAUUCCGGCAGGGUCCCUGCCAGGAGCCCUAGGAGGCUCUACCGGGAGAGGCUUACCGAAGUCCAAUUUCCUCCUCUGUAGGGACAUUGUUACUGGGGAUACGGAGGGCUGAGUAAGAUGGAGAACAAAAGUUCCUGGUUCCACAGGAAGCUAUUGUGCAACACACUUUGACAGAUGAUCAACUAUGCUGUUUUCCGCACGGGGUACGUGCUCUGUUUGCAAUUUGUCAAAGCGCUCCUCCAACCUUCUCACUUCCUCAAUGUAUGCCUCCAUCAAUGGACUGUGGUAAUCGUUGUUGACUUGUCUCACCACAAGUUGUGACUCUCCUCAAAUGAUCAGUUUCUUGAUUCCCAAUUCAGUGGCAAUCCUAAGCCCGACAAGGAGCCCUUCAUACUCUGCUUUAUUGUUGGUUGCUUCCUCCGGGAGAAAAUGCAUUUGGACGACGUACUUUAGGUGCUCCCUAGUGGGAGCGACGAGAAGCACGCCAGCCCCUACACCUUGCAGGGAGAAAGCACCAUCAAAAUACAUGAUCCAUUCUUGGGGCGCUUCCUUGUUGGGAAUUACUGUUUCCAUCACUUCUACGUCAGGGGUUGGCGUCCAUUCUGCAAUAAACAUUGCCAACGCCCUGCUCUAAAUUGUUGAUGUGCUCUCAAACUUCAGGCCAAAGCUGGACAACUCCAAAGCUCACUCCGCUAUUCUGCCGGUAGCCUCAGGGUACCGGAGUAUCCUUUGCAACGGAAAGCGGGUGACAACCAUAAUCUCAUGGGCUUGGAAGUAGUGGCGCAGUUUCCUUGAGGCCACGAUGAGGCAAAAAUCAACUUUUGCACACCAGUGUACCUUGAUCUAGCCCCCUGUAAUAGGGAGCUGACGAAGUACACUGGGCGCUGCACCACUUUCUUCCCUGCCGCGUCCUUGGGGUUGCCCUUGCUGUUGUGCUCCUCUCUGUCCUGAUCCUUAUCCGGUCCUGCCGGGCUUUGCUUACUCUCUGUUUCCUCUACUUCUCGCUGUGCCACUAGGGCUGCACAAGCCACUUGAUUGGUUGCUGCCAAGUACAGCAGCAAUGGCUCUUGUGGUUUAGGGGCACCGAAGUGGGCAUAGAGGACAAGUAGGUCUUCAAAUCCUGCAGUGUUGCAUCUCCCUUCGGGGUCCACUUCAUGGGGCCUUCUUUAAAAUGUUGAAGAAUGGUAAGGCGCGCUUGGAGAUGAAUCUGCUAAGCGCAGCAACGCACCCUUACUACUAGGUAAAAGGCUAGUAGUAGCACGGGUUUUAUGCCUACUAGUAGUGCAGGGACCAGUGCCACUAGUAAGGCACUACUGCUAUUCCUUAGUAGUAGUGCAUGUAGCACACACUACUGCAAAGACAUAUAGUCGUAGCGUGUAUUGUUUCCAGCGCUGCUGCUAAUCCAACUAGUAGUAGAGUGCUUCCUGUCCAGUGCUACUAGUAUUCUGUUUUUCGUUUUUUAGUUUAUUUAUACGCUGUUAUACAAAUUUUGAUACAAUGCCAAUUAAUAGGUUGUUAUAUCAUUAUGUCCAUGACGAAUUAAUAUAUCAUUGUGAGGAAGAAACAUGGAUUAGAUUCAAUUGGAUGAAUCAAAAGUUGAAUUAGGACGACGAUCCUACUAAUUCAACAUUUGGUCACUUUUGAUCCAUCCACAUGAAUCUAAUCCGUGUUCCUUCCACCAAUGAUAUAAUAACUAAUCAUGAUCAUAAUAACAAAUCAUCACGAUAAUCAUGAUCAACAUCAUCAUAUACUAAUAUGAAAACUCUUGCAUCAUAUCAUCACCAACAACACUAGCUAAUAAUCAUCAUAGUGAUUACCAUGAACACUAUUUAAUCAUCAUAGUCAUAGUGUAGCUAUCUAAUCACCACCAACACUAGCUAAUAAUAAUCAUCAUAGCCAUUACCACCAACACUAGCUAUUUAAUCAUCAUAGUCAUAGUGUAGCACAUCAUCAUCUUUAAACUCAUUCUAGCUAGCUAAUCACUCCUGCUACUCUCUCUCAGGUAAAAUAGCAUAAAACAUGUGUAGCACUCCUGCUUCAUCAUAUUGGAGAAUGCAGAUGAACCUGUCUCCUAAUUGUGGGUCGCGCUUCUGAUUGCUGCUCCCUAGUACUUCUCUGCUGUGAUCUUCACAAUUUUGCUCCGGUCUUCGACUAUUAAGACUUGCUCGCUUUUAGAAAUCAUGAAUGCACUCAUGUGCAAUGCAAGAUAUCUUGGUUGUAAGCUAACCAUUGUCAUGCUACCUUUAGGCUCGAUCCAACGAGGCACAACAUUCAUCGGGAGUCCCUGUUGAAGAACAACAUAGUAACAUACUUAGCAAUGAAGUUUAGCUUAAAAAUAAUGUAUGCAAAAGAUGCACUGAGGACAAAUAGUAAAAAUCUUACCAUCUUUCCUAAAUAGAUGUGACCAUAGUUCAAUACGCACACUAGUGGUCGCACAUAUUGAGUACUAAUAUUUCGAAGUCUAGGAAAAUAACCUGUCUUGACAGUAUCAAGAUCCUCAAGCCAUGAAACAUAAUGACCUAUCUUCUCGCAGUUUAGUUCAGCCCCGGGACAGUAGUUGGUGCUGUCUACCAAGCGUCGGACAAGUUUGCUUGAAUGGAAAUAAGUUGUCAAUAGAAAUUAGUUGUCAACUAUUUUUAAAUAAACAAUAUAAAUUACUUAAUAAAUAUGGUUGAGAAACUCACAUGAUGGUAGAAUUGGAGUCGUGUGCACAUUGACCCAGAUGUCGAUAUUACCUUCAAUUUCAUCUUUUGGAUGAAUAUCAAAGGUGAUAAGCAUAUUAGGCUCAAAUGCAUAAGCCUUGCAUAGUGCUCUCCAAUUUUUGCAUCCAAAAUAGGAGUAGGUGUCUGCAUUGUAUAAUUUUACGACAAAAGUAUAACCAUGCCCGGUCCUCAAGUUAACUCUCUUUACACUAGUAGAAAAACACCUAUUAGUCCCGGUUCGUAAGGGCCUUUAGUCCCGGUUCAUGAACCGGGACUAAUGGGUCGUUACUAAUACCUCCACCCAUUAGUCCCGGUUCAAACACGAACCAUGACCAAUGUGCCUCCACGUGGCCCUGUGCGCCGAGCCCAGUCAGGGGGGCUUUGGUCCCGGUUGGUGGCUCCAACCGGAACCAAAAGGCAUCCAUGCGUCAGCAUUCCAUUGGCUGGGUUUUUUUUGAAAGGAGGGGGGUUGGGGGUUUUGGGGGGUUAAUUUAGGUGUUUCGUAUAUUGUGUUAUCUACCUAAUUAAUAGAGAGAAGUGUCCUCUCUUAUGUCCGUACUUGGUCGAUGCUAUGUAGUAUAUAUACAUAAGUGAUCGAGAGAACCAUUCGGUACAGAAGUUCAUCAUGCAUACCGAGAGAACUGAUCGAUCGACCUCUCCUUCUCCGAGAGAUUGGUCGAACAACAAGUUUUUUACUGGCUACAUACAUGUACAAUAUGUAUAAGAUCUCUUAAUUACAAACCCCUAGCAUUUGAAAUCAAUUUCCACAUGGUAUUCUCCGGCUUUACUGAUGACGUGUUCAAGAAAGAAUCCCGCCAAUUCCUCUUGAAUUGCUUUCAUGCGAUCUGGUUCUAGGAGUUCAUCCUGCAUCUGCCACGUCUAAUUUGAAGAAGGGGGUUAAUUAAUACAUAUAUAUGAAUGAAACUCAACAGAAAUGAUGGUGUAAUAAAAUGAAAUUGUUAAUAUUAUUGCUUAGGCACUUCAUAUUGUCUUCUAGAGUAGCCCCACUUGUUUCUCAAAGUCGCGUUGUGGAUGAACUCGCACACGUAGUAUCCACAGAAAUCAUUCCCUUCCUCCUACCACAAGCACUUUACGAGAAAUAGAGGUCAAUCAAACUGAUAAUGAAGCAUUAUAAAUGGCAUUGAUGAAAAGUAUAGCUAUAGAAUCAACGGGAGAUGCACGCAACUAGCUAGCCAGUAGUACUUACUUUCGGGUAUGUAUAUCGCAGCUCCUUCGGCAGUCCCGGAGCUUGUGUGGUGAACUUAUUCCAAACCCUGCAAGACAAAGAAAAUAAUUAUUAUUACUUAAGAUAUCAGGAAAUGAACAAAAAUUUGCCGAAAUGGUGCGAUAAUGAGCAUUUCAGUGAUGUCCGCAUAGGUUUCGGGAUCUUUCCGUCUCGAGUCUAAGACGGUUACUAGUCCACGCUCAAGCUUAAUCUCCAGAAGAAUAUAGUGGUACCUGCGCACGCAUGCAUAACUCAUCAAUUACAUUACUAUAACCUCGCUCGAGUAAUAAGGGAAACCGAAUAUGCACACGACAGUAACACUCACGGGGCGUUGUAAGGAAAGAGUAUGGUAUCUUUGUUUUGAUUUUUGAUCAACGAUUGUAGCAAGUUGUCCUCGGCCUCUUCGACAUGCUUUUAAACUAGAAAUACAUCUAUGAUAUUUGUGUUAAUGAACCCAAUAUCAUAAAUUUCUUGUUUUUUGCACUCGACGAUCUUCAAUCUGCAUAAAAUAUUGAGGAUAAUUAAUUAUAAAUACAUGCAAUGAAAGAGCCAAGCUAUAUAUAGAGACUUAAUGACAGAAAUAGUACUUACAGGCAGUAGCAAAAGACCAUUAAUUUAUCGAGGGCCUUUUGAUUGAAGAACUCGAAGAACUCCUCAAAUGGAACACACAACAGAUCAUUUGAAACGAGGUCGUGCUCCUCUUUAAUGUUCAGAUACAAACUGUUCUUCCCCUCAGACUCUCUGCAGGUUUUCAUGUACUAACUAUGGAAUCUUCGCAUCAUUGUUGUCAGAGAUUUUUCAUCUUUGACGAGAGGCUUCUCGUACUCGUAUCUGAAUUCGUCCACCUCCAUGAAAUCAGGAAGUGCAUCGUCAGGCACGUAAUCUUCAAGAUUGCCAUAACCGGCCACCGUCCCCGGAGGAUUAGACACAUUGAGCGGGGGGCAAGAUUGCUGUGCUUGUUCGCCGAGCUGGGCAAUUUUUUCCCCUUUGCUCGUUCUUUUAACCUUUUAUUACUGACAGUAGCUCCCGACCGCUUGGCUUGAAGAUAUGUCUGUUCAGUAAUGCGCUCAUAGUUGGUUCUCGGUGGAGACUUUGGUGGUUUCCUCGGGGCAUCAAGAGUGCGCUUUGCUUUCACCGGAUCUACCUUCUCCUCCGGAGGUGGAUGUCUCUUUGCUUUCACCCCUUCAAAGAACUCCUUCACGUGGGCCUGCACGAUCGUAUUGUUUUCUUCCUUGGUCCUCUCGUACGGUAACUUCUCUAGAGGCUUUAGAGGUGGACCGUAUUUGUAUUGCCUCUCUCCUCUUCUUGUGCUGCUAGACGCCGGAGCAGAUGGAGCGGCUGCGGUGUCUGUCUUCUUUCGUGCUUGCUUACGAGGCGGAGGAGAAGGACUACGAUGCGCCGGAGCAGCCGGGGCGGCGGCGGGUCUCUUCCGCCCUUGCUGGCGAGGCGGAGAAGGAGGAGGCGGAGUGCCGCCACGCGCCGGAGAAGGAGGCGGAGUGCCGCCACGCGUGCCCUCAUCAUCACUCGCCGGAGGAGGAGGCGGUGGAGGAGGCGGAGUGCCGCCACGCGUGCCCUGAUCGUCACUCGCCGGAGAAGGAGGCGGUGGAGGAGGCGGAGUGCCCUGACUCGCCGGAGGAGGAGGAGGAGGCGGAGGCCUCCAGUUCAGAAGGUUGAUGAGCUCGUUCUGCCAUAGGCAUGGAGUCUUCAGAGCAGAACCCAGCCUAGUCUCCCCUUCACCGGUAGUGUGCUCAAGCACGAGGUCCUCAAAUCCCUCCGUUAUUUCAUCCACCAUCACUGUUGGGGAUAUUACCACUGGGCAUGAACCGGCCUACCUGGGCCGGGUUAACUUCAUUAGUAGUAUAAAGGUGAUCAAGCAGAUGAAGGCCCAAGGCCUGUAGUCGGUUUAGAAACUGUAGCCGUAAACCGGCUUGAUAUGUAAACUUGUAUUGUAAGUUAGGAAUAGAGAGAUACCAACCGGGAUAUGAGUAUGAACCGGUUGGGACUCUAUGGACCGACGGGCGUCACCCGUGUAUAUAAGGGAACGACCCGGCGGUGGUUCAAAGACAGACAACAACAACUCGAGGCCUAGGUGAAGCUUGUUUGCUCCCUAGUCAUCGAGACCACAUCAAUUCCAUCACAACUAGACGUAGGCUUUUACCUUCAUCGAAGGGGCCGAACUAGUAUAAACCCUUGUGUCUUUGUGUCCGCUUUAACCCCUUCAAGUUAACCCCUAGCGAUGGCUCCACGACUAAGUCCUUUCGCAAGGACAUCUGCCGUGACAAAUCCACGAUAGUUGGCGCCCACCGUGGGGCUAUCGCACGACGGUUUGAUGAUCUUAGAGGGCAAGCUCAAAGGACUCGAAGGCUAUGCUGUGGGCCGGAUGACCAAGAGUCGUCGUGGCAAGAUCUACAUCGAUGAUGUAGGAUGGGGUCCCGAAGCCGAUUCGAUCGAGUAUGGGUAUCGGGUCCCCUUUGGUGGCAUACACGUUUUUAUCAGCAAGAUUGGUGGGCCUGGGCCUGAGCCGGACAUCUGCACCGACCUCGUCGAGACGGCUCAGCGUGCGAGAUCUACCCAGGUUAAACUGGCCGUGAAGUGCACCUUCGUGGGAGUCAUCCACGGAGGAGAGCAUGAGGACGAGUCAGAAUACGGUAGCGAGACCGUCGUCUAUUCCGGCGACGAGUCUUCAACCGGAGAGACCGAAUCAUUGUACCAGUUGCAAGACGACCAGAUUCGGGGCUGUUCCGAUGGCGACAGUAUUCAGGACCCCCCAGAUUAGAUCAACCGGGUUGGAAUAUUCAUGGCCGGCACGCAGGCGGCGAAUCACUCUUCGAUCGCAGCGGCAAUGCUCUCCGGAUCAGCACCGGCAGCGGCAGCAGGGGCAGGAGGCCUUGUGCGCCCACCGGUUCAAGUUCUGUAUGACUUGUUUGACGCACUAGCUGCACUUAUGGCGGAGUCCAAUCCGGCGAAUCAGGAGGCCCAUGAUGCAGAGAUUGCAAAGGUGAGAGAGCAGAUCAUACAGGCCAAAGCCGACCUGGCAGAAGAGAAGGACAGGAUGGCCGCAGAGCGGGCCGCUUUGGACGCCCAGGCCUAUAAACUCAUGCUCGACCAGAACGCAUCACAGGAGGUCUUGAAGCAGAAGCACAGAUCACGCCUGCCGUUAGGGUUCGACCCUCGAAAUCUCUUUUACACUCCAGGAGCUGGAACCAGUAAUCCGCCGGGGCACCUGGAGGAAAACCGGGUCGAGGCACCAGGGCCAGGAGCGACGGUCCAACCCCGCCUGAUGGAACCUCCUCGACAAAACAUUGUGAUUCCUCCGCCGGUUCAGACACCUCCGGGUCAUUAUUCUAAUCCUAUGGACAAUCUUGUUGCAGCUGCUGCGUGAUUAGAAGCUAUCCCGGUCGAAGGAGACUCUCCGCAAGCAAUAGAGACGCGCCGGGUUAAGGAACUUCUCCGGACCGCUUUGAUUCAAUAGGAGGCAUAUUAAUACAGCCGCGAUCGGAUUCACUCCACACCUCGUCCAAGCCGGAGCUAUAGCAGGUGCCCGGAUGAACCGGCCAUAUCGAACAAUGUGCGAGGCCAUGAAGCGGCCCGUGGCAAUAACCCGACAGGUGGUGUUCGCGAUGCUCAGGAUGUAGUGGACCGGGCCCGGGCACGAAGGGAGGCCGAGUUAGCAGCACAGAACAAGGCGGGUCAGCUUACACCGGUUCGUCCUACCACCUCUGCCGGGCCAGGGGUCGCAUCUACUUUGGGAGUACCCUGUUUAGUCCCUGCUUUACGCAAUGUACGCCUGCCCAAAGAUUUCAAGGGUCCGCGCAAGGUGCCGAAUUACACCGCUGACUUAUCUCCAGAAGCGUGGGUAGAGAGAUAUGAGAUGGCCAUGGAGAUGCUGGAUGCGGAUGAGACCGCGUGUGCAAAGUACUUCACCAUGAUGCUUGAAGGCACGGCCCGUACUUGGUUGAAGAGCCUGCCGCCUAAUUCUAUCAGUUCAUGGGCCCAGUUGCGGGCCCGGUUUAUCCAGAAUUUCAAAGAUACGUGUAAGCAGCCCAAGUCCAUAGUAGACCUGGCGGCUUGUGUUCAGGAGGACGGAGAGUCAACAACCCAUUGGGUACGCCGCGUUUUGGAAGUCUUGCACUCGUCUGACAGGAUCAAUGCUGACUCUGCGAUCUUAACCCUGGAGGGCAACUGCCGGUUUAUGCCCUUAAAGUUGAAAUUGGGGCGUAUGAAGCGGUUCUGUAAUGACAUGGGAACUAUCAUGGCCGCUUUGGUAAAGUAUGAUGAUUCUGAUAGUACCAAGGAUCCCGAGACUGACGAUGAUGAAGCAGGGAAGGGAAAGAAGAAUAGCAACUCCAAGGGGCAUCAGUACAAACCGGCGGGCCAUGGAAACGGAGGCAAGCGUAAGGCGGAUGGCAGCAUGGACUUUGUGGCUAACACUAAUGCGCAGGACAAGGGUCAACGGCGCAGAGGUAAAGCGGCGAAUCGUAAUGGAGCUCCAAAUCCUAACCCGGAUCGCUUAAACUAUUUGUUGAAUCAGCCUUGUCCAAAGCACGGGACGACGGAGGCGCCGGCUAACCACCUUUGGAAGGAUUGUUACAUUAUGCAGGAGUUUAAGAACUCUAAUGCCUUCUGGGGUAUGACCGUGGGUCAGGUGGUGGCUCAGGAUCCGGUUUCCACGGGCCGGGUCACGAUGGAGCUUCCGGUUCAGGUUUCAAUCAGGGCGGUCACAACAACCAGAAUAAUCAGAGCGGUCAAGGGGGUUACAACCAACAGCAGCAGCAGCAGCAGUCGGGUUAUCAGAGCCAGCUAAAACAGUUGAACAAUGGGCAGUAUCACGUUUUCACAACUAGCUUGGAUAAGCGCGACCGGAAACUCCACAAGCGAGCAGUGAACUCUGUUGAACCGGCCGUACCACGUUACUUACGCUGGUCGGAGCAGCCUAUCGUGUGGAGCAGGGAGGACCACCCACCCCGGGUUGACAAUCCGGGCCAGUUUGCAUUAGUGGUAGACCCUCAGGUGGGAGGUUAUAAGUUCACCAAAGUGCUCAUGGAUGGAGGGAGCAGUAUUAACAUCCUGUACUAUGAGACAUUCCGCCGCAUGGGGCUAACAGACAAAGAUCUCAGACCGUCUAAUACGGUGUUCCAUGGUGUGGUGCCUGGCAAAUCAGCAUAUCCUGUUGGUAAGAUAGCCCUGGAGGUGGCUUUUGGGGACGAGCAUGAUUCCCAAUCCGAGACACUAACCUUUGAGGUGGUGAAAAUCCGGAGCCCGUAUCACGCCUUGUUUGGGCGGCCGGCUUAUGCCAAAUUCAUGGCACGGCCUUGUUAUAUCUAUUUGCAGCUCAAGAUACCGAGCCACAAGGGGACAAUAAUGGUUCAUGGGAGCCGCAAGAUUGCUUUGGAAUGUUAGGAAGGUGAUGCGGCCUAUGCAGAGUCGGUUUGUGCCACGGAGGAGUUGAAAUAUUAUAGGGACAAUGUUGAUCCGGCGGACAUGACCCCUUUGAAGAAGCCCACUACAGAGCAUGAUUCAGAUCUGAAGUUCAAAUCGGCGGCUGAGACCAAGCUUGUUGACUCCGUGCCCGGCGAUUCGUCCAAGCAGUUCACUGUCAGUGCCAACUUGGACCCUAAAUAGGGAAGUGCGCUCAUCGAGUUCAUCCGUGAGAAUCGGGACAUUUUUGCAUGGAAGCCUUCUGACAUGCCAGGUGUACCGAGGGAACUUGCUGAGCACACUCUUAAUGUUGAUCCAAAGUAUAAACCGGUAAAGCAGUUUCUCCGCCGGUUUAACGAAGAAAGGCGCAAAGCCAUUGGAGAGGAAGUGGCCAGGGUCUUAGCGGCUGGCUUUAUCAUUGAAGUGUUCCAUCUAGAGUGGCUUGCUAAUCCGGUGCUGGUUCUUAAGAAAAACGGCACUUGGCGUAUGUGUAUGGAUUACACGGAUCUUAACAAUGCUUGUCCAGCGGAUCCUUUUGCCCUCCCCCGCAUUGACCAGAUUAUUGAUACCACGGCGGGUUGUGAGCGUUUGAGUUUUUUGGAUGCAUACUCUGGGUAUCAUCAGAUCAAAAUGGCGGUUAAGGACCAGGAGAAGACGGCGUUUAUUACUCCCUUUGGAGCCUUCUGCUAUGUAUCUAUGCCUUUUGGGCUCAAGAGCGCCCAAGCCACUUAUCAACGGUAUGUACAAAAAUGCCUGCAUAAACAGAUCAGCUGUAAUGUGCACGCCUAUGUGGACGCUAUUGUAGUCAAGUCAAGGCAGAAGCGGACGCUGGUUGAUGAUUUGAAGGAAACCUUUGACAACUUGCGGGCUUACAAGAUGAUGCUUAACCCGGCCAAAUGUGUCUUUGGUGUUCCAGCAGGCAAGUUACUGGGUUUUCUUGUGUCCAACAGAGGAAUCGAGGCUAAUCCGGAGAAGAUUACGGCUAUCACCUCCCUGGCUAAACCGAAGUGUAUUGACGAUGUUCAGCGUUUCGCAGGCCGGAUUGCCACGCUGAGCCGGUUUAUCAGCCGCCUCGGAGAGAAGGCCAUCCCUUUAUACCAGAUGCUGAGAAAGAUAGACCAAUUCAUCUGGAGUCUGGCUGCUGAUGAAGCGUUGGAGGACUUGAAGCAGCAAUUAGCCAAUCCGCCCGUUCUUGUAGCUCCGGUCGACAAGGAGCCGUUAUUACUAUAUGUAGCGGUUAAUGCUCACGCAGUUAGCGUGGCUAUUCUGGUAGAACGCAAGGAGGCGGGCAAGGAAUAUCCGGUUCAGCGGCCGGUUUACUAUAUCAGCGAGGUGCUUAUUGAAUCCAAGCAAAGGUAUCCGCAUUGGCAGAAGCUGGUAUAUGGAGUUUUUAUGGCAAGCCGGAAGUUGAAGCAGUAUUUCCAAGGGCACCCCAUCACAGCGGUCAGUUCAGCUCCCUUGGGCGAUAUCAUACAGAACCGGGAGGCGACUGGCCGGAUUGCCAAGUGGGCUAUAGAACUUGGGCCGCACGGAUUGAAGUACAUACCUCGGAUGGCGGUGAAGUGUCAAGGACUUGUGGAUUUCAUCAAUGAUUGGACUGAGUUGCAAGCACCAGAGGAGAGGCCAGAUCACACAUAUUGGACUAUCCAUUUUGACGGAUCCAGGCAAUUGGAGGGCUCGGGGGCUGGAGUCGUAUUAACUUCCCCACGAGGUGAUAAGUUUUGUUAUGUUCUCCGCUUAAUGUUCCCUUGUACUAAUAAUGCAGCUGAGUAUGAAGCCUUUCUUCAUGGUCUCUGGAUGGCUAAGGAGAUGAACCUAAGUCGGGUUAAGUGCUUCGGUGACUCGGACCUCGUGGCUCAACAAGUGUCUGGCACUUGGGAUUCUAAAGACCCACUUAUGGCUGCAUAUCGUCGUGAGGUGGAUAAUAUUGCGGGUCACUUCAAGGGUUAUCAGGUGGAUCAUGUGGACCGUCGAAAGAAUGAAGCGGCGGACGCUUUAAGCCGGUUAGGCUCUCAGCGUAAACCGGUCCCGCCUAAUGUCUUUCUUGAUGUGUUGCACAACCCGUCAGUCAAGCUCCCGGGUGAAGCGGAUUUGGCUAUUCCUGAUCCGGAGGCUCAAUUGGUGGCAGCCCUGCAUGUCAUACCGGAUUGGACAGGUCCUUAUCUUGCAUACAUGAACCAGGGAGAGUUGCCAGAGGAUGAGAUUCUAGCCAGGCAGAUAGUCCGGCGAUCCAAGUCUAUGACUAUUGUCAAUGGCAAAUUGCAUCAUUGCAGUGUAUCAGGGGCAUUUCAACGCUGCGUUUCUCCUGAGGAAGGCUGCGAAAUCUUACGUGAAAUCCAUGAAGGGGAUUGUGGUCACCAUGCCGGUUCAAAGUCUCUGGUGGCAAAGGCGUUUCGUCACGGGUUCUACUAGUUGACAGCUCAUGCUGAUGCGGAGGACUUGGUUAAAUGUUGUGAUGGUUGUCAGAAAUUUUCAAGGCGUGCUCAUGUACCGGCUCAAGAAUUGAGGAUGAUUCCAAUUACUUGGCCGUUUGCAACAUGGGGGCUGGAUAUGGUCGGACCUUUUAAAAUAUCCAAGGAUAAGAAAACCCACCUUUUGGUGGCAGUUGACAAGUUUACCAAGUGGGUUGAAGCGGAGCCUGUCAGCAAGUGUGAUGCAGCUACAGCGGUGCAGUUCAUUAAAAAGGUGAUUUUCCGGUUUGGCUUUCCACACAGUAUCAUUACUGACAAUGGUACCAAUUUAUCCAAGGGUGCUAUGAAGGAAUUCUGUGAACGUGAGCACAUUCGACUUGACGUAUCCUCAGUGGCUCACCCCCAGUCCAAUGGGCAGGCAGAACGGGCUAAUCAAGAGAUCUUGCGAGGCAUCAAACCCCGGCUUAUGGUUCCAUUGCAGAGAACACCAGGAUGUUGGGUUGAAGAGCUACCAUCUGUGCUAUGGAGUAUCAAUACUACGCCCAACCGAUCUACAGGAUACACGCCGUUUUUCAUGGUCUACGGAGCGGAGGUGGUUCUCCCUAGUGAUAUCCGGCACGAUUCGCCUCGUGUGGCGGCUUAUGUUGAAGCGGAUAAUGAGACAGCACGGCAAGAUGCUUUGGACCUAUUAGACAAGGAGCGCGACAUAGCGGCUGCCCGCUCGGCGAUUUAUCAACAAGAUCUUCGUCGCUACCACAGUCGCCGGGUCAGAACCAGAGUUUUUCAAGAAGGAGAUCUGGUGCUUCGGCUCAUCCAAGACCAGACGGAUACGCACAAGUUAUCCCCACCUUGGGAGGGACCUUUCGUGGUCAGCAAGAAUCUGCAGAACGGGUCGUACUAUCUGAUUGAUAUUCGAGAGCAUAAAGACUCACGCACAUCAGAGGAGGAGACCAACAGGCCGUGGAACAUAGCUCAUCUUCGGCCUUACUACACUUGAGCCAUUGGCUCUAUCUAUGUGCAUAUUAUGAUAGUGUAUAUAUUAUCUUUGAUAUAAUAAAACCGGAGCCUCAGCUAAAGCGGGGUCUCUGUCCUUCCAUAUCAUGUGUGGUUACAUGGAGUGGUUCUGUUUUAAAGCGGCCUCCGGUUUACCCCUUGAAAUUUGCUUUCCAAAAAAGCUUUGUGAUAUCACUUGGGGCCUUGGUCGUGUCCAAACCAAUGCGACACCUUUUGAUAGGCGAAAUCCACCAGAUCACUUGGGGACAUGGUCAAGUCUGAACCAGUCACGCCUCUUGAUCGGCCUAAGGCCACAAAAUCACUUGGGGGCUUGGUCGAACCCGAACCAUUGCCACGCCUUUUGAUCGGCAUAUAUGCCACGGUUUCAUUUGGGGACCUGGCUGACUUGAACCAUUGUCACUCCUAUUGGGGGCUUGGUCCUGUCCGACCAUGGUAACACCAUCUGAUCAGCUCAGUAAAGCAUGUUUUUUGCAAACGGUUUUUAUAAUUGCCUUUGCUUCCAUAUUUCUUUUAUGACUAUUCCUUAAUUUUUGUUGUGUUUCCUUUAAACCAACAACACUUUUUUACCGGUUCAGCUGACGGAUUCGGUUCAUUUUAUCCGGAGAAAUAUGUCCGGUUUACCUUUCCUGUUAACAUCAUGGAGUAACAGGGGGGCUCAUAAUAACCCAGCAUGGUUUACAUGGGAGUUGUUUUCUCCCCUUUGAUGGUAAUGGUUUAUAAAACCUCCGUUUCAAGCCUGGCUAAGCCAACUUCAUGCCCAGCGAUGGCAGGUAUUUUGUAUCACCUAUUUGGUUAUAUGUCUUAAAUACAUUGAUGAUAUAUAUAUAUAUAUAUAUCAAGGUCAUAAACCGGCUGGCGGUAUAAUCGCCACCGCAGUUCAAGAUUUUCUGAUUGCAGGAAAUAUAAAUUGAGGAUUUCAAGCAAAAGCAUCAGUACUUAUGCACGAAGGCAUAUUUAAAGCGGAAGUAUUGGCUAUUCUAUUACAAGGCAACGCGGUGCCCAAAUAAGAUCAUUGUUUUCUGGCGGAUCAUAAUAAAGUAGCUAUUCAAACCGGCUUCCGGUUCAAGCCUGCUCAUCGUCCCGCGCCGCUUCAGCUUCCUCAUCUCUAUCCAUUGGCUAGAAAUCAACAGUGGUCCAGUCGAUUCCCAUUAAAGCUUGAAAGACAGCCUCUUCAUGGAUCAGAGAAGACGGUUCAAUAUCAGGAGCGUAAGUAUGCUUACGGUUUGGAGGAAUCAGAUUCUCCGCUUCAAGAGUUGGUGCAGCCACACGUUUAUUCUGAUCAUUAUACUGAGCUUGAUAAUGUGACAAGUCUGCCUCUUCAGCCAAUUGACAAGCCAGAGGGUGCACUGCAUGGUUUAUCUCCCUCAGGUCAUCCUCAUUGAACUCUGAGCCAUCUUCCUUCAAACUGGGGUAGCCUUGAGCUGCUUCAACAGGAUCGAAAUCCGGCACCCAUGCUUUUUCCCGGAUCAAGGCAUUAAUUGCUCCGGUUCGGGCAGCAGAUUUCUUCAGUUCUUCAAUCCGGGUAGGAAGCAUUGACAACCUCUUCAGAGUAUCUUGGAUUAAAGUGGGUGCCAGAUUGUUAUGAGAUGCAGUGGUGAUGAUCCGCUGCGCUCCGGUAUACAGCUGUUCAAUUAAGGUGUAGGCAGCCUUCAGCUUCUUCCGAACAUCUGACCCUAAGUGACCAAUGCGUGUACCUACAACAAUACAGGAACGAUCACAAACCGGAUCUAUUAUAAGAAAGCCAAAGUUGUCAAAGAAACCCAAAGGAACUUACCAAAGACAGCAGCGGUCAUGGCAUGCACUUGCCGCUUUACGGUGGUCAGUUCAUCUACCACCGGUUUAAGGGCAGCUUUAGCAUUUUCAGCUCUUUUUAUUAAAGCGGCCUUCUCAGUGGCCCAAUCAGCCCGCUCCUUCUUGAAGCCCUCCUUCAGCUGUUCCGUGAUGCUCAAGGCGCUGGUCAAUUCCUCCCUUGCUUUGUUGGUUUCGGCUUGUUGGGUUUUCAAAGUUUCUUGCAGAUCAGUAAUCCGGUCCUCUUUGAUCCUCACUUCAGCCUGCAUAAAGAUAGUACUUGGCUUUAGACAAACGGUACAAGAAUUUGAAGUACCAACCACAUCACAAGUUAUACGCUUGAUACUUGGGGGCUAAUGCAUCUUCAAACUUCAUCUAUUACUAAAUCACAAAGUCCCAAGCUCAAUACAGGUAUUUAACUUGGCACUUGGGGGUUAAUGGCUAUUUGCUCAAUUAUGUUCUGAUGUUACAAUCUUUAUUGGAGUCCCGGUGUAACUAUACUAAGUUGAACCGGCCCUUGGGGGCUACAUUGAUGGAUUUCAAAGUAUUGAUGACUAUAUUCAAGUCCCAGUUUGAAGAAGGUUACAAACCGGCCCUUGGGGGCUAGGAGGAUUAGUACAGUGGCAGUAAUUAAAGAAAGAAGAAGCACAAGGAAGUUACCUCAAAUUUAUCUCUCAUCAUCUUUACCAGGCCAGCUUCACAGUCACGACUAGUAUAUAGCCGGUUCAAGUAACCAGAAUGAAGAUCUUGGGCACUCAGAGCAGCAUAUGUUUCUAGAUCAACAUCUCAUUUGCCUUUGUUCAUGGCAGAAGAAUCUUCUUUCACAGUAUGUUUAGCUAAAGCGACAGGAUUCCCUGGUUCAAAGCGGCCUACGCUGGUAAUUACAAUGUCAUCAUCCUUGGACUCGCCGGUUUGUGUUGGUGCUACCGGUUUAUCAGCAUGUCUUGAAGGACUGCGGGAUUUUUCAAUCCGGACGGGGCUGGUAGGUUGGUCAACAUGGACUGAAGUAUUGAUAGGCCUCUUCUCAGUAACAGCGUCAUCAUGCAAAGGAGGGUCACUGGGAACAUCUUCAUAAACAAAUGCUUCAAGAUCUGGUACUUUGUCCUGUUCAGGGGCAACAUCUUCCUCGACCACUUUAUCCAGACGGGCUUUCUUGCUCGGUUUGGGUUUAUCCCUGAAAAAGGAACAGUAUAAGUUAUAACAUAGUAUACCAGAAGCAUAUGUUCAGUCUAGCUUACCCAAGAACCAUUUUCAGCGGUGGCAGCUGAGUGGCUGACGAUUCACCAGAGGAUGAAUGAUAAGUAACCUGAUAAUCGGAGUCGGACGGAUUAAGAGGUUGACGGAUGAAACCCGCUUUAGGAUAUAAAUUAAUAAAAAGGUCGGAGACCUCGGAGCGGCGUUUUCGAACCAGACUGUUUGGUAAACCGGCGGAGGUAACUACCUAGCCGCUGUGCCGGGUUGUGCGGCGAGCUUCAUGCUGCUGAGUCUUCAUAAGAAAUUUGGGAUCCAAGUAAGCAAGAGGAUGAGAAAAUUUAACUUUCUGGUUUGCCUGGCGAAGUUUUGGCAAAGGCAAAGGAUCUGAAUCGGAAGAAAGAAUAGUUACCUCAGCGACAUCAGCAUUACUGGCUUCAGCAUCGUCCUGACAAGUAUCAUCAUCAAUAAGGCGUGUAAAAACUAAGCCUAGUGAAUCGAGUUCUACCUCAAGGUCCGAGUUACCCACAUCAUCAUCAACAGCCGGAUCAGAUGAGGCGGUGGUUUUCCUUUUGUGAGCCGGCUUCUUGAUAACCUUGGUCUUUGGCCGGGUUGACCGUUCUGUUUUCUCCGGUUUGUCUUGCGGAAGCUUCUUGCUCCAAAAUGGAUUAUCCCCCUGGUUAAGCAACAAUUGAUGUUAGACAGAAAUAGUAGUAACAGGUUCAGUAAAAAAUACAAGCAAAAUCUUACAGCUGGCGGUUUGUUGGUAGUGCAGAAGGGGAGCAGGCCGGUUUGAGCGUAGAGGUGUUCCGGUUCAUUCAACAUUUUCUUCACAGCAUCUGUGACUUCGUCAUCGGAGAGCUGGAUUUUAGUGUGUCGGAGUGGGUCAUCGACGCUACCAGUAUACUUGCACAUUAAACCGGAGCGCCGGCUGAGAGGCAGUAUGCUCCAUGAUAUCCAACAGCGUGCAAGAUCUAUUCCUGUUAAACUGUUGGCCAUGAAGGCUCGGAGCUUGGACAGUUGUGGAGCAUAUUUACUUCUCUCCUUGGCACUUAAUCUUUGUGGAAAGGGGUGAGUGUUGCUGAGCCGCUCCGGACGAAAGCUAGGCAAAGGAUUUUCAUUGUCAGGGGAGGUGUCUUUGUAGUAGAACCAUGUUGCAUUCCACUCCUUGGGGUGAUGUGUAGUAUACCAGAAGCAUAUGUUCAGUCUAGCUUACCCAAUUCUGGCAUGGGGAUAAGGCUCCUCUUGAAGGUAUACCUCAGAGAGCACUUGGAAGUGACAUAGGUUGGUAACAGAAUUGGGGCCAAUAUCUUGCGGGCAGAGCUGAAAAUUGGCUAACACAUCCCGGUAAAAUUUAGAACCGGGCGGCUUGAAGCCCCGGGCUAAAUGAUCUGCAAAGAUCACAACCUCUCCCUCUUGAGGGGUGGGAGGACAUUCAUCACCAGGAACUCUCCAGUGGAUAGUAUCUUUGCUGUCUAAAGCGCCGAUCAAGACUAAAUCAUCCAGUUGAGUUUCUGUGACGCGAGAAGGAACCCAGUUGCACUCAUAUACUUGUUUGGCCAUGGUGAGAGCUACAAUAAAUAGGUGAUUCCGGUUCAAGAAUAUGUCGGAUAAAAGAAGGUGCUGGUCUGAACAAUGUUAAACCGAAGGCGGUACAUUUAAACCGGAUUUCUAUGAGGUGGCAUCAUAUGGAUAAAGAAUUCUGGCGGUUCAACAAGGGGACUAAUGGUGUAUACCGGUUUACUAACUUUUCUUAUAUUAAGUUAAACCGCCUGAUCUAAACAUUGAAGGCAAUUGCGGAUGGCUAAGUAUGCAGAAACAGGUUUCACAAAGUCUUAUUGCAGCAAUGGAUCUGAAGCAAGUUCAGGAAAACAGAAAAUAUUCAAAAGGGUAAAGCAGAACGGAAGUAAAUCAAUGGGCGGGUAUGUGGAUGAGAUCUAUAAACUUGAGUGUGAAACUAUAGGCGGAUGCUAAAAAGCUACUGCUAGUCAGAGCAGAGUUUCACAGAUCUAUCCAGGAGUCUGGGUACGAGCAUGAACAAGUUAUGAACACGGCAAGAACACGAACCCUAGAACAGAUCUAUGUUAAGAAGAACAGAAGGCUUACCAGAAUCGAGGAAGACGCGGAAGGCUACCGCGGUGCUCUGGUGCGUUCAGGUUGAUGCAGCGGCCCAAGACGGUGCAGAGGUCAACGGCGGCGGCGGAGCUCUGAGGCGGGCGAUGCGAGGAAGACGAAGAGAAAGAGACGAAGGGGAGAAAAGGAAAUGACCCUUCGGUCCUAUUUAUAAGGCAGGGGACGUGUGUCAGGCGCGCGAAUCCAGGAGCCAAAAAUUUCGGAAGUGGAGCUGCUGCUUUGGGCAUUGCAGAUCUAUUAAUAAAAGAAGGCGUUAUAAAUGUUAAACUUCGUGAUGACGUCAUGCCGGUUUACAGCAACCAGAGAUGAUGACGACAUGGCGGUUCACCAAUUACCAUAAGAUGUUGAAGACAAAGAUUUUUGUGAAGGAUUGACAUGAACCAGUUCAAAUCAAUCUGGGGCCUAAUGUUGGGGAUAUUACCACUGGGCGUGAACCGGCCUACCUGGGCCGGGUUAACUUCAUUAGUAGUAUAAAGGUGAUCAAGUAGAUGAAGGCCCAAGGCCUGUAGUCUGUUUAGAAACUGUAGCCAUAAACCGGCUUGAUAUGUAAACUUGUAUUCUAAGUUAGGAAUAGAGAGAUACCAACCGGGAUACGAGUAUGAACCGGUUGGGACUCUAUGGACUGACGGGCGUCACCCGUGUAUAUAAGGGGACGACCCGGCGGUGGUUCAAAGACAGACAACAACAACUCGAGGCCUAGGCGAAGCUUGUUUGCUCCCUAGUCAUCGAGACCACAUCAAUUCCAUCACAACUAGACAUAGGCUUUUACCUUCAUCGAAGGGGCCGAACUGGUAUAAACCCUUGUGUCUUUGUGUCCGCUUUAACCCCUUCAAGUUAACCCGUAGCGAUGGCUCCACGACUAAGUCCUUUCGCAAGGACAUCUGCCGUGACAAAUCCACGACAACCACCUUAGCAAAUCCUUCUGGAAUCGGCUGGCAGUGAUAAGUUGUGCCGGGUCCACUAGGAUAAACUUGGCCAACAGCCGCCUUGACCUUCAAAUUCAUCCAUCGCGCCAUAAUGUGGCAAUUUUGAGACUCUGUGACACGAUCCACGGGAUAGCUGGCAGGAGCCGUCAAGACAUGCUCCGGCUCGCCGUCAACAUCACCAGGGUCAUCUCGUUUGAUCUUAUACCGUAAUGUACCGCAUACCGGGCAUGCGUUCAGAUCCUUGUACGCACCGCGGUAGAGGAUGUAGUCAUUAGGGCAUGCAUGUAUCUUCUGCACCUCCAAUCCUAGAGGGCAUACGACCUUCUUUGCUGCGUAUGUACUAUCGGGCAAUUCGUUAUCCUUUGGAAGCUUCUUCUUCAAUAUUUUCAGUAGCUUCUCAAAUCCUUUGUCAGGCACAGCAUUCUCUGCCUUCCACUGUACCAAUUCCAGUACGGUACCGAGCUUUGUGUUGCCAUCUUCGCAAUUGGGGUACAACCCUUUUUUGUGGUCCUCUAACAUGCGAUCGAACUUCAGCUUCUCCUUUUGACUUUCGCAUUGCGUCCUUGCAUCGACAAUGACCCGGCGGAGAUCAUCAUCAUCGGGCACAUCGUCUGGUUCCUCUUGAUCUUCAGCAGCUUCGCCCGUUGCAGCAUCAUCGUGCACAUCGUCUGGUUCCUCUUCAUGUUCAGUAGCAUCACCGUAUUCAGGGGGCACAUAGUUGUCAUCGUACUCUUCUUCUUCGCCGUCUUCCAUCAUAACCCCUAUUUCUCCGUGCCUCGUCCAAACAUUAUAGUGUGGCAUGAAACCCUUGUAAAGCAGGUGGGUGUGGAGGAUUUUCCGGUCAGAGUAAGACUUCGUAUUCCCACAUAUAGGGCAUGGACAACACAUAAAACCAUUCUGCUUGUUUGCCUUAGCCACUUCAAGAAAAUCAUGCACGCCCUUAAUGUACUCGGAGGUGUGCCUUGAACCGUACAUCCAUUGCCGGUUCAUCUGUGUGCAUUAUAUAUAAUUAAGUGUGUCAAAAAUCAUUACAGAACACUAAAACCAAAUUAAUAGAAGUUCAUCAUCACACUAAAACCAAAAGUACAUACAUAGUUCUCAUCUAACAACAUAAAGCUCUGCAGAGCAUCUAAAUUAAUUAAACCAUACACUGAAACUAUGUAAAACAUUUCAAUGUGAAAACAAAUGCAAGCAUAAUCGCAACCAAUGUCACAACUGAUCCAACGGCAUAAUGAUACCAAGCCUCGGUAUGAAUGGCAUAUUUUCUAAUCUUUCUAAUCUUCAAGCGCAUUGCAUCCAUCUUGAUCUUGUGAUCAUCGACGACAUCCGCAACAUGCAACUCCAAUAUCAUCUUCUCCUCCUCAAUUUUUCUAAUUUUUUCCUUUAACAAAUGGUUUUCUUCUUCAACUAAAUUUAACCUCUCGACAAUAGGGUCGGUUGGAAUUUCCGGUUCAACAACCUCCUAGAUAAAUAAAAUCUAUGUCACGUUGGUCGGCAUAAUUGUCAUAAACAAUAAAUGAACCAAUAGUUAUGAAAAGAUAAUAUAUACCACAUCCGAAUGAUAGACAGGACGAGGGCCGACGGGGGCGGAUACCAAAACCAUUGCACUAUAUAAGAUGCAAUAAUAAAAGUAAGAAAAUUAUACAAGUAUCUAUAUAAACAUACAAGUAAGAGGCUCACCACGGUGGUGCCGGCGACGAGAUCGGCGCGGGCGAUCGAUGGCGGUGAAGACGGGGACGCGACGUGACAGACCGCUAAACCUAGACAAAUAUUGAGGAAAAUGGAGCUUGGAGGUGGAUCUUGGAGAGGAGAAAGCUUAAGUAGUGUGGCUCGAGCAUUCCAUCGAACACCUCAUGUGCAUAGGAGGUGAGCUAGAGCACCACAAAGCUCCCUCCUCGCAUGCCAUGAAAAACAGAGCAGUGAGAGUGCUCUGCUCGCGGGGUAUAUAUAGGCAACUAAUUAGUCCUGGUUCGUGGCUUGAACCGAGACUAAAGGUCAGCCUUUGGUCCCGGUUCAGGCGACCAACCGGGACCAAUGGUGGUGGGCCAGGAGCAAGGCACAUUGGUCCCGGUUCGUCCCACCAACCGGGGCCAAAAAGUCCAGACGAACCGAGACCAAUGUCACACGUGGCCCGGCCGGGCCCCGGGGCUCACGAACCGGGUCCAAUGCCCCCAUUGGUCCCGGUUCUGGAUUGAACCUGCACUAAUGGGCUGACCCGGCCUGGACCAUUGCCCCCUUUUCUACUAGUGUUACCUCCAUACUUUCCAUAGUACAGAAACCAAUCUUAUCCAAGACAUACAUUCUUGCAUGGCAGGGGAUACGCUAGAAGAAUUGUAAAAAAUUAAAACUAUAAGUUGAAGCAAAAGAAGCAGAAGUAGCAGAAGUCAUGCUUAAUUACAAAAAAAGACUUGUGAUUGUGACUUACUGUAUCCACUUCGAAGGUCUCAUCCAGCAUGAUGCUGAAGCGCCUACCACCAACUAGGUGAGGCCUGUCGCACAUGCCGCGCUCGUCUUCAUAGUAUUCACACAUAACGAAUUCCUUUUCAUUGUCAGACAUUUCCUAUGUUCAUAUUUGAAACAUUGAAAAUCAGUCGAAGGCAACUACCAGGAAACUCAACACACAGAUCACUAUUACUCAAUAUGCAACGGGUUGACCUUAGGUCUAUCGAGUCUUCCUUCCUAAACUCUUAUCUCACGUAUAUGGUGGGCACUCCCUCUCUAAUAUUGUGACCAUCGGUGAUGGUCGCUAGUCCUCCUUUCCCUAGGGCAUUACAAAUAUCUAUCACAAGGAAAAUAAGGAGAAGCGACCCCCACGACAAAAAUCGUCAUUCUUCUUCUCUCAUAUAUGGUGGAUACUGCCUCAGCGAUUUUUCGACUUUCAAUUAUGGUCGCUACUCCUUCUUUCCCUAGUGCAUAACAAAGGUCUAGCACAAAGAGAAGAAGGAGAAGUGACCCCCACCACAACAGUCGACAUUCUUCUUCUCCCAUAUAUGGUGGAGACUCUCCCUCACUGAUUUUUUGACUGUCAUGUAUGGAGCCCCGACAGACUUGAAGUCAACUCGAAAUGUCAUUUACUUCUCUUUCCAGCAAUUCCGGGGCAAUCGAUAUUUCCUACAUAUUCUAGCACAAGUCAUGCUUAAAUUCAGGGCCGGGCGGACAAAAUCCGGGGCCCUGUGCCAAACUAAAAAAUGGGGCCCUAUCUCACUAAAAAAUAACCUAACGAGCAAUUAUAAUGUAUAUAUUAAUAUAAAUCAAGCAGAUUUUUUCAUAAUAUAUAUAAUAUAAUGUCUUGCAUAACAAUUGGACGUAUAAAAAAUCAUACCUAUUCAACUCCCGGUUGCUAUUUAUUUGAAAAACUUCAUUCUUUUAGUAUUCUUUGAUAUGAAAUCUUCAAUGAUAUCCUCGUAAUCAAUCUUCUCCAACACUUCACUCUCAAGUGCUAUUGUGGCCAAAUCAUUGAGUCUUUGUUGUGUCAUAGUAGUACGCAUAUAGGACUUCAAUAGCUUCAACUUAGAAAAACUUCUUUCUGCCGAUGCAACUGUCACAGGAAUGGUGAACAGAACUCUAUAUGCAAUACUUGCAUUGGGAAAACAGUCAUGCCGCUUCAAAAAAUUCAGAAUUUCAACAGGUCCCAUAUUUUCCUUUGGCAUGAAAUUUUGAAGGAACUUCAACUCAACAAACAGAUCAUUGGCAUCAAUAUCAGAUUGUUUAUCCUUCAUAAGGGCAGACUCAAGAUUAAUACAAGAGGAUUUCAAACUAUCCUUAUCCAAUGAACGCAAUGUUUCAGAGGUAAAUAAGAAACCAAAAAUUUUCUGGUAACCUUGAUAUUGCUCAAAUCUCCUUGUGAGUGAGGAAAUUGCUUGAUCGACAAUUGGUGUAAAAUAGUUGAUUCUAAAUGAUUCCUCUGCAGACCGUGUGGCAAUAUUUGUGUCGUCUGGGUUCUCAUCAUACUAUUUCUUUCUUUUAAUCUCUCUCCUUUUACGAAAUGUUGCACCAAUAUCCAUCUCAAGUGCAAUUUCUUUGGCUAUCUCCAAUGCUUCUAAGAAACCAGUUUUGCUAUACCCCUCGAAGAAAGAAAUUAGCCCUUUCACUUUCUCAAUAGCAACAUCAAUAAGCAUAUCCUUUGUUUGCAAGUUUUUGCUUACUAAAUUAACAGCAAGCAAUACCUCAUACCAAAUGACUAUUGCCACGAUAAAUUCAUACUCUCCAAGUUCAUUAUUUGGCAAACCUAGAGCCUCACUGCUUGCCUUUGGAUCACUAUCAGUUUCAGAUACCUGAAAUUAAAAGAAAGUCCAUAAAUGUUAUGGUUGGAUUUAGUCAAAGCCUAAAGGAAUUACAUCACUAUUAAUAUGAACAUAUUGGUUACCUGAAGUAGAGCCUCCCGAAUGUCUGAACAUUGAAAUCUGAUAGCUUUAACACUUUCAACACGACUCUCCCAACGCGUAGCGGACACAGACUUGAGAGUCAAUCCUGAUACGUUUUCUUUCAAAAUAUGCCAUUUCUUAGUAGAAUUGGAAAAAAUUGUAUAGAUGCGUUGGAUGAUUUCAAAAAAGUCCUUUGCUCUACCACAAGUCUUGGCCAUAUCACAAAGUGUUAAAUUAAGGCUAUGACAACCACAAGCUGAAUAAAAAGCUCUAGGAUUUAUAUCCAAAAGUUUCCUUUGUACCCCUUGAUGCAUUCCUUUCAUAUUUGAUCCAUUAUCAUAACCUUGUCCUCGCACAUCAUUUAUAUCAAGAUCAAGAAGUUUUAGCUCCUUCUCUAGCACAUCGAAAAGUCCUUGGCCGGUUGUAUCAUCUACAUCUAGAAAUUCUAGAAAGGACUCUUCUACGCAAACUUGACUUGAAGAUGAAUCCACAUAUCUUAUAAUUAAAGACAUUUGCUCUUGGUGAAUUGCAUCAGGGGUACAAUCAAGUAUGACAGAGAAAUACUUUGAGCUCUUUAUUUUCUUGAUAAUUUCAUACCUAAUAGAAGAAGCAAGCAAGUGUAGCAAUUCAUUCUGAAUCUUAUGAUCAAGAUAAUGAGCAUGAGUUUCUUCAUUUGUAAUACGACGAACAUGCUCCUGAAUAACAGGGUCAAAUUCAGCCAACAUCUCUACCAAACCCAAGAAAUUACCAUUGCUAUCUUCAUACAGCUUGCCAUUAGUACCACGGAAUGCUAGAUUAUGCUUUGCAAGAAAUUUUACAAUGCAAACAAUUCUGAAUAAUACCUUUCUCCAAUGGUCCAUCUCUUUCUCAAGUUGUCGUUGAGCAGCUUUAUCAAUAGUUUGAUGUUUUUCCAAUCUACUACGCAACUCAUACAAAUUAGUCAUGCUCGAAACAUGAUCCACACUUGUCUCAUGAUCUUUUAGUCUAUUGGUCAUAUGUGACCAAUCAUUACAACCCUCAUUUGCCAACUGACCUUUCCGGUGACCUUUUGUAAAUAAUUUACAACCAAAACAAAAGACUCUAUCAAGUUGUUCAGAAUAGACAACCAGUCUCUAUCACAAUACUCUCCAUUUGAUAGGAUUCUAGUAUAGAAUACUGAAGUAAACCUUUUACGAUAUCUAUCUUUGGGACCUUUAGCUGACUUGUCUAUUUUUGGACCCUUCUAUGCUAAGAUAUCAAUCUGUUUAGAAUUAAGAGAAUCCCAGUUUCUUGGAUCAAAUAUAUCAGACCGAAAAAGAAUCAUCAACAUCCUCAUGAGGUGAACUAUUCAAUUUGACAUCAAUAUUAUCUUCCUCUACAUCCAUAUUAUCUGUCUCUGUGUGACUAUCUCCAGAAUCAUUGUAAGGAAUAAUUGCAAGUGCAAGGGUAGAAGGAUCCGUAGAUUGAUUACCAGAUGACACUUGCGGUGCCUUUUUUUUAACAAUAACAAAACUGUCCAUACCACCUUUAAAACAUUUAUUAAUUAAAUUUUCUUCCUCUGCUUUUUUCUUGCGCUUAUAGGCACCUGACUGAUGUUUCCCCAUGAUGACUCAAAUCUGUAUUAUUGAAACACAAGAUAAAGAAGAUGAAUAAAAUAAAAUUGAAUUUAUACAUAGCAUAUAUCAAUUGGACAUCAUGCGUCAAUGCUUGGGAAUUAGACGAACCGUCUAACUCACCUAAUUUUCGGUCCUGUGAUCUUUAACCGGGGAGGUAAGAACCAAUCUCUAAUGAAGUAAUCCCUGUCAAUAAAUAAUUAGAAAAUUAAGAAUUAGGAUUUAGGAGUAGGAACCGAAGUUAACCAAAAAGAAUGACUUGCUAAGCACCUGAAGGCUAGCAUCGGUGACCAAUCAAUCCGAUGAGAUGACGUCGACGAGUCAGAAAUUUAAGAAAGGAGUCAAGGAAGUCAACAGUGGCACCGCAACAGUGGCCUGUCGCUUAAGUCGGCCUGAAUCCGAAAUUGGAUCGGUCUAAGGAACAAGGACCAGGGACCGAGCGAGAGCUACCGAGGGAGGAGGCGGGACGAGGCGUUGACGUGACGACGUCAAGGGCUCCAGGCGUCUAGCCGUCGACGGCUCCAGCGAUCCGAUCUACUGCAGGCUGUAGCGAUCUAAUGUUUUUUUAUGGUAGCGAUCUACUAACGUAGCUAGUUAGCGAUUCCCUCGUUGCUUUUUUUUCUAAGUGCUGCCUCGUCGCCUGAUCUCGUAGCGAUGUGGAGGAGUCCCAGCGCUCCGUCCGCUCCGAUGGCCUCUCUCUCACUCGAUGGGCCUAGUCGCUCGCCGCUCGGCCCAGUUACGUUUACUGUUACUAUACCUAUAUAAAAAAUAUGGGGCCCCUUAGAAUUUUUGGCCUUGUGCGGGCUGCACCUUUGGCACCACUGUGGGCCCGGCCCUGCUUAAAUUCACGGAAUAAUCCGUCAUGACCUUUGCUAAAAUAGGACAUAUCAAGAGCCUGAAAUUUGCCGGAAUGGAAAUGAAUCAACACUCCGGCAAAACAUAGGCCACCCAAAUUUUCCCACAUUCGCUCAUUGCAUUUCAAUGGUUCAAUAUUGACAAAAACAUUUCAAUAUAUUUCUACUUUAUUCAACACCGAGGAGUAGAGAAGGAGGAGGUGGACUUUUAGCUCACCGACUUGGGUGUAGAGGAAAUAGAGGUAGCUCAGAUGACGAUCACUCCAAGGAGACAUGACCCUACAAAGCCUGCAUAUUCCACUGAGUGAAAAUUUUAGAUCAUCAAAUCUCAUAUAGCAUUCUUUGAUGACAAAGUGAUAAUGACAUAAAAAUAACUGUAUGCCAUGAUGGAGCUAUGUGCUACCCGGGGGCCGUUGCCCCCCUCCACCCUUAUUUGGUUUCAACACACACAUAGAUGGGGAAAUUGUCUUUUCCCCCUAAACUUUCUUACUAAAAUUUUUUAUUACUAAAUUUGAUACCUAAAAAUUUCUCAUGUAGCAUUCUAAUAGAUUUCUAUAAUUGAAAAUUUUCUAUACGUAAAAAAUUAUAUUACUAAAAUUUUCUAGUAUUAAAACUUUUUUAUAUUCAAAAAAACUUAUUCACUAGUCUAUUAAGCACCUGCUAUAAAUAAACUAUUUCUAUUAACCACUUGUCAGUGUCAAAACCGGCGGAUCUCGGGUAGGGGGUCCCGAACUAUGCGUCUAGGCGGAUGGUAACAGGAGACAAGGGACACGAUGUUUUUACCCAGGUUCGGGCCCUCUCGAUGGAGGUAAAACCCUACUCCUGCUUGAUUGAUAUUGAUGAUAUGGGUAGUACAAGAGUGGAUCUACCACGAGAUCAAGGAGGCUAAACCCUAGAAGCUAGCCUAUGGUAUGAUUGUUGUAAUGGUUGUGUGUCCUACGGACUAAAACCCUUUGGUUUAUAUAGACACCGGAGAGGGCUAGGGUUACACAGAGUCGGUUACAAUGGUAGGAGAUCUACAUAUCCGUAUCGCCAAGCUUGCCUUCCACGCCAAGGAAAGUCCCAUCCGGACACGGGAUGAAGUCUUCAAUCUUGUAUCUUCAUAGUCUUGGAGUCCGGCUGACGAUGAUAGUCCGGCUGUCCGGACACCCCCUAGUCCAGGACUCCCUCAGUAGCCCCUGAACCAGGCUUCAAUGACGAUGAGUCCGGCGCGCAUAUUGUUCGGCAUUGCAAGGCGGGUUCCUCCUCUGAAUAAUUCAUAGAAGAUUGUGAACACCAGGAUAGUGUCCGGCUCUGCAAAAUAAAUUCCAAAUUCCACCGUAGAGAGAAUAAUAUGUACACAAGUUCAAUCUGCUGACGUAUUUUGUGGCAUGACGUCAUACCACCACCAAGCCAUUACUUGAAUCGUUUUAUACUAUACCACCUCAGCGCGUUUAGCGAAGCGGUUUCCUUGGCACGUCUUGUCGAAGCAGAGAUCAUGUUCCCGUUAUUCUGGGAUUCCCAUCAAUACGGACGUGGGUAACCCAACCGUGCCAUUGAUGGUGGCGCUUGGGAGAUAAGCGAGUUUUACCAGGCCGGUGGGGACGCAUAGUCUUCGUCCACCUAUAUAUAAGGGGAUAAGGAUCCACCUCUUUACCUAAGCCUUCUUCCUCCUUUGCUUAUCCAUCUCCGCGCACUCGAGCUCCAGCGCCCAAGUCCGCACAUCUCGCUUCGACCUUCUCCAACCAUGUCUGGAGCGGGAGGCAAGUGGUUGGCCUCCUCCGUUACGGAGGAGCACAUCGCAAAGCUGCGCGGCACCGGAUACCUUUCCAACGACAUCACGCACCGGCUGCCCGACGAGGGGCAGCUCAUCCCCACCCCCAGGCCCCAUGAGAGGGUCGUAUUCCUUCCCCACUUCCUCCGCGGACUGGGCUUCCCACUUCAUCCCUUCGUCCGAGGCCUCAUGUACUACUACGGCCUGGAUUUCCACGAUCUGGCGCCGAACUUAAUCCUCAACAUCUCGGCGUUUAUCGUCGUGUGCGAGGCCUUCCUCUGCAUCCGGCCUCACUUCGGCUUGUGGCUCAAGACCUUCAAUGUCAAGCCGAAGGUGGUGAAGGGCGCUCAAGCGGAGUGCGGAGGCGCCAUGGUGGGAAAAAUGCCCAACGUUACCUGGCUCGAAGGGGCCUUCAUGGAGUCCAUCAAGGGAUGGCAAUCAGGGUGGUUCUACAUCACGGAGCCGCGUGACCCUAAAUGGGCAGCGGCCCCCGAGUUCAGAUUUGGUAUCCCCAUGCAGCUCACCUCCUGGAAAGAGAAGGGCUUGCUAUGGGGCAGUUCGAAGGAGCUGACAGGACUCCAGUCAUGUCUCCAGACCUUGGUGAACAAGAAGCUUAGGCUUGUCAAUGUGAUCCAGGUCAUGCUCGUCCGCCGGAUUCUCCCCUACCAAUAGCGGGCCUUCAAUUUGUGGGAGUUCGAUCCGGCACAGCACCGGACCCUCAGCGGGCUCUUCGACACAACGUACGAAGCUGCCUGGAGGGUGAUAUUCAAGGGCGGAGAAGCCCCCGUGUCCGCGACUGAAGAUUGUGGAUUCAGCACCAAGCGCCCGGCCGGCGAGGUAAGCUUUGUUAUCCUUUGUGGGACAGUUAUUUUCUUUCAUAGUUUAACUCUAUGUGGGAUCUAAAACUCCCAAUGCCUUUGAAAGGACUGGUAGAGGACGUCUGGACAGGUAGACUGUCCGGCUCCCCUUCCCGAAGACCCAGCAGACGCCCGUUUAACGGGGCUGCUAGUCCCGGCACUCUAUGUGGUGCCAGAGAAGAAGGCCAAGAAGAAGGCCACGGGAACUCGAAGAAGUUCCCGGCGCCAGGCGAUAUCGGAUUCAUCGUCCGAUGGCUCCAAGGCGGACUCCUCCCCCGAAGACGAGGAGGAGAAAGAGGACUCUCUCUCGAAGGAGGGAGAGAGAAAGAGGAAGGCUUCCCCAACGGGGGAGGCCGAAGGGUCCAAGAGGGGAAGGUCUCUUCCCUUGAACAGCUCCGCCAACGCCAACGUUGGCGACGAAGAGUGGCCCUCAAGGGCCACGCCUCCGGAAAGAUCGUAAGUAUCCGGAUUCCUGAAUGGUUUAUAAUAUCUCCUUUGUGUCACAUAGUGUCCUUCUAAUGCCGCACACUACCUGUAGUCCGGCCGAUGAUGAUCUUCUCGCUUCAUCGAGCGGGUCCUUGGCUCCGUCGGACAUGGAUUCCAUUUCGACCGCCUCCACCCCUCGUGCUAACGACGCCGAGGUGGGAUCCCAGGAGGGGACCCAUCGGGAGGAGGCUCCGGAGGUGCCGCAAGGCAGCCUCCCGGACUUUGCGCCGGACUCCAUGCCGGAACCCGCAGUGGUUCCGGAGUCCGGCAGGCGGCCCCUUCUUAAGAAGGGCAAGACCGUGACGCCGGCAGCCUCCGUCCAACUAGAGGCGCCGGACAACUUGUUGGAGGCGCUUAAUGGCGCUUCCAUCGAGGAAGAACACCGCACUAUCAUGAGUGCGGUGAUUCAGAAGGUUCAGCUUGCCAAGAGCGGGCUGACCGAAGCCUGCAGUAGCCUUCUAACAGGCUUUGAGGUAAGAAGUUUAAAAUAUGUAAUGUAAUACCGCGUAGACAGUAGCCCCUGAUGCUCAGUUCGGUGUUCAGAAAGAAAAACCGGAUUGAGUAUCUAAAAAAGAUAUACGCAGGAGUGCUAAAAAUUAUGUCAAUAUGGGUUUGCAGGCUAUGCUGCUGACCUCUGCCGCAUUGACUGCGGAGGUCGGUGCUUUGAAGCAGGACCUCGAGCAGUCCGAGCAAGAGCUCGGCCUUGCCAAGAGGCAGCUCGAGGACAAAGAAGGUGAGUAACACCACUUUUAUGUUUGUACCUUACAGAAAAGGAUUUUGGUUGCAAUAGAAAUAACAAGGAUAACGUGGGUAUUGCAGGGGCCACGAACGAGGUGGCGACCCUGAAGGAGGCCGUGUCCGUGGCCGAACGCAAUGCGGCCGCGGAACGAGCGGAGCGCGAGAAGCAGGAGGCGCGGGUGGCGGAGGUGCGGCAAGAGCUCCAGGCUCUCAUGGAAAAGCAUGAGAGUUUGGAGCGCGACUCGAAGACUCGAGAGUCCGAGCUUGCCUCGGCUCUUGAAAGUGCCAAAGCCGCUAAGGCCGAGGCCCAUAAGGCCCUCCAGGAGAUUGAGGAGGUGAAGAAAAUAGCGGCGGGUAAGGCAUUUUUCAUGCAAAGCAAGCAUGUGAAUGUAAAUUACCUGUUACUUACCCGAAUUCGGAGCUCUCCAGGGGCGUUUGCAGAUCUGUCUCGCAGCGUGUCUAGUGCUGCCGCAUUCUAUCGGGCCGAGGAGGGGAGCUCAACGGAGAAGGUCUUCUGGUCUCAGUACGCUGAGGCUGGACACCUGGUGCCCCCUAGCGACCAGCUGAAGCAGCUGGUCGAGCUCCACAAGGUAGCUGAGCAGGCCAUGAAGGGCCUCAUAGUCCGGCUGUGGCCUGGAGAGGCCAUGCCUGGGAGCUACUUCGGCCUCGUGCAGCGGCUGGUGGAUGCGUGUCCCUGGGUGGAAGUCAUCAAGUGCUCUGCCUGCAUUGAAGGUGCCCGUCGGGCCCUUGCCCGCGCAAAGGUGCACUGGGCAGGCUGGAUGCUGAGAGGCUUAUCACGGACGCGCCGCCGGCGGGCAAGGAGUAUCAUACGCCCGAAAUGUACUAUAGGGUGUCCUGAAGGGUGCCCGCAAGAUUGCGGAUGAGUGCCCCAAAGAUGUAAUUAUUGAGUAAACUCGCAAUGUGUUAUCCUGUGCGCUGAAAACUUUGUUCAUAUGCGCUAUGCAACGCUUAUUGAUUUAAAAUAUUACCUUCUUUGCGGCCGUUUAUAAAAUCUGAGAGAUGGCAAGUCGUUGGCUGCAGCCCCCAUGCCAUGAGUGCUGGGGUGUUCGGGAUAAACUUGAGCAAUCUUGUUCCCAUUUUUGGGUCCAUCUAGGGAGGCGCUCAACACAACGAACAAGGCAACCGGACUUAUAAUGCUUGAACACUCUCACUUAGCCAUAGAAUUCUAUAAUUUUAAAUUUCGGCGAAGCCCCUAGUAUUCGGAAGACCGAGUUCGGGGCGCUAUCCACGCCUGGGCCGGACAAAGCCGGUUCCUCUCUCUAAGCGACAUAAGUCUUUAAGGACUCGAAAGGACCUCUCGAACAGCGACCAGUCUCUCGCCUUAUCAUGACAGUCAGUUUUAGCUUUCUCCACUGAGGCGCUCGCCCAGCUCAACCGGGGCGCAAUCGCAGUGGUUCUCCUAGUGCUACCUUAGCCGAUGGAACGGACCGUAAGGUACCAAAACAUGGGAGCCGGGCAAACCCAACUAUUGACCCAAGACAUGAUUCGGAGCCGAUGCAUAUAAUGCUAUAAGUUCGGGGUGCCGCACUUGUGAAAGUGUUCGGACUUAUCACACCAUAAUGCGGGGAACAUAAGCCCCUGGUGUAUUCGGCCGUACCAAAAUGUACGGGUGCAAGAUGUCAUUAAUGAACAUAUAUAAAAAAAGGUAAUGCAAUUAUAGGCAAAAGGUGCUGCAUUGUUUAUUCAAGGAAUUCUGCUAUGAGUGCAGAACGAUACAAAUAGUGCGGUAAGCAAGGGUUUGGACUAACUAAACAUAUCCCCCUCCAGAGGUAGGCUGCGAACUGGUGUAUUUAACAAAUUUAAUGCUCAUAAUGGAGAUCACCUGUGUGUUCGUCAUAGCCUUUGUCCCUCCCUGGCUGUUGCGUCGUGAGUUCGGCAGAUCUACUACCAGAUAGGUUCUCUGGUGAACGGAGUCCUGUGGAUAAAAAGGAAAAAAUAAAAAACAAAAGGAGCGACACACUUGGGAGCCCUUGGUGUGGUUAAGCCGCACUCUGGGCCUGUCAUGGUCGUGCACCUCCCCUUAUGCCCAUGGUAUCUCUAGAGCGUAAUGAUGCACGCGAAGAGUUGGUCUUGCGAUCAUGCAAGGGCUGGGGUUGGGGCCGCAUUGCUACGCGUGCUUGGGACGUGACAGGUGGUCUUGAUUGAUGUUACUCCGGGCGCGUUUGGCCAUGUCCGGUCGUAUAACAGCCGGACUCGAAAAUUGCCUUAGGAGGCUGCUCUGUACUUCUGCCGCGAGAGCCGCUGUGUGUUCCUCUGUUCGAAGGGAGCGUUCAGUAUUUCUGUUGACCGUGAUGACUCCACGAGGACCUGGCAUCUUGAGCUUAAGGUAUGCAUAAUGCGGCACCGCGUUGAACUUUGCAAACGCGGUUCGUCCGAGCAGUGCGUGAUAGCCACUGCGGAACAGGACUAUGUCGAAGAUUAACUCCUCGCUUCGGAAAUUAUCCGGGGAUCCGAAGACCACUUCCAGUGUGAUUGAGCCUGUACAAUUGGCCUCAACACCUGGUAUGACGCCUUUAAAGGUCGUAUUUGUAGGUUUAAUCCUUGAGGGGUCUAUGCCCAUCUUGCGCAUUGUAUCCUGAUAAAGCAGGUUCAGGCUGCUGCCGCCGUCCAUCAGGACUCUAGUGAGGUGAAAUCCAUCGACGAUUGGGUCUAAGACCAAUGCGGCGAACCCACCAUGACGGAUACUGGUAGGGUGGUCCCUUCGAUCGAAAGUGAUCGGGCAAGAGGACCAUGGAUUGAACUUCGGGGCGACUGGCUCCAUCGCGUAUACAUCCCUAAGUGCACGCUUCCGCUCCCUCUUGGGUAUAUGGGUUGCGUAUAUCAUGUUUACCAUCCGUACUUGUGGGGGGAAACCCUUCUGUCCUCUACUGUUCGGCGGCCGGGUCUCUUCCUCGUCAUCGCUGUGUAGCCCCUUGUUAUUGUUUUCGGCAAUUAAUUUGCCUGCCUGCUUGAAUACCCAACAAUCUCUGUUGGUGUGAUUAGCUGGCUUUUCGGGGGUGCCAUGUAUCUGGCAAGAGCGGUCGAGUAUUCGGUCCAAAUUGGACGGACCCGUGGUAGUUCUUUUGAAUGGCUUCUUCCGCUGACCGGGUUUAGAGCCUCUGAAUCCGGCGUUGACUGCCGUAUCCUCAUUGUUAUGGCAAUUAACGCGGCGUUUGUUUUUGUUUCGAUGCGAACUGCCAUUGUGGUCCUUAGUAUCCGGACUGCCAGCAUUUUUGCUGAGGUUGUUGCUGCGAGCUAGCCAGCUGUCCUCUCCCGCACAAAAGCGGGUCAUGAGUGAUGUGAGGGCUGCCAUGGAUUUCGGCUUUUCCUGUCCUAGGUGCUGGGCCAGCCACUCGUCGCGGAUGUUAUGUUUGAAGGCUGCGAGGGCCUCUACAUCCGGACAGUCGACGAUUUGAUUUUUCUUUGUUAAGAACCGUGUCCAGAACUGUAUGGCCGAUUCGUCUGGCUGCUGAAUUAUGUGGAUUAGGUCAUUGGUGUCUGGUGGUCGCACAUAUGUGCCCUGGAAGUUGUCGAGGAAUGCGGCUUCCAGGUCCUCCCAACACCGAAUUGACUCUGCAGGCAUGCUAUUAAGCCAAUGCCGAGCUGGUCCUUUAAGCUUGAGUGGGAGAUACUUGAUGGCGUGGAGAUCGUCGCCGCGGGCCAUAUGGAUAUGAAGGAGAUAAUCUUCGAUCCAAACCGUGGGGUCUGUUGUGCCAUCGUAGGAUUCAAUGUUCACGGGUUUAAACCCUUCAGGGAUUUGAUGAUCCAUUACUUCGUCAGUGAAGCAUAGUGGGUGUGCGGCGCCUCUAUAUUGAGCAAUAUCACGACGUAGCUCAAGAGAGCGUUGUCUGCUGUUUUCGGCCCGGCCGGAGUUGCUGUAUCCGGCGCGACGGUAGUCGUUGUGGGUUGUGGGGCGCCCACGUGAUCCGUAGAUAGAUCUGGAUUGUCUUGCCUUGUCCUCUAAUAUAUCCCGCAAGUCCGGCGCAUUCCCUCGUGGCUUCGUACUUUUCGAGCGAUGCCGGGGUACGGUUCUGAUGGAGGGCCUAGAUGCCUCUCUGUCAUGGCCACGGGGUGGUCGAUCUGCCGUAUUAUGCGCUGGUGAUGAAUGUUUGUAUGCUUCCUCCUCUAGUCGGGGGAGCAACUUGCGUUUUGGGUAGCUUUUGGAGGGGCGUUCGAGUUCAUACUCUUCGGCCGCGAGGACCUCGGUCCAUCUGUCGGCCAGCAGGUCUUGAUCAGCUUGAAGUUGUUGCUGCUUUUUCUUUAGGCUAUUUGCCGUGGCGAUAAGCCUGCGUUUAAAACGCUCUUGUUCGAUGGGAUCCUCUGGCACGACGAAUUCAUCAUCGUUGAGGCUUGCCUCGUCUUCGGAGGGAGGCAUGUAGUUUUCAUCCUCCUCGUCUGCCGCUCUCUCUCGAGGGCUGGCUUCCCCGUCCUCCUGUGCUGAAUCUUGCUGGAGGGGGUUGUCUUCGGCACUCUCUGGGGUGUUAUUAUCUCCGGUGCCAGAAUCUCCAUUCUUACUGUGGCGGGAUUUAGAGCGGCGCCACUGACGUCGGCGCUUGGGCUGUUUAUUAGAAGAAUCUGCCUCCGCUGCUUCUUCACUGUCACCAUCCUUUGGGGUGUCCACCAUGUAUAUGUCGUAUGACGAGGUUGUCUUCCAGUGCCCUGUAGGCACUGGUUCUUGAUCGUCUCUGGCAUCGUCGUCCAUACCGUCGAUGUCUUCAGAGUCGUAGUCUAGCAUGUCGGUUAGAUCGUCGACAGUGGCUACAAAGUCGGUGGUGGGUGGGCUUUGAAUUUCUUUGUCGUCCGCAUCCCAACCAUCCUGACCGCAGUCCAGCCAGGGUUCUCCUGAUAACGAGAGAUGCUUUAGCGAAUUUAGGAUGUCGCCAAAGGGUGAGUGCUGAAAGAUGUCCGCGGCGGUGAACUCCAUGAUCAGCGCCCAAUCGGAUUCGAUUGGCAGGGGCACAGGAGGUUUGGAGUCUGGCAAGGAGUCCGGCGUCUCGGAGUCACGAGCUUUAUAAGGGACAAGAUCAGUAUUCGGCUCCAUCACCGUAGAAGUUGCUGCUCCCGAGGCGGUGGACUGCUCCGAACUAUGGGUCAGAGCGAACUCGUGUGAGGCCUCCAGGGCACUGUCCGGCGGCAGAGCUAAAUCAUGCCCAUCGUGACAGCGCGGCACGCUCGGCUGUGGCUCGAACCCGUCGAAGAUCAAGUCUCCACGGACGUCGGUUGUGAAGUUUAGGCUUCCAAACCUGACCUGAUGGCCAGGGGCAUAGCUUUCGAUCUGCUCCAGAUGGCCAAGCAAAUUGGCCCGCAGUGCGAAGCCGCCGAAUACAAAGGUCUGUCCGGGGAGAAAAGUCUCACCCUGGACGGCGUUGUUGUUGAUUGAACAAGCCAUCAAGCCUAUCGGUGACGACACAGAGGAACUCUCAAUGAAAGCACCAAUGUCGGUGUCAAAACCGGCAGAUCUCGGGUAGGGGGUCCCGAACUGUGCAUCUAGGUGGAUGGUAACAGGAGACAAGGGACACGAUGUUUUUACCCAGGUUCGGGCCCUCUCGAUGGAGGUAAAACCCUACUCCUGCUUGAUUGAUAUUGAUGAUAUGGGUAGUACAAGAGUGGAUCUACCACGAGAUCAAGGAGGCUAAACCCUAGAAGCUAGCCUAUGGUAUGAUUGUUGUAAUGGUUGUGUGUCCUACGGACUAAAACCCUCCGCUUUAUAUAGACACCGGAGAGGGCUAGGGUUACACAGAGUCGGUUACAAUGGUAGGAGAUCUACAUAUCCGUAUCGCCAAGCUUGCCUUCCACGCCAACGAAAGUCCCAUCCGGACACGGGACAAAGUCUUCAAUCUUGUAUCUUCAUAGUCUUGGAGUCCGGCUGACGAUGAUAGUCCGGCUGUCCGGACACCCCCUAGUCCAGGACUUUCUCAACCACUUACUAUAAAUAAACUAGUUCUAUUAAGCACUUACUAUAAAUAAACUAUUUCUAUUAAACACUUACUAAAAUAGUAAAAAAAACUACAUUAUACAAGAAUAAUACAAAAUAGUUUGGGGUUUAAUUAGNNNNNNNNNNNNNNNNNNNNNNNNNNNNNNNNNNNNNNNNNNNNNNNNNNNNNNNNNNNNNNNNNNNNNNNNNNNNNNNNNNNNNNNNNNNNNNNNNNNNNNNNNNNNNNNNNNNNNNNNNNNNNNNNNNNNNNNNNNNNNNNNNNNNNNNNNNNNNNNNNNNNNNNNNNNNNNNNNNNNNNNNNNNNNNNNNNNNNNNNNNNNNNNNNNNNNNNNNNNNNNNNNNNNNNNNNNNNNNNNNNNNNNNNNNNNNNNNNNNNNNNNNNNNNNNNNNNNNNNNNNNNNNNNNNNNNNNNNNNNNNNNNNNNNNNNNNNNNNNNNNNNNNNNNNNNNGGUGAAGGGCUUGGCCGGAGGAGGAGGGGGCGGUUGGAGGAGAAGGGAGGAGGUCACGGUGGGAGGAGGAGGGAGAGGAGGCAUGAGGGAGGACAACGGCAGCAAUGCGGCGGCGGCGGAGGCAGAGUGAGAAGGAGGAGGGAGGACAACGGCAGCAAUGCGGCGGCGGCGGAGGCAGAGUGAGAAGCGGGGAGUGAGGGGAGGAAGAGGAUGGUCAGGCGCGAGGGAGAAAAAAUUGCGGAUAAGGCACCCAUAGCUGUAGCGCGGGUCCAGGAAGAGCACUACUGCUAAGAUCAAUAGAAGUAGCGCCGGACGUAGACAAGCGCUACUACUAUACCUAGCCUGCCGGCAACGGUGUGGCAGUUAUAGUAGUAGCGCUUGUUGUUUAGGUCGCGCUACUGCUACUUAUAUAGUAGUAGCGACCUUAUGUACACCGCCCUAGUGGUAGAUAGCAGUAGCGCAUUUUUUUGACCAACCACUGGUGCAGAGACCUGCUAUACAAACGGUUUUUAACCCCUUCCCGUGACGACGUUUGGAAUCGUCGCUAAGUGAGUGUGGGCGAUAGGGGGUCCUUCCCACACGACCCAGAAAAUGUCAGGGAUAGGCCCUCCAGGCACAUAGGCUGGGACAAAAUGAGCUCGUGUGCGAUCUGACGGGGCAUCGAAACCCAAUUGUUUCCGUUCAUAUGUACAUCCCACACGAUGAAUCCCAGAAAAACAUUUCCGUUUGUAUGUAUAUCACACACAAUUUUUGUCUGGAAACGUUUGUGCAAGGUGACCUAACGUAAACAGUUAUCUGCCAGAAGUCGUGUGUGAUUAUUAGUUGAUCGAACACACCUACUUUCUAGAAACCAUGCGGGUUGUUUGAGUUCAUCACCCAUGGUGUUUUCUGAGUAACCGUCUACAAUAGAAAACCCCAUUAAGCAGGGAAUUAGCCUAUUAUUGAUAAUCCAUGUACUAUUCAAAUUGAUAUUUCUUAUAAAACACGCCAGAUAUUCCAUAUCCGUAUAACAGCAACCAAGAUUUGAUAAUCGAAUUACAUCAGAUGGCUUUGGGACUCAGUUACGCCAUUACACAACAGCACCAAGUUUCACAUGCAACAUCAAACACCUUUGGAAAGUAGCAUCAUACACGGUAAAUAGACAGAUGAAUCUCAUCUGGGAAAGUGUAGAAGCGGAAGGCAAAUAUUGAGCCUUUAGUGAUGUUGAAGAUGUCCUUGCAACUUUAGGCCAUUGGCUAUGGAUAAUUGCCUGCCCAACCUUCGUCCUCUUCCGCAAGACUUCAAUAUUGUACCGUGGGUGUUGAAUGAACACCUGCCUCACCUCUUGACCAUGCAGGUGGUUUGAGAGGUAAUCAUCGGUGAACUGCUUUGAAAAGUACUAAAAACAAAGAUAUGCAUAAAUUUCUAUUAUAAAUUUUGAAAUGGCGCAAGGGGUAAAAAACAAGGUAAAAGAGUUAGUACCAUCCUAUAGUUGACUAAUGUCUUCUUCAUUGUGCAAACAAAGAUCUUGCUGUUAUUCGUCACAAGUUUCUUCAUCCUAACAAUCUUUCUGAGUUUCUUUACUUGACUAAUAUUCAUGGACAUCUCAUUUCCCCAUAUGAAAAAUGGGUCGAACAGUGGGUCUAAGCCUCUAACAGCAGGACCUACAUGUGCAAGACCAAAUUGUAAGAAACCUAAACAUUAGAAUGAUUCCUCCAAUUGCACAAUAAUGUGCUAUUAGCGAAAGGACCAUGCUUGAACAAACCUCAAUGGUAAACCGCAGUAUCUCCCAUUGUUUCCCUGCAACACACACAAGGAAGAUCUUGAUCAGGUUAACUGAGAGUUGCCAUACUAUUAGUAGAAUAUGUAUUGAGUAUAGCCAAAUUCGAUUUAUUUCACAUGCAUAACAAUACAAAAUUGUACCCAUAGCAAAUGAAAAUGAAAUUGCAAAACUAAACCAAAUAGUUAAAUGGACAGUAGACCAAGUGAACCAAAAUAGUUAACUGAGCACGACAUUGCAGAAUAGAAAAAUAUACUAGAAGAUAAGAUAGUUAACGAAACAAAGAAUGCUUGAGAACAGUACUACAAAAUGUAGCAAUUUUUGGACCAAACUGUUAACUGAACAUUACAUUUCAGAGGACCAAAGUGUUAACUGAACAUUACAUUUCAGAGGACCAAACUGUUAACUGAACAUCUGAUUGCAUAUUAACAUUACAGGGGACAAAUCACUAGAAGACACUUGCGGUGGCCUCGAAAAAACAACACGAACUGUAUUUUAAGGUAGACAACAGCGUGGCGGUGCCGAUGGUGGACUCGAAGAUGAGGUGCUCCUCCAAGAUCUGGCGGUCGGCAUGCAUGGCAGCCAUAGCGACCUCGUGCGCACGUGCGGACGCGAUUUGCUUCUCCACUGCUAGAUUCUACUGAGCUCCAGGUUAUACUGCGUGCAAAAUGGCUGUGGGUGACACUUAAUUGGAGGAGGGGGACAGUGAUUUCAGCGGAAGGUGUCGCGCCAUCGGUCGGAGCAUGUGGGACGGGAAAGGAGGAGGAUGGUGUGGGUGGGGUGUGGAUUACCAGACCAUCUCGACGAGGCCACAUAGCAAGAAGAAGGGUCAGCGGUGAGGAGGCCGCGUAGCAAGAAGAAGGGUCACCAGCGAGGAAGCGGCGCUGCAAGAAGAAGGGUCGGCGGCGAGGAGGCAGCGCUGCAAGAAGAAGGGUAGCCGGCGAGGAGGCGGCGCUGCAAGAAGAAGGGUCGCCGGCGAGGAGGCGGUGCUGCAAGAAGAUGGGUAGCCGGCAAGGAGGUGGCACUGCAAGAAGAAGGGUCACCGGCGAGGAGGCUGAGCUGCCAGUAAGCACCAGUGAAGGUUUGAACUUGGAAGGCAAGGACAAACAUGGAAAUGUGUCUUUUGGUGGGAGGAAGGGAGCGGGGAGAUAGAUAUUUCCAUGGUGGCAGAAAAAUUACGCUCGAUGCUGCGAGAAACUAGCGCACAAGUGUGGUUCAAGCGGGGGCGGUGGACUGUAGACGACAAAGCUUCCUGCCUAAGCCAGACAAGACGGUGCGCCAAGAUAUUUUAUAUCGCAUCCCACACGAUUCAUUCUAGUAAACUAUUUGUAGUAUACAUGAUUUUUUGCAUUAUGUUUAGAAGGACAAAAUGGUGUUACGGAGGGAAAGGAUGGUGUUUGAAUUGCUGGAACAUUUAUUUACAGUGAACAUGCAACUACAUGAUUGUCGUGUUUAAAUUUGGAAUUAUUCUGGGUUCAUUUGGCAUUUUUAUGCAUUAAUUGAGUUUCUCGACAUUUAAUGUGCAUAAUUCAAAUUUGAACUAGAAGCACAUGCUCCAGUGCACCAAAGUUAUUUGAAAAAUCACAUGUGCAUAUUUGGGUGAAUUUCUAGGUCCCAUGCAAGAAAUGGGAAUGAAAUUCAAACAUCUGGGCGUCGUAGCUCGGCUGGGAACAUUGAGAAACUUGGUUUUUAAAUUCCUGAAAAUUCAAAACUCGCUUGAAAAUCAUGAAACUUGGCAUGGUGUCAUUUCAUGGCACCAACAUGUUGUUGUAAAAAAAUUGUCCGCAUUUGGACAAGUUUUUGGUAUAAGCUUCUUGCAAACCGGAGCUUCUCUCAAGAAGGCUCAUGGUUCCGAGAGGGAACGUGUCACCUCCAUGUGCGAAGCGACAUACGUACACUGCCUUCUCCCGCCUUAAUUUUUUUACACAAACAGAUUAGACCAAAUAGAAGUAUUGUGCUAAAUUUUGGAAUUAUUCCGGGUUCAUUUAGCCUUUUUUAUACAUUAAUUGAAUUUCUAGGAAUUUAAUGUGCACAAUUCAAAUUUGAACUACAAACACAUGCUCCAGUGCACCAAAGUUGGUUGAAAAAUCACAUGUGUGUCCUUGGGUGAAUUUCUAGGUCCCAUGCAAGAAAUGGUAAUGAACUUCAAACAUCUAGGCGUCGUGGCUCGGCCGGAAAGAUUGAGAAACUUGGUUUUUUAAUUCUUGUAAAUCCAAAAUAUGCCUGAAAAUCAUGAAACUUGUCAUGGUGUCUUGACAUGGCGCCAACAUGUUGUGGUAAAUUUUUUGGCCGAAUUGGGACAAGCUUUGGUAUAAGCUUCUUACAAACUGGAGCUUCUCUCAAGAAGGCUUGUGAUUUUGAGAGGGAACAUGUCAGCUCCGUGUGCGAAACUUGGUUUUAAAAUUCCCGUAAAUCCAAAACUCGCCUGAAAAUCAUGAAACUUGGCAUGGUGUCAUGACAUGGCACCAACAUGCUGUGGUAAUAUUUCUGUCUAAUUUGUUAAAGCGCACACAUUAACAAUCAACGAAGUCAUUUUGGAACAAGUGUUGUCAUGCUACAAAUCGGAAACACAAGUAUUACUGAAAACCGUGGGCGUUCUACUUACCAAUUAUGUGCCGCCACGUGUCCUCUUUUUUAUUGGCUAUGAGGUGUCGUGCGGGGUAGCUAUUUGUGUACGGGAGGAGUACGAUCAGACCCCUGCGCGUGCUCUUCGGGAGGAGAGCCCUUUGACCUCUAUCCAUCACGCACUUCCCUGCCAACAUCUCCAUUAAUGGUGCCCGAGCCCCUGUUUCAAGGCAUGGCUAUGUCUCACUGGAUUGAGAUUUAAGAGAGAAAAAUGAAAAUCUGAAAAGAAAGUUUUGCACGGAUCUUGAUGUAAGAUCCGACAGACCUAUAUAGCAUCAACUGCGACUUAUAGCAAGCAUGAUGAAUAUAAAGACGAUGACAGUGGAUAAUACUUGUCUUACAUAUUUAGGAACAUAAUUAAAAAAAGCCACAUGCGGCAACGCCCGAAAUACACAAGGGCAAAAUAAGAAGGAAGACAAUAAUCUGGCUUGCUGAUCUCUACUUUCUUGAUGCGUUGCUGUAGGCCGCGGGGUCUAGUCUCUACGGCGAGCAUUGAUGAGCUCGUUCCUAUCCUCAAUAUGCCGCUUGAGAGCAUCCAUGGAUUCCUCCACCAGCCUUUUGCGCUUCAUGCGCAGCACACCAUUCUCGUCCAUAAGUUUCUCGACGAUGACGCUGGUCCUCUUCAACAAAGCAGUGAUAUCCUCCUGCUGCUCCACACUUCCGACGAUCUUCGCCCUCAGAAGGUUGCGCUCGGCCUGGAGCUUCGAUUGCUCUCCCUUCACUACUAGGGAAAAGCCUAUACACAGAAUCUUAGCAGCAGCGCGGUUCAAAAUGGGGCGCUGCUGCUAACUAGUUGUAGCGCGUGUUACGUAAACUGGCUGCUGAUAAGGAUUUAGCAGUAGCGCGCUCGGCCAGAAACGCGCUGCUACAAAUAUCGACCGGCGGUGUUCACCUAACUCUAAGUAGCAGUAGCGCGGUCGCAAGAACAGCGCUACUGCUAAGUAUGUAGUAGUAGCGCGCUUUUUUCGAGAUCGCUGCUGGUAAGUUUCAGAUUGCCACAAUUUUUUGUCCCAGUUAGCAGUAGCGUCGUACCGCAAAGCGCGCUGCUACUAAAUACUUAGCAGCAGCGCGUUUUCUCUCCCGCGCUAGUGCUAACCCGCACCAACCCAACACUUUCCCCACCUGUCCCUCCCCUCCCCCUCCUCUUUUCCCUUCCCCCUACCUCCCCCUCCUCUCUUCCCUUCCCCCUACCUCCACCACAUGCUCCCACUCUCACUCUUCUUCUUCUUCUCAAUACUUCUCCCCCANNNNNNNNNNNNNNNNNNNNNNNNNNNNNNNNNNNNNNNNNNNNNNNNNNNNNNNNNNNNNNNNNNNNNNNNNNNNNNNNNNNNNNNNNNNNNNNNNNNNNNNNNNNNNNNNNNNNNNNNNNNNNNNNNNNNNNNNNNNNNNNNNNNNNNNNNNNNNNNNNNNNNNNNNNNNNNNNNNNNNNNNNNNNNNNNNNNNNNNNNNNNNNNNNNNNNNNNNNNNNNNNNNNNNNNNNNNNNNNNNNNNNNNNNNNUUCUCUCUCUUCAUUACUCCUACAUAACUACACCACCUCCAUUAAUGCAUCUCCUUUCUCUUUUUCCUUCCCCCUCCACUAGUUGAAGUUGUCUCCUCCCAAAUUAGGUAGCUAGGUAGAUGUAGGAUUUAGUUAAGUGACCUAUUUGCCCCCUAACUAGAUCUAUCUUUGUCAAGAAGAGCUUUGUGCACUUUUGAUCUCCCUACAACAUCAUCUCCACCGUGUGCUCGAUCUCGAUCGAGAUAGAGGUGAUGAAAAUUUUAUGCUUUUGCAAAAUGGAAAUGUGUUUAUGUGUGUGUGAUAUGUUUGUGGAAAUUGUGUGUGUGGCAUGAGUUGACGCUGCCAAAUUGUGCUUUUGAGUUGCCUAUGUUUUGCCGAAAUGUCGAUUUAUUUCCGUUUCGGCGAAUUCCGGGCAAACUCUAGAUCCAUAUAUGUCCUAUUUUUAGGGAAGGUCAUGCCAAAUUUUUUUAUGACUUUGAUGCAUGCAUGCAUUUUUAUAAUCAAUUUUUUUAUUAUUACCGUGCAGAGUUGACGAUGGUCAGUGGAACGAUGGUGGACAGGUGGUUGCGGUCAGCGGUGCAGGACAUGAAAGAAAAUAACCGGACAGAGGUUUUAUGUCUGUGUCGAAAAUGCAAAGGAAUAGUUUGGCUCGACCCCCAUGACGAUGGUCGUGUCGAAGCGCACCUGCUCAUGACUGGUUUCAUGGAUGGCUAUACUCGGUGGAUAAUUGAAGAUGAGGAUGACGAUGUUGAGGAUGCCGACGGGGCAGGCAAUGAUGACACGGGCCAAGACGAAGAGAUGAUCGAUAAUGGUGGCGGGGAAGAGGCCGGACAUGGCGGCAGAGAAGGGGCCGGACAUGGCGGAGGAGAAGGGGCCGGACAUGGCGGCGGAGAGAAUGACAUGGACUCCACGCAGCAGAGUUCAUCGGUACUAAGUUCAAUUGUGCGGGACCCUCAUGUUCAAGCAUUGCUUCGCAAGGAGACGAGUACUGAGAGAGCUGCUUCUAGAGAGGAAGCUAAGCUGGAGCAACUGGUGGUAGACUCGAACACUCCAUUGUAUGAUGGUUGCAAUCCUGAGGUGACCCGGUUGAGUUUCACGCUCCAACUCCUGAAGACGAAGGCUAAAAACAAAUGGACCGACACUAGCCUCGAUGAGCAUCUCAAGUACCUAAAGGAUGUUCUUCCCGCGGGUAAUCUAUGUCCUACUAGUGUUGAUGAGGCCAAGAAGAUCGUGUACCCUCUUGAUCUGCCACAUGUUAUAUACCAUGCAUGCAUCAACGAUUGCAUAAUUUAUCGGAAGGAGCACGCGGAAAAAACAAGCUGUCCGGUGUGCAAUGCUUCUCGAUACAAGAAGGUCGGGAAGAAAUGUCCCCAGAAAGUUGUAUGGUACUUACCGAUCACUCCCCGUCUCCAGAGGUAUUUUGUAGAUCCCAAGGAAGCAAAGCUAAUGCGCUGGCACGCGGAGAGGAAGAAGCCCGAAGAUGGAGAUGAUCCGAAGCUGAGACACAUGAAGGAUGGAAGCCAGUGGAGAGCGUUGAACAGCUUCUAUAGGUAUUUUGAAUGUGAUGCAAGGAACAUCGUGCUCGGCGCGUGUACCGAUGGCAUGAAUCCGUUUGGCAACCAGAACACCAACCAUAGUACAUGGCCCGUGUUUGUAUGGAUGUACAACCUCCCCCCUGGUUGUGCAUGAAAUCGAAGUACAUUCACAUGAGCAUGCUUAUUCAAGGGCCGAAACAACCAGGAAAUAAUAUUAAUUUGUAUCUGGGGCUACUUCAAGAGGAGUUAGACACAUUAUGGAAAACACCGGCCAAGACAUGGGACGCCAGCAAAGGUGAGUAUUUCAACAUGAGAGCCGCGCUGAUCACGACAGUGCAGGACUAUCUCGGUUACGGAUAUGUGGCAGGCCAGGUGUGCCAUGGAUAUUGCGGAUGCACGCGGUGCAUGGAUGAUACAACGUCUCAGCAGCUAACGUCAAGGAAAGAUGGCGGGUCUGGGAAAAUCGUGUACAUGGGGCAUCGAAGAUGGCUUGAACAGGACGACCCGUGGAGAAACCGUGGAGAUCUAUUCAAUGGUCACGCUGAGCAUCGAGGACCUCCACGUAAGCGGAGCGGUGCCGAAAUCGAUGAGCUGUUGAAAAACUGGAAGGAGUGCCCCACGCCGGGAAAGACGAUGAGAAAGGCGCCGGAGCCGCUGCUGAAGGUAUGGAAGACGAGGUCUGUGUUCUGGGACUUGGAGUACUGGCACAAACUCGAUACACCUCAUUGCCUUGAUCAAAUGCAUAUCUGUAAGAAUGUCCUUGAGAGCUUGCUCGCAACACUGAUGAACAUGCCGAAUAAGACCAAGGAUGGGCCGAAGGCAAGAAAAGACUUGCAAGAUUUGAAAAUCAGGGAAGUUCUGCACAUGCCGCCCCGUAAAAUGUCAGACGAGAGAGAGACGGAGAUAGAGGCACGGGAGAAGAAGGGCAAGAAAAUAAAGAAAGAGGAUUAUUGCCCCCCCCCCCUCUUGAUUCACCUUAAGUCAGGCUGAGAUCAAUCAAUUCUUUAAGUGCCUUACCGGAGUGAAAGUUAGUUCCGGUUACUGUGGCAAGAUAAGCAGAUAUCUAGACACGGACAAGAAAAGGUUCAGCGGGAUGAAGUCUCAUGACUGUCAUGUGAUGAUGACGCAGAUACUACCUGUUGCCCUUAGAGGGAUAAUGGACAAGCACGUCCGUGACACGCUUAUUGGUCUCUGCAACUUUUUCGACGUCAUCUCUCAAAAGUCGAUCAGUGUGAAGCAGCUCCAAAGGCUACAGGAAGAGAUCAUUGUGAUACUGAAUGAGCUUGAGAUGUACUUCCCGCCCGCGUUCUUCGACGUGAUGGUGCAUCUGUGUGUCCAUAUUGGGGAUGACAUAUUAGACCUGGGGCCGUCAUUCCUGCACAACAUGAUGCCGUUUGAGAGGAUGAAUGGGAUCAUCAAAGGAUUCAUUCGUAACAUGUCCCGUCUGGAUGGAAGCAUCAUCCAGGGCUAUUUGGCACAAGAGUGCAUCUCUUUCUGUGAGAAUUUUCUAUAUGGCGCAGACCAGCCGCCUGGUGUUAGUGUUGGUUUGCCCGUUAACAAGCACGAUGGGAGGCUCGAAGGAGAUGGUCACUGCCACGGUCGCAGGAAACUGCACGUGGCAUACUCAGAUCGACGCAGCGACUUUGACAGAGCAAACUUGGUAGUGCUACAACACCUAGACGAGGUAGAUCCUUUCGUGGCACUGCACAAAGAAAUUAUCGCAAAGAAGUAUCGUGACCGGGGGGUAUGCAAGACGGACGCCGAAGUUACUAGAGAGCACAACUCCACUUUCCUGCAUUGGUUCAAAGAGCAUAUUAUUGCUAAUCCCCUGGAGGAGGGCUCCAAGGACGGAUUGCUCAUAUACGCCUUAGCACAUGGCCCCUCGCCCAACCUCGUAACCUAUCAAGCAUAUGAUAUCAACGGAUACAUGUUCUACACGGAGGCAAAAGAUAUGGACAGUGAUGAUCAGAACUCAGGGGUGACGGUGGAAUGCAUGACCGGCAGCGACAACGGCACAACUGAACGAUUUUAUGGAAGGGUUGAGGAGAUCUGGGAGCUUGACUACUCUGGACUGCACAACACGAUGAUGUUCUGUGUCAGAUGGGCUAAGAAUGUCGAAAGAGAAAGCCGGAUGUUCACUACCAUGACUAUACCCGACGCCAAGAGCGCUACCGUGAACGCUAUCGCAAAAAAAUGAGCCAUGGGUACACGCUAAGCACGUGACACAAUGCUUCUUCAUAACUGACCCGCGCAAUCCCAGUCGUGUUGUCGCGAGGAGAGGCAAAAGGAACAUCAUUGGAAUGGAUGGAGUCGCCAACAAGGAAGACUAUGAUCAGUACGGCAACCCAAUGAAGGAAGAUGACGAUGAUGAUGAAGUAUACGUCAAAAGAAGAAUCAAUACUACAUUACCUAAGAAAAAUCGUACUCCAAGGAAAAGGCAAAGUCACAAUGAGGGGCUCGAUUAUUCUUCAACGAACAAGAAGGGAAAGAAGCUGACUCAAAAACGAAAACGUCAGCACUGAGGAAACGUAUGUUAUGGGUCCAAUGAUGUGUAAUAUAUAUAUGUUCCUAUUUUGUAUACACACUUAGCCAUUAUUAUGCAUGGCUUCAAUGAUGUGUAAUAUAUAUGUUCCUAUUUUGCAUACAUAUUUAACCGUCAAAUGAUGCAAUAUAUAUCGCCCUCCCUUCGUUCACUACCCUCGGGAAAUAAAAGUGGGAUAAAUUUAAAGGAAAAGAAAAAGGAAAACUGGCAGUAGCAACGGUAGUAGCAGCGCGUUUCUCCUAAACCGCUGCAGCUAGAGAUCUUACUAGUAGCGCAUUUCUCCUAAACCGCUGCCGCUACAGAUCUUAGUAGUAGCGUGUUUCUCCUAAACCGCUGCAGCUACUGAAUUUAGUAGCAGCGCGUUCUGACAUAAUGCGCUACUACUACGUCCACUUAACCCAAAAUUCUCACUCGCCCUGCUUCAUCCCACCAUUUCCCCCCAAAUACCCACUCUCUCUCCCCCGUCGCUCCGCCGCGCCCGAACCGGCGCCGGCGCUAGCCCCGGCGCUCUCCCCCGUCCCGGCCCUCGACCCGACCCCAGCGUCGGCACUAGCCCCCGACCAUGCCGCUCGCCCCCGACCCAGCCGCUCGCCCCCGACUCCGGCGCCGGCGCUUGCCCCCGACCCGUCGGCCCUCGCCUCCCUCCUCUCCCCUGCCGGCUGUCGUCGGGCCUGCCUCCUCGCCCCUGCACUCUCUGUAAACCCCCCCCUCUCUGCUAGGGUUGUUCAUGUUAAUUAAUUAGGUUAUCUAUUUAGUUAUGAAUGUAGCUAGGUUUCAAAAUUGGCUGAAUUUAUAUGCAAAUUUGAACUGGACAUGUGAUAUGUGCAUAUGUCAUGUUUUGGACAUGUCAUGUUUGGAAAAUGAUCCGUGUGGCCUAUGUUACGCCAGAAUGUUGAUUCAUUUCUGUUUCGGUGAAUUUCAGGCGCUCUAUAUGUCCAUUUUUUAGCAAAGGUCAUGCCGAAAUUUCCCGUGAAUAAAGGCAUGAUUUGUGCUACAUAGUUGGCAUAUCGAGUGCUGGCACAUAGAUUUCUUUUUAUGUCAUUUCUCAUCUAUUCAUACUUUUAGAAAUAAAUGAGGCCACUGUCACGCCCAAUAUGUGACCCUAUCCAAAAGGAACUCCAAGGUCCCACCAAGGAUAGACCCGCAUAUUGAAACGCUUUUGCAAGGUGGAUAUCAUUACAUCAACAUUACGUAAUGGAUGGGGAUACAUCCAAGAGGCAUACAAUGCCACAUGAAUACAACAAUACAUCAAACAUAAGACCAACAUCCGGCUACGGAUGAAACACAAACAAAAGCUCAAACGACAUCCACCCUGCUAGCCCAGGCUGCCGACCUGGAACCUAUCCCCUGAUCGAAGAAGCAGAAGAAGAACUCCAAACAAGCAAACAUCGCUCUCGCGUCAUGAUCAUCGCAUAACCUGUACCUGCAACUGUUGUUGUAGUAAUCUGUGAGCCACGAGGACUCAGCAAUCCCAUUACCAUGGGUAUCAAGACUAGCAAAGCUUAAUGGGAAAGGAAGGGGUAAAGUGGUGAGGUUGCAGCAGCGACUAAGCAUGAUAUGGUGGCUAACAUACGCAAAUGAGAGCGAGAAGAGAAGCAAAGGAACGUUCGUCAACUAGCAAUGAUCAAGAGGUGAUCCUGAACACCUACUUACGUCAAACAUAACCCAGAAACCGUGUUCACUUCCCGGACUCCACCGAGAAGAGACCAUCACGGCUACACACUUGGUUGAUGCAUUUUAAUUCGGAUCUGGUGUCAAGUUAUCUACAACCGAACAUUAACAAAUUCCCAUCUGCCACAUAACCGCGGGCACGGCUCUCGAAAGUUUAUACCCUGCAGGGGUGUCCCAACUUAGCCCAUGACAAGCUCUCGCGAUCAAUGAAGGAAUAGACCUUCUCCCAGGAAGACCCGAUCAGUCUCGGAAUCCAGGUUUACAAGACAUUUCGACAAUGGUAAAACAAGACCAGCAAAGCCUCCCGGCGUGCCGACAUCCUGAUAGUAGCCGCGCGUAUCUCGUCUUAGGCCACGACCGGAUGAGCACUACGUGCAACUAGAACCAGACCUCAAGUUUCCCCGAGGUGGCGCUGCAUGUGGCUCUAGUUUGGACCAACACUUAGACAAGCAUUGUCCCGGGGGGCUAAAAUAAAGAUGACCCUUGGGUUAAUUACUCCCAAGGGAAAAGGUAGGUGGUGGUGAGGCAAAUGGUAAAACCAAUGUUGGGCCUUGCUGGAGGAGUUUUAUUCAAAGCGAACUGUCAGGGGGGUCCCAUAAAUCACCCGAACGCGUUAGGAACGCAAAAUCCGGGAACAUAACACUGGCAUGACGGAAACUAGGGCGGCAAGAGUGGAACAAAACACCAGGCAUAAGGCCGAGCCUUCCAUCCUUUACCAAAUAUAUAGAUGCAUUAAUAAUAUAAGAGAUAUUGUGAUAUCCCAACAUAACCCUGUCCACCAUGGAGCAAUCUUCAACUUCACCUGCAACUAACAAUGUUAUAAGAGGGGCUGAGCAAAAGCGGUAAUAUAGCCAAGCAACGGUUUGCUAGGAAUGGUGUCAAAGGUUAGAGGUUCAUGGCAAUUUGGGAGGCUUGACGAGCAAAUGAUAGGUAACGCAGCAAAGCGAUAGAACGAAGCAACUAGCAUAGCAAUGAUAGUAGUGUGAUCCAGGGUAGCGGUCACCUUGCCUGAAAUCCCGCAAGGAAGAAGAACGAGUCCAUGAAUAAGAUGAAGCCACGAAGACGAACCAAGCGUAGACGAACGAAUCCUCACGAUCGCAACGGAACGGGAACUAUCGAGAAGAAGCACACAACAUAGUAAACACACCACACAUGACAAGACAUGAUGCACAACAAGCAUGAUGCAUGAGAAAGCUAGAUGAGGAUACUCAUGGAAAGAGAUGAUGCAAACAAGAACAACACAUCAAAGCAAGUUUAAAUGAGGCCGGGAACAACAUAUAACAAAUCCGGUAAGUCCUCAUAUGCAAAUUUCGAAAUUGGUCCAGAUCUGAAUAAACAUUAUAUUCAAGUUUUUAAACAGCAAGUUAAGAUCACCAAGAUGACCUACACGAAAUUCUAGUCAAGUUACAUAUAAAGUUCAUUAGAUUCGGAGCUUCGGCCUAGAAGAUACGAGCAAAACAAGUUAAACAUGACAUUGAUGCAAAAUGCAUACAAACAUCAAGCAAACACCUCAAAACAAGGAUGCAACAUGCUAAUAUGAAGCUACAUGCAAAAUCAAGCAAGUUUCAUAUAGAGCACACUCAAAACGGAGCAACGGUUCAACACAUACACUCUAUAGAAGUCAUAACAACAAUCUGUCCAAAACAGCAACUAGGCAUCUUGCAAGCAUCAAAACAAUAUGCUACAACACCCCAACAUAAGAACAAAAGGCAUGCGCAUGAAGUACAGGUAAAGCAUAACAAAACAUGAACACUGAGCUAUCUCCAGAAAAGACUAGAACAUGCUCAAAAUGACAUGCUAAGAUUUCAAAUAAUAACAGUUUCAGACUUUAGCAGAAAUAACAUCAGGUUGCAAUGUUUAGAGCUAUCAAACAGCAUGAUAAAGGAACUUAUCAUGGAAAACAAAGGCAUGGCAUGAUACUACUAAAUGCAUAGAACAAGAGUCCCUUACUAACCAUGAGCCAAAAAGGAACAGAAAAUAUGAUGGCACACAUGUAAACAUGGCAAGUUAUAUGACACAUUCAAACAUGGCAGGAACAACAAUAAGUAGGCAUGUUGGUGAGCUUCAACCACUCACCACAGAGCAAUACAUGGCAUAGCAAGGCAACCAACAGUAAGAAGACAUGUUUUUCAAGCUAUACAUGGCAAUAGCAAGGUCAUAGGGUUCAUGGAUCACUAGGAAAACACAUGGAAACAACUGAACAUAAUGUAAACAGGCUGACAGCAACAUUAUGAAGCAACUUUAGAGCAAGAUAACAACAUGUUCCAGCAGCUAUAAUUGCAACCAAGGGCAUGAAUGGAUAGAGCAAGACAUGUAUAUCAAAACAUGUUUAUAGAGCAUCUCCAGAUUAUGCAUAGAAUGAUUACUAGAAGCAUGUUAACAUAGCAACAAACUAUAACAGAAUCUGUCUAGCAAAACAGCAACAUCAUGUACACUACUUAACAAGCUCGAUUCACUCACCACAAGUCAUUGCAUGAAAAUAUAAGCAUAGCAUCAUCAAGAAGGCAUGUUUGUGUAGCCAACCAAGGCAAGAACAAGUCCAUGGCGUGCAAGGAUGAACUAUAGCAACCUUGGCUAAAUUGAAUAACAAGUAAACAAUCUGCCAGAAAACAUUUUGAAGCAAAAGUAGAGCACUCAAAUGACAUGCUAGGCUACUCCAUAAUUGCAAACAAGGGCAUGAAUGGAUAGAAAAUGACCAUAUGUUCAAAACACCCUUACUGAAGUAUCUCAAAAUAUGCAUGGAUCUCUCUGUAGCAUCAAGUUUACUUGGCAUCAAAAUAACAGCAGAACAGGGACUAAAAUCAGCAAUAUCACGAAGCCUAGUUUUCAUGCUUGUGCUAGUCACCACAUUGAUCAAAAAAAUACAUGGCAUACACCCCUGGAAAGAUGGCAUGGCAUAGAUCAAAACACAUGUAGACAUCAACCUCAUAGGAUGCACACAUCAAUCAUGGCAAAAAUGACAAAUGAGCAAGUUAUAACAGUUUCAGCAGAUUAACAUCAACAUGCACUCUUCCAACAUCAUUUCGGGCCUCAAGAUGAGCUCAAAUAAAAAUGAUGCAAUGGAAUGAAAUGAAGCACUCGUUGAGAAGAACAAUUUUGACAUAUUACACGCACGAAACGGAGAUACGGAUGCAGAGAUACAAUGCGAUGAACCUGCUAUGAUUAUGUCAAAAAUUCUCAGGGACUUAGUAGAAUUUUAGACCUCGCGGGAAAACUGGACAGAGGGAUCCGGGGCGCCGUUUGGAUGGCCGGGCGGGUGGAUCACAUCCCACCCGCCGGAUCCGGCGAUGAGGCGGCCGGAGACGGUGGCCGGAGGGCGGGGCGGCGCCGGAGGAGGCCGGGGACGGCGGCGCGGAGCCGGGGCGNNNNNNNNNNNNNNNNNNNNNNNNNNNNNNNNNNNNNNNNNNNNNNNNNNNNNNNNNNNNNNNNNNNNNNNNNNNNNNNNNNNNNNNNNNNNNNNNNNNNNNNNNNNNNNNNNNNNNNNNNNNNNNNNNNNNNNNNNNNNNNNNNNNNNNNNNNNNNNNNNNNNNNNNNNNNNNNNNNNNNNNNNNNNNNNNNNNNNNNNNNNNNNNNNNNNNNNNNNNNNNNNNNNNNNNNNNNNNNNNNNNNNNNNNNNNNNNNNNGGCGGCGUGCCACUGGCCCGGGGCGGCGGCGGAGAGGUGUCCGGCCGGGUGCGGACAUGUCCGGGCGCGGCGGGGGCGAUUGGAUCUAGGGUUUGCACCGCAAAAAUUCGGGGAGUGUCACAUAUUUAUAGGUAGAGGGAGCUAGGAGAGUCCAAAUGAGGUGUGGUUUUCGGGCACGCGAUCGUUAUCGAACGACCGAGAGCAUGGAUGGGAGUUAGAUGGGUUUUGGGCCACUUUGGAAGGGGUGUUGGGCUGCAACAAAAGAGGCCUUUACGGUUACCCGGUUAACCGUUGGAGUAUCAAACGACCUCGAAAUGGCACGAAACUUGACAGGCGGUCUACCGGUGCUAUACCUAGGCCGCUUGGAAAACCUCGGGCCAUUCCGAGAACGUUUAACACCCGCACAAGAGAAGAGGUCAAAAGGGACCGCCGGAUGACAUAGGAGCGCCGGAUUGCAAAACGGACAACGGGGAAAAAGUUCGGAUGCAUGAGACGAACACGUAUGCAAAAUGAGAUGCACAUGAUGACAUGAUAAAAUGCAACACGCAAGCAAAUGACAUGGCAACAAUGACGAAUAACUGGCAGACACUUGGCACAGCGGAUCCGGGGCGUUACAACACUCCUCCACUAACAAGAGAUCUCGUCCCGAGAUCUUAGGACCGAGACGGAAGGGAAAAAGGGAUGAGGUGAAACAAGAACUCAAGAGAAGAAGCAAAGAAUAGAGAGCAUACGAGAAGAAGAGAGGAACGAUGAGAAUGACGAGAAACACCACCAAAAUUACUGAGAUACUCCGGGAGAAUGAAGAAGGUUGAGUCAACAAUGAAAAGAAUUUGAAAGCAAUCUUGGAGAAGGCAUGUGACUGAUGAAAUUCAUUCUUACGUCACACUUGAAAAGAAUUAUGAAUGCUCCGGGGGAAUUAGAAGACUCAGGUAAGAUCCUAGGAAAAGACCUGUGGGUUAGGGCCCACUGAAGAGAUAACACCGUUGGGAAGGGAUGUUGAACAGAUAGAUGAUGCACCGGAGCAAUUGAAAUAUUUGAAUGAGGUGGAAACCUCGAAUUAAUUGGAACACAGAUGAAUCUCCUGAGAUAUCUUGAGCACUCCGGAAAGAUAAACUGGCGAGAGGCGAACGAGCGAGGAAAACACUUCGAGGAAAAGAAUAUGAUCAACCCGAAAAACUUGAAUUGAGUCCACCGGAGAAGAAAAGAGAUGAAGAAUGUCCACAGAGACGAGAAUUCACCGGUUGAGAUAAUUGAGGGAAGACUGAAGAGGCUCCGAGCGAAUGAAAUAGAUGGUCGAGAGAGAGUCAGACUCCGGGAAGAAGAGGGUGGGAGGGCGGGAAAAACACAGGCAACUGGAAGGGAGAACCAACGAAUAUCUUGAAGAGAAAACACCGGUUGGAAUAAUUGAGGAAAGAAAGCAAAGACUUCGCACGAGUAGGAAGGAUACUCGAUUACGGACUCCGGAUUCGAGAAGAAGAAAGGAGGGCGGGUGGGAAAAAACAAGGACAACUUCGGACAGGGAAACAACAACGAUGUCGGAGGAAGAACUGAGGAUUGAACUCCCGAAAGACAAAGAGGUUCGAGUCGACUUGACGAGAGAUGCACCGGACAAAAGAGGAUGGACAACGAACGAAAACUAACCGCGUGAUCCUAAAGAAAAAUUUGAAGGGAAGAGGGGUAGUUCAAAACACCUACGUCAAGAUUCCUCACCAGAGAGACGAAGGGGCUGAGGAGUAAAAAGAAUUCCUACUCUCCGAUAUAACUAGACUCCAAAAACAGUUUUCUUCUAGACUCAACAACGACCAAACUACACGAUCAAUCAAGGGGGGGCUCCUAGGGUCGGUCGAGGCUCUGAUACCAACUUGUCACGCCCAAUAUGCGACCCUAUCCAAAAGGAACUUGAAGGUCCCACCAAGGAUAGACCCGCAUAUUGAAACGCUUUUGCAAGGUGGAUAUCAUUACAUCAACAUUACAUAAUGGAUGGGGAUACAUCCAAGAGGUAUACAAUGCCACAUGAAUACAACAAUACAUCAAACAUAAGACCAACAUCCGGCUACGGAUGAAACACAAACAGAAGCUCAAAUGACAUCCACCCUGCUAGCCCAGGCUGCCGACCUGGAACCCAUCCCCUGAUCGAAGAAGCAGAAGAAGAACUCCAAACAAGCAAACAUCGCUCUCGCGUCAUGAUCAUCGCAUAACCUGUACCUGCAACUGUUGUUGUAGUAAUCUGUGAGCCACGAGGACUCAGCAAUCCCAUUACCAUGGGUAUCAAGACUAGCAAAGCUUAAUGGGAAAGGAAGGGGUUAAGUGGUGAGGUUGCAGCAGCGACUAAGCAUGAUAUGGUGGCUAACAUACGCAAAUGAGAGCGAGAAGAGAAGCAAAGGAACGGUCGUCAACUAGCAAUGAUCAAGAGGUGAUCCUGAACACCUACUUACGUCAAACAUAACCCAGAAACCGUGUUCACUUCCCCGACUCCGCCGAGAAGAGACCAUCACGGCUACACACUCGGUUGAUGCAUUUUAAUUCGGAUCUGGUGUCAAGUUAUCUACAACCGGACAUUAACAAAUUCCCAUCUGCCACAUAACCGCGGGCACGGCUCUCGAAAGUUUAUACCCUGCAGGGGUGUCCCAACUUAGCCCAUGACAAGCUCUCGCGAUCAACGAAGGAAUAGACCUUCUCCCAGGAAGACCCGAUCAGUCUCGGAAUCCCGGUUUACAAGACAUUUCAACAAUGGUAAAACAAGACCAGCAAAGCCUCCCGGCGUGCCGACAUCCUGAUAGUAGCCGCGCGUAUCUCGUCUCAGGCCACGACCGGAUGAGCACUACGUACAACUAGAACCAGACCUCAAGUUUCACCGAGGUGGCGCUGCAAGUGGCUCUAGUUUGGACCAACAAUUAGACAAGCAUUGGCCCAGGGGGCUAAAAUAAAGAUGACCCUUGGGUUAAUUACUCCCAAGGGAAAAGGUAGGUGGUGGUGAGGCAAAUGGUAAAACCAAUGUUGGGCCUUGCUGGAGGAGUUUUAUUCAAAGGGAACUGUCAGCGGGGUCCCAUAAAUCACCCGAACGCGUUAGGAAUGCAAAACACGGGAACAUAACACCGGCAUGACGGAAACUAGGGCGGCAGGAGUGGAACAAAACACCAGGCAUAAGGCCGAGCCUUCCACCCUUUACCAAAUAUAUAGAUGCAUUAAUAAUAUAAGAGAUAUUGUGAUAUCCCAACAUAACCCUGUCCACCAUGGAGCAAUCUUCAACUUCACCUGCAACUAACAACGCUAUAAGAGGGGCUGAGCAAAAGUGGUAACAUAGCCAAGCAACGGUUUGCUAGGAAUGGUGUCAAAGGUUAGAGGUUCAUGGCAAUUUGGGAGGCUUGACGAGCAAAUGAUAGGUAACGCAGCAAAGCGAUAGAACAAAGCAACUAGCAUAGCAAUGAUAGUAGUGAGAUCCAGGGUAGCGGUCAUCUUGCCUGAAAUCCCACAAGGAAGAAGAACGAGUCCAUGAAGAAGAUGAAGCCACGAAGACGAACCAAGCGUAGACGAACGAAUCCUCACGAUCGCAACGGAACGGGAACUAUCGAGAAGAAGCACACAACAUAGUAAACACACCACACAUGACAAGGCAUGAUGCACAACAAGCAUGAUGCAUGAGAAAGCUAGAUGAGGCUACUCAUGGCAAGAGAUGAUGCAAACAAGAACAACACAUCAAAGCAAGUUUAAAUGAGGCCGGGAACAACAUAUAACAAAUCCGGUAAGUCCUCAUAUGCAAAUUUCGAAAUUGGUCCAGAUCUGAAUAAACAUUAUGUUCAAGUUUUUAAACAGCAAGUUAAGAUCACCAAGAUGAUCUAUACGAAAUUCUAGUCAAGUUACAUAUAAAGUUCAUUAGAUUCGGCGCUUCGGCCUAGAAGAUAAGAGCAAAACAAGUUAAACAUGGCAUUGAUGCAAAAUGCAUACAAACAUCAAGCAAACACCUCAAAACAAGGAUGCAACAUGGUAAUAUGAAGCUACAUGCAAAAUCAAGCAAGUUUCAUAUAGAGCACACUCAAAACGGAGCAACGGUUCAACACAUACACUCUAUACAAGUCAUAACAACAAUCUGUCCAAAACAGCAACUAGGCAUCUUGCGAGCAUCAAAACAAUAUGCUACAGCACCCCGACAUAAGAACAAAAGGCAUGCGCAUGAAGUACAGGUAAAGCAUAACAAAACAUGAACACUGAGCUAUCUCCAGAAAAGACUAGAACAUGCUCAAAAUGACAUGGUAAGAUUGCAAAUAAUAACAGUUUCAGACUUUAGCAGAAAUAACAUCAGGUUGCAAUGUUUAGAGCUAUCAAACAGCAUGUUAAAGGAACUUAUCAUGGCAAACAAAGGCAUGGCAUGAUACUACUAAAUGCAUAGAACAAGAGUCCCUUACUGUCCAUGAGCCAAAAAGGCACAGAAAAUAUGAUGGCACACAUGUAAACAUGGCAAGUUAUAUGACAGAUUCAAACAUGGCAGGAACAACAAUAAGUAGGCAUGUUGGUGAGCUUGAACCACUUACCACAGAGCAAUACAUGGCAUAGCAAGGCAACCAACAGUAAGAAGACAUGUUUGUGAAGCUAUACAUGGCAAUAUCAAGGUCAUAGGGUUCAUGGAUCGCUAGGAAAACACAUGGAAACAACUGAACUUAAUGUAAACAGGCUGACAGCAACAUUAUGAAGUAACUUUAGAGCAAGAUAACAACAUGUUCCAGGAGGCUAUAAUUGCAACCAAGGGCAUGAAUGUAUAGAGCGAGACAUUUAGAUCAAAGCAUGUUUAUAGAGCAUCUCCAGAUUAUGCAUAGAAUGAUUACUAGAAGCAUGUUAACAUAGCAACAAACUAUAACAGAAUCUGUCUAGCAAAACAUCAACAUCAUGUACACUACUUAACAAGCUCGAUUCACUCACCACAAGUCAUUGCAUGACAAUAUAAGCAUAGCAUCAUCAAGAAGGCAUGUUUUUGUAGCCAACCAAGGCAAGAACAAGUCCAUAGCGUGCAAGGAUGAACUAUAGCAACCUUGGCUAAAUUGAAUAACAAGUAAACAAUCUGCCAGGAAACAUUUUGAAGCAAAAGUAGAGCACUCAAAUGACAUGCUAGGCUACUCCAUAAUUGCAAACAAGGGCAUGAAUGGAUAGACAAUAACCAUAUGUUCAAAACACCCUUACUGAAGUAUCUCAAAAUAUGCAUGGAUCCCUCUGUAGCAUCAAGCUUACAUGGCAUCAAAAUAAUAGCAGAACAGGGACUAAAAUCAGCAAUAUCACGAAGCCUAGUUUGCAUGCUUGUGCUAGUCACCACAUUGAUCAAAAAAAUACAUGGCAUACACCCCUGGAAAGAUGGCAUGGCAUAGAUCAAAACACAUGUAGACAUCAACCACAUAGGAUGCACACAUCAAUCAUGGCAAAAAUGACAAAUGAGCAAGUUAUAAAAGUUUCAGCAGAUUAACAUCAACAUGCACUCUUCCAACAGCAUUUCGGGCAUCAAGAUGAGCUCAAAUGAAAAUGAUGCAAUGGAAUGAAAUGAAGUACUCGUUGAGGAGAACAAUCUGACGUAUUACACGCACGAACCGGAGCUACGGAUGCAGAGAUACAAUGCGCUGAACAUGCUAUGAUUAUGUCAAAAAUUCUCAGGGACUUAGUAGAAUUUUAGACCUCGCGGGAAAACUGGACAGAGGGAUCCGGGGCGCCGUUUGGAUGGCCGGGCGGGUGGAUCUCAUCCCACCCGCCGGAUCCGGCGAUGAGGCGGCCGAAGACGGUGGCCGGAGGGCGGGGCGGCGCCGGAGGAGGCCGGGGACGGCGUCGCGGAGCCGGGGCGGCGCCGGUCCGGGCGNNNNNNNNNNNNNNNNNNNNNNNNNNNNNNNNNNNNNNNNNNNNNNNNNNNNNNNNNNNNNNNNNNNNNNNNNNNNNNNNNNNNNNNNNNNNNNNNNNNNNNNNNNNNNNNNNNNNNNNNNNNNNNNNNNNNNNNNNNNNNNNNNNNNNNNNNNNNNNNNNNNNNNNNNNNNNNNNNNNNNNNNNNNNNNNNNNNNNNNNNNNNNNNNNNNNNNNNNNNNNNNNNNNNNNNNNNNNNNNNNNNNNNNNNNNNNNNNNNNNNNNNNNNNNNNNNNNNNNNNNNNNNNNNNNNNNNNNNNNNNNNNNNNNNNNNNNNNNNNNNNNNNNNNNNNNNNNNNNNNNNNNNNNNNNNNNNNNNNNNNNNNNNNNNNNNNNNNNNNNNNNNNNNNNNNNNNNNNNNNNNNNNNNNNNNNNNNNNNNNNNNNNNNNNNNNNNNNNNNNNNNNNNNNNNNNNNNNNNNNNNNNNNNNNNNNNNNNNNNNNNNNNNNNNGGGGCCACGUGGCGGCGUGCCACUGGCCCGGGGCGGCGGCGGAGAGGUGUCCGGCCGGGUGCGGACAUGUCCGGGCGCGGCGGGGGCGAUUGGAUCUAGGGUUUGCACCGCAAAAAUUCGGGGAGGGUCACAUAUUUAUAGGUAGAGGGAGCUAGGAGAGUCCAAAUGAGGUGUGGUUUUCGGCCACGCGAUCGUGAUCGAACGACCGAGAGCAUGGAGGGGAGUUAGAUGGGUUUUGGGACACUUUGGAAGGGGUGUUGGGCUGCAACAAAAGAGGCCUUUACGGUUACCCGGUUAACCGUUGGAGUAUCAAACGACCUCCAAAUGGCACGAAACUUGACAGGCGGUCUACCGGUGCUAUACCAAGGCCGCUUGGCAAACCUCGGGCCAUUCCGAGAAUGUUUAACACCCGCACAAGAGAAGAGGUCAAAAGGGACCGCCGGAUGACAUAGGAGCGCCGGAUUGCAAAACGGACAACGGGGAAAAAGCUCGGAUGCAUGAGACGAACACGUAUGCAAAAUGAGAUGCACAUGAUGACAUGAUAAAAUGCAACACGCAAGCAAAUGACAUGGCAACAAUGACGAAUAACUGGCAGACACUUGGCGCAUCAGAUCCGGGGCGUUACAGCCACUUAAUCAUAGGAAACAUGUCGAACAACGAAGAAACUGGGCCUUCUGACCAAGAUGCAGACGAGAUGGAUUAUGAGGGUGAACAAGAGUACCUCGACUAUUUGACUGCUAAGCAAGGUUUGCAGGUCGGCCUCGAUGAUGGUACUAACGCCGACAUCGACACCACGGUGCCGGCACCGAUGGCGGCACCGAGACCGGUGGGGAAGGUACCGGCGGGGAAGGUACCGGCCCCGAUGCCGAUACCGAAAAGAGGAAGCAUAAGAAGCAGAGGAUACGAAACCCUAACAAACUAGGGAUUUGACGACUUGUGAUCACAAAGAUGGCACCUGGCAAGUUUGAGCCGUUAGAGCCGGAAGAACCUCGCAAGUGCUAUGGGAACCAAGUAGGAUGCAUCCUACGGGAAUGCGCGAGCAUCAACGACGAUGACUUAAGGAGUAAAGAACAUUUGACGCAGUUGCUCCUAAUGAAGUUGCACAAGAGAUUCAAGUUCCCCGACCGUGAUGAUAACAUAGAACAACCGUGGGAUGAUCCGAAGAUGAAAAAGAUUAACAAUCACGCCAUGGGCAUGUUCAGCAAUGAUUUGGCCUCCUAGAAAGGGAGGGUGAAACAAGCUAUUGAGGCUGAUGAACCCCUGUCCAAGAUUCUAGAGGAAAAUCCGACACUUACGGAAGAGGAGUUCGAAAAAUUCAAGGACACUUGCGCUACCAAGGCAGCCAAGGCUAAGGCUGCAAAAUUCAAAAGCCUUCAGCAAAGGAACAUGGGGAAGCAUUGCCUCGGAAGCAGUGGCUACCUCGGUAAAAGGCCCAUAUGGGAUAAGGAGGACGCGGAACGUGAAGCCGCGGGUCUCCCAGACCCCUUCGCGAAGUUCACCAACCCCUUGGAGCAUGACUUCAUCAGGGCCCGCUACAAGUGGGACAAGGAGAAAAAGGUUUUUUACAUGGACAAGAUCACGAGGAAAUUGAUUAGACUACUGGAGAAGCAACACCGGCUUGCAGCCGAAAGCCCUACUUCUCCGAUGAGGCCCAAGUGGGACACCCCUCUCAACCGGGCCUUGAACGAACUUAAGGGACUCCCGUUGGACCAGCGGCCCCAAUAUGGUCGUGUGCACGGCGCUGGAGACGGCGCCACGUGGAAGGUGUUUUACAACAACGGCCCGGAGGCCAAGAAGCAGAAAAAGAAGUUUAGUCAGGCGGACAUCGAUGCAAAGGUGAAGCUUGCGGUCGAGAAAAAAGCAGCUGAGGACGCGAAAAAAGCAGCCAAGGACAAAUAUGAGUUGCUACAGCAGGCAGUCAGUGCAGCUGUAACUGCCUGCAGAAAUGAUUUCGCUACUAACUUGGUUCCAGUUAUCAUCAACUGGGCAAAGGAAAAUCCGUACAAGACGGUACAUGAUUUCCCGAUGCCCAGUUUCGUUGCGAGCAACUCCAUGAACAACAACACCAUCGCACCAUCACUUGCUCAAGCAACCGGGCCUCCUCUCGCAGCCGCUCCCGCUCAUAGCAGCCCGUCCUCAGUCUCAGGCACGCUAGGUGGGCGUUCGUCUUUGGCUGAGCUCGACGCCGUCACGGUAAUUACAUGUCGCACCAACAUAUAUAUAUAUAGAUAAUAUUCCAUUUUUGUUGCCUUUCGGUUGUUUUACGCCACAGACAUAUGUGUUUGCAGGCGAAAGAAACCCCGUGCACCAUACUCUACUUGAUCAAAGGCCAGAAGGUGGACGUGGGAAUGGGGAUGAUAAUGGACCCCUCACGCACGUUCCACAACCAGCCGAUCCCCGCUGGGCACUUCAGGGUUAGCUUGACCAGUGUGAAAUCGGGGCACGAGGAUUUGCCUCCUCCAGUACAGCAUGUGAGAGCGGACGACGAGACCCCUCUGCGGAUUGGACGCUGCAAGGGUUGGGUGCUGCGAUGGCCGAAGAAUCUUAUUCGUCUGGAGCCGGCCGAGAGCACACCAAUAACUACCACACAUCAACAAGCAUGUGCGGAGACCACCACCCCGCCUACGCAAUUACCAGCUCCUGUAGUGCCGGGUGAGAGCGGCAGACGACAUGAUGAAGGGGGUGCAAUAGUACUGGCUGAUGUAAUUUCUCCUGUAGAACAGGGAAUGGAUGAUGAGACGGAGGUCGACCCUAUGGAUUACCUCAAUACAAACGCGUAUGACUGUGACAUAGAUAUGAUGAGUCAACCAUAUGACGAAUCGGGCUAUCAACUUGCUAAUGAGGAUAUGGAUGAUAUGCCCGGGCAGGGUCGUACCAUGGAUUGCAAAAAGUCUCUCUUCAUGAAAUCCUCACAGGACACGCCUAAAGAUGCCGCCUCAACACAGGCUCAACUAGCCUGGCGCGAGGGUCGUACAGUACUUAGCCCGGGAACACUUGGGCAGGGUUUAAGGAAGGGUCUGGAAGGUGUGCCCAAGAAAAAGGAGAGGAAGAGAUCGGGGAAGGUAACUGCCUCCAAACAAGCCAGAGCACACAGUAGACAGACGAUGCAUUCUGAAGAGCAUGUACGCGUGAAAGGUGCAGUCAUGUUCCAUCUCACGGGCGAGCCGAUGCUACCGCCGAAACCGCUGGAGGCACUAUCAGGGGAUCUCAGGAGACUGCACGACCAUGUGCUGUCGACUGAGAAAAGCCUACUAGCCUCAAAGGAUCCAGGAUAUCCGACAUACGCGGCUCGUGUGCCUGAGGGGAAGUGCUACGUCGACACAUGGCCCGCGGAGGUGUUCUUCCUGCGGUUUGACCAUAUCUUUGAGAUAUUUCUAAUAAGGCGGCUUGAUUUUACUAUCGUCCGCCUUUUUGCGCUACAUAUGAGCUCCGUCAUGAAGAGUGAAGAAGUCUCGCAAAUCUGUGUGGCGGAUCCGUACUACAUGCACGAGUCUUUCUUGAGUCUCGGCGACUUUGAGCGUGAAACUGCUAGGGAGUACCUCCAAAACUUCAUGGUACAGAAUAAGGACCGGGAAAUUGUCCUCGUGCCUUAUCAUCCAAAGUAAGUCAGUUCUGGACAACCCUUUCGUACAUUUCAAUCAUUCCUUCUCUCUCAUAUGGGGAAUAAUUUGAGGUGUCUUUUCCCCGCAGCAACGGGCGCGCCGUCCUUAUCGUUCUUUACCCGCAAGUGUCCCACGCCGUGUAUUUUGACCCUUCCAGAGACUAUGAGAAAAAGGAUUACACCCACAUAAUGAAUAUUCUAGAUGAUGCUCUCCAAGGCUUCAGCUUUAUAGGUGGCCACGUGCAUAUCAAGAAACAAAGGAACAAGAAGAUGGGUUUCGCGCAUAAAACUAACUUCUCCUGCAUCCAUGUCCUAAAACCAAGCAAGAAGGAUGGAUUCUACAUCGUCCAUCUCAUGAUUCAGUUCAACACGGAUCACCAAAAACUUCGCAUUAACAGCAGAAAUGAUGAUCAUAUCCACAAGUGGCUAGAAUCUCAUGGAGAAGAGAAUUACAAACUUAGAGAUGACUUCUUUCGCAUCCAAAGUGACAUUGCGACGAUCAUCAUGAAAGAAGUCGUCGAUGAGAAGGGGAUGUUCCACCACGGCCCUAUAUCGCGAGCUGACGUCCGAACUCGCAUGGGCAUGCAACGUCUAGACCUCACGUCGUUCAAGAAGCUAGGGUUCGUCCUCGAUGAUAUGGAAGGAUGGAACUUCUAGUGAUUUAUGAUGCUGAUGAUGAUGAUAUGUGUCGGUUGAACUUGUAUACUUUUUGUAGCGAUGAAACUUUGUGAUGUCCAUGGUCCCUGCCGAACUUGCGUACGCUACUUUGUUAGUUUGCAUACGAUGACCUGCGUACCUCUAGUUAAUUAAUUUGCAUACUGUAUAUGUUGCAUCUAGUUGCUAACCUUUCUUUUUUUUUUGUUGCUCUAGUAUAUUUUGUUGCAUAUAUAUGAUUGUACAUCCUCUUCAUGAACAUGCAUCUCUAACAGGUACCUAGUUUCGUGAUUGCGAGAUGGAAAUGCUAUGUCGUGUACAAAGGGAAGGUUCCGAGGGUGUACAACGAGUGGCAUGAGUGUCAGGCGCAAGUGAAUGGGUUCACGGGCGCCAGCCAUAAAGGCUUCAAAAGCAGACAAGAAGGAGAAGCUAGUUACUUGAGGUUCACGCUAGUGCGAGAGAGGACUCGUAACCGCCACCUCAUGUACUGCAUAGUUCCGCUCUCACUCAUAGUGAUAGCACUUCUUGCGUAUACCUUUGUUUAGAUGGAUGACGUUGUUGUAGUUGCAAGUAUUCGAGACUUGCAUCUAUUGCUAUUUUCGAGAUGAUGACAAGAUAUAACUUUGUGUUGGAUGAUGAUUAUGAUGAGACUAUUUGUAUGUACAUGCUAUGAUUACAUUUGUGGUCUCGCAGGCAUUUGUAUGUGUAUCAUGAUGACAUUUCUAUGUGCUAAAGAUUCUUCUACAAAGCCGGUUCAAAUACAAAACAAAUAUGCCAAAAAAACUACUUAAAUUAGCAGUACCGAGUGUAUAAAAGUUAGCAGCAGCGCCUCAAUAGCAGUAGCGCGUCCAUCUAAACAGCGCUAGCGCUACUAGCGGUACCGAGCUUCCUCUAACCGCGCUGCUGCUACACUUGUGUAGCAGUAGCGCGUGUGCACACGCGCUACUACUAUGAGUUAGCUGUAGCGCCUUAUUAGUAGCGCGGGUACCCGCGCUACUGAUACAUCUAAAACCCGCGCUGCUGCUAGCCUUUUCCCUAGUAGUGCUUAGUUGCCGGAUGACACUAGUAGCAUGUUCAAACGAGGCUUUCAUGUCGUCUUGCAACCUUGCCCAACCGGAGAUCUGAUCCAUCUGGCUAUGGACGAACGCAUGCAUGCGCCUAUAGGAGUCCUCGCUUGCCCGCGAGACAUUUUCCCAGGCUGCCACAGUGGGGGAGGACAUCUCUGCUGCAUUCACGAUGCGUGGGACAUCUCUGCUGCUUCCGUGGAACGGCCGGACCAAUCUGCUGCAUCGACGGUGCGGCGGGACAUGUCGGCUGCUUUUGCAGUGAGACGGGACAUCUCUCGCGCUUACGCUUCCAUGCUCGCCUCUCCCUGGUGGCAAUCUCUCGAACCAGAACUCACGCUGGCCAUGGCAGACGCAAGGGAACGAUGAUGAGUGACUUGUUUGUUUUUGUGGAUGAGGAGUUGAGGAGGCACUAUAGGAAUCAGGAACUUUACCAUCAGCCAUGGCUGACGGCAACGCAAGGCAGACGGAAAAGGCCUUCGUCGUCAGUGUAACAACGCCCACGAUGCGGCUAUAUCUCACACAUGUCGAAGCACGACUUAGAGGCAUAACCGCAUGGUGGUUUUGUCGCAAGAAGGGUCAUCUUCACACAAACCCAUGUAAUGAACAAGAAUGGGAUAAAGAGAGUUGGCUUACAAUCGCCACUUCACACAAUACAUAAAUAAGAUUCAUACAUCAUUCAAAAUACACUCAUAGACCGACUACGGUCAAAUCCAAAUGAAAAGAAGAUAACCCCAAAUGCUAGAUCCCCGAUCGUCCCAACUAGGAUCCUCUACUGAUCAUCUGGAAACGAAACAUAGUAACGACCAAGGUCCUCAUCAAACUCCCACUUAAGCUCGGCUGCGCCACUUGUUCUGGUAUCCUCGGUACCUGCAUCUGUUUUGGUAGAAUCUGUGAGCCACGGGGACUCAGCAAUCGCACACCCGCGAGAUCAAGACUAUUUAAGCUUGUAGGUAGGAAAGGGGUAAUAUGGUGGAGCUGCAGCAAGCACUAAGCAUAUAUGGUGGCUAACAUACGCAAGUGAGAGCGAGAAGAGAAGCAACGCAUCGGUUGAGAAGCUAGAAGUGAUCAAGAAGUGAUCCUGAAACUACUUACGUCCAUACAUAACCCAAACCGUGUUCACUUCCCGGACUCCGCCGAGAAGAGACCAUCACGGCUACACACACGGUUGAUGCAUUUUAAUGAAGUCAACUGUCAAGUUCUCUACAACCGGACAUUAACAAAUUCCCAUCUGCCUCAUAACCGCGGGAACGGCUUUCGAAAGAUAAUACCCUGCAGGGGUGUCCCAACUUAGCCCAUCAUAAGCUCUCACGGUCAACGAAGGAUAUACCUUCUCCCGGGAAGACCCGAUCAGUCUCGGAAUCCCGUUUUGCAAGACAUUUCGACAAUGGUAAAACAAAACCAGCAAGACCACCCGACUGUGCCAACAAAUCCCGAUAGGAGCUGCACAUAUCUCGUUCUCAGGGCACACUGGAUGAGACAGGCUACGAGUAACACCAGACUUCGAGUUUCCCCGAGGUGGCCCCGCAGGCGGCUCNNNNNNNNNNNNNNNNNNNNNNNNNNNNNNNNNNNNNNNNNNNNNNNNNNNNNNNNNNNNNNNNNNNNNNNNNNNNNNNNNNNNNNNNNNNNNNNNNNNNNNNNNNNNNNNNNNNNNNNNNNNNNNNNNNNNNNNNNNNNNNNNNNNNNNNNNNNNNNNNNNUCGGGCUUGCGAAAACCCAAGGGAAAAGUGAUAGGUGGUAGGUAGUCAAAUGAUAAAACCAAGGUUGGGCCUUGCUGGAGGAGUUUUAUUCAAGGCAAACAGUCAAGGGGUUCCCAUAAAUCACCCAACCGCGUAAGGAACGCAAAAUCAAGGAACAUAACACCGGUAUAACGGAAACUAGGGUGGCAAGAGUGGAACAAAACACCAGGCAUAAGGCCGAGCCUUCCACCCAUUACCAAGUAUAUAGGUGCAUUAAUUAGACAAGAGAUAUUGUGAUAUCCCAAAAUAUCCAUGUUCCAACAAGGAACAAACUUCAUCUUCACCUGCAUCUAGCAACGCUAUAAGAGGGGCUGAGCAAAAGCGGUGACAUAGCCAAACAACGGUUUACUAGGAAAGGGAUGGCUAGAGGCUUGACAUGGCAAUAUGGGAGGCAUGAUAAACAAGUGGUAGGUAGAGCUAACAUAACGAUAGAGCGAGCAACUAGCAAAGCAAAGAUAGAAGUGAUAUCGAGGGUAUGGUCAUCUUGCCUGCAAAGUUCUCAGAGUUGUCGAAAGAUUGAUCCUCGUUAGCGUAAUCAACAGGUUCCUCAUUCACGUAGUCGUCUCCUGGCUCUACCCAAAGCAAGAACACAAGCAAUGGAACCACAAUAAAUCACGGUGCAAUGCACAAGCAACAUGAUGCAAUCCAUGGCAAGAUGUGAUAUGCGAUGCAUAUGCGGGCUCCAGAAGGAAAAUUGAUGAACAAGCAUCAACUUGGCAAACCAAGCUUGCCAUUGGAAAUAUGAGGUGAUUUCGGUUGAAAUCGAUAUAAAGAUCACCGGAAUCGGAUGCAUGGUUUGCAAAUGGCAAGCAAAACAAGAAUGACACAAAUCUGCGAUUAACAGCACGAUGCUACUUAGCAUGCAACAAGAAACCAUGCUACAUCACCCCAACAUAAAAACAAAGCAUAUGGCAGUGAUCUACAGAAGAUGCUUGACAAAAGAGGAACACUGAGCUACGGCUAAAUCACACAAUAACAGCUUCAAACAAGCAUGGCAAAAGUGCAAAAGAUAUCAGCUUGGACAUGGCAUAAACAUCAUCAGGUAGCAAUGUUCAGAGCAAGAAAUCAACAUGCUACAGGAACUUAUAAUAUCAAAACAAGACAUGGCAUGAUUCUACUCAAAGCAUAGAACAAAAGUCCCUUACUGACCAUGAGCCAAAAAGGAUCAGAAGAUAUGAUUGCACCCAUGUAAACAUAGCAAGUUCCGUUAACAGAUUUAGGAAACAGAGCAUGGCAUUAACAGCAUUAUGAAGGCAUCUUUGCGAGCUCGAUUCACUCACCACAUGUCAUUGCAUGACAAGAUAGGCAUAGCACCAGCAAGAAUACAUGUUUAUGAAACUAAACAUGGCAAGAACAAGAUCAUAGCAUGCAAGGAUCAACUACACCAACCUUGGCAAUAUUGAAUGUCAUGUAAACAAUCUGCCAGGAAACAUUUUAUCGCAAAAGUAGAGCAAGAAAAUGACAUGCUAUACUACUCCAUAAUUGCAAACAUGGGCAUGAAUGGAUAGAGCAUAACCAUAAGUUCAAAACAUCCUUACUGAAGUAUCUCAAAAUAUGCAUGGAUCUCUCUGUGGCAUCAAGUUUACAUGGCAUCAAAAUAACAGCAGAACAGGGACUGAAAUCAGCAACAUCAUGAAGCCUAGUUUGCAUGCUUGUUCUAGUCACCACAUUGAUCACAAAAAUACAUGUCAUACACCCCUGUAAAGAUGGCAUGGCAUAGUACAAAACACAUGUAGAUCUCAUGCCCAUAAGAUGCACACAAUAAAUGUAGCAAAAAUGACAAAUGCACACAUUCUGUUAAGAAUCAGAAACUAACAUCAUAUAGCACUCUUGCAUCAAAGAUGCAGGCAUCUAGAUGACCUCAAAUGAACAUGGCCCACUAGAACAAAAUGAAGAGCUCAUCCUGAUGAACAUUUUGAUAUAUCAUGUGCAUGAAACAGAGCUACGAUGACGGAGUUAUGGUGCGAUGAACAGGGCUAAAAAUAAUGCAGACUUGGCAAAAAAACGAGGUCAACCUCUAGGGUUCCAGAUCUGGAUCCGGGCGCGGACUUCAAAGCAGGCCGGAGCCUCGCCGGAGUUGGUGCCGGAGGGGAGGAAGACGACCGGAGGAGGAGACGGCCGACCGGAUCUCGCCGGAUCCGGCGCUGGCGGAGGCGGUGGCGGGGCCGGCGGCGCGGGGCGGCAACCGGGGUGGUGUAACACCCCAAAAAUUUAACCAGGUUUUAGUUAUUAAAAAUUUGCCAAGAGUUUAAUUUUUUUUUCCUACAAGAAUAUCUCUGUUGAUUUCAAAACUUUUCUUUUAAUAUUAAGGAGUUUUUCCCAAGUGGAUCCUUCCAAAACAUAUUGAACUUCUAUGCCAUCUCAUUAAAACAAAUUCCUAAUUAGUAGGAUUAUUUAUUAAAUUAUUUCACCCUGAACCUUAUUCAUUAAAAUGAGUUGUUUUAAAAUUUGGAGCUCUUUUUGAACUACAACCAUUUGAUAAAUUUAACUAAAAAUCCAACCAAAAUUUUGAGAUGUCAUGUGAUGUCUCUAAAUCACUUUAUGCAAUAAUAUAGUUCAUUCAUUGCAUAUUUUGAGUGCUACACAUGUUUUUCUUCUCUAGUCCAGUAGGCAUUUUUGCACUGCAACCCUUUUAAAUAUUUGUUUAUAGCCUCCACCAAAAUUAUGGGAUGUCAGUAGGAGCAUAUAAUUCCAUUAUAUGCAAAAAUCCAGGGUUGUUCUUUGAAAAUUUUGAGUGAAACAACCUCAUCUUCAUUCUGGUCCAACAUGAUGGUUUGUACAGCAACCAUAUUUUUGCUUGCUCUUUAGCCCUUGAUUCUUUCUCCUACUUGUAGUCCUCCAUGUUAAACUCCUAAGUCCAGGAGCAUGCAACCAUUGGCAUAUUUUUGGUUCAUGAAUUAAUGCCCUUAACAUCCUGUACAGAUUUGAAGUUCAUCAAAACCUGCACUAGCAAGUUUCUCUUUUUGCCAAAAUAACCUUACCACCUUCUCUUGCUUCUAAAGAGACACUGAUCUGGAGAAUUUGGCCCCUCCAAGAAAAGCCUAGGUGCCUGUGGCAUUUUGUCAAACACCUGGAGUGCAUGAUCAGAUUUGACACGAAUUGUUGAUUGGCAUUGUGAACUUGGUCUCCUGACCAAACCACCUUGUCCUCUGAGCUUCACUCUAUCAACCACCUAGCUCAGUUGCUUGCCACCCUCACCUGUGACCUGUAGCACGCCACGGCAUUAUGUCGAACACCUUCCGUGCGUGCACUGGACGCGCCCAGAGCACGCGUAUUGCACGAGCGGCACCCGAAUCGCCGCGUCACGCCCCGCACUCACCCCAGCCCGUGACCGACCGCAGCCGGCACGCCAGGUCCCCUUGCGCGCUACGUGCUCCCCCUCACUGCAAUGCGCCAAACAGAGCCUCUCCGCGUCCCCGGCAAGCCAAAGGCAAGCUGCCACGGCCGCCCGACAGCCCUGCUCAGGCUGGCGCCGCCAAAGCCACCCCGGCUUGCCACCUGCCCCUGGAACAGUGCGAGCUCAUCCGCAGCCUCAUCACCUAGUGCACGUCGCCGCCACGUCGCCCUAGCUACAGAGAGGCGGUCCGCUGGAGAAACUUAUCCACGGCCGCCGCGGAACCGCCUUGCCUCGCCUAUAUAAGGAGCCCGAGCUCGUAUCCAUACGCAGGCGACCUCAAGCCAUCUCCCUAGGGGCCCCUUUGGCAGCCAAACGACCCGGGGAGGCCUUCUUCCCCAUCUCCGGCAACCGCAGCCGCCGCCAUUGCCCCAGCCCUUCCGGCGCCACCAGAGCUUCCCCCUCUCCAAUCUCUCCACCAAGAACUCCCCCUCCCUCUUGCGAGUGCAACCCCUCGAUCAAUUUCGGUCGGAGACCACCGCAGCCCAAAAAUCACUUUGUCACCGAAGCCCCCUCCGCCACGGAGCUCGCCGCCGGCGACUCCCUCCACCCCCGGUGACCCGGCGACCACCGGAAGGACCGCCUAGGAGUGGCGGAUCCAUCCCUGCACUCAGAUGCCCGCGAAGAAACACCGUUCGCCGGCGACGAUCGCCGGACGCUCCGCCUCGGCUCGGGCAGAGAAGAGGAGGGAGUGGGGACUGGUCAAACCUGACCAGUGGGCCCCCUGGACCCACUGUCAGUGACCCAGCCCCGCCUCCACGCGUUUAAGUGGAAGCGUAAAGACCCCGAGUACGUCUCCCAUUUUCGAAGACGCAUUCUGCCGAAACGUUUUCUUUUCUGUUUUAUUAUUAAAAACAGAUUUUGACCAAAUCUUUGACUGGCUUUAUCUUUUUAAAUAUAACUCCAAAUGAAUUAAUUCUUUCUCCUACGUCUCUCAAAUAUUGUCUAGUUUAUUUUAAGAUUUAUUUGAAAAAAUUUCAAAACAUUUUUUCGUGCCGUUUUUAUUUUGUGUGUUAAUUCAAAUAUAUUCUUCUAAUAGGAUUUUUGAAGAUUUCAAGAUGUUUUGGAUUGCACCCUGUUUUCCCAUGACCUGAAGGCAAGCAUUCUGAACCCCGGCAUAAUAUUUUUGUGUGUUCGAUGACACGUUUAUAACACCACCUCACUUUGGAGAAACUUGUUAUUUCAUGUGAUAUGAUCAUAUGCAUGGGUGCAUGUUAUUGAUUUCCAUGCUGUUGGAAAUGAAGACACUUGUGAUGAUAACCAUCCUCAUGUGCCUUGCAUGCAUACCGGUAGGAACCCGGGAAAACCUCUGCCUUGGGUAGGCAUGAGUUUGUCACCGGUCUCCGUCGGGACGGUUAUGUCUGGUAUGGCAUGGCAAGGUGAUAUCAGCGGUGACUCUGUUGGUUGAAAUAUAUUCGUUAAGCUAAUCAUGCAGGGAAUACUUAAACCUCCUGAGUCGACCGUAGAUCGAGUCUUGUGCCAGUAACCCCCAUACUUGUUUCGUACUACCACUCGUCUCUACAGCAAGUAGAGUACGGUUCAGUAAGUUGUCAACCUCUUUCUAGCACACACCGUAUAGAGAGGCCAUGGUGGAAGAUACCGGUUGUAGCUGGUAGGCAGGCCACCUGGUCCGGGGGCAUGGGUGUUUCCGGUUGGGACCGAGAGGGGAGGUGAGGGAGUCCUGGACUAGGGGGUGUCCGGAUAGCCGGACUAUCAAUAUCCGCCGGACUCCCAGACUACGAAGAUAGAAGAUUGAAGACUCCGGCUCGUGUCCGGAAGGUACUUUCCUUGGCGUGGAAGGCAAGCUUGGCAAUACGGAUAUGUAGAUCUCCUACCAUUGUAACCGAAUCUGUGUAACCCUAGCCUCUCCGGUGUCUAUAUAAACCGGAGGGCCUUAGUCCGUAGGACACAACAUUACAUCUCAACAAUCAUACCAUAGGCUAGCUUCUAGGGUUUAGCCUCCUUGAUCUCGUGGUAGAUCUACUCUUAUACUACCCAUAUCAUCAAUAUUAAUCAAGCAGGACGUAGGGUUUUACCUCCAUCGAGAGGGCCUGAACCUGGGUAAAAACAUUGUGUCCCUCGUCUCCUGUUACCAUCCGCCUAGACGCACAGUUCAGGACCCCCUACCCGAGAUCCGCCGGUUUUGACACCGACAUUGGUGCUUUCAUUGAGAGUUCCUCUGUGUCGUCACCGAUAGGCUCGAUGGCAUCUUCAAUCAUCAACGCUGUCCAGGGUGAGACUUUUCUCCCCGGACAGAUCUUCGUAUUCGGCGGCUUUGUACUGCGGGCCAAUUCUCUUGGCCAUCUGGAGUAGAUCGAAAGCUACGCCCCUGGCCGUCAGGUCAGAUUCGGAAGCUUAAACUUCACGGCCGAUGACCACGGAGACUUGAUCUCCGACGGACUCGAGCCACAGCCAAGUGCGCCGCACUGCGACGAUGGGCAUGAUCUAGCUCUGCCGCCGGACAGUGCUCUAGUGGCCGCACUCAAAUCCGCUCCGGCUACUAGCCCGGAGCCGAUUGCCCAUAUCAAGGGUCGGUGGAUAGACGCCGCCCCGGGGGCUUCAACAUCCACGGCGAUGGAGCCGAAUACCAAUCUUGUCCCCUGUGAAACUCGUGAUCCCGAGGCGUCGGACUCCUCGCCGGACUCCGAGCCUCCCGCGCCCCUGUCAAUUAAACCAGAUUGGGCGCCGGUUAUGGAAUUCACCGCCGCAGACAUCUUUCAGCACUCGCCUUUUGGCGAUAUCCUGAAUUCCCUGAGGCAUCUCUCGCUAUCAGGAGAAUCCUGGCUGGACUAUGGCCAGGACGGUUGGAGUUCGGACGACGAAGAAAUUCAGAGCCCACCCACCACCCACUUUGUAGCCACUGUCGAGGAUCUAACCGACAUGCUAGACUACUCCGAGGACAUCGACGCUAUGAAUGAUGAUGCCGGAGACGAACAGGACCCAGCACCCAUCGGGCACUGGAAGGCCACCUCGUCAUAUGACGUCUACAUGGUGGAUACCCCAAAAGAAGGGGAUGGCGAAAAAGCAGCGGAGGAAGAUUCUCUAAAGAAACAGCCUAAACGCCGACGUCAGCGGCGCCGCUCUAAAUCCCGCCACAAUAAGAAUGAAGAUUCCGGCACAGGAAAUAACAAUACCCUAGAGAGUGCCGAAGACAAACCCCUCCAGCAAAACUCAGCGCAGGAGGAUGCAGAAGCUAGCCCUCACGAAGGGGCGGCAGAAGAAAAGGUCGAGGAUCACAACUAUAUACCUCCCUCCGAAGACGAAACAAGCCCCAAUGACGACGAACUCGAGGAGCCCAUCGAACAAGAGCUUUUCAAACGCAGGCUCAUCGCUACAGCAAGAAGCCUGAAGAAGGAAAAACAGAAGCUCAACACAGCGGAAGACGCGCUUCGAAUAAGAUGGAGCAAAGUACUCAAGACCGCAGAUAAACACGGCAACGGCCACCAAUCGAAGAGCUACCCGAAGCGCAAGCUGCUCCCAGAAUUGGACGAGGAGGCCAUAAAGCCCCCACCGUCCAAUGGCCCAGCCAGGUCCAUCUACGGACCCAAAAAGACAGCCCCAAUAAGCAAAGGAACACGUCAAGUGUCCGACGAUAGCGGCACGUACAAGUACAG